UCCAUCGGCAUGGUGGACGUUCCAGAAGCACUCUGUGACUUUGGCUCUAGCGUCAACAUUAUACCCAGGGUACUCUAUGAGAAAUUCUUUACAUAUCCUUUAUUAGAAACAACCAUGUGUUUACAGUUUGCAGAUCAGACGAUAACUUUUCCAAAAGGAACAGUGAGGAACCUUUGUGUCCGAGUUGGUACUUUAUAUGCCCCAGCAGACUUCGUAGUGGUUGAGACCGGAAAUGAUGAGAGAGCACCUAUCAUCCUAGGAAGGCCAUUUUUGAACACCACGGGAGCUAUCAUCUACGCUAGUGCUGCCAAGAUCAGUUUCUACGUCAAAGGGAAGAAGGAGACAUUUUUCUUCAAGAACAAGACUACACAAAUUCCAGAUCAAUCCAGACGUGAAUCAAGGAAGAGGACCAACAGGAGAAACAGGAACAAGCAAGUGUGGACCGAGUCAGCUAAGAUGGUCACUGUAGUCCAUGGAGGCCAAGAUCACCAACUUAAGUCACCGUUUUUGACCAAGAAGGACGACCCAGGAAUGCCAAGCAUCUACUACUCCAUAAAUGGAUAUAACUUCUACAAGACGAUUUGCGACACCGGAUCGGGCGUCAACAUAAUGGCCGCAGUCACUUAUCGGCUCUUGUUCGGGACCAUGCCACUAAGACCAACAUACAUUCAGCUCCAGAUGGCAGAUCAGACAUUUCGAGAAGUUCAAGGAAUAGUAUCUGAUGUCCCAGUCAAAAUAGACGAUCACCUUGUCUACACAGACUUUCAAGUUGUUGACAUGGGAGAAGACGAGUAUGAUCCACCCAUCAUCCUUGGAAGACCAUUCCUCAGCACCGUUAAAGCAAUUAUCUACAUUGGAACCAGAGAAGUCCAUAUGCACUUCCCCUCAGAGAAGGUACGCUAUUAUUUUACUGACCCUAACUAUAUCAUUGAAGAAUCUAAGCAGGUCAGAAAGAGACGCAACCGCAACCAGAGGAGGCAGAUCGUCAAGGACGGAUGGGCAGACUAUGAAGGAGAAGUUGUAAGGUCAGAAGACGUGGAGUUUAAACAGAAUUAUCCAGAGGAGAUUGAAGCACCGAGUCAGGUAUGGAAAAUGAAGAUAACUAUACAAGAAAAGGAGGCACUGCCGGAAGUACCGACUACGCCACCCAACGAACCUCAGGACGAUUAAGAAAAUGGAUAGUCCUGUUCGAAGGACUUAAAAACACCGAACGCCUUGCCAAGAGGUAAACUUGGUAGUUACCCUUUCCCUUUCAAUUAUUUCAAUUAUUUCAAAUAGUUUACUUAGUUAAUUAUGUUCGUGCUAUCCUAAAAAGAAAAUAAAAAUGUAAAAAAUAGUAAGCCCCAUAUGAGUAGACGAGUGGCAUAAAACCCAUAAGUACAUUCACUGUGGUGGCAUAAAAAUAAAAUAAAUAUUUUUUCUGCUUUAUAAAAACAAAAAUAUAAAAACAGGGAGUAACAAUUAUUAAGAAGUCUCAACAUUAUAAAGGCUAGAUAUUUAUGCUAACACUUAAUCAGUUCCACAAGCUUUGUUGUCUAUUUGAGCUCCACAGAAUUUAAGAAUCAAGAAGACUCGCAGACGGAGGACAUUCUAAUCGCUGUCAGAAUGCUGCUGACUUUCAAAUACACCUCUGCCACCUGCUAGCUACAUCAAGAGAAAUUACGUCAAAAUUCAGCUUGGGGGAGAGCACCCCCAUUUACCUCGAUAAGUAUUUCUAUCUAUUUUUAUACUUAUAUUAUUUUAGAAUAUUAAAAUACACAUAAACUAUGGGAAAACCAAAUAAAGAUUUUAUGCUUAUAUAUGUCUUUUGCUUAGUGUGUUUAAGUGGCUAUGCUAAUGUAUCUAAAUAAAACUUAAGCAUAGAUAUGAUAAAUAGUUGCUCUGUCUAAUUUGCAAAUUUUAAGUUCUCUCUCAAGUUUAGAUAUAACUGUUAUAAUUUAAAGCUUGCCCUAUACCUAAACUUGUGGGAUGAAAACUUGAUCUAAAGUCUAAGUUGUUAACGGAUACGAUAUGGGAAGGUUGAGCUGCUGUUUAUCUGUUCCUAGAGAUGCUAGAAUUCUGGAGAAUUUUAUCUUUGAAAAUCUUUAAAAUGUUGCAUGAUGAGUUCCUGUAUGAUGAGAGCUUAAAUUUCUACCACAGCCAUAUAUACAUGCUUGCUAGACUUUGAGCCACACAUUUAUUAUUUCCUGCUUAUGAGCAUUGAGUGUGGUCAAGCUGUGUAGACCCUUAGGAGCUUGUCAUGUGGUUAAAUCAAGAUUUCACUUGCACGUUCACUCAUAUAUGCUACUUCUACUCCAGAAGUACCAUCCACAUAUAUCCAUCCAUUUCCAUCUCCAGAAUCACCCAAAAAUAUUCUGCUCCUAAUCCGGGAGAGAAUAACCAAAAAUAUUUCUGUUUCCCCUUGUGAAAUAAAUGCUCAAGUUAUCUUGUUACUACCACUUGCUAUAUUAUCUCAAGAGAUGAGUGCUCUAAAAAAAAGAAGAAAAUAAAAAAAUAUACGAGGAAAUAAAAAGGAGCAAGUGCUCGGAACCUCGAAAGAAAAGAAAGAGUGAGACGAGAGGUAAAAAUGGACAAGUGUCCGACAGUAGAAUUAGGGGUGCAAGAUACCCACCUGAGAGACAAGAAAAAGAAGAGCAUCUCAUUCUCCUCAUAAAGUUUCAAAAGCAAGGAAGGUAUGUAUCCCCUCAAAAGAGCAAAGUAGAAUUAGACUUCCACCACCAUUAUUUUCACCAUUGUUAUCACCAUCAUCACCAUACACCAUUCAUUCGCCACACAUGCACAUCUUGAUUUGGAAUAUUGAUUUGUUUCUUUGGAUCCAUGGUUUGACUAUGCAAUAAAUGUCUUGUGAGUAUGUAUACUUUAUCUCCCACCUAUGAGCUCCAAAUAUUAAAGCCUUAUUAGAGUAGGGUGAGAGAGAAGGCAAUGUCACUAUGCCUUAUACCACAAAUACUACAUAUCUUGAGAGAAGGCAUAUACCAUCAAUGCCAAGGUAAGGAUCCAAAAAUACCACAAAAGAGAGAUCUGAGAGAAUCAUACAAGGAAUCUCUGAGUUUUAUUUGAAAAUCUGCAAAAACCCCAGAGCUAUAGCUGAUCAAGAAUAAGAGACAUGGCACUUGGCUAGACUGUUCUAUCUUUUAACCACUCAAGACAGAAGUGACAGUUACAAGUCCCAUGGUGAAGGUAAAGUAAGUAAGUUUUAAGUCUUGAUAGUUUACUCUAACUCAGAGAUGAGAUCUUAUUUAAAAGCAUGUGUACCGUCUAUUUUUUAAAAAUAUUGCAACAACUUAUGAUCCAUAGCUGAGUCUAUCCUUGCUCAGGGACGAGCAAGAGGUAAGCUUGGGGGAGUUUGUUGACGGUCCUUAAGUAUCAAAUUUAAUUAUCAAAUAAAUAAAGAAAAAGAUCCAAAUGAAAUCAAGAUCCAGACUUAGGGUUUUAUCUGACAGAAUUCCACGAGUUUUGGUGUUUGUCUAUUUCUGCAGGGGGUUAUCAGGAAAUAUGGAAGAAAGGCCCACAUGUCAGGAUUACGUAAAGAUAUUAACGUGCUGCGCAAUUAUCUUACAUCUAGAAGACUCUAGAAGCCACGAGACCGAAGCGGAGGCGAAACGGGGCCAGACCCUGGGCGGCCGCCCAGUUGGUCAGGGCGCCCGCCCACCUCCUGAGUCCAAUCAGGACUCUGCUUUGUGGGAGAUCUCCACCGACCUAAAGGAUGAAUCUAAACCAUAUAAUCUAUGUCGGUUUGAUCCAAGGGCCCAAAUUCACUUGAAGGGACUAUAAAACCAGACCCCCUGGCCCUUGGAGGAGGGAGCCUCUCAACCCUAAUUCAUUGUUCCAUCAAGGGAGAAGAAGCCUCUGAUCAAGAUUAGAGCCACCACAUCAAUUAGAUAUCUAGAUUAGCAUAGCUACAUAGGAUUAGAACUAGAAGGAGUCAAUCUUCGAUUGGUUUCCGGAUCUGUCAGGAGGAUUCUUGGUAAUUCUCUAAUUGUCCUUCUAAUUGCUUUCUAAUUAUCUUUGUUCUUCAAUAUUAUGAAUAUGACUUUGUUCUACUUCAAUAUAUUGCUUAUGACUUUGCUCUACUUGCUUAUAUUCAAGAUUAUAUUGUUCUUAGUUUAUCAUAGUUAUGUACUUGGCUUAGUUAGAUUGGAUCUAUAUACAUGCUUAGGAUCGUAUAGCGUUUAUCCAUCGGAUCCAUGGGUAAAUGAUAGAUAUUGUGUAGGCGUGGUGCUUAUACCGUAUUUAUCUGCGAUUGUACCCAAUAUGCCAGAUCGUGGGGUGGUUCGUGAUAGUGACAGCUUCAUUGAUUCUUAUAUAGUCCCCCUCUCGUGUAUUGGGCUGGCAGAGCAACAUUAUUACAGGGGAGUGAUUGCUAUGUUUCUCAUAUUCCUUGCUAAUAUCACUAUGCAUGGGCGUAGUCUUGUCUCGCAAUGAUUGCUAAGUAUGCUUGCACUAACUAUGAUAUGCUAGACUAUAUAGUUGAGAAUAACUUAGGGAAUAUUCUUGUAGUUCGUUCUAAUACCAUGCUAAUGACUUUCUAGAGUAUCUAAUUGAGGUGCUUAUCAUAUUUAUUAUGUGGCCAGAUCAGAUUAGUUAUCCUUGUCACUAUUAUUAUUUCAUAUAUCUUUUAUGUGACACUUAUCCCUGUAUGAAGAGUUAGAUAUAAUGUUCUCAAUUAUACAUGCAAUGAUAGAUGCUCAAUCUCAUAUUCUAUUCAGUAAUCAAUAGUGAUGAUUGUUAAUCCCUUCCUAGUGGUAAAAAUAUAAAUAACGAUACCUGGAAUACUUCCCGGUUAAAAUGCUACAUCGGUAUUAAUCUGUGCGCUUGCAGAUCCAAUUUAUUAUUUAUUUAGAAGAGCAAUUGCAUAUUUCAAUACCGCGUCUCUUAUAUCAUGCUGGGGAUGACAACUUGGCUUAAGUGGUGUGAGGGAUAGGUUUGGCAUUUUUGGCACCGUUGCUAGAUUUAGAACUUAGUCUACUUUUAGUAAUGAUGUUAAGAAUACCCAACAACCGGCAGAAGAUACAUCCAGGCCAGUGAGCAUAGCUACAUCGGCAAGUGUAGGGGAAGCAGGGCCAUGGCCAAAGACAAAGGCAUUGAGGGUGUCUGACUAGAAAUAAGAUGCAGCUAUCAACAGUGAUUCAUUCUUAUGCAUAUCGGCAAUGGACAACCUAAUGCAUUGGUCUAGCUUUCUCUCGCCCCACUGGACUUCAUUGGAGUUGCUGACCCUCAAGAACCAAUCCUUCCACCCCACGGUAGGGCUGGGUCAGGAACGAAAAGUAUCCUUCCACAGAUCCAAAGAAAAAUUCUCUGCUCUAAAAGGGAUCCUGGUGGUUUCUGCGUUUAUGAGGUUGGUUGGAUCUGGAUCCCCUAGCGGGCCAAGGCAUUGGAGGUGUGGUUGAUCGGUGGGGAUGAAAAUUUUGUUAGCUAAUUCCUAGUGGUUUUGGAGAUGGAAAAGAAAAACACAAAGAAAAAAAAAGAGAAAAUGUUCAGUAAGAUGGAUUGAAGAUGAACAGGGGUGCGAGGAAAAGUACAACAGAUGGCGCGAAGGACUGACCUCAGGAACGAUGAAGUUGACGGCCAUUUUACCACGGAGAAGAUGUUUGAGAGCUUCGGAGGUGGUGAAGAAGGGACUUCGUCGAAGAUCUUGGAGCUUUUGGACAGUGCCGCCGCCGGGAAAGUGAAGUUGGAGUUGUGGAAUGAUGUGAUGGAGAAGGAGUACCCGAGAAGGAACUAUUUAUAGGACAAAACGUGCAAGGGCAAAUCUGACUUAUCUCUUUGCCGCAUCCGUGAAAUCCGAGAGUGCUCAGGUAGAUAUGGUAACUGUUCGCACGGUAAUCAAGGGAUUGUGCAGGUGAUUUGACAGGAGGCGGUCAUUAUCCAGAGAUAUUUUACUGUGCGGGAUCUCCUGGUCGGUCCAUCGGCAGCGUCUUGUAACGGUCAUAUUGCCAAUGAGCGAAUAAAGUGGAGAUAGCCGUUUGGAAAGAUAAGGUACGAACGUCCUGGUCAGUCCAUCGGCAAGUCUUUGUAACGGUAAUAUUGCGGAUGUGGGACUAAAAUGGAAAUACCCGUUUGGGAAGUUGAGGAUUUCGAGGAAUCUGCAAAAGAAUAGGAUCAGAGUUGUUCAGAUUGAGGUUGUCGGUUACCAGGUUAGGAGCAUUAAUUGCGGAAAAGGGCAUCAUUACUGCAGAGAAUUUCGGAGCAUUAAUGAUUUUAUACUCCGAAAUUGGGGGGCAUGUGUUGACGCCGUUUUCGGGCACGUGUCCAUGUUUGGUAAAGUAUAGGCCGACAAGAUAAGACGGCGGUGUUUAAUCUACAGGAUGAGUUGCCGAUGUGGAUGGUUCCCGAUGGAGGAGGGGUUGAACAUGACUAAGUCCAUAGGUGGUGAUGUGUCUGUGCCGAUGGCUACGACAAGAAAGUCUGCCGAUGACUAUGACGAGGGAGUCUGCCGAUGAUAUGGAGGGAGAGUCUGGAACCUGCCGAUCGGCUUGUGGAGGUGUUCCAGUUUGUCACGGGGGGAUAGUUUUAUGUUUUCCUUAGUUAUUUAAAUCGUUUUGUAUACGGAUUCUGUGUAAUUUGGAAUUCGAGUUCUAGUCGUGUCUGGUUGUUGCUCUUUGAGCAGGGUAUAAAUAUAAACCCUAGGGCCUUGUAAUGAGACAUCUAUCAAUCAAUCAAACACACGUUUUUACUCAUAUUCCAAGCAUCUACUUUUUCGACGACUUCGUCAUACUUUUUCCAUUUCAUUACGAGUUCUUAGGAAUUCGUCAACUUAAGCUCGGCGUGUUCUCAAGUUCCGCGUGGAUACCUCUUGGCCGUGACAUCCAGGCGCAUCGCUGUUGUCGGGACCAAAGUAUUCGAGUUACCACCUUUGCCGAUAGUAAGGUCAAAUCGGCUGGCACGCCUUAACGUUUGAAUCGGUUAUUAGCCCUUUGUGUUUGCAGAUUAGCUUUUGCACCAACAACAGCUCCAUUGAUUCUUAUAUAGUCUCCCUCUCGUGUAUAGGGCUAGCAGAGCAACAUUAUUACAGGGGAGUCAUUACGAUGUUUCUCAUAUUCCUUGCUAAUAUCACUAUGCAUGGGCGUAGUCCUGUCUCACAAUGAUUGCUAAGUAUAAUUGCACUAACUAUGAUAUGCUAGACUGUAUUGUUGAGAAUAACUUAGGAAAUAUUCUUGUAGUUCAUUCUAAUACCAUGCUAAUGACUUCCUAGAAUAUCUAAUUGAGGUGCUUAUCAUAUUUAUAUGUGGCUAAGUUAUGCUGAUUAGAUUAAUUAUCUUUGUCACAUUCAUUACUUUAUAUAUCCUUUAUGUGACACUUAUCCCUGUAUGAAAGAGUUAGAUAAAUGUUCUCAAUUAUACAUGCAAUGAUAGAUACUCAAUCUUAUAUUCUAUUCUAUAAUCAACAUUGAUGAUUACUAAUCCCUUCCCAGUGGUAAAAAUAUAAAUAACGAUACCUGGAAUACUUCCUGGUUAAAAUGCUACAUCGGUAUUAAUCUAUGCGCUUGCAGAUCCCAUUUGUUAUUUAUCUAGAUGAGCAAUUGCAUAUUUCAAUACCACGUCUCUCAUGUCAUGCUGGGGAUGACAACUUGGCUUAAGUGGUAUGAGGGAUAGGUUUGGCAAUUUUGGCGCUGUUAUCAGAAUUAGAAAACUAAGUCUAUUUUUGGUAAUGACGUUAAAAAUACCCAACAAGCAUUUUUGGCGCCGUGGCCGGGGAAGGUUGAUUACUAAUCAGGAAUGAAUAUAGAAUUUUGAGUUAUCAUUCGCAUCACUAAUAUGAUUGAGCUUAUCAAUUCUCUCAUACAGUUUUACCCCGAUAUUUUUCUAUUUUAUCUUAUGCAGGGUAAUGUAUGAAUAGAAGACACCUUCUAGGAAAUUUUGUUGACAAUCCCGAAGCAUUAUUCAGAAAAACAAGAACCAAACUCAAGAAGAAAUCAUCAACACUUCAGCAAGAAGCUUCAUCCAAUCAAGAAGAUCACCGAAACUUGUCUUCAGAGUUCGAAGCCAUGGCGAACAAAUCGAUCCGUGAGUUCUCAGCUCCUACUACGAACAACAUCCGCACUGGACCUGCUGUAGAGAUCGAUGGCAACUUUGAGCUCAAGCCUAGACUUAUCAACAUGGUGCAAUCCAACCAGUUCUGUGGGAAGGCACAUGAAGAUGCUAGUGCUCAUCUCCAACACUUCCUGGAGAUUUGCAACACAUUUACCAUAUCAGGAGUCCCCAGAGAUGCUAUACUACUUCACCUUUUCCCAUUCUCACUGUUAGGGAGAGCGAAGCAGUGGUUCUACGCUACAAAGGAAAAGAAUACUACGUGGGCAGUGUGCUCCACGAACUUUCUGGCUAUGUUCUUUCCCAUGGGCAAGACCAAUGCUCUCCGUGGGAAAAUUACAAGUUUUCAGCAACAACAUGAUAAAUCCAUUCCAGAAGCUUGGGAGCGCUUCCAAGCCUACAUCCUAGAAUAUUCCCAUCAUGGAAUGGAGAGUUGGCUAUUAAUGCAGACGUUUUAUCAUGGGCUCGGCAAUAGUGCCCGAGAGACCAUGGAUGCUGCAGCUGGAGGGACAUUCCUAUCACUUACCAUAUCACAAGCCACAACUCUUAUGGAGAAGAUGGCGUCCAACCAAAGCUGGAAUGAAGAGAGGACCCAGAGACGCAAGAGAGGUGGAGGUAUGCAUCAGCUCAAGGAGGUAGACAUGCUGUCUGCAAAGCUAGACCUGCUCAUGAAGAAGCUCGAUGAUAGAGCUAGAGAUAAGAAAGAAGUUAUGCACAUCUACGACUCUCACAUGACUUCUGAGGAGUGCGGAGAUACUGGACACUCAGGCAAUCACUGCCCUGAGACGCUUGAGGAUGUGAACUACAUCAACAAUAACAACAACUACUACUACAAUCGUCCUCAACAAAAUCAAGGUUGGAAUCAACAGAGGCCUAACUACUCAGGUAAUUAUCAAGGUAACAAUUCUUACAACAAUAAUAAUAAUUUUCCACCUCUAAGAGAGUUAGUCUAUAAUCAAGAAAAGCUAAUGGAAAACCUAUCUAAGAAAUUGGCAUCUAAUGAUAAAAUGCUAGAAAAUAUAAAUAAUAGAAUGGAUAAUUUCUCUACUGCCAUCAAGAAUCAAAUUAGCUUUAAUAAGAUGAUUGAAUCUCAGUUAAAUCAAAUAGCUGCUGCUGUUCCUACUACUAACCCCGGUAUACCAUCACAACCAGAAGGAUUAGAAUCUGCAAAUCUUGUAGACAUGUUUGAAGCAGGUAACUACUGGAGUAACCCCGUCACUGAAGUUACUACUGACCUUCUGCCGGUCAAGAGAGGCAAUCCAGGAUGCCCUGUCAUCCCAAUCUCCAUUGGCAUGGUGGACUUCCCAGAAGCACUCUGCGACUUUGGCUCUAGUGUCAACAUUAUGCCCAGGGUACUCUAUAAAAAAUUCUUUACAUAACCUUUAUUAGAAACAACCAUGUGUUUGCAGUUUGUAGAUCAGGCGUUAAGUUUUCCAAAAGGAAUAUUGAGGAACCUUUGUGUCCGAGUUGCUACCUUGUAUGCCCUAGCAGACUUCGUGGUGAUAGAGACUGGUAAUGAUGAGAGGGCACCCAUCAUCUUAGGGAGGCCACUCUUGAACACCUCAGGAGCUGUCAUCUAUGCUAGUGCUGCCAAGAUCAGUUUCUACAUCAAAGGGAGGAAGGAGACAUUUUCCUUCAAGAACAAGACUACACAAAUCCCAGAGCAAUCCCGACAUGAACCAAGGAAGAGGACCAACAGGAGGAACAGGAACAAGCAAGUGUGGACCGAGUCAGCUAAGAUGGUCACUGCAGUUCAAGGAGGUCAAGAUCAUCGACUUAAGUCACCGUUUCUGACCAAGAAGGACGACCCAGGAAUGCCAAGCAUCUAUUGCUCCAUAAAUGGAUACAACUUCUACAAAACGUUUUGCGACACCAGAUCGGGCGUCAACAUAAUGGCCGCAGUCACCUAUCGGCUCUUGUUCGGAACCAUGCCCUUGAAACCAACAUACAUUCAGCUCCAGAUGGUAGAUCAGACAUUUCGAGAGGCUAAAGAUAUAGUAGCUGAUGUCCCUGUCAAAAUAGACGAUCAUUUUGUCUACACAGACUUUUAGGUUAUUGACAUGGGAGAAGACUAAUAUGAUCCACCCAUCAUCCUUGGAAGACCGUUCCUCAGCACCGUUAAAGCAAUCAUCUACAUUGGAACCAGAGAAGUCCAUAUGCACUUCCCCUCAGAGAAGGUACGCCGUUAUUUUACUGACCCUAACUAUAUCGUUGAAGACUCUAAGCAGGUCAGAAAACGACGCAACCGCAACUAGAGGUGGCAGAUCAUCAAGGAUGGAUGGGCAGACUAUGAUGGAGAAGUGGUAAGGUCAGAAGACAUACAGUUUAAACAGAAUUAUCCAGAGGAGACCGUAGCACCGAGUCAGGUGUGGAAAGAGAAGAUAACUAUACAUGAAGAGGAGGCGCUGCCGGAAGCACCGACUACGCCACCCAACGAAUCCCAGGACAACUAGAAAACGAAGAGUCCCGUUCGGAGGACUUAAAAACACCGAAUGCCUUGCCAAGAGGUAAACUUGGUAGUUAUCCUUUCCCUUUCAAUUAUUUUAAAUAGUUUGCUUAGUUAAUCAUGUUCAUACUAUCCUAAAAAGAAAAUAAAAAUGUUAGAAAAACAGUAAGCCCCAUGUGAGUAUACGAGUGGCAUGAAACCCAUAAGUACAUUCACUGUGGUGGCAAAAAAAUGAAAUAAAUAUUCUUUUUUGCUUUACAAAACAAAAAUAUAAAAAUAGAGAGUAAUAUUUAUUGUGGAGGCUCAACAUGAUGAAGGCUAGAUAUUUAUGUUAACACUUAAUCAGUUCCAUAAAGCUUUGUUGUCUAUUUGAGCUCUACAAAAUUUAAGAAUCAAGAAGACUAGCAGACGGAGGACAUUUUAAUCGCUGUCAGGAUACUGCCGACUUUCAAAUACACCUCUGCCACCUGCUAGCUACAUCAAGAGAAAUUACGUCAAAAUUCAGCUUGGGGGAGAGCACCCCCAUUUAUCCCGCUAAGUAUUUCUAUCUAUCUUUAUACUUAUACUAUAUUGAAAUACAUAACUAUGGGAAACCAAAUAAAGAUUUUAUGCAUAUAUAUAUAUCUUUUGCUUAGUGUGUUUAAUAAAUAAAUAAAGUGGUUAUGCUAAGGUGAAUCUUAAUAAUAAAACUCUAGCAUGGAUACGAUGAAUAGUUGCUCUGUCUAAUUUUUCAAAUUUGAGUUUUCUCUCUAGUUUAGACAUAACUGUUAUAAUUUAAAGCUUGCUCUAAACCUAAACUUGUGGGAAGAAAACUUGAUCUGAAGUCUAAGUUGUUAACGGACAUGAUAUGGGAAGGUUGAGCUGCUGUUUAUCUGUUCCUAGAGAUGCUAGAAUUCUGGAGAAAUUUAUCUUUGAAAAUCUCUAAAAUAUUGCAUGAUGAGUUCCUGUAUGAUGAGAGUUUAAAUUCCUACCACAGCCAUAUAUACAUGCUUGCUAGACUUUGAGCCACACAUUUACUUUUUACUACUUAUGAGCAUUGAGUGUGGUCAAGCUGUGUAGACCCUCAGGAGCUUGUCAUGUGGUUAAAUCAAGAUUCACUUGCACGUUCACUCACACAUGUUGUUUCUACUCCGGAAAUAUGCAUUGCAUCUCCAGAACCACCUAAAAAUAUUCUACUCCUAAUCCGGGAGAGAAUAGCCAAAAACAUUUUUGUUUUCCCAUAUGAAAUAAAUGCUCAACUUAUCUUGGUUACUACCACUUGCUACAUUAUCUCAUGAGAAGAGUGCUCUAAAAAAAGAGAUACGAGGAAAUAAAAAGGGGCAAGUGCCCGGAACCUCGAAAGAAAAGAAAAAGUGAGACGAGAGGUAAAAAUGGACAAGUGUCCGACAGUAGAAUUAGGGGUACAAGAUACCCACCUGAGAGGAAAGAAAAUGAAAUAGAGAGCAUCACAUUGUCAUCACAAAGUUUCAAAAAGCAAGGAAGGUAUGUAUCUCCUCACAGAGCAAAAGUAGAAUUAGACUUUCACCAUUGUUAUCACCAUCACAACCAUACACCAUUCAUUCGCCACACAUGCACAUCUUGAUUUGACUUAUUGAUUUGUUUCUUUGGAUCCAUGGUUUGAAUAUACAAUAAAUGUCUUGUAAGUAUGUAUAUUUUAUCUCCCACCUAUGAGCUCCAAAUAUUAAAGCCUUAUUAGAGUAGGGUGAGAGAGAAGGCAAUGUCACUAUGCUUUAUACCACAAAUACUACAUAUUUUGAGAGAAGGCAUAUACCAUCAUUGCCUUUUUAGGAUCUAGAAAUACCACAAAAGAGAGAUCUGAGAGAGUCAUACAAGGAAUCUCUGAGUUUUAUUUGAAAAUCUGCAAAAACUUCGGAGCUAUAGCUGAUCAAGAAUAAGAGACAUGGCACUUGAUUAGACCGUUCUAUCUUUUAACUACUCAAGACAGAAGAGACGGUUACAAGUCCCAAGGUAAAAGGUAAAGUAAGUAAGUUUUAAGUCUUGACAGUUUACUCUAACUCAGAGAUGAGAUCUUAUUUAAAAGCAUGUGUACCGUCAACUUUUAAAGGCAUUACAACAACUUCUGAUCCAUCGCUGAGAUUAUCCUUGCUCAUGGACGAGCAAUAGGUAAGCUUGGGGGAGUUUGUUUAUGGUCCUUAAGUAUCAAAUUUAAUUAACAAAUAAACAAAGAAAAGGAUCCAAAUGAAAUCAACAUCUAGACUUAGGGUUUUAUCUGACAGAAUUCCACGAGUUUUGGUGUUUGUCUAUUUCUGCAGGGGGUAUUAGGAAAUAUGGCAGAAAGGCCCACACGUCGGAAUUACAUAGAGAUAUUAACGUGCCGCACAAUUAUCUUACAUCUCGAAGACUCCAGAAGCCACGGGAACGAAGCGGAGGCAGAACGGAGCCUGGCCCAGGGCGCCCGCCCCUGUUAGAGUCCAAUCACAACUCUCUUUUGGGAUUACGCUCCACCGACCUAAAGGAUCAAGGAUAACCAUUCAAUCAAUGUCGGUUUGAUCCAACAGCCCAUAUUCACUUGGAAGGACUAUAAAACCAGACCCCCUGGCCCCUGGAGGAGGGGAGCUCUCAACCCUAAUUCAUUAUUCAUUAAGGGAGAAGAAGCCUCUGAUCAAGCCUAGAGCCACCACAUCAAUUAGACAUCUAGAUUAGCAUAACUACAUAGGAUUAGAACUAGAAGGACUCAUUCUUCGAUUGGUUUCCGGAUCUGUCAAGAGGAUUCUUGGUAAUUCUCUAUUGUUCUUCAAUUGUUCAUCUUUGUUCUUCAAUAUUAUGAAUAUGACUUUGUUCUACUUCAAUAUAUUGCUUAUGACUUUGCUCUACUUGUUUAUAUUCGCAAUUAUAUUGUUCUUAGUUUAUCAUAGUUAUAUACUUGGCUUAGUUAGAUUGGAUUUAUAUACAUGUUUAGGAUCGUAUAGCGUUUAUCCAUCGGAUGCAUGGGUAAAUGAUAGAUAUUGUGUAGGCGUGGUGCCUAUACCGUAUUUAUCUGCAAUUGCACCCUAUAUGCCACAUCGCGGGGUAGUUGUGGUAGUGACAGCUCCAUUGAUUCUUAUAUAGUCCCCCUCUCGUGUAUAGGGCUGGCAGAGCAACAUUAUUAGAGGGGAGUGAUUACGAUGUUUCUCAUAUUCCUUGCUAAUAUCACUAUGCAUGGGCGUAGUCCUGUCUCACAAUGAUUGCUAAGUAUAAUUGCUCUAACUAUGAUAUGCUAGACCGUAUAGUUGAGAAUAACUUAGGAAAUAUUCUUGUAGUUCGUUCUAAUACCAUGCUAGUGACUUGCUAGAAUAUCUAAUUGAGGUGCUUAUCAUAUUUAUAUGUGGCUAAGUUAUGCUGAUCAGAUUAAUUAUCUUUGUCACUAUUCAUUACUUUAUAUAUCCUCUAUGUGACACUUAUCCCUGUAUGAAAGAGUUAGAUAAAUGUUCUCAAUUAUACAUGCAAUGAUAGAUACUCAAUCUUAUAUUCUAUUCUAUAAUCAACAUUGAUGAUUACUAAUCCCUUCCCAGUGGUAAAAAUAUAAAUAAUGAUACCUGGAAUACUUCCCGGUUAAAAUGCUACGUCGGUAUUAAUUUGUGCGCUUGCAGAUCCCAUUUGUUAUUUAUCUAGAUGAGCAAUUGCAUAUUUCAAUACCGCGUCCCUCAUGUCAUGCUGGGGAUGACAACUUGGCUUAAGUGGUACGAGGGAUAGGUUUGGCAUUUUUGGCGCUGUUAUCAGAAUUAGAAAACUAAGUCUAUUUUUGGUAAUGACGUUAAAAAUACCCAACAAUGUGCACAUCUCUUAUUACUCACCUUGCUGCAAGUGUUGACCCCAAUGCUGCUAAUACCAUUAUUUACAUCACUACUCGCAUCAUGAUUAAUGAAUCACAUCUUUCGCAUGCACAUAUGAUUAAACGCGAUGAAAUAGUUAAAAAGAUUUUAUUUUAUUUUCCGGGAUAUACAAAUGAGGUCCAGUUACCUAACCCGGAUCUCGCUCUGUAUAAUUCCCCAUCACUCACUUUCACCCUCAUUGAGAGGGAAGGAGGACGCAGGAGCUCUGUUUCACACAGGAACUCACGGAGGAGGGAACAAGAAGAGCAGGCAGCACAAGCAGCAAGGGCAACACAACCAGCACCAUCUGCAUCGCUAGCACAGCACACUCCACCACCAGCUAUGCCUGGGAUGGGAUGGACCCCUGCUAUACCUACACCCAGAUUUACCCCUGGCUAUGGAUAUGGUAUGGGAUACGUUCCUCACCCCUACGAGGCUGGAGGUUCGAGCUGGCAUGCAGGAGGGUCGAGCUGGCAGGCGCACUGAGGCGCAGGCCCAAGCGAGCCAGAGACAUAUGGGGCAGGGGGAUCUAGGCAUCAUGAGCUAGGACACUCCCCAGAUUCCGAGGGAAUGCCACCCCCUGUUCGCCCUCAGGUCACACUGGACGUCCUCAACACUCGCAUGGGAGGACUGGAGCUCCAGAUCAGGCAGAUCCAAGGUACACUGAAUGCCCACAUCCAGACUGCUACCCAAUGACAUCAGUAGACCCAGCAGAGCUUCAUCGACCUUAUGGAUGCAAGCCGUCGCCGGCACGAGGCACAGAUGGCCUACCUGCGAUCCAUGGGACAUUUCCCUGGACCACAGCAGUGAGCUAGCUUGGGGGAGGACCCCCCCACAAGAGGUAACAUGUAUCUUACAUAUUUUAGUUCUUAAUUUCAGUAUUUAAAUUUCAGCAAUUUUUCAUCAUCUUUCAAAAAAAUUUCACUCUCAUGUGCGCUAUGAUAUGUUAGUUUCUCUUCUGUUGAAAUGAUGAAUAGUUGCUCUAUUUAUAAUUCUCUAGUAUCUAAGUUAUAAUUUAGUGUUCAUCAAGAUUUAAGUUUGUUGGCUAAAAAUGUCUCAUUCUAAGAACUUGAAAUCUUGUCGGUUGCAAAUGCAUGAUCCUUUUCUAAGUUGUUGCGAGACAUGAUAUGGUAUAAAUAGAUUUUGCUAUGACUUUGUUUCUAAGAGAAGCUUGACAUCUGGAGUUUUCUUUUUAAAAAUUCAAAACAAAGAGUUCCUCAAUGAUUAUGAAAUACCUACCAAGGCCAUAUGACUUGCUUAGUAGUUUGUACACCUUUAGUCAUACGCGACUUGCGGCGCUUUGAGUUGAGUCAAAUCCCAGGUAUCCUAGAGUGAGAUUAUGGUCAUGCACCCAUGAUAUGAGAUUCACGCACCCACCAAAUAAAGCUGACUCUCACACUGAGAAGUUGUGCACAACAUGCACCCUUCCAUCCACCAAAAAUAUGCCAACUCUUACCCUGAGAGUUGCGCCUUAGCUUCCACCAAAUAAGUAUACCAAACUCUCACCCUGAGGAUUGAGCAUCCCCAUACACAAUUUUACUCCUUGCAUCACUAUCAUGACAUCUGUCCAUUUUCCUCUUUGAGAUGCCUUUGAAACAUGUGGGCAUUAGUUAUCCAUGAAAAAAAAAUGAAGGAAAAGCCAAAGGGCAUGGACGGGAAAAUCAAAAUCCCUGUCAGAAUAUAUAUAUAUAUAUAUAUAUAAUCCAUAUUUUUAGGGCCCAUAUGUUUACAUUCUCUCAUUCUCAUCCUCAAAUAAAGAGAGUCCUAAUACAUGGAGUAACCAAAAAUAUUUAGAUAGGACUACCAACAAAAAUUCCACACACUUGCACAUCUCAAUCAAGGUGUAUGACUUGUAUCUCCUCAUGGUCCAGGCUUUGACUUGGCAACACAAGUGUCGUUAGUACGCCCACCUCUAUACCUUCCCAAAGCUCCAUUCUCAGCCUUAGUGGUAGGUCUUAAAGGCAAACACAAAUGCCUUUGGUGAGGAUUUCAUACACAUUGAGCGAUCAAGAGAAUCAUUCGAGGAACUUAUUUAUUUUGCAAAAAUUUAUAAAACCUCUGGAUUGAUGGUCUAUCAAGGGAUGAAUGAAUGGUGAGUCUGUUACAACCAUUCAAUCUUGCAACCACCCAGAACUUGGAAAAGCUAUAAGCCCCAUGAGAAGUCAAGGUAAAGAGUGGAUAGCAUGCCAACUUAUUUAAAUUGCGAAUGAAUGCUUUGUUAUAGGUACGGUACUCUUGAAUUAUGUCGGCAUAGUAGCAACUCCUGAUCAACAACCAUACUUAAUUAUUUGCUCGAGACGAGACAAGGUUAAGCUUGGGGGACUUGUUGGCAAUCAUUAUAGACCAAUCAUAAACUGCCAACUUGAUCCAAAAGGAGAAGAAGCAAUCAUAUUAUAUACACACAUGCAUUUUAUUACUAACAAGUUCCACUUGUACCAUAGUGAUUAUAUUUUGCAGGAAUUAUAGUGCAACAAGUGCAAAUGUGCCGUAACAUGAAGAAAGCGCAAAGUACCAAAAGACGUAUUUAGAAAUGCGCAAACCAAGAAAAUAGAGAAAGGCCCGAACAACGUAGAACUGGGCCUGAUCGUAACCACGGGAGAGAUCCAGGCCCAGAGCCAAACCGACCACGUGAAGGCGGUGGCUAGGGGGACCCACCUAGCCCAUCUUUCUCAGGCGAUUGCAUGCUACCAUGCAUAGGACGGUUUCACAUACUACCAAAUUUAGAUGCGACAAACCGUCCUAGUUCCACUAUAAAAAGAGAGGCACUCCCCCCUUUUCAACACACACAUCAUUUGGAGUCAAUUUACCUCACACCUCUCACUUGUAUCUUUAGUCUAGAUUAGUAGUAGAGCAAGGCAAGAGCUAGCAAGGAGAGCUUGUCUCCUUGGAAGAAAGGAUCUUCUUGGUAUGAAUAAUAUUCAAUCUUCUUCCAUGAGCAAGUUCUAUUCAUCUUUAUAUGAUUUUGCAUAUGAACCAGAGUAUGGUUGUGUUCUUAUCAUGUUCAUAGUAUAUGAACUAGUUCUUAGUUCUUGUGCUAUGUUCUUGAUAUGUUCUUCAUUGUUCAUCAUAUUAGUAUGAUUAGGAUUAGAAUUAGGAAUGGGAUGAUGGUUCACUGUGCUGUGAUGGUUGCUCUUAGCCUAGCCUAUCACUCCGAAGGGGUGGGGCCCGUGGGGGUUAGGAGUUGUUUCCAAUUACGUGAACAUGGAGUUCAGGUAUGUGGGAAUGAGUGGAUGUGCGGGUAUCUUUCGGGUAGAGGGGUAGGUGGUAGGGUAGUGACAGCUCUGUCAUCCUUUGCAUUCCCCCAUGAUCAGGUAUUUCGAUAGGAGUUUUGUAAAGUCUCUAUCGGCUAGGGAUCCAGCUGCGGGGAUCUCCCCUCAUCUCAGGCUUAGUUCUAACUCUAUUUAUUGCUAAUUAGAUGAUCCGCUAACUGUUUUAUGCAUAGUUUUAUGUGACCCAUGCCUGCUUAAGUAGAUUUAUUUCUUUAUUCUUUAUUUAUUAUUUCUCUUCUAUUUUAUCCUUGAGGUUGAUCCAAUGUGUGUCCACUAUCUUGAAUAUCAUGUUUAUUCCUCUUUACUCUAUGUCUACCAAGCAUUCAAUAAGUACUCAUGUUUACACCAUGUUUGAUCCCUUUGUCUUCCUACGGGAAUUAUAAAUUCGACACCCUUGAAUACACACGGGUUGAAAUGCUACAAUGAUAGUUGUUGAUAUUUGGUAAUGCAAUCAGGAAAUGAUCCGCAAGCACACAGAUAUCAGUGAGCACUGUUGAUAUUUGGUAACGCAAUUAGGAAUUAAUCUGCAAGCACACGGAUAUCGGUGAGCACUUCACCCGGGAUGUUAUCCUGAGUAUCGUAUUUAUAUUUUACCACUAGGAGAAAGCGUGCAUCUGACUAACCAAGUCUAUUACUACUAACCUUUAGGCUACAACCACUAUGACUCGAUGUGAGUGAUGUAUAGAGAAGACUUCAACUGCACCCUCGUUCUAACCUUGGUAAGUAUGAUCUACUGUUGUGUUGGGGAGGUUCACGGAAUCUAGACACCACAGAGGAUGUUCGACCCGCAUCUAUAAAACCUAUCGAUCCUACUAACGGGAUUAUGGGCUACAAAGGUAACUCAGAAAUGUCACGUUCCUCGCUACUACCAUGAUCCGGCUAGACAGGGGAUAUCUAUGAGUAUCCUAGCCCAAACACCACGUUUACGCUAGAGAUGAUUACUCUAAACUCUACGCGAAGAGAUCAAAGUAAAAUCAUAAACCAAAGAAUAAUAAAACAAAGAACUUACUAGAAUUUAGAAGUCAAAAUACUGAAGAAUCCUAGGAGCUGUUGACACUAGCUAACACCACUUAGACACUAGGUUGUCAUCCCCAGCAUGGUGCCGGAGUGUACAAAGGUAUUUAUAAAUAUGGAGGCUCUCUAGAAAAUAAUCUAUUCUAUCCGCAAGCGCACAGAUAAAACACCUCAUUGUAGCAUUUCACCUGGAAAGUAUUCCAGGUAUCGUUAUUUAUAAUUUUGCUCAGGAGAAAAAGGAUUAAAUGAAUGAAGAUAAGGAUAAACCUAUCAAGGCAUAGACUAGAGAGAAACUUACAAGAACAUGAUUACUAAUGAGGAACUCGUCACACAGUCACUUACUUUGGCAGGGGGUAAACAAUGAAGAUAAUGAUAACGAAUUAUAAGUUCAUGGGUAAAUAACACAGCAAUUAGAAAAUAGACUACUCCUCACAGAUGUAAGGUGACGUUGGAUUAGCUAGAGAAUGGAUUCUAAGUUAUCUACUAUCUACUAAGUCACAAUCUACUCUAGUUAUCUACAAGAUCAUAUAUAGCAUAAAAGACUCUUCAUUCAUGUAUAAGGAACAUUGCUAAAGUAAAUCAGAGCAUCGCAAGACUUACUCCACAAUACAAAUUCUGCCUGUCCUAUCAACGGAGGGUGGACUAUAUAAGAAUCAACGAAGCUGUCACUAUCGUGAACUACCACACAACCUGGCCAAUAGGAUACAUUUGCAGGUAAAUAAUAUCUAAGCACCACACCUACAUAUGAUCUACCACUUAACUCCCACGUGUCAAGAGCUAAGCGCUUUGCAAACUUAUACAUAAACUAAUUGUCAAUCAUAACUAUAUCAAAUAUAGAACUAUAGCAAACUAAGAGCAUAAUAAAUAGAGACAUAAUGCAAUUAGAACAAAGUAUUAGAGAAAGAUAUGAAAUAAUACCAAUCUUUAUUACCAAAGAUCCGAAUCCAGAGCGUAGUGCUCUACUUCUCUAAUUCCUAUCUAAUCAAUCCUCUAAACUUGAUGGAUUAGGGAGUAGCUAAUUCUAGUUCUCUAUGGGAGAGAUGUCUAAACCCUAACUUUGAUGGCUACCUCUGAUAAUGAUUUCUCCUCUCUCCCCAGGGGUGGAGAGGCCUUGAUUACAUAGUCCUUUCAAGUGAAUUUGGGCCGUCGGAUCAAACCGACAUUGAUCGCACGGUUUUCCUUGAUCCUUUAGGUCGGUGGAGCACGAUCCAAGAGUUUGGUUCUGAUUGGCCCUGAGGCCAGGGCGGGCGCCCUGCCCCCGAGCCCAUCCAGUCUCCCGUUCGUUCCCGUGGCUUCUGGAUUCUUCUAGAUUAAGGAAAAUUGCGCGGCACAUAAUUAUCUCAUUGUAAACAUGACAUGUGGGCCUUCUCUCCAUAUUUUCUGAUAACCCCCUGCAGAAACAGACAAACACCAAAGCUCGUGCAAUUCUGUUAGAUAAAACCCUAAUUCUAGAUGUUUGGUGCAUAUUGAUCCUUUUCCAUGUUUAGUUGAUGGUUAAAUUUAGUACUUAAGGACCAUCAACAAACUCCCCCAAGCUUACCCUUUGCUCAUUCCUGAGCAAACAGCAAAACUCAGAUGGAUCAGGAGUUGCUUCGAUGUUUUCUUUCCUGACAGGCACACAUGCUUUCACAUAAAAAUUCUUCCAGAUUAGAGUGAAGUGUCAUGGAGCUUAGUACCUGCACUCAAGUCUUAAGUAAUCGAAAGACAAAAUAAUUAAGUCAAGCACUAUUCCUCCUGUCUAUACUUCACCUUUGUUCUAGAGUUUUUCAUAUGUUUUCAAAAUAAAACUCAGAGUUCCCAGCAAUGAUUCUCUCAAGUCUCUCUAUAUGUGGUAUUUGUGGAUCCUUACCAAAAUAUCACUUACCUAUAGCUAAUGGAAUAUUUAAGUGGAGCUCAUAGGAGUGAAAAACAGCUUCAUACAUAUGUUGUCUAAUCGAGCCAUGGAUCCAAAGGAACUCAGCAUGCAAUUAAAUCAAGAUGUGCAUGUGUGGUGGAGUUAAUGAUGGUAAUGGUGAACAUAUAUAAGUGAUAAUAAAACUUACUUCUCAUUGCUCCUCAUAUUGCUAUCUCUCCUCCUCUCUUGAUCUUUGACUUGGGAGAACAUGGGCUAUCUUUUUUUUCGGGUGGGUAGUAGAUACCCCUAAUUCUACUGUCGGAAACUUGUCCAUUUUUUUCGCUCAAGUGAGCAUCUUUGUACCCCUAAUUCUACUUUGGACACUUGUCCAUUUUUACCUCUCGUCUCACUCUUUUUCUUUCUUUUUUGAGGUUCCGGGCACUUGCCCUUUUUAGUUCCUCGCAUAUUUUUGCAUAACCCAUGCCUCUUCUGCAUUGAAUCUUUUUAGAGAGAGAGAAUAACAAUACUUGGGACAGUGAGUGAUAAUAAUAUUUUUAGCAAUUUUAAUGAAUGGUGGUGAUUGGUGUAGUGGAUGUGUGCAAGUGAAUAUCUUAGUUUAACCACAUGAAAAGCUCCUAAGGGUCUACAUAGCUCGAUCAAACUCAAUGUGAAUAUAGUAAAAGAUGUUAUAGCAAGUAUGGCUGUGGUAGGAAUUUUGUAAUGCUAGGAACUCAUCGUGUGAUUUGCAAGUUUUCAAAAUAAAUCUCCAGAAUUUAGUGUAGUAGGAACAAAUAAACAAUAGCUCAAACUUUAUAUCAUGCCUUUCUCUUACCUAGACUUUAGUUUUAUGUUUCCCAUAGAUAGUAAAUUCAGUUUUAGUAAUUUCUAGAAGAACUCAAAUAUAAAAUCUAGGUACUUGCAAGUAAGCAAAUAGAGCAACUGUUCAUCAUUUCCAUCAUGUAUUUUUUUGUCUUUUUAUUUUUCUAGAGAUUGACACUUAGCACAUAAAAUAAAGCACACUUAUCUACACACUCUUUUUAUUUUCUUUUCAUGUUUAUAAAAUGUAGUAAAUUAAAGCAACAAAAUAUUUAUUGGGUUUUCUAAGUUUUUCUCCUUAAGAUAAAUAAAAGACUAAAACAAAAAAGAAUAAAUAAGAAGAGCAAAUAAAAACUUACUUGAUAAAACAGGGAGGAUCUCCCCCAAGCUGGACGAGGUUGCCGGUCUUACCCAAUGUUCCAGAAUCGCAUCAUGGUGGUGAUGGUGUCGUUCAUUGUCAUGGUGUCUUGUCUCAGUUCUUGUACUGCAGUGGCGUGGUCCUGGUUCCAUUUUUGUUGCUAUUCUAGGAGUCAUCCAUGUUCUGCUUGCGUAUUCUGAAUGUCGAGGAGAGUGUUGUCGGUAUGGGUGAAGAAAGCAUCGGCCUCUUGGUAGUAGUCAUUUGUGAAAGCAUAAGAGGCGUCGGAGUAUUGUCCUGCAUCGAAUUGGGGCAGAGGUCUGAACCCUGAAGCUCCAUAUGGAUCAGUGGAGUACCUGCCCAUACGGAAAGGCGGGUUUGUCCACUGGUGAUCUUGGCUCUCCGGCCAUGUCUCCUAUGUUGGCUCUUGUGGUUGCGCAUGUCGAACCCAUGGGUCUCGAAGGACUUGGGGGUUGUAGUCGCAAUAAUGCAGGUGCGCUGCUUCUUCCGGCCCAGGAUCAGCUCCAUACCAGGUGCGUUCUUGAUGGGUGGUCAUCCUUUCAGAUGCCACUCGUUGUGGAGCUCUCUGGUUUACCGGUGUCACUGCAAUCUCAAUCAAGUAAUUUUGAACAACAUAGAGGCCAAGGUUCGGGUUAGGUAACCGAAUCUUGCCUUUAUUAUCAUAUAGCAUAUACAUUAUGUUCCCCUCUUUCUUCAACAUCCGAGCUUGCCUAAAUGUGUCAUAGCCAUGAUAAAUCCGUAACUCAUCUAUGAAUUCCAAUGAUGAGUUUUCUAGUAAAUAAAGGCUAGAGGCUAGACGAGUGAUAAGUGAAGUACAUCCUACUGGUCCCUGAAGACUAGGUAUACUAAGCCAAUGAGAAACCAAAAGUGUAACAGGUGAAGUGGGUACUUUAUUUAUAGUAUCAUAUAGAAGUUGUAAAUCUCCUACUCUUACUUUUCUAAUAUCAUCACGAUGGAAAAGAUUGUACCCAAGCCAUUUGUGGAACAUCCUAAGAGUGGGGUGUUCCAUGUCACUGGUUCGGGCUUGACUAUAAAAAUCAUCUCAAGAUAUCUCUCUCUAGAACUGGUGUCUCUCAAAAUUAGGUAGGUCGGAGUCAGUGUUCAAGAUGCAUCUUGAAGAGAAACCGAGAUGGUCACUCAAUUCUCUCCAAGACAACAUAAUGUCGUGUUUGAACAUCCAAAAAACAAUUCCCCCCUCAUAAUAUUGUAAAGUGCAAAGAAAUUCAAGGGUGAGAAGACGGGAACCCAACUCAGUUAUGUUCCAAAAAUUUGUCCAUCCCACCAUCUAGAAAAUCAAGUCGAAUUCAGUAUCCAUACCUGUUUCUUGUAGCAAGAUAGGAUCAAGAGUGGGGGUGUGAAUGAAAUCCUUAAUCUUUAGCUGCUGGUAAACUUCCUUUUCCCUGCGGGUCUUCAGUCCAAGGUCUCCUAUCUUGAGAAGGACCUUGACUUGUUGAUCAGAUGAAGAUGACGGAGCUUGUGCGGGCGUCGGGUCGAUGCUCAUCUCUGACGGGUGCGAGGAGUGUCGGGAUGAACUCCUUGUACCUAUGUUCUUGAGGGCCUUCCCUACGUUCUUUACCUUUUUGAACAUCCUGCAAACAAAAGUUGACACAAACACAACUAGUGGAAAAUGUGAGAGAAAAUGUUAGUGGUCAGCUGUCCGGAAUGUCAGCAGUCCAGGGGUUGGUCGUUCAAGACAAGUUUUUAUUUUCGUAGCACCUCCCCGUAAACAACUUUUACUUCCACUCAGGACAGCGGGAUCACUACUUACUAGGUGAAACUCACUCUCUCAGUUAAAGACUACAAACUUCUUUCCCACUCUUCUCUUCCCCUCUACUCUCUUCUCACUUCACUACAAAAGUUCCUUCUCUGGAAACUGAAACUUACAUGGUUUUCUGGAAUGCUUGUGUGAAGAAGUUGGAGGCAGGAAGUAGCAAUUUAUAGGAGGAAGAGGGGACAGGGCGGGCGCCCUCUAUAGGUGCGCGCCCGCCCACCUUUGGUGCCCAUCCUGGCUGCCUUUUCUCCACUCCCUCCUUUGCUUAAUCUUUAAGCCAAAAAAUAAUUAAUAAAUAUGGAUUGUUACACACCAUAAAUAUUAUUUAUAUGGGGCUUUUUAUUAUUAUAAUAAUGCUAUGAAUAAAAAUAACUAAUGCAAGAAUUAAUUAUGCAAGGAUAAAUACCGAUUUACCUCCCGGUGAGGGUUUGGGAUUUUUGGGUCCCCCAAGCUGAACCUCCAAAUCUUUUAAUCUUCUAAAUUACCUUCCUCCGGAGAUGGUGUCUCCAGUGGUUCUUCUUCAUGAACUUCCUUCACUGUAGAGUCUCUUUCUGGUCUGGGUUUGAAUGUGAAGUGUUCUUGUCCGUUUAUGUUGAAUUUGAUUUCUCCCUUCCCGACAUCAAUGUGGGCAUUGGCAGUGCUCAGAAAUGGCCUUCCAAGGAUGAUGGAUACUUUUGAGUCAGGACUCAUGUCUAGUACCACGAAGUCUACUGGCACAAGGAAAUCUCUGAUCUUGACUGGAAUGUUUUCGGCGAUACCCAACGGGUGUAGAACUGAUUGAUCUGCUAGUUGUAGGCACAUUGAUGUUGGUUCUAGGGUCGCAUGCUCAAGCUUCUCGUAGACUGAUGCUGGCAUCACACUGACACUUGCUCCGAGUUCACAAAGUGCAUUGUUGAAGUGUUGGUUUCCGAUCAAGCAAUCAAUAGUGGGGCAUCCUGGAUCCUUUUUCUUCCUUGGUGGUUUAUUGAGGAUGGCCGCACUGCAUUCUUUUGUCAGCUUGAUAACCUCAGUGGUGGGCAGUGGUCUCUUUUUGUUAAGAAUAUCUCUGAUGUACUUUGCAUAUGUGGGUACCUGUAUGGCAUCAAGCAGAGGUAUGUUGACAUAUAAUUUUUGAAUGACCUCUACAAACUUACCAAACUGCUCAUCCGACUGCAGUCCUCUGUUUCUUCUGGGAAAUGGCAAAUAGUUGGCGUCGUAAAAAUCUUUCCUCAUUUCUCCAGUUCUUGGUGGUUGUAACAGAUCUUCUGCUUCAACUGGGCUUUCUUCUUCUAUCACUGCUGGUUGCACUAGUGCUGAUGUUCUUUGUUUCUCUUUUGGGUAUGGGGGAUCCCUGGUGGCCUUGCCUCCUCUAGUAGUUAUGUUCUUUACCUGCUCAAUGUUAGUGGCAACAGACAAUGCUGCAGCUAGCUUUAUUAAUUUAAGCUCUACCCUUUUGUUAAGAGUGUUUUGCUCAUCAAAGGCAGUUAAUAGAAAAUCCAUUUUAUUGUGUAUAUCUUUUAGGGAUGAUUCAUUUGUGUCUAGCCUUUGUUUAACUUCAUCAUUAGUUUUUGUUUGUUGAGCAAUUAUCUCUUUUAAUGAAAGUUGCUUGAAAGUAUUACCUGAAUUCAUACCUUUGCUAUUGGGUUGGCUUGAGGUAGGCUGAUAUUUGUAUGCUGUCUCAAUGGCCCUUUGAUCUUCUUUGAACUUGGCCCUCUGGUCAAUCCAAUGGAGCAAAUUUUCCAUCUUGGUUGAUAAUGCAUUUACUUCUUCUGGCAUUUCUUCAGUUUGAUAACAUUGUUGAGCUUCAUCUUGGAACCAGCUUUGGUUUUCUGCUAUCUUAUCCAAAAGUAUCUCUGCUUUUCCAAUUGUAAGCUCCAAGAAUGAUCCUUUAGCAGAUGCAUCUAGACACUCACGAGCCUUCUGGGUUAAUCCAUGGUAGAAGGUCUGCAUAAGUAACCAUGUGGCCAUUCCAUGGUGAGGACAAUCUAAUAUGUAUCCUUGAAAACGCUCCCAUGCUUCUGGAAUGGUUUCGGUCUUGUGCUGUUGGAAACUGACAAUAUUUCCUCUUAAGGCAGUUGUUUUGCCUAUAGGUAAAAACUUUGAUAGAAAGGCAUCUGACAAGUUCGUCCAGUUGUUGAUCUUAUCUUGAUGAGUGUAAAACCACUUCCUCGCUUUCCCUUCUAGUGAGAAUGGAAAAAUGCGAAGCAGUAUGACGUCUUUGUCAACUCCGUUGAUGCGGAUUGUGCUUCCAAUCUCUAAGAAAUUCUGCAAGUGUGCACUAGCAUCUUCAUGUGCCUUUCCACUGAAUUGUGUAGCUUGUACCAAAUUGAUGAGGCUUGACUUGAGCUCGAACUUAGGUGCUCCUUCCUCUACUGCAAAUCUUGGACCAGUUGGAAUGUUCUCAAGACUUGGAGCAGAGAAUUCUAGCAAGGUCUUUUGUGCCAUAGCUUCAGCAAUUGGUAGCUAGCUUCUUCUUUCUUUCUUGAUUGCUUUGGUUCUGAUGAUGAAGAGUUGAAUGUACACAAAGUCAAUCCUGAUAUACCCUGUAUAAAAAUGUAAACAUAGAAAAACAACAGGGUGAACCUACCAAAGCAGAGGUGCCUUGUUAUGAUUUCUCACUUAGUAGCUGUUUUAUGCAAUUAUUUCUCUAUAGUCUAGUCUAAUAUUUUAUAUGAAUAACCAUGACUGAUUUCCUAACUUCCCUUACCGUUCCUAUGUGUUUCGCUUUUGCUCCCCGGCAACGGCGCCAGAAAUGCUUGUUGACACUAGCUAACACCACUUAGAUACUAGGUUGUCAUCCCCAGCAUGGUGCCAGAGUGUACAAAGGUAUUUAUAAAUAUGGAGGCUCUCUAGAAAAUAAUCUAUUCUAUCCGCAAGCGCACAGAUAAAACACCUCAUUGUAGCAUUUCACAAGGUAAGUAUUCCAGGUAUCGUUAUUUAUAAUUUUGCUCAGGAGAAAAAAGGAUUAAAUGAAUGAAGAUAAGGAUAAACCUAUCAAGGCAUAGACUAGAGAUAAAGUUAAAAGAACGUGAUUACUAAUGAGAAACUCGUUACACAGUCACUUACUUUGGCAGGGUGUAAACCAUAAAGAUAAUGAUAAUGAAUUAUAAGUUCAUGGGUAAAUAACACAGCAAUUAGAAAAUAGAGAAUGGAUUCUAUAAAAAAGAGAAUGCUAUAUGUAAGGUGACGUCGGAUUAGCUAGAGAAUGGAUUCUAAGUUAUCUUCUAUCUACUAAGUCAUAAUCUACUCUAGUUAUCUACAAGAUCAUGUAUAGCAUAAAAGACUCUUCAUUCAUCUAUAAGGAACAUUGCUAAAGUAAUUCAGAGCAUUGCAAGACUUACUCCACAAUACAAAUUUUGUCUGUCCUAUCAACAGAGGGUGGACUAUAUAAGAAUCAACGAAGCUGUCACUAUCGCGAACUACCACACAACCCGGCCAAUAGGAUACAUUUGCAGGUAAAUAAUAUCUAAGCACCACGCCUACAUAUGAUCUACCACUUAACUCCCACGUGUCAAGAGCUAAGCGUUUUGCAAACUUAUACAUAAACUCAUUAUCAAUCAUAACUAUAUCAAAUAUAGAACUAGAGCAAACUAAGAGCAUAAUAAAUAGAGACAUAAUGCAAUUAGAACAAAGUAUUAGAGAAAGAUAUGAAAUAAUACCAAUCUUUAUUACCGAAGAUCCGAAUCCAGAGCGUAGUGCCCUACCUCUCUAAUUCCUAUCUAAUCAAUCCUCUAAACUUGAAGGAUUAGGGAGUAGCUAAUUCUAAUUCUCUGUGGGAGAGAUUUCUAAACCCUAACUUUGAUGGCUACCUCUGAUAAUGAUUUCUCCUCUCUCCCCCUGGGGUGGAGAGGCCAUGAUUAUAUAGUCCUUUCAAGUGAAUUUUGGCCGUCGGAUCAAACCGACAUUGAUCGCACGGUUUUCCUUGAUCCUUUAGGUCCGUGGAGCACGAUCCAAGAGUUUGGUUCUGAUUGGCCCCGAGGCCCGGGCUGGCGCCCAAGGGGGGAGGGCGGGCGCCCUGCCCCCGAGCCCGUCCGGUCUCCCGUUCGUUCCCAUGUCUUUUGGACUCUUCUAGAUUAAGGAAAAUUGUGCGGCACGUAAUUAUCUCGUUGUAAACAUGACAUGCGGGCCUUCUCUCCAUAUUUUCUGAUAACCCCUGUUGAUAUUUAGUAACGCGAUCAAGAAAUGAUCCGCAAGCGCACGGAUAUCGGUGAGCAUUUCACCCGGGAGGUCAUCCAGAGUUAUCGUAUUUAUAUUUUUACCACUGGGAGAAAGGGUGCAUCUAACUAACCAAAUCUAUUGCUACUAUCCCUUUAGGCUACAAAGAAUGUUUCUCGAUGUGAGUGAUGUAUAGAGAAGACUGCAACCGUAGUCUCGUUCUAACCUUGGUAAGGAUGAUCUACUGUUCUAUUGGGGAAGCUUACGGAAUCUAGACACCACAAAGGAUGUUCGACCCGCACCUAUAAACCCUACCCGUCCUGCUAACAAGAUAUGGGAUGCAAAGGUAACUCGAAAAUGUCAUGUUCCUCGCUACUAUCACGGUCUAGCUAGUCAGGGGAUAUCUAUGAGUACCCUAGCCUAAACACCACGUUUACACUAGCAAUGAUUACUCUAAUACUCAACCGGAAGAGGAUUAAAGUAUACUCAUAAACCAAAGAACAAUAAAAUAAGAACUUACUUAGAAUUAGAAGUCGAAUUACCGAAGAAUCUUAGGAGCAAGCCUCGGGUUAGAAGACUUGAUCCCGCAGGUACAACUCGGAGUAGACACCGACAGGCCGGCCUUCCUCCGAUCUACACCUCCACUCUAUCUCUCUCAAUCUAGUAGAAACUAGAAGAUCUAUUUCUACUUUACAUUGGAUGCUAAGCCUAAAAAUAAAUAUUAUUUAGAGAAGAGGUUUUCCUUCGAGGGCACCCCUCAACUCUAUGAUAACUUCUUGUCUUCUCCAUGGGCCAGGGGGGUCUCCUUAUAUAGUCCUCCUCCUCUAUGCGUUUUUGGGUCGGUAGGCAAUGUGGUACUAUGUUAUCCUUGAUCCUUUAGGUCGGUGGAACAUCGUGUGCAAAGAGAGUCCCAAACGGAGUCCAGGACAUGGCGGGCACCCAAGGAAGGAGGGCGGGCGCCCUGGGCCUGGCCCCUUUCCGCCUCUACUUUCUCCCCGUGGCUUCUGGAGUCUUCUAGAUGGUAGAAAAUUGCACGGUGCGUUGAUAUCUCUAUGUAAUCCCGACAUGUGGGCCUUUCUUCCUUAUUUCCUGAUAACCCCCUGCAGAAAUAGACAAACACCAAAACUCGUAGAAUUCUGUCAGAUAAAACCCUAAGUCUGGGUGUUGGUUGCAUUUGGAUCCUUUUAUUUAUUUAUUUGAUGAUUAUAUUUGGUACUUAAGGACCGUCAACAACUCCCCGAAGCUUACCUCUUGCUCGUCCCUGAGCAAGGAUGAACUUAAGAGUUUCUGCAGGGGUUUCAUGCCUUAAAAGUACACACGCAUUCAAGCAAGAUCUUAUCUCUGAGUUAGAAUAAACUGUUAAGACUUAAAACUUACUCAUUUUACCUUUCACUAUGGGGCUUGUAACCGUCACUUGUGUCUUGAGCAGUUAAAAGAUAGAACGGUCAAGUCAAGCGCCAUGUCUCUUAUUCUUAAUCAGCUAUAGCUCUGGAGUUUUUGCAGAUUUUCAAAUAAAACUCAAAGAUUCCUUAUAUGAUUCUCUCAAAUCUCUCUUUUGUGGUAUUUCUAGAUCCUUAGCAAGGUAGUAAUGGUAUAUGCCUUCUCUCAAAGUAUGUGGUAUUUUUGGUAUAAUGCAUAGUGAUAUUACCUUCUCUCUUACCCUACUCUAAUAAGGUUUUGAUAUCUGGAGCUCAUAGGUGGGAGACAGCUAAUACAUACUUACAAGACAUUUAUUGCAUAGUCAAACCAUGGAUCCAGAAGAACAAGUCAAUAAGUCAAAUCAAGAUGUGCAUGUGUGGCGAGUGAAUGGUGUAUGGUGAUGAUGGUAAUAACAAUGGUUAAAACAAUGGUGAAAGUCUAAUUCUACUUUUGCUCUUUUGAGGGGAUACAUACCUUUCUUGCACUUUGAAGCUUUUUUUGGGGAGAAUGAGAUGCUCUAUAUUUUCUUUUUCUUUCCUCUCAGGUGGGUAUCUUGUACCCCUAAUUCUACUGUCGGACACUUGUCCAUUUUUACCUCUCGUCUCACUUUUUCUUUUCUUCGAGGUUUCGGGCACUUGCCCCUUUUUAUUUCCUCGUAUAUUAUUCAUUCUAUUUUUUUCUCUUUUUUUUAGAGCACUCAUCUCCUGAAAUAAUGUAGCAAGUGGUAGUAGCCAAAAUAACUGGAGCAUUUAUUUCGCAGGGAAUAACAGGGAUAGGAAGAUGUUUUUGGCUAUUCUCUCCCGGAUUAGGAGUAGAAUAAUUUUGGGUGAAUCUAGAGAUGGAAAUGAGUGGAUAUAUGUGGAUGGUAUUCCGGAGUAGAAGUAGCAUGUAUGAGUGAAUGUGCAAGUGAAUCUUGAUUUUAACCGCAUGACAAGCUCCUAAGGGUCUACACAGCUUGGCCACACUCAAUGCUCAUAAGCAGUAAAAAGUAGAUGUGUGGCUCAAAGUCUAGCAAUCAUGUAUAUAUGGCUGUGGUAGGAAUUUAAACUCUCAUCAUACAGGAACUCAUCAUGUGUUAUUUUAAAGAUUUUUAAAAUAAAAUUCUCCAGAAUUCUAGCAUCUCUAGGAACAGAUAAAUAGCAGCUCAACCUUCCCAUAUCAUAUGCGUUAACAACUUAGACUUUAGAUCAAGUACUCUUCCCACAAGUUCAGGUUUAGAGCAAAUCUUACUUCAUAACAGUCAUGCCUAAACUUGAGAGAGAUUUCAAUUUUAAGAACUAGUCAUGGCAGAGCAACUAUUUAUCAUUUCCAUGUGAGAGUUUAUCAUGAUGGUUCAUAGCAACCUUUAUUUAUUUAUUUAUUUAGCAAACUAAGCAAAGAUAUAUAUAUAUAUAUAAAAGCACAAAAUAUUUAUUUGGGUUUUCAUGAUUAUGCAUCUCUUAUUAUUUGAGUAAAGUAUAAACGCGAGUAGAAACACUUAGCUGGAUAAAUGGGGGUGCUCUCCCCCAAGCUAGAUUUUGACCUAAUUUCUUCUGAUGUAGCUAGCAGGUGGUGGAGGUGUAUUUGAAUGUCGGCAGCACCCUAACAGCGAUUAGAAUGUCCUCCGUCUGCUAGUCUUCUUUGAUCCUUGAAUUCUAUGGAGCUCAAAUAGACAACAAAGCUUUGUGGAACUGAUUAGGUGUUAGCAUAAAAUCUCUUUGCCUUUAUCAUGUUGAGCCUCCUCAAUAAAUGUUACUUAUUUAGCAGGAUCAUGCACUUAUUAUUUUUAUAUUUUCAUUGUAAGAUGAAAACUUAUUUAUUUUAUUUUUAUGCCACCACAAUGAAUGUACUAUUUUUUUUAAAAUUUUUAUUUUCUUUUCAAGAUAGCAUGAACUUGAUUGACUAAGCAAACUAUUGAAUGGAAAAGGAUAACUACCAAGUUUACCUCUUGGCAAGGCGUUCGGUGUUUUUAAGUCCUCAGAACAGGACUCUCCGUUUUCUCAGUCGUCCUGGGAUUCGGUGGAUGGCGUAGUCGGUGGUUCCGGCGGCGCCUCCUCUUUGUGUGUAACUAUCUUCUAUCUCCACACCUGACUCGGUGCUACGGUCUCCUCAGGACAGUUCUAUUCAAGCUAUAUGUCUUCAGACCUUAUCACUUCUCCUUCGUAGUCUACCCAUCCGUCCUUGAUGAUUUGCCUCCUAUCGUUGCGGUUGCGUUGUCUUCUUCUUGUCCUGACCUGCUUAGAGUUUUGAUAAUGUUGAGGAAUGGUCUUCCAAGGAUGAUGGGUGGAUCGUACUCGUCUUCUCCCAUGUCAGUGAUCUGAAAGUCAUCUGGAGCUGAAUAUAUAUUGGUUGUAGGGGCAUGGUUCCAUGCAGGAGCUGAUAAGUGACUGCGGCCAUUAUGUUAACGUCAGAUCCGGUGUCGUAGAGUGUCUUCUAAAAAGAGUAUCUGUUGAUUGUGCACUCGAUGCUUGGAACACCAGGGUCGUCCUUCUUGAUCAGGAAAGGCGACUUGAGUCGACGAUCUUAACCUCCUCCGACAAGGAUCCAAAGUUUUAAAUCUUCUGGACAAGACUUCUCACUGUCUGCACCCUUUAGGUGCAUCAUUUGAUUAGGUGUGGACCUUGACGUCUGCACCUCUUGAUAUGGUGUCACCCAUGUUCUUCGUUAGCCCAGCAGUUCGAAGUGCGGUGUUGGCAAUAUCCUGCUCAAUGUGUUUGUGCUCGUAGAUCUAGGUCCUUCACUUGGUGGAGUCUGGGAGUUGUAAAACUCCUCCAUGUUUUGCUUGAAGUGUACCUAUUCAUAGAGACAAGGCAGAGAUCAAAUGCAUGGGCCCUGUUGGUGGAAAACACCAACAGAACCAAAAGUGUGUUUGUUCUUCUCUAACCUUAAGCAUAGUGAGCAAGACAAAGUUGAUGGAUCAUGAGUGUAGCAUUUGUCAGAUCAGAUGGCUCAACCUAAUGGAAAGAUAAUCUAUCUAUAUUUAUGUUUUGUUUAUAUCUUCCAAAGAUUGAAUGUGCAACAUAUUAGCUUAUAUGAUUAGGAGUGUGGGAUCAUGAAGGUAAUACUAAGAUCAAAGAUUAAAGGACUAAACAUGUUGAAUUAAUUGGGUUGAUUAAUUUGGAGUUAUAAAUCAUACAUGUUUGUCUCUUUAUUUUAUGUGAACGUUAGAACCAAGGAGAAGCUUAUAAAAGCGACAGUCAAGUUCCUUAAGAUGUUAUCUUAAUUGAAGAGUGAUGGUACCAUCUCACCUUGUGGAAGCUUCCCAUUCGUAAUGGGUGUGUAUCUUGUUUAUGUACUUUGUCUCCCUCCAUGGAUCAUCUCUCUAUGAUGAAUGAGCUAUGUCUUCCAUGUACAAGUCGUUGAAUUUCAUGUGUCUCCUUUAUCUCCAAUGUGAGUUUAUCUCAGGACUUCCCAGGUUGAUAUUGAAAGUUUUCCUGUAGGGGUUAGUCUGACAAAAUAUACCAAUGCCUACUCAAGCAGUUGUUAGUUCAGUAACCAAACUAGACUCCAUGUCUAAUUAGAUUAAGGAAGGCUAUUUAACCUAAGCACCACACUUAAUUUAAAAGCCAAUAGAAGUAUGUACAGUACUUCCAAACUAACACUUAUAAGAUAAACAUAGGUAACAUGAUGGCUUUUGUAGAGAUCUACUAAAGUGGAGAUGAAGUAGUGUGAUUAGUAUUUAACAAAUUGAGCAUGUCUCAAAGGUAAGGAUAACCAACAUAGAAACAUGGCAAAAGAUGUUUUUAUGUAAAGUACUCCCCCAAGCUUGAAUUUUGCAAAAUUCAAGUUUGGAUGAAUUUAAUUUAAUGUUGUGUGAUGGUUGGUUGGACAUACCUUGUGCUUGUCAUUCAUCCGAUCUUCUUGCUCCAAUCCUGGAAAGGUUAGUGGCAAGAAUACCCGAAGGAAUAUUUCUAUAAUUAUCUUUAUAUGCUCAACACACAAGGCAAUGUUGCAAAUAAUUAGAAGUUCAUGUCACAAUCUGAUCAGUGCUUGUUUUAGGACACUAAGCUUGUCCUUGGGAAACCAUCAAUCAACUCAACGAGAUCUGCAAUAUUUAUUUUUGACAUAUGCAUCGACAACCGCCCUUUUAAAAUUUUUACAAAUAGAAAAGAAGAGGGGGUUGGAGAUCUCAAAUGUGGUGAUGUUGGAGACACCAAUUGAUUGGGGAGAUGUUUUAUAUGAGCAAGGACUUGGUGAGGUAUUUAUGAAAUAACUUCCAUGCUCACUGUUGUUUCUCUCAUUCUCAAACUCCAAGGAUGAUUCUUCACGAAUGCUUAAAAUUCCUCUAGGAUUGUUUCUCAAGUUUGUUUUAUCUAUCCAUUCAAUGGUGAUAGCACAUGGAUUUUUAGUGCCCUCUAGCCAUUGAUGUUCCUCUUCUUGAUCCUCCUUCUUAUGCAUGGGAUAUCUAGAGAGAUUCAUAGGAUUAUCGGGAGGUUCAACAGAAAGAGCAUAGUAGAAAUUAUUAGGCUCAAGGAUGGGUUGAAUAGCCGAAGCAUGGGAUUGGAAUGUUUGGAAAUCGGCUUUUGAAACUUCCUUUUCUUGUCUGGGAGAUGAUUCCUUCUCUAUCUCUAAGAUUUUUCUAUGAAGACCAGUACAAGAAGGAUGUCCACGAAUGAAGACAUACCUUGCUUUACUAUAGAUAAAGAAAGAAAGACUCUACCAAAGGUUAUAUGAUUAAGACCAAUGUGAAAAUAUCAAGAAAAAACAUGGUCUUGUAGGGCUAGGUUUAAACCAGAAUUUAUAGAAAGAUUAACAGAUUCCCUGGGUGUAGCUGAAAGUGCAUUAUCUUCUUGAUUAAAAGAUAGGACCUCAUCUCCGGACACAGAUCAUAAUUAGGGGCAGGACUUGUUGACUCCCAUGGUCUAUGGCUGGUCUCCGAAGGUGCAAAAAAUUCAAUAAUAGGCAUGGAAUUUAAGUUAUCCAUAAAGAUAAAAGUAAAAAGAUAAAAGAAUAAAAGUAUAAAAGUAUAGUACAAGAUAAUAGCAAGAUUCAAAGUUAUCUCAGCAAACCGUCUUUCUCCCCGGCAACGGCGCCAGAAAUGCUUGUUGAUAUUUGGUAACGCAAUCAGGAAAUGAUCCGCAAGCGCACGGAUAUCGGUGAGCAUUUCACCCGGGAGGUUAUCCAGAGUUAUCGUAUUUAUAUUUUUACCACUGGGAGAAAGGGUGCAUCUGACUAACCAAAUCUAUUGCUACUAUCCCUUUAGGCUACAAAGAAUGUUUCUCGAUGUGAGUGAUGUGUAGAGAAGACUGCAACCGUAGUCUCGUUCUAACCUUGGUAAGGAUGAUCUACUGUUCUAUUGGGGAAGCUUACGGAAUCUAGACACCACAAAGGAUGUUCGACCCGCACCUAUAAACCCUACCCGCCCUGCUAACAAGAUAUGGGAUGCAAAGGUAACUCGGAAAUGUCACGUUCCUCGCUACUACCACGGUCCAGCUAGUCAGGGGAUAUCUAUGAGUACCCUAGCCUAAACACCACGUUUGCACUAGCAAUGAUUACUCUAAUACUCAACCGGAAGAGGAUUAAAUUAAACUCAUAAACCAAAGAACAAUAAAACAAGAACUUACUUAGAAUUAGAAGUCGAAUUACUGAAGAAUCUUAGGAGCAAGCCUCGGGUUCGAAGACUUGAUCCCGCAGGUACAACUCGGAGUAGACACCGACAGGCCGGCCUUCCUCCGAUCUACACCUCCACUCUAUCCCUCUCAAUCUAGUAGAAACUAGGAGAUCUAUUUCUACUUUACAUUGGAUGCUAAGCCUAAAAAGAAAUAUUAUUUAGAGAAGAGGUUUUCCUUCGAGGGCACCCCUCAGCUCUAUGAUAACUUCUUGUCUUCUCCAGGGGCCAGGGGGUCUCCUUAUAUAGUCCUCCUCUAUGUGUUUUUGGGUCGGUAGGCGAUGUGGUACUAUGUUAUCCUUGAUCCUUUAGGUCGGUGGAACAUCGUGUGCAAAGAGAGUCCCGGACGGAGUCCAGGACAGGGCGGGCGCCCAGGGAAGGAGGGCGGGCGCCUUGGGCCUGGCCCCUUUCGGCCUCUGCUUUCUCGCCAUGGCUUCUGGAGACUUCUAGAUGGUAGAAAAUUGCACGGUGCGUAGAUAUCUCUAUGUAAUCCCGACAUGUGGGCCUUUCUUCCUUAUUUCCUGAUAACCCCCUACAGAAAUAGACAAACACCAAAACUCGUGGAAUUCUGUCAGAUAAAACCCUAAGUCUGGGUGUUGGUUGCAUAUGGAUCCUUUUCUUUAUUUAUUUGAUGAAUAUAUUUGGUACUUAAGGACCGUCAACACCUCUCUCUCUCUUUGAAUCCUCUCUAGAAAAUAUGCUAAUGAAUAAUGGGAUUGCCUUCUCCAGGGGCCAGGGGCCCUGCUUAUAUAGCCCUCUCAAAUGAAUUUGGGCCGUCGGAACAAACCGACCUUGAUUUAACGGUUUUCCUUGAUCCUUAGAGGCGGUGGAGCAUAAUCCGCGUGACUCGUGCUGAUUGGCAAGCAGAGGAGGGCGGGCGCCCAAGGGGGUUCGGCGGGCGCCUUGCCUAUGGGCCCGCUUGGCUUCCCGCUUAUUCGUGUGGCUUCUGGACCCUUCUAGACCGAGGAAAAUUGGCGCACAAGUUAAUAUCUCUAUGUAAGACCGAUGUGUGGGCCUUUCUUCCAUAUUUCCUGAUAACCCCCUACAGAAAUAGAUAAAUAGCAAAACUCGUGGAAUUCUGUCAGAUCAAACCCUAAUUCUAGGUGUUGCUUGCAUAUUGGUCCUUUUCCUUAUUCAUUUGAUGAUUAAAAUUGAUACUAAAGAACCGUCAACAAACACCCCCAUACUUAGGCUUUUACUCAUCUCGAGAAAAGGAUGGUUUAGAAAAAUAUCUGGUGUUAAAACAUUGUAAAGCAUUCUUUUCAUACCUGCAGGGUGUUGUAAAAAUCCACUGUGUACCGUUGUUAGGGAAAUAUAUGGUCAAAAGUAGAGAUCCUUUCUUCUUCACAAUCCUGUCACUUGGAGUCUUUUGUAUAUUUUUUAAAAGAAAUUUAGCAUACCUUUAUCCUCAUAGGUUCUUUCAGAUCGCUUAUUUCUUUUGUAUAUCUCACUGAGACUGUUUUAAUUUACAUAAAUUCUCAAGCAUACUUACCUUGCAUUUAUUGCCUGAUCAAAACGGGAUCCGAGGAGAGGAAUGCCAUACUCUUAGAUCACAGACUUUGAAAAUUAAAAACUUGUCAACUCUUACUGGCAUAUUGCUUAUUAGAGGGACCAUGGGCUAUCAUUUUCUUUUUUUAUCAUAUUUUAUUUUUUUCAGGUGGAUACCGAGGUACCUCUAAUUCUACUGUCGGACACUUAUCCAUUUUUUUUGCGAGGUUGUCGAGCACUUGCUCCUUUUUAUUUCCUCGAAAUAUUCACAUAUAUUUUUGCAUAGCCCAUGCCUCUAACGCAAUAAUACUUCGGAAGAGUGAAUCUUUCUGAAUAAAUAUCCUCAUCUUAGGAGCAUGAUAAAUCUCUCAACAAGGGUUUAAUUCAUUUUGAACAAACUCAAUACAAAGCAGAUAGCUUUUAUUACCAUAAUUGAUAUUUUCAGGUAUUUAGCUAGGAUUUUUGAAGAUUUUGAAAUAAAUUCUCCAAGCGAAAAAGAUAUCAAAAAUAAGGUACUUAUACUCUACCAUCUCACAUUCCACAGUGACUUAAGUAACACAGGGUUUUUAAAUGAUUUUCAAUAAUUGUAGGUUUUCAGGAAAUAUCACAGAGUGAGAUCGAUUUAUGAUUAGAAGUAUUUUUAUUAUGUUAGAGACAAUAUUCUACAUGAACCAAAAUACAUGUGUAUGUGUAUGUGUAAAACAUGCAGAGUAUGUACCUGAAUCGUGGAGUGGUGUGGUAGAAGUGCGUUUGGCAUGUCGGGGGAUCUCCCCUAUACUUGUUUUCUGCUUUCUUGCAUAAAAAUAAAGUAGAGACACACAAGACAUAAUAAUAAUAAUCUUUAUCAAUCCUAAGGCAUUUAUUACAACUGACUAAUAAAUAAUGAACUGAAUCUAAUAAUAGAUCUAAGCCGAAUCUAAUGAUGAAUAACUAAGGUACACUGCCUCAAGAUCUAAUCUAGAUAACUUAGCGGCGCUCUAACUCCCUGAUCUUCUUAUUAGCACUAGCAAGAUCACGAUUAAGACCUAGUAUAAUGGUGUUCUGGUUAUAGAGCUGCCUAUUGAUGGAGUUAACUGAGGACUGGAGAUCUAUGAUGACCUUGUCUAGCCUACGAACGUCCUCAUCUACAUCUGCUAUAGUCUUACGACGCUUAGGAGGUGUCUCGAGAGCGUUGAGGGUGUGCUUCGGGGCUUCCUUUGGAGGGAUGAAACGGACUUUGGGUGCUCUAACCCCCUCGAAGUAAGGCCUCUCCUCCUCCGUGGUGUAGCGGACGCUGCUGAUCUUGCCGCUCCGGUUGGUCUUGACUUCGAUGACCCGCUCAUUGGCUCUGGGCGGCAGGAUCCUUGUGCCGGCUGGCACCUUGACGAUGGCCUCCUUCUUGGCUGACAGCCCCUUGAGAAGUAGGGGCUACGGCGGCGCGGUGAGAACUGGUUGGGCAUAGUAGGAUUGGGUGGAGCUGCGCUGGCGUGAUGGCAUGGCUGCUAGCUAUCGCUCUGUGUUGGCCGGGACGAGAGUGUAUGCGUCGGGGUCUUCCUUGGGCUUCUUGUUGAGGUCGUAGGGGACGACUUCCCAAUCGUCGUGGAACUUGUCGGCCAUUGGAGCAGCGAGGAACUAAGCAAGCUCUAAUUGAGGAAGGAGAGAAGGUUUGAAUGAAUUGGUGUUGAAAGCUGACGUCAGGGGUCUGUUUAUAUAGGGGUCAAAAAGUGCCUCUAGGGUUUGCUCGAGUUACUCCCGCCGCCAUGCGUGCGUAACAAACCAUCCGCGUGAUUAUUUGGAUAACCAUAGAUGAGUUUAUCACGACGGAGGAGACCGGGGCCGAGGGGAGAUAGGGGCUGGGCGCCCGCCCUCAACCUCAGGGCGCCCGCCCUGUGUCUGGCCCCUCUGUGGGCCCACCUUCUCGAGCGUGUUUCUAGAUGCAUUUUUUUAUUCCGAAAAAUAUAUACGUGGUCCAAAAAUGUUAGAUUAAAAAGGUCGGGCUCUAAUUCUCCAUGGGAAGGUAAAAAUGGAUCACGUCUAUUUCUUCUAAUUCUUUAUUAGGCUCUAAAAAUAAUUUAAGACGUUGACCAUUUACCUUGAAUAACGUACCUUCAUCAUUUUGAAGUGUGAAAGCUCCGUGGGAUGAUGAAUUGAUUACCUUGAAUGGUCAUUCCCAUUUACUCUGGAGUUUUCCAUGCCCGAAAAGCUUCACCCUAGAAUUAAAAAGUAAUACCUUAUCUCCGGGUGCGAACUCCUUCUUCUUGAUCCUCUUGUCAUGCCACCUUUUGACUCUUUCUUUGUAGAUCUUCGAAUUGUGAUAUGCUUUCUCUCGCCAUUCUUCCAAUUCUGAUAGUUGUAUUCUUCUAUGCUCUCCAGUGACAUCUAGGUCCAUAUCCCAUCUCCUUAUGCCCCAUUGUGCUUUGAACUCUAGUUCAACAGGUAGGUGGCAAGUCUUCCCAUACACCAAUUGGUAUGGGGACAUUCCAAUUGGGGUCUUGUAUUCUAUUCGGUAUGCCUAGAGUGCAUGAGGUAACUUGUUCUUCCAUGUCGUUCCCAUUUCAUUGACUGUCUUCUGAAGAAUAUUCUUGAUUUUCUUGUUGGAAGUCUCUGCUUGGCCACUUGUCUAAGGAUGAUAGGGGGUAGCGAUGUUGUGACGGAUUCUAUGUUUUGAUAGAUAGUGCUCAAAGUGUUUGUCGAUGAAGUGUGUUCCUCGAUCACUUAUCACUACACUGGGGACUCCAAAUCUUGGAAAUAUGAUUUCUUCAAACAUCCUCUUUGAAUUGAUGUUGUCGGCGUGUUUGCAAGGUAGUGUCUCUACCCAUUUGGAGACGUAGUCAACUGCCACCAAGAUGAACUCACACUUCUUUGAUGGAGGAAAUGGACCCAUGUAGUCUAUUCCCCAGACAUCAAAGAGCUCAAUCUAAAGGUUGUUGGUGAGUGGCAUGGCAUCUCUUGUGUUUAUGUUUCCGUGCCUUUGACAUGGCCCACAUCUUCUGAUAUAUUGCUUCGUGUCUUCAUACAUUGUAGGCUAGUAGAAUCCACACUGCCGGAUCUUUGAAUGUGUACGGAAUGCUCCAUAGUGACCUCCAUAUCGUGAUGAAUGACAUCUGUCGAUGAUCUUCCAUCCUUCCUCAGUGGUCACACAUCUCAUGAGUAAGCCAUCAGAGCAUACUUGGAAGAGGUAUGGCUCAUCCCUUAGAUGUGAAUGACUUUCUUGAAUAAGCUUCUUCUUGUUCGAUCCUGGUGGUACAUACCCUGAAACCAUAAAAUUAACAUUGUAUGCAUACCAGGGGUCAGACCUGUUAAUCCCAUAGAGCAUGUCGUCCCGGAGUGAAUCAUUAAUGGGGGGUUUCCUGUGGAUUCUUAAAAUGCAUUCUAGACAAGUGAUCAGCAAUAGAAUUUUCUACUCCCUUCUUAUCUUUUAUUUCUAGGUCAAAUUCUUGAAGUAAUAAGAUCCAUCUAAUCAUGCGAGGUUUAGCAUCUUUCUAAGUGAGCAGAUAUUUUAGUGCAGCAUGAUCAGUGUAAACAAUUAUUUUAGCACCAACUAAGUAAGAUCUAAAUUUAUCAAUGGCAAAGACAACAACUAGAAGCUCUUUUUCAGUGGUUGUAUAAUUAAGUUGAGCUCCUGUCAAAGUUUUACUAGCAUAAGCAAUUGCAUGAUGCUUCUUGUUUUUAGUUUGUCCCAAAACUACCCCCACAGCAUAAUCACUAGCAUCACACAUAAUUUCAAAAGGCAACGACCAAUCAGGGGGUUGAAUGAUUGGUGCAGAGAUGAGUGCAUUCUUUAAUAAAUUGAAAAAUGUUAGGCAUGAAUCAUCAAAUUCGAAAGGAGCAUCCUUGGCUAGCAAAAGAGUAAGUGGUCUAGCAAUAAAUGAAAAAUCUUUUAUGAAUCUGCGAUAAAAACCAGCAUGGCCAAGAAAGCUUCGAAUUCCUUUUAUAUUCACAGGUGGAGGUAGUUGUUCAAUUACUUCAAUUUUAGCUUUGUCUACCUCAAUACCUCUUUCGGACACUAGGUGUCCCAGCACUAUUCCCUUCCCGAACCAUAAAAUGACAUUUUUCUCAAUUAAGGACUAAGUGCUUUUCUUCACAUCUUUGCAAAACCUUGUCUAAGUUUUCAAGACAACUAUCAAAAGUUUUUCCAUAUACAGAGAAAUCAUCCAUGAAAACUUCCAUAAUCUCUUCAAUCAUAUCAGAAAAUAUAGACAUCAUGCAUCUUUGGAAAGAAGCUAGUGCAUUACAUAACCCAAAAGAUAUUCUACGGUAAGCAUAAGUUCCGUAUGGGCAUGUAAAAGUGGUUUUGCUUUGAUCAUCGGGAUGGAUCGGGAUCUGGUGAUACCCUGAAUAUCCAUCUGAGAAAAAGAAGAACGAAUGGUUCGCUAAUCGCUCUAGCAUCUCAUCUAUGAAAGGUAAUGGAAAAUGAUCCUUUUUCGUGGCUGUGUUCAGUUUCCUAUAGUCUAUGCACAUCCGCCACCCUGUGACGGUGCGUUGCGGAAUUAGCUCGUUCUUUUCAUUCGUGACGAUAGUCAUGCCUCCCUUAUUAGGCACAACUUGAACUGGGCUCACCCACUCACUAUGCGGCACAGGAUAUAUAAUCCCUGCAUGCAGCAACUUUAUAGCUUCCUUUUUAACUACCUCUCUCAUCAUGUUGUUAAGUCUACGUUGGGGCUCUCGAGAAGGUGAAACAGAAGGAUCUGUCCGAAUACGAUGGGUACAAAUCAUAGGACUGAUUCCUGUAAGAUCUUGGAGUGAGUAGGCGAAAACUGAGUGAUGUUUCUCAAGAAUGGUCAUCAAUCGCAGAGUUUGCUCUUGAGUGAGUUUAUCACUAAUGAUCACAGGAAACUCUAGAUUAUUAUUUAGGAAAGCAUAGGUAAGACCGGGUGGUAAAGUUUUAAGCUCUAUGGGAGGUCUAGGUGUUUCUGCAAACUCGUCUAAGGGUUCACAUUCAAAAGGUUCGGCCUCUUCUUCUAUGAAGAAAGGAGCUUCUUCUUCUAAGUCUGGUUCAUCUAAAAGCUCUAGAGAUAUAGCCUUUACCUCCUCCAUAGGAUCGGACAAAAGAUAUGACUUGGUCUUAUUAUUUAAGGAGUGAGAAAUCGUUAUUGGAAUUUUAAAAUCUUUCUCAAAAGAAAUGUGUAGCUUUCCAGUUUGACCUUCAUAAAUGAGUCUGCUAAAAGGUUGUCCUAUCAACAGGUCGAAGUCCCAUGUAUCAAAGAUAUAAAAGUUCAAAUGAACCAUGGAGCCUUCUACCAUAAAGGGUAGGACAUUAAUAAUUCCAAGACUGGGGACUAAUUGUCCCGAAGAUUCCUUUAUGACCUUUGUUGUGGGGGUUAAGACUAGUUUUCCAAAUAAUUUAAGUGCAAAAGCUUCAGAAAUGAUAUUGAUCCCCACAACAGGAUUAUAGAGAGCAUCAAAUUGAUCCGAAUCAUAAGCACAGCGUAUAGUUAUAGGAGGUGUGUCCAAACGGAUCACAUCAGAGGAAAGCUCUGACUCCUCCAACCAUUCGCUACUCAUGACUAAGAUAAGCUCUCUCAAUUGAUGUUCACUUGGCAAACAAAUGCUAAAAUGGCCGUUUUGGGGUCUAUCUAUAGAAUGGUAGUUUGAAAUGUUUCCAAAAUCGGCAAAAAGAUCAGAUUCUAUAUCUAGCAUGAAAUCGGGUGGUGGAAUUUCUUCCUUUUGUGGCUCAGAACUUGGCAUAGCUAAAGUAGAUGGAGAAUUUGGCAAAGUGUCUACUUCGGCUUCAUGGGUUUCAUCAUGAAGGGUAUUAUCCAUCUCGGCUUCUAGGAUUCUAUUUAGGAUCGCUCUAGCGUCAUCUGUAGGGAUGCGAAAGAAAGAACCUCUAGACAUUGUAUGUAGCAUUUGUUUAUGAUCUUUCUGAAGACCUCGAAAAAAGUGAAAUAAAAGAACAGGGUCUUCAAGAUUAAGUUUUGGACCAUAUUCUAUAAGAUCAGAAAAACGUUUCUAGGAUUUUCCCAAAGUUUCAUUAUCUUUUUCUUUAAAAGAUAGGACUUCGAGUCUAAGGUCGCCGAUAUGGUCGAGGGAAUAAAAAUCUGGACAAAAGUUGGCUCGUAAAACUCCCCAUUCACUUCAUUAUUGUCUUACCUUCUGACUAUACCAUCGUCUAGCUUCUCCCCUUAGAGAAAAAGGAAAAAGCUUCCAACGUAAAGUUUUAUCAGAAAUGCCUUCAAUACGAAGACAAUCACAUGUUUGCUCAAAAUCUCUAAUAUGAAGGGUUUUCGUAUUCCUUUCCCGAAAAAAGAUAGGUUUUGAAUCAUGGUAAUCAACCUGGAACUUAACCUAUACUAGGAUAUUUGGAUAGGCUGUGAUGACUCCCAUGGUAAAAGGUCAGUUAUUGAAGGUGUUACAGAUUCAUGGAUCGAUUUAGAAUUUUGGUUUUCCAUAAGGUAAAAAUAAAGGAAAAUAAAAAAAAUAAUAUAAGUAAAAGGAUAAAAGUAUAGAUACAAGCUAGUAGUAAGACUCAAGGUUAUCUCAACAAACCAUCUUUCUCCCGGCAACGGCACUAGAAAUGCUUGUUGAUAUUUGGUAACGCAAUCAGGAAAUGAUCCGCAAGUGCAUGGAUAUCUGUGAGCACUUCACCCGACAUGUUAUCCAGAGUAUCAUAUUUAUAUUUUUACCACUAGGAGAAAGUGUGCAUCUGACUAACCAAAUCUAUUACUACUAACCUUUAGGCUACAACGACUAUGAUUCGAUGUGAUUGAUGUAUAGAGAAGACUUCAACUGCACCCUUGUUCUAACCUUGGUAAGGAUGAUCUACUGUUCUGUUGGGGAGGCCAAUAGAAUCUAGACACCACAGAGGAUGUUCGACCUGCACCUAUAAACCCUAUCGAUCCUGCUAACGGGAUUAUAGGCUACAAAGGUUGAUCGGAAAUGUCACGUUCCUCACUACUAACACGGUCCGACUAGACAUGGGAUAUCUAUGAGUAUCCUAGCCAAACACCACGUUUACGCUAGAGAUGAUUACUCUGAACUCUACGCGAAGAGAUCAAAGUAAACUCAUAAACCAAAGAACAAUAAAACAAAGAACUUACUAGAAUUUAGAAGUCGAAAUACUGAAGAAUCCUAGGACCAAGCCUCGAGUUAAGAGACUUGAUCCCACAGGUACAACCUCGGAGUAGACACCGACAGGCCGGGCUUCCUCCAAUCUACACCUCCACUCUAUCUCUCUCAAUCUAGUAGAACUAAUUCUACUCUCACAUUGGAUGCUAAGCCCUAUGAGGUAGGAACCCUAAAGGAACCUCUCUCUCUCUCUGAAUCCUCUCUGGAAAAUAUGCUAAUGAAUAAUGGGACUGCCUUCUCCAGGGGCCAGGGGCCCUGCUUAUAUAGCCCUCUCAAAUGAAUCUGUGUCGUCGGAUCAAACCGACCUUGAUUGAACGGUUUUCCUUGAUCAUUAGAGGCGGUGGAGCAUAAUCCGCGUGACGCAUGCUGAUUAGCCAGUAGAGGAGGGCGGGCGCCCAAGGGGGUUGGGCGGGCGCCCUCCCUGUGGGCCCGCUCGGCCUCCCGCUUAUUCGUGUGGCUUCUGGACCCUUCUAGGCCGAGGAAAAUUGGCGCACAAGUUAAUAUCUCUAUGUAGGCCCGACAUGUGGGCCUUUCUUCCAUAUUUCCUGAUAACCCCCUGCAGAAAUAGAUAAAUAGCAAAACUCAUGGAAUUCUGUCAGAUCAAACCCUAAUUCUAGUUGUUGCUUGCAUAUUGGUCCUUUUCCUUAUUUAUUUGAUGAUUAAAAUUGAUACUUAAGAACCGUCGACAAUAGUUCUGUCCGCUUGCAGUUAUAUUACUUCUUCAUUCUUGAACUAUCGAUUGGCGUACCUAAGUACCGUUACUUAAGAUUGUAAUCCUUGUGCACUUUCAAGCAUAAUGCCACAGCUUUGCAUAUCGCAAGUAAGGAUGGUUAGGAAGGCCAAUCCGACAUUCCUAAUUAUUGUUACCAGACUGCACUGCUAAGGCCGGCGCCCUCGAGUUGCCUUGGGUUAUCUCUCUGAUGUAGCGAUAGUACGGUAUGCCAACACCCGACAUUUCUGGUGCCAUUACUAAGGAUGGAUCUAUGGUCUAUUUUUAGUAGUGACGCUAAGAAAUGCCAAAAUUUAUCUUCUCGAGAGCCCUAACGUAGACUUAACAACGCAAUGAGGGAAGUAGUUAAAAAGGAAGUUAUAAAGCUGCUGCAUGCAGGGAUUAUAUAUCAUGUGCCGCAUAGUGAGUGGGUAAGCCCAGUUCAAGUUGUGCCUAAGAAGGGUGGCAUGACUAAUGUUACAAAUGAAAAGAACGAGCUAAUUCCACAACACACCGUCACAGGAUGGCGGAUGUGCGUAGACUAUAGAAAACUGAACAAAGCAACGAAAAAGGAUCACUUUCCUUUACCUUUUAUAGAUGAGAUGUUAGAGCGGUAAGCGAAUCCCUCGUUCUUCUGUUUCUUAGAUGGAUAUUAAUGGUACCACCAAAUCCUGAUCCAUCCGGACGAUCAAAGCAAAACCACUUUUACAUUCCCUUAUGGAACUUAUGCUUAUCGUAGAAUGACUUUUGGGUUAUGUAAUGCACCAGCUUCUUUUCAAAGAUGCAUGAUGUCUAUAUUUUCUGAUAUGAUUGAAGAGAUUAUGGAAAAUUUCAUGGAUGAUUUCUCUGUAUAUGGAAAAACUUUUGAUAGUUGUCUUGAAAACUUACACAAGGUUUUGCAAAGAUGUGAAGAAAAGCACUUAGUCCUUAAUUGGAAAAAAUGUCAUUUUAUGGUUAGGGAAGGAAUAGUGGUGGGACACCUAGUGUCUAAAAGAGGUAUUGCGGUAGACAAAGCUAAAAUUGAAGUAAUCCAACAACUACCUCCACCUGUGAAUGUAAAAGGAAUUCAAAGGUGUGACAGAACCGGCCAAUUUAUACAAGUUUAAGUAUGACUGUCCCCGUUUAACACGUUGACACGCGCAUACUCUGACUUAUAUAAACCCGGUAGUCUGCCGAGUGUCACGAAGGACCUCGGUAAAUCAACCUUACACCAAGAUCGCAUGAUUAAGCAAAUACACAUCACAUACACGGAGAUUUUACAAAAGAGUUCACAAAUAAUAAUACAAGUUUGGAUUUUUCCAAAUCGAUUAGAAAACAACAUAGCUUUCAAAUGAUUAGAAUAACAUAAGUUAUAAAUACAUUGCCAGCAUAAGUGACAUCCUCUGACAAAAGCAUGUAGAUGAGAACACUAUAUAGAAUCACCGAGCCCACCGGCGGUUAGCCACCAUCUUUAGCAGACUGAAGACUUCACCUGCAACAUGGUGGGAUAAACCCUGAGUACUCGAAUGUACUCAGCUAGACUUACCCGACAGGAGAGAAAAUAAAAGACUCUCAAGGAUAUGCAAAGCUUUUUCGUGGAGUUGGUUGGAUAGCAUAACUUUGCCAAAAAGAGCAUUACUAUCAUGAGUCCUUACUUUCAACCUUUUAGUCAAUAUUUUAGCAUCAAGUUCAGAUCACCUUUAGCACAACUCCGGCCAAUUCGCGGGUCCGUCCAGCGCCGCACCCCCAGGGACCGCCAAUCUGCCAGGGCAGGACUCUAACCUGACACCUUGGGCUUACGCCAUUGACUCCCCGCACAUCCUUGCUACCAACCGGUGUGCGCACUCAUACAGAACGGGGUAUCCGGCCUGAGUUGCACUUGUAGGCUUCACGGUCGGAAUGACUUAUCUGGCCAAAUAAGUGUUAGGCAUGCGUUCAACAUGACACGAGGACGUACAGCGAUUCGGUCCUUAACCGACACAGACGGGGAUAGAUUCACACCCAACACCUCCAUGCCUUGUUGCUGCACUAUCGUCAUCCCGCCCGGUCUCAAAUUCAUUAUUAGCACAAGGUUAUUUCCACGAUUGCAAAUAUAGCCAACCAUGAUCAGGUAUCCACCUAUCUCUCGCAGGUGACAGGAAAUCACUUGGCUUCUACCGAGCUAAGCAUAGCUAAGCAUAGAACGUCUUCCUUAUACAAGUAAGGGUUCAGGUAGUUUCAUAUAGUGGACAAGGUAGGAAUAUAUGCACCAACGGUUUCAUUCAACUCCUAUCACCUAAUGCAUCAUAUAAAGUUAUACUCUUGUGCUUUUAUAAAAAGAGAGGGUAGGAGACUUAGAAUGCUCCGGGGCUUGCCUGGAAUCCGACACAAGUCAAUUAAGUUAGCUUGUGCCAUCUUGACGACAUCUAAGCUGACAACACUUGUGUAGUCCUUCCAUCAUCCCGAUAGGUCCACCAUCAUGUCCUUCACGUGGUUCAUCUAGCGUAUCUAGAUGACAUGCAAGAUGCAAGUGCAUGAACACAUGUUUCAUAGGAUCACAUAACACUAAUUAACACCACCAAGACAUGAGUCACUUAAAACCACACACAAUGUAAGUUAAUCAAGCUUGCAUACAUUUUUAGCAAAUUCUGGACAUACAUGCAACAGUUGAGUAAAUAAAUCAUAACCAGAGUUAUACAGAUCCAAAAUCCAUGCAACAAGACAUUAUGAAAAGCUUAUAAACUUGUAUACAAUUCAUAUUUAAUCAUCUUAGCAUGAUUAGUAAGUUACCUAAGUCAAACAUGCAUAUUUAUAGAAUCUGGUCCAGGAAUUCCAGAUAACAAGCAUUUUGACAAAUAAACUUUAUACCCUUAUAACUCACAAACCAUUUAUCCAAAUGAUAAGAAACUCUAACACAAGCUAGACAAAAGAGUUAUCUACAACUUUUGUAUAUACAAGUUUCACAGCAAACAUAAUUUAUACUAUGAAAUUCAUUGCACAAUCAGGACUGCUCAUGUUGCCCCAAACAGUAGGGUACAAUUAUAGGCAGAAAUCUGAUAGACACUUUAAACAAGCAUAACUGGAGUUGUAGACCUCCAACAACAUGAUUAUUAACUUCACAGAAAGCUUAUAAAGUUACCUACAACUUUAUUAUUAUCAUCUAAAGAUGAUUUCAUAGUUAACAAGGUCAAUUAACCCCAUGAAGACAUCUCUGACCAAAGCAUAGACAGGACCUGUCAUGCCACAUUAAACAGUUAUAACAUCAUUUUCACAUGUCCACAAAUUAUGAUUAUGGACUCUCUAUAAAUCUUACUAAAUUGUGAACAACUUUGUUAUAAACAUCAAGAGCUCAUUCUAUCACUAAAAAUAUCACACAUAGCAAUAUACCAAGCAAACAACUAUAAAAGCAAUCUAUCAUUUUUAGGACAGCCCACAACAGCUUUUGUUUAAAUCAUUACUGGAGUUACAUAUCUCUAAAAGACAUGCAAGAAGAUAUGCUGGAAAGCUUAAGAAAUUAUCUACAUUUGAUAUUUAGACAUCAAAGCAUGAUUGUCAACUUAAGCUAGUCGAAAUAUUAGGAUUACUGAAUCAGGUCCUAACAGGACAGAGAGCAACCAUUUCUGAAACCCAACUUUAAACAUCCAUAACAUACAAACCACAUAACCAAUUACCACCAAAUUUUAACAGCAGCUAUAUGGAUGAAUUAUCUACAACUUUUCUAUAAACAAGAUUCCCAGAAAAUAAAAUAAUCAUGAUGUAAUUGUCUAGGCAACAGAAACUAUACUAAAAAUCAUUUUUGGAAAAUAGAUACAUUUCAUUAAAGUUCCCAACAUGAAUCUAGGCAAAGACCAAUGUUGCCAACAGUUGACAUACAUCAAAUAAAGACUAAGAAACAUAGUGAACAUUCCUAAAUAAAUUCUUCACAUGCCAUUUGAAUAAUCAUAGCAACCUCUUUUAAAGGACAAAUUGCUAUGCAAGAAAACAUGUGAGAGCAAGAUAAAACUAAAGCUCACCAUGUUCGGUAAACACAUUGCUAUGUUAGUAUUUCUCAGGCCACAAUAUCACCAUAACAUGGCAACGACACCAUACUUCAUCCUUUUUUGCAUAUAAUAAAUACACUCCAGUGAGGGUAUGCACAUAGCUAACUUUAUGCAAUUGCAAAACCUGAAAGUUUAGGACAGCAGUAGCACAGUCACUUAGGGAAAACAUAUAGGGAGCUAAAGGCUAUGACAAAUUAUGUUCUUUAGAAUUUUAGAAAGUAUAGGAAAUUCUCUAUAGAUUUCUAAUUAUAGCAUAGGCCUGAUUCCUAAGUAGACAAGAUUGAAGACAAACACAAACAAGCACCGCUGCACAAACUAGGACAGAAAACUGAUAUAAACUUCAGAAAUACAUAACUGGAGUUCAAACCAACCAAAACUAUUGUUCUUUAACAAUUUGGAAAGCUCAAGAAAAACACUACAAUUUCCUAGUUAUCAGCAAAAUCUAAUUUCGAACUAACAUGGUCGAAAACACACCAAACUUCAGAUCUGUACAGCAUGCAGUUCAAACCUGACAGCAAACUUUGAAAAUUCGUAACUCUCAAACCUGAUGGGAUAAAAUCAUGAUAUUUCACGAGAUAGUAGAUCUGAAGGUCCUCUACAACUUUGUAGUUGACGAAAACACCUAUUUCAUCCUCUAAGUUGCCUUGAUUGCUUCCCUAAGAAAAUCUGCAGAAACUGUCACUCUGAAAUCCGAGGAACAACAUUACAACAACUUUUCUCCCUCACUACCACUUAUUCCCAUGGCCAAACUAUACCUAAACACUAAACUCACCUUGGUCACCCACAAACCCUAGGAAAGCAGAAAGAGAUGGGGAAGACCAAUCUUCAUGGAAGAUGCACCAUUGGACACUAGAGCAGGGUUGCUGCUUGCUGCAGUAAAGGGAGGGGAAGAUGGGCGCCCUAGCUUGCUACAAGAGGAGGGGGCUUUCUCCAAGGUGAGGAUGGGAAGGGAGGGCGCCAUGGCUGGGAGAAGGGAGGAGAGGAGGAAGGGCACCAUCAGCAUCAACAGGGAGAGGAGAAGGAGUAGGGCAGCUCCAAGGGGAAGAAGGGACUGCUGCCUUUGUGCUGGUGGGGAAGAAGUGUGGUGGGGAAGGAGAGGGGCUGCUGCUGGUGGUGUAUAGGAGGAGAGAAUGGAUGGAUAAGGUUAAUGGUGGAGAAAAUAAUUACAAAGGAUAAGAUUUCUAUUUCACUCACUAUGAAAUUUCUUUUCCCAACAAACAUAAAACAGGGCAGGAAAACAACUGUAGCCUACUGCAGCCGUGGAAUGUAGAUUGGGUUGUAAAGUUUUGGUUGACAUCACAUAUUUGAAAUCAAUUAGCAAAAGUAUUGCAAGCAAGGGUAUAGCUUAACACCUCAUGUGACUGUUGAUGUCCAUCUUCAUGAAACUUUUCUAGGGAUCACUAUAGGUAGUGAUUGAUAUGGGACACAUGAGAGAGGUUCCGUUAAUGUCACCCAAGCAUGCACUUUGAAAAGGGCCUAUAUGUAAGAAGGGUGCAUUCUCCAAGUUUAACUUGAGGCUCACUUUCAUGGCUUGACUUUAACAUGAUCAUCACCACUUAUCAUGACAUGUUUGAGCUCAAAACCUAAGGUCUAACUUGUGGCAAACACCUGGGGUGUUACAACCCUCCCCCCUUAAAAGAAUCUCGUCCCGAGAUUCAGGAGAAAAGACUUCCAAGGGUAGAGAAGCAUGUUAUUCACUUCCAACAUUGGCGAUAGCAGUCAAUUACUUAUCUCCUAGAUUCAGAGAGGCUAAUUUGGUCAGCACACUUUCUGAUACUUGUUCUUCAUAGUGAAUUUUUGUCUAAAGAAUUUCCUUUAUUGACUUCUGUGAAGUAUUGUUACUUUAGGAGGAAUUCAAGACAACAUAGUUCUUCAUUCCCAAUGUACGAUGGAUGGUUCGGAGCAGAGUAAACUACUCAUUACAAUGUUUCCGUAUUUGUUCACAAGGCUCAAAAAGCGGUCCGCUAACAGAAUGGCUUGAGUACAACCUUUCGUAGGAGAUGAGAUCACGAAGUAGAUAAACAUCCUUUGAGGUUAUGAGAAACCAACUAACCAACAAACAAUGUCUAUUUUGGUCAUAGGGUCUAAUCACUCAGAUGCCCAUCAAUGGAAAGCUACAUAAGGUUCCAUGUGUGCAGUUCUCUUUCACUGAUAUCAACACUUUAUUUUCCAAGUCUAUCGAGUUAGUGUUGAUCAUUCAAUGAAUUUAAUGGCUCCAAGUGUUAACAGUGGUCUAGGUCAUAUCAGAUACAAUCUCUUAGGUACAAAGAUACAUCGAAAACACCGAAGGCAUGUUACCAUUAGAUAAGCAUUGCUAAGGAUGGAUGAUAGCAAGGUCUAGAUGAUAGCAAAAGUUGCAAGUAUUCACCGAACUAAGGAAACAAGCCACGAUCAAGCUAGUCAAACUACAAUUUUCCAUCACUAAGUAGUUGCUUAGUAAGCUCGGUCAGUUUGCACAGUAGUGAAAUAGCUUGGUGAAACUUCUUUUGACAUUGAGGCUUCCUUCCUAGGGCCAAACAACAGCUCUAAGAUAAUAAAUCUAAGAUAUGUUGUUUAACACCUUUCCAAUUAUUUUUGACUUUUAGAACUCCUAGAUUGCUCAACUAUCGGUUGAUGCGAUAGGGUAACAACUAGGUGUCCAAGGGUGCAAGAAGUAUUUUCUAGGUCAUCCUAAGGUUCAUCUUGGUUCAGUUCACACCUCACAAACUAGCUUCAUUAUGCAUGAAUUGUUAGUGUGUAUAUAGAUCCAAGAGUCUUUUGAUGAUUAACCAAAAUUCAGCACAAGCAAACACCAUAUGGCUAACCAAACAGAACAAAACCUUUGAUAGCACCACACACAUAAUGAUGCUAACCUAGACUAGGGACGUGCUUUUCUCUAUCUUGUGACUCAGAUAUAGCAUUUGGUACUAUCUACGUGAUUGUCCAAGAUUGAAUUGACUUGAUAACAUAGGGCCUAGAGAAGGAAAUAGUAUUUGCAUCGUUGAUCAAUCUUAUUGUUUUCUUUGCAUGGCACUAUUUUAUGAGACAUAGCCUUUAGGGAUAUCAUGGAGCCAUUUUCAAGAUAGUGAUUAACCUUCUAACUGAUAACUAAUCAGUUGUCUCUAAACACCAAAUAGUUCCAAAGCUUUCUUCUUUGGUGGCAACAAUUGUAGUUGAUGCAUUUGUAGGCAGUCAAGAUCAAAGUUAGCCAAAAAGGAGAUCACAAUAAAGAUGGUUGAUGAUGACUGUGUGACCACCAUGAUCAAGAUUUGGAUCAAUUUUUGUCUAAUUGGUAACUUGUCCAACUUUAAGUGUUGUGUGCCCUUUUGGAUUCAAUAGGGAUGACACAAGUUACUCACUAAACGACUGAUAUUGUUACCUGGGUAACAAAUAGUGUCUCUUGUCUACCACCCCUUGCAGUCUGUUAAGGUUUAUGUCGGUAACCUAUUAUUCAAAUGUUAUCUUCUUAGCAACUUCAGAAGGUGGUCCUAUUACAUAAGUCUGAUAUAGAUCCUUUGAUUCAAGAUAAGGAAAGAUAACCAAGGACAAGCUCAUGAGAAGAUAACACAGUGGUGUAGUUUUAUAAUAGAUCAUGACUAGCAACCAUGAUACCAGUGCGUGCCGAGCAGCACGACCUUGUGUCUACAGCCACAGGAUGCUCUCGGUUUCGUCACGGCACCGUCAAUCGUUAAUCGUGACAAUAUUAUUGACCUUACCACCAACGUGAAAUCUCACAUGACAUAGGUAGGUCUUGCAUGUACAAGGAUCAUGUGCAAGACAAAAUUAAGCAAGCAAAGAUGACAGGACGAUUUGGAGGUAACAACUAGAAGGUCAAAGGAUGAGAACACGGCACAAGACAGAAAUGGAUACGCCUUAUGCCCAUCAAGGCCAUUGCCCAACAAUUAAUUUAUGAGAUGCGGUCAUGUUGGGUAGGAACAUGAGAUCAAAAUUGAUAAGCAUCCGAAGAUUUGGGGAGGUUGGAGAUGAAUUAAGAAAACUCCAAAGGUAAAACCAUUACGUUGAUGAGAGAUUAGAUUGAUAAGGAGCUACAUGAUUUUUAAGCAAAAGAUUCAGAGAUCAGGCAGUAAGAGAUUGCAUUACACAAGCUAAGCUUUGGGAGAGGCAACCGGGAGGUCCAACAUGGAUUUGGUAUGGUCUCCGUUACUAGCAAAGAACAACUAUAGUCAAAAACUUUCUGUAGUGAGAGCUUAUCCUAGCUAGUUGGCUAGACAAGGAUAUUUGCAUAUGGGUGUAGGACAACCAUGGUAUAUGCAAGUAUUUAACAGUCUGGACAUUGGUUUACGUAUCAAGCAUAGGCAUGGAUGUUCUAACAUUCAAAAACUAAUAGUCAAGUCCAUAAGCUCGGCUCCUAAGAAAUAGAACCUAAUUUGAUACAACCAGCACACAAUGAACAUAACUUGAGUGCCAUUCUAAGAUAAAGCUAUUUAACACUCGUGCUUGUCGAGGACAAAACAAGAAACAACCAAGGCACGAUCUAGAUAACCAACAUCCACACAACAUAACAGUUUUAAGCAAGUACUUGAGAAAACUCAAACAAUCACGCUUAAACAACCACUACUAGGCACACAGCUUACACUUAACAAGCAUUUAUCUACAGCAAUACACACAUUUGUUCUACUUACAAGGAUUAUGAUACCAUAUGUGCUACAAAGCAAGUGGACAUGGCUCAGUCUUUUAGGGAGAAGAUGAUUUUGAGAUAGAUAGUAAAAAGGGCUCCAAAAGAUUUUGGCAUGGUUGUACUAUCAUGCAAAUGGGCAUACCACAAGGAAGAGUUUAGCAUUCAGGAAAACUCAGCGGGAAAAGGUUAUCAAACCUAUAGACCUAAUUCAAAACUUAACAAGGUUUAAAAAGAAUAGCAAUCAACUCUGCCUAAACUAGGAUAGAGAACUUGACAUGAAUUUAAAAAAAAUAAUAACUAAAGUUCUAUUGAUCGAACAAACGUGAUCCUUAAUCUUAUGGAAAACUUAUCAAGUUAUCUAAAAUUUUCUUGUUAUCAUCUUAAGGUGCUUCUAUAGCUAACAAGCACAAACAAUACAAGAAGACAUAUCUAUUUAGAUUUUUGACAGAUUCUGUCAUUCUACUUCACAGGCUCAUAACAUAAGAUUUAGACCAUCAAAAGUAGUGAUCUAAGACAUUUUGGGAACCUUAACAUAAGUACUAUACUUCUUCUAUUAACCCCAAGACAUGAUUUGUAUGCACACUAGUCAAACAAACUAAACAUUCGGAUCCGUUCAGAACAUGAUCAGGAUCUGAGAACAAACUCCAAAAGUUCAUAACUCCUAAACCAUCAGGUCUACGGUCAUGAAAUUUUAGGAUAAACUAGAUAUAGAGGUUGGCUACAACUUUGGUAUUCACUAUAAUUACAGAAAACACCAUUAUUUUCAUGAAAACAUUACGAGUAUAGAAUCUGCUCUAGCAGCCAAAGUUCAACACACAUAUCAAGCAAUGUUUUCCCUUGUUCUAUUAACAAGAUAGCACACACAUGUAUAACUCCAGUAGCUACAACAUUAUUACCUAGAUAAACAAUAAUUUAGUUUAGUGACAAGGAGGGAUUAACAUAAGAAUCACAAUUCAUUAAGUGAGGUUAAAGCAUUUGCAAAUAUUUUCAUGAGCAACAUAUUCACCACUUGGCUAAACAAGCGGAUACCCACAAGUUCAAGCAUAUAGCCUUAACUAUUUCUAUUAUAGGUAGGCCAUAUUUUACUUAGUUAUUAAUCAUUAGAGGAUUCAUCAGAAAACAUUCACAUACAUGUUCACCUACAAGUUUUAGCUUUCAAAGGAUUGUAGGUUCUUAUAGAAGCAAACAUUUCAAGGCUAGACACAUCACACACUACUUUGAAGCAAAAAUAUUCAAGUAGCAUGGAAUAUGGCAACUUUUGUAUAGCUUCACACAAUGAAAAGAGUAGCAUCACAUUACUCACAAGUUACUAAUUAUUGGAACAAAGGUGGGAGAAGCAUAGUCAUGCAUAAUGCAACAAUCAUAAUGAUGCAUGCUUCGUCUUAUUCGUCCUCACAAAAUUGCCAGCCUGAGGUGGCAAUCACGUUCUAUGUAGGUGGCAUAACACGUACUCUCUCGACAUAUAGCUAGUCGUCAACUACGUUCAAUCUAUGCAUUUGUGGUUAGUGUACCUGCAGAAGAAUUUCAUUUCAGCCCAACCCAUCAAUAGUAUAAGUACAGAAAUGAAAGUCUAGUCUAUAGGUUGAAAGCUAAAUACUCCAAUAUAUAUUCCCAAUAUAUAUUGCAGCAUACUACCCAUGUGAAGCACGCCCAUGUAUACACAGAGACAUGUAUACACUGUCGUACCAACUAACCCACAAUUAAGUACCUUCAUAUAUACAUGUGUAUAACAUGUAAAUAUUCUAGUAACCACAUCUAGCUCUCCCCUAGACCGACGGUUGGACGGUCAUGCUCUCACAACUCACAUUCUUACCUUGAGCGUCGAGGCAUAUAGAUCCAUGCAUUACCACUCAAGCAAGUGGCAUCCAUACAAUUUCACGCCGUAUGGACGACGAAAGGAAAAUAUUGCUUACCGUGGCGUAGAGGUAUAUGAUCCAUUCAUUACCACUCAAGUAAGUGGCAUCCAUACUAUUGCACGCCGUAUGGACGACGAAAUAAAAGUUGCAAUAAAGUAACCCCCCAUAGUUAGUAGCAGUUUACAUAAAGCCACCUAGUAGUCCUUAAUUGGGCAUAACUAGAGGUUGUCGCUAGCAUACUUUUUAUAAAUUAGUUUUGACAAGUUUUGCCUAUAGCUAAAGUUUUAGUCCAAAUAGGAUUUUUAAAACCAAAACUUUGUUUCUAAAACAGUGUACUUGCUUUGAUACCAACUGUGACAGAACCGCCCAAUUUAUACAAGUUUAAGUAUGACUGUCCCCGUUUAACACGUUGACACACGCAUACUCUGACUUAUAUAAACCCGGUAGCCUGCCGAGUGUCACGAAGGACCUCGGUAAAUCAACCUUACACCAAGAUCGCAUGAUUAAGCAAAUACACAUCACAUACAUGGAGAUUUUCAGCGGAAAUAAUAUUGCAAAAGAGUUCACAAAUAAUAAUACAAGUUUGGAUUUUUCCAAAUCGAUUAGAAAACAACAUAGCUUUCAAAUGAUUAGAAUAACAUAAGUUAUAAAUACAUUGCUAGCAUAAGUGACAUCCCCCGACAAAAGCAUGUAGAUGAGAACACUAUAUAGAAUCACCGAGCCCACCGGCGGUUAGCCACCAUCUUUAGCAGACUGAAGACUUCACCUGCAACAUGGUGGGAUAAACCCUGAGUACUCGAAUAUACUCAGCUAGACUUACCCGACAGGAGAGAAAAUAAAAGACUCUCAAGGAUAUGCAAAGCUUUUUGGUGGAGUUAGAUGGAUAGCAUAACUUUGCCAAAAAGAGCAUUACUAUCAUGAGUCCUUACUUUCAACAUUUUAGUCAAUAUUUUAGCAUCAAGUUCGGUUAAGCUACCAUAGCUAGAUGUUGCACCUAUUCUAUAGCAAUCACUUGAUUAUUAAGCAUCACAUUAAUAACCAUAUCCAGUUUAUCAUGUAGCCAUCAUCAUCAUCAUAACCAUUAUGUUUAUUUAGUGGAUCUACGUUGCCGCUGCUCGAGUCAAGUUCUCACUAUCCGGGAGAGACGGCGAUUCAAAUCGAUUCCUAUCCAGCUGGAGGGGUAUUCCUAGCACUCACCCAAGCAUACCUCGCGAGGGCAGCUCGGAUCACCUUUAGCACAACUCCGGACCAAUUCGCGGGUCUGUCCAGCGCGGCACCCCCAGGGACCGCCAAUCUGCCAGGGCAGGACUCUAACCUGACACCUUGGGCUUACGCCAAUGACUCCCUGCACAUCCUUGCUACCAACCGGGGUGCGCACUCAUACAGAACGGGGUAUCCGGCCUGAGUUGCACUCGUAGGCUUCACGGUCGGAACGACUUAUCCGGCCAACUAAGUGUUAGGCAUGCGUUCAACAUGACACGAGGACGUACAACGAUUCGGUCCUUAACCGACACAGACGGGGAUAGAUUCACACCCAAGACCUCCAUGCCUUGUUGCUGCACUAUCGUCAUCCCGCCCGGUCUCAAAUUCAUUAUUAGCACAAGGUUAUUUCCACGAUUGCAAAUAUAGCCAACCGUGAUCAGGUAUCCACCUAUCUCUCGCAGGUGACAGGAAAUCACUUGGCUUCUACCGAGCUAAGCAUAGCUAAGCAUAGAACGUCUUCCAUACAAGUAAGGGUUCAGGUAGUUUCAUAUAGUGGACAAGGUAGGAAUAUAUGCACCAACGGUUUCAUUGAACUCCUAUCACCUAAUGCAUCAUAUAAAGUUAUACUAUUGUGCUUUUAUAAAAAGAGAGGGUAGGAGACUUAGAAUGCUCCGGGGCUUGCCUGGAAUCCGACACAAGUCAAUUAAGUUAGCUUGCGCCAUCUUGACGACAUCUAAGCUGACAACACUUGUGUAGUCCUUCCAUCAUCCCGAUAGGUCCACCAUCAUAUCCUUCACGUGGUUCAUCUAGCGUACCUAGAUGACAUGCAAGAUGCAAGUGCAUGCACACAUGUUUCAUAGGAUCACAUAACACUAAUUAACACCACCAAGACAUGAGUCACUUAAAACCACACACAAUGUAAGUUAAUCAAGCAUUCAUGCAUGUUUAGCAAAUUCUGGACAUACACGCAACAGUUGAGUAAAUAAAUCAUAACCAGAGUUAUACAGAUCCAAAAUCCAUGCAACAAGACAUUAUGAAAAGCUUAUAAAAUUGUAUACAAUUCAUAUUUAAUCAUCUUAGCAUGAUUAGUAAGUUACCUAAGUCAAACAUGCAUAUUUAUAGAAUCUGGUCCAGGAAUUCCAGAUAACAAGCAUUUUGACAAAUAAAUUUUAUACCCUUAUAACUCACAAACCAUUUAUCCAAAUGAUAAGAAACUCUAACACAAGCUAGACAAAAGAGUUAUCUACAACUUUUGUAUAUACAAGUUUCACAGCAAACAUAAUUUAUACUAUGAAAUUCAUUGCACAAUCAGGACUGCUCAAGUUGCCCCAAACAGUAGGGUACAAUUAUAGGCAGAAAACUGAUAGACACUUUAAACAAGCAUAACUGGAGUUGUAGACCUCCAACAACAUGAUUAUUAACUUCACAGAAAGCUUAUAAAGUUACCUACAACUUUAUUAUUAUCAUUUAAAGAUGAUUUCAUAGUUAACAAGGUCCAUUAACCCCAUGAAGACAUCUCUGUCCAAAGCAUAGACAGGACCUGUCAUGCCACAUUAAACAGUUAUUACAUCAUUUUCACAUGUCGACAAAUUAUGAUUAUGGACUCCCUAGAAAUCUUACUAAAUUGUGAACAACUUUGUUAUAAACAUCAAGAGCUCAUUCUAUCACUAAAAAUAUCACACAUAGCAAUAUACCAAGCAAACAACUAUAAAAGCAAUCUAUCAUUUUUAGGACAGCCCACAACAGCUUCUUGUUUAAAUCAUAACUGGAGUUACAUAACUCCAAAAGACAUGCAAGAAGAUAUUCUGGAAAGCUUAAUAAAUUAUCUACAUUUGAUAUUUAGACAUCAAAGCAUGAUUGUCACCUUAAGCUAGUCGAAAUAUUAGGAUUACUGAAUCAGGUCCUAACAGGACAGAGAGCAACCAUUUCUGAAACCCAACUUUAAACAUCCAUAACAUACAAACCACAUAACCAAUUACCUCCAAAUUUUAACAGCAGCUAUAUGGAUGAAUUAUCUACAACUUUUCUAUAAACAAGAUUCCCAGAAAAUAUCAUAAUCCUGAUGUAAUUGUCUAGGCAACAGAAACUAUACUAAAAAUCAUUUUCGGAAAAUAGAUACAUUUCAUUAAAGUUCCCAACAUGAAUCUAGGCAAAGACCAAUGUUGCCAACAGUUGACAUACAUCAAAUAAAGACUACGAAACAUAGUGAACAUUCCUAAAUAAAUUCUUCACAUGCCAUUUGAAUAAUCAUAGCAACCUCUAUUAAAGGACAAAUUGCUAUGCAAGAAAACAUGUGAGAGCAAGAUAAAACUAAAGAUCACCAUGUUCGGUAAACACAUUGCUAUGUUAGUAUUUCUCAGGCCACAAUAUCACCAUAACAUGGCAACGACACCAUACUUCAUCCUUUUUUGCAUAUAAUAAAUACACUCUAGUGAGGGUAUGCACAUAGCUAACAUUAUGCAAUUGCAAAACCUGAAAGUUUAGGACAGCAGUAGCACAGUCACUUAGGGAAAACAUAUAGGGAGCUAAAGGCUAUGACAAAUUAUGUUCUUUAGCAUUUUAGAAAGUAUAGGAAAUUCUCUAUAGAUUUCUAAUUAUAGCAUAGGCCUGAUUCCUAAGUAGACAAGAUUGAAGACAAACACAAACAAGCACAGCUGCACAAACUAGGACAGAAAACUGAUAUAAACUUCAGAAAUACAUAACUGGAGUUCAAACCAACCAAAACUAUUGUUCUUUAACAAUUUGGAAAGCUCAAGAAAAACACUACAAUUUCCUAGUUAUCAGCAAAAUCUAAUUUCGAACUAACAUGGUCGAAAACACACCAAACUUCAGAUCCGUACAGCAUGCAGUUCAAACCUGACAGGAAACUUUGAAAAUUCAUUACUCUCAAACCUGAUGGGAUAAAAUCAUGAUAUUUUACGGGAUAGUAGAUCUGAAGGUCCUCUACAACUUUGUAGUCGACGAAAACACCUAUUUCAUCUUCUAAGUUGCCUUGAUUGCUUCCCUAAAAAAUCUGCAGAAACUGUCACUCUGAAAUCCGAGGAACAACAUUACAACAACUUUUCUCCCUCACUAAUCCACUUAUUCCCAUGGCCAAACUCUACCUAAACACUAAACUCAUUCAGUGAAGGGCGAAAUCCAACUCACCUUGGUCACCCACAAAUCCUAGGGAAGCAGGAAGAGAUGGGGAAGACCAAUCUUCAUGGAAGAUGCACCAUUGGACACUAGAGCAGGGUUGCUGCUUGCUGCAGUAAAGGGAGGGGAAGAUGGGCGCCCUAGCUUGCUGCAAGAGGAGGGGGCUUUCUCCAAGGUGAGGAUGGGAAGGGAGGGCGCCAUGGCUGGGAGAAGGGAGGAGAGGAGGAAGGGCACCAUCAGCAUCAACAGGGAGAGGAGAAGGAGUAGGGCAGCUCCAAGGGGAAGGAGGGACUGCUGCCUUUGUGCUGGUGGGUGUUGGGUAUUCUUAACAUCAUUACUAAAAGUAGACUAAGUUCUAAAUCUAGCAACGGUGCCAAAAAUGCCAAACCUAUCCCUCACACCACUUAAGCCAAGUUGUCAUCCCCAGCAUGAUAUAAGAGACGCGGUAUUGAAAUAUGCAAUUGCUCUUCUAAAUAAAUAAUGAAUUGGAUCUGUAAGCGCACAGAUUAAUACCGAUGUAGCAUUUUAACCGGGAAGUAUUCCAGGUAUUGUUAUUUAUAUUUUUACCACUGGGAAGGGAUUAGCAAUCAUCACUAAUGAUUACAGAAUAGAAUAUGAGAUUGAGCAUCUAUCAUUGCAUGUAUAAUUGAGAACAUUAUAUCCUACUCUUCAUACAGGGAUAAGUGUCACAUAAAAGAUAUAUGAAAUAAUAAUAGUGACAAGGAUAACUAAUUUGAUCUAGCCACAUAAUAAAUAUGAUAAGCACCUCAAUUAGAUACUCUAGAAAGUCAUUAGCAUGGUAUUAGAACGAACUACAAGCAUAUUCCCUAAGUUAUUCUCAACUAUAUAGUCUAGCAUAUCAUAGUUAGUGCAAGCAUACUUAGCAAUCAUUGCGAGACAAGACUACGCCCAUGCAUAGUGAUAUUAGCAAGGAAUAUGAGAAGCAUAGCAAUCACUCUCCUGUAAUAAUGUUGCUCUGCCAGCCCAAUACACGAGAGGGGGACUAUAUAAGAAUCAAUGAAGCUGUCACUAUCACGAACCACCCCACGAUCUGGCAUAUUGGGUACAAUCGCAGAUAAAUACGGUAUAAGCACCACGCCUACACAAUAUCUAUCAUUUACCCAUGGAUCCGAUGGAUAAAUGCUAUACGAUCCUAAGCAUGUAUAUAGAUCGAAUCUAACUAAGCCAAGUACAUAACUAUGAUAAACUAAGAACAAUAUAAUCUUGAAUAUAAGCAAGUAGAGCAAAGUCAUAAGAAAUAUAUUGAAGUAGAACAAAGUCAUAUUCAUAAUAUUGAAGAACAAAGAUAAUUAGAAAGCAAUUAGAAGCACAAUUAGAGAAUUACCAAGAAUCCUCUUGACAGAUCCGGAAACCAAUCGAAGAUUGAAUCCUUCUAGUUCUAAUCCUAUGUAGCUAUGCUAAUCUAGAUAUCUAAUUGAUGUGGUGGCUCUAAUAUUGAUCAGAGGCUUCUUCUCCCUUGAUGGAACAAUGAAUUAGGGUUGAGAGGCUCUCUCCUCCAGGGGCCAGGGGGUCUGGUUUUAUAGUCCCUUCAAGUGAAUAUGGGCACUUGGAUCAAACCGACAUAGAUUGUAUGGUUUAGAUUCAUCCUUUAGGUCGGUGGAGAUCUCCCGCAAAACAGAGUCCUGAUUGGACUCAGGAGGUGGGCGGGCGCCCUGACCAACUGGGCGGCCGCCCAGGGUCUGGCCCCGUUUCGCCUCCGCUUCGGUCUCGUGGCUUCUGGAGUCUUCUAGAUGUAAGAUAAUUGCGCAGCACGUUAAUACCUUUACGUAAUCCUGACAUGUGGGCCUUUCUUCCAUAUUUCCUGAUAACCCCCUGCAGAAAUAGACAAACACCAAAACUCGUGGAAUUCUGUCAGAUAAAAUCCUAAGUCUAGAUCUUGAUUUCAUUUGGAUCCUUUUCUUUAUUUAUUUGAUAAUUAAAUUUGAUACAUAAGGACCAUCAACAAACUCCCCCAAGCUUACCUCUUGCUCGUCCCUGAGCAAGGAUAGACUCAGCUAUGGAUCAUAAGUUGUUGCAAUAUUUUUAAAAAAUAUACGGUAUACAUGCUUUUAAAUAAGAUCUCAUCUCUGAGUUAGAGUAAACUUUCAAGACUUAAAACUUACUUACUUUACCUCCACCAUGGGACUUGUAACUGUCACUUCCGUCUUGAGUGGUUAAAAGAUAGAACAGUCUAGCCAAGUGCCAUGUCUCUUAUUCUUGAUCAGCUAUAGCUCUGGGGUUUUUGCAGAUUUUCAAAUAAAACUCAGAGAUUCCUUGUAUGAUUCUCUCAGAUCUCUCUUUUGUGGUAUUUUUGGAUCCUUACCAAGGCAUUGAUGGUAUAUGCCUUCUCUCAAGAUAUGUAGUAUUUGUGGUAUAAGGCAUAGUGACAUUGCCUUCUCUCUCACCCUACUCUAAUAAGGCUUUAAUAUCUAGAGCUCAUAGGUGGGAGAUAAAAUAUACACACUUACAAGACAUUUAUUGUAUAGUCAAACCAUGGAUCCAAAGAAACAAAUCAAUAAGUCAAAUCAAGAUGUGCAUGUGUGGCGAAUGAAUGGUGUAUGGUGAUGAUGGUGAUAACAAUGGUGAAAACAAUGGUGGUGGAAGUCUAAUUCUACUUUGCUGUUUUGAGAGGAUACAUACCUUCCUUGCUUUUGAAACUUUAUGAGGAGAAUGAGAUGCUCUUCUUUUUCUUUUCUCUUAGGUGGGUAUCCUGUACCCCUAAUUCUACUGUCGGACACUUGUCCAUUUUUACCUCUCGUCUCACUCUUUCUUUUCUUUCGAGGUUCCGAGCACUUGCUCCUUUUUAUUUCCUCGUAUAUUUUUUUUAUUUUCUUCUCUUUUUUUAGAGCACUCAUCUCUUGAGAUAAUAUAGCAAGUGGUAGUAACAAGAUAACUUGAGCAUUUAUUUCACAAGGGGAAACAAAAAUAUUUUUGGUUAUUCUCUCCCGGAAUAGGAGCAGAAUAUUUUUGGGUGAUUCUGGAGAUGGAAAUGGAUGGAUAUAUGUGGAUGGUACUUCCGGAGUAGAAGUAGCAUAUAUGAGUGAACGUGCAAGUGAAAUCUUGAUUUAACCACAUGAUAAGCUCCCAAGGGUCUACACAGCUUGACCACACUCAAUGCUCAUAAGCAGUAAAUAAUAAAUAUGUGGCUCAAAGUCUAGCAAGCAUGUAUAUAUGGCUGUGGUAGGAAUUUAAGCUCUCAUCAUACAGGAACUCAUCAUGCAACAUUUUAAAGAUUUUCAAAGAUAAAAUUCUCCAGAAUUCUAGCAUCUCUAGGAACAGAUAAACAGCAGCUCAACCUUCCCAUAUCGUAUCCGUUAACAACUUAGACUUCAGAUCAAGUUUUCAUCCCACAAGUUUAGGUCUAGGGCAAGCUUUAAAUUAUAACAGUUAUAUCUAAACUUCAGAGAGAACUUAGAAUGUGCAAAUUAGGCAGAGCAACUAUUCAUCAUAUCCAUGCUUAAGUUUUUGUUUAGAUACAGAUUAGCAUAGCCACUUUAUUUAUUUAUUAAACACACUAAGCAAAAGACAUAUAUAAGCAUAAAAUCUUUAUUUGGUUUUCCCAUAGUUUAUGUGUAUUUUAAUAUUCUAAAAUAAUAUAAGUAUAAAAAUAGAUAGAAAUACUUAUCGAGGUAAAUGGGGGUGCUCUCCCCCAAGCUGAAUUUUGACGUAAUUUCUCUUGAUGUAGCUAGCAGGUGGCAGAGGUGUAUUCGAAAGUCAGCAGCAUUCUGACAGCGAUUAGAAUGUCCUCCGUCUGCGAGUCUUCUUGAUUCUUAAAUUCUGUGGAGCUCAAAUAGACAACAAAGCUUGUGGAAUUGAUUAAGUGUUAGCAUAAAUAUCUAGCCUUUAUUAUGUUGAGACUCCUUAAUAAUUGUUACUCCCUGUUUUUAUAUUUUUUUUAUUUUAUAAAGCAGAAAUGAAAUAUUUAUUUUAUUUUUAUGCCACCACAGUGAAUGUACUUAUGGGUUUUAUGCCACUCGUCUACUCACAUGGAGCUUACAGUUUUUUUCACAUUUUUAUUUUCUUUUUAGGAUAGUGCGAACAUGAUUAACUAAGUAAACUAGUUGAAAUAAUUAAAAGGGAAAGGGUAACUACCAAGUUUACCUCUUGGCAGGGCGUUCGGUGUUUUUAAGUCCUCCGAACGGGACUCUCCAACUUCUUAAUCGUCCUGAGGUUCGUUGGGUGGCGAAGUCGGUACUUCCGGUAGCGCCUCCUCUUCAUGUAUAGUUAUCUUCAUUUUCCAUACCUGACUCGGUGCUUCAAUCUCCUCUGGAUAAUUCUGUUUAAACUCUAUGUCUUCUGACCUUACAACUUAUCCUUCAUAGUCUGCCCAUCCGUCCUUGAUGAUUUGCCUCCUUUGGUUGCGGUUGCGUCUCUUUCUGACCUGCUUAGAUUCUUCAAUGAUAUAGUUAGGGUCAGUAAAAUAACGGCGUACCUUCUCUGAGGGGAAGUGCAUAUGGACUUCUCCGGUUCCAAUAUAGAUAAUUGCUUUAACGGUGCUGAGGAACGGUCUUCCAAGGAUGAUGGGUGGAUCGUACUCGUCUUCUCCCAUGUCAAUAACUUGAAAGUCUGUGUCGACAAAGUGAUCGUCUAUUUUGACUGGGACAUCAGAUACUAUCCCUUGAACUUCUCGAAAUGUCUGAUCUACCAUCUGGAGCUGAAUGUAUGUUGGUCUUAGUGGCAUGGUCCCGAACAAGAGCCGAUAAGUGACUGCGGCCAUUAUGUUGACGCCCGAUCCGGUGUCGCAAAUCGUCUUGUAGAAGUUAUAUCCAUUUAUGGAGCAGUAGAUGCUUGGCAUUCCUGGGUCGUCCUUCUUGGUCAAAAACGGUGACUUAAGUUGGUGAUCUUGGCCUCCAUGGACUACAGUGACCAUCUUAGCUGACUCGGUCCACACUUGCUUGUUCCUGUUUCUCCUGUUGGUCCUCUUCCUUGAUUCAUGUCUGGAUUGAUCUGGAAUUUGUGUAGUCUUGUUCUUGAAGAAAAAUGUCUCCUUCUUCCCUUUGACGUAGAAACUGAUCUUGGCAGCACUGGCGUAGAUGAUAGCUCCCGUGGUGUUCAAAAAUGGCCUUCCUAGGAUGAUAGGUGCUCUCUCAUCAUUUCCGGUCUCUACCACUACGACGUCUGCUGGGGCAUACAAGGUACCAACUCGGACACAAAGGUUCCUCACUAUUCCUUUUGGAAAAGUUAUCGUCUGAUCUGCAAACUGCAAACACAUGGUUGUUUCUAAUAAAGGAUAUGUAAAGAAUUUCUCAUAGAGUACCCUGGGUAUAAUGUUGACGCUAGAGCCAAAGUCACAGAGUGCUUCUGGAACGUCCACCAUGCCGAUGGAGAUCGGGAUGACGGGGCGUCCUGGAUCGCCUCUCUUGACCGGCAGACGGUCAGUAGAAAAUUCAGUGACGGGGUUACUCCAAUUACCUGCAUCAAACACGUCUACAAGAUUUGCAGAUUCUAAUCCUUUCGGUUGUGAUGGUAUAUCGGGAUUAGUAGUAGGAACAGCAGCUGCUAUUUGAUUUAACUGAGAUUCAAUCAUUUUAUUAAAGCUAAUUUGAUUCUUGAUGGCAGUAGAGAAAUUAUCCAUUCUAUUAUUUAUAUUUUCUAGCAUUUUAUCAUUUGAUGCCAAUUUCUUAGAUAGGUUAUCCAUUAGCUUUCCUUGAUUAGACACUAACUCUCUCAAAGGUGGAAAAUUAUUAUUAUUGUUGUAAGAAUUGUUACCUUGAUAAUUACCUGAGUAGUUAGGCCUCUGUUGAUUCCAACCUUGAUUUUGUUGAGGACGGUUGUAGUUGUUGUUGUUGUUGUUGAUGUAGUUCACAUCCUCAAGCAUUUCAGGGCAGUGGUUGCCUGAGUGUCCAGUGUCUCCACACUCCUCACAAGUCAUGUGAGAGUCGUAGAUGUGCAUAACUUCUUUCUUGUCUCCAGCUCUAUCGUCGAGCUUCUUCAUGAGCAGGUCUAGCUUUGCAGACAGCAUGUCUACCUCCUUCAGCUGAUGCAUACCUCCACCUCUCUUGCGUGUCUGGGUCCUCUCUUCAUUCCAGCUUUGGUUGGACGCCAUCUUCUCCACAAGAGCUGUGGCUUGUGGUAUAGUAAGUGAUAAGAAUGCUCCUCCAGCUGUAGCAUCCAUGGUCUCUCGGGCACUGUUGCUGAGCCCAUGAUAGAAUGUCUGCAUCAGUAGCCAACUCUCCAUUCCAUGAUGGGGACAUUCUAGGAUGUAGUCUUGAAAGCGCUCCCAUGCUUCUGGAAUAGAUUCAUCAUUUUGUUGCUGAAAACUUGUAAUCUUCCUACGGAGAGCAUUGGUCUUGCCCAUGGGAAAGAACUUAGCCAGGAAGUUUGUUGAGCAGAGUGCCCACGUAGUAUUCUUCUCCUUUGUAGCGUAGAACCACUGCUUCGCUCUUCCUAACAGUGAGAAUGGGAAGAGGCGAAGUAGUAUAGCGUCUUUGGAAACUCCUCCUAUGGUGAAUGUGUUGCAAAUCUCCAGGAAGUGUUGUAAAUGAGCACUAGCGUCUUCGUGUGCCUUCCCACAGAACUGGUUGGAUUGCACCAUGUUGAUAAGUCCAGGCUUGAGCUCAAAGUUGCCAUCGAUCUCUGCAGCAGGUCCAGUGCGGAUGUUGUCCGUAGUGGGAGCUGAGAACUCGCGGAUUGAUUUGUUCGCCAUGGCCUCGAACUCUGAAGACAUGUUCCGGUGAUCUUCUUGAUUGGAUGAAGCUUCUUGCUGAAGUGUUGAUGAUUUCUUUAGCUUGGCUCUCGUCUUCUUGAAUAAUGCUUCGGGAUUGUCAACAAAAUUUCCUGGAAGAUGUCUUCUAUUCAUACAUUCCCCUGCAUAAGAUAAAAUAGAAAAAUAUUGGGGUAAAACUGUAUGAGAGAAUAGAUAAGCUCAAUCAUAUUAGUGAUGCGAAUGAUAACUCAAACUCUUUUAUUCCAUUCCUGAUUAGUAAUCAACCUUCCCCGGCAACGGCGCCAAAAAUGCUUGUUGGGUAUUCUUAACAUCAUUACUAAAAGUAGACUAAGUUCUAAAUCUAGCAACGGUACCAAAAAUGCCAAACCUAUCCCUCACACCACUUAAGCCAAGUUGUUAUCCCCAGCAUGAUAUAAGAGACGCGGUAUUGAAAUAUGCAAUUGCUCUUCUAAAUAAAUAAUAAAUUGGAUCUGUAAGCGCACAGAUUAAUACCGAUGUAGCAUUUUAACCGGGAAGUAUUCCAGGUAUCGUUAUUUAUAUUUUUACCACUGGGAAGGGAUUAGCAAUCAUCACUAAUGAUUACAGAAUAGAAUAUGAGAUUGAGCAUCUAUCAUUGCAUGUAUAAUUGAGAACAUUAUAUCUAACACUUCAUACAGGACAAGUGUCACAUAAAAGAUAUAUGAAAUAAUAAUAGUGACAAGGAUAACUAAUUUGAUCUAGCCACAUAAUAAAUAUGAUAAGCACCUCAAUUAGAUACUCUAGAAAGUCAUUAGCAUGGUAUUAGAACGAGCUACAAGAAUAUUUCCUAAGUUAUUCUCAACUAUAUAGUCUAGCAUAUCAUAGUUAGUGCAAGCAUACUUAGCAAUCAUUGCGAGACAAGACUACGCCCAUGCAUAGUGAUAUUAGCAAGGAAUAUGAGAAACAUAGCAAUCACUCCCCUGUAAUAAUGUUGCUCUGCCAGCCCAAUACACGAGAGGGGGACUAUAUAAGAAUCAAUGAGGCUGUCACUAUCACGAACCACCCCACGAUCUGGCAUAUUGGGUACAAUCGCAGAUAAAUACGGUAUAAGCACCACGCCUACACAAUAUCUAUCAUUUACCCAUGGAUCCGAUGGAUAAAUGCUAUACGAUCCUAAGCAUGUAUAUAGAUCGAAUCUAACUAAGCCAAGUACAUAACUAUGAUAAACUAAGAACAAUAUAAUCUUGAAUAUAAGCAAGUAGAGCAAAGUCAUAAGCAAUAUAUUGAAGUAGAACAAAGUCAUAUUCAUAAUAUUGAAGAACAAAGAUAAUUAGAAAGCAAUUAGAAGCACAAUUAGAGAAUUACCAAGAAUCCUCUUGACAGAUCCGGAAACCAAUCGAAGAUUGACUCCUUCUAGUUCUAAUCCUAUGUAGCUAUGCUAAUCUAGAUAUCUAAUUGAUGUGGUGGCUCUAAUCUUGAUCAGAGGCUUCUUCUCCCUUGAUGGAACAAUGAAUUAGGGUUGAGAGGCUCUCUCCUCCAGGGGCCAGGGGGUCUGGUUUUAUAGUCCAUUCAAGUGAAUAUGGGCCCUUGGAUCAAACCGACAUAGAUUGUAUGGUUUAGAUUCAUCCUUUAGGUCGGUGGAGAUCUCCCGCAAAACAGAGUCUUGAUUGGACUCAGGAGGUGGGCGGGCGCCCUGACCAACUGGGCGGCCGCCCAGGGUCUGGCCCCGUUUCGCCUCUGCUUCGGUCUCGUGGCUUCUGGAGUCUUCUAGAUGUAAGAUAAUUGCGCAGCACGUUAAUACCUUUACGUAAUCCUAACAUGUGGGCCUUUCUUCCAUAUUUCCUGAUAACCCCCUACAGAAAUAGACAAACACCAAAACUCGUGGAAUUCUGUCAGAUAAAAUCCUAAGUCCAGAUCUUGAUUUCAAUUGGAUCCUUUUCUUUAUUUAUUUGAUAAUUAAAUUUGAUACUUAAGGACCGUCAACAGUGGGGAAGAAGUGUGGUGGGGAAGGAGAGGGGCUGCUGCUGGUGGUGUAUAGGACGAGAUAAUGGAUGGAUAAGGUUAAUGGUGAAGAAAAUAAUUACAAAGGAUAAGAUUUCUAUUUCACUCACUAUGAAAUUUCUUUUCCCAACAAACAUAAAACAGGGCAGGAAAACAACUGUAGCCUACUGCAGCCGUGGAAUGUAGAUUGGGUUGUAAAGUUUUGGUUGACAUCACAUAUUUGAAAUCAAUUAGCAAAAGUAUUGCAAGCAAUGGUAUAGCUUAACUCCUCAUGUGACUGUUGAUGUCCAUCUUCAUGAAACUUUUCUAGGGAUCACUAUAGGUAGUGAUUGAUGUGGGACACAUGAGAGAGGUUCCGUUAAUGUCACCCAAGCAUGCACUUUGAAAAGGGCCUAUAUGUAAAAAGGGUGCAUUCUCCAAGUUUAACUUGAGGCUCACUUUCAUGGCUUGACUUUAACAUGAUCAUCACCACUUAUCAUGACAUGUUUGAGCUCAAAACCUAAGGUCUAACUCGUGGCAAACACCUGGGGUGUUACAGAAGGUUUCUUGGCCAUGCUGGUUUUUAUCGCAGAUUCAUAAAAGAUUUUUCAUUCAUUGCUAGACCACUUACUCUUUUGCUAGCCAAGGAUGCUCCUUUCAAAUUUGAUGAUGUUGUUGAUAUUUGGGAACGCAAUAAGGAAUUGAUCCGCAAGCGCACGGAUAUCGGUGAGGACUUCACCCGGGAGGUUAUCCAGAGUAUCGUAUUUAUAUUUUUACCACUAGGAGAAAGAGUGCAUCUGACUAACCCAGUCUAUUACUACUAACCUUUAGGCUACAAAGAAUGUUUCUCGAUGUGAGUGAUAUAUAGAGAAGACUACAACCGUAAUCUCUUUCUAACCUUGGUAAGGAUGAUUUACUAUUCUAUUGGGGAAGCUUACGGAAUCUAGACACCGCAGAGGAUGUUCAACCCGCACCUAUAAACCCUAUCCUUCCUGCUAACGAGAUAUGGUCUGCAAAGGUAACUCAGAAAUGUCACGUUCGUUGCUACUACCACGGUCCAGCUAGUCAGGGGAUAUCUAUGAGUAUCCUAGCCCAAACAUCACGUCUAUGCUAGAGAUGAUUACUCUAAACUCUACGCGAAGAGAUUAAAGUAAACUCAUAAACCAAGGAACAAUAAAACAAGAACUUACUAGAAUUUAGAAGUCGAAAUACUAAAGAAUCCUAGGAGCAAGCUUCGGGUUAGGAGAACUGAUUGAUCCCGCAGGUACAACCUCAGAGUAGACACCGAUAGGCCGGGCUUCCUCUGAUCUACACCUCCACUCUAUGUCUCUCAAUCUAGUAGAAACUAGAAGAUCUAAUUCUACUCACAUUGGAUGCUGUUGACGGUCCUUAAGCACCAAAUAUAAUCAGCAAAUAAAUAAAGAAAAGGAUCCAAAUGCAACCAACACCCAGACUUAGGGUUUUAUCUGACACAAUUCCACGAGUUUUGGUGUUUGUCUAUUUCUGCAGGGGGUUAUCAGGAAAUACGGAAGAAAGGCGCACACGUCGGGUUUACAUAGAGAUAUUAACGUGCCGUGCAAUUUUCUACCAUCUAGAAGACUCCAGAAGCCACGGGAACGAACGGGAGGCCGAGCGGGCUCGGGGGCAGGGCGCCCGCCCAGCUACAGAGUUGGAUCAGGACUCUCUUUCGGGAUGAUGUUCCACCGACCUAAAGGAUCAAGGAUAACCGUUCAAUCAAUGUCGGUUUGAUCCAACGGCCCAGGUUCACUUGAGGGGACUAUAAAACCAGACCCCCUGGCCCCUGGAGGAGGCACCCCUUGAUCAUUAUUCAUUCAUAGACAGAGCAAAAGCUAGGGUUUAGAGAUGAGAGCUCUCCUCUCUUCUCUAAACUAGAGUAGAUCUAGAUAGUAGCGAGAUGGAGAGCGAAGGAGGAUUAGAGGAGAGGCCGGCCUGUCGGUUCUUCCUCCGGUUGUACUUCAUCAUGAUCAAGCUCUAAUCAAGCUGGCUCAUGGGAUGACUCUGGUAAUCUACUUCUAAUUCAUUAUGCAAUUACUAAUCAUGUAACUUCUGGUUCACAAUUCUUUUGAGUACUUCUAAUCUAUAGGACCCUAUAGGUUAGAGUUGUAGUAUAGGUGUAAGCGUGGUGCUUCGACCUAGAUUACUUGUGGAUAUCCCCUGUCUAGCUGAAUCGUGUGGUAGGCCGCGUAGGUGACAGUUACGUUCGUCCUCUGUAGUCCACCUCUCGUUAGCAGGACGGGUAGGGUUUAUCGGCCUAAGGAUAAGCAUCCUUUGUGGUGUACUCUUAUCACGUGGUUCAUCCUAGACAUGGACAUACCCCUUUGAAGUAGAGAAACUAUAGUUAUCCUCUCUAUUCUGCUACCAUCGCCCAUAUACUAGAAUUGCUCUACUCUCUAUUCCCAUAUUACCACCCAUUGUUAUCUUACCUUUAACAUUGUUCUUAUUCAAUUCUACCAUCUUUUCUAUUUACACUUAUCUAUCUAUCUUGGUUAAGUUAGAGCGUAGUUGGUUCUCCCGUUUCCCUAUGGAUACGAUAAAACCUUUAACCGGGUAAAAGCUUCAACGGUAUCCGUACGCUUGCGGAUUAUCUGUGUGCGUAUAAAUACCAUAGUACACUCUAGUGCCAUGCUGGGGAUGACAACCUAGUAUUCAAGUGGUGUUAGCAAGUGUCAACAAGCAUUUUUGGCGCCGUUGCCGGGGAGGGGGUUGUUGAGUUGACUACGAACUAGCUUAAUCAUUUUCUAAAAAAUAAAAAAAUUAUAUAUAUAUAUAUAUAUUUCCUUUUAUCUUUUACUUAUCUCUGCUAUUCUUUCCUCUUAUCUAAUCCUUGAUCUCUGGUCUAUCAUGAAUUCAAACAUGUCUAUCUAUGAAUUUCAUAGACCUACGGGCACACAUCUCGAACCACCAAAAUCUUCAAAGCCUAUCAUAGCAUCUAGUUUUGAGAUAGACCCCGAAUACAUAGAAUUUGUUCAAAAACAACCUUUCCAGGAGAAGGUGAGGAAAACCCAUACACACACCUAAGAAAGUUUUAUCGAGUCUGUGACCUCCUUCGCAUAGAAGGCAUGUCCGAUGAGACCCUUAAAUGGAAGCUCUUUCUGUUCUAUUUAACGGGAAAAGCUAGACAUUGGUACAAACUCAAAGUAGGGAGUAUUCAUGGAGAUUGGAAGGAGUUAUAUAGUAGUUUUCUUUCUAAAUAUUUUCCAAUCUCCAAAGUGGUGGAACUUCGGCGUGAGAUUCUUUCUUUUAGACAACUGGAAGAAGAAUCUCUUGGCAAAUCAUGGGACCGCUUUAUUAAUCUUACUCUCACUGGCCCAAAGCUUUCUAUUCCAGAAGAAGUUCUUCUAAUUAAUUUUUUUGAGGGCCUUAGUAGGAAAAAUAAGCAAACCCUUUAUGCGGCCUCUGGAGGAUCUUUCCACCACCUAUCCGCUAGUGAAGCUUGGAAUUUGAUUGAUUUAAUGAGCGAAAAGUCUCCUAGCUUUUAUAUCCCUGAGAAAGAGAAGGAACCAGUUCCUAGACAAGAAGAAGAAGUUUCGAUAGCCAGAUCACAACCACUUCAAUUCCAAACUUUAGCUAUCGAUCCUAAACCAUCAAUAUCCCAAAAUUCUGCAAGGGAGGAAGAAAUUCCGACCUUAAAUCUUUCAGAUGCUGAUGGUUUAGACUUCUGGCUCCAUAAGAGACCUUCAAGCAGGGAUAAUUCAAAUCCUUGCAAUAAUGUUUCUCUUAGAGAAUGUCCUGGUUGCUAUUAUGAAGAAGUCGAGGAUGACAUAUCAAGUGAAGGAGAGCUAAACCAUAUAGAAAAUUCUAUCUGCUCCCCUUCCAUGUUCACAAAUUCUAAAUCCAUCCUUGACCUUAGAGACCCCUCUUAUCCCUCUCCUUUUAAGUCUCAUGAUGAUCCUAGCAAUCCAUCAAGACAACCAAACCAUAGGAGUCAUGAAGACCAUAAGGAUGGCAUAGAAGGAGAGCUAAGCCAUAGGGAAGAUUCUAUCAGCUCCCCUGUCUUGAUCACAAGUUCUAAAUGGCUAGAAUGUGUAGAAUGGAUGGAUAAGGAAGAAGCCUUAAUGGAUUCUGACUUUGGCUCAAUUUCAAAUGGUGAGUUCUUGACUCCCUUUGAAGAUGAAAUUCAUCCAACUACAGAAGAGGACAUAGGUGAGACCAAUCCAGGAGAAACUCCAAAUAUUCAGAUUGGAGACGAAGAUAACAUUAAUGAGCAUGGAAUUUAUUUCAUAGCCACUUCAUUUACUCCAUGCUCAUAUGCAACAUCUUUCCAAUCUAUUGGUCUCUCCAACAUCACCACAUUUGAGAUCUCCAACCCCAUCUUCCUUUCUAUUUAUAAAAACUUUAAAAGGGCAAUUGUCGAUGCAUAUGUCUAUAAUAAAUAUUGCAGAUCUCGUUGAGUUGAUCUUGAUAUAGGUUAGCGUUGGAAGGGAAACCACUUCGCCGACAUAAAUUGAUGGUUUCCCAAGGACAAGCUUAGUGUCCUAAAUAAGCACUGAUCAGAUUGUAACAUGAGCUUUUAACAUUACCUUGUGUAUUGAGCAUAUAAGGAUAAUUGUAAAAAUAUUCCUUCGGGUAUUCUUGUCACUAACCUUUCCAGGAUUGGAGCAAGAAGAUUGGAUGAAUGACAAGCACAAGGUAUGUCCAACCAAUCAUCAUACAACAUUGAAUUAAAUCCAAACUUGAAUUUUGCAAAAUUCAAGCUUGGGGGAGUACUUUACAUAAAAACAUCCUUUGCCAUGUUGCUAUGUUGGUUGUCCCUACCUUUGACACAUGCUCAAUUUGUUAAGUACUAAUCACACUACUUCAUCUCCACUUGAGUAGAUCUCUAUAAAUGCUGUCAUGCUACCUUUGUCUAUUUACUAGCAAGUGUUGGUUUGGAAGUACUCGCCAUACUUCCAUUGGCAUUUAAAUUAAUCAUGGUGCUUAGGAUAAAUAGCCUUCCUUAAUCUGAUUAGACAUGGAGUCUAGUUUGGUUAUUGAACUAAAAACUGCUUGAGUAGAUAUUGGUAUAUUUUGUCGAACUAACCCCUGCAGGAAAACUUUCAAUAUAGAUUUGGGAAGUCCUGAGAUAAGCUCACAUCAGAGAUGAAGAGAGUGACACAUGAAGUUUAACAAUUUGCACAAGAAGUACAUAGCUCAUUCAUCAUACAGAGAUGAUCCAUGGAAGGAGACAAAGUACAUAAACAAGAUACACAACCACUACGAAAGGAAAGCUUCCACAAGGUGAUACUAUACCAUCAGUCUUCAAUUAAGGUAACAUCUUAAGAUAUCUGACUAUCACUUUUAUAAGCUUCUCCUUGGUUCUGGUGUUCACAUAAAUAAAGAGACAAACAUGUAUGAUUUAUAACUCCAAAUUAACCAACCCAACUGAUUCAGCAUGUUUAGUCCUUUAAUCUUUGUUCCUAGUACUACCUCCAUGAUCCCACCCUAAUCAUAUGAGCUAAAAUGUUACACAUUCAAUCUUUGAGAGAUAUAAAGAAAAAUACAUAUACAUAGAUAGAUUAUCUUUCCAUAAGGUUGAGCGAUCUGAUCCGGCAAAUGUUUUAAAUGCUACACUCAUGAACUUAUUCAUUCAUCAACUUUGUCUUGCUCACCAUGCUUAAGGUUAGAGAAGAACAAAUACACUUUUGGUUCUGUUGGUGUUUUCCACCAACAGGGCCCAUGCACUUGAUCUCUGCCUUGUCUCUAUGAGCAGGUACACUACGAGCACAAACACACUGAGCAAGAUACUGCCAACACCGCACUUCGAACUACUGGGAAAACGAAGAACAUGAGUGACACCGUAUUAAGAGGUGCAGACGUCAAGGUCCACACCAGAAUCAAAUGACGCUGGUGGCGUAAAAAUAAAAUAAAUAUAUUCCUGUCCUAUAAAAAUGAAAAUAUAAAUAUAAGAUUGUGAUCCCACUAAAGAGAAUAACAUUUAUUAGAGGAAGCUCAACAUGCUAACGGCUAAGAGAUUUUAUGCUAAUACUUAACCAGUUCCACAAAGCUUUGUUGUCUAUUUGAGCUCCACAGAAUUCAAGGAUCAAAAAAGACUAGCAGAAUGGAGGACAUUCUAAUCGCUGUUAGGGUGUUGCCGACAUUCAAAUACACCUCCGCCACCUGCUAGCUACAUCAAAAGAAAUUACGUCAAAAUCCAGCUUGGGAGAGAGCACCCCCAUUUAUCCAGCUAAGUGUUUCUACUCGCGUUUAUACUUUACUCAAAUAAUAAAAAGAUGCAUAAUCAUAAAAACCCAAUUAAAGAAUUUGUGCUUAUAUAUAUAUAUCUAUGCUUAGUUUGCUAAAUAAAUAAAUAAAUAAAGUUUGCUAUGAACCCUCAUGAUAAGCUCUCACAUGGAAAUGAUGAAUAGUUGCUCUGCCAUGACUAGUUCUCAAAAUUGAAAUCUCUCUCAAGUUUGGGCAUGACUGUUAUGAAUUAAGAUUUCUGUAAACCUGAACUUGUGGGAAGAGUACUUGAUCUAAAGUCUAAGUCGUUAACGGAUAUGAUAUGGGAAGGUUGAGCUGUUGUUUUUCUGUUCCUAGAGAUGCUAGAUCUAGAAUUCUGGAGAAUUUUAUCUUUGAAAAUCUUUAAAAAUAACGGAUAUGAUAUGGGAAGGUUGAGCUGUUGUUUUUCUGUUCCUAGAGAUGCUAGAUCUAGAAUUCUGGAGAAUUUUAUCUUUGAAAAUCUUUAAAAAUGUUGCAUGAUGAGUUCCUGUAUGAUGAGAGUUUAAAAUCCUACCACAGCCAUAUAUACAUGCUUAUUAGACUAUGAACCAUACAUUUACUUUUUACUGCUUAUGAGCAUUGAGUGUGGUCAAGCUAUGUAGACCCUUAGGAGCUUGACAUGUGGUUAUAAUCAAGAUUCACUUGCACGUUCACUCAUACAUGCUGCUUCUACUCCGGAAGUACGCAUCCACAUACAUCCACUCCUUUCCAUCUCCAGAUUCACCUAAAAUUAUUCUACUCCUAUCCAGGAGAGAAUAGCCAAAAACAUUAUCCUAUCCCUGUUAUUCCCCGUGAAAUAAAUGCUCGAGAUAUUUUGGUUACUACCACUUGCUACAUUAUUCUAGGAGGGUGAGUGCUCUAAAAAAAGUGAAUACGAGGAAAUAAAAAGGGGCAAGUGCCCGGAACCUCGAAAGAAAAGAAAAAGUGAGGCGAGAGGUAAAAAUGGACAAGUGUCCGACAGUAGAAUUAGGGGUACAAGAUACCCACUUGAGAGAAAAGAAAAAAAGAGAAGAAAUAAAAUAUAGAGCAUCUCAUUCCCCUCAAAAAGCUUCAAAGUGCAAGAAAGGUAUGUAUCCCCUCAAAAGAGCAAAAGUAGAAUUAGACUUUCACCAAUGUUUUCACCAUCAUCACCAUACACCAUUCAUUCGCCACACAAGCACAUCUUGAUUUGACUUAUUGACUUGUUUCUCUAGAUCUAUGGUUUGACUAUGCAAUAAAUGUCUUGUAAGUAUGUAUUAGCUGUCUCCCACCUAUGAGCUCUAGAUAUCAAACCUUAUUAGAGUAGGGUGAGAGAGAAGGCAAUAUCACUAUGCCUCAUACCACAAAUACUACAUACUUUGAGAGAAGGCGUAUAUUACCACUGCCUUGGUAAGGAUCCAGAAAUACCACAAAAGAGAGACUAGAGAGAGUCAUACAAGGAAUCUCUGAGUUUUAUUUGAAAAUCUGCAAAAACUCCAGAGCUAUAGUUGAUAAAGAACAAGAGAUAUGAUGCUUGACUUGACCGUUCUAUCUUUUAACUGCUCAAGACACAAGUGACGGUUGCAAGCCCCAUGGUGAAAGGUAAUAUGAGUAAGUUUUAAAUCUUAAUAGUUUACCCUAACCUAGAGAUGAGAUCUUGUUUAAACGCAUGUGUACCUUUAAGGCAUAAAACCACUGCAGAAACUCUUGAGUCCAUCCUUGCUCAGGGACGAGCAAGAGGUAAGUUUGGGGGAGUUGUUGACGGUCCUUAAGUACCAAAUAUAAUCAGCAAAUAAAUAAAGAAAAGGAUCCAAAUGCAACCAACACCCAGACUUAGGGUUUUAUCUGACAGAAUUCCACGAGUUUUGGUGUUUGUCUAUUUCUGCAGGGUGUUAUCAGGAAAUACGGAAGAAAGGCCCACAUGUCGGGUUUACAUAGAGAUAUUAACGUGCCGCACAAUUUUCUAUCAUCUAGAAGACUCCAGAAGCCACGGGAACGAAUGGGAGGCCGAGCGGGCUCGAGGGCAGGGCGCCCGCCCUCCCCUCUUGGGCGCCCGCCUAGCUACAGAGUUGGAUCAGGACUCUCUUUUGGGAUGAUGUUCCACCGACCUAAAGGAUCAAGGAUAACCGUUCAAUCAAUGACGGUUUGAUCCAACGGCCCAGGUUCACUUGAGGGGACUAAAAAACCAGACCCCCUGGCCCCUAGAGGAGGCACCCCUUGAUCAUUAUUCAUUAUUCAUAGACAGAGCAAAAGCUAGGGUUUAGAGAUGAGAGCUCUCCUCUCUUCUCUAAACUAGAGUAGAUCUAGAUAGUAGCGAGAUGGAGAGCGAAGGAGGAUUAGAGGAGAGGCCGGCCUGUCGGUUCUUCCUCCGGUUGUACUUCGUCAUGAUCAAGCUCUAAUCAAGCUUGCUCAUGGGAUGACUCUGGUAAUCUACUUCUAAUUCAUUAUGCAAUUACUAAUCAUGUAUGUUCUGGUUCACAACUCUUUUGAGUACUUCUAAUCUAUAGGACCCUAUAGGUUAGAGUUGUAGUAUAGGUGUAAGCGUGGUGCUUAGACCUAGAUUACUUGUGGAUAUCCCCUGUCUAGCUGGAUCGUGUGGUAGGCCAUGUAGGUGACAGUUACGUUGGUCCUCUGUAGUCCACCUCUCGUUAGCAGGACGGGUUGGGUUUAUCGGCCUAAGGAUAAGCAUCCUUUGUGGUGUACUCUUAUCACGUGGUUCGUCCCAGACAUAGACAUACCCCUUUGAAGUAGAGAAACCAUAGUUAUCCUCUCUAUUCUGCUACCAUCGCCCAUAUACUAGAAUUGCUCUACUCUCUAUUCCCAUAUUACCACCCAUUGUUAUCUUACCUUUAACAAUGUUCUUAUUCAAUUCUAACAUCUUUCCUAUUUACACUUAUCUAUCUAUCUUGGUUAAGUUAGUGCGUAGUUGGUUCUCCCGUUUCCCUGUGGAUACGAUAAAACCUUUAACCGAGUAAAAGCUUCAACGGUAUACGUGCGCUUGCGGAUUAUCUGUGUGCGUAUAAAUACCAGAGUACACUCUAGUGCAAUGCUGGGGAUGACAACCUAGUAUUCAAGUGGUGUUAGCAAGUGUCAACAGAUGCUAAGCCCUAAGUCUAUUUAGAGGAGAGGUAUUCCUUUGAGGGCUCCUCUCAACUCUAUGAUGAACUUCUGUCUCCUCUAGGGGCCAGGGGGUCUGCUUAUAUAGUCCCCUCAGGUGAACGUGGGCCGUUGGAUCAAACCGACGUUGAUUGAACGGUUAUCCUUGAUUCUUUAGGUCGGUGGAGCGUAAUCCGCGAAGAGAGUCUGGAUUGGACCCCAGAGGGGGGCAGGUGCCCUGGUCCCUAGGGCGAGCGCCCUGGGCCAGGCCCCGUUCUGCCUUCGCUUUGUUCUCGUGGCUUCUGGACUCUUCUAGAUAGUAGAAAAUUGCGCGGUGUGUUGAUAUCUCUAUGUAAUCCCGACAUGAUGGCCUUUCUUCCUUAUUUCUUGAUAACCCCCUAUAGAAAGAGAUAAACAACAAAACUCGUGGAAUUAUGUCAGAUCAAACCCUAAUUCUAGGUGUUGUUUGCAUAUUGGUCCUUUCUCUUGUUUAUUUAUUAAUUAAAAUUGAUACUUAAGAACCGUCAACAAAUACCCCCGUACUUAGGCUUUUACUCGUCCUUGAGAAAAGGAUGGUUAAGAAAAAUAUCUGGUGUAAAACAUUGUAAAACAUUUUCUUCAUACCUGCAGGGUGCUGUAAAAAUUUCACUAUGUACCAUAGUCAGGGAACUGUAUGGUUAAGAGUAGAGAUCCUUUCUUCUCAAUCCUGUCACUUAGAGUUUUUGUAUAUUUUUGAAAAGAAAUUCAGCAUACCUUUAUCCUCAUAGGUUCUCUCAGGUCACUCAUUUAUCUUUUAUAUAUCUCACUGAGGCUAUCUUAAUUUGCAAAAAAUCUCAAGCAUACUUACUUUGUAUUUAUUGCCUGAUCAAAAUGGGAUCCGAGGAGAGGAAUAACAUACUCUUAGAUCAAAGACUUUGGAAAUUAAAAACUUGUCAACUCUUACUAGCAAAAUGCUUUUUAGAGGGACCAUGGGCUAUCAUUUUUUUCUCUCUUUUUUUUUCAGGUGGAUACCGAGGUACCCCUAAUUCUACUACCAGACACUUGUCCAUUUUUUUCUGCGAGGUUAUCGAGCACUUGCUCCUUUUUAUUUCUUCGAAAUAUCCUUAUUUUUGCAUAGCCCAUGCCUCUAACGCAAUAAUACUUCGGAAGAGUGAAUCUUUCUGAAUAGAUGUCUUGAUCUUAGGAGCAUGAUAAAUCUCUCAACAAGGGUCUUACUCAUUUGGAACAAACUCAAUACAGAGCAGAUAGCUUUUAUAAUUAUCAUAUUAAUAUUUUCAGGUUUAGUAGGCAUAUAAAACACUGAAGUUGGUAGCUAGAAUUUUUGAAUAAAUUCUCCAAGCAACAAUGAUAUCAAAAAUAAGAUACUCAUACUCUACCAUCUCACAUUCCACAAUGACUUAAGUAACACAGGGUUUUAAAAUGAUUUUUCAAUAAUUUCAGAUUUUUUGGAAAUAUCACAGAGUGAGAUUAAUCAUGAUUAGAAACAUUUUAAUCUUUUUAAUUUAUCAUGUCGGAAACAGUAUCCUACAUAAUCCAAGAUAUAUAUGUGUAUGUGUAAAGUAAAGUGUGCAGAGUAUGUACCUGAAUCGUGGAGUGGUGUAGUCGAAGUGUGUUUCGCAUGUCGAGGGAUCUCCCCCAUACUUGAUUUCUGCUUUCUUGUAUAAAAAUAAAGUAGAGACACACAAGACACAAUAAUAAUAAUAAUACUCUUUAUUAAUCUUGAGGCAUUUAUUACAAAUGACUAGUGAUAAACUGACGAUAAUAAUAGAUCUAAACCGAAUUUGAAGAUAAAUAACUAAGAUGCAUUGCCUCAAGGUCUAAUCUAGAUAACUUAGCGGCGCUCUAACUCCUUGAUCUUCUUAUUGGCACUAGCAAGAUCAUGCCUAAGGCCUAGUAUAACGGUGUUGUGGUUAGAGAGCUGCCUAGUGAUGGAAUUAACUGGGGACUGGAGGUCUAUGAUGACCCUGUCUAGCCUGCGAACGUCCUCAUCAAUAUCUACUAUAGUCUUACGACGCUUAGGAGGUGUCUCGAGAGCAUUGAGAGCGUGCUUUGGGGCUGCCUUUGGAGGGAUGAAACAGGCUUUGGCUGCUCUAAUCUCCUCAAAGUAAGGCCUCUCCUCCUCCAUAGUGUAGCGGAUGCUCCUGAUCUCGCCGCUCCGGUUGGUCUUGACUCCAACGACCCUCUCAUUGGGUCUGGGUGGAAGGAUCCUCGUGCCGGCUGGCACCUUGAUGGUGGUCUCCUUCUUGGCUGAUGGUCCCUUGAGAAGUAGGGGCUACGGUGGUGCGGUGACAACUGGUUGAGCAUGAUAGGAUUGGGCGGAGCUACGCUGGCGUAAUGGCAUGGCUUCUAGCUAUCGCUCUGUGUUGGCCGGGACGAGAGCACGGGCGUCGGGGUCUUCCUUAGGCUUCUUGUUGAGGUCGUAGGGAACGACUUCCUAAUCGUCAUGGAACUCUUUGGCCAUUGGAGCAGCGAGGAACUAAGCAAUCUCUAAUUGAAAAAGGAGAGAAGGCUUGAAUAGAUUGGUGUUUGAAAACUGACGUCAGGGGUCUGUUUAUAUAGGGGUCAAAAAGUGCCUCUAGGGGUUGUUCGGGUUACUCCCGUCGCCGUGUGAAACUUUCCAUCUGAAGGAUUAUUUGGUUUACCAUAAAUGUGUUUUCCGCGACGGGGGAAAUCAUGACCGAGAGGGGUCAGGGGCUAGGUGCCCGCCCUCUUCGUCAGGGCGCCCGACCUGUGUCUGGCCCCUCUGUGGGCCCGCUUCCUCGAGCGUGUUUCUAGAUGCAAAACUUAUUAGGAAAAUAUAUAUGUGACCCAAAAACGUCAGAUUAAAAAGGUUGGGCUCUUAAUCUCCAUGGGAAGGUAAAAAUGGAUUACGUCUAUUUCUUCUAAUUCUUUAUUGGGCUCUAAAAAUAAUUUAAGACGUUGACCAUUUACCUUGAAUAACGUACCUUCAUCAUUUUGAAGUGUGAUAGCUUCGUGGAAUGAUGAAUUGAUUACCUUGAAUGGUGCUUCCCAUUUACUUCGGAGUUUUCCAUGCCCGAAAAGCUUCACCCCAGAAUUAAAAAGUAAUACCUUAUCUCCGUGUGCGAACUCCUUCUUGAUCCUCUUGUAAUGCCACCUUUUGACUCUUUCUUUGUAGAUCUUCGAAUUGUGAUAUGCUUUCUCUCGCCAUUCUUCCAAUUCUGAUAGUUGUAUUCUUCUAUGCUCUCUAGUGACAUCUAAGUCCAUAUUCCAUCUCCUUAUGGCCCAGUGUGCUUUGAACUCUAGUUCAACAGGUAGGUGGCAAGUCUUCCCGUACACCAAUUGGUAUGGGGACAUUCCAAUUGGGGUCUUGUAUGCUGUCCGAUAUGCCCAGAGUGCAUCGGGUAACUUGUCUUUCCAUGCCGUUCCCAUUUCAUUCACUGUUUUCUGAAGAAUAUUCCUAAUUUGCUUGUUGGAAGUCUCUGCUUGGCCACUUGUCUGAGGAUGGUAAGGGGUAGCGAAGUUGUGACGGAUUCCAUGUUUUGAUAGAUAUUGCUUGAAGCGUUUGUCGAUGAAGUGUGCUCCUCCAUCACUUAUCACUACUCUGGGGACUCCAAAUCUUGGAAAUAUAAUUUCUUCAAACAUCCUCUUUGAACUGAUGUUGUUGGCAUGCUUGCAAGGUAGUGCCUCUACCCACUUGGAGACGUAGUCAACUACCACCAAGAUGAACUCACACUUCUUUGAUGGGGGAAAUGGACCCAUGUAAUCUAUUCCCCAGACAUCGAAGAGCUCAAUCUGAAGGUUGUUAGUGAGUGGCAUGGCAUCUCUUCUAUUUAUCUUUCUGUGCCUUUGACAUGGCCCACAUCUCCUGAUAUAUUGCUUCAUGUCUUCAUACAUUGUAGGCCAGUAGAAUCCACACUGCCAGAUCUUUGAAUGUGUACGGAAUGCUCCAUAAUGACCUCCAUAAGGUGAUGAAUCACAUCUGUCGAUGAUCUUCCAUCCUUCCUCAGUGGUCACACACCCCCUGAGUAAGCCAUCAGAGCAUACUCGGAAGAGGUAUGGCUCAUCCCAUAUAUGUGAAUGACUUUCUUGAAUAAGCUUCUUCUUGUUUGCUCCUGGUGGUACAUACCCUGAAACCAUAAAAUUAACAAUAUCUGCAUACCAGGGGUCAGACCUAUUAAUCCCGUAGAGCAUGUCGUCCCGGAGUGAAUCUUUGAUGGAGGUUUCCUGUGGACUCGUAAAAUACAUUCUAGACAAGUGAUCAGCAACAGAAUUUUCUAUUCCCUUUUUAUCUUUUAUUUCUAAGUCAAAUUCUUGAAGUAAUAAGAUCCAUCUAAUCAGGCGAGGUUUAGCAUCUUUUUUAGUGAGCAAAUAUUUUAGUGCAGCAUGAUCAGUGUAAACAAUUAUUUUCUCUCCAACUAAAUAAGAUCUAAAUUUAUCAAUGGCAAAGACAACAGCUAGAAGCUCUUUUUCAGUGGUUGCAUAAUUAAGUUGAGCUCCUGUCAAAGUUUUACUGGCAUAAGCAAUUGCAUGAUGCUUCUUAUUUUUAGUUUGUCCCAAAACUGCCCCCACAGCAUAAUCACUAGCAUCACACGUAAUUUCAAAGGCAACGACCAAUCAGGGGGUCGAAUGAUUGGUGCAGAGAUGAGUGCUUUCUUUAAUAAAUUGAAAGAUGUUAGACAUGCAUCAUCAAAUUCGAAAGGAGCAUCCUUGGCUAGCAAAAGAGUAAGUGGUCUAGCAAUGAAUGAAAAAUCUUUUAUGAAUCUGCGAUAAAAACCAGCAUGGCCAAGAAAGCUUCGAAUUCCUUUUAUGUUCACAGGUGGAGGUAGUUGUUCAAUUACUUCAAUUUUAGCUUUGUCUACCUCAAUACCUCUUUCAGAAUCUAGGUGUCCCAGCACUAUUCCUUCCCUAACCAUAAAAUGACAUUUUCCCAAUUAAGGACUAAGUGCUUUUCUUCACAUCUUUGCAAAACCUUGUCUAAGUUUUCAAGACAACUAUCAAAAGUUUUUCCAUAAACAGAGAAAUCAUCCAUGAAAACUUCCAUAAUCUCUUCAAUCAUAUCAGAAAAUAUAGACAUCAUGCAUCUUUGAAAAGAAGCUGGUGCAUUACAUAACCCAAAAGACAUUCUACGGUAAGCAUAGGUUCCAUAUGGGCAUGUAAAAGUGGUUUUGCUUUGACCAUCGGGAUGGAUCGGGAUCUGGUGAUACCCUAAGUAUCCAUCUAAGAAACAGAAGAACGAAUGGUUUGCUAAUCGCUCUAGCAUCUCAUCUAUGAAAGGUAAAGGGAAAUGAUCCUUUCUCGUGGCUUUAUUUAGUUUUCUAUAGUCUAUGCACAUCCGCUACCCUGUGACGGUGCGUUGCAGAAUUAGCUCGUUCUUUUCAUUCAUAAUGACAGUCAUGCCUCCCUUUUUAGGCACAACUUGAACUGGGCUCACCCACUCACUGUGCGGCACAGGAUAUAUAAUCUCUGCAUGCAGCAACUAUAUAACUUCCUUUUUAACUACCUCUCUCAUCGUGUUGUUAAGUCUACAUUGGGGCUCUCGAGAAGGUGAAACAGAAGGAUCUGUUGGAAUACGAUGAGUACAAAUCAUAGGACUGAUUCCUGUAAGAUCUUGGAGUGAGUUGCCAAAAACUGAGUGAUGUUUCUCAAGAAUGGUCAUUAAUCACAGAGUUUGCUCCUAAGUGAGUUUGUCACUAAUGAUCACAGGAAACUCUAGAUUAUUGUUUAGGAAAGCAUAGAUAGGACCGGGUGGUAAAGUUUUAAGCUCUAUGGGAGGUCUAGGCGUUUCUGCAAACUCGUCUAAGGGUUCAGGUUCAGAGGGUUCAGCUUCUUCUUCUAUGAAGAAAGGAGCUUUGUCUUCUAAGUCUGGUUCUUCUAAAAUCUCUAGAGAUGCAGCCUUUAUCUCCUCCAUAGGAUCAGGCCAAAGAUAUGACUCGGCCUUAUUAUUUAAAGAGUGAGAAAUCGUUAUGGGAAAUUUAAAAGUUUUUCCAAAAGAAAUGUGUAGCUUUCCAGUAUGACCUUCAUAAAGGAGUCUUCUAAAAGGUUGUCCUAUCAACAGGUCGAAGUCCCAUGUAUCAAAGAUAUAGAAGUUCAAAUGAACCAUGGAGCCUUCUACCAUAAAGGGUAGGACAUUAAUAAUUCCAAGACUCGGGACUAAUCGUCCUGAAGAUUCCUUUAUGACUUUUGUUGUGGGGGUUAAAACCAAAUUUUUAAAUAAUUUAAGUGCAGAAGAUUCAGACAUAAUGUUGAUCCCCACAACUGGAUUAUAGAGAGCAUCAAAUCGAUCAGAAUCAUAAGCACAGUGUAUAGUUGUAGAGGGUGUGUCCAAACGGAUCACAUCAGAGGAAAGCUGUGACUCCUCCAACCAUUCGCUACUCAUGACUGAGAUAAGCUCUCUCAAUUGAUAUUCAGUUAGCAAACAAAUGCUAAAAUGGCCAUUUUGGGGUUUGUCAAUAGAAUGGUAGUUUGAAGUAUUUCCAAAAUCGGCAAAAAGAUUAGAUUCUAUAUCCAGCAUGAAAUUAGGUGGUGGAAUUUCUUCCUUUUGUGGCUCAGAACUUGGGAUAGCUAAAUUAGAUGAAGGAUUUGGCAGAGUGACUACUUCGGCAUCGUGGGUUUCAUCAUGAAGGGUAUUAUCCAUCUCAGCUUCUAGGAUUCUAUCUAAGAUUACUCUAGCAUCUUCAGUAGGGAUGCGAAAGAAAGAACCUCUAGACAUUGUAUGUAGCAUUUGUUUAUGAUCUUUUUGAAAACCUCGAAUAAAGGGAAAUAAAAGAAAAGGGUCUUCAAGAUUAAGGUUUGGACCAGAUUCUAAAAGAUCAGAAAAACGUUUCCAGGAUUUUCCCAAAGUUUCAUUAUCUUUUUGUUUAAAAGAUAGGACUUCGAGUCUAAGGUCGCUGAUACGGUCGAGGGAAUAAAAAUCUAGACAAAAUUAGGCUCGUAAAACUCCCCAUUCACCUCGUUGUUGACUUACCUUCUGACUGUACCAUUGUCUAGCUUCUCCCCUUAAUGAAAAAGGAAAAAGCUUCCAAUGUAAAGUUUUAUCAGAAAUGCCUUCAAUACGAAGACAAUCACAUGUUUGCUCAAAAUCUCUAAUAUGAAGGUAAGGGAAGAUAGGUUUUGAAUCAUGACAAUCAACCUAGAACUUAACCUAUACUGGGAUGUUUGGAUAGGCUGUGAUGACUCCCAUGGUAAAACGUCAGUUUCCGAAGGUGUUGCAAAUUGAUAGAUUGAUUUAGAAUAUUGGUUUUCCAUAAGGUAAGAAUAAAAAAAAUAAACAAAGAAUAUAAAAGAUAAGAAAAGAUAAAAGUAUAGAUACAAGCUAGGAGUAAGACUCAAGGUUAUCUCAGCAAACCGUCUUUCUCCCCGGCAACAGUGCCAGAAAUAAUUGUUGAUAUUUGGGAACGCAAUAAGGAAUUGAUCCGCAAGCGCACGGAUAUCGGUGAGCACUUCACCCGGGAGGUUAUCUAGAGUAUCGUAUUUAUAUUUUUACCACUAGGAGAAAGAGUGCAUCUGACUAACCCAGUCUAUUACUACUAACCUUUAGGCUACAAAGAAUGUUUCUCGAUGGGAGUGAUAUAUAGAGAAGACUAUAACCGUAAUCUCUUUCUAACCUUGGUAAGGAUGAUCUAGUGUUCUAUUAGGGAAGCUUACAGAAUCUAAACACCACAGAGGAUGUUCAACCCACACCUAUAAACCCUAUCCUUCCUGCUAACGAGAUAUGGUUUUCAAAGGUAACUCGGAAAUGUCACGUUCCUCGCUACUACCACGGUCCAGCUAGUCAGGGGAUAUCUAUGAGUAUCCUAGCCCAAACACAACGUCUACGCUAGAGAUGAUUACUCUAAACUCUACAUGAAGAGAUUAAAGUAAACUCAUAAACCAAAGAACAAUAAAACAAGAACUUACUAGAAUUUAGAAGUCAAAAUACUGAAGAAUCCUAGGAGCCAGCUUCGGGUUAGGAGAACUUGAUCCCGCAGGUACAACCUCAGAGUAGACACCGACAGGCCGGGCUUCCUCCGAUCUACACCUCCACUCUAUCUCUCUCAAUCUAGUAGAAACUAGAAGAUCUAAUUCUACUCACAUUGGAUGCUAAGCCCUAAGUCUAUUUAGAGGAGAGGUAUUCCUUCGAGGGCUCCUCUCAACUCUAUGAUGAACUUUUGUCUCCUCCACGGGACAGGGGGUCUACUUAUAUAGUCCCCUCAGGUGAACGUGGGUCGUUGGAUCAAACCGACAUUGAUUGAAUGGUUAUCCUUGAUCCUUUAGGUUGGUGGAGCGUAAUCCGCGAAGAGAGUCCUGAUUGGACUCCAGAGGGGGGCGGGCGCCGUGGUCCCUAGGGCGAGCGCCCUGGGCCAGGCCCCGUUCUGCCUCCGCUUCAUUCUCGUGGCUUUUGGAGUCUUCUAGAUGGUAGAAAAUUGCACGGUGCGCUGAUAUCUCUAUGUAAUCCUGACAUGUGGGCCUUUCUUCCUUAUUUCUUGAUAACACCUGUAGAAACAGAUAAACAACAAAACUCGUGGAAUUCUGUCAGAUCAAACCCUAAAUCUUGGUGUUGUUUGCAUAUUGGUCCUUUCUCUUGUUUAUUUGAUAAUUAAAAUUGAUACUUAAGAAUCGUCAACAGAUGCAUGCCUAAUAGCUUUUGAAUUAUUAAAGAAUGCACUCAUCUUUGCACCAAUCAUUCAACCCCCUGAUUGGUCUUUACCUUUUGAAAUUAUGUGUGAUGCUAGUGAUUAUGCUGUGGGGGCAGUUUUGGGACAAACUAAAGAUAAGAAGCAUCAUGCAAUUGCUUAUGCCAGUAAAACUUUGACAGGAGCUCAAUUUAAUUAUGCAACCACUGAAAAAGAGCUCCUGGCUAUUGUCUUUGCCAUUGAUAAAUUUAGAUCUUAUUUAGAUGGAGCUAAAAUAAUUGUUUACACUGAUCAUGCUGUACUAAAAUAUCUGCUCACUAAAAGAGAUGCUAAACCUCGCUUAAUUAGAUGGAUCUUAUUACUCCAAGAAUUUGACUUAGAAAUAAAAGAUAAAAAGGGAGUAGAAAAUUCUGUUGCUGAUCACUUGUCUAGAAUGCACUUUAAGAAUCCACAGGAACCACCCAUUAAUGAUUCACUCCGGGACAACAUGCUCUAUGCAAUCAACAGGUUUGACCCCUGGUAUGUAGAUAUUGUUAAUUUUAUGGUUUCAAGGUAUGUACCACCAGGAGCGAACAAGAAGAAGCUUAUUCAAGAAAGUCGUUCACACAUAUGGGAUCAGUCAUACCUCUUCUGAGUAUGCUGUGAUGGCAUACUCAGGAGAUGUGUGACCACUGAGGAAGGAUGGAAGAUCAUCGACAGAUGCCAUUCAUCACCAUAUAGAGGUCAUUAUGGAGCAUUCCGUACCAAUUCAAAGAUCUAGCAGUGUGGAUUCUACUGGCCUACAAUGUAUGAAGACACGGAGCAAUAUAUUAGAAGAUGUGGGCCAUGUCAAAGGCACGGAAACAUAAAUACAAGAGAUGCCAUGCCACACACCAACAACCUUCAGAUAGAGCUCUUUGAUGUCUGGGAAAUAGACUACAUGUGUAUAUUUCUCCCAUCAAAGAAGUGUGAGUUCAUCUUGGUGGCGGUUGACUAUGUCUCCAAGUGGGUAGAGGCACUACCAUACAAGCAUGCCGACAACAUCAAUUCAAAGAGGAUGUUUGAAGAAAUCAUAUUUCCAAGAUUUGGAGUCCCUAGAGUAGUGAUAAGUGAUGGAGGAACACAUUUCAUCGACAAACGCUUCGAGCACUAUCUAUCAAGACAUGGAAUCUGUCAUAGCGUCGCUACCCCCUAUCAUCCUCAGACAAGUGGCCAAGCAGAGACUUCCAACAAGCAAAUCAAGAACAUUCUUCAGAAGACAGUAAACGAGAUGGGAACGGCAUGGAAGGACAAGUUACCCGAUGCACUCUGGGCAUAUCGGACAGCAUACAAGACCCCAAUUGGAAUGUCUCCAUACCAAUUGGUGUACGGGAAGACAUGCCACCUACCUGUUGAACUAGAGUUCAAAGCACACUGGGCCAUAAGGAAAUGGAAUAUGGACCUAGAUGUUGCUGGAGAUCAUAGAAGAAUGCAAUUAUCGGAAUUAGAAGAAUGGCGAGAGAAAGCAUAUAACAAUUCAAAGAUCUACAAAGAUAGAGUCAAAAGAUGGCAUGACAACAGAAUCAAGAAGGAGUUCUCACCCGGAGACAAGGUAUUACUUUUGAAUUCUAGGGUGAAACUUUUCGGGCAUGGAAAACUCUGAAGUAAAUGGGAAGGACCCUACAAGGUAAUCAAUUCAUGAUCCCACGGAGCGAUCACACUUCAAAAUGAUGAAGGCACGUUAUUCAAGGUAAAUGGUCAACGUCUUAAAUUAUUUUUAGAACCCAAUAAAGAAUUAGAGGGAAUAGACGUGAUCCAUUUUUACCUUCUGAUGGAGAAUUAGAGCUCGACCUUUUUAAACUGACAUUUUUGGGCCACGUAUAUAUUUUUCAAGACAAUUAUACUUCUAGUAACACCCACGAGCAAGCGGGCCCGCAGAGGAGGUAGGCCUAGGGUGGGCGCCCUAGAGAUGAGGGCGGGCGCCCUACCCCUGGCUCCCCUCACCGCUGACUUUUUCCGUUAUAAUAAUCUUGCCCAUGUCUAUCCAAAAAACCCUGCGGAUGGAUUGUUACGCAAGUAUGGCGGCGGGAUUAACCCAUGGAAAACCCUAGAGGCACUUUUUGACCCCUAUAUAAACAGACCCCUAGCGUCAGCUUUCAACACCAAUUCAUUCAAUCAUUCUUUCUUUCCUCAACUAGAGCUUGCUUAGUUCCUCGCUGCUCCAAUGGCCAAUGAGUUCAACCCCGACUGGGAGAUCGUUCACUACAACCUCAACAAGAAGCCCAAGGAAGAUCCCGAUGCCUACGCUCUCGUCCUAGCCAACACAGAGCGACAACUAGCAGCCAUGCCAUCACUCCAGCGCAGCUCCACCCAAUCCUACUAUGCCCAACCAGUUCUCACCGCGUCGCCGUGGCCCCUCCUUCUCAAGGGGCCAUCAGCCAAGCAGGAGGUGAUCGUCAAGGUGCCAGCCGGCACGAGGGUCCUGCCGCCCGGACCCAAUGAGCGGGUUGUAGGCAUCAAGAUCAAUAGGAGCGGCGAGAUCAGCAGCGUCCACUACACCACGGAGGAGAGGCCCUACCUUGAGGGGAUCAGAGCAGCGAAGGUUCGCUUCAUCCCACCGAAGGAAGCCCCGAAGCACGCCUUCAACUCCUUCGAGAUACCUCCUAAGCGCCGCAAUACUAUAGCCGAUUUAGAUCAGGAAGUACGUGGGUCAGACAAGCUACUUAUGGAGCUCCAGUCCUCGGUUAACUUCCUUAAUAGGUAGGUCUCUAAAUUGAACGCUACUGUGCUCGACCUUAGACGUGACCUUUCCAGCGCUACUAAUAGGAUCAGGGAGCUAGAGCGCCGCUGGGCUAUCCAGAUUAGAUCUUGAGGCAGUGUAUCUUAGUUAUUCAUCAUUAGAUUUGAUUAGAUUCAAUUAGACUCGGUUUAGACUCAUUAUUAGAUUCAAUUCAUUAUUUAUUAGUCGGUUGUAAUAAAUGCCUCAAGAUAAAUAAAGAUUAUUAUUAUGCCUUGUGUGUCUCCACUUUGUUUUUAUGAAAGAGAACAGGAAAUAAGUAUGGGGGAGAUCCCCCGACAUGCCAAACAAACUUCAACCGCACCUCUGCACGAUUCAGGUACAUACUCUGCAUGCUUUAUUUAUACACAUACACAUACAUAUUGGUUUGUGGAAAAUAUUGUCUCUAACAUGAUAAAUUAAAAAGAUAAAAAUAUUUUUAAUCAUGAUUAAUCUCACUUUGUGAUAUUUCCUGAGAACCUGCAAUUAUUGAAAAAUGGUUUUUAAAACCCUGUGUUACUCAAGUCAUUGUGGAAUAUGAGACGCUAGAGUAUGAGUACCUUAUUCUUAAUAUCUUUGUCGCUUGGAGAAUUUAUUUCAAAAACUUCAAAAAUUCUAGCUACCAUCCUAAGUGUUUUAUAUCCCUGCUAAAAUUGAAAAUAUUAAAUAAGAUAAUGUAAGCUAUCUGCUUUGUAUUGAGUUUGUUCAAAACGAGUUAGACCCUUGUUGAGAGAUUUAUCAUGCUCCUAAGAUCAAGACAUUUUUAUUCAGAAAGAUUCACUCUUCCGAAGUAUUAUUGCGUUAGAGGCAUGGGCUAUGCAAAAAUAUGAAUUUCGAGGAAAUAAAAAGGAGCAAGUGCUCGACAACCUCACAAAAAAUGGACAAGUGUCCGGCAGUAGAAUUAGAGGUACCUCGGUAUCUACCUGAAAAGAAAAAAUAAUAUGAGAUGAUAAAAAUAUGAUAAAAGAAAAUGAUAGCCCAUAGUCCCUCUAAUAAGCAAUAUGCCAGCAAGAGUUGACAAGUUUUUAAUUUUCAAAGUCUUUGAUCUAAGAGUAUGGCAUUCCUCUCGUCGUUUCCCGUUUUGAUCAGGCAAUAUGUACAAGGUAAGUAUGCUUGAGAAUUUUUUGCAAAUUAAAACAGCCUACAAAAGAUAAAUGAGCGAUCUGAGAGCACUUAUGAGGAUAAUGGUAUGCUGAAUUUCUUUUCAAAAAUAUACAAAAACUCCAAGUGACAGGGUUGAGAAGAAGAAAGGAUCUCUACUUCGACCAUAUAAUUCCCUAACUACAGUACACAGUUGACUUUUUACAACACCCUGCAGGUAUGAAAAGAAUGCUUUACAAUGUUUUAACCCCAGAUAAUUUUCUGAACCAUCCUUUUCUCGAGGACGAGUAAAAGCCUAAGUAUGGGGGAGUUUGUUGACGGUCCUUAAGUAUCAAAAUUAAUCAUCAAAUAAAUAAGGAAAACGACCUAUACGCAGGCAACACCUAGAAUUACUGUUUGAUCUAAUAGAAUUCCACGAGUUUUGUUGUUUUUCUAUUUCUACAGGGGGUUAUCAGGAAAUAUGGAUGAAAGGCCCACACGUUGGGUUUACAUAGAGAUAUUAACGUGUGCGCCAAUUUUCCUCGGUGUAGAAGAGUCCAAAAGCCACACGAACGAGUGGGAGGCUGAGCGGGCCCAGCCACAGGGCGCCCGCCCUCCUGUGAUGACCAAUCAUAGCGAGUCUCGCGAAUUAUGCUCCGCCGCCUCUGAGGAUUAAGGAAAACUGUUCAAUAAAGGUCGGUUUGAUCCGACGGCCUACGUUCAUUUGAGAGGGCUAUAUAAGCAAGGCCCCUGGCCCUUGGAUCAGGGCAAUCCUAUUAUUCAUUAGCAUAUUUUCCAAAGAGGAUUCAGAGAGAGAGAGAGGUUCCUUUAGGGUUCCAACCUCCUAGGGCUUAGCAUUCAAUGUGAGAUUAGGAUUAGUUCUUCUAGAUUGAGAGAGAUAGAGUGGAGGUGUAGAUCGGAGGAAGCCCGGCCUGUCGGUGUCUACUCCGAGGUUAUACCUACGGGAUCAAGUCUCCUAACCCGAGGCUUGCUCCUAGGAUUCUUCAGUAUUUCGACUUCUAAAUUCUAGUAAGUUCUUUGUUUUAUUGUUCUUUGGUUUAUGAGUUUACUUUAAUCUCUUCGCGUAGAGUUUAGAGUAAUUAUCACUAGCGUAAACAUGGUGUUUGGGCUAGGAUACUCAUAGAUACCCCCUGUCUAGCCGGACCGUGGUAGUAGCAAGAAAUGUGACAUUUCCAUAGCUACCUUUGUAGCCCAUAAUCCCGUUAGCAGGAUCGGUAGGGGUUAUAGGUGCGGGUCAAACAUCCUCUGUGGUGUCUAGAUUUCAUAAGCCUCCCCAAUAGAGCAGUAGAUCAUCCUUACCAAGGUUAGAACAAGGGUGCAGUCGUAGUCUUGUCUAUACAUCGCUCACAUCAAAUCAUAGUGGUUGUAGCCUAAAGGUUAGUAGUAAUAGAUUCGGCUAGUCAGAUGCACGCUUUCUCCUAGUGGUAAAAUAUAAAUAUGAUACUCUAGAUAACCUCCCGGGUGAAGUGCUCACCGAUAUCCACGCGCUUGCGGAUCUUUUCAUAAUUGUGUUACCAAAUAUCAACAAGGGCCAUGAACACUACUUUUUCACCUUGUUUAUGUCACUUCGUCCUAGUGUUCUUUGAUGAUAUCUUGAUAUACAAUUCUUGUUAUGUGAGGUUGCCAUUAUCAGCGCAGACCUCGAGCACGAGGUGCAGCUAGUCCGGCCUCCAAGGGUGUGCAUGGCCUAUAAGAGCCCGAGGAGCCUUAGGGGCUGAAGAGGCCUAAGUUAUGAAGGCAAUUAAGGAUAGAUGAGGAGACUAAGGAAGUAAUAGCUGGCUGGUAGUUAAUAGCUAGAGGAAUUGUUGACACCAUUUUUGGACACGUACCGAGGAUUGGUAGAGUAUAGAUCGGCAAGAUAGGGCAACGGUAAUUGGUAUACAGAAGAGUUGCCGAUGAGGGUGGUUGCCGAUGAGGGGACGGCUGGAUAUGGCUAAGUCCAUGGGUGGUGAUGUGUUUGUGCCGAUGGCCAGCAUUAACCUUUGCCGAUGGCUACGAUGGAGAGUCUGCUGAUAACACGAAAGGAAGACUUGAAGGUUGCCGAUUGGUCUAUGGUGGCGUCCCAGGUUGUCAUAGGGGGAUAGUUUUAUGUUUUUCCUUAGUUAUUUAAAUUGUUUUGUAUACGGAUUCUAUUUAAUUUGGAAUUUGAGUUCUAGUCGUGUCUGGUUGCAGCUCUUUUGAGCAGGGUACAAAUGUGGACCCUAGGGCCUUGUAAUCGAAAUCUAUCAAUCAAUCAAUCAAACACAAGUUUUUACUCAUAUUCCAGUACCUACUUUUUCGACGACUUCGUCAUACUUUUUGCUUUUAUUACGAGUUCUUAGGAAUUCGUCGACUUAAGCUCGGCGUGUUCUCGAGUUCCGCGUGAUCACCUCUUGGCCGUGACAUCCGGGCGCACCGCUAUUGUCAGGACCAAAGUGGUCGAUUUAUCACCUUUGCCGAUAGUAAGGUCAAAUCGGCUGGCACGCCUUAACGUUUGAAUCGGGUAUUAGCCCUUUGUGUUUGCAGAUCCAGCUUUUGCAUCAACACAUCUUUUGGCACGCCUGGUGGGACAAGAUUCAAGAUCAAGAUUGACAUGUCGACUACUGAGUUUGAUCAGGAGAAUGUCAUCCCUGUGACGGAAGCCAAUCUCAAGGAUGAGCAGAAGCAAGCUAUUGCGAAAGCUAUGGAGGAUUACAAGCAGCAAUGUUUGAGAUCCUUCAGUAUCAACAGGAGCGGCGAAGUGAUCCAGAAGGAAGCGCUGCCGAUGCCUCGGCAGGUUACCUUUGAUGCCAAUCCUGGUAAACUUCAAGACAUGGUUGAUAAUGCUAUUAACCAUGCUUUGAUCAAUCAAGCUGGUGUGCUGUCCAAUACGGUUUUCAAUGUCGUGGCUAGAACUUUCAAGGAAGGACAGUUGCCACCAAAUUAUGUGGGCCCUUCUCAUCAUCAGCCAGGAUCACCGGUGGUCACAGCUCCAUCGGCUGCUACAGCCGCUGCGGGCACAGAAACUGCUGUUCCUCCAAUCACGUUAGGAGUUACCAAUGCACAAUCCACGCCGAUGACGACCAAUCCAUCGACCUCAGAUGGGCAGAUUAAGCUUACUACAGAUCUAUUGGCAUCGGCAAUGUCAGGACCGGUUCCUCCUCCUAACUGGUGGGGUUUUGGUAUACCCCCAGAGUUCACGUUGAAGACACCUAGUACAUCUCAGACGGCUGAUAUGAGAGGCAAGGCUCCUAUGGCAUCGGCACCUCCAAACAUGCCGAUGAAUCAGAGUCCCCAGUUCACUACAACUACUACUGCAAGACCUUACACUGGGAAUUCUGAAGCUCCAACUUUCCAGAUGCCUAAUGCAUCGGCAGAUUCAAGGCUGGUGCAACAGAGGUUUAUGACUCAACUAGGGUAUGUCAAUUCAAUGAUGAUGCCCAAUUACCAGUCAUCGGUAGGUCCUAUGCCGAUGAAUGCUAAUAGUGGAUGGCAUGAGCAGCAAGUCUUUCCACAAAUGCCCCAGCAGCACCAUCAAGCUACAGGGUUUCAACAAGGCCAGAUCUACCCCAGGUUCUAGAAUCAGGGAUUGCCCAACCAGCCAAUGAAUCAUGGGCCGCAGAUCGGCGGACAGUAGAUCGGCGGGCAACAGGUUGGUGGUCAGCAGAUGGGUGGCCAAAUGAUUAACACAAUGUUCCAUGCAGAUCGCGCACCGCACAGACACGUGGAAGCUUACCAGCAGAUGCCAGAUCCGCAACCGCCUCAUCGGCAAGAUGUCGAUGCUUAUUGGGCCGAUAAGAUCGCCGAAGUAAUGAGAGACCAAUUUGGGAUAAAACCCAAAGUCAAUACUUACUCUUAUCGGACACCGUAUCCUCCUGCAUAUGAUUUAAUCCCACUUCCAAAUCGGUACAAGGUGCCAGAUUUUACUAAGUUUUCUGGACAGGAUGAUACAUCGACCAUGGAGCACGUUAACAGGUUCAUCAUUCAAUGUGGAGAAGCUGCUAACAGGGACGAGUUGAGGGUUCGCUUAUUCUCGUCAUCAUUAUCUGGAUCGGCUUUCACUUGGUUUAUAUCGUUACCUCCCAACUCAGUGAUUACUUGGGCCGAUCUAGAAAAGCAAUUCCACAUACUUUGUCACAGAACCGACCAAAUUAUAAGAGUUCAAGUGCAGAAACGAUCGACCAGCAAUCAAGUUUCCAAACUUGAGCCCAUAUAAUCCCGGUAGUCAAUUGAAAUCACGAAGGACUUCAAACCAACUCGCAACAAACCAAGAUCGUAAUAGUUCAACAUAAACAUAGUGGAUGUUACAUAGUCAUUCAUUGCCGUCGAAGCGGCAUCACAUCGGAGUCAUUAAGUUAUUACAACCCAAGUUCGAAGUAGCGGAAGCAAAAUAAUUACACACACUUGUUCAAAGUUCAGUUCACAAGUUCUUGUUACUGCCAGAGUCUACACCAUCCUUCCAAAAGCAUCAGAGACGAGAUUGUUAGAGAACUGAGCCCAACGGUUAGUCCUCAUCCCCAGCGGGAUGGAGACAGGUCUUGCAGAAGCCGUCAUAAAAGAUGUCAUCUGCAACAGGUGGGAAUAAACCCUGAGUAUGAGAAUGUACUCAGCUAGACUUACCCAUCUAGUAAAACAUAAAAGACACCAAGGAUCAUGCAAGGCUAAAUAUCAAGUGGAGCUGGUUGACUCACCUUUUGCCAAAAGCUUAACUCACAACUUAAGUUAUUUUGAGAGCAUCAUAUUUAAUUAUCAUCAACCUACCACUAGAUUGGCACCUAUACUACAACACAUCACUUGAUUAUUACAAACAAUAAUAACCAUAUCAAAUUCAUCAUAUGUUCUUCUUGGUAUCAUCAUUUUCAUGAACCAAGUUCAUUAGUGAAUGCUACGUUUGCCGCUGCUCUGUCAAGUUCUCACUAACCGGGAGAGACGGCUAUUCGAAUCGAAUUCCUAUCCAGCUGGAGGGUUAUUCCUAGCACUCACCCAAGCAUCCCCUACCGGAGAGCCAACGGGUCACCUUUGGUACAACUCAGGAAUCGCGGCUCCGAUCAGCGCCGCACUCCCAGGGCUACCACUCUGCCAGGGAGGUGAGGAAUUUUAACUCACCUGCCUUUGGGCUUACGCCAAUGGUCCCCCGCACACCGCACUUCCUCCGGUAGUGUGCACUUUAUACUUGCCGGUCUUCCGGCCUGAGUCACACUACUCGGCUUCGCGGUCGGAACGAGUUAUCCGGCCAACUAAGUGUCAGGCAUGCGUUCAACAUGACAAGAGGACGUACAACGAUCGGUCCUUAGCUGCCACAGAUGGAGUUACUACAAACUUGCAAAACUCCGCCUGGCUUAAGUCAAAUUAAUCAGGUUCCACCCACGAUAGCACAUAUAGACCAUCGCGAUCCGACAUAACCCUAUAUCGCGCAGGUGACAGGAUAUCACCCGACUUCUACCGAUUAAAGCAUAGCUAAGCUGCUAUUCGAUCCUAACUCUACAACCAGGGUAGGGUGAAUUAUCUGGGCAAGGAUAGAGUAGAAUGCACUAAGAGUUUCAUCACAACUCCUAUACGUAAUGCAUCAAUAGAUAUAACAUAUUGAUUAAACUUUUGAAAGUAAAGGGAGACUUAGAAUGCUCCGGGGCUUGCCUUUCACGAACGACACCGGCUCGUGAUUCGGGCACUCAACUUCUUCUUCUGGCUCCUUGAGUUCGGCUUGCUGGACCUCCACCUCUUGGCUGCCCUCCUGACCUUCUGGAUUCGCCUGCAGCUCGUAGGAGACGGUCGCGUCCGAUGCACCUAUUGCAGGCUCGAACAAUAAGAAGAUGCACAUGCUAAAGAUGAAUGCUUAAUAACAUAAGUAACUUACUGGACACUCAAUUACAGAGUAACCUUCUAAGUUAACUUAUAAGAAAUCCACAUGAACAAACAAACUAAGCAAGUUGACUUAUAACAGCAAGCACAUAAACAGAACAGCUCCGAAAACAGAUCAUAACUAUUGCUACAAAGGUCCAACACACUUAAGUGAGGACAUUCUGGAAAGCUUACGAAAUUGUCUACAACUCAUCUUUAAACAUGACAGCCAGAUUCAUAUAUUAAACUAGUCAUUUAAACAAAGUUCCAGGUUCUGUCCCAGAAAAACAGAGAGCACCUAUUUCUGGAACCCAACUUGGAACAGCCAUAACUUUUAAACUACUAGGCCACAUUAUCCCAAAUUUAAACCAUAGCUAGUUCAAUAGAUUUACUACAACUUUGAUUUAGACAAGAUUCCCAGAAAUGCAAGUUAUCAAUAAGCAUUAGUUAAAUUGCUCCCUUGCUGUCCAGAACAGCCUUUAACCCUAUAAUUAAUUAUUUAAAACAUGACCAAGACACAAACCAUGCCAACCACAUGACUUAUGACCACAAGCAUAUUAUAAUACAACCAGAACACCAGAUGGAAACUUCCAAACAUUUACUUAACAAGGCAUCUAUUAAUUAAUUCUAGAAAGAAGCAUAAUUACAAGAUACCUAGUCAAAGUGCUUAGAAAAAUCUACAAAAAUUACAGAAGCACAAGGAUAGCAUCAAAGCUAGGUAUUGCACAUACCAAAUUAAAGAUAUGUAUUUAACAUGUAACUAGGUGCUUAUUUCAUAAAUUGGAAAACAUGACUUAUAUGGUGUCAAACAACAGAUUUCAGAUUAUUUAUAUCUUAGGAAUACCAUAAACAUGUUUACUACCAAAGUAGAACACCAGCAUAAGCACCAAUUAUUUUAUAUGAUUUAAUUAAAGAAACAACCACAUUUCAAUCAUAAAAUAUAUAUCAAAUCUGCAGUACUCCAAAAAUCAUGAAAUAUUUACCAAAGCACUCUAAUACCAAACAGAUACUACCAUAAAAUUUUUAGGGCAAACUAAGCAGUAAAACAAGAGAUAUGAAUUUAUCCAUGAAUAACAAGAUUAAAUACUUAAUAAAUACUUUCCCAGAAAACAUGGUUCAAUUUAUAUUUUUAUUAAAAACUAGCCAUCUCAAGGAAUGCCACAAAAUUUGUUUCACAAUUUUUGGAUCUCAUAAACAGGAGAUAUGAUUUUUGCAAGAAAGCCAAAAAUCAGGAUUUUGAAUAAAAGAAAAGGAGGGAAAGAGGAGACACUGACAGUGGACCCCAUCUGUCAGGUCCUUCUUCCUCGCGGCCGAGGUGACGUUCGCCGGCGAUUUCUCCGCGACGGCGAGGUCUCCGGCCAAACCAGGGGCAUCAGCGUGAUCCCCAAACCCUAGCGACUCGAUUGACCCGCUUUUCCCCACGGCGGAGCCACCGGAAGGGGCUCACCGUCGACGAUGGCGGCUCGGCGGAGGUGCUCGGCGUUACGCCGGAGCCCUCAGGCCGGUAGAGCGCAACCUAAGGCCUUCUACCGCACCAGCGGACUACGGCGAAGCUUCCUAGGUACGCAGCUUGGCUUGGAUCCUCGUGAAACACGCUGGCCACGAGAGCACCCAUCUCCGGCGGAAGCACAGCAGCGCUGCGCACCGUGUCCGGCGACGGAGAGUUCGGUAGAGCGUCCACCACAUGGCGCAAAAGCUCGCUAAGGACCUAAGCUACCUCUAGAACCAAACUAGAGACGACGAGAGGCUUCACAGAGCUCAGCAUUGAGUUCGCUGGAGAAGAAGGUCACGGCGACCCGAUUUGGGGAAAGAAGGAAAUGUCGGCUCACCGGUGGGUUUCUCGGCGAGUUAGAGGGUGGAGAUUGGAGAACGGUUCACGGCAGAGCUUUGGGUGAAGUUUGGUGAGCAAUGGCGCAGCAGGGAACACGCGCGAGCUCGCCGGAGUUCGCUCGCGACGGAGAGCUCACGGCGGCCGCAUUUCGGGCGAGAGGGGCGAGGCAGAGCGAAGUGGACGCGUCCACUCUGCGCGGGGCGUCGCCGUGGACGUCAUGCGCACGCUGGGAGCUGACGAGCGGGGCCAUCGCCGGCGUACGGGCGACAUCUGGCGGACAGAUGGCGCUCUGGCCAUCCACGACGGCGAGCUCGGCCUCGAUUCAGAAGGAACGAUGACAGUCCGACAGAGCAACUUCACCGAUGAUUAUCUCCCAAACCAGCCCGAGUUAGAAGAUGAUGCAGUUGACAAAGUUGGAGUUCCAAACGAGUUCCACAACUUUGUCAACUAGAGAAAAGGCCAGAUCAGCCGGGAUUGAGAGAUAUAGAGUUUUCAAAAUCGAUCGAGCAAACUGGUUUCGUUCCAAGACUUAGAAAAUUUUCUAAGUGUUGGAAACAGCCCCAAAUCUGCCUUGUGAGUCACUCUUGAGCUAUUUGUGAUCAUUUUCAUGAGAUGGCCAUAAAACAACUUUUGUUCCUUAUAACAUUUGCUACAACUUUGCUGUAGGAAGUUUUGACAUGCAAACAUUUUAUGAAACACUUUUUAAAAGCCUAAGCAAAAGAGGUUUCUAGGGUCUAUUUUCAUAGGUAGGACUUAAAGGCAUAUUUUGGAGAUGUGAUCAACAUGAACAUUGUUCCCAAGGUUAAAUUAAGCAUAGAUAAACUAAUUACCAAAGCAUUGAACACAAACACAAGCAUGGUUCACUCAAACAUAAGCAUAGGAAGCCUAUUUAAGCAUUUUAAAACACAUUUUUGCAUAGAAUGACAUGGCUCAAGAUAGAUGAUGAUCAUGGAUGCUUUGAAUAGAUGAUGAUGCUCAUGCUAUGCACAUGAUCAAUGCAACCAUAACACUGGGGUGUUACAGCCCUCCCCCCUUAUAAAAAUCUCAUCCCGAGAUUUGAAAGCUUGCUGAUUUUCGAAGAAUGUUUUGUAAACUUCUCUUAAAUAAUCCUCCGUCUCCCAAGUGGCAUCUUCCUCCCCGUGGUUACUCCACAACACUUUGUAGAGCUUAACCACACGAUUACGCGUCUCCCGUUCCUUGCGAUCCAGAAUCGCUACGGGUAUCUCCUCAUACACCAAGUCGGACUUCAACUUGAUAUCUCGAAUUUCCACUCGCUCCUCCGGUACACGAAGGCACUUCUUCAAUUGUGAGACGUGGAAAACAGGGAAAAUAGCUCGAAGCGCAACUGGGAGUUGAACUUUGUAUGCCACAUUCCCUUUCUUUUCGAGAAUCCGAUAAGGUCCCACAUAGCAAGGUGCAAGCUUUCGCUUGACUCCGAAACUUUGUACACCCUUCAUCAAAGACACCUUGAUGUACACAUGGUCACCAACUGAAAACUCAAUCGGCUUCCUUCUCUUGUCGGCAUAACUUUUCUGACGAGCUUGAGCAGCUUCCAGAUGUUGCUAGAUAAUACGGACUUUCUGCUCCGCUUCGUUCACGAAAUCGAUGCCAUAGUACCUUCGCUCUCCAGCUUCUACCCAAUUCAACGGGGUUCGACACUUUCGACCGUACAGGGCUUCAAAUGGAGCCAUCUUGAUACUCUCCUGGUAACUAUUGUUGUAGGAGAACUCAGCUAAUGGCAACCACUUAACCCAAGAACCUUUUGAAGAGAGAGCACAUGCCCUCAACAUGUCUUCAAGGAUUUGGUUAACUCGUUCAGUUUGUCUAGCUGUUUGGGGAUGAUAAGCAGAGCUGCGGACUAAAUGAGUACCAAUUUGCUCAUGCAGACAUUCCCAAAAACGAGCAGUGAACUGUGGUCCACGAUCAAAUAUGAUUGUUCGAGGCACACCAUACUGACAAACAAUGUGCUCGAAAUACAACUCCGCAUACUGAUGUGGACGAUAGUCAGUUCGGACUGGAAUAAAUCGAGCAACCUUGGUCAAACGAUCUACAAUUACCCAGAUGGAGUCGUAACCCUUAAUAGAAGUUGGGAGUCUACUGAUGAAAUCCAUGCUGACUUCUUUCCAUUUCCAACCAGGGAUUGACAAGAGCUGAAGCAAACCAGCUUUCAUGUGAAUAGCCUUCACACGACAACAAUUGUCACAACGAGCGACAAAAGCAGCAAUCUCCUUUUUCAUCUUUGUCCACCAAAACAAAGGUUUUAAAUCCUGAUACAUCUUGCUACUACCAGGAUGGAUAGACAAUUUGGAUGAAUAAGCUUCCGAUAAGAUCUGAUUUCGCAGCUCGCGGUCUUUUGGGACCACUAGACGAUCCUUGAACCAAAGGAUUCCAUUCUCAUCGACUCGGAAAUGCUUGGUUUCUUCUUCUUUCAUUUUCCUCUUUAUAUGGUGGAUGCCUACAUCUGUGGAGGGUACUCUCCAGAGAAAUCUGGUUGAGCACAAGUGGAUGCAUAAGAUGUGACAACAACGGGUCUUCCCCUUGGAUUGAGUGACAGUGCGUUUUCCGACUCAAGGCGCGAGGUAUAUGCGAUAACGCGACCUUCCUGCAUCAACACACAGCCUAGACCAAUGCCUGAUGCGUCACAAAAGACAUCGAAGGGCUUUUCGAUAUCAGGUUGAGCUAGAACCGGAGCUGAAGUCAGCAACGUCCUCAACUUGUGGAAUGCUUCCUCACACUCAGGCGUCCACACAAACUUCUCAUCUUUCUGAAGUAGACGAGUCAUAGGCUUGGAUAUCUUUGAGAAUUCAGGAAUGAAUCGACGGUAAUAUCCAGCCAGACCAAGAAAACUCCGAACCUCGUGUACCGAAGUUGGAACUUUCCAAUCCAGCACUUCUUGCACCUUAGCUGGAUCCACCGAUAUGCCUUCUUCAGAUAAGACAUGGCCCAAGAAAGGUACUUUCUUCAGCCAAAACUCGCAUUUGCUAAACUUGGCAUAAAGCUGAUGUUCGCGCAAACGCGACAACACUACACGCAGAUGCUCUGCAUGCUCCUCUUCAUUGCAGGAAUAUACCAAGAUAUCAUCAAUGAAGACCACCACAAACUUGUCCAAUUCGGGCAUGAACACCGAAUUCAUGAGAUACAUGAAGUGAGCAGGUGCAUUCGUGAGACCGAAGGACAUGACGAGAUACUCAUACAACCCAUACCUUGUCGAGAAAGCUGUCUUAGGUACAUCUUCAGGACGAAUCUUGAUCUGAUGGUACCCAGAUCGCAAAUCAAUCUUGGAGAAUACCUUGGCUUUAGACAACUGAUCAAACAAGACAUCAAUGCGAGGAAGAGGGUAUUUGUUCUUGAUAGUCACCGCAUUUAGGGGACGAUAGUCCACACACAUGCGCAACGAUUGAUCCUUCUUCUUCACAAAGAUAGCCGGACAACCCCAAGGAGAAGAACUAGGAUGAAUAAGACCCUUCUUCAACAACUCAUUUAGUUGGGUCUUAAGCUCAACUAAUUCAUUGGGUGGCAUUCUAUAAGGCCUUCUAGAGAUAGGAGCGGUACCUGGAAUCAAUUCAAUUUUGAACUCCACAUCCUGAUCCAGAGGAAGCCCGGGUAAAUCAUCAGGAAAUACAUCCGGAAACUCACACACCACCGGAAUAUCCUGAAUAGCCUUAGAUGUAACUGCAUUCACAGUGCUACAGAUUUGAAUAUCACGAGGAAGUUGCACUAGAAAUGCCUCCUUGGUGUUUGGGUCUUUCAACAUCACUACACGAGUGGUGGUGUCGAUAAGAACUCCAUUACCACUCAUCCACUUCAUCCCCAGAAUUACAUCUAUGCCCACACCGGGUAGAACAACCAAAUCAGCAAGGAACUGACGGUCUCCUAUUUCCAGAGUUGCCCCCAAAACCACUUGAUUGGUGGAAAUAUCAUUUCCCGCAGCACUAAUACAAUAACUGCCCUUAUCAAGUGUAAUGGCCUUGAUGCUAUGCUUAGACACAAAUUCAGAACUCACAAAGGAAUGCGAUGCUCCAGAAUCAAAAAGCACGAGUGCAUCAUGUUGAUUGAUCAGAAACUUACCAGCCGUGACUACCUCACCAGCAGGGAUUGCUUCCACAGUGGUGUAGUGAACACGCCCCUGACGGACAUUCCCUGGGUGGCCCUUCUUCGGCGAGUAAGGACAGUUGCUCUGCCAAUGCCCGGUCUGAUUGCAGUUCCAGCACGGACGGUUGGCACGCGGAGUCUCGGCAUAGUUGGGACCCGUGUUGCCCCUAGGAAGAGCAAUAGAGUACCCUUGCGAAAACCUGUCUUUGCCUGAUUCUUCUUCACCGGAGGGCGGUACCGCUGGUUAGGCGUUGGAGCACGAAACGGUGGCUUAGCUGCCACUGGAGCCUUGGACUGAGAUGACCCUGUCCCGGCCUCAAAAGCCCUCUUGCGAGUCUUGGUCGCAGUGUACACAGUGUUAUAGUUCUCUUGAGUGAGAGCAUCACUGACAAACACAUUGAAAGUUGCACACUUAGUGCGGCCCAUAGUCUUCAGCAAUUUGGGUCCCAAACCCCGCUUGAAACUAGCAAUCUUUUUCGUCUCCGUGUUCACAAACUCAGGAGCAUACCUAGACAAAUGAUUGAAAGCAUGCAAAUACUCCUUCAAAGUCCUGUUGCCCUGAGUUAACUGCAUGAACUCAGUAUGCUUCAUCUCCAUGACCCCAGGAGGAAUGAAAUGCCCUUUAAAAGCAUCACGGAAAAGAUUCCAAUCAAGCACGGUGUUGGCGGAAAGAGCUUCUCGAUACUGAUUCCACCAGAUGCCUGCGGGGCCCUGCAGUUGAUGAGCUGCAUACUCUGCCUUCAAACCUUCAGUCAACCGAAGCAAGCGGAACUUUUGUUCCACCGUGUUCAGCCAUUCUUCCGCUUGAAGGGGUUCUUCAGCUUCUCUGAAAGAUGGGUGCUUUGUAUCCAUGAAAUCCUUUGUUAUUCAUUCUGAUCAUUAAGCUUUGAAGUACUUGAAAGGACAAGCAAAGCUGAACCGUCGACAUUCUAAAUGGAUUGAGUUCAUCAAAACAUUUCCAUACAUUGUAAAAUACAAGAAAGGUAAGGACAAUGUGGUUGUUGAUGCUUUGUCUCGAAAGAGUGUGUUGUUGAACCAACUUAAGCUAAAAGUUUUUGGUCUGGAAAGUCUAAAAGAUAUGUAUAAUAAUGAUGCUGAAUUUUUAGAACCAUAUAAUCAUUGCCAAGAUGGAAAAAGUUGGGAAAAAUAUCACAUACAUGAUGGUUUUCUGUUUAGAGCUAACAAACUGUGUGUUCCAAAUUCUUCGGUUAGAUUGCUUUUGUUACAGGAAUCAUAUGGAGGUGGGCUAACAGGUCACUUUGGACAAAAGAAAACAUUUGGACUGCUUGACACUUCAGAGUCGAGGACGACUCCUUUUCAAGGGGAGAAGGAUGAUAUGACCAUGCCACCGAGCAAGAUGUCACAAGCUCUAAGUCAAGCUACACCCAGUCAUGUUUCACUUACACCGACACCAGCCCAAGUCAUCGAUGGACCGAUUAUACGUAGUCGUGCAAUGAGGCUACAACAAGAGGUCCAUGCGCUACUUUGUGAGAUUCAUUUUAAUAUUAAUCAGAAUUAUAUACUACCUAAGUGUUGUACCUUGAUUGUACUCAGGUGUAUAGAAGAAGAGAAGGAGGAAUCAGACCCUGAAGAUGGACUUGCAAAUCGGACCACUAGAGAGAAGAAUGGACCAGUGCACGAUUAGACCAGUAGAAUCAAGAACGGACUAGUGCAAAGAAAUCUUCAUAACUUUUUACUCACAAAAGCUAUGAAGGUCCAUUAGGACUUGUUGGAAAGCUUGUCGAGUCUACUUUCCAGUGAUUCUAGUGGCGACCAGUUUGGAUACUCCAUAUUGUCUGUAGACCAGAAUUAGUAUAGACUGCUGAGAAGGUCAACAGUCUGUCGUGACAGAAUGUUUGUACAACUUGCCAAGUAAAACUAUACCAAACUACAAUGUUUCGUGCUGGUUGGCGUACAUUGCUGGGAAGCCCUCUGAGUUUAGUUUCACACCCAAGAAACGGUUUAUCAUUUGGACUUCCCAAUAAGAAGUUAUGGUCAGUUUAUUGGAAACUGCUAUGGAGGCCAACAGUCACACGAAGCCAGUUCGGGAAUCCAUUCUGAGGGGACCUUUCACAUUGCCUUCCCUCAGAAACUCUAUUUUGUUUUCAUACCUAUCUAGUAGGGCAGUUGCUAGUAUAAAUACCCCCUAAGACUCAUUAUAAUCUAAGACUUUUGAUAAUUGAAAUACAGAACCCCUUUUAUUUAGUUGUGUGCUAACAAAUAUUUAGAGAGUGAUCUCUACCCCUUGCUCUUGUUAUUUCCUCGUAGGAUUGCAGAAGCGGCACCUUCAUCCGCUCCCAACUGGUGCUCCUACUCCCUUGAAGGUAUUCCUUGAUUAAUUGUAGGCUGUGUUGGUUGGUUCCUUGAGAGUGUGGUUGGGCAAAUCCUCGAUUCAGGUUGUCGGUUAAAGAUGGUGGUUGGCUUCGAGUUUUAUUUACCAGGUUGCACUAGUUAUCGCUACUUGCAGCAAGUUAUUCGGCUGUUCUUCAGCUAGUUAUCGCUGUUCUUCCUACGUCGUAAAGAUCGGGACAACGUGUCGCAUCAAAGGACCACCAGUCAUUUACCCUUCAUCAGUUGGUGCCGUCACGCUCUAAUAAUAAAGUUAAUAUUCUAAGGUAAGUGGUCACUCUAUUCUCUUGAUCUUGGUGCGCACAUAAGUAAAGACACAAACAUAUUAGACUUACAACAUAAAUUGAUUAACUCAAUAUGCUUUGCUCUUUAAAAUUGUUCAUGGCACCAUUCUCUUAAUCUCAGUCUUAACUGAACAAGUUAAAAUAUUAUAUUCAAUCUUGGGAAGAUGAUAGUCAUCCUUAUUUGAAAAUUUAUAUAGAGAUAGAUAAUCGUUCCAUUCGUUAAGCAAUUUCAUUAUUUUCUAUCAUGUAAAUGCAACACUAAAUGCUUAAUUUUUUGAUCUUACCACUCAUAAAUAAAUAAAUCAUGUAACACAACUUUAUCUUGUUUAAUGUGCCUAAGGAUAGAGAAAAAUAAAUAAAGAAACAGAUUUGGUUUUGAUGGUGUUUUCCACCAGCAGAGCCAAUGCACUUGAUCUCUACCUUAGUUUUUUAAACAGGACAACACAUCAAGCAAAGUUUAUUAAUUCUACAAGUCAAAGUUCUGUGAAUAUGCACACUGAGCAAGAUGCUGCCAGCUACUAUUAACUCUCCUUCAACCUGCUAGCCAAAUCAAAGAACAAAGGUUACAUCAUCAUCACUAGAGGUAUGCAACUAACAAGACCUCCAUCUCUCAAGAUGGAGAGAUACACAAGAGUGGAAGAAGUCCUUCGGUAAAUUUUAAAAUUUUUAUAUUCUUGCCAUAAUGUAAUAUGGUAGUUAUAUAUUUAAUUAGUAUUUCUUUCUACAUUAAUAAAUUUACCUUAACAUAUUCAUCUUCAUAAAUACUAAAAAUAAAAUAAAAUAAAAUAAAAAUCUUUAUUCCUUCAUUUACUACAUCAUAAAAAACCUAAGCCCCAUAAGAAUAAAUAUUCUCUGUGGAGGCAUAAAAAUACAACUAUAUAUAUCAUGCACACAUAUUUAAUUUCUACAUAAUUAAACUAGAAAAUCCUAAAAAAAGAGAAUCCUGCUAGAAUCUAUCAAUUCAAAUCAACUCAAAGAAUAAUAAAUCACUUAUUGGCUGACCCCUAACCCAUUAUUAAAUUCGAGCCUCGAGUUUUGGUUUUCCUUUUGGAGUGUAAUUAUGCAGGAACAACAUUAUGACAAGGAGAGAGUCUAUUAGUGGCACCCACCUAGAGCGCUGCCGGUUAGCUCGCUCUGAAGAUCAUCAACACCACUAUUGCAAACAUCUAGCUUAGGGGAGGAGCAUCACCUAGUUAUCAGGUAACUAUACCUACGCGAUUAUCGAGUCUAUUUUAUAUGGUCACAAAAUACCAAAAAUAUGUGAGCACAUGAAAGUUCACAAUAGGAUCAUAAGAAAAUAUAAAAAUACCAAAAAUAUAUGGGCACAUGAAGAUCCAUGUCUUUAAGUCUUAUGAUCCAAUAGAAAUAAAAAGAUGGAUAAUAAUUGAAAAUAAAAAACAAAAUACUUAUCUAUAUAUUAAGGUGUGAUCAUAGAGUGUGUCUACAGUGAGUCUAGUUUAGAGUCAAAUAAAAAUUAGAGAACAUUAAAAUUUUGUCUUCGAGAUGAUGAAUAGUUGCUCUAUAGUAAUUCCUUUCAAGUGCCUAGUUUUCAACCAUGAAUUCUCCUGAGUUUUAGACAUGACCACUUUAAUAUAAGAAUUUACUCUGAACUUAAAAUUUGUGGAGGCAUUUGUUUAAGCUGAGUCUAGGUAAUUGAUAUUGUACAUGAAGGUCUAAGCUGCUAUUUAUCUUAUUCCUAGCAUUACUAAGUUUUGGAGAUUUAGUUUCAACAAAACCAAAAUCUUAUAUGACGAGCUCUUGUAUGAUAAAUGUCAAAUUCCUACCAAAGCCAUACGAUACAUUUAGAGUUAGGAAAACCUUUCCACAUUCAUGUUGCUUGCUUUACAUUGAGUUUAGUCAACCUUUGGAGUAUACCUUAUGAGAGUCUUGUCAUGCUUUUAAAAAUAAGAUCACUUACGCACUCCACCCAUAUAUGCAAUACUCCUACUCUGGGAUGUAAGCCUAGUCAUUUCCACUUUCAUCCAGAUCCACCUUAAAAAUAUUUUCUCCUACACUAGGAGUAAACACCCAAAAAUAUACCCUAUAGGACAGCCCCCAUUUAACUGCUCUAAGUUCUUAUCAUUAUCUAUCCGAUUAUUUAUAUUCAAAGGAUGCAUGUGGCUAUGCAAAAGUAUUGAAAAAAAUAAGAGAAGAAGAAAUGUGGGAGUAAAAGAUGGAGAAGUGUCCCAACAAUUAAAACAAUGGGUACACAGAUGCCCGCCUCCCAUAUUAAAAAAAGAAAAAGGAAAAAUAAGAAAGAAAGAAAUAAUAAAUAUAUUCCUGCGAAAAGUUCUAAGGAGGGCGUAAUUUUCAAAGAACAAAUGUAGAAUUAGGAUUAGCCACUAAAUACUAUAUAUACACCUAUCCACCAUAUUCCAUACACAUACACAUCUUGAUUUGAUUGUAUGCCUCGAUUCUCUAUGGAUCCAUUGUUUGAUAUUACAGUAUAUGAAAUGCAAGUAUGUUCAUCCUUGUUAUUGCCACUCCUAUAAGCUCCACUAUAUAUAUCCUUAGUUGCAGGAAGGCAUCCUCAGCGAGAUCCAUAAAUACUACAUAAUAAGAGACUUGAGGAUGUCAUACAAUCAUGCUUUGAGCUUUAUUUUGAAAACUUGCAAAACUCUAGAAUAUUGGUACUGUGAAGAAUUUGAGACAUAGUGCUUGACUUGAUUGUUCUAUCUUUUGAUUACUCAAGACUUAUGCAAAAGUUGUAAUGCUCUAUGUUUAAAGGUAAAAUGGGUAAGUUUGAAAGUUAGAUCGGAGGAAAAUUUAUGGUUAAAAACAAAUGUACUUAAAAGAAAUGAAAGUAUUAUAGCAACUCCUGAUCCAAGUUUAUUAAUAAUUAGAUCUAGGUUGUUUGCCAAGGGAUGGGCAAAAGGUAAGCUUGGGGGAAUUGUUGACGGUCGAUAAUGUUCAUAUUUAUUAGAACUUUCGACAUGAAAGGAUACAGGAAUACACACUAGUCUAGGGUUUUAACUGACAACUUCCACGAGUUUUGGUGGUUCUAUAUUUUCUAGGGAUUAUUCAAGAAAAGCAUAAAAGAGGGGAUUAUAGUGCAUAAUUACCACGAAACUUAUCCACAAUGGAAAACAUCACGAGAAGACUCAGGAAUAGUCUAGAAGACACUCGAAGGAGUGGGGCCUACAGGGGAGCCUAGGUGGGGCCGGCCGGACCCACCCUAGGGCCGGUCGACGCCCUUGGUCAACCGAUGGCCGCCGCCUUCUAGAGUCUUCCUCCUACGCCUCAUUAGAAGCCAAGCAAAGUAUCGCUACGUUGAUUCUAGGGUCAGUUUGAUCCGACGGUGCAUGCAAGACGAAGACGUGGAUCAAUGAUGUGGCGGUUCCUUGCCCCCUUACUCCACCUCGGGCUAUAUAAUGAUGCCCCAAGGCCCCUCCAAGAGGCAUUCUACACCCCGGUGCUCCAUAUUCUCUACAUAAUUAGGGUUAGGGUCCCUCUACUCGAUCUAGUUCUAGUUCAUCUAGAUCUAGUUCAUCUAGAUCUAGUUCAUCUAGAUGUAGCAAUUAGGAGAGACUAGUUAUUCUAGAUCUAGUCUUGUUUAGAGAUUAGAGAGAUUGAGUAGAGCAGUAGAGAUUCUGGAGGAGUUCCUGCCAGUCGACGCUUCUGCGUGGCUAUAUUCUUCUGGAUUUACCUCCCUCGCCAGCAGCUGCAUUCUUAGGUACUUUUGUACUUACCAUUCCAAUUUAAGUAAGCAACUUGUUCUUAUUCAUUCUUUGGUUCACAACUCAUAUUGAGUGCUUUGAUCUUGGUCAUUACAUAGUUCAAGUAGUAUUUCAUAGUGUAAGCAUGGUGCCUAGGCUAGGUUUACUUGUGAAUGUCUCUUGAUUAGCCGAACUGUAGUAGCUCACAGAGGUGACUUUAUAGCUGCGUUGAAUCCUCUGUAGUCCACAUCCCGUUGAUAGGACUGAUAGGCUUAUAGGUGCCUGGUAGGAGAUUACUCUAUUUCUUCUCCUAUUCGGGUUACUUGUCCAAUAAGAUGAUAUUAUACAAAGUUUACCAGAGUCAGAACUAGACUGCAUUAGCUAUUUCCUUAUUCUUGGUAUGAUCUAGCCUAAUUGUAGGGCUAAGUCUAUAUACUUUGUCAUCAUCACAAUUGUUCCAUGUGGAUACAAUAUUUAAAUCCUCCGUGUAAAAUGUGACACUGGUAUGAUAUCUGUGCGCUUCUGGAUAAUCCUACUUAAAACAUAUUUAAUGGAGUGCAGUUAAUUUAUACCAACAAUCCUCCUGAAGUAGUGUCGAGCAACUUUCUACUUUCUCUACUUAUACCUUUAUAAAAAUGUUAUAGAAGAAUAGGGUCUGGUAGACUAAGGUCUGGGCCGGAUGCUAAAAGUGUAGUAAAUUGAUUCCAGGCUAAAGCCAAGGACUCUUUAGAUUCUUGCUUUGUAGUGAGAACCUUGACUCUAAGGUCGAUGAUUUGGGAGAUGGGAUAAAAAUCUAGGCAAAAAUUGGAAUGUAAGGAUCCCCAAUCUCCUUGUUGCUUACCUACGGCUCCAUUAUACCAUUGUCUAGCUUUUCACUUUAAUGAAAAAGGAAACAACUUCCAAUGGAGAGUUUCAUCAGAUAUUCCUUCAAUGCAAAGAUAGUCACAUGUUUGCUCAAAUUCUCCAGUGUGUAGGUAAGGAUUUUCAUCUACUUCUCCUAAAAAAGAUAGGCUUUGCACCAACACAAUCAACCAUGGACUCAGCCUAUAUCUACAUGUUUGGAUAGGUUGUGGUGACUCAUGUUGCACUAAGCUGGUCUUCGUUGGUGUAGAGGACUGGAGGAUAGGAAUGGAAUUUAAGGUAUCCAUAAAAGAAAAGGUAAGAUAAAAAAGAUAAAAGUGUGAUACAAGGUAGAGUAAGAUAAGGUUAUCAAAGCAGACUGUCUUUCUCACCGACAACGACGCCAGAAAAGCUUGUUGAUAUUAGUUAUGCACACAAAAGAAUCAAAGAGAAAUAAUCUGCAAGCGCACGGAUAUCGGUGAUCACUUCAUCUGGGAGAUAAGUCUAGAGUAUCGUAUUUAUUUUUUUACCACUAGGAGAAAGAGUGCAAAAGACUAAUCUUUUACCUUACCUACUACCCACGGGUUGCAAGACAUGAUAGGGAGAUAUAGGCGAUAUAGAGAGAACUCUUUCUUCAUUCUUCUUCUAACCUAUGGUAAGUGUGUAGAUAUUGUUCUAAGGGGAGUUACUAGAGAAAAGAGACAACUCAAAUAGUGCUUAACCCUUGUGCCAUACACCCUACCUUCCCUCCUAACGGGAUGUGGAUUACUAAGACCCAAGUGGAUUGUUGUAACACCCCAGUGUUAUGGUUGCAUCCUUUCACAUACAUAACAUGAGCAUAAUCAUCUUCAUAAUCAUACCAUGAUCACCAUUCACCUUGGAGCAUGUCAUUUUAUGCAUAGAUGUUGCUUAACUUGCUUGUUUAUGCCCUCUAUGCUUAUAUUUGUUUGUGCCAUGCUCUUGUUUGUGUCCUAGGCCUUGGUAAGUAGUUCAACUAUGCUUAACUCAACCUUUGGAACAAUGUUCAUUUUGGUCAUAUCUUCAAAAGAUGUCUCUAAGUCAUACUUUCACUCAUAGGCCCUAUAAACCUCUUUUCCUUAGGCUUUUAAAAAGUGUUUCAUAAAUUGUUUGCAUGACCAAACUUCCUAAAGGAACGUUGUAGAAAAUUGUAUAAGGAACAAAAGUUGUUUUAUGGCCAUCUCAUGAAAAUGACCACAACUUCCUCAAAAGGGCUCAUAAGGCAGAUUUGGGGGCUGUUUUGACACUUAGCAAAAUUUUGCUAAGUCCUGGUGCCCCCAGUUUGCCUAAACGUUUUUGGAAACCCCAUAUCUUUUCAUCCAGGCCGAAUUGGUCUUUGCUCCAGUCGACAAACUUGUAGAACUCAGCUAGUACUCCAAGAGUGUCAAUUACACCAUCUCCUAAUUUGCCACGGUUUGGGAGAUAAUCAGCUCCAAAGUACCUCUGUGAGUCUUUGAAAACCAGCUCUGAAUGGACAUAGUCCCCGUCGACGUGGCCGACCGGCGACAGUGUUUGAGCGACAUUUGGCGACCAUACGCCGUAUCUAGCCCCGCUCGUCAGCGCUGAUGGCUUGCAUGACCUCCAUGGCAUCGCCCUCGAGCUCCUGGAUGCAUCCAUUCCCUCUCUCUCGCCCUUCUCGCACUGAAACUCGGCCACAGCGGAGGCGGUGUCGUCGGGCUCACUCCGACGAGCUCGAGCGCGCUCCACACUGCAUCGCCAUCCACCAAAGCUCGCCCACAGCUCUGCGGUGCUCUGCUCUCCAACUUCCAUCUUCAAGCUCGCCGUGAAACCAUCUGGAGAGCCGCCAUUUUCAUCUUUCCCCAAAUUGGGUCGCCGGAACAGUUUUCUCCGGCCAGCCCAAUGCUGAGCUCCUCGGAGCCCCUCUUCUUCUCCAGUUUGUCUCUCUGGGUAGCUUAGGGUCUUAGAUAGCUAGUGAGCCAACCCUAGAGCGCUCUACCGCACUCAUCGGUGAUGAAAACGGCAGCGCAGCGCCACCGUGCUCUCGCCGGAGCACCACCUUCAAGUGGCCAGGCUUGCCUGAGCCCUCUCCGGUCGAGCUCUCCACCUAGGAAGCUCCGCCGUGACUCACUGGUGCUAUAGGAAACCCAAGGGCACGCUCUACCGGCUUGAGAGCUCCGGCGUAUCGCCGAGCAUCUCCACCGAGACGCCAUGGUCGGCGGCAAGCCCCUUCCGGUGGCUCCGCCGUGGGGAAAAGGGGGUCAAUCGGUUCGCAAGUGACCUGGGAUCAUGUUGGUGUCCUAAGUUUGGUCGGAGAUCUUGCCGUCACAGAGAAAUCGCCGGCGAAUUUCGUCUCGGUCGAGAGGAAAAAGAACCUGACAUGUGGGUCCCGCUAUCAGUGGCUCAACUGCUCCCUCCUCCCAUUUAUUUAAAAUCCAGAUUUCUUGCAAUCUUGCAAAAAUCAUAUCUUCAGUUCCUGAGCUCCAAAAAUUGUGAAACAAAUUUUGUGAUGAUACAUGGGAUGGCUAGUUUUUAAUAAAAAAUAUAAUUGUUAUGAAUUAAUCCUGUUAUUUCAAUGUAAAUUCAUAUCUCUUGAUAUACUGCUCCAAAUGCUGCGAAAUUUUUAUACUAUGCUUUGGGUAGUCUUAGAAUGCUCUAGUAAAUAUUGCAUGAUUUUUGGAGUGUUGUAUCUCUGAUAUGUAAUUUAUGUUCAUACUAUUGCUUAAAUCCAUGUUUAAAUCAUAUUAAAUGUUACAUGCUUAUGUUGAUGUUCUCCUUUGCUGUCAAGCUUGUUCAUAGUAGUAGUAUCAUGUAAAUAAUCUGAAAUAUGUUGUUUGACACUAUUUAAGCCAUGUUUCUUAAUUUAUGAAAUAAGUGCCUUGUUACAUGUUAAUUAAAUAUCUUAAGCUUGGCAUGUGUGAUUGCUCUUAAAAUUUUAUGGCAAUGUCAACGUACCUUGCUUAUGCUUCUGUAAUGUUUGUACAUUUUUCUGAAUACUCUUGCUGGUAUCUUUUAAUUAUGCCCCUUUAUGAAAUUAAAUUAAUAAAUGCCUUUUAAUUAAGUGUGUAGUAGUUAACAUGUGGUUUUCUGGUAAUCUUGGGUCAUGCAUGUUCUUAUGAGUCACUUGGUUAGUACUAAAUAUGUAUUUUCUAUGUCAACAAAUAAUUAAUUAAAGGAUAUUUAGCUGUAUUGGACAGCAAGGGAGUAAUCUGGUUAUUGUCUAAUGAUAACUUUGUUUUCUGAAUGACUUGUCUGUACCAAAAAUGUUGUAAACUUUAUAUGCUAGCUGCAGUUUAAAUUUGGGGUCAUUUGGCCCAGUAAUUUAAGGUUUAUGGCUUUUCCAAGUUGAAUUCCAGAACUAGGUGCUCUCUGUCUUUCUGGAACAGAACCUGGAUCUUUGUUUAUUUGACCUUUUUAACUUGUGAAUCUUGCUGAGAUGUCUAAAGGUGAAAUAUAAACAAUUUCAUAAGCUUUCAGAAUGUCUUCAUUCAUGUUUGUUGGAUCUAUAUAUCUCUAGUUAUGAAUUGUUCUUUAAGCGGCUCUGUUAAUUAGUUGUUGCUGUUGAAUUGUGUAAGUUGGUGUGUCCUUGUUAGUUGUGGUGGUACUUUUUGUGAGAUUGUAUAGGAGCUUACUCCUUAAAUGAGUGUCCAGUGAAGUAUGUAAUCAUGUUUGCCAAAGCAUUCAUCAUUCUCUUCAUGUGCAUCCAUUCCUUAUUCAUUCACGCAUGCAAUAGGUGCACCGGAAACUGCGACCUCGUUCGAGCUCGAGCGGGUGAAUCCCGAAGGCCCAGAGGUCACCCAAAAGACGGAGGCCCAGCCAGCAGGACCCGAGGAGCCCGAAGAGGAGGUUGAGUGCCCUAGUCAUGAGCCUGCUUCGUUCGUGAAAGGCAAGCACCAGAGCAUCUUAAGUCUCCCACUUUAAUUUCAAAGCAUACUUGAUUAUGAUAUCUAUUGAUGCAUUACGUAUAGGUGUUGUGAUGGAACUCUUGCUGCAUUAUACACUUCCUUGUCCGGAUAUCUUAUCAUACCUUGUUGUAGAUUUAGGAUCGAGUAGCAGCUUAGCUUUUGCUUUAAUCGGUAGAAGUCAGGUGAUAGACUAUCACCUGCGCGAAAUAGGGUCUGUUGUUGGAUCACGAUUGGCUAUAUGUGCUAUCGUGGUAAAGAACCUGGUUUAAAAUGACUUAAGCCGGGUGGAGUUUUGCAAGGUGGUAGUAACUCUGUCUGUGGCAGCUAAGGACCGAUUAUUGUACGUCCUCUUGUCAUGUUGAACGCAUAUCUGACACUUAGUUGGCCGGAUAACUCGUUCCGACCGCGAAGCCUAGUAGUAUGACUCAGGCCGAAAGACCGACAAGUAUAAAGUGCGCACUACCGGAGGAAGUGCGGUGUGCGGGGGGCCAUUGGCGUAAGACCAAGGGCAGGUGAUUUAAAAGUCCUGAUCUUCCUGGCAGAGUGGCAGUCCUAGGAGUGCUGCGCUGAUCGGAGCCGCGAUUCCUGAGUCGUACCAAAGGUGACCUGCUUGCUCUCCGACGCGGGAUGCAUGGGUGAGUGCUAGGAAUAACCCUCUAGUUGGAUAGGAAUCAAUUCGAAUCGUCGUCUCUCCCAGAUAGUGAGAACUUGAGAGAGCAGCGGCAAACGUAGCAUUCACUAAGUACUAAUGGUUCUUAAUGAUGAUGUUGAGGAUAGCAAGAAAGAACAUAUGAUGAAACUUGAUAUGGUUAUUAUUGUUUGUUAAUAAUCAAGUGAAGUGCUUAGUCUAGGUGCUAACCUAGUGGUAGGUUAAUGAUAAUCAAUAUGAUGCUUAUAAGAAUGGUUUAUUAUCCAAUCUAAGCUUUGUGGCAAAAAGGUAUAAGUCAGGCCAGCUACAAUUUAUACUCAGCCUUGCAUGAUCCUUGAUGUCUUUUAUUUUGGUUAGACGGGUAAGUCUAGCUGAGUACAUCCUCGUACUCAGGGUUUAUUUCCCCACCAGUUGUAGAUGACAUCUUCUAUGAUGGUUUCUGCAAGACCUGCCUUCAUCCCGCUGGGGAUGAGGACUAAACCGUGGGCGCGGUUCUCUAACGACUUCGUACCCCAGAUGCUUUUGGUGGAUGUGAUGAUACUCUAGCUAUAACAAGAACUUGUGAAAUGUGGGUGUAAAAACUAUGUUGCUUCCGCUAUUUCAAACUUGUGUUGUAAUAACUUAAGUAACUCCGGUGUGGUGCCGCUUCGUCGGCAAUGAAUGAACUAUGUAACACUCGUUGUAUUGUGUUGAACUAUUACGAUAUUGGUAUGUUGCAAAGUUGGUUUGAAAUCCUUCAUGAUUUCGGUUGACUACUGAGAUUAUAUGGGCUCAAGUCUGAAAACUUGAUUGCUAGUUCGAUCGUUUCUACACUUGAACUCUUAUAAUUUGGUUGGUUAUUCGACAGCUGGCAUCGGAGCAAGUUUAGCGUUAAAAUAUAGCGUUUGUGUAUUUAAAAACAAAAGAGUUUUUAAAAUAAAGUGUAAAAAUCAGCACCUAAAGUAUGCUAGUGGUCGAAUCCUCCUUGCCCAUAUAAGGACUCUAGGUGGCUAUUUAAGUACUGACUUGGGUGGUUUUAAUUAUGCAUCUCCGGCAGUACUUAGGUAUGGAUGUGUGAUGACCGCACUAUGCUACCCUGUGGUCUAAUGGUAGAGGUAGCCUUCAUAUGUGAAUUAGCCACAUAUGUCGUUAGAUUUAAAUUAUGCAUUAUCGCACCUACGCUGAGGUAGGUGUGAGCUGUGAGAGCAUGAUCGUCCAAACGGCGAUCUAGGGGAGUGUUUGCGAUGGAUUUCUGGAGUGGUUGCAUGUCAAACCAUGGGAGCACGAAAGAAACUUCACUGGGGAGUAUUUAAAUUCUCGGGUAGAUGUGGUGUCAUUGUUGAUGCAUGCUGGGGCAUGUAUAAGCAGUGUGCACUUAGUUUACUGCUUUCUCGAGUGAGAUAUUGGAAUUGUUGGGCUGCAAUGAAGUUUUAUGCAGGUACUCUAAUAGCGCGUGUGUAAAUCGAUAGUUACAGUAUCGAGAUAUGAAUGUGUGCCACCGUAUACCGUUAGAAUAAUAAUUUUUCUAAGUUCGUGAGGACGUACGGGUCGUGCAUGCAUCAUAUCACAUUCAUACAUACAUUCCCUUAUAAUAUCAUUCCUUUUUAAUUAAUAAAUGUUGCUUAAAUAAUCCUCUCUCACCCACAGUUAAUCCUUUCCACAGAUGGAUGUGCCCGCCUCACCUCUCCCGAGUGACACCUUUCUAAGCGAGUUUGGCACUCCUACUCUACUUUCGAGGGUGCUGCAGUUCGAUAUGAGAGGAGACUUGCAAUGGUUCACUGUGCAGGGAGUUGUCCCACCACAUGGUGUUAGGCCUGCAUGGACAGGAUGGACCUGCAACUCAGAUGGGCAAACCCCAUGGGAAGCAGCUUAGGUUGUGGCCCAUGCUAUGGUGCUCAACAUCUGUCAGAGGUUUGGUGAUGAGCUGACACGAGGGCCAGCGGCCUACAUUCCCCAUGCUGACCUAGCAGUGGCGGAGUGGAAGCAGGCUGAUGGAUGUGCAUUGGUCCGAGGUCAAGGAGAGCGAGCUGAGAGCUCUAGUCCUGCUAUGAGCGCUAUGAUGGUUGUGCUCAAGCUGUUCACUCAGCGAGAGGACACCUAUGCACAAGUGAUGGGUGCUGUUCGCCAGGCUUAGGAGAUGCAUCAGAAGGCUGAAAAGCAUGCUCGCAAUUUCGCAAGCAAGCUAGACUCCUUGAGCAGGCCCAGAAGGACUGCAAUGACUGGGAGGACAUUGCGGAGUAUCGUAGGACGUAGUGGGUGAUGGCCACUAGAGAGAGAGAUCAUAAGCAGGUGCAGAUGAGUGAGUUGGCUAGGGAGAAGGAGACCAUGCAGGAGCGCCUGGUGCAGAUCACUCAAGAGAGGGAUACUGCACUAUGUGUGUCGGAGAACAGGCACCGGGCAUGGGAGAUGCAUCGUAUCCAUUCGGUUGAGCAGGAGAACUAUCUGCAGGAUCAGAUUGAGGCUGGUCUUGUGGAGAUUCAAUGCCUCAACAACGUGCUACACCCUAUUCCUUGCCCUGUACCAGUUUACCCGUAGGUGGGACCUCAGGUGAUCGUGGCCGAUGACGAUGGUAUGGAGGUAGAUGGACCAGCUGUGGCUGCACCACCCUUACACGAGGACGUGGAGGACGAGGAGCUUGAACUGGUUAGCGACGAGGACGGAGAGGCGAUCUUCAACACUGACUUGGACGACAAGCCUGGAGUGUAGUGGGUAGUUGGUAGCUACCCUGUGAGGCUCUUUUAUAGUGUGACCUGUGGCAGUCGUGCCCUUGUAAUCAUGCUGUAAUCCUGAACCUUGAUCUAAGACUUAUGCCUGUGCUGUGGUGAUGUCAUAUCUUUAUGGACCGGAUGUUGUAAUGACUCUAUCAUGUUCGAACAGUUAUGAUAAUAUUCCCCUUUGUUGUGCAUUUUAUGGGUAUCUGUGUCAUGUGUUGUGAUUGGUGAUGUUGUUUUGUGGAGUUGAAUUAUUGUGCCUUUUUCUGUAAAGUUAUUCCCUCGAAUACUUUCAGGCAUGAUUAUAAGUUCUUCUACUACAAAUCUUGUCAUCAUCAAUACUCAAUGACUAUGUCUUUACAGAUGUUUAGAUGCAAUUGAGGUGCGGGAAAUCGUGCAAACAUGGAUCCACCCCCUCCUCCUCCUCCACCGAAUCCAGCAGAGUUGAUGCAAGCGAUGGUGGAAAAUCAGAGGUUGCUGAUGGAGACUAUCCACCAGAUGGCAAAUCAGGGUGGUCGGGACGUACAACAGGGGCCAGCACCUAACCAGUACAACAGUUUCAAGGAUUUCGUGGAUAACAAGCCCCCAUCUUUCAAAGAGGCUGAGGAAUCCCUUCAGGCACAAGAAUGGCUGAACACGGUGGAAGAGAAGUUCCGCUUACUCCGGAUGACUGAAGGUCUGAAGGCGGAAUAUGCAGCUCAUCAACUGUAGGGUCCGGCUGGUAUCUGGUGGAAUCAGCAUAGGGAGGCUCUUCCAGAUAAAACUAUGGUUGACUAGAAUCUCUUAUGUGAAGCUUUCAAGGGACAUUUCAUACCUCCUAGGGUCAUGGAAAUGAAGCAUACUGAGUUCAUGUAGUUAACUCAGGCAACAAAACUCUGAAGGAGUAUUUGCAUGCUUUCAAUCAUGUGUCAAGGUAUGCCUCUGAUUUUGUGAACACUGAAUCAAAGAAUAUUGCUAGCUUCAAGAGGGGUCUUGGCCCCAAGUUGUUUAAGACUAUGGGCCAUGCUAAGUGUCCCAUCUUCAAUGAGUUUGUCAGUGAUGCUCUUACCCAAGAGAAUUACAACACUACAUACAAUGCGACCAAGACUCGCAAGCGAGCUUUUGAGGCCGGGGCAGGGGCAUCUCAGUCCUAGGCUCCAGUGGCAGCUAGGCCCCAGUAUCGUGCUCCAUCCCCUAACAUGCGAUACCGCCCUCCAGCAAAUAAGAAUCAGGCGAACACGGGGUUCCGCAAGUGGUACUCCAUUGUUGUUCCUAGGGGGAACACUAGGCCCAGCUAUGCCAAGACUCCGCCUGCCAACCAUUUGUGCUGGAACUGUAAUCAGACAGGGCAUUGGCAAAGCAACUGUCCUUACCAGCCAAAGAAGGGCAACCAAGGGAACGUCCGUCAGGGGCAUGUUCACUACACAACAGUGGAAGCUAUCUCUGUUGGUGAGGUAGUUACGGUUGGUAAGUUCCUGGUUAACCAAUGUGAUGCAGUUGUGCUUUUUGAUUCAGAAGCGUCACAUUCCUUUGUGAGUUUAGUUUUUGUGUCUAAGCAUAAUCUCAAGGCUGUUACACUUGAUAAAGGCAGUUACUGAAUUAGUGCAGCUGGAAAUAAUAUUUCUACAAAUCAAGUGGUUUUGGGGGCAACUCUAGAAAUAGGAGAUUGUCAGUUCCUUGCUGAUUUGGUUGGUUUGCCCGGUGUUGGUAUAGAUGUGAUUCUGGGAAUGAAGUGGAUGAGUCGUAACGGGGUCCUUAUCGACACCACUACUCGCGUGAUGUUGAGAGAUCCUAGUUCUAAGGAAGUGUUCUUAGUGCAACUUCCUCGGGAAAUUCAUAUCCGUAGCACGAUGAAUGCAGUUACAUCUAGGGCCAUCGAGGAUAUUCCGGUGGUGUGUGAGUUUCCGAAUGUAUUCCCUGAUGAUUUGCCCAGGUUUCCUCCAGACUGGGAUGUGGAGUUCAAAAUUGAAUUGCUUCCAGGUACUGCUCUUAUCUCUAGAAGACCAUAUAGAAUGCUGCCCAAUGAGCUAGCUGAGCUUAAGACCUAGUUGAAUGAAUUGUUGAAGAAGGGUCUUAUUCGUCCUAGUUCUUCUCCUUGGGGUUGUCGAGCUAUUGUGCGCAUGUGUGUGGACUAUUGUCCCCUGAAUACGGUGACCAUCAAGAAUAACUAUCCUCUUCCUCGCAUUGAUAUCUUGUUUGAUCAGUUGUCCAAAGCUAAGGUAUUCUCUAAGAUUGAUUUGCGGUCUAGGUACCAUCAGAUCAAGAUCCAUCCUGAAGAUAUACCUAAAACAGCUUUCUCAACAAGGUAUGGAUUGUAUGAGUAUCUCGUCAUGUCUUUCAGACUUACGAAUGCACCGGCACACUUCAUGUAUCUCAUGAAUUCGGUCUUCAUGCCCGAACUGGACAAGUUUGUGGUGGUCUUCAUUGAUGAUAUCUUGGUAUAUUCUCGCAAUGAAUAAGAACAUGUAGAGCAUCUACGUGUAGUGUUAACUCAUUUGCGUGAGCAUCAGCUUUAUGCCCAGUUUAGCAAAUGCGAGUUUUGGCUAAAGAAAGUAACUUUCUUGGGCCAUGUCUUAUCUGAAGGAGGCAUAUCUGUGGAUCUGGCCAAAGUGCAAGAAGUGCUAGAUCAGAAGGUUCCAACUUCGGUGCAUGAGGUUUGGAGUUUUUUGGGUUUGGCUGGGUAUUAUCGUCGUUUCAUUCCAGAGUUCUCAAAAAUAUCCAAGCCUAUGACUCGCCUACUUCAGAAAGAUGAGAAGUUUGUGUGGACACUUGGGUGUGAAGAGGCAUUCCACCAGUUGAGGACACUGCUGACAUCGGCUCCUAUCCUAGCUCAACCCGAUAUCGAGAAGCCUUUCGAUGUCUUUUGUGAUGCAUGUGGUAUCGGUCUGGGCUGUGUGUUGAUGCAAGAAGGUCGUGUUAUCGCUUAUGCCUCGCGCCAACUUUGAAAACAUGAGGUCAAUUACCCUACUCAUGAUUUAGAAUUGGCCGUGGUUGUUCAUGCUUUGAAGAUCUAGAGGCACUAUUUGCUGGGUAAUCUAUGCAAUAUCUACACUGACCAUAAGAGUCUCAAGUACAUCUUCACCCAAACUGAAUUGAACAUGCGGCAGCGAAGGUGGCUUGAGUUGAUUAAAGAUUAUAAUCUUCAAGUGCACUAUCAUCUGGGCAAGGCAAACGUUGUUGCGGAUGCCUUGAGUCGAAAAUCACACUGCCAUUAAGUUCAGAUCAAAGACUCGUCGCUGUCACGUCUUAGGCACCCAAUAGUGCUUCACCAGAUUGCUUUGGAAAGUUCUCUUCGCAAUCGAGUAAUCGAAUUGCAGCAAACUGGUGUAGGUAUCCACCAUAUAAAGCGGAAGAUGAAAGAAGAAGAAACCAAGCAUUUCUGGGUCGAUGAGAACGGAAUUCUAUGGUUCAAGGAUCGGCUGGUUGUGCCAAAGAACCGUGAGCUCCGAAAUCAGAUCUUAUCUGAAGCAUAUUCGUCCAAGCUGUCUAUCCAUCCUAGUAGUAGUAAGAUGUAUCAGGAUCUGAAACCUCUGUUUUGGUGGACGAAGAUGAAAAAGGAGAUUGCUACUUUUGUUGCUCGUUGUGAUAACUGUUGUCGUGUGCAGGCAGUUCACAUGAAAGUAGGUUUACUUCAACCCUUGCCAAUCCUUGGUUGGAAAUGGGAAGAAGUAAGUAUGGACUUUAUCUCUGGACUCCCAACUUUUGUUAAUGGUUAUGACACUAUCUGGGUGAUUGUAGAUCGCUUGACCAAGGUCACUCGCUUUAUUCCAGUUCGAACUGACUAUCGUCCACACAUCAGUAUGUGGAGUUCUACUUCGAGCACAUUUUCUGGUAGUAUGGCGUGCCUCGCACUAUCAUAUCAGAUCGUGGACCGCAAUUCACUGCCCACUUUUGGGAGUGUCUUCACGAGGAGAUUGGUACUCACUUGACUUGUAGUUCUACAAAUCAUCCCAAACAACCAGCCAAAUUGAACGUGUCAACCAAAUCCUAGAAGACAUGUUGAGGGCAUGUGCUCUCUCUUCAAAAGGUUUUUUCGUAAAGUGGUUAGAGUUAGCUGAGUUCUCUUAUUACAAUAGUUACCAAGAGAGCAUCAAGAUGGCUCCUUUUGAAGCCCUGUAUGGCUGAAAGUGUCGAACAACGUUGAAUUGGGUAGAACCCGGGGAACGAAGGUAUUACAACAUCGAUUUCGUGAACGAAGCAGACCAGCAAGUUCGUACAAUCCAGCAACAUCUGGAAGCUGCUCAAGCUCGUCAGAAAAGUUAUGCUGACAAGAGUAGAAAACCGAUCGAGUUCACGGUCGUGGAUCACGUGUAUCUCAAGGCAUCUUCGAUGAAGGGCGUACAAAGGUUUGGAGUCAAGCGAAAGCUUGCAUCCCGUUAUGUGGGACCUUACUGGAUUUUCGAGAAAAAAGGGAACGUGGCUUACAAGGUUCAACUACCGAUUGAGCUACGGGCCAUUUUUAAUGUCUUUCAUGUAUCGCAAUUGAAGAAAUGCCUUCGUGUCCCAGAAGAAAGAGUGAAGGUUCGGGAUAUCAAGUUGAAAUCAGACUUGGUGUAUGAAGAGAAGCAUGUAGUGGUAAUUGACCGUAAGGAGCAGGUGACUCGUAAUCAUGUGGUUAAGUUCUACAAGGUGUUGUGGAGUAACCACGGGAGGAAGAUGCUACUUGGGAAACAGAGGACUAUUUAAGAGAAGUUUAUAAAACCUUCUUCAAAAAUCAGUAAGCUUUCAAAUCUCGGGAUGAGAUUUUUGUAAGGGGGGAGGGCUGUAACACCCCACUGUUAUGGUUUCAUCUUUUUCACAUGCAUAACAUGAGCAUAUUCAUCUUCAUAAGCAUACCAUGAUCAUCAUUCACCUUGGAGCAUGUCAUUUUAUGCAUAGAUGUUGCUUAACUUGUUUGUUUAUGCCCCCUAUGCCUAUGUUUGUUUGUGCCAUGCUCUUGUUUGUGUCCUAGGCCUUUGGUAAGUAGUUCAACUAUGCUUAACUCAACCUUUGGAACAAUGUUCAUGUUGGUCAUAUCUUUAAAAGAUCUCUCUAAGUCAUACUUUCACUCAUAGGCCCUAUAAACCUCUUUUGCUUAGGCUUUUAAAAAGUGUUUCAUAACUUGUUUGCAUGUAAAAACUUCCUAAAGCAAAGUUGUAGCCAAUUUUAUAAGGAACAAAAUUUGUUUUAUGGCCAUCUCAUGAAAAUGAUCAUACUUGCUCAAAAAGGGCUAACAAGGCAGAUUUGGGGGCUGUUUUGACACUUAGCAAAAUUUUGCUUAGUCCUGGCGCCACCAGUUUGCCUAAACGUUUUUGGAAACUCCAUAUCUUUUCAUUCAGGCCAAAUUGGUCUUUGCUCCAGUUGACAAACUUGUAGAACUCAGCUAGUACUCCAAGAGUGUCAAUUAUACCGUCUCCUAAUUCGCCACGGUUUGCAAGAUAAUCAGUGCCAAAGUACCUCUAUCACACACUGAAAAACAGCUCUGAAUGGACAUCGUCCCCGUCGACGUGGCCGACCGGCGACAGCGUUUCGGCGACAUUUGGUGACCGUACGCUACAUCUGGCCCUGCUCGUCAGUGCUCAGGGCAUGCAUGACCUCCACGGCGUCGCCCUCGUGCUCCUAGACACGUCCAUUCCCUCCCUCUCGCCCUUUUCGCACUGAAACUCGGCCGCAGCGUAGGCGCCGUCGUCGGGCUCACUCCGGUGGGCCCGAACGCGCUCCACACUGCAUCACUGUUGAUAUUUGGGAACGUAAUAAGGAAUUGAUCCGCAAGCGCACGGAUAUCGGUGAGCACUUCACCCGGGAGGUUAUCCAGAGUAUCGUAUUUAUUUUUUUACCACUAGGAGAAAGAGUGCAUCUGACUAACCGGUCUAUUACUACUAACCUUUAGGCACAAAGAAUAUCUUUCGAUGUGAGUGAUAAAUAGAGAAGACUGCAACCGUAGUCUCCUUCUAACCAUGGUAAGGAUGAUCUACUGUUCUAAUGGGGACGCUAACGGAAUCUAGACACCACAGAGGAUGUUCAACCCGCACCUAUAAACCCUAUCCUUCCUGCUAACGAGAUGUGAUCUACAAAGGUAGCUCGGAAUUGUCACGUUCCUCACUACUACCACGGUCCAGCUAGUCAGAGAAUAUCUAUGAGUACCCCAGCCUAAACACCACGUUUACGCCAGCAAUGAUUACUCUAAACUCUACGCAAAGAGAUUAAAGUAAACUCAUAAACCAUAAGAACAAUAAAACAAGAACUUACUAGAAUUUAGAAGUCGAAAUACUGAAGAAUCCUAGGAGCAAGCUUCGGGUUAGGAGAACUUGAUCCCGCAGGUACAAGCUUGGAGUAGACACCGACAGGCCGGGCUUCCUCCACUCUACACCUCCACUCUAUCUCUCUCAAUCUAGUAGAAACUAGAAGAUCUAUUUCUACCUUACAUUGAUUGCUAAGCCUAAAAAGAAAUAUUAAUUAGAGAAGAGGUUUUCCUUCGAGGGCACCCCUCAGUCUCUAUGAUAAUUUCUUCAUGUCUUCUCCAGGGGCCAGGGUGGCCUUGCUUAUAUAGUCCUCCCCUUCUAUGCGUUUUUGGGUCGAUAGCCGAGGUGGUACUAUGUUUUUCUUGAUCCAAUAGGUCGGUGGAAUAUCCCAAAUGAAAGAGUCCUGAUUUGGCUCCAGCAGGGGGGCAGGCGCCCAGGCUUCCAGGGCGGGCGCCCUGGGCCUGGCCCAGUUUUGCCUCCGCUUCGGUCUCGUGGCUUCUGGAGUCUUCUAGAUGAAGUAAAAUUGCACGGUGCGUUGAUAUCUCUAUGUAAUCCCGACAUGUGGGCCUUUCUUCCUUAUUUCUUGAUAACCCCCUGCAGAAAUAGAUAAACCACAAAACUCGUGGAAUUCUGUGAGAUCAAACCCUAAUUCUAGGUGAUGGUUGCAUAUUGGUCCAUUCUCUUGUUUAUUUGAUAAUUAAAAUUGAUACUUAAGAACCGUCAACAAUCACCAUCCAACAAAGCUCGCCCACAGCUCCGCCAUGCUCUGCUCUCCAACUUCCACCCUCAAGCUUGCCAUGAAACCCUACUCUGAGCCGCCAUUUUCAUCUUUCCCCAAAUCGGGUCGCCGGAACAGUUUUCUCCGGCGAGCCCAAUGCUGAGCUCCUCGGAGCCCCUCUUCUUCUCUAGUUUGUCUCUCUGGGUAGCUUAGGGUCUUAGCUAGCUAGUGAGCCAACCCUAGAGCGCUCUACCGCACUCACCGGUGAUGAAAGCGGCAGUGCAGCGCCGCCGUGCUCUCGCCGGAGCACCACAUGCACGUCGCCAGGCUUGCGUGAGCCCUCUCCGGUCGAGCUAUCCAACUAGGAAGCUCCACCGUGACUCACUGGUGCUGUAGGAAACCCUAGGGCAUCGCCGAGCUUGAGAGCUCCGGUGUAUCGCCGAGCAUCCUCGCCCAGCCGCCAUGGUCGACGGCAAGCCCCUUCCGGUGGCUCCACCGUGGGGAAAAGGGGGUCAAUCAGUUCGCAAGUGACCUGGGAUCACGUUGGUGUCCUCGGUUUGGUCGGAGACCUCGCCGUCGUGGAGAAAUCGCCGGCGAACUUCGUCUCGGUCGAGAGGAAGAAGAACCUGACAUGUGGGUCUCACUGUCAGUGGCUCAACGGCUCCCUCCUCUCUUUUAUUGAAAAUCUAGAUUUCUGGCAAUCUUGCAAAAAUCAUAUCUUCAGUUCCUGAGCUCCAAAAAUUGUGAAACAAACUUUAUGAUGAUCCAAAAAUAUAAUAUGCACCAUGUUUUCUGCGAAAAGUAAUUGUUAUGAAUUAAUCUUGUUAUUUCAAUUUAAGUUCAUAUCUCUUGAUAUACUGCUCCAAAUGCUGCGAAAGUUUUAUACUAUGCUCUGGGUAGUCUUCGAAUGCUCUGGUAAAUAUUGCAUGAUUUUUGGAGUGCUGUAUCUCUGAUAUGUAAUUUAUGUUCAUACUAUUGCUUAAAUCCAUGUUUAAAUCAUAUUAAAUGUUACAUGCUUAUGCUAAUGUUCUCCUUUGGUGUCAAGCUUGUUCAUAGUAGUAGUAUCAUGUAAAUAAUCUGAAAUCUUUUGUUUGACACUAUUUAAGCCAUGUUUCUUAAUUUAUGAAAUGAGUGCCUUGUUGUAUGUUAAUUAAAUAUCUUAAGCUUGGGAUGUGCAAUUGCUCUGAAAAUUUCAUGGCAAUGUCAAUGUACCUUGCUUAUGCUUCUGUAAUGUUUGUAGAUUUUUCUGAACACUCUUGCUGGUAUCUUUUAAUUAUGCCCCUUUAUGAAAUUAAAUUAAUAAAUGCCUUUUAAUUAAGUGUGUAGUAGUUAACAUGUCAUUUUCUGGUAAUAUUAGGUCAUGCUUGUUCUUAUGAGUCACUUGGUUAGUACUAAAUAUGUAUUUGCUAUGUCAACAAAUAAUUAAUUAAAGGAUAUUUAGCUGUUCUGGACAGCAAGGGAGUAAUCUGGUUAUUGUCUAAUGAUAACUUUGUUUUCUGAAUGACUUGUCUAUACCAAAAUUGUUGUAAACUUUGUAUGCUAGCUGCAGUUUAAAUUUGGGGUCAUUUGGCCCAGUAAUUUAAGAGUUAUGACUUUUCCAAGUUGAGUUCCAGAACUAGGUGCUCUCUGUCUUUCUAGAACAGAACAUGGAACUUUGUUUAUUUGACAUGUUUAACUUGUGAAUCUUGCUGAGGUGUCUUAAGGUGCAAUGUAAACAAUUUUAUAAGCUUUCUAGAAUGUCUUCAUUCAUGUUUGUUGGAUCUAUAUAUCUCUAGUUAUGAAUUGUUCUUUGAGCUGCUCUGUUAAUUAGUUGUUGCUGUUGAAUUGUGUAAGUUGGUGUCCUUGUUAGUUGUGGGUCCUUGUUAGUUGCGGUGGUACUUUUUGUGAGCUUGUAUAGGAGCUUACUCCGUAAAUAAGUGUCCAGUGAAUUAUGUACUCAUGUUUGCCAAAGCAUUCAUCAUUCUCUUCAUGUGCAUCCAUUCCUUAUUCAUUCGCGCAUGCAAUAGGUGCACCGGAAACUGCGACCUAGUUCGAGCUCGAGAGGGUGAAUCCCGAAGGCCCGGAGGUCACCCAGGAGACGGAGGCCCAGCCAGGAGGACCCGAGGAGCCCGAAGAGGAGGUUGAGUGCCCUAGUCAUGAGCCUGCUUCGUUCGUGAAAGGCAAGCCCCAGAGCAUCUUAAGUCCCCCACUUUAAUUUCAAAGCAUACUUGAUUAUGUUAUAUCUAUUGAUGCAUUACGUAUAGGAGUUGUGAUGGAACCCUUGCUGCAUUAUACUAUUCCUUGUCCAGAUAUCUUAUCCUACCUGGUUGUAGAGUUAGGAUCGAGUAACAGCUUAGUCAUGCUUUAAUCAGUAGAAGUCAGGUGAUAUUCUGUCACCUGCGCGAAAUAGGGUCUGUUGUUGGAUCACGAUUGGUUAUAUGUGCUAUCAUGGGAAAGAACCUGGUUUAUUAUGAUUUAAGCUGGGCGGAGUUUUGCAAGGUGGUAGUAACUCCGUCUGUGGCAGCUAAGGACCGAUCGUCGUACGUCCUCUUGUCAUGUUGAACGCAUGCCUCACACUUAGUUGGUCGGAUAACUCGUUCCGACCGUGAAGCCUAGUAGUAUGACUCAGGCCGGAAGACCGGCAAGUAUAAAGUGCGCACUACCAGAGGAAGUGCGCUGUGUGGGGGCCAUUGGUGUAAGACCAAGGGAAGGUGAUUUAAAAGUCCUGAUCUUCCUGGCAGAGUGGCAGCCCUGGCAGUUGUUGACGGUCCUUAAUGCUCAUAUUUAACUGUCAACCAAUCAUAGAAAAGGAUCCAAAUGCAACCAAAACCUAGACUUAGGAUUUUAUCUGACAGAAUUCCACGAGUUUUGGUGUUUGUCUAUUUCUGCAGGGGGUUAUCAGGAAAUAUGAAAGAAAGGCCCACACGCCGGGUUUACAUAGAGAUAUUAACAUGCCGCGCAAUUUUCUACCAUCUAGAAGACUCCAGAAGCCACGGGAACGAACGGGAGGCCGAUCGGGCCCGGGGGCAGGGCGCCCGCCCAAGUCCCUUGGGUGCCCGCCCAGCUACAGUAACCAAUCAGCUUCAACUUCGCGGAUCAUGCUCCACCGAACUAAGGGAUCAAGGAAAACCGUGCGAUUAAUGUUGGUUUGAUCCGACGGCCCAGAUUCAUCUUAAAAGACUAUAUAAGCAAGGCCCCCUGGCCCCUGGAGAUCAUACCUCUUCUACAGAAUCAAAGUUAGGGUUUCAAUUCUUCAUCCAAGUAUAGAGGAUCCCUCUAGUUCUUCUAGUUCUACCUCUAGUUCAUCUAGAUCUAGUUCUAGUUCAUCUAGUUCUAGUUCUAGUUCCUCUAGUUCUAGUUCUAGUUCUAGUUAGUUCUAAUUGUAAUCUAGAAAAUAGGAAGAGAGAAGAGGAGAGCGGAGAAGGAGGAGCCGGAUCUGUCGGAUCUUCCUCAACAUUGUACUUUUCCAGAAACUUGUUCGUUCUUCAUCAUUCUCCAGGUUCUUCAAUUCAUAAUUCCUGAGUUCUUUAAUUACUUUUAUUUACAUUCAAUUUAUUUAUUGGAUUCCCGCUUGCAUCAUGUGCUCUAGUCUUUAUAACGCUAGAGUAGUAAUUAAUAGAUUAGACGUGGUGUUUAGUCUUGCAAUUACCUGGAAUUGCACCCAAUCCUACGGAUUGUUGUGGUAGCCUUAGGGUAGUGACAGCCCUAACGGUCGACGUAUUCCACCACGUUCGGAUCGGUGUUUGUAGGACCGUAGUCAGACCUUCCUAGCCCCCUUCUCAUCUCUUUCUCUGGUUAGUGCUCUGAUGUCCCGAUAUAGAUAAUCUUGAAGUAAUUCUUGAUUCUUAGAUCAACUAGAGAACUCUCAGGAAACUUCCUCUCUUCCCACCAAAGAUAAUUAUAUAGUUAUCCUUGGGCGAUCUUGGAUCUUAAUUAGUACACUCACGUUCUCUGUGGAAAAUCGAUACUCUGGAUUACUCCCGGGUCAAAGCUACAUCGGUAUCCGUGCGCUUGCGGAUUUUUCUGUUUGCGUUUAAAAUACCCAACAAGCUUUCUGGCGCCGUUGCCGGGGAACGGUAGCUGUGCUAGUUUCGAACCAAGUCGUCCGUGUAUCCUUUUUCUUUUUCUUUUUACCACACUCACCUUACCAUAGUCACCACACCACAUGGAUUUCACUCUAAGCAUUAAUGAGCAUGGAAUUUAUUUCAUAGCCACUUCACUUACUCCAUGCUCAUAUGCAACAUCUUCACAAUCCAUUGGUCUCUCCAACAUCACCACAUUCGAGAUCUCCAACCCCCACUUCUUUCUAUUUAUAAAAACUUUAAAAGGGCGGUUGUCGAUGCAUAUGUCUAUAAUAAAUAUUGCAGAUCUCGUUGAGUUGAUCUUGAUAUAGGUCAGCGUUGGAGGGGAAACCACUUCACCGACUUAAAUUAAUGGUUUCCCAAGGACAAGCUUAGUGUCCUAAAAUAAGCACUGAUCAGAUCGUAACAUGAGCUUUGAAUUAUUUGCAACAUUACCUUGUGUAUUGAGCAUAUAAGGAUAAUUGUAAAAAAUUCCUUCGGGUAUUCUUGUCACUAACCUUUCCAGGAUUGGAGCAAGAAGAUCGUAUGAAUGACAAGCACAAGGUAUGUCCAACCAAUCAUCAUACAACAUUGAAUUAAAUUCAUCCAAACUUGAAUUUUGCAAAAUUCAAGCUUGGGGGAGUACUUUACAUAAAAACAUCCUUUGCCAUGUUGCUAUGUUGGUUGUCCCUACCUUUGAGACAUGCUCAAUUUGUUAAAUACUAAUCACACUACUUCAUCACCACUUGAGUAGAUCUCUAUAAAUGCUCUCAUGCUACCUUUAUUUGCUUUAGUAUAUGUCUAGGUUUGGAGGAGUUUCAUUUAUCUCUUAAUUAAGCAUGGUGCUUAGUUUUGGGCUGAUGAUCUUACUUCCAAGGGAGUUUAAAUUAAGUAUGAUGCCUAAGUUAAAAUGCCCUCCUAAAUCAAAUUAGACAUGGUGUCUAGGUUGUUUUUGAGCCAAUAGUAUGCUAUAGUAGAUAUUGGAUAUUUUGUUGGACUAACCCCUGCAGGAAAACUUUCACUAUCGACCUGGGAAGUCCUGAGAUACACUAACAUUGGAGACAAAGAGAGAGGCACAUGAAGUUUAACAAUUUACACAAGGAAGGCAUAGCUCACAAGAGAUGAUCCAUGGAGGGUGCCACAAACACGAUGCAUAACCGCUAAGAAAGGAAAGCUUCCACAAGGUAAUACUGUACCAUCACUCUUCAAGUAAGGUAACAUCUUAAGGUACUUGACUAUCACUUUUAUAAGUUUCUCCUUGGUUCUAGCGUUCACAUGAGUAAAAGAGACAAACAUGUAUGAUUUACAACUCUAGAUUAACCAACUCAAUCAAUUGAUUAUGUUUAGUCCUACCACCUUUGUGAUCGCACACUCCUAUUCUUAUGAGCUAAAAUGUUGCGCAUUCAAUCUUUGGAAGAUAUAAACAAAAUAUAAAUAUAGAUAGAUUAUCUUUCCAUUAGGUUGAGCGAUCUGAUAUGACAAAUGCUUUAAAUGCUACACUCAUGAUCUUAUUAUCCAUCAACUUUGUCUUGCUCACUAUGCUUAAUGUUAGAGAAGAACAAAUACACUUUUGCUUCUGUUGGUGUUUUCCACCAACAGAGCCCAUGCACUUGAUCUCUGCCUUGUCUCUACGAGCAGGUACACUUCGAGCAAAAUAUGAAGGACUUUUACAACUCCUAGACUCCGCCUAGUGAAGAACUUAGAUAUACGAGCACAAACACACUGGAGAUACUGGACACUCACGCAAUCACUGCCCUGAGAUGCUUGAGGACGUAACUAUUGGAGUAACCCCGUUGUGGAAGUAAUUACUGACCUUCUGCCGGUCAAGAGAGACAAUCCAAGAUGCCCCGUCAUCCCGAUCUCCAUCGGCAUGGUGGACUUCCCAGAAGCACUCUGCGACUUUGGCUUCAGCGUCAACAUUAUGCCCAGGGUACUCUAUGAAAAAUUCUUUACACAUCCUUUAUUAGAAACAGCCAUGUGUUUGCAGCUUGCAGAUCAGACACUAAGUUUCUCAAAGGGAAUAUUGAAGAACCUCUACGUCCGAGUUGGUACCUUGUACGCCCCAGCAGACUUGGUGGUGAUAGAGACUCGGGAGGCCAUUCCUGAACACCUCGGGAGCUGUCAUCUAUGCUAGUGUUGCCAAGAUCAGUUUCUACAUCAAGGGGUGGAAGGAGACGUUUUCCUUCAAGAACAAGACUACACAAAUCUCAGAGCAAUCCCGACAUGAACCGAGGAAGAGAACCAAUAGGAGGAACAGGAACAAGCAAAUGUAGACCGAGUCAGCUAAGAUGGUCACUGCAGUUCAAGGAGGUCAAGAUCGUCGACUUAAGUCACCGUCCCAGACCAAAAAGGACGACCCAGUCACCUAUCUGCUCCUAUUCAGAACCAUGCCCCUAGAACCGACAUACAUUCAGCUUCAGAUAGCAGAUCAGACAUUCCGAAAGGUUGAAGAUUUUCAGGUUAUUGACAUGGGACAAGACGAGUACGAUCCACCCAUCAUCCUUGGAAGACCGUUCCUCAGCACCGUUAAAGCAAUCAUCUAUGUUGGAACCAGAGAAGUCCACAUGCAUUUCCCCUCUAAGAAGGUACGCCACUAUUUUACUGACUCUAGCUAUAUAGUUAAAGACUCUAAGCAGGUCUGGACAAGACGAAGACAACGCAACCGCAACUAGAGAAGGCAAAUCAUCAAGGACGGAUGGGCGGACUACGAAGGAGAAGUGGUAAUGUCUGAAGACAUACAGCUUGAACAGAACUAUCCUGAGGAGACCGUAGCACCGAGUCAGGUGUGUAGAGAGAAGAUAGUUAUACAUGAAAAGGAGGCGCUGCCGGAACCACCGACUACGCCAUUCAGUGAAUCCCAGGACGAAUGAGAAAACAGAGAGUCCCGUUCGGAGGACGUAAAAACAACGAACGCCUUGCCAAGAGGUAAACUUGGUAGUUAUCUUUUUCCUUUCGAUUAUUUAAAAAAGUUUGCUUAGUUAAUCAGGUUCAUAUCAUCUUGAAAAGAAAAUAAAAAUGUUAAAAAAUAGUAAGCCCCAUGUGAGAGAUCAUGGCAUAAAACCCAUAAGUACAUUCACUGUGGUGGCGUAAAAAUGAAAUAAAUAUAUUCUGUGGUGCUAAGGACCGAUCGUCGUACGUCCUCUUGUCAUGUUGAACGCAUGCCUCACACUUAGUUGGCCGGAUAACUCGUUCCGACCGUGAAGCCUAGUAGUAUGACUCAGGCCGGAAGACCGGCAAGUAUAAAGUGCGCACUACCAGAGGAAGUGCGCUGUGUGGGGGCCAUUGGUGUAAGACCAAGGGCAGGUGAUUUAAAAGUCCUGAUCUUCCUGGCAGAGUGGCAGCCCUGGCAGUUGUUGACGGUCCUUAAUGCUCAUAUUUAACUGUCAACCAAUCAUAGAAAAGGAUCCAAAUGCAACCAAAACCUAGACUUAGGGUUUUAUCUGACAGAAUUCCAUGAGUUUUGGUGUUUGUCUAUUUCUGUAGGGGGUUAUCAGGAAAUAUGAAAGAAAGGCCCACACGUCCGGUUUACAUAGAGAUAUUAACGUGCCGUGCAAUUUUCUACCAUCUAGAAGACUCCAGAAGCCACGGGAAUGAACGGGAGGCCGAUCGGGCCCGGGGGCAGGGCGCCCGCCCAAGUCCCUUGGGUGCCCGCCGAGCUACAGUAACCAAUCAGCUUAACCUUCGCGGAUCGUGCUCCACCGACCAAAGGGAUUAAGGAAAACCGUGCGAUUAAUGUCGGUUUGAUCCGGCGGCCCAGAUUCAUCUUAAAAGACUAUAUAAGCAAGGCCCCCUGGCCCCUGGAGAUCAUACCUCUUCUACAGAAUCAAAGCUAGGGUUUCAAUUCUUCAUCCAAGUAGAGAGGAUCCCUCUAGUUUUUCUAGUUCUACCUCUAGUUCAUCUAGAUCUAGUUCUAGUUCAUCUAGUUCUAGUUCUAGUUCUAGUUAGUUCUAGUUAUAAUCUAGAAAAUAGGGAGAGAGAAGAGGAGAGCGGAGAAGGAGGAGCCAGAUCUGUCGGAUCUUCCUCAACAUUGUACUUUUGCAGCAACUGGUUCGUUCUUCAUCGUUCUCCAGGUUCUUCAAUUCAUAAUUCCUGAGUUCUUUAAUUACUUUUAUUUACAUUCAAGUUAUUUAUUGGAUUCUCGCUUGCAUCAAGUGCUCUAGUCUUUAUAACGCUAGAGUAGUAAUUAAUAGAUUAGACGUGGUGUUUAGUCUUGCAAUUACCUGGAAUUGCACCCAAUCCCAUGGAUUGUUGUGGUAGCCUUAGGGUAGUCAUAGCCCUAACGGUCGACGUAUGCCACCACGUUCGGAUCGGUGUUUGUAGGACCGUAGUCAGACCUUCCUAGCCCCCUUCUCAUCUCUUUCUGUGGUUAGAGCUCUGAUGUCCCGAUAUAGAUAAUCUUGAAGUAAUUCUUGAUUCUUAGAUCAACUAGAGAACUCUUAGAAAACUUCCUCUCUUCCCACCAAAAAUAAUUAUAUAGUUAUCCUUGGUGAUCUUGGAUCUUAAUUAGUACACUCACGUUCUCUGUGGAAAAUCGAUACUCUGGAAUACUCCCGGGUGAAAGCUACAUCGGUAUCCGUGCGCUUGCGGAUUUUUCUGUUUGCGUUUAAAAUACCCAACAACAGUGGAGCGCUGAUCGGAGCUGUGAUUCCUGAGUCGUACCAAAGGUGACUCGCUUGCUCUACGACGGGGUUGCAUGGGUGACUGCUAGGAAUUACCCUCCAGCUGGAUAGGAAUCGAUCCGAAUCACCAUCUCUCUCAGAUAGUGAGAACUUGACAGAGCAGUAGCAAACAUAGCAUUCACUAAGUACUAAUGGUUCUUAAUGAUGAUGUUGAGGAUAGCAAGAAAGAACAUAUGAUGAAACUUGAUAUGGUUAUUAUUGUUUGUUAAUAAUCAAGUGAAGUGCUUAGUCUAGGUGCUAAUCUAGUGGUAGGUUAAUGAUAAUCAAUAUGAUGCUUAUAAGAAUGGUUUAUUAUCCAAUCUAAGCUUUUUGGCAAAAAGGUAUAAGUCAGGCCAGCUACAAUUUAGACUCAGCCUUGCAUGAUCCUUGAUGUCUUUUAUUUUGGUUAGAUGGGUAAGUCUAGCUAAGUACAUCUUCGUACUUAGGGUUUAUUUCCCCACCUGUUGCAGAUGAUAUCUUCUAUGAUGGUUUCUGCAAGACCUGCCUUCAUCCCACUAGGGAUGAGGACUAAACCGUGGGCGCGGUUCUCUAACGACUUCAUACCCCUAAUGCUUUUGGUGGAUGUGAUGAGACUCUGGCUGUAACAAUAACUUGUGAAAUGUGGGUGUGAAAACUAUAUGGCUUCUGCUAUUUCAAACUUGUGUUGUAAUAACUUAAGUAACUCCGGUGUGGUGCCGCUUCAUCGGCAAUGAAUGAACUAUGUAACACUCGCUGUAUUGUGUUGAACUAUUAUGAUCUUGGUAUGUUGCAAAGUUGUUUUGAAAUCCUUCAUGAUUUCGGUUGACUACCGGGAUUAUAUGGGCUCAAGUCUGGAAACUUGAUUGCUAGUUCGAUCGUUUCUACACUUGAACUCUUAUAAUUUGGUCGGUUCUGUGACAAUUGUCACUUCCCCCCAAAGCUACCACAAAUUCAGCCAAAUAGGGAGUAUCUAUGAGUAUUCCUAGCCCAAGCACCACAAUUACGCUACGAAUAAUUACUCUAUUCCCUACAUGAAGCAAAUAAAGUAUAUUCGUAAACCAAAGAAUAAUAAGAACAAUAACUUACUUGUUGAUGUUAGUUACGCACACAAAAGAAUCAAAGAGAAAAGGUAAGAUGUAAGAAAAGGUGAGAUAACAGAAAAAGAUAAAAGUGUGAUACAAGGUAGAGUAAGACAAGGUUAUCUAAGCAGACCAUCUUUCUCCCCGGCAAUAGUGCCAGAAAUGCUUGUUGAUGUUAGUUUCGCACAUGAAAGAAUCAAAGAGAAAUAAUCUACAAGCGCACAGAUAUCAGUGAGCACUUCACCUGUGGAGAUAAGUCUAGAGUAUCAUAUUUAUUUUUUUUACCAUUAGGAGAAAGCAUGUAAAAUACUAACCUUUUAUCUUAACUACUACCCACGGGUUGCAAGACAAGAUAGCGAGAUAUAAGCGAUAUAGAGAGAACUAUUUCUCCAGUCUUCUUCUAACCUAUGGUAAGUGUGUAGAUAUUGUUCUAAGGGGAGUUACUAGAGAAAAGAGACACCUCAAAGAGCGCUUAACCAUUGUGCCAUAUACCCUACCUUACCUCCUGACGGGAUGUAGAUUACUGAGACCCAAGAGGAUUAUCACUUUCCCCAAAAGGCUACCAUAGAUCCACCAAAACAGGGAGUAUCUACGAGUAUUCCUAGCCCAAGCACCAUGCUUAUGCUACAAAUAAUUACUCUAUUCCCUAUGUGAAGCAAAUAAACUAAACUCGUAAACCAAAGAACAAUAAGAACAAUAACUUACUAGUAUCAGAAGUCGAAUUGUCGAACGAUUGUAGAACCAAGCCUCAGGUUAGGAGACUUAAUCCUGAAGAUACAAAGAAGAAGGCACCGAUAGGGCGAGCUUCCUCAACUCCUAUCCUCACUCUAUACUCUCUCAAUCUCUCUUGGUUCUAUCACCCUAAAGAGACAGAUCCAUUCAAGGGACCUCUCUCUGUCUAACUCUCUCUGCAAAAUACGAAUUAGGGUUUCAGAGUUACAUCUUAGGGGGUCAGGGUCUUUAUAGCCCCCUAGGAAUCACCAUAGCCCUUGGAACAAACUAACUUAAACGUGCGCUUAAGAUUAAUCCUCAAAGUCGUUGGGGGUAGGAUCCGUGAGGUUUGCUCUAAUUGGUGGAGAGCCCCGGGCGGUCGCCCCACCUAGCAAGGGCGCUCGCCCCUGGGUAGCUUCCAUGUGGGCCUAGGUUUCACGUGGUGGCUCCUAGAGUCUUCUAGAUUAUUCCUGAGUUGACGUUCCGGUGUUCUCUCUAUGUAAAUCGAACAUGUGGACCUUCUUUUGUUAUUAUUCUGGUAACCCUCUGCAGAAAUAGACGAUCACCACAACUCGUGGAAUUCUGUUAGUGAUAAAUAAAUAACUAUUGAGUGCUUGCACUUUUUCAUGCUAAGUUGAUGGUUAAAAUUAGGAGUUAUCUACCAUCAAUAGUAGAGCAGCGCGAGGUUCGCUUGAGUAGGGCACACGACGGCCGCGAGUGUUGACACUAGCUAACACCACUUAGAUACUAGGUUGUCAUCCCCAGCAUGGUGCCAGAGUGUACAAAGGUAUUUAUAAAUGUAAAGGCUCUCUAGAAAAUAAUCUAUUCUAUCCGCAAGCGCAUAGAUAAAACACCACGUUGUAGGAUUUCACCAGGAUAAGUAUUCCAGGUAUCGUUAUUUAUACUUUUGCUCAAAGGAACUAAGGAGAUUAAAUUAAGGGCAAAAUCUAUCAAGGCAUAGACUAGAGAUAAACUUGCAAGAACAUGAUUACUAAUGAGAAACUCGUCACACAGUCACUUACUUUAGCAGGGGGUAAACCAUAAAGAUAAUGAUAAUGAAUUAUAAGUUCAUGGGUACAUAACACAGCGAUUAGAAAAUAGACUACUACUCAUAUAUGUAGGUGAUGUCGGAUUAGCUAGAGAAUGGAUUCUAAGUUAUCUACUAACUACUAAGUCAUAAUCUACUCUAGUUAUCUACAAGAUCAUAUAUAACAUAAAAGACUCUUCAUUCAUGUAUAAGGAACAUUGAUAAAGUAAAUCAGAGCAUCGCACGACUUACUCCACAAUACCGGUUCUGCCUGUCCUAUCAACGGAGGGUGGACUAUAUAAGAAUCAACGAAGCUGUCACUAUCGCGAACUAGCACACAACCCGGCCAAUAGGAUACAUUUGUAGAUAAAUAACAUCUAAGCACCAUGCUCACAUGUGAUGUAUCACCUAACUCCCUCACGUCAAGAGCUAAGCGCUUUGCAAACUUAUACAUAAACUCAUUAUCAAUCAUAACUAUAUCAAAUAUAGAACUAGAGCAAUCUAAGAACAUAAUAAUUAGAGACAUAAUGCAAUUACAACAAAGAAUUAGAGAAAGUUAUGAAUAAUACCAAUCUUUAUUACCGAAGAUCCGAAUCCAGAGCGUAGUGCUCAACUUCUCUAAUUGCUAUCUAAUCAAACCUCUAAACUUGAAGGAUUAGGGAGUAGCUAAUUCUAAUUCUCUGUGGGAGAGAAGCUCUAAACCCUAACUUUGAUGGCUACCUCUGCAUAAUGAUUUCUUCACUUCUCCUCUCUCCUCCAGGGGUGGAGAGGCCUUGGUUAUAUAGUCUUUUCAAGUGAAUUUGGGCCGUCAGAUCAAACCGACAUUGAUUGUGUGGUUUAGAUUGAUCCUUUAGGUCGGUGGAGUUUAGCCCCGAAGCAGAGUCCCGAUUGGACUCCAACCCUGGGCGGGCGCCCAAGGAGGGUGGGCGGCCGCCCUUCCCCCGAGCCCGAUCGUGCUCUCGUUCGUUCCCGUGGCUUCUGGACUCUUCUAGAUUGAGGAAAAUUGCACGGCACGUAAUUAUCUCGUUGUAAACAUGACAUGUGGGCCGUCUCUCCAUAUUCUCUGAUAACCCCCUGCAAAAAUAGAUAAACACCAAAGCUCGUGGAAUUCUGUCAGAUAAAACCCUAAUUCUAGAUGUUUGUUUCAUAUUGAUCCUUUUCCAUGUUUAUUUGAUUGUUAAUUUUAGUACUUAAGGACCGUCAACAAACUCCCCCAAGCUUACCCUUUGCUCGUCCCUGAGCAAAAUAGCUAAACUCAGACAGAUCAGGAGUUGCUUCGAUGUUUUCUUUCCUGAUAGGCACACAUGCUUUUACAUAAAAUUCUUCCAGAUUCGAGUGAAGUGUUAUGGAGUUUAGUACCUGCACUUAAAUCUUAAGUAAUCGAAAGACAAAAAUAGUUAAGUCAAGCACUAUUCCUCCUGUCUAUACUUCACCUUUGUUCCAGAGUUUUUCAUAAGUUUUUUAAAUAAAACUCAGAGUUCCCAGCAAUGAUUCUCUCAAGUCUCUCUAUAUGUGGUAUUUGUGGAUCCUUACCAUAAUGUCACUUACCUAUAGCUAAUGGAAUAUUUAAGUGGAGCUCAUAGGAGUGAAAAACAUCUCAUACAUAUGUUGUCUAAUCGAGCCAUGGAUCCAAAGGACUCAGCAUAUAAUUAAAUCAAGACGUGCAUGUGUGGUGGAGUAAAUGAUAGUGAUGGUAAAAAUGUAUAAGUAAUAAUAAAACUUGGUUCUCAUUGCUCCUCAUAUUGCUAUCUCUCCUCUUCUUUGAUCUUUGCUUUGGGAGAACAUGGGCUAUCUUUUUCUCUUUUUUUUCAGGUGGGUAGUAGAUACCCCUAAUUCUACUGUCGGACACUUGUCCAUUUUUUCCGCUCAAGUGGGCAUCUUUGUACCCCUAAUUCUACUUCGGACACUUGUCCAUUUUUAUCUCUCGUCUCACUCUUUUUCUUUCUUUUUUCGAGGUUCCGGGCACUUGCCCCUUUUUAUUUCCUCGCAUAUUUUUGCAUAACCCAUGCCUCUUCUGCAUUGAAUCUUUUUAGAGAGAGAAUAACAAUAUUUGGGACAGUGAGUGAUAAUAUUUUUAGCAAUUUUAAUGAAUGGUGAUGAAUGGUGUAGUGGAUGUGUGCAAGUGAAUAUCUUAAUUUAACCACAUCAAAAGCUCCUAAGGGUCUACACAGCUCGAUCAAACUCAAUGUAAAUAUAGUAAAAGAUGUUAUAGCAAGUAUGGCUGUGGUAGGUAGUUUGUUAUGCUAGGAACUCAUCAUGUGAUUUGUAAGUUUUCAAAAUAAAUCUCUAGAACUUAGUGUAGUAGGAACAAGAUAAACAGUAGCUCAACUUUAUAUCAUGCAUUUCUCUUACCUAGACUUUAGUUUUAUAUUUCCCAUAGAUAGUAAUUUUAGUUUUAGUAAUUCCUGGAAGAACUCUAAUAUAGAAGCUAGGUACUUGAAAGUAAGCAAACAGAGCAACUAUUCAUCAUUUCCAUCAUACAUCUUUUUGGUCUUUUUAUUUUUUCUAGGGAUUAAACUUAGCAGGAAAAUAAAGCACACUUGUCUACACACUCUUUUUAUUUUGUUUUCAUGUUUAUAAAAUGCAGUAAAUUUAAGCAAGAAAAUAUUUAUUUGGUUUUCUAAGUUUUUCCUUUUAAGAUAAAAUACUAAAAUAGAAAAGAAUAAAUAAGAAGAGCAAAUAAAAACUUACUUGAUAAAUUGGGGAGGAACUCCCCCAAGCUGGAUGUUGACGUCGGUCUAACCCGAUGUUCCAGAACCGCAUCAUGGUUGUGAUGUUGUCGUUCAUUGUUGUUGUAUCUUGUCUCAGCUCUUCUACUGCAGUGGCAUGGUCCUAGUUCCAUUUUUUGUUGUUCUUCUAGGAGUCGUCCAUGUUCUGCUUGCGUGUUCUAGAUGUCAAGGAGGGUGUUGUCGGUACGAGUGAAGAAAGCACCGGCCUCUUGAUAGUAGUCAUUCGUGAAAGCGUAGGAGGCGUCGGAGUAUCGUCCUACAUCAAAUUGGGGCGGAGGUCUGGAUCCUGAAGCUCCAUAUGGAUCAGUGGAGUACCUGCCCAUAUGGAAAGGCGGGUUUGUCCACUGGUGAUCUUGGCUCUCCGGUCAUGACUCCUCUGUUGGCUCUUGUGGUUGCGCAUGUCGAACCCAUGGGUCUCGAAGGACUCGAGGGUUGUAGUCGCAAUAAUGCAGGUGCGCUGCUUCUUCUGGUCCAGGGUCAGCUCCAUACCAGGUGCGUUCUUGAUGGGUGUUGCUGCAAUCUCAAUCAAAAAGUUUUGCACAACGUAGAGGCCAAGUUUUGGGUUAGGUAACCGAAUCUUGCCUUUAUCAUCAUGUAGCAUAUACAUUAUAUUCCCCUCUUUCUUUAACAUCCGAGCCUGUCUAAAUGUGUCAUAGCCAUGAUAAAUUCUUAACUCAUCUAUGAAGUCCAACGAUGAGUUUUCUAGUAAGUGAAGAUUAAAGGCUAGACGAGUGAUAAGUGAAGUACAUCCUACUGGUCCCUGAAGACUAGUUAUACUAAGCCAAUGAGAAACUAAAAGUGUAACAGGUGAAGUAGGUACUUUAUUAAUAGCAGCAUAUAAAAGUUGUAAAUCUCCUACUCUUACUUUCCUAAUAUCAUCGCGAUAGAAAAGAUUGUACCCAAGCCAUUUGUGGAACAUCCUAAGAGUGGGGUGUUCGAUGUCACUGGUUCGGGCUUGACUAUAAAAAUUAUCUCUAGAUAUUUCUCUCCAAAACUGGUGUCUCUCAAAGUUGGGUAAAUCGGAGUCAAUGUUCAGGAUGCAUCUUGAAGAGAAACCAAGAUGGUCGCUCAGUUCUCUCCAAGACAACAUAAUCUCCUAUUUGAACAUCCGAAAAACAAUUCCCCCCUCAUAGUAUUGUAAAGUGCAAAGAAAUUCGAGGGUGAGAAGACGAGAACCCAGUUCAGUUAUAUUCCAAAAAUUUGUCCAACUUAUCAUCUGAAAAAUUAAGUCGAAUUCAGUGUCCAUACCUGUUUCUUGUAGUAAGAUUGGAUCGAGAGUAGGGGUGUGAAUGAAAUCUUUGUUCUUCAAUUGCUGAUAGACUUCCUUCUCCCUUCGGGUCUUCAGUCCUAGGUCUCCUAUCUUGAGAAGGACCUUAACUUGCUGACCUGAUGAAGAUAACGGAGCUUGUGUGGGUGUCGGGUCGACGCUCAUUUCUGAUGGCUGUGAGGAGUGUCGGGAUGAACUCCUUGUAACAAUAUUCUUGAGAGCCUUCCCUGCAUUCUUCACCUUCUUGAACAUCCUGUAAACAAAAGUUGGCAAAAACACAACUAAUGGAAAAUGUGAGAGAAAAUGGUAGUGGUCAGCUGUCCGGAAUGUCAGUAGUCCAGGGGUUAGUCGUUCAAGACAAGUUUCUAUUUUGGUAGAGCCUCCCCCUAAAAAACUUUUACUUCCGUUUAGACAACUACUUACUAGGUGAUACUCACUCUCUCACUCAAAAGAACUCCCAACCUUCUCACACUCAGAGCUAUUCUCUGGAAACCGAGAACUACGAGCUUACAAGGUUUUCUGAAAUGUGUGUGUGAAGAGAAGGGGAGCUGGAGGUGGCCAUUUAUAGGCUGAGCAUGGGACAGGGCGGGCGCCCUGCGUAGGUGGGCGGGCUCCCACCCCUGGUGUCCAUCCUGGGUGUGCCUCCUCCACUUGCUUCCUUGCUUUGAUCUCACGCAGAAUAAUGUUGUGUUGGUGGUGGUUGGACGGUGGAAAGAUGUCUGGUGAGUGGAAACAUAUUGGUGGAUGAAAUUAUGUGAUGGGAUCUAUGUGAGGUGAAGUGUAUGAUAUGUGGGACCCAAGGAGUGUGGGUCAUGCUUCUAGAAGGUUACUAUAAUUAAAUAUAAUGCAGGCAAAAUCUAUGAGAAUUGAAACUUAAUUAAAAUGAUAAUGGAAAAUAUUUUUGUGCCUCCACAAUAAUUAAUAAAUAUGGGUUGUCACGCACCAUGAAUAUUAUUUAUAUGGGGCUUUUUAUUAUUGUAAUAAUGCUAUGAAUAUAUAUGACUAAUGCAAGAUUAUGCAAGAAUCGAAAUAUGAGAAAAUUAAUAAUGCGGAUAAAUACCGAUUUACCUCCCGGUGAGGGUUUGGGAUUUUUAGGUCCCCCAAGCUGGACCUUAAAAUCUUUUAAUCUUCUGAGUUACCUUCCUCUGGAGAUGGUGUCUCCAGUGGUUCUUCAUGAACUUCCUUCACUGUAGAGUCUCUCUCUGGUCUGGGUUUGAAUGUGAAGUGUUCUUCUUGUCCAUUUAUGUUGAACUUGAUUUCUCCUUUCCCGACAUCAAUGUGGGCAUUGGCAGUGCUCAGAAAUGGCCUUCCAAGGAUGACAGACACUUUUGAGUCAGGACUCAUGUCCAGUACUACGAAGUCUACUGGCACCAGGAAAUCUCUUAUCUUGACUGGAAUGUUCUCGGCGAUGCCCAACGGGUGUCGAACCGAUUGAUCUGCUAGUUGUAGGCACAUUGAUGUUGGUUCUAGGGUCGCAUGUUCAAGCUUCUUGUAGACUGAUGCUGGCAUUACACUGACACUUGCUCCGAGAUCACAAAGUGCAUUGUUGAAGUGUUGUUUUCCGAUUGAGAAAUCAAUAGUGGGACAUCCGGAAUCUUCCUUCUUCUUUGGUGGCUUAUUGAGGAUGGCCGCACUACAUUCUUCUGUCAGCUUGAUAACCUCAGUGGUGGGCAGUGGUCUCUUCUUGUUAAGAAUAUCUCUGAUGUACUUUGCAUAUGUAGGUACCUGUAUGGCAUCGAGCAGAGGUAUGUUGACGUAUAAUUUCUGAAUGACCUCUACAAACUUACCAAACUGCUCAUCCGACUGCAGUCCUCUGUUUCUUCUGGGAAAUGGCAAAUAGUUGGUGUCGUAAAAAUCUUUUCUCAUUUCUCCAGUUCUUGGUGGUUGUAGCAGAUCUUCUGCUUCAACUGGGCUUUCUUCUUCUAUCACUGCUGGUUGCACUGGUGCUGAUGUUCUUUGUUUCUCUUUUGGGUAUGGGGGAUCUCUGGUGGCUUUGCCUCCUCUAGUAGUUAUAUUCUUUACCUGCUCAAGGUUAGUAGCAACAGGCAGUGCAGCAGCUAUCUUUAUUAAUUUAAGCUCUACCCUUUUAUUAAGAGUGUUUUGCUCAUCAAAGGCAGUUAGUAGAAAAUCCAUUUUAUUGUGUAUAUCUUUUAGAGAUGAUUCAUUUGUAUCUAGCCUUUGUUUAACUUCAUCAUUAAUUUUGGGUUGUUGAGCAAUUAUCUCUUUUAAUGAAAGUUCCUUGAAAGUAUUACCUGAAUUCAUACCUUUGCUAUUGGGUUGACUCGAGGUAGGUUGAUAUUUGUAUGCUGUCUCAAUGGCCCUUUGAUCUUCUUUGAACUUGGCCCUCUGGUCAAUCCAAUGUAGCAAAUUUUCCAUCUUAGUUGAUAAUGCAUUUACUUCUUCUGGUAUUUCUUCAGUUUGAUGACAUUGUUGAGUUUUAUCUUGGAACCAGCUUUGGUUUUCUGCUAUCUUAUCCAAAAGUAUCUCUGCUUUUCCAGUUGUAAGCUCCAAGAAUGAUUCUUUAGCACAUGCAUCUAGGCACUCACGAGCCUUCUGGGUUAAUCCAUGGUAGAAGGUCUGCAUAAGUAACCAUGUGGCCAUUCCACGGUGAGGACAAUCUGAUAUGUAUCCUUGAAAACGCUCCCAUGCUUCUGAAAUGGUUUCUGUCUUCUGCUGUUGGAAACUGACAAUAUUUCCUCUUAAGGCAGUUGUUUUGCCUAUAGGGAAAAACUUUGAUAGAAAGGCAUCUGACAAGUUCAUCCAGUUGUUGAUGUUAUCUUGAUGAGUGUAGAACCACUUCCUCGCUUUCCCUUCUAGUGAGAAUGGAAAAAGGCGAAGUAGUAUGACGUCUUUGUCAACUCCGUUGAUGUGGAUUGUGCUUCCAAUCUCUAAGAAAUUCUGCAAGUGUGUACUAGCAUCUUCAUGUGCCUUUCCACUGAAUUGUGUAGCUUGCACCAAAUUGAUGAGGCUUGACUUGAGCUCAAACUUGGGUACUCCUUCUUCUACUGCAAAUCAUGGACCAGUUGGAAUGUUCUCAAGACUUGGAGCAGAGAAUUCUUGCAAGGUCUUUUGUGCCAUAACUUUAGCAAUUGGUAGCUAGCUUCUUCUUCUCUUGAUUGCUUUGGUUCUGAUGAUGAAGAGUUGAAUGUACCCUAAGUCAAUCCUGAUAUACCCUGUAUAAAAAAUAUAAACAUUGAAAAACAACAUGGUGAACCUGCCAAAGCAGAGGUGCCUUGUUAUGAUUUCUCACUUAGUAGCUGUUUUUAUGCAAUUAUUUCACUAUAGUCUAGUCUAAUGUUUUAUAUGAAUAACCUUGACUAAUUUUCUGGCUUUCCUUACUGUUCCUAAGUAUUACCCUUUUGUUCCCGUUUAUGACUUACUCAUGAGACUCCCCGGCAACGGCCCCAGAAAUGCUUGUUGACACUAGCUAACACCACUUAGAUACUAGGUUGUCAUCCCCAGCAUGGUGCCAGAGCGUAGAAAGGUAUUUAUAAAUGUAAAGGCUCUCUAGAAAAUAAUCUAUUCUAUCCGCAAGCGCACAGAUUAAACACCUCAUUGUAGCAUUUCACCAGGAUAAGUAUUCCAGGUAUCGUUAUUUAUAAUUUUGCUCAAAGGAACUAAGGAGAUUAAAUUAAGGGCAAAAUCUAUCAAGGCAUAGACUAGAGAUAAACUUGCAAGAACAUGAUUACUAAUGAGAAACUCGUCACGCAGUCACUUACUUUAGCAGGGGGUAAACCAUAAAGAUAAUGAUAAUGAAUUAUAAGUUCAUGGGUAGAUAACACAACGAUUAGAAAAUAGACUACUCCUCAUAUAUGUAGGUGAUGUCGGAUUAGCUACAGAAUGGAUUCUAAGUUAUCUACUAACUACUAAGUCAUAAUCUACUCUAGUUAUCUAUAAGAUCAUAUAUAACAAAAAAGACUCUUCAUUCAUGUAUAAGGAACAAUGAUAAAGUAAAUCAGAGCAUCGCACGACUUACUCCACAAUACCGGUUCUGCCUGUCCUAUCAACGGAGGGUGGACUAUAUAAGAAUCAAUGAAGCUGUCACUAUCGCGAACUACCACACAACCCGGCCAAUAGGAUACAUUUGCAGAUAAAUAACAUCUAAGCACCACACGCACAUAUGAUCUAUCACUUAACUCCCUCGCGUCAAGAGCUAAGCGUUUUCCAAACUUAUACAUAAACUCAUUAUCAAUCAUAACUAUAUCAAAUAUAGAACUAGAGCAAACUAAGAACAUAAUAAUUAGAGACAUAAUGCAAUUAGAACAAAGAAUUAGAGAAAGAUAUGAAUAAUACCAAUCUUUAUUACCGAAGAUCCGAAUCCAGAGCGUAGUGCUCUACUUCUAUAAUUGUUGUCUAAUCAAACCUCUAAACUUGAAGGAUUAGGGAGUAGCUAAUUCUAAUUCUCUGUGGUAGAGAAGCUCUAAACCCUAACUUUGAUGGCUACCUCUGCAUAAUGAUUUCUUCUCUUCUCCUCUCUCCUCCAGGGGUGGAGAGGCCUUGGUUAUAUAGUCUUUUCAAGUGAAUUUGGGCCGUUAGAUCAAACCGACAUUGAUUGUGUGGUUUAGAUUGAUCCUUUAGGUCGGUGGAGUUUAGCCCCGAAGCAGAGUCCCGAUUGGACUCCAACCCUGGGCGGGCGCCCAAGGGGGGUGGGUGGCCGCCCUGCCCCCGAGCCCGAUCGUGCUCUCGUUCGUUCCCGUGGCUUCUGGACUCUUCUAGAUUGAGGAAAAUUGCGCGGCACGUAAUUAUCUCGUUGUAAACAUGACAUGUGGGCCUUCUCUCGAUAUUCUCUGAUAACCCCCUACAAAAAUAGAUAAACACCAAAGCUCGUGAAAUUCUAUCAGAUAAAACCCUAAUUCUAGAUGUUUGUUUCAUAUUGAUCAUUUUCCAUGUUUAUUUGAUUGUUAAUUUUAGUACUUAAGGACCGUCAACAGCGAGCACAGUGGCGACGCGCCCGAGGUUCGCUAGAGUAGGGGUCACCUAGUGUCGAUCUUGAGCAGCCAUGUGGUGGACAAGAGAGAGUAGCUCUAGGCAGACUUGGUGACACUUGGAGAGGAGGCAUGAUGCGAGGAAGAGGGCGUGCGGAGCUCGUAGGUGCUCGGUGUCAAUGGCGAUGGUGUUUCCACCGUCAGAGUGUGUGAGAGAGAGGGCAGAGAGACUGAGUGAGUGCCGGUGGCGUGGCAUCCUUGACGGCGUCGACGGCCUAACUGAUGGGGCCAACACCGACAUACGGUCACCGAAUGGUGCUUGGGUGCUAACACUAGUCGGCCACGAUGUUGCCAGGAGCUCGCGAUGAGAGUUUCAUUGCCAACUGAUAGAGCUACUUCGUCGAUGAUUAUCUUCCAAACUAGCUAUAGUUGACAAAAUUGGAGAACUAAAUGAGAUCUACAACUUUGUCAAUUGGAGCAAGAGCCAAAUUGGCCUGAAUGAGAAUAUGCAAAGCUCCAAACUACCUUCAAGCAAACUGAGUCAUGCAGGGAACUUAGAAAAUGUUCUCAGUGUCCAAACAACAUCCAAAAUUGACUUGUGGGCCAUUUUCAUGAGAUGGCCCUAAAAUAACUUUUGAUCCUUAUAAAAUUUUCUUCAACAUUGAUUUAGAGAGUUUUGACAUGAAAACAUUUUAUGAAGCACGUUUUAAAAACUUAAGCAAAAGAUGUCUAGGGGGGCCACCCUAGGCCAACUAUGGCUUAGAAGCAUAAUUAGAGCAAAUGACCAACAUGAACAUUGAUCCCUAGGACAUGUUAAGCAUAGAUAAACUAUUUACCAAGAUUAUAAACACACCCUAGCACAAGGUACACAAGAUCAUACGCAUAGAAGGCAUAAAUUAAGCAGAAAAGCAAACAUAGCACAUACAAUGACAUGCUCCACAUGAUAUGAUGCUCAAGGAAUGAUAUGAUUAUGAUUAUGCUCAUGUCAUGCAAGAGAUAGAAGACAACCAUAACACUUUGGUGUUACAACCUUCCCCCUUACCAAAAUUUCAUCCGAAGAUUUAGAAAGCUUACUAGUUUCCACAGAAGGUUUUAUAGACAUCUCUUAGAGAGUCUUCCCAUUCCUAGGUAGCAUCUUCCUCCCUAUGGUUACUCCACAAAACCUUGUAGAGCUUAACCACGCGAUUAUGUGUUACCCGUUCCUUGCAAUUAGUGACAGCUACAAGUUUCUCUUCAUAAACCAAGUCUGACUCUAACUUGAUACCUUGAGUUUCCACUCUUUUCUAACAGACUCGAAGGCAUUUCCUUAGUUGAGACACGUGGAAAAUAGGAAAAAUAGCUCGCAUCUUAACCGGCAGCUGAACCUUGUAAGCUACCUUCCCUUUCCUUUCGAGAAUCUGAUAGGGUCAUACAUAGUAGGGUGCAAGCUUUCGCUUGACUCUGAACCUUUGCACCCCUUUCAUCGGAGACACUUUGAGGUACAAAUGAUCCCUGACUGCAAAGCAUAACUCUUUUGUUGAGCCUGAGCAGUUUUAGAUGUUGCUGGAUUGUACGGACUUGUUGCUCUGCUUCAUUUACAAAAUCGAUGCCAUAGUACCUUCUCUCUCCCGAUUGUACCCAAUUCAAAGGAGCUAUACACUUCCGACCAUAUAGGGCUUCAAAAGGAGCCAUUUUAAUGCUCUCCUGGUAACUAUUGUUAUAAGAGAACUCGGCUAAUGGCAACCAUUCACCUAAGAACCUUGUGAAGAUAAGACACAAGAUCUCAACAUGUCUUCCAAGAUUUGGUUAACACGCUCAGUUUGGCCAGUCGUUUGCGGAUGAUAAGCAGAACUUCAGACCAAAUGAGUACCUAUCUGCUUACGAAGACACUCCCAGAAACGAGCAGUGAACUGCUGUCCAUGAUCCGAUAUGGUAGUGCGAGGUACGCCAUACUGGCGGACAAUGUGCUCAAAAUACAACUCCACAUAUUGAUGCAGAUGAUAUUUAGUUCGAACCGAGAUAAAACGAGCAACCUUCAUCAGACGAUCCACAAUCACCCAAAUUGAGUCAGAACCCUUGACAAAAGGUGGAAGUCUAGAGAUAAAAUCCAUACUCACUUCCUCCCACUUCCAACUAGGGUUUGGCAAAGGUUGAAGUAGACUCGCUUUCAUGCGAACAGCCUUAACACGACAAUAGUUGUCGCAACGGGCAACAGAAGCAACAAUCUCUUUCUUCAUUUUUGUCCACCAAAACAGAGAUUUAAGAUCCUAAUACAUCUUACUGCUACCAGGAUGAAUAGAUAGCUUGAAACAAUGAGAUUCAGACAGAAUCUGAUUUUGGAGCUCUCAAUUCUUUGGUACAACAAGCCUAUCCUUAAACCAUAGAAUUUCGUUCUCAUCAACCUAGAAAUGCUUGGUUUCUGCCUCUUUCAUCUUUCUUUUUAUGUGGUGGAUACCCAUGUCAGUCUGUUGCAACUCAAUCACCAGAUUACGAAGAGAGCUUUCUAGGGCAAUAUGGUGAAGUACCGCUGGAUGCAUAAGACGUGAUAAAGGAGGAUCCUCAAUUCUCACCGAAUUUCAAUGUGACUUCUAACUCAAGGCAUCCACAACUACGUUCACCAUUCCCGGAUGAUAGUGUACUUGGAGAUUAUAAUCUUUGAUCAACUCAAGCCACCUUUUCUGUCGCAUGUUCAACUCGGGUUGAGUAAAGAUGUACUUGAGGCAUUUAUGAUCGAUGUAGAUGUUACACAGAUUACCCAACUGUUGACACCGUUUUUGGGCACGUGUCCACGUUGGCAGGAUAAGACGGCGGUGUUUUGUUUACAGGGUAAAUUGCCGAUGAGGAUGGUUGCCGACCAAGGAGAGGUUGAACGUGGCUAAGUUUACGGGUGGUGAUGUGCCUGUGCCGAUGGCUGCGAUAAGGAAGUCUGCCGAUGACUUUGGCAAGGAAGUCUGCCGAUGACUAUGGCAAGGAAGUCUGCCGAUGAUACAAAGGGGGAGUCCGGAAGCUGCCGGUCGGCUUAUGGAAGAAUUCCGGUUCGUCAUGGGGGAUAGCUUUGUUAUUUCCUUAUUUAUUUGAGUCGUUUUAUAUACGGAUUCUGUGUAAUUUGGAAUUCAAAUUAUAGUCGUGUCUGGUUGUAGUUCUUUAACCAGGGUAUAAAUAUAAACCCUAAGGCCUUGUAAUGAGACAUCUAUCAAUCAAUCAAACACACGUUUUUACUCAUAUUCCAGCAUCUAUUUUUCGACGAUUUCGUCAUACUUUUUCUCUUUUAUUACGAGUUCUUAGGAAUUCGUCGACUUAAGCUCGGCGCGUUCUCAAGUUCCGCGUGAGUACCUCUUAGCCGUGACAUCCGGGCGCAUCGCUGUUGUCAGGACUAAAGUAUUCGAGUUAUCACCUUUGCCGAUAGUAAGGUCAAAUCGGCUGGCACGCCUUAACGUUUGAAUCGGGUAUUAGCCCUUUGUGUUUGCAGAUCAGUUUUGCACCAACACAUCUUUUGGCACGCCCGGUGGGACCGAUUCAAGAUCAAGAUCAACAUGUCGAUCUCUGACUUCGAUCAAGAGAACGUCAUCCCCGUGACGGAGGCCAAUCUCAAGGAUGAGCAGAAGCAAGCUAUUGCCCAAGCCAUGGAAGAGUUCAAGCUGCAAUGCCUGAGGUCUUUCAGCAUAAACAGGAGCGGCGAGGUGAUCUAGAAAGAUGCACUGCCGGCACCACGGCAGGUUACCUUCGAAGCCAAUCCUGGCAAGCUUCAAGAUAUGGUUGACAGUGCUAUCAAUCGAGCUUUGAUCAACCAAGCUGGCGUACUGUCCAAUACGGUUUUCAAUGCCGUGGCAAGAACUUUCAAGGAAGGACAGAUCCCACCAGAUUACGUGGGCCCCACUCAUCAUCAACCAACAGCACCAGAGGUUACGGCUCCUUCGGCUGCUUUGACAGCUGCGAGUGCACAAUCUGCUGUCCCUCCAGGUACAUUGGUAGCUACUAGCACACAAUCUGUGCCGAUGACAACCAACCCACAAACUUCAAGUGGGCAGAAUAAAUUGACUACAAAUAUGUUAGCAUCGGCAAUGUCAGGGUUGACUCCUCCUCCCAACUGGUGGGGUUACGGUAUGCCUCCAGAGUUGACACCGGGUACAUCACAGAUAACUGACAUGAGGGGCAAAGCUUCUAUGGCAUCGGCGCCUCCCAAUGCGCCGUGGAACCAGAGUCCUCGGUAUACCACAACUACAACUACAAGGCCUCACGCUGGGAAUCCUCAAGAUUCGAUGUUCCAAGUGCCUAAUGCAUCGGCAGAUUCAAUGCUGAUGCAACAGAGGUCCAUAGCCCAGUCGGGUAUGUCAAUUCAAUGAUGGUGCCCAAUUACGAAUCAUCGGCAGCGUCUAUGCCGAUGAACGCUAAUAAUGGAUGGCUUGGACAACAAGUUUUUCCCCAAACACCCCAACAGAGUUACCAGGCUACAGGGUUCCAGCAAGGACAGGUCUAUCCCGGGUUCCAAAGUCAGGGGGUUCCCAACCAGCCAAUGAAUCUCGGACAACAGCUCGGGGGGCAGCAAAUCGGUGGACAGCAGUUUGGUGGUCUGCAGAUUGGAGGCCAGAUGAUCAACCCAAUCUUCCGUGCAGAUCAUGCCCCAAACAGACACGUGGAGGUUCGCCACCAGGUGCCAGACCCGCAGCCGCCUCAUCGGCAGGAUGCCGAUGCAUAUUGGGCCAAUAAGAUCGCUGAAGUAAUCAGGGUUCAAUUUGGGAUAAAACCCAAAGUCAACACUUACUCUUAUCGGACACCGUAUCCUCCCGCAUAUGAUUUGAUCCCGCUUCCACAUCGGUACAAGGUACCAGACUUUACCAAGUUUUCCGGGCAGGACGACACGUCAACCAUGGAGCAUGUCAACAGGUUCAUCAUUCAAUGCGGGGAAGCUGGUAACAGGGACAAAUUGAGGGUUCGUCUAUUUUCAUCGUCAUUGUCUAGGUCGGCCUUUACCUGGUUCAUAUCAUUACCUCAUAAUUCAGUGAUUACUUGGGCCGAUCUGGAGAAACAAUUCCACAAGUACUUCUUUUCUGGAGUUCUUGAGAAUAAGAUCACCGAUUUGGUCAAAUUAAGACAACGCAAUGAUGAAUCGGUCGAGGGUUUUGUGCAGAGGAUACGGGAGGUCAAAAAUAAAUGUUACAGUCUGGUUCUGGAUGAUCGGCAGCUAGCCGAUUUGGCUUUCCAGGGUUUGUUGCCACAUAUCAGGGACAAGUAUGCUUCUCAGGAGUUCGAAAGUUUGAGUCAUUUGGUGCAGAGGAUUUCUGAUCAAGACAUCAAGCCUUUUGAGCCCAAAAGAGCAUGGAACAAGAAGGUAUCAUUUGUGGAUGAGGCAACAAGCUCAGAUUCUGAUGAGGAACCAGUCAUCGGCUUGGCAGAGUGGGUAAAGAAUAAGAAGCCGAUGUCUUGUCCUUUUGGGCAGAAGGAACCAGAAAAGUUCACUUUUGACACCGCUAAAGCCGACAAGAUAUUUGAUUUUCUGCUCCAGGAAGGACAGAUCAAGUUGUCUCCUAAUCACAUGAUCCCAUCGGCAGAAGAGUUGAAGAAGUGAAAUAUUGCAAGUGGCAUAAUGCAACUUCUCAUGACACUAAUGAAUGCAAAGUUUUCAGACAGCAGCUGCAAUCGACCAUAGAGUCUGGGAGAAUCAAAUUUGACAGUCGCAAGAUCCAGAAGCCGAUGAAGAUAGACCAACAUCCUUUCCCGACAAACAUGUUGGAUGCUAAGGGGAAGGCCAAGGUCUUAACAUCGGAAGCAGCUGAGAAAAGUGCAUCGGUAGACCCUCAGCAUCAAGUCACUACUGCCGACGCAAGAGGAAGAGGCUUGGUCCAGGAAGGAACUAGCUCAGGGAGGCCUCCCCGAUCUGGGACUGUGAUAACUCACAGAAGGCCUCGAGAGAACUGGCAACAACGGGAAAAUCGGUAUCGGCGCCAGGAAGAAGAUUAUCGUUGGGAGGAAGAAAGACACCGACAGGAGUGGAAUCGGCAUAGGGAUCACUGGAAUUGUCCGUUCUUCAUCCAUUGCUGGGAGGAGAAUAUUAAGCUUCCCACUGUCAGAGACUGCCCUGAGUGCAAUGGUUAUGAUCGGUAUGAUAGGACCGAUCGGCGUUAUCAUGAUGACAAUCGGCGACUUAAUGGGCCGAUUAGAGGAAGAGCAUCAGUUCAUGAUCGGCUGGGGGGCAGGCUCAGCGUGCAUGAUAGGCUUGGCAAUCGUGUCCAAUAUUUUCCCAGAAACCAGGAAGAACUCGAGGAGAUGGCUAAUGCACGAGUUCCCGAUGAGUUCAUAUUUUGCAGGGAUGCUAACACGCAUCGGAUGGAGUCAAGGGAGAAUCGACGCCCAGUAGCAAGGCAGAAGCCACUUCCUCCAUGGUGUCCGGAAGGGUUGACCAAGACAAAGAAAAGGAGAUUGCAGCGUGAAAGGCAAGAGGAGCUAAACAAGGGCGAGAACUCUGGAAGUCAGCAGCCAUCAGACACCAAGAGGGAAGGUCCAUCGGCGGGAGUUAACAUGGUCUUUAUGUUGCCGAUGGAGUUUCUUGCACCAUCCAGUGAUGAUGAGUUGGAAUUUUCUGAUCAGAUAGCUCAGCUGGCUCUGGAUCCGAUGACAGCUAUCUUUGAGAAACCUGCCGAUGACGAGAGACAGCAUCUCAAGGCUCUGUUCGUCAAAGGGAGGGUUGAUGGGCAGCCAAUGACCAAGAUCCUAGUUGAUGGUGGAGCUGCUAUUAAUAUUAUGCCGUAUGCAGUAUAUCGGAAGCUUGGGAAAGGGGAUCAGGAUUUGACCAAGACCGAUAUGAUGCUCAAGGAUUUUGAAGGAAACGUGUCUCCAGUCAAGGGGGCAAUAUGUGUGGAGUUGACCAUCGGCAGCAAAACCUUGCCGACAACUUUCUUUGUGAUCAGUGGAAAGGGUGCUUACAACUUAUUGUUGGGAAGAGAUUGGAUUCAUGCCAAUUGUUGCAUCCCGUCUACAAUGCACCAAUGCUUGGUUAAGUGGGUAGGUGACAAGAUUGAGAUUGUCCCAGGGGAUUCUUCUUAUGUUAUUGCAUCAGCAGAGAUGGAUACCUAUGAGAGGACUAGGUGCAUUUCAGGGGAAGUUUGGGAGAAGGAUUCCACCGAUCCAAGCAGUCGGUUCUGACGACGGUUUUUAAUGGAUAGAUUCGCCGAUGAUGGAAAAUUAGGCCAGGGAUUCACAUCGGCCGAUGAUUUGGUAGAGGUAGAUAUAGGUAGUGGUGAUAAGCCUAGACCUACUUUUAUUAGUGCUAAAUUAGAUCCCAAGUGUAAGCAACAAUUAACUAAUUUGUUAAAGGAAUAUAAAGAUUGCUUUGCUUGGGAUUAUACUGAGAUGCCUGGUUUAGAUCGAUCAAUUGUUGAACAUCGGUUACCCAUCAAAGUCUGGAUUUCGGCCACAUCAGCAACCAGCUCGCCGAUGUAAUCCUAACAUUCUACCUGAUAUUAAGGCCGAAAUCACCAAACUCAUUGAAGCUAAGUUUAUUCGGCAGUGUCGGUAUGCCGAGUGGAUUUCCAAUGUCGUUCCGGUUUACAAGAAAAACGGGAAGCUUCGGGUAUGCAUUGAUUUCAGGAAUCUCAAUAAAGCUACGCCGAUGGAUGGAUACCCAAUGCCUAUUGCCGAUCUACUAGUUGACGCUGCGGCUGGUCAUCGGAUCAUUAGCUUUAUGGAUGGUAAUGCGGGAUACAAUCAAAUAUUCAUGGCAGAGGAAGAUAUUCCAAAAACCGCAUUCAGGUGCCCUGGCCAUGUUGGGUUAUUUGAAUGGAUAGUCAUGACCUUUGGCCUGAAGAAUGCUGGUGCUAUUUAUCAAAGGGCUAUGAAUUUUAUAUUUCAUGAGUUCAUCGGCAAGCUGGUGGAGAUUUAUAUUGAUGAUGUGGUGGUUAAGUCUGGGGAUUUCUCAAAGCAUCUUGCCGAUCUACGAAAGGUGUUAGAGUGUACAAGGAAGCAUGGAUUGAAGAUGAAUCCCAACAAGUGUGCAUUUGGUGUAUCGGCAGGGCAGUUUCUUGGUUUCAUGGUACAUCAAAGGGGUAUUGAAAUUAGUCGAAGAUCUAUUGAUGCCAUCAAUAAGAUAGUGGCCCCUACCAACAAGACUGAGCUCCAGUCCUUGAUCGGCAAGGUAAAUUUUAUCAGGAGAUUUAUAUCUAAUCUGUCUGGUAAGAUUCGUGCUUUCAGUCCUCUUCUUAAAUUGAAGGCCGAUCAAGAAUUUAUUCGGGGAGAAGAACAGCAGUUGGCUCUAGAUGAAAUCAAGAAGUAUUUAAUGAAUCCUCCAGUUCUAGUUCCACCUCAACAAGGAAAGCCCUUCAGAUUGUAUUUGUCUACCGAUGGGACGGUUAUCGGCUCGGCUUUGGUUCAAGAAUUUGAAGGGAAAGAGAGAGUAAUUUACUACUUGAGUAGGAGGUUGAUUGAUGCUGAAACCAGGUAUUCGGCUAUUGAGAAACUAUGCCUAUGCUUGUAUUUUUCAUGUAUCAAACUGAGGCAUUACCUGCUAUCGGCCGAAUGCACUGUUGUUUGCAAAGAUGACGUGGUCCGGUACAUGCUAUCCAUGCCGAUUAUGAGUGGCAGGAUCGGUAAAUGGAUAUUGGCGCUGUCGGAGUUCGAUCUGCGUUAUGAAUCGGCUAAGGCAGUUAAAGGGCAGAUUAUGGCCGAUUUUGUGACUCAACAUUGCGGUGCAGUGGAAGCCUUGGAAAUUGUGCCCUGGACGCUUUUCUUUGAUGGAUCUACAUGUGACCGGGGGGCAGGAAUCGGCAUAGUGCUAGUUUCCCCUAUGGGAAGGAAGUAUGAAUUUUCCUUGCCGAUUGUUGCUACAUCAACAAAUAAUCAGGCUGAGUAUCAAGCUUUGAUAAAAGGAAUAGAGUUGUUGAGGGAAGUUCGUGCUGAUGCUGUCGAGGUCUUCGGGGAUUCUAUGUUGGUUAUAAAUCAAUUGGCCGGGAGUUAUGAAUGCCGAAGUGAAGUUCUCAUAACUUAUUACGAGAAGAGCAUGCAACUGUUAAAGGAAUUCAAAGAUUUCCGAUUAGAGCAUGUUCCUCGAUUGCAUAAUGAAGAGGCCAAUCGGUUAGCUCAGCAUGCCUCGGGAUAUCAGCCUAUGAUUAAUACAAUAUCGGCAAUCGGUGCCGAUGAUUGGAGAAAAGAAAUUAUUGAUUAUUUGAAAGAUGCAUCUAAGAAAGUUGAAAGACGAGUUCGGUUUCAAGCAACCAAGUAUGUGCUCCUCGGAGAUGAAUUGUAUUAUCGAACUAUUGAUGGAAUUCUUCUCCGAUGCCUAGGUGAUGAUGAAGCUAGGAGUUUGAUGGGAGAGAUCCAUGAGGGAGUGUGUGGAGCACAUCAGUCAGCUUUUAAGAUGAAGUGGAUGGUUAGAAGGAAUGGAUAUUUUUGGCCAACCAUACUUGAGGAUUGCUUUAAGUAUUUCAAGGGAUGUCAAGGUUGUCAAAAGUUUGGUAACAUUCAAAGAGCACCCGCAUCGGCUAUGAAUCCUAUUAUCAAGCCUUGGCCGUUCUGGGGAUGGGCUAUCGAUCUGAUCGGCCAGAUUUAUCCACCAUCUAGCAAAGGGCAUAAGUUUAUUCUGGUUGCCACCGAUUAUUUCACUAAAUGGGUUGAAGCUAUUCCUUUGAAGAAGGUCACCUCGGCCAAUAUGAUUGAUUUUGUGAAGGAACACAUUAUUUACCGAUUUGGGAUUCCUCACACAAUUACUACCGAUCAAGGCACUAUGUUCACAUCGGGGGAGUUUGAUGAAUUCGCAAUCGGCAUGGGGAUUAAAGUGUUGAAUUCUUCUCCUUAUUAUGCUCAAGCCAAUGGGCAGGCCGAGGCGUCUAACAAAGGAAUUAUCAAGCUUAUUAAACGAAAGAUUGAAGAAAAUCCUAAGCGGUGGCAUACAUUGUUAAAUGAAGCACUGUGGUCUUAUCGGAUGGCUUGUCAUGGAUCAACCAAGGUGUCACCCUAUCAAUUAGUGUAUGGACAUGAUGCAGUGUUGCCUUGGGAGAUUAAGGCUGGAUCCAGGCGAUUAUCUUUUCAAGAUCAGUUAACCGCCGAUGAUUAUGCCACUUUGAUGACCGAUGAGUUGGAUGAUCUAGCAGGACAUCAGUUAAAAGCUUUAAUGAGUAUAGAAGAAAAUAAGAAGAGAGUUGCUAGAUGGUAUGAUAAGAAAGUGAAGGCUAAGGAGUUUGUCGAUGGGGAUUUGGUAUGGAAAUUAAUUUUGCCAGUCGGGACUAAAAGUGCAAAGUUUGGAAAGUGGUCUCCUAAUUGGGAAGGUCCUUAUCGGAUAAGUCGAUCGGCUCCUGGUAAUGCCUAUAUUCUAGAAACUCUCGAAGGAGUUGAAUUUCCCAGAGCGUUAAAUGGCAAAUAUUUAAAGAAGUACUACCCCAGCAUAUGGGUCGAUGCAUAAAAGAUUAAAUGCCGAUAACAAUCCUAUCGGCUGGAUUAAAGUGUAUCUGGGGAUGAACUUAAUGUUUCAAAAGAUGCCGAUAACAGUCUUAUCGGCUAGACUAAGGCAUUAAGAAAGCUGAAAUGCAGAAGAGCAAAGGUGUGUUGCCGAUGAGAGUUUCAGAUGUUCAGAAGCGCUUGGAUCGCCGAUAUGGCGCGCAGCCGGAUCUGAUUGGCUGUUUCUAUCUCUUUGGUAUCAUCAUCGGCAGAACCUUCUACCGGCUUCAGCUUCUUCUUCAACUGCAACGCUUUGCGACCGUGGGCAUUUCGUUCUUGCUCAAGGUGCUUGAUGGUCUCCGGCAGUUGGCUCUCUUCUUGCUGGGCCUGAGACAGAGUAUCCUCUACUUGCUGGAGUUCGGCCAGCAGGGCUUCUCUUUUUGCCGAUAGAUCAGAGAUUUUCUGCUUCAGUGCAUCACCCGAGGACUUUAAGGUGCCGAUGUUCUUAUGUUUCUCAUCGGCUAAGAGUUUUUCUUUCAUCAUCUCCUCAGAGAGCUGGAUUUGAGCAGCUCUAUCGGCAAGGCGUCGAGUGGCUCUCUGGUACUGCAGCUGGCGACUCUCCAAGUGAGCGGCUUGGAAAAGGAUUUCUUCGACAUCGGCUGGGAUUUGGCCUCUGAGAGUCCUGAACAGAGUCUUGGCGGGGUCGGAGUCGUCGACCAAUUGUGCCGUGUCCUGGUGAAGGAGAGCUGACAAUUCCUCCAGCCUGGCCCUGAUCUCUGCCGAUGUAAUGCCGAUUGUCUGAGAGGAGCUUGCUUCUUCGCCUUCUUCUUCAGAGAGAUCGAUGGCGAAGGAGAACAGGCUGUCGGGAGAGUCUUGUUCCUGGGAAGGAGAGCAAAGUUAGUUCAUACUCAGAAAAUCGGCGAGUAAUGCUGGUAAAGAUUGGGCGGCUUACUUGUUUUAAGGCUAUUUCCUGCCCUUGUCUGGAAGAUGCCGAUGGAACUGUAGGUUGAUCAGCCAAAGUUGCCGAUGGAAUGACAUCGACUGAGAGAAAACAGAAAAAAUUAUGAGGAUUGAAUGAGAAUAAGUUCAUCGGCGGCAGUAUUAUUAAAAUAUGUUACCUGGAGGAGGAACAGCGGUUGUCUGAAUCGGGAGAACUGCCGAUGAUGUGAUUGGACCUGCUGGGCCAGUUGUUCGUCCACCCGCGUCAGCUGAUGUACCUUCUGUUUGAGGUUCUUCCUGCUGGGGUUCUUCCAUCUGUGGUGCUUCCUGCAUUGGUUGAGGAGAUGGUAUUUGCUGUGUCUGGACUUCUGGAGAAGAAGGGGAAGACUCCACCGGAAUUGGAGACACUGGAGGAGGAGGGGGAGUUGCCGCUUUCUGGCGUUUCGUUCCAGCCCUGGUACUCUUGGCACCUUUCCUCUUUGGCUGGCUGGACUUGGGGGCAUCGGCACCUUGGCGUUUGGCUUUUGCCGAUGCACUGGUUUGCUGCAGCAACAAGAAAGAAGUUAUGAGUUUAAAUGAAGCCGAUAUAAAGGUAAUUGGUAUAAGUGAAAAAGGGUUGACAAAUUGCCUUCAAAGCAUGUGCCAGAGUAGAAGCGGCUACCGUUGGUGAUGUCUGAGUUCUCUUGGUGGUGACCUUCUUAAGGCGCGCACCCCGAUGCACGAUGGCAGCCAGAGUGGGAGCAUUGUGGCCGAUUGAAGAGAUUGGGCCUGAUGGAAACACGUCAAUCGGCUUACCACUUCUGCUAACCGACGGGGGGGAUGUCGUCAACCUGCACAAGGGAUACAAAAGUGAGUUACCGAUGAGAAUAAUAAUGGAACAUCGGUUUGAAAUACUUACAGCGUCGUAGGGGACUUGGUACUCGGGAUCAAUCAUGCCAUGAUACGAAGAGGCUGAUUUGCAGAAUAGAUGCUCCUUCCAUUCUGCCCACCAUAGUUUGUAUGCCUGGGUAAUGAAGGCGGCUGGAACCCACUCUAACAAAUCUGCAUCUAUAUCGGCAUUUGGUGGUAGUUGGGCUACUCGGAUCCACUCAAGAAGGUUGGCGAUGGGUUCCCUGGGUUUUAUCACAUCGGCAUAACAGAGUGCAAUCGGCAACUGGCCGAAGGCCAAUUGACGAGCUAAUGCUGAUGGAUUGUAAAAUUCAUAAGUUUGGGGGGAGGUUUUUGUGCUACCAAAGAAAUUCACUGGUAUAGCUCUAGGGGUCACAAUUGCCAUCAUCACCUCAUUAUCCCUGUCAAGAGCUUCAUCAAAUGGAUUGAAGGCCAAGGGGAGCAUACUGUCUGGGUCGUCGUAGGCCAACCAUGGUCGUUCAUCUCUGGCCAAGCCCUCUAUAGAGUCUGGAAGAAUCGGCCGAUCUGAUCUGGAUUACCCCCUGAACCAGGCAGAACUAUGACAGCUUCGCCAAAGUUCAAGGGGGCGCGUGUUGCCGAUUCCUCUUCACCCAACACAUGAUUUUCAGCUAUAUCUCUUGGGAAACGCUGUGUGAACAGGUUGAAGUUGAGACGCUUGUGCAGAUGCAGGUUAAGCCACAUGUUGAUAAACCACCAGGGGCCUCCCAAGUUGCCAGUGGAUUGACCGAGCAGGAGUUUCUGGGCUACUUGAUGAAGAAGGUGGUAGGUGGCGCCAAGCAAGUAUCGGCCGAGGGGGAAUCGGCCACCGUUAGCCAGUCUUUCUGCUGCCGAUAGAUAGACAGAAGUCGGCCCUGCCGAUCGACCACAGAAUACAAACUUGUCCAGCCACAUGUUCAGAAAGGUGGUUUGUUCCUUUAUGGUGACGGGCCCUUUCCCACGAUACUUCUGAAUGUACCCUGACCAGCCGCCGAUAGCGCAAGUCUCCACUUUGGCACUAGGAGCAGUAUCAAAAAAGUGGGUGCUAUCGGCAGAAGAUACAUCUAGACCGGUGAGCAUGGCUACAUCGGCAAGGGUAGGAGAAGCAGGGCCGUGGCCAAAGACAAAAGCAUUGAGGGUGUCUGACCAGAAGUAAGACGCAGCUAUCAACAGUGACUCGUUCCUGUGCAUAUCGGCAAUAGAUAACCUGAUGCAUUGGUCCAGCUUCCUCUCACCCCACUGGGCCUCAUUAGAGUUGCUGACCCUCAAGAACCAGUCUUUCCACCCUAUGGUAGGGCUAGGCCAAGAGCGGAAGGUGUCUUUCCACAGAUCUAAAGAAAAAUUUUCGGCUCUAAAGGGGAUCCUAUUGGUUUCUGCGUUGAUAAGGAUGGUUGGAUCUGGGUCCCCUAGAGGGCCGAGGCAUUGAAGGUGUGGUUGAUCAGUGGGGAUGACAAUUUUGUUAGACAGCUCCUAGUGAUUUUGGGAAUAAAAGAAAUACAAAGAAAAGAGAAGAUAUUCAGUAAAAUGAAUUGUGGAUGAACAGGGAUGCGAAGAAAAAUACAGAAAACGGGAUGGAGAUCUGACCUCAGGAACGACGAAGCCAAUGGCCAUCUUGCCGCGAAGAAAGCGUGUGAGGGCACCGGAGUUGAUGAGGAAGAGUGCUUGUCGGAAGUAUUGGAGAUUUUGAAUGGCGCCGCCGCUGGAAAAGUGAAAGUUGGGAUGGUGGAGAAGGAGUACCCGAGAAGGAACUAUUUAUAGGAUAAAACGGGCAAGGGCAAAUCUGACUUAUCUCUUUGCCGCAUCCGGGAAGCCCGAGGGUGCUCAGGUAGAUAUGGUAACUAUUCGCACGGUAAUCAAGGGAUUGUGCAGGUGAUUUGACGGGAGGCGGUCAUUACCUGGAGAUAUUUUACUGUGCGGGAUCUUCUGGUCGGUCCAUCGGCAGCAUACUGUAACGGUCAUAUUGCCGAUGGGCGGGUAAGGUAAAGGUGGCCAUUUGUACGAACGUCCUGAUUAGUCCAUCGGUGGAUCUUCGUAACGGUAAUAUUGCCGAUGCGCGGAUGAGAAGGAAGUGUCUGUUUAGGAAGUUGAGGAUUUUGAGGAAUCUGCAGGAGAAUAGGAUCGGGGUUGUUUGGAUUGAGGUUGUCGGUUACCAGAUUAGGAGCAUUAAUUGCGGGGAAAGGCAUCAUUACUGCAGAGAAUUUCGGAGCACUGGUGAUUUCAUACUCCGAAAUUGGGGGGCAUGUGUUGACACCAUUUUUGGGCACGUGUCCAGGUUGGCAGGAUAAGACGGCGGUGUUUUGUUUACAGGGUAAAUUGCCGAUGAGGAUGGUUGCCGACCAAGGAGAGGUUGAACGUGGCUAAGUUUACGGGUGGUGAUGUGCCUGUGCCGAUGGCUGCGAUAAGGAAGUCUGCCGAUGACUUUGGCAAGGAAGUCUGCCGAUGACUAUGGCAAGGAAGUCUGCCGAUGAUACAAAGGGGGAGUCCGGAAGCUGCCGGUCGGCUUAUGGAAGAAUUCCGGUUCGUCACGGGGGAUAGCUUUGUUAUUUCCUUAUUUAUUUGAGUCGUUUUAUAUACGGAUUCUGUGUAAUUUGGAAUUCGAAUUAUAGUCGUGUCUGGUUGUAGUUCUUUAACCAGGGUAUAAAUAUAAACCCUAAGGCCUUGUAAUGAGACAUCUAUUAAUCAAUCAAACACACGUUUUUACUCAUAUUCCAGCAUCUAUUUUUCGACGAUUUCGUCAUACUUUUUCUCUUUUAUUACGAGUUCUUAGGAAUUCGUUGACUUAAGCUCGGCGCGUUCUCAAGUUCCGCGUGAGUACCUCUUAGCCGUGACAUCCGGGCGCAUCGCUGUUGUCAGGACUAAAGUAUUCUAGUUAUCACCUUUGCCGAUAGUAAGGUCAAAUCGGCUGGCACGCCUUAACGUUUGAAUCGGGUAUUAGCCCUUUGUGUUUGCAGAUCAGUUUUGCACCAACACCAACUGAUAGUGCCCCCAGAUCUUUAGGGCAUGAGCCACUACUACCAAUUAUAAAUCAUGAGUGGGGUAAUUGACCUCAUGUUUUCGAAGUUGGCGCGACGCAUAAGCGAUGACUGAACCUUCUUGCAUAAGCACGUAGCCCAGACCAAUACGGAUGAAUCACAAAAUACAUCGAACAACUUCUCAAUAUUGGAUUGAGAUAAGACAGGAGCUGAUUUCAGCAAGGUUCUCAACUUGUGGAAUGCCUCAUCACACUUUGGCGUCCACAGGAAAUUUUCAUUUUUCUGAAGUAAACGAGUCAUAGACUUGGAUAUCUUGGAAAACUCCACAAUGAAGCGACGAUAAUACCCAGCCAAACCUAGAAAACUCCACACCUCAUGCACUGAGGUCAGAACCUUCCAAUCUAGCACUUCUUGCACCUUGGCCGGAUCGACCGAGAUUCCUUCUUUAGACAGGACAUGGCCCAAAAAAGGUACUUUCUUUAGCCAAAACUCACACUUGCUAAACUUAGCAUAUAGCUGAUGCUCAUGCAACCGAGUUAGGACAACACGCAGUUGCUCUACAUGCUCGUCUUCAUUUCAAGAAUACUAAGAUAUCAUCAAUGAAGACCGCCAUGAACUUGUCCAACUCAGGCAAGAAGACUGAAUUCAUGAGAUACAUGAAAUGCGCCAGAGCAUUGGUCAGACCGAAGGACUUAAUGAGAUACUCUUAAAACCCAUACCUCAUUGAGAAAGUCGUCUUGGGUAUAUCUUUAGGAUUUAAUCAGAUACUCUUACAACCCAUACCUCAUUGAGAAAGUCGUCUUGGGUAUAUCUUCAGGAUGGAUCUUGAUCUCAUGGUACCCAGAUCGCAAAUCAAUCUUGGAGAAUAGCUUGGCUUUAGACAACUGAUCAAACAGGAUAUCAAUACAAGGAAGAGGGUAUUUAUUCUUGAUAGGCACUACGUUGAGUGGAUGAUAAUCCACACACAUGCGCAAGGAUUGAUCCUUCUCCAUAAAGAUAGCCAGACAACCCCAAAGAGAAUAACUAGGACAAAUAAGACCCUUCUUCAACAACUCAUUCAACUGGGUCUUAAUCUUAACUAGCUCAUUUGGUGGCAUUCUAUAAGGUCUUCUAGAGAUAGGAGAAAUGCCUAGAAGCAAUUCGAUUUAAACUCCACGUCCCGGUCCGAUGAAAGCCUAGGCAAGUCAUCAGGAAAGACGUCUCGAAACUCACACACCACUGAAAUGACCUUGAUGGCACUAGAUGUAACUGCGUUCAUCGUGCGAUGGAUGUUAAUAUCAUGAAGAAGUUGCACUAAGAAUGCCUCCUUAGUGCUAGUUCCCUUAACAUCACCACGUGAGUAGUAGUGUCAAUAAGGACCCCAUUACCACUCAUCCAUUUCAUUCCCAAAAUCACAUCUAUGCUCACACCAGGCAAGACUACCAAAUCAGCAAGAAACUGAUGGUCUCCUAUUUCCAGAGUACGCCCCAAAAUCACUUGAUUUGUAGAAAUAUUAUUCCCAGUGGCACUAAUGUAGUAGCUGCCUUUAUCAAGGGUGACUGCCUUGAGAUUAGGCUUAGACACAAAGUCUGAACUCACAAAUCAAUGUGAUGCUCCAGAAUCAAAAGGCACAACUACAACACUUCGAUUAACUAGAAACUUACCAGCCCUCACCACUUCACCAGCAGGAAUCUCUUCAACGGUAGUGUGAUGAACAUGCCCUUGAUGGAUGUUCCCCUGAUUGGUUUUCUUCGGCGGGCACGGGCAGUUGCUUUGCCAAUGACCCAUCUUAUUACAAUUCUAGCAUGGACGGUUGGCAGAUGGAGCUUUGGCAUUGCUGGGCCUAGUGUUUCCCCUCAAAAGAGCAAUGGAAUACCCCUUACGGAACCCAGUUUUCACCAAAUUCUUCCUCACCUGUGAAAGGUCCAAAUGGCUAGAGGGGGGUGAAUAGCCUAUUUAAAUUUUCUACAAACUUCAACUAGACAAGUUGAUUAGUAAAACAAAUGGCGAAGCUAUUCUAGCACUAGCACAACUAAGCUAUGCAAGCCACCUAUACAAGUCUAGCAAGAAGGCUAUAUACUAAAACACAACAACUAGAGAAGGCUACACCACAACUCUAUACUAGCAAGAACUAAGCUACACAAGCUAAACUAACAAGAUAGGCAAGUAUGUAAAGAGAGGAGAGUGAUUGUUAUACCAACGUUGUAGAGAUGAGAUAUAUCCAAUCAAUCAUGUACACAAUCACAAGAGAGACCUCGGCAAGAGAUGACACAAGAUUUUUUACCGAGGUUCACUUGCUUCCCGGCAAGCUACUCCUCAUUGUGGCGAUACACCCACUUGAUGGAUCACGAGCUAAUUGGCAAUCCAAAGAUAAACCCUCAGCAGGUGCCACACAUCCACUCACAAGAUGGGGAUCCUCCAAGCCACGAGCAAUUCACUAGAGUAGCCAAUUGCGAGCUCAACACCACCGCUGCUCCAAGCCGACUAGGGUGUCGGGAAACACCCAAGAGUAACAAGAAAUCCCCAGCAAACUCAUGAAUCAAGUGCCACUAAAUGCAACUCUCAGAGCAAUGCACUUGAAUCUCACUCAAUCUCACUAGGAUUAGCAAUCAGGCAAGGAGAUGAGUGGAGGGAGUGUUCUCUAGCUCAAAUGCCCCAAGUAAUCAAAAGUGCAAGAGAGAGUCUCCCAAAGCCGGCCACCUUCUAUUUAUAAGCCCCCUCAAAGAAACUAACCGUUGGCUGUUUUCACUAGGCUAAAAACGGGGGCACCUGACGGUACCAAGUGAGCACCGGAUGCUCGACCCCCUGCGUCCGGUGCACUGUGGUUGGCCACGUGUCCUUCUUGAAUCUCGCGUGUCAGGCUCUAACGGUCACCUGCGGAUCACCGGACGCCCUGUAGGUCCACACCGGACGCGUCCGGUGCACACCGGACUCAUGCGCAGAGAGUUCUGCAAACCUUUAGGGUCACCGGACGCUAAGCUUGUCCACACCAGACGCGUCCGGUGCUCACUGGACUCAUGCGCAGAGAGGGUUGCAAAACCUCCUCACACCGGACGCAACCCACCAGACUCUCUCUGGUGCGUCCGGUGCAAUCUGCUACACCUGACAGCACACAGGACGCUAAAGGCCAGCGUCCGGUGCCUCCACGCUGAGCGUCCGGUGAGUGUUUUCUCACUAAGAAACGCUCCGUGACUUCUCCAAAUUUCCCACACCCCUCUCAACCCUAGGAACUCCACCUCCUUUGCAAAGGUGCUAACACCAACAAGUGUCCACCACCAAAGUGCAAGUGUGUUAGCUUUUCACAAACAUUUUCACCAAAGGAGUUAAGUUAGCACUUUACUAGAUCCUAAUGCAUAUGCUCAAGAUAUGGACCUAGUAGCACUUGAUUCGAGAGAUGACCAUGAUUUCCCCUCUUGAUAGUCGGCUAUCUAUCCUAAAUCCGGUCAAUCACUUCUCUACACAUCUUAGACCGGCAAAAGUAAAACUCUAUGUUUAUACCUUUGCCUUGAUAACUUUUGCUCCUCAUCUAUCAACAUGAUCUUCACUUCAUGCUUCAUCCCUUUGUGAUCAUGUGGCCACCUUUUUCAAGCCACCAUGCACCUUCAUCACAUGUGUUGCUAUGCCUAACUCACAUCACUUAAACACAAGGCAUUAGCAACUUGGUGUCAUUAAUUACCAAAACCAAACUUGGGCUUUCAAUCUCCCCCUUUUUGGUAAUUGAUGACAACCAUCACAAAGAUAUGAAAUGAAAACAUAAUGAACUUGAAUUGCUUGUCCAAAGCAUUUUAAACAUGAGACAAGGUUGGACAAACAUUUCAAUUUUGGUUUUGGUAGUACUAGCUCCCCCUACAUAUGUGCUUCCAUGAGUUUGGUUCAAGUUUGCACAUAUGCAUGAAUUGGAAUUUUGGGAGAUUUAUUACUACCAAAAUGAUGCCAAGGUAUAUAGAAUGGACCUUUGAAGCGUGAUACAAAUCGGAGUUGCCAAUAUACCAUCCUUAGCACCAAUGUAGCUAGACAUACAUCAAAACUCAAGGUACCUUGUGAGAUCACAUUAUAUGUUUAGAAACCACAUGAAAAUAAAACUCUAUGCUAGAAUUCAAAGCAUCAUUCAAGUUCUAUUUGUAGCAAGCACCAAUCAAACAAUAGUUGUGAAUUUAAACUUGCAAUGCAACACCUCACUAUGUUAGUGCACUUACAAAUGCAACAAAUGGUUCAUGAGCUUGCUCCCCCUAUUUGUGUGCUCAAGUUUAAAGGAGUUUUCUCUCCCUAUCUUUGUUUCUCUUCCCUCCUUUUGACUUUAUCUUUGUUUCUCUCCCCCUUUGUCAUCAAUGACCACAAAGGUUCAAAUUUUAGUGAGAAUUAAGCUAAUCAAUGUGAGGGUCAAAUUAUGGUUCAAUUUAGAUUACUUGCCUAGAAUAUGUAAUUCGGUUUGAUCCAAGGACAAGCAUUUUCGCACCUCAUGAAGUAUAAGGGUUAUCUUGACCAUGUUGAAUUACACAACAUAAGCUCAUAUUCUAGUUUCAACACUAGGCUUGCAAGCUCACCAACAUGUCAUAUGCUACCACUAGAUCAAACAAUCAUAGAAGCAAUAGUGGUACCAUACAUACAUCAAAAUAUUUUGAUUUUCAUGAAUGAGCCUAUUUAUCAUGCAAGCAUGUCUAUAUGUUCUAAUCAUGUCCUUAGCAAAGUAUGAAUGCUAUGUCAAUCAACAUUACCAUGCUUUGUUGGAGUAGAGGCAUGUCAUAUAGAAAUGUGGGGGUGCACUCAUCUCAAGUUGGAGAAGUCAAGUAUGUUCAAUUCAUUUCUCAACUUGGAAAAUCUCUUCUCAUCAAGUGGCUUUGUGAAGAUGUCGGCUAGUUGAUCUUCGGUGCCAAUGCUUUCAAUGCUAAUAUCACCCUUUUGUUGAUGGUCUCCUAUGAAAUGGUGCCUUAUGUCAAUGUGCUUGGUUCUUGAAUGUUGAACCGUAUUUUGUGUCAUCUUGAUUGCACUCUCAUUGUCACAUAGCAAAGGCACAUUCUUGAAUUUGAUUCCAAAAUCAUUCAAGGUAGCUUUCAUCCAAAGUAAUUGUGCACAACAACUACCGGCACUAAUGUAUUCAGCCUCGCGGUUGAUAGUGCAACACUAUUUUGUUUCUUUGAUGACCAUGAAACUAGAGACCUUCCUAGCAAUUGACAAGUGCCACUUGUGCUCAUUCUAUCAAUCUUGCAUCCACCAUAGUCGGAGUCAGAAUAUCCAAUCAAUUUAAAGAUAGACCCCUUGGGAUACCAUAAUCCAACAUCAUGAGUGCCCUUAAGAUACCUCAAUAUCCUCUUGGUUGCCUUCAAGUGACUCUCUCUUGUUGAAGCUUGAUAUCUUGCACACUUGCACACACUAAACAUCACAUUCGGCCUUGAUGCGGUGACAUAUAGCAAACUUCCAAUCAUGGACCGAUAUAGCUUUUGAUCUACCAUGUUGCCACUUGCAUCACUACCUAAUUGAUCAUUUGUGCCCAUAGGUGUGCUCAUUGGUUUAGCUUCUUGCAACCCAAACUUCUUGAUCAUGUCCUUGAUGUACUUGCUUGACCUACAAAAGUGCCAUCCUUCAUUUGCUUGAUUUGAAGACCAAGGAAGUAACUAAGCUCUCCAAUCAUGGACAUCUCAAACUCCUUUGCCAUCAUUCUUCCAAACUCUUCACAAAAGUCUUGAUUGGUUGAUCCAAAGAUGAUAUCAUCAACAUAGAUUUGCAACACAAACAAGUCCUUGCCUAGCUUUUUGGUGAAGAGGGUAGUGUCAACCUUUCCCAUCUUGAACCCUUUAGAGAGAAGGAAAUCUCUCAAUCUCUCAUACCAUGCUCUAGGUGCUUGCUUUAAACCAUAUAAUGCCUUCUUGAGCUUGUAAGCAUGGUUGGGUUUCAUGUCAUCUUCAAAACCGGGAGGUUGUUCAACAUAAACGAACUCAUUGAUGUAUCCAUUGAGAAAUGCACUCUUCACAUCCAUUUGAUAGAGCUUGAUGUUGUGGGCACAAGCAUAGGCUAAUAAUAUUCUAAUUGCCUCCAAUCUUGGAACCGGUGCAUAUGUUUCUCCAAAGUCAAGACCUUCAACUUGAGUGUAGCCUUGUGCUACUAGUCUUGAUUUAUUUCUCACAACUACACCAUCUUGAUCUUGCUUGUUUCUAAAGACCCACUUGGUACCAAUCACAUUGUAGUUCUUUGGCCUCUCAACAAGCUCCCACACUUGAUUUCUUGUGAAGUUGUUCAACUCUUCAUGCAUGGCAUUUACCUAAUCGGAAUCUUUCAAUGCAUCUUCUAUUCUCUUUGGUUCUUCAAAUGAGACAAAUGAAUAGUGCUCACAAAAGGAUGCUAGCCUUGAUCUUGUUUGCACACCACUUUGAAUACCACCAAUGACUUGAUCCAAUGGAUGAUCUCUUGCUAUGUUUGUAGGUUGGAGUAUUGGGAGUUGAUUGCUUCCACUUGCUUGAUUUUGAUUUUGGUCAUCAUCAUGAGAGCCACUAGUACUUGCUUGAUUUGCAUCAAUUUGCACUUCUUGAUUGAUCAUGUGAAUAUCACUAUCAUCAUCAACUUGCCUUGGCCUUAUGUCACCAACAUCCAUGUUCUUCAUUGCAUUUGCCAAUUGAUCUCCUCUCACAUCAUCAAGAUUUUGAGCUUCACUUUGAGAUCCCUCGGUUUCACCAAACUCAACAUCAUGGACUUCUUCCAAUGUGCCACUUGCCAAGUUCCAAACUCUAUAUGCCUUGCUUGUGGUGGAAUAACCAAGUAAGAAUCCUUCAUCACAUUUCCUAUCAAACUUGCCCAAUCUAGUGCCUUUCUUGAGAAUGUAGCAUUUGCAACCAAACACUCUAAAGUAUGCAAUGUCGGGCUUUCUUCCAUUCAAUAGCUCAUAUGGUGUCUUCCCAAGCUUCCUUGCUACGAUAGCAAGCCGUGUUGAUAGCUUCACUCCAAAAUGAAUGACUAACAUUGUAUUCACUAAGCAUUGAUCUAGCCAUGUCAAUCAAAGUUCUAUUCUUUCUUUCAACUACACCAUUGGAUUGAGGAGUGUAUGUUGGAGAGAAUUGAUGUCCAAUGCCAAGAUCAUCACACAAUUCCUUAAUUCUUGUGUUCUUGAAUUCACUACCAUUGUCACUUCUAAUCUUCUUGAUAGUGGUUUCAAACUCAUUUUGCACCCUCUUGACAAAAGACUUGAAUAGAUCACAAGCAUCACUCUUGUCAUAGAGGAAGAACACCCAAGUGUAUCUAGUGUAGUCAUCUACUAUCACAAAGCCAUACUUGUUGCCACCAAUGCUAGUGUAUGUUGUUGGCCCAAAUAAAUCCAUGUGGAAUAGCUCAAAUGCCUUUGAUGUGCUCAUUUCACUUUUUUUAGGAUGUGCAUUUCCAACUUGCUUUCCGGCUUGACAAGCACUACAUGGUUUAUCCUUCUCAAAGGUGACAUCCUUCAAGCCUCUAACUAAGUCAUGCCUCAAUAGUUUGUUCAAUUGUUUCAUUCCAACAUGACCAAGCCUUCUAUGCCACAACCAACCCAAACUUGAUUUGCUAAUUAGGCAUGAUGUUAAUUGAGUGUCACUAUCAUUGAAAUCAACCAAAUAUAAGCUACCAUGCCUAAAUCCUUUGAAUAUCAAGUUUGAUCCAUCAACACUAGCAACCUCAACAACAUCACUUCCAAAGAUGCACUUGAAACCAAGGUCACGAAGUUGUGCAAUUGACAAGAGAUUGAAAUCAAGGCUCUCAACUAGCAACACGUUUGAUAUGCUCAUGUCAUUUGAGAUAGCAAUUUUACCAAGCCCUUUGACCUUACCUUUCUUUUUGUUGCCGAAAGUGAUAGAAUCAAAACCACCAUUUUGAUUUGUAUCAAUUGAUUUGAACAUACAAGACACUUCGGUCAUAUGUUGAGUGCACCCACUAUCAAGCACCCAAUGCCUUCCUCCGGUUUUGUAAUUGACCUACAAGACAGGAUCAAUUCUUUUUAGGUACCCAAACUUGAUUGGGUCCUCCAAGGUUAGCAACUAAGCUCUUUGGUACCCAAAUGGCUUUCUUCUUUGAGUCCAUCCAUGGUGCACUAAUGAACUUAGCAUGAACACCUUUUGUAUCCUUGGUAAGCACAUAGACAAAAUUAAGGUUAUUUGAGGAUACAUAAGCUUUGGGUUUCUUGUUCAUGCAUUAUUGCUCUAGGUGACCAACUUGCUUGCAAGCUUUGCAAUACUGGCCAUUGUUCUUCACAAAACUAGUCUUGUGAGGAGCAAAGGCGGCCUUGCCUUUCUUCGGGUUAUAGCCUAAUCCCUCUUUAUAGAGAGAAGCUCUUUGGCUACCCAAGCACAUAAGCAAGCGGUCCUCACCACCUUAAGCCUUGGCUAAUGUGUGAUUGAGCUCUUUCACCUCCUUCUUGAGAAUUUCAUUCUCAACUUUUAGUGUGGUGUCACAAGUGAAACCAUCACCACUAGAUGAGGAUGAUGUAGAUGUGCUACAUGAAGGGUUAGUAGAGGAAAUAACAAUAGGCUUACUUAAGAUAUCACAUGUUAUGCCUGUUGAUAUUUGGGAACGCAAUAAGGAAUUGAUCCGCAAGCGCACGGAUAUCGGUGAGCACUUCACCCGGGAGGUUAUCCAGAGUAUCGUAUUUAUUUUUUUACCACUAGGAGAAAGAGUGCAUCUGACUAACUGGUCUAUUACUACUAACCCUUUAGGCAACAAAGAAUGUCUCUCGAUGUGAGUGAUAAAUAGAGAAGACUGCAACCGUAGUCUCCUUCUAACCUUGGUAAGGAUAAUCUACUGUUCUAUUGGGGAGGCUAACAUAAUCUAGACACCACAAAGGAUGUUCAACCCGCACCUAUAAACCCUAUCCUUCCUGCUAACGAGAUAUGGUCUGCAAAGGUAACUCAGAAUAGUCACGUUCCUCACUACUACCACGGUCUAGCUAGUCAGGGAAUAUCUAUGAGUACCCCAGCCUAAACACCACGUUUACGCCAGCAAUGAUUACUCUAAACUCUACACGAAGAGAUUAAAGUAAACUCAUAAACCAUGAGAACAAUAAAAUAAGAACUUACUAGACUUUAGAAGUCGAAAUACUGAAGAAUCCUAGGAGCAAGCUUCGGGUUAGGAGAACUUGAUCCCGCAGGUACAAGCUUGGAGUAGACACCGACAGGCCGGGCUUCCUCCAAUCUACACCUCCACUCUAUCUCUCUCAAUCUAGUAGAAACUAGAAGAUCUAUUUCUACUUUACAUUGGUUGCUAAGCCUAAAAAGAAGAGGUUUUCCUUUGAGGGCACCCCUCAAUCUCUAUGAUAAUUUCUUGUCUUCUCCAGGGGCCAGGGGGGUCUCCUUAUAUAGUCCUCCUCCUCUAUGCGUUUUUGGGUCGGUAGGCGAGGUGGUACUACGUUAUCUUUGAUCCAUUAGGUCGGUGGAACAUCGUGUGCGAAGAGAGUCCUGAAUGGAGUCCAGCAGGGGGCGGGCGCCCAGGUCACCAGGGCGGGCGCCCUAGGCCUGGCCCCUUUCGGCCUCUGCCUUCUUCCCGUGGCUUCUGGAGUCUUCUAGAUGGUAGAAAAUCGCGUGGUGCGUUGAUAUCUCUAUGUAAUCCUGACAUGUGGGCCUUUCUUCCUAAUUUCCUGAUAACCCCCUGCAGAAAUAAAUAAACAACAGAACUCGUGGAAUUCUGUCAGAUCAAACCCUAAUUCUAGGUGUUGGUUGCAUAUUGGUCCUUUCCCUUGUUUAUUUGAUAAUUAAAAUUGAUACUUAAGAACCGUCAACAAAUACCCCCAUACUUAGGCUUUUACUCGUCCUCCAGAAAAGGAUGGUUAAGAACAAUAUUUGGGGUAAAACAUUUUAAAACAUUUGUCUUUAUAACUGCAGGGUGUUAAAUUUCCACUCUGUACUAUAGUCGAGGAAGUAUAUGGUUAAGAGUAAAGAUCCUUUCUUCUCAAUCUUGUCACUUUUGUAUAUUUUGGAAAGAAAGUUAGCAUACCUUUUUAUCCUCAUAGGUUCUCUCAGAUCACUCAUUAUCUUUUAUAUAUCUCACUGAGGCUGUUUUAAUUUGCAAAAAAAUUCUCAAGCAUACUUACUUUGCAUUUAUUGCCUGAUCAAAACGGGAUCCGAGGAGGGGAAUGUCAUACUCUUAGAUCAAAGACUUUGGAAAUUAAAAUCUUGUCAACUCUUGCUGGCAUAUUGCUUAUUAGAGGGACCAUGGGCUAUCAUUUUUUUUCUCUUCUUUUUUUUUAAGUGGAUACCGAGGUACCCCUAAUUCUACUGUCGGACACUUGUCCAUUUUUCUGUGAGGUUGUCGAGCACUUGCUCCUUUUUAUUUCCUAGAAAUAUCUCUAUUUUUGCAUAGCCCAUGCCUCUAAUGCAAUAAUACUUCAGAAGAGUGAAUCUUUCUGAAUAAUGUCUUGAUCUUAGGAGCAUGAUAAAUCACUCAACAAGGGUCUAACUCAUUUUGAACAAACUCAAUACAGAGUAGAUAGCUUUUAUAAUCAUAAUUAAUAUUUUCAGUUUUUAUCAGGCAUAUAAAACACUGAGGAUGUUAGCUAGAAUUUUGAAUAAAUUUUGAAAUAAAUUCUCCAAGCAACAAUGACAUCAAGAAUAAGAAACUCAUACUCUACCAUCUCACAUUCCAUACUGUCUUAAGUAACACAGGGUUUUGAAAUGAUUUUAUAAUAGUUAUAAGUUUUAGGAAAUAUCACAGAUUGAGAUUAAUCAUGAUUAGAAAUAUUUUAAUCUUUUUUAAUUUAUCAUGUCGGAAACAAUAUUCUGCAUAAUCCAAGAUAUGUGUACGUGUAAAGUAAAGUGUGCAGAGUGUGUACCCGAAUCGUGGAGUGGUGUGGUCGGAGUGUGUUUGGCAUGUCGAGGGAUCUCCCCCAUACUUGUUUUCUGCUUUCUUGCACAAAAAUAAAGUAGAGACACACAAGACAUAAUAAUAAUAAUACUCUUUAUGAAUCUUGAGGCAUUUAUUACAAAAGACUAGUAGCAAACUGAUAGCAAACUGAUGAUAAUAGUAAACCUAAACCGAAUUUAAAGAUAAAUGACUAAGAUGCAUUGCCUCAAGGUCUAAUCUAGAUAACUUAGCGGCACUCUAAUUCCUUAAUCUUCUUGUUGGCACUAGCAAGAUCAUGCCUAAGGCCUAGUAUAACGGUGUUGUGGUUAGAGAGCUGCCUAGUGAGGGAAUUAAUUGAGGACUGGAGGUCUAUGAUAACUCUGUCUAGCCUGCGAGCGUCCUCAUCAAUAUCCAUUAUAGUCUUGCGACGCUUGGGAGGUGUCUCAAAAGCAUUGAGAGCAUGCUUCGGGGCUGCCUUUGGAGGGAUGAAACGGACUUUGGCUACUCUAAUCCCUUCAAAGUAAGGCCUUUCCUCCUUCGUAGUGUAGCGAAUACUGUUGAUCUCGCCGCUCCGGUUGGUCUUGACUCCAACGACCCUCUCAUUGGGUCUAGGUGGAAGGAUCCUUGUGCCGGUUGGCACGUUGAUGGUGGUCUUCGUCUUGGAUGAUGAUCCCUUGAGAAGUAGGGGUUGUGGUGGUGCGGUGAGAACUGGUUGAGCAUGGUAGGAUUGGGCGGAGCUGCGUUGGCGUAAUGACAUGGCUUCUAGCUGUCGCUCUAUGUUGGCCGGGACGAGAGCACGGGCAUCGGGGUCUUCCACAGGCUCCAUGUUGAGGUUGAAGGGGACGACUUCCCAAUCAUCGUGGUACUUCUCGGCCAUUGGAGCAACAAGGAACUAAUCAAGCUCUAAUUGAAGGAGAGAAGGCUUGGUGGCUUGGUGUUUGAAAACUGAGGUCAAGGGUCUGUUUAUAUAGGGGUCAAAAAGUGCCUCUAUGGGUUGUUCGGGUUGCUCCCGUCGAUGUGCGUGCGAAACUUUCCAUCUGAGGAAUUAUUCGGAUUACUAUAAGUGCAUUUUCCAUAACAGAUAUAACACCCUAGUGGUAUGGUUGCAUUAAUCAUGUGCAUAGCAUGAGCAUCAUCAUCUACUCAAAGCAUACCAUGAUCAUCAUCUAUCUUGAGCCAUGUCAUUCCAUGCAAAUAUGUGUUUUAAAUUGCUUAAAUAGGCUCCCUAGGCUUAUGUUUGAAUGAACCAUGCUUGUGUUUGUGCUCUAUGCCUUGGUAAUCAGUUUAUCUAUGCUUAACUUAACCUUGGGAACAAUGUUCAUGUUGAUCACUUCUCCAAAAUAUGCCUUUAAGUCAUACUUGUGUAAAUAGGCCCUAGAAACCUCUUUUCCUUAGACUUUUAAAAAGUGUUUCAUAAAAUGUUUGCAUGUCAAAACUUUAUAGAGCAUAGUUGUAGCAAAUUUUAUAAGGAACAAAAGUUGUUUUAUGACCAUCUCAUGAAAAUGAACAAAAAUAGCUCAAAAGUGACCCACAAGGCAGAUUUGGGGCUGUUUCCAACACUUAGAAAAUUUUCUAAGUCCUGGGACGAAACCAGUUUGCUUGAUCGAUUUUGAAAACUUCAUACCUCUCAAUCCAAGCCGAUCUAGCUUUUGCUCCAGUUGGCAAAGUUGUAGAUCUCGGCUAGCACUCCAACUUUGUCAACUACACCAUCUCCUAAUUCACUCUGGUUUGGGAGUAAAUCGUCGACGAAGUUGCUCUGUCAGUCGGUGAUCGCGAGGUCCGAUUUAGAGCUGAGCUCGCCGGCGUGGAUGUCCCGAUCGACACCUGUCCGCCAGAUGUCGCCCGUACGCCGGCGAUGGCCCCGCUCGUCAGCUCCCAGCGUGCGCAUGACGUCCACAACGACGCCCCGGACGCAGUGGACGCGUCCACUCUCGCCUUUCACGCCCUCACUCGCCAGAAGAGCGCCCGUAGCGAGCUCACCGUCACGAGCUCACUCCGGCGAGCUCGUGCGCGCUCCUCGCUGCGUCCCAGCCCACCAAACUCCACCCACAGCUCCGCCGUGAGCCACUCUUCAUUUCUCACCCUCUAACUCGCCGCAAAACCCACCGGUGAGCCGCCAUUUCCCUCUUCCCCCAAAUCAGGUCGCCGUGACCAUCUUUUCUGGCGAACUCAAUGCCGAGCCCUGUGAAGCCGCUCGUCUUCUCUGGUUAGGUCGUAGAGGUAGAGUAGGUCCUUAGCGAGCGUUUCCGCCACUUGGUGGACGCUCUACCGAACUCUCCGUCGCCGGACACGACGCGCAGUGCCGCCGUGUUUCCGCCGGAGAUGGGUGCUCUCGUGGACAGCGUGUUCCACGAGGUUUCAAGCCAAGCCGCGUACCUAGGAAGCUUCGCCGUAGUUCGCUGGUGCUGUAGAAGGUCUUAGGUCACGCUCUACCGGCCUGAGGACUCCGGCGUAACGCCGAGCACCUCCGCCGAGCCGCCCUCGUCGACGGCGAGCUCCUUCCGGUGGCUCUGCUGUGGAAAAAAGGGGAUCAAUCAAGUCGCUAGAGUCUGGGGAUCACGUUGGUGCCCUUGGUUUGGCCGGAGACCUCGCCGUCGCAGAGAAAUCGCCGGCGAGAGUCGCCUCGGCCGUGAGGGAGAAGAACCUGACAGACGGGGUCCACUGUCAGUGUCACCUCCUUCCCUCCUUUUCUUUUAUUCAAAAACUGGAAUUUUGACUUUCUUGCAAAAAUCAUAUCUCCUGUUUCUGAGGUCCAAAAAUUGUGAAACCAAUUUUGUGUUGUUCCAUGAGAUGGCUAGUUUUUAAUAAAAAUAUAAAAUGGACCAUGUUUUCUGGGAAAAUAUUUAUUAAGGAUUUAAUCUUGUGAUUCAUGGAUAAAUUCAUAUCUCUUGUUUUACUGCUUAGUUUGCUCUGAAAAUUUUAUGGUAUUCUCUGUGUGGUAUUAGAGUGCUUUGAUAAAUAUUUCAUGAGUUUUGGAGUACUGCAGCUUUGUUAUGUAAAUUAUGUGUUGGGAUUGGGCUUGUUUCUUUAGUUAAAUCAUAUAAAAUAACUGGUGCUUAUGCUGGUGUUCUACUUUGGUGGUAAACUUGUUUAUGACAUCCCUAAUAUGUGAAUAAUCUCAAAUCUGUUGUUUGACACCAUAUAAUUCAUGUUUCCGAAUUAUGAAAUAAAUACCUUGUUACAUGUUAAAUGCAUAUCUUUAAUUUGGUAUGUCAAUUGCUCUGAAAUUUUUAUGGUGAUGCUUUGGUGCUAUACUUGUGCCUCUGUAAUUUUUGUAGAUUUUUCUGAGCACCUUGACUAAUAUCUUGUAAUUAUGCUCCUUUCUAGAAUUAAUUAAUAAAUGCCUUGUUAAGUAAAUGUUUGAGGGUUAUCAUUUGAUGUUCUGGUAACCUUGUGAUAUGCUUGUGCUCAUAAGCCUUGUGGUUGGCAUGGGUUAUGUUUUGGUUAUGUCAUCAAAUAAUUAAUUAAAGGGUUAAAUGCUGUUCUGGACAGCAAGGGAGUAAUUUAACUUUUGUUUAAUGGUAACUUGGUUUUCUGGGAAACUUGUCUAAAUCAAAGUUGUUGUAAACUUAUUGAACUAGCUGUGGUUGAAAUAUGAGGUCAAUUGGCCUAGUAGUUUUGAAGUUAUGAUCUUUACAAGUUAGAUUCCAGAAAUAGGUGUUCUCUGUUUUCUGGGACAGAACGUGGAACUUUGUUUAGAUGACUUGUUUAAAUGUAAGAAUCUUGCUGUGAUGUUCAAAGAUGAUUUGUAAACAAUUUCAUAAGCUUUCCAGAAUAUCCUCACUUAAAUUUGUUGGAUCUGCCUAGCACUAGUUAUGAUCUGUUUACUGAGCUCAUCCUGUUGUUUGAUGCUUGCUGUUAUAGGUUAUCAUGAUAGGUUUUGGGCUAAGUUAACUUGUUAACUUGUGUGAACUUGUUAUAGCUAUUGCUCUGUAAAUGAGUGUCCAGUGGGUCACUUAUGUUAUCAAGCAUCCAUUCUUUUGUAUGCACACCUUCUCAUUCACCGAGCAUGCAAUAGGUGUAUCGGACGUGGCAGCCUCCUUCGAUAUGCAAGUGAAUCCCGAAGGCCAGGAGGGCAACCCGGAGGUGGAGGUCCAGCAAGUCGGACUCAAGGAGCCCGAAGAAGAGAUUGAGUGCCCAAGCCACGAGCCAGCCUCGUUCGUGAAAGGCAAGCACCGGAGCAUUCUAAGCCUCCCUUACUUUCGAAAGUUUAUUUAAUAUGUUAUAUCUAUUGAUGCAUUAAGUAUAGGAGUUGUGAUGAAACCUUUGCUGCACUUUACUCCAUCCUUGUCCAGAUAUUUUACCCUACCCUGGUUGUAGAGUUAGGAUCGAGUAGCAGCUUAGCCUUGCUUAAUCGGUAGAAGUCGGGUGAUUUUCUGUUCCCUGCGCGAUAUAGGGUUGUGUCGGAUCACGAUGGUCUAUAUGUGCUAUAGUGGAUGGAACCUGAUUAAUUUGACUUAAGCCGGGCGGAGUUUUGCAAGGUUGUAGUAGCUCCGUCUGUGGCAGCUAAGGACCGAUCGUUGUACGUCCUCUUGUCAUGUUGAACGCACGCCUGACACUUAGUUGGCCGGAUAACUCGUUCCGACCGCGAAGCCGAGUAGUAUGACUCAGGCCGGAAGACUGGCAAGUAUAAAGUGCGCACUACCGGAGGAAGUGCGGUGUGCGGGGGACCAUUGGCGUAAGCCCAAAGGCAGGUGAUUUAAAAUUCCUGACCUCCCUGGCAGAAUGGUAGCCCUGGGAGUGCGGCGCUGAUCGGAGCCGCGAUUCCUGAGUUGUACCAAAGGUGACCCAUUGGCUCUCCGACGGGAGAUGCUUGGGUGAGUGAUAGGAAUACCCCUCCAGCUGGAUAGGAAUUCGAUUCGAAUCGCCGUCUCUCCCGGUUAGUGAGAACUUGACAGAGCAGCGGCAAACGUAGCAUUCACUAAUGAACUUGGUUCAUGACAAUGAUGAUAGCAAGGAAGAACUUAUGAUGAACUUAAUAUGGUUAUUAUUGCUUGUAAUAAUCAAGUGAAGUGUUUAGUACAGGUGCUAAUCUAGUAGUAGGCUAAUGGUAAAUAAAUAUGAUGCUCUUACAAUGUGUUAGUCAUAAUAAAGGCUUUUGGCAAAAUGUUGAGUCAACCAGCUCUACUUUUAUAUGUUAGCCUUGCAUGAUUCUUGGUGUCUUUUAUGUUUACUAGACGGGUAAGUCUAGCUGAGUACAAUCUCGUACUCAGGGUUUAUUCCCACCUGUUGCAGAUGACAUCUUUUAUGACGGCUUCUGCAAGACCUGUCUCCAUCCCGCUGGGGAUGAGGACUAACCGUUGGGCAUGGUUCUCUAACAAACUCGUACCUGUUGCUUUUGGAAGGAUGAUGUAGACUCUGGCAGUAACUCGAACUUAUGAACUGAACUUUGGAAUGUGUGUGUAACUAUUUUGCUUCUGCUACUUCGAACAAGUGCUGUAAUAACUUAAUACUCCGAUGUGGUGCCGCUUCGACGGCAGUGAAUGACUAUGUAACAAUCGUUGUGUUUAUGUUGAACUAUUACGAUCUUGGUUUGUUACGAGUUGGUUUGAAAUCCUUUGUGAUUUCAGUUGACUACCGGGAUUAUAUGGGCUCAAGUUUGGAAACUUGAUUGCUUGUCGAUCGUUUCUACACUUGAACUCUUAUAAUUUGGUCGGUUCUGUGACAGCUGGCAUCGGAGCAAGUUCAGCAUUAUAAAUGCAGUGUUUGUGUAUUUAAAAAUAAAAGAAUUUUUAAAUAAAAUGGUGUAAAUCGAUAAUUAAGUUAUGCCAGUGGUCGAAUCCUCCUUGCCCACAUAAGGACUAUAGGUGACUAUUUAAGUACUGACUUGGGGGGUUUUAUUUAUGCAUCUCCGGCAGUACUCAGGUAUGGAUGUGUGAUGACCGCACUAUGCUACCCUGUGGUCUAAUGGUGGAGGUAGCCUUCAUAUGUGAAUUAGCCACAUAUGUCGCUAGAUUUAAAUUAUACAACGUCGCACCUACGCUCUGGUAAGUGUGAGCUGUGAGAGCAUGAUCGUCCAAACGGCGGUCUAGGGGAGUGUAAGCGGUGGUUUUGUGGAGGGGUUACAUGUCAAAACCAUGGAACCACGAAAGAAACUUAAUUGGGGAGCAUUUAAUUUCUCGGGUAGUUGUGGUGUCAUUGUUUGUGCAUGUUGGGCAUGUCCAAGCAAUGUGCACUUAGUUUACUGCUUUCUUGAGUGAUAUAUUGGGAACUGUUGGGCUGAAAUGAAGUUUUCUGCAGGUACUCUAACAGCGCACGUGUAAAUCGAUAGUUAUCGUAUCGAGAAACGAAUGUAUGCCACCGUAUAUCCGUUAGAAUAUUAAUUUUAUAAGUUUGUGAGGACGUACGGUUCGUGCAUGCAUCAUGUCGCAUUCAUACAUACAUUUUGUCUACUCCUUCCCUUACCAUUUCGUCCCUUUUAAAUAAAUAAAUAUUGCUUAAACUAAUCCUCUUUUACCCAUGGUAUUCCUAUUCCUUUCCACAGAUGGAUGCACCUGCUUCACCCCGUCCCAGUGACACUUUCUUGAGCGAGUUUGGCACUCCUACCCUGCUCUGGAGAGUGUUACAGACUGUCGGGUAUGCUGAGCCACCUCAGUAUUCUUGGUGGGAGUUGGAGAGCACAGGAGGGAUACAGUGGUUUGCUGUGCAGGGAGUUGUUCCUCCACAUGGGGACAAGCCUGCAUGGACAGGAUGGACUUGUAGCUCAGAUGGGCAGACUCCUUGGGAGGCAGCUCAGGUUGCAGCCCAGACUAUCCUGCUCGAUAUCUGUCAGAGGUGUGGCCAUGAGCUGACGGGAGGACCAGCGGCCUCCAUUCCCCGUGCAGACCCAGCAGCAGCGGAGUGGAAACAGGCUGAUGGUUGUGCUUUGGUUCGAGGCAGGGGAGAGAGAGCUGAGAGUUCUAGUCCUGCUAUGAGUGCUAUGAUGGCGGUGCUCAAGCUGAUCAGUCAGCGAGAGGACACCUAUGCACAGGUGAUGGUGGCUGUUCGCUGGGCUCAGGAGAUGCAACGGAAGGCUGAAAUGCGAGCUCGCAAGUUUCGCAAGCAAGCUAGACUCCUGGAGCAAGCUCAGAAGGACCGCAAUGAUUGGGAAGACAUUGCGGAGUACCGUAGGCAGCAGUGGGUGAAGGCCAUUAGGGAGAGGGAUCAUAAGCAGGAUCAGAUGGCUCAGUUAGCUAGAGAGAGGGAGACCAUACAGGAGCGCUUGGUGCAGAUCACUCGUGAGAGGGAUACGGCACUCUACGUGUCGGAGAACAGGCGCCGAGCAUGGGAGAUGCACCGAGUUCAGUCGCUUGAGCGGGAGAACUAUCUGCAGGAUCAGAUUCAGGCUGGUCUUGUGGAGAUUCACCGUCUCAACAACUUGCUACACCCUAUUCCUCGCCCGAUACCCGUGUAUCCAGAGGUGGGACCUCAGGUGAUUGUGGCCGAUGAUGAUGGUAUGGAGGUCGAUGGACCAGCAGCGGCUGCACCACCUUUGCACGAGGACGUGGAGGACGAGGAGCUUGAGCCGGUUAGCGACGAGGAUGGAGAGGCGAUCUUCGACGCUGACUCGGACGACGAGCCCGGAGCAUAGGGAGUAGUGGGUAGUGUUAUGUGAGGAUCUUUUGCGGGAUGCCAGUCAGCCGCAGUGCUUUUGUAACCAUGUUGUAAUCCGGAACUUUGACCUUGACUCAUGGCAUGUUCUGUGAUGGUGUAAUAACUGUAUGGACCUAAUGUGUAACCUGGACAUGUUCGUUAUGUUAUGACAAUGUUUUCCGUUGUGGUGCAUUUUGCGGAUAUCUCUAUCAUGUGUUGGAUUGGCGAUGUUGUUUUGUGGAAUUGAAUUAUUGUGCCUUUCCUGUAAAGCUAUUCUCUCGAAUACUUUCGGGCAUAAUUAUAAGUUCUUCUGUGGCAAAUCUUGUCAUCAUCAAUACUCACUGACUGUGUCUUUACAAAUGUCUCGUGGCACCCGAGGUGCAGAACAGCGUGCAAACAUGAAUUCACCCCCUCCUCCUCCACCACCGAAUCCUGCCGAGUUAAGGCAGAUGAUGGUGGAAAAUCAGAGGAUGCUCACUGAGACCAUCAAUCGGAUGGCGAAUCAGGGUGGCCGUAAUGCACAUGAAGGGCCAGCUCCUAAUCAGUAUAGUAGCUUCAAGGACUUCAUGGAUACAAAGCCCCCACCUUUCACAGAAGCUGAAGAGCCCCUUCAAGCGGAAGAAUGGCUGAACACGGUGGAACAAAAGUUCCGCUUGCUUCGUUUAACUGAAGGUUUGAAGGCAGAGUAUGCAGCUCAUCAACUGCAGGGUCCAGCAGGCAUCUGGUGGAAUCAGUAUCGGGAAGCUCUUCCAGCCGACACUGUGCUUGAUUGGAAUCUGUUCCAUGAUGCUUUUAAAGGGCAUUUCAUUCCUCCUGGUGUCAUGGAGAUGAAGCAUACUGAGUUUAUGCAGUUAACUCAGGGUAACAAGACUUUGAGGGAGUAUUUGCAUGCUUUCAAUCAUUUGUCUAGGUAUGCUCCUGAGUUUGUGAACACGGAGACGAAAAAGAUUGCUAGUUUCAAGCGGGGUUUGGGCCCUAAGUUGCUGAAGACUAUGGGCUGCACUAAGUGUGCAACUUUCAAUGAGUUUGUCAGUGAUGCUCUCACUCAAGAGAACUACAACACUGUGUACACUGCGACCAAGACUCGUAAGAGGGCUUUUGAGGCCGGGGCAGGGUCAUCUCAGUCCAAGGCUCCAGUGGCAACUAAGCCACCGUUCCGUGCUCCAACACCUAACCAGCGGUAUCGCCCUCCGGUGAAGAAGAAUCAAGCAAAGACGGGUUUCCGCAAGGGGUACCCUAUUGCUCUUCCUAGGGGCAACACGGGUCCCAACUAUGCCAAGACUCCACCUGCCAACCGUCCGUGCUGGAACUGCAAUCAGACCGGGCAUUGGCAGAGCAACUGUCCUUACCCACCAAAGAAGGGCAACCAGGGGAACGUCCGCCAGGGGCGUGUUCACUACACAACCGUGGAGGCACUCCCUGCUGGUGAGGUAGUCACGGCAGGUAAGUUUCUGGUUAACCAAUGUGACGCACUUGUGCUUUUUGAUUCAGGAGCAUCGCAUUCUUUUGUGAGUUCUGAAUUUGUGUCUAAGCAUAAUAUCAAGGCAAUUACACUUGAUAAGGGCAGUUAUUGUAUUAGUGCUGCGGGAAAUGAUAUUUCCACCAAUCAAGUGGUUUUGGGGGCAACUCUGGAAAUAGGAGGCCGUCAGUUUCUUGCUGAUUUGUUUGUUCUACCCGGCGUGGGCAUAGAUGUAAUUCUGGGGAUGAAGUGGAUGAGUGGCAACAGAGUUCUUAUCGACACCACCACUCGUGUAGUGAUGUUGAAAGAUCCAAAUACCAAGGAGGCACAUCUAGUGCAACUCCCUCGUGAUAUUCAAAUCCGUAAUACUGUGAAUGCAGUUACAUCUAAGGCUAUUCAGGACAUUCCGGUGGUGUGUGAGUUCCCGGACGUGUUUCCUGAUGAUUUACCCGGGCUUCCUCCAGAUCGGGAUGUGGAGUUCAAAAUUGAGUUGAUUCCAGGUACCGCUCCUAUCUCUAGAAGACCUUAUAGAAUGCCACCCAACGAAUUAGCUGAGCUUAAGACCCAACUAAAUGAGUUGUUGAAGAAGGGUCUUAUCCGUCCUAGUUCGUCUCCUUGGGGUUGUCCGGCUAUCUUUGUGAAGAAGAAGGAUCAAUCUUUGCGCAUGUGUGUGGACUAUCAUCCCCUAAAUGCGGUCACCAUCAAGAACAAAUACCCUCUUCCUCGCAUUGAUAUCUUGUUUCAUCAGUUGUCUAAAGCUAAGGUAUUCUCCAAGAUCGACUUGCGAUCUGGGUACCAUCAGAUCAAGAUCCGUCCUGAAGAUGUACCUAAGACAGCUUUCUCGACGAGGUAUGGGUUGUAUGAGUAUCUCGUCAUGUCCUUUGGUCUUACAAAUGCACCUGCUCACUUCAUGUAUCUCAUGAAUUCGGUGUUCAUGCCCGAAUUGGACAAGUUUGUGGUGGUCUUCAUUGAUGAUAUCUUGGUAUAUUCCUGCAAUGAAGAGGAGCAUGCAGAGCAUCUGCGUAUAGUGUUGUCGCGUUUGCGUGAACAUCAACUUUAUGCUAAGUUUAGCAAAUGCGAGUUUUGGCUGAAGAAAGUACCUUUCUUGGGCCAUGUCUUAUCUGAAGAAGGCAUAUCGGUGGACCCAGCCAAGGUGCAAGAGGUGCUGGAUUGGAAAGUUCCAACUUCGGUCCACGAGGUUCGGAGUUUUCUUGGUCUGGCUGGAUAUUAUCGUCGAUUCAUUCCUGAAUUCUCAAAAAUAUCCAAGCCUAUGACUCGGCUGCUUCAGAAAGAUGAGAAGUUUGUGUGGACGCCUGAGUGUGAAGAGGCAUUCCACAAGUUGAGGACAUUGCUGACCUCAGCUCCUGUUCUAGCUCAGCCCGAUAUCGAGAAGCCUUUCGAUGUUUUCUGCGACGCGUCAGGCAUCGGUUUAGGCUGUGUGUUGAUGCAAGAAGGUCGCGUGAUCACGUAUGCCUCGCGCCAACUUCGAAAGCAUGAGGUCAAUUACCCUACUCAUGACUUAGAAUUGGCGGCAGUUGUUCAUGCUUUGAAAAUCUGGAGGCAUUAUUUGCUGGGUAAUCUGUGUAAUAUCUACACUGAUCAUAAGAGCCUCAAGUAUAUCUUCACUCAACCUGAACUGAACAUGCGGCAGCGAAGGUGGCUUGAGUUGAUUAAAGAUUAUAAUCUACAAGUGCACUAUCAUCCGGGCAAGGCAAACGUGGUUGCGGAUGCUUUGAGUCGGAAAGCGCACUGUCACUCGAUCCAAGUGGGAGAUCCGUUGUUGUCACAUCUUAUGCAUCCACUUGUGCUCCACCAGAUUUCUCUGGAGAGUACUCUUCACAAUCGAGUCAUCGAAUUGCAACAAACAGAUGUAGGCAUCCACCACAUAAAGAGGAAAAUGAAGGAAGAAGAAACCAAGCAUUUCCGAGUCGAUGAGAACGGAACUCUUUGGUUCAAAGAUCGACUAGUGGUCCCAAAAGACCGUGAGCUGAGAAAUCAGAUCUUGUCUAAAGCUCAUUCAUCCAAAUUGUCUAUCCAUCCUCGUAGUAGCAAGAUGUAUCAGGAUCUGAAACCUCUGUUUUGGUGGACAAAAAUGAAAAAGGAGAUCGCUGCUUUUGUCGCUCGUUGUGACAAUUGUUGUCGUGUGAAGGCUGUUCACAUGAAAGCUGGUUUGCUUCAACCCUUGUCAGUUCCUGGGUGGAAAUGGGAAGAAGUCAGCAUGGAUUUCAUCAUUGGGUUCCCAACUUCUGUUAAGGGUUACGACUCCAUCUGGGUGAUUGUAGAUUGUUUGACCAAGGUUGCUCGAUUUAUUCCAGUUCGAACUGACUAUCGUCCACAUCAAUAUGCAGAGUUGUACUUCGAGCACAUUAUUCGUCAGUAUGGUGUGUCUCGAACUAUUGUAUCAGAUCGUGGACCAUAGUUCACUGCUCGUUUUUGGGAAUGUCUGCAUGAGCAGAUCGGUACUCAUUUAGUCCAUAGCUCUGCUUAUCAUCCCCAAACAGCAGCUCAAACUGAACGUGUUAACCAAAUCCUAGAAGACAUGUUGAGGGCAUGUGCUCUCUCUUCAAAAGGUUCUUGGGUUAAGUGGGUGUCAUUGGCUGAGUUCUCCUACAACAAUAGUUACCAGGAGAGUAUCAAGAUGGCUCCAUUUGAAGCCCUGUACGGUCAAAAGUGUCGAACCCCGUUGAAUUGGGUAGAAGCCGAAGAGCGAAGGUAUUAUGGCAUCGAUUUCAUGAACAAAGCAGAGCAGAAAGUCCGUACCAUCCAGCAACAUCUCGAAGCUGCUCAAGCUUGUCAGAAAAGUUAUGCCGACAAAAGAAGGAAGCCGAUUGAGUUUUCAGUUGGUGACCAUGUGUAUAUCAAGGUGUCUCCGAUGAAGGGUGUACAAAGGUUCGGAGUCAAGCGAAAGCUUGCACCUCGUUAUGUGGGACCUUAUCGGAUUCUUGAAAAGAAAGGGAAUGUGGCAUACAAAGUUCAACUCCCAGUUGCGCUUCGAGCUAUUUUCCCUGUCUUCCACGUAUCACAAUUAAAGAAGUGCCUUCGUGUACCGGAGGAACGAGUGGAAGUUCGAGAUAUCAAGUUGAAGUCGGACUUGGUGUAUGAAGAAAAACCCGUAGCAAUUCUUGAUCGCAUGGGACGGGAGACUCGUAACCGUGUGGUUAAGUUCUACAAGGUGUUGUGGAGUAACCACGGGGAGGAAGAUGCCACUUGGGAGACGGAGGAUUAUUUAAAAGAAGUUUACAAAACCUUCUUCGAAAAUGAGUAAGCUUUCAAAUCUCGGGAUGAGAUUUUUAUAAGGGGGGAGGGCUGUAACACCCCAGUGUUAUGGUUGCAUUAAUCAUGUGCAUAGCAUGAUCAUCAUCAUCUACUCAAAGCAUACCAUGAUCAUCAUCUAUCUUGAGCCAUGUCAUUCCAUGCAAAUAUGUAUUUUAAAUUGCUUAAAUAGGCUCCCUAGGCUUAUGUUUGAAUGAACCAUGCUUGUGUUUGUGCUCUAUGCCUUGGUAAUCAGUUUAUCUAUGCUUAACUUAACCUUGGGAACAAUGUUCAUGUUGAUCACUUCUCCAAAAUAUGCCUUUAAGUCAUACUUGUGUAAAUAGGCCCUAGAAACCUCUUUUCCUUAGGCUUUUAAAAAGUGUUUCAUAAAAUGUUUGCAUGUCAAAACUUUCUACAGCAUAGUUGUAUCAAAUUUUAUAAGGAACAAAAGUUGUUUUAUGGCCAUCUCAUGAAAAUGAUCAAAAAUAGCUCAAAAGUGACCCACAAGGCAGAUUUGGGGCUGUUUCCAACACUUAGAAAAUUUUCUAAGUCCUGGGACGAAACCAGUUUGCUUGAUCGAUUUUGAAAACUUCAUACCUCUCAAUCCAGGCCGAUCUAGCUUUUGCUCCAGUUGGCAAAGUUGUAGAUCUCGGCUAGCACUCCAACUUUGUCAACUACACCAUGUCCUAAUUCGCUCUGGUUUGGGAGUAAAUCAUCGACGAAGUUGCUCUGUCAGUCGGUGAUCGCGAGGUGCGAUUAAGAGCUGAGCUCGCCGGCGUGGAUGUCCCGAUCGACACCUGUCUGCCAGAUCUCGCCCGUACGCCGGCGAUGGCCCCGCUCGUCAGCUCCCAGCGCGCGCAUGACGUCCACGGCGACGCCCCGGACGCAGUGGACGCGUCCACUCUCGCCUUUCACGCCCUCACUCGCCAGAAGAGCGCCCGCAGCGAGCUCCCCGUCGCGAGCUCACUCUGGCGAGCUCGUGCGCGCUCCUCGCUGCGUCCCAGCCCACCAAACUCCACCCAUUGCUCCGCCGUGAGCCGCUCUUCAUUUCUCACCCUCUAACUCGCCGCGAAACCCACCGGUGAGCCGCCAUUUCCCUCUUCCCCCAAAUCAGGUCGCCGUGACCAUCUUUUCCGGCGAACUCAAUGCCGAGCCCUGUGAAGCCGCUCGUCUUCUCUGGUUAGGUCGUAGACAUAGAGUAGGUCCUUAGCGAGCGUUUGCGCCACUUUGUGGAUGCUCUACCGAACUCUCCGUCGCCGGACACGACGCGCAGUGCCGCCGUGUUUCCGCCGGAGAUGGGUGCUCUCGUGGCCAGCGUGUUCCACGAGGUUUCAAGCCAAGCCGCGUACCUAGGAAGCUUCGCCGUAGUUCGCUGGUGCUGUAGAAGGUCUUAGGUCACGCUCUACCGGCCUGAGGACUCCGGCGUAACGCCGAGCACCUCCGCCGAGCCGCCAUCGUCGACGGCGAGCUCCUUCCGGUGGCUCCGCUGUGGGAAAAAGGGGUUCAAUCGAGUCGCUAGAGUCUGGGGAUCACGUUGGUGCCCUUGGUUUGGCCGGAGACCUCACCGUCGUGGAGAAAUCGCCGGCGAGAGUCGCCUCGGCCGUGAGGGAGAAGAACCUGACAGACGGGGUCCACUGUCAGUGUCACCUCCUUCCCUCCUUUUCUUUUAUUCAAAAUCUGGAUUUUUGACUUUGUUGCAAAAAUCAUAUCUCCUGUUUCUAAGAUCGAAAAAUUGUGAAACCAAUUUUGUGUUGUUCCAUGAGAUGGCUAGUUUUUAAUAAAAAUAUAAAAUGGACCAUGUUUUCUAGGAAAAUAUUUAUUAAGGAUUUAAUCUUGUUAUUCAUGGAUAAAUUCAUAUAUCUCGUUUUACUGCUUAGUUUGCUCUGAAAAUGUCACGGUAGUCUCUGUGUGGUAUUAGAGUGCUUUAAUAAAUAUUUCGUGAUUUUUGGAGUACUGCAGCUUUGUUAUGUAAAUUAUGUUUGGGAUUGGGCUUGUUUCUUUAAUUAAAUCAUAUAAAAUAAUUGGUGCUUAUGCUGGUGUUCUACUUUGGUGGUAAACUUGUUUAUGACAUCCCUAAUAUGUGAAUAAUCUGAAAUCUGUUGUUUGACACCAUAUAAUUCAUGUUUCCGAAUUUAUGAAAUAAAUACCUUGUUACAUGUUAAAUGCAUAUCUUUAAUUUGGUAUGUGCAAUUGCUCUGAAAUUUUUAUGGUGAUGCUUUGGUGCUAUAAUUGUGCCUCUGUAAUUUUUGUAGAUUUUUCUGAGCACCUUGACUAAUAUCUUGUAAUUAUGCUCCUUUCUAGAAUUAAUUAAUAAAUGCCUUGUUAAGUAAAUGUUUGAGGGUUAUCAUUUGAUGUUCUGGUAACCUUGUGAUAUGCUUGUGCUCAUAAGCCAUGUGGUUGGCAUGGGUUAUGUUUUGGUUAUGUCAUCAAAUAAUUUAACUUUUGCUUAAUGAUAACUUAGUUUUCUGGGAAACUUGUCUAAAUCAAAGUUGUUGUAAACUUAUUGAACUAGCUGCGGUUGAAAUAUGAGGUCAAUUGGCCUAGUAGUUUUGAAGUUAUAAUCUUUACAAGUUAGAUUCCAGAAAUAGGUGUUCUCUGUUUUCUGGGACAGAACCUGGAACUUUGUUUAAAUGACUUGUUUAAAUGUAAGAAUCUUGCUGUGAUGUUCAAAGAUGAUUUGUAAACAAUUUCAUAAGCUUUCCAGAAUGUCCUCACUUAAAUUUGUUGGAUCUGCCUAGAACUAGUUAUGAUCUGUUUACUGAGCUCAUCCUGUUGUUUGAUGCUUGCUGUUAUAGGCUAUCAUGAUAGGUUUUGGGCUAAGUUAACUUGUUAACUUGUGUGAACUUGUUAUAGCUAUUGCUCCGUAAAUGAGUGUCCAGUGGGUCACUUAUGUUAUCAAGCAUCCAUUCUCUUGUAUGCACACCUUCUCAUUCACCGAGCAUGCAAUAGGUGUAUCGGACGUGGCAGCCUUCUUCGAUCUGCAAGUGAAUCCCGAAGGCCAGGAGGGCAACCCGGAGGUGGAGGUCCAGCAAGUCGGACUCGAGGAGCCCGAAGAAGAGGUUGAGUGCCCAGGCCACGAGCCAGCCUCGUUCAUGAAAGGCAAGCCCCGGAGCAUUCUAAGCCUCCCUUACUUUCGAAAGUUUAUUUAAUAUGUUAUAUCUAUUGAUGCAUUAAGUAUAGGAGUUGUGAUGAAACCUUUGCUGCACUUUACUCCAUCCUUGUCCAGAUAUUUUACCCUACCCUAGUUGUAGAGUUAGGAUCGAGUAGCAGCUUAGCCUUGCUUAAUCGGUAGAAGUCGGGUGAUUUUCUGUCGCCUGCGCGAUAUAGGGUUGUGUCGGAUCACGAUGGUCUAUAUGUGCUAUCGUGGAUGGAACCUGAUUAAUUUGACUUAAGCCAAGCGGAGUUUUGCAAGGUUGUAGUAGCUCCAUCUGUGGCAGCUAAGGACCGAUCGUUGUACGUCCUCUUGUCAUGUUGAACGCAUGCCUGACACUUAGUUGGCCUGAUAACUCGUUCCGACCGCGAAGCCGAGUAGUAUUUCUCAGGCCGGAAGACCGGCAAGUAUAAAGUGCGCACUACCAGAGGAAGUGCGGUGUGCGGGGGACCAUUGGCGUAAGCCCAAAGGCAGGUAAGUUAAAAUUCCUGACCUCCCUGGCAGAAUGGUAGCCCUGGGAGUGCGGCGCUGAUCGGAGCCGCGAUUCCUGAGUUGUACCAAAGGUGACCCGUUGGCUCUCCGACGGGAGAUGCUUGGGUGAGUGCUAGGAAUACCCCUCCAGCUGGAUAGGAAUUCGAUUCGAAUCGCCGUCUCUCCCGCUUAGUGAGAACUUGACAGAGCAACGGCAAACGUAGCAUUCACUAAUGAACUUGAUUCAUGAUAAUGAUGAUAGCAAGGAAGAACUUAUGAUGAACUUAAUAUGGUUAUUAUUGCUUGUAAUAAUCAAGUGAAGUGUUUAGUACAGGUGCUAAUCUAGUAGUAGGCUAAUGUAAAUAAAUAUGAUGCUCUUACAAUGUGUUAGUCAUAAUAAAGGCUUUUGGCAAAAUGUUGAGUCAACCAGCUCUACUUUUAUAUGUUAGCCUUACAUGAUCCUUGUUGUCUUUUAUGUUUACUAGACGGGUAAGUCUAUGUGAGUACAAUCUCGUACUCACGGGUUUGUUCCCACCUGUUGCAGAUGACAUCUUUUAUGACGGCUUCUGCUAGACCUGUCUCCAUCCCGCUGGGGAUGAGGACUAACCGUUGGGCAUGGUUGUUGACGGUCCUUAAGUAUCAAAUUUAAUUAUCAAAUAAAUAAAGAAAAGGAUCCAAUUGAAAUCAAGAUCUAGACUUAGGGUUUUAUCUGACAGAAUUCCACGAGUUUUGGUGUUUGUCUAUUUCUGCAGGGGGUUAUCAGGAAAUACGGAAGAAAGGCCCACAUGUCAGGAUUACGUAAAGAUAUUAACGUGCUGCACAAUUAUCUUACAUCUAGAAGACUCCAGAAGCCACGAGACCGAAGUGGAGACGAAACGGGGCCAGAGACAGGGCGCCCGCCCUGUCCUACUGGGCGCCCGCCCCCUGUUGGAGUCCAAUCAGGACUCUGCUUUGCGGGAGAUCUCCACCGACCUAAAGGAUGAAUCUAAACCAUACAAUCUAUGUCGGUUUGAUCCAAGGGCCCAUAUUCACUUGAAGGGACUAUAAAACCAGACCCCCUGGCCCAUGGAGGAGAGAGCCUCUCAACCCUAAUUCAUUGUUCCAUCAAGGGAGAAGAAGCCUCUGAUCAAGAUUAGAGCCACCACAUCAAUUAGAUAUCUAGAUUAGCAUAGCUACAUAGGAUUAGAACUAGAAGGAGUCAAUCUUCGAUUGGUUUCCGGAUCUGUCAGGAGGAUUCUUGGUAAUUCUCUAAUUGUGCUUCUAAUUGCUUUCUAAUUAUCUUUGUUCUUCAAUAUUAUGAAUAUGACUUUGCUCUACUUCAAUAUAUUGCUUAUGACUUUGCUCUACUUGCUUAUAUUCAAGAUUAUAUUGUUCUUAGUUUAUCAUAGUUAUGUACUUGGCUUAGUUAGAUUGGAUCUAUAUACAUGCUUAGGAUCGUAUAGCGUUUAUCCAUCGGAUCCAUAGGUAAAUGAUAGAUAUUGUGUAGGCGUGGUGCUUAUACCGUAUUUAUCUGCGAUUGUACCCAAUAUGCCAGAUCGUGGGGUGGUUCGUGAUAGUGACAGCUUCAUUGAUUCUUAUAUAGUCCCCCUCUCGUGUAUUGGGCUGGCAGAGCAACAUUAUUACAGGGGAGUGAUUGCUAUGUUUCUCAUAUUCCUUGCUAAUAUCACUAUGCAUGGGCGUAGUCUUGUCUCGCAAUGAUUGCUAAGUAUGCUAGCACUAACUAUGAUAUGCUAGACUAUAUAGUUGAGAAUAACUUAGGGAAUAUUCUUGUAGUUCGUUCUAAUACCAUGCUAAUGACUUUCUAGAGUAUCUAAUUGAGGUGCUUAUCAUAUUUAUUAUGUGGCUAGAUCAGAUUAGUUAUCCUUGUCACUAUUAUUAUUUCAUAUAUCUUUUAUGUGACACUUAUCCCUGUAUGAAGAGUUAGAUAUAAUGUUCUCAAUUAUACAUGCUAUGAUAGAUACUCAAUCUCAUAUUCUAUUCUGUAAUCAUUAGUGAUGAUUGCUAAUCCCUUCCCAGUGGUAAAAAUAUAAAUAACGAUACCUGGAAUACUUCCCGGUUAAAAUGCUACAUCGGUAUUAAUCUGUGCGCUUGCAGAUCCAAUUCAUUAUUUAUUUAGAAGAGCAAUUGCAUAUUUCAAUACCGCGUCUCUUAUAUCAUGCUGGGGAUGACAACUUGGCUUAAGUGGUGUGAGGGAUAGGUUUGGCAUUUUUGGCACCGUUGCUAGAUUUAGAACUUAGUCUACUUUUAGUAAUGAUGUUAAGAAUACCCAACAAGCAUUUUUGGCGCCGUUGCCGGGGAAGGUUGAUUACUAAUCAGGAAUGGAAUAAAAAGAUUUUGAGUUAUCAUUCGCAUCACUAAUAUGAUUGAGCUUAUCUAUUCUCUCAUACACUUUUACCCCGAUAUUUUUCUAUUUUAUCUUAUGCAGGGGAAUGUAUAAAUAGAAGACAUCUUCCAGGAAAUUUUGUUGACAAACCUAAAGCAUUAUUCAAGAUGACGAGAGCCAAGCUAAAGAAAUCAUCAACACUUCACGAAGAAGCUUCAUCCAAUCAAGAAGAUCACCGGAACUUGUCUUCAGAGUUCGAAGCCGUGGCGAACAUAUCAAUCCGCGAGUUCUCAGCUCCCACUAUGGACAACAUCCGCACUGGACCUGCUGCAGAGAUCGAUGGCAACUUAUCAACAUGGUGCAAUCCAACCAGUUCUGUGGGAAGGCACACGAAGACGCUAGUGCUCAUUUACAACACUUCCUGGAGAUUUGCAACACAUUCACCAUAGCAGGAGUUUCCAAAGACGCUAUACUACUUCGCCUCUUCCCAUUCUCACUGUUAGGAAGAGCGAAGCAGUGGUUCUACGCUACAAAGGAGAAGAAUUCUACGUGGGCACUCUGCUCAACAAACUUCCUGGCUAAGUUCUUUCCCAUGGGCAAGACCAAUGCUCUCCGUGGGAAGAUUACAAGUUUUCAGCAACAAAAUGAUGAAUCUGUUCCAGAAGCAUGGGAGCGCUUUCAAGACUACAUCCUAGAAUGUCCCCAUCAUGGAAUGGAGAGUUGGCUACUGAUGCAGACAUUCUAUCAUGGGCUCAGCAACAGUGCCCGAGAGACCAUGGAUGCUGCAGUUGGAGGAGCAUUCUUAUCACUUACUAUACCACAAGCCACAGCUCUUGUGGAGAAGAUGGCGUCCAACCAAAGCUGGAAUGAAGAGAGGACCUAGACACGCAAGAGAGGUGGAGGUAUACAUCAGCUCAAGGAGGUAGACAUGCUGUCUGCAAAGCUAGACCUGCUCAUGAAGAAGCUCGAUGAUAGAGCUGGAGACAAGAAAGAAGUUAUGCACAUCUACGACUCUCACAUGACUUGUGAGGAGUGUGGAGACACUGGACACUCAGGCAACCACUGCGCUGAGAUGCUUGAGGAUGUGAACUACAUCAACAACAACAACAACUACUACAACCGUCCUCAACAAAAUCAAGGUUGGAAUCAACAGAGGCCUAACUACUCAGGUAAUUAUCAAGGUAACAAUUCUUACAAAAAUAAUAAUAAUUUUCCACCUUUGAGAGAGUUAGUGUCUAAUCAAGGAAAGCUAAUGGAUAACCUGUCUAAGAAAUUGGCAUCAAAUGAUAAAAUGCUAGAAAAUAUAAAUAAUAGAAUAGAUAAUUUCUCUACUGCCAUCAAGAAUCAAAUUAGCUUUAAUAAAAUGAUUGAAUCUCAGUUAAAUCAAAUAGCUGCUGCUGUUCCUACUACUAACCCCGGUAUACCAUCACAACCGGAAGGAUUAGAAUCUGCAAAUCUUGUAGACGUGUUUGAUGCAGGUAAUUGGAGUAACCCCGUCACUGAAUUUUCUACUGACCGUCUGCCGGUCAAGAGAGGCGAUCCAGGACGCCCCGUCAUCCCGAUCUCCAUCGGCAUGGUGGACGUUCCAGAAGCACUCUGUGACUUUGGCUCUAGCGUCAACAUUAUACCCAGGGUACUCUAUGAAAAAUUCUUUACAUAUCCUUUAUUAGAAACAACCAUGUGUUUGCAGUUUGCAGAUCAGACGAUAACUUUCCAAAAGGAAUAGUGAGGAACCUUUGUGUCCGAGUUGGUACUUUAUAUGCCCCAGCAGACUUCGUAGUGGUUGAGACCGGAAAUGAUGAGAGAGCACCUAUCAUCCUAGGAAGGCCAUUUUUGAACACCACGGGAGCUAUCAUCUACGCUAGUGCUGCCAAGAUCAGUUUCUACGUCAAAGGGAAGAAGGAGACAAUUUUCUUCAAGAACAAGACUACACAAAUUCCAGAUCAAUCCAGACGUGAAUCAGGGAAGAGGACCAACAGGAGGAACAGGAACAAGCAAGUGUGGACCGAGUCAGCUAAGAUGGUCACUGUAGUCCAUGGAGGCCAAGAUCACCAACUUAAGUCACCGUUUUUGACCAAGAAGGACGACCUAGGAAUGCCAAGCAUCUACUGCUCCAUAAAUGGAUAUAACUUCUACAAGACGAUUUGCGACACCGGAUCGGGCGUCAACAUAAUGGCCGCAGUCACUUAUCGGCUCUUGUUCGGGACCAUGCCACUAAGACCAACAUACAUUCAGCUCCAGAUGGCAGAUCAGACAUUUCGAGAAGUUCAAGGAAUAAUAUCUGAUGUCCCAGUCAAAAUAGACGAUCACUUUGUCUACACAGACUUUCAAGUUAUUGACAUGGGAGAAGAUGAGUACGAUCCACCCAUCAUCCUUGGAAGACCGUUCCUCAGCACCGUUAAAGCAAUUAUCUACAUUGGAACCAGAGAAGUCCAUUGCACUUCCCCUUAGAGAAGGUACGCCGUUAUUUUACUGACCCUAACUAUAUCAUUGAAGAAUCUAAGCAGGUCAGAAAGAGACGCAACCGCAACCAGAGGAGGCAGAUCAUCAAGGACGGAUGGGCAGACUAUGAAGGAGAAGUUGUAAGGUCAGAAGACGUGGAGUUUAAACAGAAUUAUCCAGAGGAGAUUGAAGCACCGAGUCAGGUAUGGAAAAUGAAGAUAACUAUACAUGAAGAGGAGGCGCUACCGGAAGUACCGACUUCGCCACCCAACGAACCUCAGGACGAUUAAGAAAUUGGAGAGUCCCGUUCGGAGGACUUAAAAACACCGAACGCCCUGCCAAGAGGUAAACUUGGUAGUUACCCUUUCCCUUUCAAUUAUUUCAAUUAUUUCAAAUAGUUUACUUAGUUAAUUAUGUUCGUGCUAUCCUAAAAAAAAUAAAAAUGUGAAAAACAGUAAGCUCCAUGUGAGUAGACGAGUGGCAUAAAACCCAUAAGUACAUUCACUGUGGUGACAUAAAAAUAAAAUAAAUAUUUUUUCUGCUUUAUAAAAUAAAAAUAUAAAAACAGGGAGUAACAAUUAUUAUGGAGUCUCAACAUGAUAAAGGCUAGAUAUUUAUGCUAACACUUAAUCAGUUCCACAAGCUAUGUUGUCUAUUUGAGCUCCACAGAAUUUAAGAAUCAAGAAGACUCACAGACGGAGGACAUUCUAAUCGCUGUUAGAAUGCUGCUGACUUUCAAAUACACCUCUGCCACCUGCUAGCUACAUCAAGAGAAAUUACGUCAAAAUUCAGCUUGGGGGAGAGCACCCCCAUUUACCUCGAUAAGUAUUUCUAUCUAUUUUUAUACUUAUAUUAUUUUAGAAUAUUAAAAUACACAUAAACUAUGGGAAAACCAAAUAAAGAUUUCAUGCUUAUAUAUGUCUUUUGCUUAGUGUGUUUAAUAAAUAAAUAAAGUGGCUAUGCUAAUCUAUAUCUAAACAAAAACUUAAUCAUGGAUAUGAUGAAUAGUUGCUCUGCCUAAUUUGCACAUUCUAAGUUCUCUCUCAAGUUUAGAUAUAACUGUUAUAAUUUAAAGCUUGCCCUAGACCUAAACUUGUGGGAUGAAAACUUGAUCUGAUGUCUAAGUUGUUAACGGAUACGAUAUGGGAAGAUUGAGCUGUUGUUUAUCUGUUCCUAGAGAUGCUAGAAUUCUGGAGAAUUUUAUCUUUGAAAAUCUUUAAAAUGUUGCAUGAUGAGUUCCUGUAUGAUGAGAGCUUAAAUUCCUACCACAGCCAUAUAUACAUGCUUGCUAGACUUUGAGCCACACAUUUAUUAUUUACUGCUUAUGAGCAUUGAGUGUGGUCAAGCUGUGUAGACCCUUAGGAGCUUGUCACGUGGUUAAAUCAAGAUUUCACUUGCACGUUCACUCAUAUAUGCUACUUCUACUCCAGAAGUACCAUCCACAUAUAUCCAUCCAUUUUCAUCUCCAGAAUCACCCAAAAAUAUUCUGCUCCUAAUCCGGGAGAGAAUAACCAAAAAUAUUUCUGUUUCCCCUUGUGAAAUAAAUGCUCAAGUUAUCUUGUUACUACCACUUGCUAUAUUAUCUCAAGAGAUAAGUGCUCUAAAAAAAGAGAAGAAAAUAAAAAAAAAAUAUACGAGGAAAUAAAAAGGAGCAAGUGCUCGGAACCUCGAAAGAAAAGAAAGAGUGAGACGAGAGGUAAAAAUGGACAAGUGUCCGACAGUUGAAUUAGGGGUGCAAGAUACCCACCUGAGAGACAAGAAAAAGAAGAGCAUCUCAUUCUCCUCAUAAAGUUUCAAAAGCAAGGAAGGUAUGUAUCCCCUCAAAAGAGCAAAGUAGAAUUAGACUUCCACCACCAUUGUUUUCACCAUUGUUAUCACCAUCAUCACCAUACACCAUUCAUUCGCCACACAUGCACAUCUUGAUUUGGCUUAUUGAUUUGUUUCUUUGGAUCCAUGGUUUGACUAUGCAAUAAAUGUCUUGUGAGUAUGUAUACUUUAUCUCCCACCUAUGAGCUCCAAAUAUUAAAGCCUUAUUAGAGUAGUGUGAGAGAGAAGGCAAUGUCACUAUGCCUUAUACCACAAAUACUACAUAUCUUGAGAGAAGGCAUAUACCAUCAAUGCCUUAGUAAGGAUCCAAAAAUACCACAAAAGAGAGACCUGAGAGAAUCAUACAAGGAAUCUCUGAGUUUUAUUUGAAAAUCUGCAAAAAACCCCAGAGUUAUAGCUGAUCAAGAAUAAGAGACAUGGCACUUGGCUAGACUGUUCUAUCUUUUAACCACUCAAGACAGAAGUGACGGUUACAAGUCCCAUGGUGUAGGUAAAGUAAAUAAGUUUUAAGUCUUGACAGUUUACUCUAACUCAGAGAUGAGAUCUUAUUUAAAAAGCAUGUGUACCGUCAAUUUCUUUUUAAUAAUAUUGCAACAAAUUAUGAUCCAUAGCUGAGUCUAUCCUUGCUCAGGGACGAGCAAGAGGUAAGCUUGGGGGAGUUUGUUGACGGUCCUUAAGUAUCAAAUUUAAUUAUCAAAUAAAUAAAGAAAAGGAUCCAAUUGAAAUCAAGAUCUAGACUUAGGGUUUUAUCUGACAGAAUUCCACAAGUUUUGGUGUUUGUCUAUUUCUGCAGGGGGUUAUCAGGAAAUACAGAAGAAAGGCCCACAUGUCAGGAUUACGUAAAGAUAUUAACGUGCUGCGCAAUUAUCUUACAUCUAGAAGACUCCAGAAGCCACGAGACCGAAGCGGAGACGAAACGGGGCCAGAGACAGGGCGCCCGCCCUGUCCUACUGGGCGCCCGCCCCCUGUUGGAGUCCAAUCAGGACUCUGCUUUGCGGGAGAUCUCCACCGACCUAAAGGAUGAAUCUAAACCAUACAAUCUAUGUCGGUUUGAUCCAAGGGCCCAUAUUCACUUGAAGGGACUAUAAAACCAGACCCCCUGGCCCCUGGAGGAGGGAGCCUCUCAACCCUAAUUCAUUGUUCCAUCAAGGGAGAAGAAGCCUCUGAUCAAGAUUAGAGCCACCACAUCAAUUAGAUAUCUAGAUUAGCAUAGCUACAUAGGAUUAGAACUAGAAGGAGUCAAUCUUCGAUUGGUUUCCGGAUCUGUCAAGAGGAUUCUUGGUAAUUCUCUAAUUGUGCUUCUAAUUGCUUUCUAAUUAUCUUUGUUCUUCAAUAUUAUGAAUAUGACUUUGUUCUACUUCAAUAUAUUGCUUAUGACUUUGCUCUACUUGCUUAUAUUCAAGAUUAUAUUGUUCUUAGUUUAUCAUAGUUAUGUACUUGGCUUAGUUAGAUUGGAUCUAUAUACAUGCUUAGGAUCGUAUAGCGUUUAUCCAUCGGAUCCAUGGGUAAAUGAUAGAUAUUGUGUAGGCGUGGUGCUUAUACCGUAUUUAUCUGCGAUUGUACCCAAUAUGCCAGAUCGUGGGGUGGUUCGUGAUAGUGACAGCUUCAUUGAUUCUUAUAUAGUCCCCCUCUCGUGUAUUGGGCUGGCAGAGCAACAUUAUUACAGGGGAGUGAUUGCUAUGUUUCUCAUAUUCCUUGCUAAUAUCACUAGCAUGGGCGUAGUCUUGUCUCGCAAUGAUUGCUAAGUAUGCUUGCACUUACUAUGAUAUGCUAGACUAUAUAGUUGAGAAUAACUUAGGGAAUAUUCUUGUAGUUCAUUCUAAUACCAUGCUAAUGACUUUCUAGAGUAUCUAAUUGAGGUGCUUAUCAUAUUUAUUAUGUGGCUAGAUCAGAUUAGUUAUCCUUGUCACUAUUAUUAUUUCAUAUAUCUUUUAUGUGACACUUAUCCCUGUAUGAAGAGUUAGAUAUAAUGUUCUCAAUUAUACAUGCUAUGAUAGAUACUCAAUCUCAUAUUCUAUUUUGUAAUCAUUAGUGAUGAUUGCUAAUCCCUUCCCAGUGGUAAAAAUAUAAACAACGAUACCUGGAAUACUUCCCGGUUAAAAUGCUACAUCGGUAUUAAUCUAUGCGCUUGCAGAUCCAAUUCAUCAUUUAUUUAGAAGAGCAAUUGCAUAUUUCAAUACCGCGUCUCUUAUAUCAUACUGGGGAUGACAACUUGGCUUAAGUGGUGUGAGGGAUAGGUUUGGCAUUUUUGGCACCGUUGCUAGAUUUAGAACUUAGUCUACUUUUAGUAAUGAUGUUAAGAAUACCCAACAACGGUUCUCUAACAAACUCGUACCUGUUGCUUUUGGAAGGAUGAUGUAGACUCUGGCAGUAACUCGAACUUAUGAACUGAACUUUGGAAUGUGUGUGUAACUAUUUUGCUUCUGCUACUUCGAACAAGUGCUGUAAUAACUUAAUACUCCGAUGUGGUGCCGCUUCGACGGCAGUGAAUGACUAUGUAACAUUCGUUGUGUUUAUGUUGAACUAUUACGAUCUUGGUUUGUUACGAGUUGGUUUGAAAUCCUUCGUGAUUUCAGUUGACUACCGGGAUUAUAUGGGCUCAAGUUUGGAAACUUGAUUGCUUGUCGAUCGUUUCUACACUUGAUCUCUUAUAAUUUGGUCGGUUUUGUGACAACAGAGAAAUUCGGGACCAAGGGGGAACAGGAGCUGGGCGCCCGCCCACCUGAUCUGGGCGCCCGACCUCUCUCUGGCCCCUCUGUGGGCCCACUUCCUCGAGCGCGUUUCUAGAUGCAGACUUAAUUAGGAAAAUAUAUGUAUGACCCGAAAACGUCAUACUAAAAAGGUCGGGCUCUAAUUCUCCAUGGGAAGGAAAAAAUGGAUUACGUCUAUUUCUUCUAAUUCUUUAUUGGGCUCUAAAAACAAUUUAAGACAUUGACCAUUUACCUUGAAUAACGUACCUUCGUCAUUUUGAAGUGUGAUAGCUCCGUGGGAUGAUGAAUUAAUUACCUUGAAUGGUCCUUCCCAUUUGCUCCGGAGUUUUCCAUGCCCGAAAAGCUUCACCCUGGAAUUAAAAAGUAAUACCUUAUCUCUGGGUGUGAACUCCUUCUUCUUGAUUCUCUUGUCAUGCCACCUUUUGACUCUUUCUUUGUAGAUCUUUGAAUUGUGAUAUGCUUUCUCUCGCCAUUCUUCCAAUUCUGAUAGUUGUAUUCUUCUAUAAUCUCCAGCAACAUCUUGGUCCAUAUUCCAUCUCUUUAUGGCCCAGUGUGCUUUGAACUCUAGUUCAACAGGUAGAUGGCAAGUCUUCCCGUACACCAAUUGGUAUGGAGACAUUCCAAUUGGGGUCUUGUAUGCUGUCCGGUAUGCCCAGAGUGCAUCGGGUAACUUGUCUUUCCACGCCGUUCCCAUUUCAUUUACUGUCUUCUGAAGAAUAUUCUUAAUUUGUUUGUUGGAAGUCUCUGCUUGGCCACUUGUCUGAGGAUGAUAGGGGGUAGUGACGUUGUGACGGAUUCCAUGUUUUGAUAGAUAUUGCUUGAAGCGUUUAUCAAUGAAGUGUGCUCCUCCAUCACUUAUCACUACUCUGGGGACUCCAAAUCUUGGAAAUAUAAUUUCUUCGAACAUCCUCUUUGAACUGAUGUUGUCGGCAUGCUUGCAAGGUAAUGCCUCUACCCACUUGGAGACGUAGUCAACUGCCACCAAGAUGUACUCACACUUCUUUGAUGGAGGAAAUGGACACAUGUAGUCUAUUCCCCAGACAUCAAAGAGCUCAAUCUGAAGGUUGUUGGUGAGUGGCAUUGCAUCCCUUGUAUUUAUGUUUUCGUGUCUUUGACAUGGCCCACAUCUUCUGAUAUAUUGCUUCGUGUAUUCAUACAUUGUAGGCCUGUAGAAUCCACACUGCCAGAUCUUUGAAUUUGUACGGAAUGCUCCAUAGUGACCUCCAUAUGGUGAUGAAUGACAUCUGUCAAUGAUCUUCCAUCCUUCCUCAGUGGUCACACAUCUCCUGAGUAAGCCAUUAGAGCAUAAUCGGAAGAGGUAUGGCUCAUCCCAUAUAUGUGAACGACUUUCUUGAAUAAGUUUCUUCUUGUUUGCUCCUGGUGGUACAUACCCUGAAACCAUAAAAUUAACAAUAUCUGCAUACCAGGGGUCAGACCUGUUAAUCCCGUAGAGCAUGUCGUCUCGGAGUGAAUCGUUAAUGGGGGUUUCCUGUGGACUCUUAAAAUUCAUUCUAGACAAGUGAUCAGCAACAGAAUUUUCUACUCCCUUUUUAUCUUUUAUUUCUAAGUCAAAUUCUUGGAGUAAUAAGAUCCAUCUAAUCAGGCGCGGUUUAGCAUCUUUUUUAGUGAGCAAAUAUUUUAGUGCAGCAUGAUCAGUGUAAACAAUUAUUUUAGCUCCAACUAAAUAAGAUCUAAAUUUAUCAAUGGCAAAGACAACAGCUAGAAGCUCUUUUUCAGUGGUUGCAUAGUUAAGUUGAGCUCCUGUCAAAGUUUUACUGGCAUAAGCAAUUGCAUGAUGCUUCUUAUUUUUAGUUUGUCCUAAAACUGCCUCCACAGCAUAAUCACUGGCAUCACACAUAAUUUCAAAAGGCAACAACCAAUCAGGGGGUUGAAUGCUUGGUGUAGAGAUGAGUGCUUUCUUUAAUAAAUUGAAAGAUGUUAGACAUGCAUCAUCAAAUUUGAAAGGAGCAACCUUAGCUAGCAAAAGAGUAAGUGGUCUAGCAAUAAAUGAAAAAUCUUUUAUGAAUCUACGAUAAAAACCAGCAUGGCCAAGAAAGCUUCGAAUUCCUUUUAUACUCACAGGUGGAGGUAGUUGUUCAAUUACUUCAAUUUUAGCUUUAUUGAGAAUUUUAGCUUUAUCUACCUCAAUACCUCUUUCAGACACUAAGUGUCCCAGCACUAUUCCUUCCCUAACCAUAAAAUGACAUUUUUCCCAAUUAAGGACUAAGUGCUUUUCUUCACAUCUUUGCAAAACCUUGUCUAAGUUUUCAAGACAACUAUCAAAAGUUUUUCCAUAAACAGAGAAAUCAUCCAUGAAAACUUCCAUAAUCUCUUCAAUCAUAUCAGAAAAUAUAGACAUCAUGCAUCUUUGAAAAGAAGCUGGUGCAUUACAUAACCCAAAAGACAUUCUACGAUAAGCAUAAGUUCCAUAAGGGCAUGUAAAAGUGGUUUUGCUUUGAUCAUCGGGAUGGAUCGGGAUCCGAUGAUACCCUGAAUAUCCAUCUAAGAAACAGAAUAACGAAUGGUUCGCUAACCGCUCUAGCAUCUAUAGUAAAGGAAUGUGAUCAUUUCUCGUGGCUUUGUUUAGUUUUCUAUAGUCUACGCACAUCCGCCAUCCUGUGACGGUGCGUUGCGGAAUUAGCCACAACUUGUACUGGGCUUACCCACUCACUGUGCGGCACAGGAUAUAUAAUCCCUACAUGCAGUAACUUUAUAACUUCCUUUUUAACUACCUCUCUCAUAGUGUUGUUAAGUCUACGUUGGGGUUCUCGAGAAGGUGAAACCGAAGGAUCUGUUAGAAUACGAUGGGUACAAAUCAUAGGACUGAUUCCUGUAAGAUCUUGGAGUGAGUGGCCGAAAAUUGAGUGAUGUUUUUCAAGAAUGGUCAUUAAUCGUAGAGUUUGCUCCUGAGUGAGUUUAUCGCUAAUGAUCACAGGAAACUCUGGAUUAUUGUUUACGAAAGCAUAGAUAAGACCGGGUGGUAAGGUUUUAAGCUCUAUGGGAGGUCUAGGUGUUUCUGCAAACUCAUCUAAGGGUUUAGGUUCAGAAGGUUCGGCUUCUUCUUCUAUGAAGAAAGGAGUUUCGUCUUCUAAGUUUGGUUCUUCUAAAAGCUCUAGAGAUGCAGCCUUUACCUCCUCCAUAGGAUCAGGCAAAAGAUAUGAUUUGGCCUUAUUGUUUAAGGAGUGUGAAAUUGUUAUUGGGAUUUUAAAAGUUUUUCCAAAAGAAAUGUGUAGCUUUCCAGUAUGACCUUCAUAAAGGAGUCUUCUAAAAGGUUGUCCUAUCAACAGGUCGAAGUCCCAUGUAUCAAAGAUAUAGAAGUUCAAAUGAACCAUGGAGCCUUCUACCGUAAGAGGUAGGACAUUAAUAAUUCCAAGACUGGGGACUAAUCGUCCCGAAGAUUCCUUUAUGACCUUUGUUGUGGGGGUUAAGACAAGAUUUUUAAAUAGUUUAAGUGCAAAAGAUUUAGACAUGAUGUUGAUCCCCACAACAGGAUUAUAAAGAGCAUUAAAUCGAUCAGAAUUAUAAGCACAGCGUAUAGUUAUAGAGGGUGUGUCCAAACGGAUCACAUCAGAGGAAAGCUCUGAUUCUUCCAACCAUUCGCUACUCAUGACUGAGAUAAGCUCUCUCAAUUGAUAUUCAUUUGGCAAAUAAAUGCUAAACUGGCCGUUUUGAGGUUUGUCAAUAGAAUGGUAGUUUGAAAUGUUUCCAAAAUCGGCAAAAAGAUCGGAUUCUAUAUCCAGCAUGAAGUCCAGUGGUGGAAUUUCUUCCUCUUGUGGCUCAGAACUUGGGAUAGCUAAAGUAGAUGAAGAAUUUGGCAGAGUGUCUACUUCGGCUUCGUAGGUUUCAUCAUGAAGGGUAUUAUCCAUCUCAGCUUCUAGGAUUCUAUCUAGGAUCACUCUAGCUUCAUCAGUAGGGAUGCGAAAGAAAGAACCUCUAGACAUUGUGUGUAGCAUUUGUUUGUGAUUUUUCUGAAGACCUCGAAAAAAGUGAAAUAAAAGAACAGGGUCUUCAAGAUUAAGGUUUGGACCAGAUUCUAAAAGAUCAGAAAAACAUUUCUAGGAUUUUCCCAAAGUUUCAUUAUCUUUUUGUUUAAAAAAUAGGACUUCGAGUCUAAGGUUGGCUAUACGGUCGAGGGAAUAGAAAUCUAGACAAAAGUUGGCUCGUAAAACUCCCAUUCACAUCGUUGUUGACUUACCUUCUGACUGUACCAUUGUCUAGCUUCUCCCCUUAAGGAAAAAAGAAAAAGCUUCCAACGUAAAGUUUUAUCAGAAAUGCCUUCAAUACGAAGACAAUCACAUGUUUGCUCAAAAUCUCUAAUAUGAAGGUAAGGGUUUUCGUCUUCCUUUCCCGAAAAAGAUAGGUUAUGAAUCAUGGCAAUCAACCUAGAACUUAACUUAUACUGGGAUGUUUGGAUAGGCUGUGAUGAUUCCCAUGGUAAAAGGUCAGUUACUGAAGGGAUUGCAGACUCAUGGAUCGAUUUAGAAUUUUGGUUUUCCAUAAGGUAAGAGUAAAGAAAAUAAAUACAGAAUAUAAAAGAUAAGAAAAGAUAAAAUUAUAGAUACAAGAUAGUAGUAAGACUCAAGGUUAUCUCAGCAAACCGUCUUUCUCCCCGGCAAUGGCGCCAGAAAUGCUUGUUGAUAUUUGGGAACGCAAUAAGGAAUUGAUCCGCAAGCGCACGGAUAUCGGUGAGCACUUCACCCGAGAGGUUAUCCAGAGUAUCGUAUUUAUUUUUUUACCACUAGGAGAAAGAGUGCAUCUGACUAACCGGUCUAUUACUACUAACCCUUUAGGCAACAAAGAAUGUCUCUCAAUGUGAGUGAUAAAUAGAGAAGACUGCAACCGUAGUCUCGUUCUAACCUUGGUAAGGAUAAUCUACUGUUCUAUUGGGGAGGCUAACGGAAUCUAGACACCACAAAGGAUGUUCAACCCGCACCUAUAAACCCUAUCCUUCAUGCUAACGAGAUAUGGUCUACAAAGGUAACUCAGAAUUGUCACGUUCCUUACUACUACCACGGUCUAGCUAGUCAGGGAAUAUCUAUGAGUACCCCAGCCUAAACACCACGUUUACGCCAGCAAUGAUUACUCUAAACUCUACGCGAAGAGAUUAAAGUAAACUCAUAAACCAUAAGAACAAUAAAACAAUAACUUACUAGACUUUAGAAGUCGAAAUACUAAAGAAUCCUAGGAGCAAGCUUCGGGUUAGGAGAACUUGAUCCCGCAGGUACAAGCUUGGAGUAGACACCGACAGGCCGGGCUUCCUCCAAUCUACACCUCCACUCUAUCUCUCUAAAUCUAGUAGAAACUAGAAGAUCUAUGUCUACUUUACAUUGGUUGCUAAGCCUAAAAAGAAAUAUUAAUUAGAUAAGAGGUUUUCCUUCGAGGGCACCCCUCAAUCUCUAUGAUAAUUUCUUGUCUUCUCCAGGGGCUAGGGGGUCUCCUUAUAUAGUCCUCCUCCUCUAUGCGUUUUUGGGUCGGUAGGCGAGGUGGUACUACGUUAUCUUUGAUCCAUUAGGUCGGUGGAACAUCGUGUGCGAAUAGAGUCCUGAAUGGAGUCCAGCAGGGGGCGGACGCCCAGGUCACCAGGGCGGGCGCCCUGGGCCUGGCCCCUUUCGGCCUCUGCCUUCUUCCCGUGGCUUCUGGAGUAUUCUAGAUGGUAGAAAAUCGCGCGGUGCGUUGAUAUCUCUAUGUAAUCCCGACAUGUGGGCCUUUCUUCCUUAUUUCCUGAUAACCCCCUGCAAAAACAGAUAAACAACAAAACUCAUGGAAUUCUGUCAGAUCAAACCCUAAUUCUAGGUGUUGGUUGCAUAUUGGUCCUUUCCCUUGUUUAUUUGAUAAUUAAAAUUGAUACUUAAGAACCGUCAACAAUGCUUAUGUUGCAAGUUUGAGCUUUUUUAAUUUUAGUUGGCUCAUUUUCACAUUUGUUAACUAGUGAGGAAUGAGCUUCUUCAAGCUUAAUGUGAGCCUUUUGAAGCUUCUUAUGGUCUUCCAUUAGACUCUCAUAAGACGCUCUAAGCUAAUCAAGUUCUUGCUCAAGGGUUUUCUUAUCCUUAAGCAAGGCCUUGCACUCCUUCCUAGUUUCUUUAUAGUGAUGAGUGCAAUCUUCUAGCAUAGUGAUUAGUUCAUCUUUAGUUGGUUCAUCAUCAUCACUAUCACUAUCACUAUCAUGGUCACUCUCAUCAUCGGAUGAUACCUUAGUGGCCUUAGCAAUGAAGCAUGUUGGAGUGUCGAAGAUGGAGCUUUUUCUUUGAAUUGCAAUGCUAGCAUGCGCCUUCUUCUAGGUGCUCUCCUCAUCAAUUGAGGAGUCAUCACUAUCCCAAGUUGCAACAUGGGCAUCACCCUUCUUCUUGUUUGAGCGUUCCUUCUUCUCUUGCUUCUUCUUUUGCUUCUUUCUUUCCUUCUUGAUAGCAUCUUCAUCAUCACUAUCAUAAGGACAUUUGGCAAUGAGAUGAUCCUUGCUAUGGCAUCUAAAGCACCUCAUGGAAUGGUCACCAAAAAUGUUGUAAACUUUGUAUGCUAGCUGCAGUUUAAAUUUGGGGUCAUUUGGCCCAGUAAUUUAAGAGUUAUGGCUUUUCCAAGUUGAGUUCCAGAACUAGGUGCUCUCUGUCUUUCUAGAACAAAACCUGGAACUUUGUUUAUUUGACCUGUUUAACUUGUGAAUCUUGCUGAGAUGUCUAAAGGUGCAAUGUAAACAAUUUUAUAAGCUUUCUAGAAUGUCUUCAUUCAUGUUUGUUGGAUCUAUAUAUCUCUAGUUAUGAAUUGUUCUUUGAGCUGCUCUGUUAAUUAGUUGUUGCUGUUGAAUUGUGUAAGUUGGUGUCCUUGUUAGUUGUGGUGGUACUUUUUGUGAGCUUGUAUAAGAGAUUACUCUGUAAAUAAGUGUCCAGUGAAUUAUGUAUUCAUGUUUGCCAAAGCAUUCAUCAUUCUCUUCAUGUGCAUCCAUUCCUUAUUCAUUUGCACAUGCAAUAGGUGCACCGGAGACUGCGACCUAGUUCGAGCUCGAGAGGGUGAAUCCCGAAGGCCCGGAGGUCACCCAGGAGACGGAGGCCCAGCCAGGAGGACCUGAGGAGCCCGAAGAGGAGGUUGAGUGCCCUAGUCACGAGCCUACUUCGUUCGUGAAAGGCAAGCCCCGGAGCAUCUUAAGUCUCCCACUUUAAUUUCAAAGCAUACUUGAUUAUGUUAUAUCUAUUGAUGCAUUACAUAUAGGAGUUGUGAUGGAACCCUUGCUGCAUUAUACUAUUCCUUGUCCAGAUAUCUUAUCCUACUUGGUUGUAGAGUUAGGAUCGAGUAACAGCUUAGCCAUGCUUUAAUCGGUAGAAGUCAGGUGAUAUCCUGUUACCUGCGCGAAAUAGGGUUUGUUGUUGGAUCACGAUUGGCUAUAUGUGCUAUCAUGGGAAAGAACCUGGUUUAAUAUGAUUUAAGCCGGGCGGAGUUUUGCAAGGUGGUAGUAACUCCGUCUGUGGCAGUGUUGACGGUCCUUAAUGCUCACAUUUAACCGUUAACUAAUCAUGGAAAAGGAUCUAAAUGGAACCAACACCUAGACUUAGGGUUUUAUCUGACAGAAUUCCACGAGUUUUGGUGUUUGUCUAUUUCUACAGGGGUUAUGAGGAAAUACAGAAGAAAGGCCCGCACGUCAGGUUUACAUAGAGAUAUUAACGUGCCGCGCAAUUUUCCACCAUCUAGAAGACUCCAGAAGCCACGGGAAGGAAGCGAAGGCCGAAUGGGGCCAGGCACUGGGCGCCCGCCCCCUCCUAGAGUCCAAACAGGACUCUCUUUCGGGAUCAAUCUCCACCGACCUAAAGGAUCAAGGAUAACCGUUCAAUCAAUGUCGGUUUGAUCCAACGGCUCAUAUUCACUUGAAGGGACUAUAAAACCAGACCCCCCAGGCCCCUGGAGAUCAUACCUCUUCUACAUAAUCAAAGUUAGGGUUUCAAUUCUUCAUCCAAGUAGAGAGGAUCCCUCUAGUUUUUCUAGUUCUAUCUCUAGUUCAUCUAGAUCAAGUUCUAGUUCAUCUAGUUCUAAUUCUAGUUCUAGUUAGUUCUAGUUGUAAUCUAGAAAAUAGGGAGAGAGAAGAGGAGAGCGGAGCAGGAGCCGGAUCUGUCGGAUCUUUCUCAACAUUGUACUUUUGCAGCAACUGGUUCGUUCUUCAUCAUUCUCCAGGUUCUUCAAUUCAUAAUUCCUGAGUUCUUUAAUUACUUUUAUUUAUAUUCAAGUUAUUUGAAACAUUAGAGUAGUAAUUAAUAGAUUAGACGUGGUGUUUAGUCUUGCAAUUACCUGGAAUUGCACCCAAUCCUGCGGAUUGUUGUGGUAGCCUUAGGGUAGUGACAGCCCUAACGGUCGACGUAUUCCACCUCGUUCGGAUCGGUGUUUGUAGGACCGUAGUCAGACCUUCCUAGCCCCAUUCUCAUCUCUUUCUAUGGUUAGUGCUCUGAUGUCCCGAUAUAAAUAAUCUUUGAAGUAAUUCUUGAUUCUUAGAUCAACUAGAGAACUCUCAGGAAACUUCCUCUCUUCGCACCAAAAAUAAUUAUAUAGUUAUCCUUGGGCGAUCUUGGAUCUUAAUUAAUACACUCACGUUCUGAUAGGUUACCGAUAUGAAUCGGUUCUUGGAUGGUCCGAUCUUCACGACAGUAGAUCAAAAGAACAAGGAUAACUUGCUGCGAACAGCGGGUAACAAGCUUUAUACCUGACAAAGGUUGGAUGCGACCAAGUGACGGGGAGAGAGACACCGAAACCGCGAAGACUUCGACUCGAUCUCCGAACGACCGUAGAACCACAAUCCGGAACUAAUCCACACAAUACGGCGCAGCCGAACGGAAGCCGUAGAGCACGAAGUAGGGGAACCCAGAGGAUCACUCACAANNNNNNNNNNNNNNNNNNNNNNNNNNNNNNNNNNNNNNNNNNNNNNNNNNNNNNNNNNNNNNNNNNNNNNNNNNNNNNNNNNNNNNNNNNNNNNNNNNNNNNNNNNNNNNNNNNNNNNNNNNNNNNNNNNNNNNNNNNNNNNNNNNNNNNNNNNNNNNNNNNNNNNNNNNNNNNNNNNNNNNNNNNNNNNNNNNNNNNNNNNNNNNNNNNNNNNNNNNNNNNNNNNNNNNNNNNNNNNNNNNNNNNNNNNNNNNNNNNNNNNNNNNNNNNNNNNNNNNNNNACUAGAUUCAUUGGAAUGUAGACUCGACAAGCUUUCCAACAAGUCCUCAUGGGCCUUCAUAGCUUUUGUGAUUAAAAAGUUAUGAAGAUUUCUUUGCACUGGUCCGUUUUUGACUUCCACUGGUCCGUUUUUGACUUCCACUGGUCCGUUUUUGACGUGUCUUCUAGGACUUGCACUGGUUCGUUCUUCAGGGUCCGAUUCAUCCUUCUCUUCUUCUAUAUACCUGAGUACAAUCAAGGUAGAACACUUAGGUAGUAUAUAAAUCUCAUUAAUGUUAAAAUGAAUCUCACAAAGUAGCGCAUGGACCUCUUGUUGUAGCUUCUUUGCACGACUACGUGUAACCGGUCCAUCGAUGACUUGGGCUGGUGUCGGUGUAGGUAAAACUUGAGUGGUUGUAGCUUGACUUGGAGCUUGUGACAUCUUGCUUGCUGGCAUGGUCAUAUCAUCCUCCCCCCCUUCAAAAAGAGUCGUCCUCAACUCUUCCAAUCCAAAGAAUGGAAAAAGGUCGGAGACAUUGAAACUUGUACUCACACCAUAAGUACUUGGAAGAUCAAUUUCAUAAGCAUUGUCAUUGAUCUUGCGAAGCACUUUGAAUGGACCAUCGGCUUGGGGUUGCAGCUUGCUCUUGCAUUGUUCAGGAAAGCGAUCCUUGCGCAGGUGCACCCAAACCAAGUCUCUCGGUUCAAAUAACAUCUUCUUACGACCCUUGUUGGCGUGCUUCUCAUAUAACUUGGUCAUCUUCUCAAUGUUUGCUUUAGCUUGAUCAUGAAGCUUCUUGACAAAUUCUUUAGGCAAAAGGUAGUGUUGCCAACUUUCCAAGCUUCUAACAAGAGCAUAUAAUUCUUUAUCAUAAACUGAGUAAUUCAGAGUUGGACCACUUAGCUUUUCACUGAAGUAUGCAAUUGGCCUCCUUUCUUGCAUGAGAACGCCACCAAUUCCUAUACCACUUGCAUCACAUUCAAUUUCAAAUGUCUUACCGAAACCUGGAAGUGCAAGAAGUGGGGCUGUUGUCAACUUCAUCUUCAGUUCUUCAAAUGCCUUCUCUUGUGCUUCUCCCCAAUUAAAAGGCACUCCUUUCUUUGUCAACUCAUUGAUGGAGCAGCAAUGGUGNNNNNNNNNNNNNNNNNNNNNNNNNNNNNNNNNNNNNNNNNNNNNNNNNNNNNNNNNNNNNNNNNNNNNNNNNNNNNNNNNNNNNNNNNNNNNNNNNNNNAAACCAGCAAGUCCAAGGAAGCUACGCACUUGACUUGCAUUCUGUGGAGGCAUCCACUCACGAACAGCUUUGAUCUUAUCCUCAUCCACCUCCAUACCAUGUCCUGAAACAACAAAACCAAGAAAGACUACCUUGUCGGUGCAAAAUGUGCACUUGUCAAGGUUAGCAUACAAUUUUUGCUCACGUAGGCCAGUAAGCACACUUUGGAUAUGCUCAACAUGUUCAUCAAGAGACUUGUUGUAAAUUAAUAUAUCAUCAAAGUAAACCACAACAAACUUGCCAAUGAAAGAUCUAAGCACAUGAUUCAUCAAUCUCAUAAAGGUACUUGGUGCAUUAGUCAAUCCAAAGGGCAUUACCAACCAUUCAUACAACCCAAACUUGGUUUUAAAAGCUGUCUUCCACUCAUCUCCUUCUCUCAUUCUUAUUUGGUGAUAGCCACUUCUCAAGUCAAUUUUAGUGAAAAUUGUUGCACCACUAAGUUCAUCAAGCAUAUCAUCAAGUCUAGGAAUGGGAUGCCUAUAUCUUACUGUGAUGUUAUUAAUAGCUCUACAGUCAACACACAUUCUCCAUGAACCAUAUUUUUUUGGAACUAAAAGAACAGGGACUGCACAAGGUGAAAGACUUUCCUGCACAUACCCUUUUCUCAUCAAUUCUUCCACUUGUUGCUGAAUUUCUUUUGUUUCCUCCGGAUUGGUGCGGUAUGCAGCUCGGUUUGGAAGUGAAGCACCGGGAACAAGGUCAAUUUGAUGUUCAAUUCCUCUCUUGGGUGGCAGCCCUGGUGGUACCUCCUCUGGAAAGACAUCCUCAUAUUCCUGUAACACAUUAAAAAUAACACUUGGCAAAGUAGAGGAUAAGUUGUUAGGGGAAAGAAAAUUUUCCUUGUACAGGAGUACAACGAAUGUGGCAUUGGGUUCACUCAAUUCUUUUAAAUCCCCUUUCCUAGCCAUCAUAACUAAUCCCUCUUUUCCCUUUGUCUUGGUCAUUUGUGGCUGUGGGGUUUUAAUUGGCUUUGGAAACACUCCCUCACUAUUUUUGUGGAUCACUCGCAAGUGGUUCUCGCUCUCACGCUGUUUUCUUUUUAGAUCAUCAUUCAAAAUCUCCUCUGGUGUCAAAGGGAGCAAAGAAAUUCGCUCUCCUUUGUACAUGGAAACCAGCUUGUUGGUUCUUCCAAAGAUCUGAACAUCACGAUCAUAUAACCAUGGUCUACCUAGCAGCAGCUGGCAUGCUUGCAUAGGCACCACAUCACACUCCACAUGAUCAUUAUACCUCCCAAUAGAGAAAGGAACUAUCACAACAUGGCUCACACGCAGCGCACCACAAUCAUUCAGCCACUGCAUCUUGUAUGGAUUAGGAUGACGCCUUUGUUUUAGCUCCAUUCUAUCAACCAAUUCUUGGCUAGCAAUAUUGUUGCAGCUGCCAUUGUCAACAAUAAUUCUACACAACUUCUCUUUGACCAUGCCUUGAGUGUGGAAAAGAUUGUGUCGCUGCCCAUUCUCUUCCUUUGCAGCAGUAACACUAAGCACACGAAGAGAAAUAAAGCAGUUGUUAUCACCUUCAUCGGGUUGGAUCUCAUUAUCAUGGUUCUCAUGAUCCUCAUCAUAUCUUGGACCUUCUUCCUCUCGAUCACUUUCAGAUUCCCAUUCACCAUUCUCAUUCACAAUCAUGGUCCUCCUACUAGGACAUUGUGUAGCAAUAUGUCCACGACCGUGGCACUUGUGGCACACAAUUUCUCUACUACGUGCAGAGGAAGUAGUAGCUGAGGAAACAACAGUUGGGGCUGCUACACUUUUAGCAGGUCGCUGCUGAUAUGCAGGGGAUGAUGCUGUAGAAACCACCAUCUUUGAAGGAGCAUUAGAUGAAGAGGGCCUAGCUGCAACACCUUGGGACCGUCCCCACCAAAAGAAGUGAUGGACUGCUGCUUGCGCCAUGGGGCUGCAAUAGAAUGACUUGCAUAAGAUUUUCCACGUGUCUCUUGCUGAAUUUUUCUUUCAGUACGCAUAGCUUGAUCAACAACGUCUUGCAAAGUAUGGUAUGGAAACAUCUCAACAAAUCCAGCAAUUUCCUCAUUGAGACCACCCAAAAAUCUUGCCAUUUUUGACUCUAGAUCCUCUCUAAUUCCAGUCCGCACUAACAGCAGCUCCAUCUCCUUAUAAUACUCAUCAACCGAUCUUUUUCCUUGCUUCAACAUUUGUAACCUAUUGCGAAGGUCACGCUGAUAGCUUGAUGGUACAAAUCGCCUUCUCAUCACUUGCUUCAUCUCUUCCCAUGUGUUGAUAUGUUCACGGCCCAACACAAGUUGAUUCUCUUGUAUCUGAUUCCACCAAGUCAGAGCAUAACCGGAGAACUCCACUGAAGCAAGAUUGACACACCUCUGAUCAGAGAGAUUAUGCACUCUAAAAUUUUGAUCACACUGCUCAGCCCACUCAAGAUAUGCAUCUGCAUCCUCUCUUCCAGUGAAUUUUGGGAUACUCAACUUGACACGAGCAAUGCUGUCUGGUUCUUCCUUAUUACGACGUCCAUGAUGAUGCUCUCUAUCUCCAUGAUCAGCAUGCCGCCGAUGAUAAUGGCGCCGCCUAUGCAGCCCAUCAUUUGCAAAGGGAUUCUCAUCAGACCCCUCUUCGUGACCAAAGUUAUCAAAUUCUUCAUCAUCAAAAUGAACUCGAUGGCCACGACCACGUCCAUGAGCUCGUCCUCCAUUUUGGCCAUGAUGACCAGCCCGCCUACCACCACCACGACCAUCUCUGAAACGGUCAUGUCCUCCUUUAGAAUUUUUAGCACCAGAUUCAUCAGAUUGAUGCCGAGGAGCCCUCUGCCCAUCCGCAGGUAUGCGUGCAUCAAGCAUUCUCUCCAUGGCCUGCAGAAGUGAGUCUGCCAUUUGGCGCAACUCAACCCGUGCAACAGGGGGUUCUUCUCCAUGACGAUUACCAUGAAUACUUGAGUUGAAUCCUGUCAUGUUAGCACUUAAGGCAAAAUAUAGUGGAAUGGGUAAAUUUGUGGAAUCACACAACCACACCUCUUACUUACCAAUGCUCUUUCCUGUUCUCAAGGACAGUGAAUUGUGCUAGUGUAGCUACUCAAUAGAAGUGAUUCCAAGGUCGCAAGGAUUACGAGUCGAAUGUCUUGGUUUCAGUUUUAGGUGGAGCUAUAGGUGGCUAAACAAGGGAGGCCAUGGUACUGAAUAUCAAGUGAUUUGAUGUGCUCACAAGAUAUAGUGUUGCUGAUAUAUAAAUCACCAAGAAUCUGAAUGUGUAAACUGAAUUUUCAGUGAGCAAACCGCAAUACAACCCCUUUCCUCUUCUUCUACUUUUGUUGUUCUUUCUCUUUUCUUUUCUCUGUUUUUUUUUUACUUUUCUUUUAACCCUUUUUUUUAUGCUAACAGGGGUGCGGAUAGCAAAUGAAACACAACACAAUAUAUGUAAAGAGAGUGACUAGCAACUUGAUGAACACAAAACACAAGAUAACAGUACCGUCAAAGGGCUUUAGGAUUUUUUUUGUGGCUUUUUCAGUGGACUAUAGGUGAUGAACAAAUCAGUAGCAAAUGAUUGAUAUACUAAAGAUAAAUAUGUGGAUGUUUGUAAGAUCUACCGUGACAACGAAAGCUUUGAUACCAGUUGAUAGGUUACCAAUAUGAAUCGGUGCUAGGGUCGCCCGAUCUUCACGACAGUAGAUCAAAAGAACAAGGAUAACUUGCUGCGAACAGUGGGUAACUAGCUUUAUACCUGACAAAGGUUGGAUGCGACCAAGCGACGGGGAGAGAGACACAGAAACCGCGAAGACUUCGACUCGAUCUCCGAACGACCGCAGAACCACAAUCCGGAACUAAUCCACACAAUACGGCGCAGCCGAACGGAAGCCGUAGAGCACGAAGUAGGGGAACCCAGAGGAUUCACUUCACAAGUCCAUGAAGAACAAGGAAGAACAAAGGUUGAGUAAGGCACUCAGUAGCGCGACUGCAAUAUCAUGUAGUUUAUCAAAUGAUCAAAGGUUGCUGAUAGCUUAGAGGUAGGGGAUAUUUAUACUAGGAACAACCCUCCUAGAUAAGUAUGAAAACGAAAUAGAGUUUCUGGGUGAAGGCAAUGUGAAUGGACCCCUCGGAAUGGAUUCCCGAACUGGCUUCGCGUGACUGUUGGCCUCCAGAGCAGUUUCCAAUAAACUGACCAUAACUGUUUAUUGGGAAGUCCAAAUGACGAACUGUUUCUUGGGUGUGAAACUAGACUUGAAGGGCUUUCCAGCAAUGUAUGCCAUGUACCUCGAAACGUUGUAGAUUGGUACAGUUUUGCACGGCAAGUUGUACCAACAUUCUGUCAUGGCAGACUGUUGACCUUCUAAGCAGUUUGUACUAAUUCUGGUCUGCAGGCAAUAUGGUGUAUCAAAACUGGUCGCCACUAGAUUCAUUGGAAAGUAGACUCGACAAGCUUUCCAACAAGUCCUCAUGGGCCUUCAUAGCUUUGGUGAUUAAAAAGUUAUGAAGAUUUAUUUGCACUGGUCUAUUUUUGACUUCCACUGGUCCGUUUUUGACUUCCACUGGUCCGUUUUUGACUUCCACUGGUCCGUUUUUGACGUGUCUUCUAGGACUUGCACUGGUUCGUUCUUCAGGGUCCGAUUCAUCCUUCUCUUCUUCUAUAUACUUGAGUACAAUCAAGGUAGAACACUUAGGUAGUAUAUAAUUCUCAUUAAUGUUAAAAUGAAUCUCAAAAAGUAGUGCAUGGACCUCUUGUUGUAGCUUCUUUGCACGACUACGUGUAACCGGUCCAUCGAUGACUUGGGCUGGUGUCGGUGUAGGUAAAACUUGAGUGGUUGUAGCUUGACUUGGAGCUUGUGACAUCUUGCUUGCUGGCAUGGUCAUAUCACGUUCUCUGUAGAAAAUCGAUACUCUGGAAUACUCCCGGGUGAAAGCUACAUCGGUAUCCGUGCGCUUGCGGAUUUUUCUGUUUGCGUUUAAAAUACCCAACAAGUUUUCUGGCGCCGUUGCCGGGGAACGGUAGUUGUGCUAGUUUCGAACCAAGUCGUCCGUGUAUCCUUUUUCUUUUCCUUUUUUACCACACUCACCUUAUCAUUUUCACCAUACCACAUGGAUUUCACUCUAAUCAUUAAUGAGCAUGGAAUUUUUUUCAUAGCCACUUCAUUUACUCCAUGCUCAUAUGCAACAUCUUCCCAAUCCAUUAGUUUUUCCAACAUCACCACAUUCGAGAUCUCCAACCCCCUCAUCCUUUCUAUUUAUAAAAACUUUAAAAGGGCGGUUGUCGAUGCAUAUGUCUAUAUUAAAUAUUGCAGAUCACGUUGAGUUGAUCUUGAUAUAGGUCAGCGUUGGAGGGGAAACCACUUCGGCGACAUAAAUUGAUGGUUUCCCAAAGACAAGCUUAGUGUCCUAAAACAAGCACUGAUGAGAUUGUAACAUGAGCUUUUAUUUAUUUGCAACAUUACCUUGUGUAUUGAGCAUAUAAGGAUAAUUGUAAAAAUAUUCCUUCGGGUAUUCUUAUCACUAACCUUUCCAGGAUUGGAGCAAGAAGAUCGGAUGAAUGACAAGCACAAGGUAUGUCCAACCAAUCAUCAUACAACAUUGAAUUAAAUUCAUCCAAACUUGAAUUUUGCAAAAUUCAAGCUUGGGGGAGUACUUUACAUAAAAACAUCCUUUGCCAUGUUGCUAUGUUGGUUGUCCCUACCUUUGAGAUAUGCUCAAUCUGUUAAAUACUAAUCACACUACUUCAUCCCCACUUGAGUAGAUCUCUAUAAAUGCUCUCAUGCUACCUUUAUUUGCUUUAGUAUAUGUCUAGGUUUGGAGUAGUUUCAUUUAUCUCUUAAUUAAGCAUGGUGCUUAGUUUAGGGCUAAUGAUCUUACUUCCAAGGGAUUUUGAAUUAAGCAUGGUGCUUAGGUUAAAAUGCCCUCCUAAAUCAAUUUAGACAUGGUGUCUAGGUUGAUCUUUGAGCCGAUAGUAUGCUAUAGUAGAUAUUGGAUAUUUUGUUGGACUAACCCCUGCAGGAAAACUUUCAAUAUCGACCUGGGAAGUCCUGAGAUAAACUCACAUUGGAGACAAAGAGAGAGACACAUGAAGUUUAGCAAUUUACACAAGGAAGGCAUAGUUCACAAGAGAUGAUCCAUGGAGGGUGCCAUGAACACGAUGCACAACCGCUAAGAAAGGAAAGCUUCCACAAGGUGAUAUUGUACCAUUACUCUUCAAUUAAGGUAACAUCUUAAGGUAUGUGACUAUCACUGUUGUAAGCUUCUCCUUGGUUCUGGUGUUCACAUGAAUAAAAGAGACAAACAUGUAUCAUUUACAACUCUAGAUUAACCAACCCAAUUGAUUCAACAUGUUUAGUCCUUCCACCUUUGUGAUCCCACACUCCUAAUCUUAUGAGCUAAAAUGUUGCACACUCAAUCUUUGGAAGAUAUAUUUUAUAAAAAAAACAACAUAAAUAUAGAUAGAUUAUCUUUCCAUUAGGUUGAGCGAUCAUAUCUGACAAAUGUUUUAAAUGCUACACUCAUGAUCUUAUUAUCCAUCAACUUUGUCUUGCUCACUAUGCUUAAGGUUAGAGAAGGACAAAUACACUUUUGGUUCUGUUGAUGUUUUCCACCAACAGGGCCCAUGCACUUGAUCUCUGCCUUGUCUCUAUGAGCAGGUACACUUCGAGCAAAAUAUGAAGGAGUUUUACAACUCCCAGACUCCACCAAGUGAAGAACCUAGAUCUACAAGCUCAACACAUUGGAAAUAUUAGACACUCAGGCAAUCAAUGCCCUGAAAUGCUUAAGGACGUAACUACUGGAGUAACCCUGUUGUGGAAGUAAUUACUGACCUUCUGCCGGUUAAGAGAGACGAUCCAGGACGCCCCGUCAUCCCGAUCUCCAUCGACAUGGUGGACUUCCUAGAAGCACUCUGCGACUUUGGCUCCAGCGUCAACAUUAUGCCCAGGGUACUCUAUGAAAAAUUCUUUACACAUCCUUUACUAGAAACAACCAUGUGUUUGCAGCUUGCAGAUCAGACACUAAGUUUCCCAAAGGGAAUAUUGAAGAACCUCUGCGUCCGAGUUGGUACCUUGUACGCCCCAGCAGACUUCGUGGUAACAGAGACUAGUACUGAUGAGAGGGCACCCAUCAUCCUAGGGAAGCCAUUCCUGAACACCUCAGGAGCUGUCAUCUACGCUAGUGCUGUCAAGAUCAGUUUAUACAUCAAGGGGAGGAAGGGGACGUUUUCCUUCAAGAACAAGAGUACACAAAUCUUAGAGCAAUCCUGACAUGAACCAAGGAAAGGACCAACAGGAGGAACAAGAACAAGCAAAAGUGGACCGAGUUAGCUAAGAUGGUCACUGCAGUUCAAGGAGGUCAAGAUCGUCGAUUUAAGUCACCGUUCCUAACCAAAAACGAUGACCCAGCUCCAGAUGGCAGAUCAGACAUUCUGAAAGGUUGAAGGUUAUUGACAUGAGAGAAGACAAGUACUAUCCACCCAUCAUCCUUGGAAGACCGUUCCUUAGCACCGUUAAAGCAAUCAUCUACAUUGGAACCAGAGAAGUCCACAUGCACUUCCCCUCUGAGAAGGUACGCCGCUAUUUUAAUGACCUUAACUAUAUGGUUGAAGACUCUAAGCAGGUCAGGACAAGAAAAAGACGACGCAACCGCAACCAGAGGAAGCAAAAUCAUCAAGGACGGAUGGGUAGACUAUAAAGGAGAAGUUGUAAGGUCUGAAGACAUACAGCUUGAACAGAACUGUCCUAAGGAGACCGUACCACCGAGUCAGGUGUGGAGAGAGAAGAUAGCUAUACAUGAAGACCAGGCGCCACAGGAACCACCGACUACGCCAUCCAGCGAAUCCCAGGACGAGUGAGGAAACGGAGAGUCCUGUUCGGAGGACUUAAAAAUACCGAACGCCUUGCCAAGAGAAUUCAAAGAUCAAAGAAGACUAGCAGACGGAGGACAUCCUAAUCACUAUCAGAGUGCUGCCGACAUUCAAAUACACCUCCGCCAUCUGCUAGCUAUGUUAGAAGAAAUUACGUCAAAAUCCAGCUUGGGGGAGAGCACCCCCAUUUAUCCAGCUAAGUGUUCUACUCACGUUUAUAUUUUACUCAAAUAAUAAAAAGAUGCAUAAUCAUAAAAACCCAAAUAAAGAUUUUGUGCUUAUAUAUAUAUAUAUAUAUCUUUGCUUAGUUUUCUUAUUAAAUAAAUAAAAUAUCUAGGCCAAACUGAACUUAAAUAAUAAACUCUUACAUGGAUAUGAUAAAUAGUUGCUCUGCCAUGUACCUAGUUUUCAAGUUUGAGCUUUCUCUCAAGUCACUGCCACACGUUCGGGCAUUAGCACCGGUCGGGAAGGGCCUGUUGCCCCGGUUCCCGAGCCGGUGCUGCCCUUCCGGGACUAAAGGCCCACCCUUUAGUCCCGGUUCGGGCAACCGGGGCUGAAACCCCCCUUUAACAUCGGUUGGUAACACCAACCGGUGUUAAAGGGUCCUGCCAGGGCUGCCACGUUGCAGGACCCUUACCAACCGGUGUUAAAGGGUUUCUUUUUCUUUUUUUUUUGGUUCACUUCUUCGGUUCUGUUUAUUAUUUAUAUAUAAUAUAUAAUAAUAGGUUUUUCAAUACAUGUUUUGCUGAUACAAUAAUAUAUUUAUCUUACAUGCAUAUUAAGCAUAUAUAAAUGAAAAUUAUAGGCUUAGCUUAAAAAUUAAGCUUUGCCUAUAAUAAAAUGAAUAGACCACAUCAAAAAUUAAAUAGAUAUGUAAAAAGGUUUAUAUAUAUAUAGUUUUAUAUGUACAAAAUUCGUAAAACAUAUAUACAUAGAGUUUUUUCUCCUAAUGUCUACAAACGAUACAAAUGAUCAUUGUUGUUUGGAAUAAGAGUUUCGUUGCCGUUGAAGUGAAACUCGCCGUUUGGAUUGAUCACUUGGUCGCGGAGAAAUCCUGCUAUCGUCUCUUGGAUAGCUUUGAUUCGGUCUUGUUGUAGGACCUUUUCCCUCAGCCAUUCCGGCUUUAAUUUGAAAUAAAUAAAAAAGGUAUUAGUUAUCUAAGUUAUUCAAUAUAAUUCAGGAGAUAAUGAAAAGAGACAAUGGGUGUUUGAUUGACUUGUGCCAUCAUGAAUUUGCACACGUAAUAUGCACAUAGAUUGUUCCCCCCUUCUUGUCUUAACCACCACUGUACGAUAUAUAUAUAUAAAUAUUCACGACCACGAGAAUAAGAAGGCUAAAAGUUAGCGAAAGUUUGUUAGCUAGUAGAACUUACUUGUGGAUGUAUUAUGUUAAGCGGCGCUUUACAUCCACUGAGAUGUUCACGGUCAAUGAAUCUUUUCCAAACCCUAUACACAGCCAUUGUGGAUCGUGAACUAAUAAUUACACAGUCAUAUUAUGAUAUUUUUGUAGCUGAGAUCGACAUUACGUACCUUUGAAUAAUGUUUACCAUUUGUUGAUAAUUUUCUUGUGGUUUUCUCAUUGAGUCAAAGAUUAUCAACCGGUUCUUGGGAAUUUCAAUGACCAUGAGUAUCCAGUGAAAGCUGUUUACACACACAUAUAUAUAGUCAGUCCUAUAAUGUAAAAAAAAUAUGCAUGCACUUAAUAACUAUAUAACUCACUCGAAGUUGAAGGGGAAGAGUAUUUUUUGUUUUUCUUUUUGGUUCACAAAGAACCUCAUAAGAUUGGUGUAGACUUCUGUCUCAUGAUCUGCUGUCCACACUGCCUGCGGAGCCUUGAAAACAAUAUAAGGGUCAACGAACCCAAUACUAUUGUCAUUUUUCAUUCUGAGCUCUCUCAUUUGGUGCCUGCAUAUAUACAUACAAAUCCUAAGUGUGUAAGGAUUAUAUACAUAUAAUUAAAGAAGUUAGAAGAAUAAUAAAAAGAAAAAAAUACUUACAGACAAAAGCAGCUGACAAGAGAUUUGUCAAGAGCGUCGAGGUGGCAUAAUUGGUGCAAUUCUUCGAACUGCACGUAUAUGAGGUCAUCUCCACGGAAGUAGUGAUGUUGUCUAAUACGAAAAGAAAUCCAAUUAUCUCCCCUUUUAGACGCCUCAAUGCACCAUUUGUUUAUUGCAAACAUUUGUGUGCCGAGCUCGUGUAAACGCUUAGGGUCGAAUAGACUCCUGCCCGGUUCAUAUCUUGCCCUCCAUUGAUCAACUACCUCGGCUUUUUCAAAUGUUUGGCAUCCAAGAAUGGUGGCAAUUUCUUCCAUAUUUAAACCGCUCUAUCCAAAGUAACGCUCAAGCGAGUCUAGCUCAGACAACGCUAAGGAUUUCUUUGACAUCAAGUCUUCAUUUGAGCCGUAUUGAUUUGGCACAAUCAAAGGGGGCACCGGUUUUGAUACUUCUCCGAGCUGUGGGACCCCCUUUCCUACUCUCUUCUUAGUAGGCUGUGAAGACUUGACCAGAGACCGCUCAUAGUCCGAAAGUGCUGGCUUUUUCUGAGCUUCGCGUUGCUUCUUUUGAUGGUCCGCCACCUUCUGCCUCAGUUCCGAUGGCUUCACAUAAAAGUAUGGCUUUUCUGGGUUAAGCCAUUUUUUCCUAUCCUCCUUUAUUUUAUCAAAAAAUUGUUGGACCUCAGCUUUGGAUGUAGCAAUUACCUCCUCUUCACUCUUUUCGUAAGGUAAUUUUUCUGGCGUCUUAGCUCUCUUUGCUGAGGCAGCCUUCUUUGGAGGUGGGACCGGUGACUUCGGUCCUUCUUGGGCGGACCGCUUCUUACUACCUCGCUUUGGAGGCGAGGGGACCGACCGUGCACUCUUUGGAGAGGGCGGUGCAGGCGGUGGAGGGGGUGGGGCCGAUCUUUUUGGCGUUGGAGAACGCGGUGGAGGAGUUGGAGAACGCGGUGGAGGAGUUGGAGACCUCGGUGGAGGAGGUGGAGACCGUGGUGGAGGCGGUGGCGGGGUCGGUGUGGCCGCCGCAGGUGUUGGAGGAGAUCCAGCAUUGUCACCGCCCGCAGCACUAUGAUGCGCUGGGGAGAGAACUGGACUUAGGUUGGAGGAGUCCCUGCAAAGAAAACAAUUACAAGUUUUGUGAGUAAACUUUUUUUAAUUUCAAUACAUAAUAAAUAAUAUAAGAAGUAAAAUCACACACAAACCUAUGCUGAGGAAUAAUUAUGAAGCGCUUGCGCCAACAAAUAAAUGUCUUCUCAGCUUCACCUAAGGUCUUCUCUCUGUCUCCCCCUUCUAUGUCUAGUGGCACAUUGCCACAACCUUUCUCAACCCUAUCAACCGAGACGCUAGCAUAUCCACCAGGUACUGGUCGAUUAUGGAUUCUUGGAGUUCUCGUUCGGUUGAUAGGGUUGACAACAGCGAUAGCCACCUUUUUGGUGGCAUUCCCAUCUGGUACAUGCAGCUCACAGGUAGUAAAAGCCUCUAUGACAUCAUCCACGGGGAAGUGUAGCUUCGUGUCAUCCUGAAUGGUUGGUACUUCCGUGGAUGCGCAGCUGCUUCUCAACUGGCCUGGGGGGCUAACAUUGACCUCAGGAUGUGAUGUACCUUGCCCUUUCGUCAUUUGACUAAGUGCUGCUUGCACUUGCCUUUGAAUCUCUGCCUGCAUCCAUUCUUCACGAGCUUUCUCGCGCUCUUGUGACUGCAGAACAAAAGCUUCCAGGCGGCAGAUCCGCUCUGCCUCCUCAUCCUUCUUUCUCUGGCGGCUUCUGUAGGUAUCUUGAUCGGCUUGGAAUGAUUGCAGCCACGGAACUGCCCCAUAGCCUCUCGUACGCCCACCGUGCUGAGGAUUUUCAAGCGCAUAGGUGAGUUCAUCCUUCUCCCUGUUAGGCCUGAACUCACCAGACUGAACCGCCUCUCGUGCACGGACUAGUCUCUCUGCUGCUCUAGAGAUUUCUUGGCCCCAAACUAGCGCCCCGGUGUCUGGGUCCACGCUUCCCCCAUGACCGUAGAACCAAUGCUUGGAGCGCUCGCUCCAAUUCUUUGCUAUUGUCUCGGGUGUGACCCCCCUAGCAAGCAUCUCCUGUUCCAUUUGGUCCCACUUGGGAACAGCACUCUUAUAACCACCUGAUCCCAUAUGAUGGUGGUAUGUCUUUUUACUGGCAUUCUCUUUGUUUCUAUUGGCUCGUUCCUCGCCCUCUUCUGAUGUUUUGUACUGCACAAAGUCAUCCCAGAAGGCCCUCAGCUUUACAUAUUGCUUGAGGUUGAAAUCUAGAGUCUCGUUUUUCUUGACAUAUUUAUUGUACAAAGACUUCUUCCAAUUCUGGAAGAGUACUGCCAUCUUCUUCAUAGUCUAGUCAUAAAUUCGCACCUUCAACUCUUCAUCGUUGGUGUCGAAGGUGAAAACGUCUGUGACGGCUUUCCAAACUAACUCCUUGUCACGAUCAGAGACAAAACUGAUCUCAGGAGCACCUCGCUUCUCUCUUCAUUCACGACAACUGAUCGGUAUUUGAUCUCUCACAAGAUAUCCACAGUGACUAACAUAUUUAUUUGCAUGCUCACCAAGUGGUCUGCCUGUAGCUAUCUCAAACUCAGAGAUUACAUAGCGGCCCUCCAACGGCUUCUUUGGCCCUCGUGGAGGUACGCUUCUCCCCGUAGAGGUCGAUCCAGAAGGCUACACGUACAUAUAGAAACAAAAAUACUAAAUUAAUAACCAAGUAAUAAGUCUAAAACCUAAUGUAAGAGAUGCAUUAUUUAUAUAUGUUUACAUUUACAUACCUCGCCAGUAUUUUCUUCUCGUUGCACGACAAGUUGUUGCUCAGGGGCAUUGCCCUCUUGUUGCUCAGUAGGAUUGCCUUGUAUGAUGUCAUGGUAAUCAACAAAGUACUGACUACCGUCGUCGAUUAUAUUUUGAAUGGCAGCUUCCAUAUAAUCAGAAUCAUCAUGAGGACGGUCAGCCAUUUCUAUGUCUGCAACCAUACAUAUAUAUAUUCUAUAUAAGAUAAGAAAUACACUAAUACUACUACAAAUGAAAGUGUUGGAGUGCUCUAAAAAUAAUACUAGGAUCUUUUAAGCCAAGUAAUACAUUAGAAUAAAAAACAAUACUAGAAUAAUACAUACAUACAUACAUACAAACAAUUAUAAUUCAUACAUACAAACAAUUAUAUUCAUAAAUACAAACUAUAUAUAUGUGUGUAUAUGUACAAAAAAUAAUAUACAUACAUACAAAAAAUAAUACAUAUAUACAAAAAAUAAAACAUACAUACAUACUAUAUAUAUAUACUAGAAUAAUAUAUUAAAAAAAUAAUACAUACAUACAUACAAACUAUUAUAAUUCAUACAUACAAACUAUAUAUGUGUGUGUAUAUGUACAAAAAAUAAUAUACAUACAUACAAAAAAUAAUACAUAUAUACAAAAAAUAAAACAUACAUACAUACUAUAUAUAUAUAUACUAGAAUAAUAUAUUAAAAAAAUAUGACAUACAUACAUACAAACAAUUAUAAUUCAUACAUACAAACUAUAUAUGUGUGUGUGUAUAUGUACAAAAAAUAAUAUACAUACAUACAAAAAAUAAUACAUAUAUACAAAAAAUAAAACAUACAUACAUACUAUAUAUAUAUACUAGAAUAAUAUAUUAAAAAAAUAAUACAUACAUACAUACAUACAAACAAUUAUAAUUCAUACAUACAAACUAUAUAUAUGUGUGUGUAUAUGUACAAAAAAUAAUAUACAUACAUACAAAAAAUAAUACAUAUAUACAAAAAAUAAAACAUACAUACAUACUAUAUAUAUAUACUGGAAUAAUAUAUUAAAAAAAUAAUACAUACAUACAAACAAUUAUAAUUCAUACAUACAAACUAUAUAUAUGUGUGUAUAUAUGUACAAAAAAUAANNNNNNNNNNNNNNNNNNNNNNNNNNNNNNNNNNNNNNNNNNNNNNNNNNNNNNNNNNNNNNNNNNNNNNNNNNNNNNNNNNNNNNNNNNNNNNNNNNNNNNNNNNNNNNNNNNNNNNNNNNNNNNNNNNNNNNNNNNNNNNNNNNNNNNNNNNNNNNNNNNNNNNNNNNNNNNNNNNNNNNNNNNNNNNNNNNNNNNNNNNNNNNNNNNNNNNNNNNNNNNNNNNNNNNNNNNNNNNNNNNNNNNNNNNNNNNNNNNNNNNNNNNNNNNNNNNNNNNNNNNNNNNNNNNNNNNNNNNNNNNNNNNNNNNNNNNNNNNNNNNNNNNNNNNNNNNNNNNNNNNNNNNNNNNNNNNNNNNNNNNNNNNNNNNNNNNNNNNNNNNNNNNNNNNNNNNNNNNNNNNNNNNNNNNNNNNNNNNNNNNNNNNNNNNNNNNNNNNNNNNNNNNNNNNNNNNNNNNNNNNNNNNNNNNNNNNNNNNNNNNNNNNNNNNNNNNNNNNNNNNNNNNNNNNNNNNNNNNNNNNNNNNNNNNNNNNNNNNNNNNNNNNNNNNNNNNNNNNNNNNNNNNNNNNNNNNNNNNNNNNNNNNNNNNNNNNNNNNNNNNNNNNNNNNNNNNNNNNNNNNNNNNNNNNNNNNNNNNNNNNNNNNNNNNNNNNNNNNNNNNNNNNNNNNNNNNNNNNNNNNNNNNNNNNNNNNNNNNNNNNNNNNNNNNNNNNNNNNNNNNNNNNNNNNNNNNNNNNNNNNNNNNNNNNNNNNNNNNNNNNNNNNNNNNNNNNNNNNNNNNNNNNNNNNNNNNNNNNNNNNNNNNNNNNNNNNNNNNNNNNNNNNNNNNNNNNNNNNNNNNNNNNNNNNNNNNNNNNNNNNNNNNNNNNNNNNNNNNNNNNNNNNNNNNNNNNNNNNNNNNNNNNNNNNNNNNNNNNNNNNNNNNNNNNNNNNNNNNNNNNNNNNNNNNNNNNNNNNNNNNNNNNNNNNNNNNNNNNNNNNNNNNNNNNNNNNNNNNNNNNNNNNNNNNNNNNNNNNNNNNNNNNNNNNNNNNNNNNNNNNNNNNNNNNNNNNNNNNNNNNNNNNNNNNNNNNNNNNNNNNNNNNNNNNNNNNNNNNNNNNNNNNNNNNNNNNNNNNNNNNNNNNNNNNNNNNNNNNNNNNNNNNNNNNNNNNNNNNNNNNNNNNNNNNNNNNNNNNNNNNNNNNNNNNNNNNNNNNNNNNNNNNNNNNNNNNNNNNNNNNNNNNNNNNNNNNNNNNNNNNNNNNNNNNNNNNNNNNNNNNNNNNNNNNNNNNNNNNNNNNNNNNNNNNNNNNNNNNNNNNNNNNNNNNNNNNNNNNNNNNNNNNNNNNNNNNNNNNNNNNNNNNNNNNNNNNNNNNNUGGGAUGUUUCAUUGUUUUAUAUAUACCGUUUAUAUUAUAAAUUGUAUAGUAAAUUAAAUAUUUUGCAUAAUGUUUUUUAAACAGUGAUAUAUAUUGUAAUUUGUUUUAAUGUACACAUGAAAAAUUUUAAACUUAAAUAUCUUAUUGUAUUUUUAAAAUUUGCAAUGAUUCUCUAAGAAAUGUUUAGUAUUUUGUUAAUCCAAAACAAUAUUAUUCCAAUAAAUUUACAAAAACUAUAUCCAAUGAACGGGAAAUUUAUUUUCACAUCAUAUUGACGUAAAACUUUUUAUUUUUGUUAUUUAUUACUAGGAAUGCUAGUUGGGUAUAAUUUUCAUCAAAUAAAAAAUCAUAUAAAAAUAUAUAUCUUGAUGAACACACCAUUUGACCGAACCCUAGAUUGUCCCAAAUGGAAAAGUCAUGAAUACAAAGUUUGCUACACUCAUCAAGUUCUACAUGUUGUCUAAUGGUCAACUUUUCAUUUGGAAAAGUUUGAACCACUGAAUUUUGAAUUUUCAUAGAACUCAUAGCCACGCAGCGGUUUCGGAACCUUAGAUGGUCUCGAAUGGAAAAGUCAUGAAUUCAAAUAUUGUUCCACUCAUCAAAAUCUACAUUUCAUAUAUAGACCACUUUUGCAUUUGACAAAGUUUUGGGAAGGUGUAGUUGAAAAUCCACAAUUGACACAUAUAGUUUCAUAUAGUUUGUGUGAGACUCAAGAAUUGGUGGGUAUUGUUAACUUAGACUUUCUCAAAUGGAAAAGUUGUGUAUAUAAAAAGUUUAGAUCUUGAAGAUAUCUAACAACUUGGUAUUCAAAAUAUUUUCAUUGGAAGUAAUUUAGUUUGUUAUUUGACCAAGUUUGACCAAAACCCGUCUUGGAUUUUAUAGAAAUGUAAUUAGGAUUGGCUCAAAAUUAUCCAAAUAGAAAAAUGGACAAUAUAUAAAAUAUAGAUCUUGAUGAUCUCUAACAACUUUGUAUUCAAACUUUUUUCAUUUGAAGUCAUCAAAUGGGCUAUUUGACCAAGUUUGACCAAAGUCAAAGCAUUGGUUUUUACAAACACACCCUUUGACCGAACCCUAGAUUGUCCCAAAUGGAAAAGUCCUGAAUACAAAGUUUGCUACACUCAUCAAGUUCUACAUGUUGUCUAAUGGUCAACUUUUCAUUUGAAAAAGUUUGAACCACUGAAUUUUGAAUUUUCAUAGAACUCAUAGCCACGCAGCAGUUUCGGAACCCUAGAUGGUCUCAAAUGGAAAAGUCAUGAAUACAAAUAUUGUUCCACUCAUCAAAAUCUACAUUUCAUAUAUAGACCAUUUUUGCAUUUGACAAAGUUUUGGGAAGGUGUAGUUGAAAAUCCACAAUUGACACAUAUAGUUUCAUAUAGUUUGUGUGAGAUUCAAGAAUUGGUGGGUAUUGUUAACUUAGACUUUCUCAAAUGGAAAAGUUGUGUAUAUAAAAAGUUUAGAUCUUGAAGAUAUCUAACAACUUGGUAUUCAAAAUAUUUUCAUUUGAAGUAAUUUAGUUUGUUAUUUGACUAAGUUUGACCAAGUUUGACCAGAACCCGUCUUGGAUUUUAUAGAAAUGUAAUUAGGAUUGGCUCAAAAUUAUCCAAAUGGAAAAAUGGACAAUAUAUAAAAUAUACAAAGUUUGUUACACACAUCAAAAUUCACAAUUCUCAAAUAUAGUUUCAUACAAAGUCAAGCCGACACAACAGUGAACUUCUUGACGUAUGACCCUUGGUUAUGAUCCUGCCGUAACCAUGGAGUAUCCUCAUUGUUUAACAGAAUGCUUGGGUCUUUGUUGACUAUGAAGGGCGGAAUUCGAUCAUCCCUUUCAUAAUCGCCUGACAUGUCUGACUUGUCCUCAAUUCCGACAAUGUUUCUUUUUGCCAGAAAGGACAAUGUGGCGCUUUGGCUCAUUGAUGAUUGAGUGGUCAUCAUUUUUUCCUCUCUUUGGUUUCGUAGACAUAUCUUUGACAUAGAACACCUGACUCAUGUCUGCAGCAAGGACGAAUGGUUCGUCUUUGAACCCACUAUUGUUAAGGUCCACGGUUGUCAUCCCAUACUCCUUGUCGACUGUUACCCCACCUCCGGUCAUCUUCACCCAUUGGCACCGGAACAAAGGAACUUUAAAAUUAGCUGCAUAGACUAGUUCCCAUAUGUCUUCUAUGCGUCCAUAAUAUGUUUGUCUGUUCCCAUUUGGAUCCGUGGCAUCCACGCGUACACCACUAUUUUGGUUGGUGCUCUUUUUAUCUUGGCCAACUGUGUAAAAUGUGUUACCAUUUAUCUCGUACCCUUUGUAUGUGAGGACAUGCCAUGAUGGUUGCCUGGCCAACAAAUAAAGCUGCUCAUCAAUGUUUUCAUCACCUUGACAUUUUUUGCGCAACCAAUCGCCAAAAGUUUCCAUGUGCUGACGCAUUAUCCUAGCUUCAUUCUUCCCGGGCCACUGGGACCGUAGGAAGUCUUUGUGUACCUCAACAUAUGGUUCCACCAAUGAGGAGUUCUGGAGAACUGUGUAGUGUGCUUUAUUGAAGUAAUCGUUUCCCAUACCAAUAUAUGUUUUCUUCCCAAGUGUUCCCUUUCCGCUGAGUCUGCCCUCGUGUCGAGAUUCAGGAAUGCCAAUUGGGUCAAGGUCUGGAAUAAAGUCAACACAGAACUCUAUUCCCAAGUGUACCUCAAUAUAGUUUGGUACGAAACUAGACUUUAAUAAGUGUGAAUGAAGAGUUCUUGAGUUAGAAUAUUCCAUCAAAUUCUUGCACACGGCACAUGGACAGCACAUUAAACCGUCCCUCUUAUUUGACUCGGCCACACUUAAGAAAUAGUGCACGCCAUUAAUGUACUCUUUGGAGCGCCGAUCGGCAUUAUACAUCCAAUUACGUCUUACCAUCUGCAUUAAAGAUAACAUAUAUAUUAUGAAAACCAUGCACACAUAUAGUUUCUCAUCUUAUUGCACAACAUGUCUAAGAUACAUAGUUGAUUAAUUUAGGAAAGCUUGGCUACAACAAAUACAAUCGCAACUUGCAUUAAAAAAAACAAAACUAAAAUGCACUUAAGCAACAUAAUUAGUUCGCGUCCGAUCCCAACUAUAAUAGAUAGAUGAUUCGCUUGAUCAACAUCAUUGAACUCCUUUCGUCGGCUCACUCCCUCACCACCUUCAGCCUCAACCACCUGUGCAAAAGAUUUCUUAAUGUGUUCAAUGUAUUCUUCCUCCCAGUACCAACCCGUACAUCCGCCGGUACUGUCCCACUGAAAUUAAAAGAGAGAAUCAAAAGUUGAAUUAAUAUCAUUUAAAAAAAUAUGCACAUAUAUAAGCAAAUGUCUGGAAAUAACUCACAUUACGAUCUGGACACUUGUAGAAUAUACGACCCUUGUUUACUCCCUCUUUCAACACUUUGUACUCCAUCAAAAUCUUCUGCCCACACUUGCCACAAGUAAUGAGAGGGAGUUCCGGACGGUAUCGCUUUUGAACCCGUUGAGAGACUGAAGACCCGGUCACGGUUGCCAUCUACUAUCCAUACUCAAUUUUUAAACAACUAUAAAUUCAACAUUUACUAGUAAACAUGUAUGAUACAAUGGACAUUAUAUGUAGUAAUAAAAAUAAAUCAAGUGAUAUUAACAAACCAAUUAAUUUGAACUAUCCUACUUUCUAUGAUCAUAAAAAUAUACUAUAAUUCAUUUUUGCAAAAUACAUUAAAACUAGGUCAACCAUAAAUUAUGAUAUAUAUAUAUGGAUACUAAUUCAUGUGAAUGAUUCAAAAUAACAAAGUGGAUUUGAGCUAAAAAAUGAUGGGAACAUCACAAGCCAAAAACAACAUGAAAAAGACAAGAAAGGCUCCAAGAACAACAAUGGUGCUCUCGGUCUGGACAAGAAAGUUAGUCACCUCCAAGCACGAAGAGAUGAUGACGGAGUCGAAGAAGAUCAACGAUGGGCGUUGGAGAUGAAGAACAAAUGAAGAACAAGCAAGAAGAAGCUCCAAGAACAACAAUGGUGCUCUCGGUUUCAAAUGGGCAGAGGGGAGGAGGGAGCCGGCCUAUAAACCGGACCUUUAGCACCGGUUCAGGGCAAAAACUGGUGCUAAAGGGUUACCUUUUAGCACCGGUUUGUAACACAAACCGGUGCUAAAGGGUUUGCCUCGGCCCGUGGCUCUGGCCGGUGCUAAAGGGACCCCUUUAGCACCGGUUAGAGCCACGGGCCGAGGCAAACCCUUUAGCACCGGUUUGUGUUACAAACCGGUGCUAAAAGGUAACCCUUUAGCACCAGUUUUUGCCCUGAACCGGUGCUAAAGGUCCGGUUUAUAGGCCGGCUCCCUCCUCCCCUCUGCCCAUUUGAAACCGAGAGCACCAUUGUUGUUCUUGGAGCUUCUUCUUGCUUGUUCUUCAUUUGUUCUUCAUCUCCAACGCCCAUCGUUGAUCUUCUUCGACUCCGUCAUCAUCUCUUCGUGCUUGGAGGUGACUAACUUUCUUGUCCAGACCGAGAGCACCAUUGUUGUUCUUGGAGCCUUUCUUGUCUUUUUCAUGUUGUUUUUGGCUUGUGAUGUUCCCAUCAUUUUUUAGCUCAAAUCCANNNNNNNNNNNNNNNNNNNNNNNNNNNNNNNNNNNNNNNNNNNNNNNNNNNNNNNNNNNNNNNNNNNNNNNNNNNNNNNNNNNNNNNNNNNNNNNNNNNNGCCAUUUUGGGCAUCGACCAAUGCCUCAUUCUGUAGUAGUGAGUUAGGGCAUAACUGUUAUAAUUUAACUCUGCUCUAAACCUGAACUUGUGGGAAGAGUACUUGAUCUAAAGUCUAAGUCGUUAACGGAUACGAUAUGGGAUGGUUGAGCUGUUGUUUAUCUGUUCCUAGAGAUGCUAGAAUUCUGGAGAAUUUUAUCUUUGAAAAUCUUUAAAAUGUUGCAUGAUGAGUUCCUAUAUGAUGAGAGUUUAAAUUCCUACCACAACCAUAUAUACAUGCUUGCAAGACUUUGAGCCACACAUUUACUUUUUUACUGCUUAUGAGCAUUGGAUGUGGUCAAGCUGUGUAGACCCUUAGGAGCUUGUCAUGUGGUUAAAAUCAAGAUUCACUUGCACGUUCACUCACACAUGCUCCUUCUACUCUGGAAGUACGCAUCCACAUAUAUCCACCCAUUUCCAUCUCGGAAACCACUCAAAAAUAUUCUACUCCUAAUCCGGGAGAGAAUAGCCAAAAACAUUUUUGUUUUCCCCUGUCAAAUAAAUGCUCAAGUUAUCUUGGUUACUACCACUUGCUAUAUUAUUUCAGGAAAUGAGUGCUCUAAAAAAAGAAGAUACGAGGAAAUAAUAAGGGGCAAGUGCCCGGAACCUCGAAAGAAAAGAAAAAGUGAGACGAGAGGUAAAAAUGGACAAGUGUCCGACAGUAGAAUUAGGGGUACAAGAUACCCACCUAAGAGAAAAGAAAAAGAAAAUAUAGAGCAUCUCAUUCUCCUCAAAAAGUUUCAAAAGAGCAAGAAAGGUAUGUAUCCCCUCAAAAGAGCAAAAAUAGAAUUAGACAUUCACCAUUGUUAUCACCAUCAUCACCAUACACCAUUCAUUCGCAACACAUGCACAUCUUGAUUUGACUUAAUGACUUGUUUCUCUGGAUCCAUGGUUUGACUAUGCAAUAAAUGACUUGUAAGUAUGUAUUAGUUGUCUCCCACCUAUGAGCUCCAGAUAUCAAAACAUUAUUAGAGUAUGGUGAGAGAGAAGGCAAUGCCACUAUGCCUCAUACCAAAAAUAUCACAUACUUUGAGAGAAGGCAUACACCAUUACUGCCUUGGUAAGGAUCCAAAAAUACCACAAAAGAGAGACUAGAGAGAGUCAUACAAGGAAUCUCUGAGUUUUAUUUGAAAAUCUGCAAAAACUCCAGAGCUAUAGUUAAUCGAAGAACAAGAGACAUUGCGCUUGACUAGACCGUUCUAUCUUUUAACUGCUCAAGACACAAGUGAUGGUUGCAAGCCCCAUGGUGGAAGGUAAAAUGAGUAAGUUUAAAUCUUAACAGUUUACCCUAACCCAGAGAUGAGAUCUUGUUUGAACGCAUGUGUAUCUUUAAGGCAUAAAACCACUGCAAAAACUCUUGAGUCCAUCUUUGCUCAGGGACGAGCAAAGGUUAAGCUUGGGGGAGCUUGUUGACGGUCCUUAAUGCUCACAUUUAACCGUUAACUAAUCAUGGAAAAGGAUCUAAAUGGAACCAACACCUAGACUUAGGGUUUUAUCUGACAGAAAUCCACGAGUUUUGGUGUUUGUCUAUUUCUGCAGGGGGUUAUCAGGAAAUACGGAAGAAAGGCCCACACGUCAGGUUUACAUAGAGAUAUUAACAUGCCGUGCAAUUUUCUACCAUCUAGAAGACUCCAGAAGCCACGGGAAGGAAGCGGAGGCCGAACGGGGCCAGGCACUGGGCGCCCGCCCCCUCCUAGAGUCCAAACAGGACUCUCUUUCGGGAUCAAUCUCCACCGACCUAAAGGAUCAAGGAUAACCAUUCAAUCAAUGUCGGUUUGAUCCAACGGCUCAUAUUCACUUGAAGGGACUACAAAACCAGACCCCCUGGCCCCUGGAGAUCAUACCUCUUCUACAGAAUCAAAGUUAGGGUUUCAAUCCUUCAUCCAUGUAGAGAGGAUCCCUCUAGUUCUUCUACUUCUAUCUCUAGUUCAUCUAGAUCUAGUUCUAGUUCAUCUAGUUCUAGUUCUAGUUCCUCUAGUUCUAGUUUUAGUUAGUUAUAGUUGUAAUCUAGAAAAUAGGGAGAGAGAAGAGGAGAGCGGAGGAGGAGCCGGAUCUGUCGUAUCUUCCUCAAUAUUGUACUUUUGCAGCAACUGGUUCGUUCUUCAUCGUUCUCCAGGUUCUUUAAUUCAUAAUUCCUUAGUUCUUUAAUUACUUUUAUUUACAUUCAAGUUAUUUAUUGGAUUCCCGCUUGCAUCAACCACUCUAAUCUUUGAAACAUUAGAGUAGUAAUUAAUAGAUUAGACGUGGUGUUUAGUCUUGCAAUUACCUGGAAUUGCACCUAAUCCUGCGGAUCGUUGUGGUAGCCUUAGGGUAGUGACAGCCCUAACGGUCGAUGUAUUCCACCUCAUUCGGAUCGGUGUUUGUAGGACCGUAGUCAGACCUUCCUAGCCCCCUUCUCAUCUCUUUCUGUGGUUAGUGCUCUGAUGUCCCGAUAUAAAUAAUCUUUGAAGUAAUUCUUGAUUCUUAGAUCAACUAGAGAACUCUCAAGAAACUUCCUCUCUUCCCACCAAAAAUAAUUAUAUAGUUAUCCUUGGCGAUCUUGGAUCUUAAUUAGUACACUCACGUUCUCUGUGGAAAAUCAAUACUCUGGAAUACUCCCGAGUGAAAGCUACAUCGGUAUCCGUGUGCUUGUGGAUUUUUUUGUUUGCGUUUAAAUACCCAACAGGCAGCUAAGGACCGAUCGUCGUAUGUCCUCUUGUCAUGUUGAACGCAUGCCUGACACUUAGUUGGCCGGAUAACUCGUUCCGACCGUGAAGCCUAGUAGUAUGACUCAGGCCGGAAGACCGACAAGUAUAAAGUGCGCACUACCGGAGGAAGUGCGCUGUGCGGGGGGCCAUUGGUGUAAGACCAAGGGCAGGUGAUUUAAAAGUCCUGAUCUUCAUGGCAGAGUGGCAGCCGUGGGAGUGCAGCGCUGAUCGGAGCCGUGAUUCCUGAGUCGUACCAAAGGUGACUCGCUUGCUCUCCGACGGGGUUGCAUGGGUGGCUGCUAGGAAUAACCCUCCAGCUGGAUAGGAAUCGAUUCGAAUCACCAUCUCUCUCAGAUAGUGAGAACUUGAUAGAGCAGCGGCAAACAUAGCAUUCACUAAGUACUAAUGGUUCUUAAUGAUGAUGUUGAGGAUAGCAAGAAAGAACAUAUGAUGAAACUUGAUAUGUUUAUUAUUGUUUGUUAAUAAUCAAGUGAAGUCCUUAGUCUAGGUGCUAAUCUAGUGGUAGGCUAAUGAUAAUCAAUAUGAUGCUUAUAAGAAUGGUUUAUUAUCCAAUCUAAGCUUUUUGGGAAAAAGGUAUAAGUCAGGCCAGCUACAAUUUAUACUCAGCCUUGCAUGAUCUUUGAUGUCUUUUAUUUUGGUUAGAUGGGUAAGUCUAGCUAAGUACAUCCUCGUACUUAGGGUUUAUUUCCCCAGCUGUUGCAGAUGAUAUCUUCUAUGAUGGUUUCUGCAAGACCUACCUUCAUCCCGCUGGGGAUGAGUGUAACAAAACAGUCAAAUUUAUAAGAAUUCAAGUGAAUUAGCGACCACGGAGGCAGUCAAGCCAAUGGACUUGAACCCAUAUAAACCCGGUAGUCCGACGAAAUCUCAAAAGACCUCGAUUCAACCAACAUACAACCAAGAUCGUACAUGAUCAAGCAUCACCAUCACAGAUUACAACAUUCAUCACAGAACAUAGUUUUACAUCACAUCAGAGUUUAAAGUGGUUAUUACAAACCAAAGCAGUAGCGGAAACAAAGUAGUUUUGAAACAACAACAACUCAGUUUAUAAUACAUGCCAGUUCCAUGGUCAAGUCCCAACAAAAGCACAACUGAAGAUAAAGGAGGUGAUCACGCCCAUGAUCUAUUCGUCAUCCGCAGCCGGGUGAUGACACUUAGCACAGUAGCCGUGGUAAACGACAUCAUCUGCAACAGGGUAAAUAAAACCCUGAGUACGAGAAUGUACUCAGCUAGACUUACCCGUCAUAAACCAGAAAUAAAGUGACACCAAGGAGUAUGCAAGGCUGAUCUUUGAGGACUGGUUUGACUCACCUUUUGCAUAAAAGCCUUUGUUGUAAGUAAUUCAUGUAUCAUAAUUCAGCAGCAAGUUCAUUACUUAGCGACUAUCCACUAGAUUAGCACCUGCUCUAAGCAUACACUUGAGGCUUUAAGCAUUACAAUAAUAACCAUAUCCGGAUUAUCACAUAGCUAUCAACAUUCUCAUUAUAACAUUAAGUUUAUUUAGUGAAUUCUACGUUGCCGCUGCCCAAGUCAAGUUCUCACUAUCCGGGAGAGACGGCGAUUCGAAUCGAUUCCUAUCUAGCUGGAGGGGUAUUCCUAACACUCACCCAAGCAUACUUUAUGACGGCAGCUCGGAUCACCUUUAGCACAACUCCGGACAAAUUCGCGGGUCCGUACGGCGCCGCACCCCCAGGGACCGCCAAUCUGCCAGGGUCAGGACUCUAACCUGACACCUCGGUCUUACGCCAUUGACUCCCCGCACAUCCUUACUACCAACCGGGGUGCGCACUUUAACUAGAUCCGGGUAUCCGGCCGGAGUUGCACUCGUAGGCUUCGCGGUCGGAACGACUUAUCCGGCCAACUAAGUGAUAGGCAUGCGUUCAACAUGACACGGGGACGUACAGCGAUUCGGUCCUUAAACGACAAGGACGGGGAUAGGUUCACACCCAAGACCUCCAUGCCUGGUUGCUGCACUAUCAUCGUCCCGCCCGGUCUCAAGUUUAUUAUUACCACUUAAUGCAACAAUAUAUAACCAUAGUCAUUUGAUAGCUGAAUAUGAUAAUAAAAUAGUAGGAGGCUUAUAAUGCUCCGGGGCUUGUCUUCAACGUAAGUAGAGGGACGAUGGUCCGGGCACUCCGGCAAGUCCUCCUCCUCCUCAGCUCCUUGAGGUAGCUCCCCUUGCUGUCCUUCCGGCUCCGGCAGCUCGAACUCCAGCACCGUUACUCCCUUGGGUACACCUAUGUAUGCAUGACAAGGAGAUGAAUAUAGAGAAUGCUCAUAUGAUGCAUGAUGUCAUGACGAGGAUCCAAAUGGACAUAAACAAGGUAUAACAUGAGCAUAACCCUUAAGAUUAAGUGAAACAUGGGCUAACGAGUAAGUGCGUACUUCUUCUCUGGUAGAGAGACUAAAUAGACAAGUUAAACAAUUUCUAGCUACUCCUACUCAGCCACUGGUUUAGUAGGCAAACCAACCAGUCAAAAGUUUCAGCCAUAACUCAAGCAUCUUUUAACCAAACUAAGCAAGCAAGUACUUUCUGGAAAGCUUAGCAAAUUGUCUACAAUUCACUUUUAGACAUCCCAGACUGAUUCCCAACUUAAAUAUGCUAAAACCUAUAAAGUUGGCUGGCUGCUCUGGAAAUUCCAGAGAGCAAGCACUUUGCGGCAGCUACUUGCAACAUGCACAACUUUCAAACUACUCCACCAAAUGUCAUGAAAUUUGGACACGAAGUAGAUCAGUAAGUUAGCUACAAGUUUGUUGUAGACAAGUUUCCCAGAAAACAUCAUCUUCAAUUAGUUCUUAAUCAUUUGCUAUCAGCUGUACAGAAAUACUCUAGGAAAGGCAAAAAUAGCUAAAAUAAUAUUUUACACAUAUUGAGAAUGUAUCAAAACAACAAUUCAAUUGCACCAGUAGGUAGAACAUAUCUAAGAAACACCGGAAAACAUCAUGGCAAGGUCUAAAACCAAUUCUAUCCUCACCUUUUUCAUUUAUUUAAUUAUUAAGGUGUUUUAAUGAACAUGCAUUCCAAUUGUUCCAAAAAUCCUAAGAAAAUUACAGCAAGCUCCUUAUGCUGACAUAAGAUCACUGUAAAAGUUUUAGAACAUCUGCACAUACAUAUUGUGAGAUACAAAAAUAACAAGCUAGCAAAGGCAUGCAAGGCAUAAAUGUGAAACCUCAUCAAAAAGUGUCAAACAACAGAUUUCAGAUUUUUCCUAGCUUUGUCUACACAUAAGUACAACACUCAGCAAGUUUCAUCACAAAAGGAGCUAUAAAUAAUUUAUUAAAAAUAUCACAAGAAUCUCCUAUUUAAGCAAGAACUAUUUUUAACUCCUCACCCAGGCUUCCAAAAAUCAUGAUAAAUUUACCAGAGCCUAUCCAUAUCAUAAGUAACAGUACCCUAAAUUUUCAUGGACAGCAAAUCAAUAGAUUUUAAGAUAUAAUUACCCAUUAAAAAUCGAAGAUUAAUUCAUAUCUAUUUAUUUAUGCAAAAACAUGGCAUGUUUCAUAUUUUUAUUAAAAACUAGACUUAUGCUGGAACCUAGCAAAAUUGGAACCAUGUCAUUGGGAUCUCUAAAACUCUAGAUAUGAAUUUUACAAAAACAGCAUUGGCUCUGAAAAAACAGUGACCAGAGGGGUGAGAGAGGAGAGGCUGACACCCGUGACCCGCGCGUCAGUGAGACAGAGCAGAGGAGAUGCUCGUCGCCAGCGAAGCUCAACGACGACAAGGUCUCGGCCAGAUCCAAGGGCAUCUACGUGUUCCUCUCAUCAAGGCGACUCGGUUGACCUACUUUACCCACGCUCUACUGGACUCUAGGGUGCUCGCCGUCGGGAAUGGCGGAGCGGCGGCGCUGCGCGGCGGUACGCCGGCGGAUCCAGGCAAUGGCGACGCUGUAGAGGUUGCGGACGAGCAAGAACAGUUCAAGGCGAAGCUAUAGGAAGAAGAAUCACGGCCAGAGGUGAACCAGAGAGGUCUGGCCACGUUGCCGGUGAUCUCUGUGAACUCCGGCGAGGUGAAGCUCGCGACGGAGAUGACAAUGUGACCUCACCGGUGCUCGGCUAAGGGAAUGGAGUGGACGUCGAGGUAGAGGACGUCGAGGCGGAGCUCUGAGCGGACUGGCUUGGCCGGAGACGCGGUGAAACGGACGGAAGAGCUCGCCGAAACGCGACGGAGCUCCCUGAGGCGACGGCGCAGCGGAAUGGGAGGCACUGAGCGAGUGGAGAGCGCGUCGGAGGCGUCCACUCGGUGGGUGGCAUCUUGUGGACGACGUCGGGGCUGACAGGCGGGGUCGUCGACGGCGUAUGGCUGGCACCUAGCCGGACACGCGGCGGCGGAUGGUUUCUGACGAAACUGAAUCGCGUGAUUCAGUCGUCGCCAACAGUGACUAAAACUCAAACUUCGUCAACGUUGUACUCUCAGCUCAAUCGAUGGUUUUGGCUGGGAUUUGAUCCUCUGGAUAGAGCUAUAGGAGCUCUACAACUUUGAUUAUAGGAUCAGAGCCUAACUCGGUCUGGAUUUCAAACUACAAGGCUCCCAAUCACCCUUGGUCGAAACUGCGUGAUCCAACACUUAGCCAAAUUCGGCUAAGUAUGAAAUCAGCCCUGAUUUUUGGCUUGUUAGCAAUUUUUGGAUGUGUUCUAUGCUUUUUCAUAAAAAGUCAUCAACAUAACUUUUGUAGCUUGUGCAAUUCUCUAAAACUUUGUUUCAGGUGUCAAAGACAUGCAAGGUCUCUAACACCAGUUUCAUAAAACAUCUUUGAAAAGAGGUCUAGGGGGUCAAAAAGGUCAUUCUAGGGUUAACCAUGACUUAGGGGCAUUUUUGGCCAAAACCUUCAACAUGAACUUUGUUCCAAAUGAUAUUCUAAACAUGAUUGAGGUAUUUUGGAAGAUAAUGUACAAUUGUUUGCAUUGGCUACCCCUUAUAGUCACUCAAUUCAAGUCACACAAGCAAUUCAAUCAUACAUGGUAUACAUAAGAUGACAUGUGAUCAUGAUAGAUGCUUAUGAAUGAGCAUGAUGAUGCUUAUGUUAAUGCAAUGCUCAUGGUUAACAUGCAAGCUAACACUAGGAGUGUUACAGCCCUCCCCCCUUACAAAAUCUCGUCCCGAGAUUUGAAAGACGUACCAUUUUUCGUAGAAUGAGGGAUAAGUUACUUGUAAAUAAUCUUCCCUUUCCCAAGUGGCAUCUCUCUCAUUUUGACGGUUCCACAAAAUUCUAAAAAGUCUGAUCACUCUCCCACGAGUAACUCGUUCUUUGACAUCAAGAACUUGUACAGGCUUUUCUUCAUAAGAUAGGUCUGACUGCAACUUGAUAUCUCUUGAUUCAACUCUCUCUUCGGGCACACGAAGACACUUCUUAAGUUGAGACACGUGGAAUACGAGGAAAAUAGCUCUCAUUUCGGGAGGUAGUUGUACUUUGUAAGCUACCUUGCCACUCUUCUCAAUGAUUUGGUAGGAACCCACAUACCUAGGGGCAAGCUUUCUUUUAACACCAAAGCGAUUUACUCCCUUCAUAGGCGAUACCUUUAGGUACACAAAGUCACCUACUUCAAACUCGAUUGGCUUUCUUCUUCGGUCACCAUAACUUUUCUGUCUAGCCUGGGCAGCUCUCAUGUGUUGUUGGAUCAGGAGAACUCACUUUUCGGCUUCCUUGACAAAGUCAAUUCCGUAGUACCUCCUUUCGCCGGGUUCAACCCAGUUUAAAGGAGUUCUACAUUUGCGGCCAUACAAAGCUUCGAAAGGAGCCACUUGGAUACUCUCUUGAUAACUAUUGUUGUACGAGAAUUCAGCUAAGGGUAGCCAUUUCUCCCAUGCACCCUUGGAAGAUAUAACACAUGCCCUCAACAUAUCCUCUAAGAUUUCAUUCACCCGCUCAGUCUGUCCGGAGGUUUGAGGAUGAUAGGCUGAACUAUGAACCAAUUUUGUACCAAGGAGUGAAUGCAGAUGCUCCCAAAAGCGAGCAGUGAACUGAGGACCUCUAUCAGAAAUAAUAGUGCGAGGCACUCCGUGCAAUUUAACUAUCUGAGAGAAGUACAACUCAGCAUAGUCGGAUGGUCGGUAUGUAGAGUGUAUAGGAAUAAAAUGAGCUGACUUGGUCAAACGUUCAACAAUCACCCAUAUGGUCCUUUUUGAGUAAGGGGAAGUCCAACAAUGAAAUCCAUGCUGAUCUCUUCCCACUUCCAACCUGGAACCGACAAGGGUUGCAAUAAACCUGCAGGUUUGAGGUGAACUGCCUUUACCCUGCAGCAAGUAUCACACCUUGCCACAUAAGCUGCUAUCUCUUUCUUCAUUUUGGUCCACCAGAAAUGAGGUCUCAAGUUUUGGUACAUUUUACUACUCCCCGGAUGAAUGGACAAUUUGGAAGAAUGAGCUUCUUCUAAAAUUUUGUUGCGUAGAUCACGGUCUUUGGGUACAACUAGUCGAUCGUCAAACCACAGUACACCCUUCUCAUCUACCCGGAAAUGCUUGGUGUCUUGCUCUUGCAUUUUUCUCUUGAUAUGAAAAAUACCAGGAUCAGAUUUUUGGAGCUCUAUGAUUUGACUUUCUAACGAGCAGCUGACUAUGAUGUUGUGCAAGACCACAGGAUGCAAUAAAUUGAAGCCUUCCUCUAGGAGAGGUCUAACAUGUUGUUUCCGACUAAGAGCGUCGGCUACAACAUUGGCUUUUCCUGGGUGAUAGUGCACUUCUAAAUUGUAGUCUUUUAUCAAUUCCAGCCAUCUUCUUUGUCUCAUAUUCAGCUCGGGUUGUGUAAAGAUAUAUUUGAGGCUCUUAUGGUCGGUGUAAAUGUGACAAAGAUUACCCAGCAGAUAAUGUCUCUAGAGUUUCAACGCAUGUACAACUGCUGCUAACUCUAGGUCAUGAGUAGGGUAGUUGGCUUCAUGUUUCCUCAGCUGCCGAGAAGCAUAGGCAAUAACUCGGCCUUCUUGCAUAAGUACACAACCUAGGCCAGUACCAGAUGCAUCACAAAAGACAUCAAAUGGCUUUUCAAUGUCAGGCUGUGCCAGAACAGGAGCGGUGGUCAGCAAAUGGCGUAGAGUGGUGAAAGCAACUUCACACUCCUCAGACCACACAAACCUCACAUCUUUUUGCAGUAGCUUGGUCAUAGGCUUAGCUAUUUUGGAGAAGUCUAGAAUAAAGUACCGAUAAUAUCCAGCAAGACCGAGAAAACUCCGGACUUCGUGCACUGAAGUCGGGGCCUUCCAGUCUAGAACCUCCUGCACCUUUGACUGGUCAACAGAAAUACCCUCUUCGGAUAAAAUAUGGCCUAAGAAAGGCACUUUCUUCAGCCAAAACUCACACUUGCUGAACUUGGCAUAGAGCUAAUGUUCUCGCAAUCUAGUGAGUACAAUCCGAAGGUGCUUCUCAUGUUCUUGUGCAUUUUCAGAAUACACCAAUAUAUCAUCGAUGAACACCACCACAAACUUAUCCAGUUCGGGCAUGAACACCGAAUUCAUCAGGUACAUGAAAUGAGCAGGGGCAUUAGUCAGACCAAAGGACAUGACUAAAUACUCAUAUAACCCAUACCUGGUAGAGAAAGUCGUUUUAGGAAUGUCUUCAGGUCGGAUCUUGAUUUGAUGAUACCCAGAUCGCAGAUCAAUUUUGGAGAAUACUUUGGCCUUGGCUAAUUGAUCAAACAGGAUAUCAAUGCGAGGCAGUGGAUACUUGUUUUUAAUGGUCACGGCAUUCAGCGGACGAUAGUCUACACACAUACGUAGAGACUUGUCCUUCUUUUUGACAAAGAGAGCCGGACAACCCCAUGGAGAAGAGCUAGGCCGAAUAAGACCCUUCUCUAAGAGUUCUUGCAACUGCUUUUUCAACUCUGCCAAUUCAUUAGGUGGCAUUCGAUAUGGCCUUCUAGAGAUAGGUGCGGUACCCGGAAUUAAAUCAAUUUUAAACUCGAUGUCCCUGUCCGGUGGCAACCCGGGCAGAUCCUCUGGGAAGACAUCUGGAAACUCACACACUACCGGAAUCUCUGCCAAAGUGAGUGGCCGAAUGGCAUUGGCAGCAUGACGAAUGUCAUCAUUCUUGGGAAGCUGGACUAAGAAGGCUUCUUUGCUAUCAGGCUCCCACAACAUAACUACUCUUGUGUAGGUAUCUAUUAACACCCCAUGCCUGCUCAUCCAAUUCAUUCCCAGAAUAACAUCUAUCCCUAGGCCUGGCAGUACGACUAAAUCUGCUGCAUAAUUACGCCCUUCUAUGGCAAUAUGUACAUCCCUCACUACUUGAUUCGUAGCAAUUUGAUUACCAGCAGCACUAAUGCAAAAUUUUCCACUAUCAAGGUCAAUGACAUGUUGCCCAUGCUUAGAUGCAAAUGCUUGAUUCAUAAAUGAAUGUGAAGCUCCCGAAUCAAAUAAGAUAACUACAGGGUGUUGAUUUACAAGGAACAUACUAGCGGUAACUGCUUUGCCCUCAGGGAUUUCUUCAACAGUGGUGUAGUGCACACGACCCAUACGGUUAUUGCCUCCAGCUGCAGAAUUCCUCUUGGGAUAAGGGCAAUCUCUCGCCCAAUGACCAACUUGUUUGCAAUUGAAACAAGGGUGGUUAUCAAGAGGAUUCUUGGGGCUUCCUUGACCCGUGGCACCUCUUGAGAGAGCAACUGUGAAGGACUUGCGCACUCCCGUCUUCACAUUAGACUUUUUCUGCGGUGGCCUGUACCUUGUCACAGCAUUGGGUGGGCGGUAGGCUGGUUUGCUUACCACUGGAGCCUUGGACUGUGAAGCACCUGCCUCAUAGGCCCUCUUGCGAUUCUUGGACGCGGCAUAUACAGCAUUGGAGUUCUCUUGAGUCAAUGCAUCACUCACAAACUCAUUGAAGGUGGUACUCUUAUUACCAGCCAUGUUCUUGGACAACUUGGGACCUAAUCCCGUCUUGAAGCUAGCAAGCUUUUUGACUUCAGUAUCAACCAUCUCAAGAGCAUAGCGAGACAAAUUGUUAAAAGCAUGAAGAUACUCAGUCAAGCUUUUAGUGCCUUGCGUCAGGUUCAUGAACUCAGUGUGCUUGAUAGUCAUUAAGCCUUGGGGAAUGUAAGUAUUCCUGAAAGCAGUUGUGAACUGAUCCCAGGUUACAACAGCAUUGGCAGGCAAGCUGGUCCUGUAAUGACUCCACCAGACACCUGCUUUGCCCUCCAACUGGUGGGCUGCAUACUCCGCCUUUAGCUCUUCGGUCACCCUCAGCAAUCAGAACUUCUGCUCGAGAGUGUUGAGCCAUUCAUCAGCUUCUAAAGGUUCAACUGCCUCCUUGAAAAGCGGUGGCUUUGUGUCCUGGAAAUCCUUGAAACUGCUGUACUGAUUUGCUUCUCCGCCUUGGCGGGCAUGGCGACCACCCCGGUUCUGUUGCGCCAUAGUUUGCAUAGCCUCAUUGAGCAUACGCUGGCCCUCAACGAGAGCUGCCAAUAGCUCAGUCGGCGUAGGCGGGGGAGGAGGUGGUGGCAGUGGCACCUCGUUGUGACCGGAGCGAGUAUUUCGAGCCAUCUGCACAAGGCAUACCAAGUGACCGUUUAGGACAACAGAUAUAAUUGCCAUGAACUUCAAUUGCUGCCAUACGGAAUUUAAUGAAGCAAAUUCACAUAAAUGAAGGCGCAAUAAUCCAUGUACAACAAGAGAGUAUCAUCCACAACACUUGGUUAUUCUCACGAUCAUUCAGAGUCACACUCCACAAGGAUUAAAGUCACUACCGAAAUUUAUUUAAGCUCAACAUAAACAUGGAGCAUCACAAUUGUGUGCAUAGGGUUACACAGAGUCACUGCCACAACUCAAGUUUUACAGGAGGGGCACCAUGGCCAAAUACAUAGAGUCUCAACUAAAUUUCAGAUUACAUGUCCAUUACAUAAAGAGAUGGAAACUGAUACUUGAUCAUAGAUUUAUUGCUAGGCUACAUAUCUUCCUCAGAUUCUCCAUUAGAGAUGAUGCCAUCACCCUGAUCUUCCUCACUAAGAGCUUCUUCAUGAUUAAAAGGGGCUGGUUGCGGGAUAGGAUUUAUAAUAUUGUUUAAGCAGUGGACAUCCAACUGUAGCUCAGCAAUCCUAGUGAUCAGCUCUUCCUCUCUAAUUUCAGCAUGGAACAAGGCUCUAACUCUAGCAGCUUCUCUAUUUUCAGCCAAGCGCAUAGCUUCAUCUCUCUCUCUAGUCAUUUGCAUCAUGCGGGCUUGUGCCUCAUUGCGCUCUCUAACUGCAUUUUCAACUUGGUUGCGGCGGGCUUGCAAAGCGGUGUGAUAGUUUUGGAUUUCAGCUUGUGCAUCCAUAAAAGCCUUGCGAUGCUUGCGCACUCGCUUGCGCAGUUUGCGCUGCCCAACUUGUGCUUGUUGGAGCGCUACCAUAGCGUCUAUGUAGGUGUCCUGUCACACAUAGUACAGCUUAAUCACCGCUAGCAUGGCACUCAUGGCAGGGCUAGAACUAUGUCCUAGCAAGGUUUCUCUCAUCUCUAAAGACUCAUUACCAACCUGGGACACAAAUGUGUCAGUUACACUCACUCUGGGAACGGAUCCAGCUGGGCCAUUCACUAACUCAUCACCAUGCUCUUGGCAAAUCUCUAGCAAAACCUCUAGGGCUGCUACUUGGGCACCCUCCCACGGAGUUUGGCCAUCACAGUCAACUAACCAACCUAGCCACUGUGGGUUAUUUGGACAAGAGGGAACUGUAAUUUGGACAUCUGCCCAAGGUAAGGCCCCUGCAUGCUCAGCCUCGGUCCAAGUGUACUUAGGUGGUUCCUCAUAUCCAACUGAACUUAGCACCCUCCACAGCAAGGUGGGAGUGCCAAACAUGUCCAGGAAAGUUUCACUUGCGUGCGGGGCUGCCAUCUGUAGAAAGACCACAUUUGAGUAAGGGAGAUUAAUUACAAGGAGAGAUAAAUAGAUAUAUUUUCAGAAUUUAAUACCCAAGUAAUGCAUAAGAAUGUAUGAAUGUUUCAUGAUGCAUGCACGUUCCAUACGUCCCUUCCAUUCCUAGAAGAAUGUUCUAACGGUAUAGUCGGUGGCAUACAUACGUGCACUCUUAUACGCAACUACACGGUCUACACGUUUCGUUGUUAGUGUACCUGCAGAAGAUUUCAUUUCAGCCCAGCCCCACAAUAGUAUAAGUGUAGAAAUGUAAAACCAAUUAUCAACAAUCAAGCUAGGUACUCCGAUAUAUAUUCCCGAAUAUAUAUCGCAGCACACUACCCAUUUUGGAUACACCCACAUAUACAUCAAAUAUGUAUACAUGGCUCCACCUACUACCCACAAUUAAGUACCUUUAUAUAUACAUGUGUGAAACAUGUAAAUAUUCCAGUAACCACAGCUAACACUCCCCUAGACCGACGGUUGGACGGUCAUGCUCUCACAGCUCACACUUACCGUAGCGUACAGGAAUAUAGAUCCAUACAUUACCACUCAAGCAAGUGGCAUCCAUACAAUUUCACGCCGUAUGGACGACGAAAGAAAACAAACAAGCUUACCAUGGCGUAGAGGUAUGUGAUCCAUUCAUUACCACUUAAGUAAGCGGUAUCCAUAUAAUUACACGCCAUAUGGACGACGAAAGGAAAAACCCCCAUGUUAGUAAUAUUAAGCCACCUAGAAGUCCUUAUAUGGGCAUAAAGGGCAUGACCACUGGCAUGGUAUAAUUUAUCAAAACCUUUUUAAAACAGCCCUACAUAUAGCCUAAUUUUGCCAAAUUAACUUGGGAAAACCAAAUUCAUUUGUUUUUAAAUACAUCUAUGAUGGUUAAAUGCUUAAUCUUGCUCUGAUGCCAGCUGUAACAGAACCGUCCAAUUUAUAAGAAUUCAAGUGAAUUAGCGACCACGGAGGCAGUCAAGCCAAUGGACUUGAACCCAUAUAAACCCGGUAGUCCGACGAAAUCUCAAAAGACCUCGAUUCAAACAACAUACAACCAAGAUCGUACAUGAUCAAGCAUCACCAUCACAGAUUACAACAUUCAUCACAGAACAUAGUUUUACAUCACAUCAGAGUUUAAAGUGGUUAUUACAAACCAUAGCAGUAGCGGAAACAAAGUAGUUUUGAAACAACAACAACUCAGUUUAUAAUACAUGCCAGUUCCAUGGUCAAGUCCCAACAAAAGCACAACUGAAGAUAAAGGAGGUGAUCACGCCCAUGAUCUAUUCAUCAUCCACAGCCGGGUGAUGACACUUAGCACAGUAGCCGUGGUAAACGACAUCAUCUGCAACAGGGUAAAUAAAACACUGAGUACGAGAAUGUACUCAGCUAGACUUACCCGUCAUAAACCAGAAAUAAAGUGACACCAAGGAGUAUGCAAGGCUGAUCUUUGUGGACUGGUUUGACUCACCUUUUGCAUAAAAGCCUUUGUUGUAAGUAAUUCAUGUAUCAUAAUUCAGCAGCAAGUUCAUUACUUAGCGACUAUCCACUAGAUUAGCACCUGCUCUAAGCAUACACUUGAGUCUUUAAGCAUUACAAUAAUAACCAUAUCCGGAUUAUCACAUAGCUAUCAACAUUCUCAUCAUAACCAUUAAGUUUAUUUAGUGAAUUCUACGUUGCCGCUGCCCAAGUCAAGUUCCCACUAUCCGGGAGAGACAGCGAUUCGAAUCGAUUCCUAUCCAGUUGGAGGGGUAUUCCUAACACUCACCCAAGCAUACUUCAUGACGGCAGCUCGUAUCACCUUUAGCACAACUCCGGACCAAUUCGCGGGUCUGUACGGCGCCGCACCCCCAGGGACCGCCAAUCUGCCAGGGUCAGGACUCUAACCUGACACCUUGGUCUUACGCCAUUGACUCCCCGCACAUCCUUACUACCAACCGGGGUGCGCACUUUAAUCAGAUCAGGGUAUCCGGCCAGAGUUGCACUCGUAGGCUUCGCGGUCGGAACGACUUAUCCGGCCAACUAAGUGGUAGGCAUGCGUUGAACAUGACACGGGGACGUACAGCGAUUCGGUCCUUAAACGACACAGACGGGGAUAGGUUCACACCCAAGACCUCCAUGCCUUGUUGCUGCACUAUCAUCGUCCCGCCCGGUCUCAAGUUCAUUAUUAGCACAAGGUUAUUUCCACGAUAGCAAAUAUAGCCAACCGUGAUCAUCAUCCACCUAAUUCUCGCAGGUGACAGGAAAUCACCUGGCUUCUACCGAACUAAGAAUGGCUAAGCAUUUCUUCGAUCCUGGACCUACUUUGGUAAUGUUUAAGGUGGACAAGGUAGUCAUUAUGCAGCAAGGGUGUCAUAUCAACGCCUACCACUUAAUGCAACAAUAUAUAACCAUAGUCAUUUGAUAGCUGAAUAUGAUAAUGAAAUAGUAGGAGGCUUAUAAUGCUCCGGGGCUUGCCUUCAACAUAAGUAGAGGGACGAUGGUCCGGGCACUCCGGCAAGUCCUCCUCCUCAGCUCCUUGAGGUAGCUCCCCAUGCUGUCCUUCCGGCUCCGGCAGCUCGAACUCCAGCACCGUUACUCCCUUGGGUACACCUAUGUAUGCAUGACAAGGAGAUGAAUAUAGAGAAUGCUCAUAUGAUGCAUGAUGUCAUGACGAGGAUCCAAAUGGACAUAAACAAGGUAUAACAUGAGCAUAACCCUUAAGAUUAAGUGAAACAUGGGCUAACGAGUAAGUGCAUACUUCUUCUCUGGUAGAGAGACUAAAUAGACAAGUUAAACAAUUUCUAGCUACUCCUACUCAGCCACUGGUUUAGUAGGCAAACCAACCAGUCACAAGUUUCAGCCAUAACUCAAGCAUCUUUUAACCAAACUAAGCAAGCAAGUACUUUCUGGAAAGCUUAGCAAAUUUUCUACAAUUAAAUUUUAGACAUCCCAGACUGAUUCCCAACUUAAAUAUGCUAAAACCUAUAAAGUUGGCUGGCUGCUCUGGAAAUUCCAGAGAGCAAGCACUUUGCAGCAGCUACUUGCAACAUGCACAACUUUCAAACUACUCAACCAAAUGUCAUGAAAUUUGGACACGAAGUAGAUCAGUAAGUUAGCUACAAGUUUGUUGUAGACAAGUUUCCCAGAAAACAUCAUCUUCAAUUAGUUCUUAAUCAUUUGCUAUCAGCUGUACAGAAAUGCUCUAGGAAAGGCAAAAAUAGCUAAAAUAAUAUUUUACACAUAUUGAGAAUGUAUCAAAAGAAAAAUUCAAUUGCACCAGUAGGUAGAACAUAUCUAAGAAAUACCGGAAAACAUCAUGGCAAGGUCUAAAACCAUUUCUAUCCUCACCUUUUUCAUUUAUUUAAUUAUUAAGGUGUUUUAAUGAACAUGCAUUCCAAGUGUUCCAAAAAUCCUAUGAAAAUUGCAGCAAGCUCCUUAUGCUGACAUAAGAUCACUGUAAAAUUUUUAGAACAUCUGCACAUACAUAUUAUGAGAUACAAAAAUAACAAGCUAGCAAAGGCAUGCAAGGCAUAAAUAUGAAAUCUCAUCAAAAAGUGUCAAACAACAGAUUUCAGAUUUUUCCUAGCUUUGUCUACACAUAAGUACAACACUCAGCAAGUUUCAUCACAAAAGGAGCUAUAACUUAUUUAUUAAAAAUAUCACAAGAAUCUCCUAUUUAAGCAAGAACUAUUUUUAACUCCUCACCCAGGCUUCCAAAAAUCAUAAUACAUUUACCAGAUCCUAAUCAUAUCAUAAGUAACAGUACCCUAAAUUUUCAUGGCCAGCAGAUCAAUAGAUUUUAAGAUAUAAUUACCCAUUAAAAAUUCAAGAUUAAUUCAUAUCUAUUUAUUUCUGCAAAAACAUGGCAUGUUUCAUAUUUUUAUUAAAAACUAGACUUAUGCUGGAACCUAGCAAAAUUGGAACCAUGUCAUUUUGAUCUCUAAAACUCCAGAUAUGAAUUUUACAAAAACAGCAUUGGCUCUGCAAAAACAGUGACCAGAGGGGUGAGAGAGGAGAGGCUGACACCCGGGACCCGCGCGUCAGUGAGACAGAGCAGAGGAGAUGCUUGUCGCUGGCGAAGCUCAACGACGACGAGGUCUCGGCCGGAUCCAAGGGCAUCUACGUGUUCCUCUCAUCAAGGCGACUCGGUUGACCUACUUUACCCGCGCUCUACUGGACUCUAGGGUGCUCGCCGUCGGGAAUGGCGGAGCGGCGGCGCUGCGUGGCGGUACGCCGGCGGAUCCAGGCAAUGGCGACGCGGUAGAGGUUGCGGACGAGCAAGAGCAGUUAAAGGCGAAACUAUAGGAAGAAGAAUCACGGCCAGAGGUGAACCAGAGAGGUCUGGCCACGUUGCCGGUGAUCUGUGUGAACUCCGGCGAGGUGAAGCUCGCGACGGAGAUGACAAUGUGACCUCACCGGUGCUCGGCUAAGGGAAUGGAGUGGACGUCGAGUUAGAGGACGUCGAGGCGAAGCUCUGAGCGGACUGGCUUGGCCGGAGACGUGGUGAAACGGCCGGAAGAGCUCGCCGAAACGCGGCGGAGCUCCCUGAGGCGACGGCGGAGCGGAAUGGGAGGCACUGAGCGAGUGGAGAGCGCGUCUGAGGCGUCCACUCGGUGCGUGGCAUCUUGUGGACGAUGUCGGGGCUGACAGGCGGGGUCGUCGACGGCGUACGGCCGACACCUGGCCAGACACGCGGCGGCGGAUGGUUUCUGACGAAACUGAAUCGCGUGAUUCAGUCGUCGCCAACAGUGACUGAAACUCAAACUUCGUCAACGUUUUACUCUCAGCUCAAUCGAUGGUUUUGGCUGGGAUUUGAUCCUCUGUAUAGAGCUAUAGGAGCUCUACAACUUUGAUUACAGGAUUAGAGCCUAACUCGGUCUUGAUUUCAAACUACAAGGCUCCCAAUCACCCUUGGUCAAAACUGCGUGAUCCAACACUUAGCCAAAUUCGGCUAAGUAUGAAAUCAGCCCUGAUUUUUGGCUUGUGAGCAAUUUUUGGAUGUGUUCUACGCUUUUUCAUAAAAAGUCAUCAACAUAACUUUUGUAGCUUGUAAAAUUCUCUACAACUUUGUUUCAGGUGUCAAAGACAUGCAAGGUCUCUAACACCAGUUUCAUAAAACAUCUUUGAAAAGAGGUCUAGGGGGUCAAAAAGGUCAUUCUAGGGUUAACCAUGACUUAGGGGCAUUUUUGGCCAAAACCUUCAACAUGAACUUUGUUCCAAAUGAUAUUCCAAACAUGAUUGAGGUAUUUUGGAAGACAAUGUACAAUUGUUUGCAUUGGCUACCCCUUAUAGUCACUCAAUUCAAGUCACACAAGCAAUUCAAUCAUACAUGGUAUACAUAAGAUGACAUGUGAUCAUGAUAGAUGCUUAUGAAUGAGCAUGAUGAUGCUUAUGUUAAUGCAAUGCUCAUGGUUAACAUGCAAGCUAACACUAGGAGUGUUACAAUGAGGACUAAACCGUGGGCGCAGUUCUCUAACGGCUUCAUACCCCUAAUGCUUUUGGUGGAUGUGAUGAGACUCUGGCUGUAACAAUAACUUGUGAAAUGUGGAUGUGAAAACUAUAUUGCUUCUGCUAUUUCAAACUUGUGUUGUAAUAACUUAAGUAACUCCGGUGUGGUGCCGCUUCAUCGGCAAUGAAUGAACUAUGUAACACUCGCUGUAUUGUGUUGAACUAUUAUGAUCUUGGUAUGUUGCAAAGUUGGUUUGAAAUCCUUUGUGAUUUCGGUUGACUACCGGGAUUAUAUGGGCUCAAGUCUGGAAACUUGAUUGCUAGUUCGAUCGUUUCUACACUUGAUCUCUUAUAAUUUGGUCGGUUCUGUGACAAUUGUAAAUUCCCCCGAAAGCUACCACAAAUUCAGCCAAAUAGGGAGUAUCUAUGAGUAUUCCUAGCCCAAGCACCACGAUUACGCUAUGAAUAAUUACUCUAUUCCCUACAUGAAGCAAAUAAAGUAUAUUCAUAAACCAAAGAAUAAUAAGAACAAUAACUUACUUGUUGAUGUUAGUUACACACACAAAAGAAUCAAAGAGAAAAGGUAAGAUGUAAGAAAAGGUGAGAUAACAGAAAAAGAUAAAAGUGUAAUACAAGGUAGAGUAAGACAAGGUUAUCUAAGCAGACCAUCUUUCUCCCCGGCAAUAGUGCCAGAAAUGCUUGUUGAUGUUAGUUUCGCACAUGAAAGAAUCAAAGAGAAAUAAUCUACAAGCGCACAGAUAUCAGUGAGCACUUCACCUAGGGAGAUAAGUCUAGAGUAUCAUAUUUAUUUUUUUUCCAUUAGGAGAAAGCAUGUAAAAGACUAACCUUUUAUCUUAACUACUACCCACGGGUUGCAAGACAAGAUAGUGAGAUAUAAGCGAUAUAGCGAGAACUCUUUCUCCAGUCUUCUUCUAACCUAUGGUAAGUGUGUAGAUAUUGUUCUAAGGGGAGUUACUAGAGAAAAGAGACACCUCAAGAGCGCUUAACCCUUGUGCCAUAUACCCUACCUUACCUCCUGACGGGAUGUGGAUUACUGAAACCCAAGAGGAUUAUCACUUUCCCCAAAAGGCUACCACAGAUCCACCAAAACAGGGAGUAUCUACGAGUAUUCCUAGCCCAAGCACCAUGCUUAUGCUACGAAUAAUUACUCUAUUCCCUAUGUGAAGCAAAUAAACUAAAUUCGUAAACCAAAGAACAAUAAGAACAAUAACUUACUAGUAUUAGAAGUUGAAUUGUCGAACGAUUGUAGAACCAAGCCUCAGAUUAGGAGACUUAAUCUUGAAGAUACAAAGAAGAAGGCACCGAUAGGCCGAGCUUCCUCAACUCCUAUCCUCACUCUAUACUCUCUCAAUCUCUCUUGGUUCUAUCACCCUAAAGAGACAGAUCCAUUCAAGGGACGCUCUCUGUCUAACUCUCUCUGCAAAAUAUGGAUUAGGGUUUCAGAGUUACAUCUUAGGGGGUCAGGGUCUUUAUUUAUAGCCCCCUAGGAAUCACCAUAGCCCUUGGAACAAACCAACUUAAACGUGCGCUUAAGAUUAAUCCUCAAAGUCGUUGGGGGUAGGAUCCGUGAGGUUUGCUCUAAUUGGUGGAGAGCCCCGGGCGGUCGCCCCACCUGGCAAGGGUGCUCGCCCCUGGGUAGCUUCCAUGUGGGCCUAGGUUUCAGGUGGUGGCUCCUAGAGUCUUCUAGAUUAUUCCUGAGUUGACGUUCCGGUCUUCUCUCUAUGUAAAUCUAACAUGUGGACCUUCUUUUGUUAUUAUUCUGGUAACCCUCUGCAGAAAUAGACGAUCACCACAACUCGUGGAAUUCUGUUAGUGAUAAACAUAUAUCUACUGAGUGCUUGCAAAUAGGUCCUUUUUCAUGCUAAGUUGACGGUUAAAAUUAGGAGUUAUCUACCACCAAUAGUAGAGCAGCACGAGGUUCGCCAGUGUAGGGGUCACGACGGCUGCGAGCACAGUGGCGACGCGCCCGAGGUUCGCCAGAGUAGGGGUCACCUGGUGUCGAUCUCGAGCAGCCAUGUGGUGGACAAGAGAGAGAAGCUCUAGGCAGACUUGGUGACACUUGGAGAGGAGGCACGAUGCGAGGAAGAGGACGUGCGGAGCUCGUAGGUGCUCGGUGUCAAUGGUGAUGGUGUUUCCACCGUCAGAGUGUGUGAGAGAGAGGGCAGAGAGACUGAGAGAGUGGCUGAGUGAGUGCCGGUGGCAUGGCAUCCUUGACGGCGUCGAUGGCCUAACUGAUGGGGCCAACACCGACAUACGGUCGCCGAAUGGUGCUUGGGUGCUAACACUGGUCGGCCACGAUGUUGCCAGGAGCUCGCGAUGAGUGUUUCAAUGCCAACUAAUAGAGCUACUUCGUCGAUGAUUAUCUUCCAAACUAGUGUGAGUUAGGAGAUGAUAUAGUUGACAAACUUGGAGAACUAAAUGAGAUCUACAACUUUGUCAAUUGGAGCAAGAGCCAAAUCGGCCUGGAUGAGAAUAUGCAAAGCUCCAAACUACUUUCAAGCAAACUGAGUCAUGCAGGGGACUUAGAAAAUCUUCUCAGUGUCCAAACAGCAUCCAAAAUUGACUUGUGGGCCAUUUUCAUGAGAUGGCCCUAAAAUAACUUCUGAUCCUUAUAAAAUUUUCUACAACAUUGAUUUAGAGAAUUUUGACAUGCAAAAAAUUUAUGAAGCACGUUUUAAAAACUUAAGCAAAAGAUGUCUAGGGGGGCCACCCUAGGCCAACUAUGGCUUAGAAGCAUAAUUAGAGCAAAUGACCAAUAUGAACAUUGAUCCCUAGGACAUGUUAAGCAUAGAUAAACUAUUUACCAAGAUUAUAAACACACCCUAGCACAAGGUACACAAGAUCAUAGGUAUAGAAGGCAUAAAUUAAGCAGAAAAUCAAACAUAGCACAUAAAAUGACAUGCUCCACAUGAUAUGAUGCUCAAGGAAUGAUAUGAUUAUGAUUAUGCUCAUGUCAUGCAAGAGAUAGAAUACAACCAUAACACUUUGGUGUUACAGCCUUCCCCCUUACAAAAAUUUCAUCCCAAGAUUUAGAAAGCUUACUAGUUUUUAUAGAAGGUUUUAUACACAUCUCUUAGAGAGUCUUCCCAUUCCUAGGUAGCAUCUUCUUUCCCAUGGUUACUCCACAAAACCUUGUAGAGCUUAACCACGCGAUUAUGUGUUACCCGUUCCUUGCAAUUAGUGACAGCUACAAGUUUCUCUUCAUAAACCAAGUCUGACUCUAACUUGAUACCUUGAGUUUCCACUCUUUUCUAACAGACUCGAAGGCAUUUCCUUAGUUGAGACACGUGGUAAAUAGGAAAAAUAGCUCGCAUCUCAACCGGUAGCUGGAUCUUGUAAGCUACCUUCCCUUUCCUUUCGAGAAUCUGAUAGGGUCGUACAUAGUAGGGUGCAAGCUUUCGCUUGACUCUGAACCUUUGCACCCCUUUCAUCGGAGACACUUUGAGGUACAAAUGAUCCCUGACUGCAAAGCAUAACUCUUUCGUUGAGCCUGAGCAGUUUUUAGAUGUUGCUGGAUUGUACGGACUUGUUGCUCUGCUUCAUUUACAAAAUUGAUGCCAUAGUACCUUCUCUCUCCUGAUUCUACCCAAUUCAAAGGAGUUCUACACUUCCGACCACAUAGGGCUUCAAAAGGAGCCAUUUUAAUGCUCUCCUAGUAACUAUUGUUAUAAGACAACUCGGCUAAUGGCAACCAUUCACCUAAGAACCUUGUGAAGAUAAGACAAAAGAUCUCAACAUGUCUUCCAAGAUUUGGUUAACACGCUCAGUUUGGCCAGUCGUUUGCGGAUGAUAAGCAGAACUUCAGACCAAAUGAGUACCUAUCUGCUGAUGAAGACACUCCCAGAAACGAGCAGUGAACUGCUGUCCACGAUCCGAUAUGGUAGUCCGAGGUACGCCAUACUGACGGACAAUGUGCUCAAAAUACAACUCCACGUAUUGGUGCAGAUGAUAUUUAGUUCGAACCGGGAUAAAACGAGCAACCUUCAUCAGACGAUCCACAAUCACCCAAAUUGAAUCAGAACCCUUUGACAAAAGGUGGAAGUCUAGAGAUAAAAUCCAUACUCACUUCCUUCCACUUCCAACAAGGGUUUGGCAAAGGUUGAAGUAGACUCGCUUUCAUGCGAACAGCCUUAACAAGACAACAGUUGUCGCAACGGGCAACAAAAGCAACAAUCUCUUUCUUCAUUUUUGUCCACCAAAAUAGAGAUUUAAGAUCCUAAUACAUCUUACUGCUACCAGGAUGAAUAGAUAGCUUGAAACAAUGAGAUUCAGACAGAAUCUGAUUUUGGAUCUCUCAAUUCUUUGGUACAGCAUGCCUAUCCUUAAACCAUAGAAUUUCGUUCUCAUCAACCCAGAAAUGCUUAUUUUCUGCCUCUUUCGUCUUUCUUUUUAUGUGGUGGAUACCCAUGUCAGUCUGUUGCAACUCAAUCACCAGAUUACGAAGAGAGCUUUCUAGGGCAAUAUGGUGAAGUACCACUGGAUGCAUAAGACGUGAUAAAGGAGGAUCCUCAAUUCUCACCGAUUUUCAAUGUGACUUCUGACUCAAGGCAUCCACAACUACGUUCACCUUUCCCAGAUGAUAGUGUACUUGGAGAUUAUAAUCUUUGACCAACUCAAGCCACCUUCGCUGUCGCAUGUUCAACUCGGGUUGAGUAAAGAUGUACUUGAGGCUUUUAUGAUCGGUGUAGAUGUUACACAGAUUACCCAACUGAUAGUGCCCCCAGAUCUUUAGGGCAUGAGCCACUACUACCAAUUAUAAAUCAUGAGUGGGGCAAUUGACCUCAUGUUUUCAAAGUUGGCGCGACGCGUAUGCGAUGACCGAACCUUCUUGCAUAAGCACGUAGCCCAGACCGAUACCAGAUGAAUCACAAAAUACAUCGAACAACUUCUCAAUAUUGGGUUGAGCUAAGACAGGAGCUGAUGUCAGCAAGGUUCUCAACUUGUUGAAUGCCUCAUCACACUUUGGCGUCCACAGGAAAUUUUCAUUUUUUUGAAGUAAACGAGUCAUAGACUUGGAAAUCUUGGAAAACUCCAGAAUGAAGCAACGAUAAUACCCAGCCAAACCCAGAAAACUCCACACCUCAUGCACUGAGGUCAGAACCUUCCAAUCCCGCACUUCUUGCACCUUGGCCGGAUCGACCGAGAUUCCUUCUUUAGACAAGACAUGGCCCAAAAAAGGUACUUUCUUUAGCCAGAACUCACACUUGCUAAACUUAGCAUAUAGCUGAUGCUCACACAACCGAGUUAGGACAACACAUAGAUGCUCUACAUGUUCCUCUUCAUUUCAAGAAUACUAAGAUAUCAUCAAUGAAGACCGCCAUGAACUUGUCCAACUCAGGCAAGAAGACUGAAUUCAUGAGAUACAUGAAAUGCGCCAGAGCAUUGGUCAGACCGAAGGAUUUAAUGAGAUACUCUUACAACCCAUACCUCAUUGAGAAAGUCAUCUUGGGUAUAUCUUCAGGAUUUAAUCAGAUACUCUUACAACCCAUACCUCAUUGAGAAAGUCGUCUUGGGUAUAUCUUCAAGAUGGAUCUUGAUCUCAUGGUACCCAGAUCGCAAAUCAAUCUUGGAGAAUAGCUUGGCUUUAGACAACUGAUCAAACAGGAUAUCAAUGCAAGGAAGAGGGUAUUUAUUCUUGAUAUACACUACGUUGAGUGGAUGAUAAUCCACACACAUGCGCAAGGAUUGAUCCUUCUUCUCCAUAAAGAUAGCCGGACAACCCCAAGGAGAAGAAUUAGGACAAAUAAGACCCUUCUUCAACAACUCAUUCAACUAGGUCUUAAGCUUAACUAGCUCAUUUGGUGGCAUUCUAUAAGGUCUUCUAGAGAUAGGAGAAAUGCCUAGAAGCAAUUCAAUUUAAACUCCAUGUCCCGGUCCGAUGAAAGCCUAGGCAAGUCAUCAGGAAAGACGUCUCGAAACUCACACACCACUGAAAUGUCCUUGAUGGCACUAGAUGUAACUGCGUUCAUCGUGCGAUGGACGUUAAUAUCAUGAAGAAGUUGCAAUAAGAAUGCCUCCUUAGUGCUAGUUCCCUUAACAUCACCACGUGAGUAGUAGUGUCAAUAAGGACCCCAUUACCACUCAUCCAUUUCAUUCCCAGAAUCACAUCUAUGCUCACACCAGGCAAGACUACCAAAUCAGCUAGAAACUGAUGGUCUUCUAUUUCCAGAGUAGGCCCCAAAAUCACUUGAUUUGUAGAAAUAUUAUUCCCAGUGGCACUAAUGUAGUAGCUGCCUUUAUCAAGGGUGACUGCCUUGAGAUUAGGCUUAGACACAAAGUCUGAACUCACAAAUCAAUGUGAUGCUCCAGAAUAAAAAGGCACAACUACAACACUUCGAUUAACUAGAAACUUACCAGCCCUCACCACUUUACCAGCAGGAAUCUCUUCAACAGUAGUGUAAUGAACAUGCCCUUGAUGGAUGUUUCCCUGAUUGGUUUUCUUCGACGGGCACGGGCAGUUGCUUUGCCAAUGACCCAUCUUAUUACAAUUCUAGCAUGGACGGUUGGCAGAUGGAGCUUUGGCACUACUGGGCCUAGUGUUUCCCCUCAAAAGAGCAAUGGAAUACCCCUUACGGAACCGAGUUUUCACUAGAUUCUUCCUCACCGGUGAAAGGUCCAAAUGACUAGAGGGGGGGUGAAUAGCCUAUUUAAAUUUUCUACAAACUUCAACUAGACAAGUUGAUUAGUAAAACAAAUGGUGAUGCUAUUCUAGCACUAGCACAACUAAGCUAUGCAAGCCACCUAUACAAGUCUAGCAAGAAGUCUAUAUACUAAAACACAACAACUAGAGAAGGCUACACCACAACUCUAUACUAGCAAGAACUAAGCUACACAAGCUAACCUAACAAGAUAGGCAAGUAUGUAAAGAGAGGAGAGUGAUUGUUAUACCGACGUUGUAGAGAUGAGAUAUAUCCAAUCAAUCACGUACACAAUCACAAGAGAGACCUCGGCAAGAGAUGACACAAGAUUUUUUACUGAGGUUCACUUGCACUCACAAGAUGGGGAUCCUCCAAGCCACGAGCAAUUCACUAGAGUAGCCAAUUGCGAUCUCCCGCGGUGAAGGCUCAAGAACCCCUCACAAACCACUUGGUGAGGCUCGAAACAAUCUCCAAUCACGAGCUCAACACCACCGCUGCUCCAAGCUGUCUAGGGCGUCGGGAAACACCCAAGAGUAACAAGAAAUCCGUAGCAAACUCAUGAAUCAAGUGCCACUAAAUGCAACUCUCAAAGCAAUGCACUUGAAUCUCACUCAAUCUCACAAGGAUUAGCAAUCAAGCAAGGAGAUGAGUGGAGGGAGUGUUCUCUAGCUCAAAGUAUGCCUCAAGUAAUCAAAAGUGCAAGAGAGAGUCUCCCAAAGCCGGCCACCUUCUAUUUAUAAGCCCACUCAAAGAAACUAGCCGUUGGCUGUUUUCACUGGGCUAAAAACGGGGGCACCUGACGCUACCAAGUGAGCACCACACGCUCAACCCCCUACGUCCGGUGCACUGUGGUUGGCCACAUGUCCUUCUUGAAUCUCGCGUGUCAGACUCUAACGGUCACCUGCGGACCACCGGACGCGUCCGGUGCACACCGGACUCAUGCGCAAAGAGUUCCACAAUCCUAUAGGGUCACCGGACGCUAAGCUUGUCCACACCGGACGCGUCCGGUGCUCACCGGACUCAUGUGCACAGAGGGUUGCAAAACCUCCUCACACCGGACGCAACCCACCGGACUCUCUCCGGUGCGUCCGGUGCACUCUGCUACACCUGACAGCACACCGGACGCUAAAGGCCAGCGUCCGGUGCCUCCGCGCUGAGCGUCCGGUGAGUGUUUUCUCACUGAGAAACACUCCGUGACUUCUCCAAAUUUCCCACCGGCGCAAUAGAAAAUAUGCACCUAUUUUUCUCAAAAGCGUCGAAUCCUGCCUCGCAAGCUCGUCGGGAGGGAGAGAGGAACCCACGCCCCUCUCAACCCUAGGAACUCCACCUCCUUUGCAAAUGUGCUAACACCAACAAGUGUCCACCACCAAAGUGCAAGUGUGUUAGCUUUUCACAAACAUUUUCACCAAAGGAGUUAAGUUAGCACUCUACUAGAUCCUAAUGCAUAUGCUCAAGAUAUGGACCUAGUAGCACUUGAUUCGAGAGAUGACCGUGAUUUCCCCUCUUGAUAGUCGGCUAUCUGUCCUAAAUCCGAUCAAUCACUUCUCUACACAUCUUAGACCGGCAAAAUAAAACCCUAUGUUUAUACCUUUGCCUUGAUAACUUUUGCUCCUCAUCUAUCAACAUGAUCUUCACUUCAUGCUUCAUCCCUUUGUGAUCAUGUGGCCACCUUUUUCAAGCCACCAAGCACCUUCAUCACAUGUGUUGCUAAGCCUAACUCGCAUCACUUAAACACAAGACAUUAGCAACUUGGUGUCAUUAAUUACCAAAACCAAACUUGGGCUUUCAACCAGAGGGCGGUACCGCAUAUUUGUUGUUGGUGCAUGGUACAGGGGCUUUGUAACAGAACCGACCAAAUUAUAAGAGAUUAAGCCUAACAGUGACCAUUUGCAUAGUCAAACCACCACGCUUAAGCCCAUAUAAUCCCGGUAGUCCGUGAAAUCUCGAAGGAUUUCAAACCACAUAUCGCACAACAGCCAAGAUCGUAAUAAGUUUAGCGGUCGCCAUUCACAAAUACAUCCAGAUUACAACAUUCAUAAAACACAUCGGAGUUCUAAGAAUUAUUACAAACCAAGUUCUUCAAGUAGCGGAAGCUUCAUAGUUUGAAAAUACAACACACACGCUUAGUCUGAUACAGUGCUAUAGUUCGGUCAUUCCCACAAAAGCAAAAGAAGAGACGGAGUGACCAUCGCCCUUGGUCUAGUCAUCACCCAUAGCUGGGUACAGACAGAGGAUGCAAUAACCAUAGUACAUUUGACCAUCUGCAAAACAACAUGGGAGUAGAACCCUGAGUACGAGAAGGUACUCAGCUAGACUUACCCGUCAUAAAAUUAAAAUAAAGACUCAUCAAGGAUCAUGAAAGCUAUAUAGUGGGGUAGCUGACAACCAUUUUGCAAAACCGCAGAAUUUUUACUAUCAUAACCUACAUAAGUCUUUCUUCCUUUAAUUUGCUCAAGUUGAAAGUAUCAUUACCUAUCAUCUAGGUUUGCACCUACACUAUUACAAGCAAGUAUAAGGAUAUGAUAGUACCUCAUUGUGGCAUUCAUAAGCCAUUUAUCAAUAUAGUCCAAGUGUUCCAUAGUCCUUACUACGAGGACGAAGCUCAUGUCAAGUGCUCACUAUCCAGGAGCGAUGGCGAUUCGAAUCGAUUUCUAACCAGCUGGCGAGUUUAUUCCCCACACAAACCACACUCACUGAUCAAGAGAGCUACAGGUCACCGUAUUGCACUAUCCAGGACCAAUUCGCGGGUUCUACAGGCACCUCCCGUACCCGAGGACCGUUCCGGCGACCGAGGUAUCCAAGGUAUACCAAGGUUGCGCGCCGCGCCCUCGUCGUUCUCCUCAACCAUCACUAAUACAGCGCGUACAUCGGGCCGAUUCCCGGCCUGGAUAGUGCUCAGGCUUCGCUGUCGGAAUGACUUAUCCUUCCAGCUAAAUGUGGGGCAUGCGUUCAACAUGACAAGAGGGCCGUCAACGAUCGGUCCUUAAUCGACGCAGGCAGGGGCACUAUGGUCAACCCACCAUAAGACCCUGCCCGGUCUCCAAUUACAUUCCACACUUGGUUAUUCUUUUCCCCAAGCAACCACUGCUUAAACAAGCAGGUAUCCAACUAUAUCUCGCAGGUGACAGGAAAUCACCCGACUUCUACCGGGCUACGCAAGCUAAGCAUAGACUCCGCGCCUAUCUACAUAGGACAAGGUAGAUAAACAAGUAGGGAUAACAAGGAGUACAUAUGCAGCAACGGUAUCACACAACUCCUAUCACUUAAAUGCAAUAUAGUAGAACAAGCAUAGUAUAUCUUGUAAGUUAGCGAGAAUAUGGAGACUUAGAAUGCUCCGGGGCUUGCCUUUCUCAAACGUGCUGGGUCGGUGAUCCGGACACGCCUGCAGUUCCUCUCCGGAUUCCUGUGCUUCCGGAGGUUCCUGCUCCUGGAUCUCCUCUGGUUCCUCGGGUCCCACCUCGUUCUCCUGCGAGCCUGUAUGAUGCAUGUGUGCUUAUGAGUGGAGUGCGAGAUGCCCGAGUGGAUGCUUGUAUGAGAAAGUACCAAAGAAGUCAUGACAUGAUGCAUAUGUAAUGUACUCGGUCAUGCUCAUUACAAGGUAGUCAACAUCAUCCAAGAACAAACAAUUGAAUCAAACAUCUAUUGCAUUCUCUUCUACAAUUAUUUUUCAAAUGCAACCAGCAACCCACAUGAUGCUUCAAAGAUACACCAAACCCAACUUAUUCUAUUCAACCUAUAUACACAACAAUUCAUAAUUUUCUUUAUUCAUUUCUAGGCCCAUUAAAAAUCACAUGCAAUUCUGUUCAUCAAUAAAUUCCACAAAAAUUACAGGAGACUACCAGUCAAGCAUAGAAUCUACUGUAAAUUUUUCAUAAUUUUUGGAUACUUAUUGUGAGCUACAAAAAUCACAAGGUUAAUUAAUAAGGUAAGUAUAAUCACUCUACUGUGAUAUAAGUGUCAAACAACAGAUUUCAUAUUUUUAUAAUUUGUCUAAAAUCAUUAGAAACACCCACAAAAUUUUCCAGAUUUAUUGCAUGAACCAUUAAUUAUUAAAAAUCAUAAACCACUGCCAUGUAAGCAUUUAAAUUACCAUAAAUUCAUUUAUACACGAAAUAAUGUAUAGCAAUGUUUUCCCAGUGAGUAAACAUACAUGCAGAGCCAACAAAUCAAGUUUCACAUUUUUCUGAACCAUAUUUUAUUUACUAUGCAUUUUGCAAGUUUAGCAAAAACAUGGAUUAAAUAUAUUCAUACAGAAAAGUUACUCAAACAUGACAUGCAAUCACAUCAAGCUGUAGAUCUAGAAAUAUAGAGCACACCAAAAUUUAUUUCAUCAAAUUUGGAGCUGUAGAACUCAAGAUAUGAAUUUUACAAGUUUUGAAUCAAUUUCUAGAAAACAUUUAUUCAAGAAAACCGACGAAAAAGGCUAAGUACACCCAGAUCUACACCCACCGCGGUCCCCCUGCGACUGACAGUGGGCCACUGACCCCACCAGUCAGCGAGACCGAGAGGGAGCUCACCUCCGACGAGCAGAUCUCGCCGGCGGUGAGGUUCCCGACCACGGGGUGAGCACCUUCGUGCUCCCCGCAGCGAGGCGCACCCAGCGGUACCCUCGGAUUGGCCGGAGGAUGACCGGAACACCUCCGACGAGCAUGCAUGGCGGCACGGCGGCGCUGCUCGCCGUGGCCAGGCCGCUCUGGUGCGUUAGAGCGCGCGCAAGAGCUCCUCCGAGCUUCCCCACCGAGCUACGGACCUAACGCGCUAAAGAGCGAGCGAAACUAGGCGGGAUAUCGCAAGAUCCGUCACGGCGGAGUACUCCGGCGAGCUCGGGGUAACUCCGGCGAGCGAUUCACGGCGCACGGUUGCUUCUCACCUCGGUAGAGCGCGCGCAGGGGCUUACCGUGGCGACGGCGAGUGCGCUGGUGCUCUUGGCGUCGAGGUUGGGGGUCUGUUGCGACCGGCGGCGAGCGGCGGAGCUUUCUCCGGCAAUGGCGCGGGCGGAGCUGCCGCUGCUGCUGCUGCGCGUGCGCGGGGAGGAAGAACAGAGAGGGGGAGGCAGGCGACAGAAUGGAGGGAGCGGUCUGGGGGCGCGGGGUGGCGUCCCGACCAGGGGGGUGGGGUGGCCGGCCGCGGCGCGUCCAACGCCGGCGUACGGCCGCCACGUGGCCGGCGCCGGGUGGAGCGGGGCGGCGCCGCGCACGCGGGAGAGAGGGGAGGGGGAGCGGGCCGCGCUGCCCAGCUGGGCCGUAAGGGAGACGGGUCGGCCCAGCAGCGCCUGUCCCCUUUCUCUUUUUUUUGAAAAUCUUUUCUCAAAUUCUUUCUAAAUUCAUUUGGACCAAUUUAAAAUCAUUUUCACCUCUUGCUCCCAAAAACAAAGUUGUUCCAAAAGAAAAACCCUACAACUUUGUUUUAAUAAGAAAGACCAAAUUCCCAAUAGAAUUUGAAUUAAAAAUUAAAACUAGUUCUAGGUUUUUAAAUAAAUUCAUUUUGGUCAUUUUGUAUAAAUUCCAUUUCUCAAAUUCUAUAGCUCCAAAAAUUGCACAAAAAUAUUCUUAAUUCUUCUUACACAUAAAUCCACCUAGUUUGAAUAUUUCACAUUUUUAUAAGCAAGCAUCAUAUUUUUAACAUACUUAGAACACAUGAAAUAAAGCACAUAAAAUCAUGUUUUGGGAUGAAUGACAUGCUCAUGAUGCUAUGCUUGAUGAGAAUGCUUAUGCAUUGCUUUGAUAACGCUAAGUGCAAGCUUAACACCUAGGGUGUUACAGCCCUUCCCCCCUUAGGGAAAUCUCGUCCCGAGAUUUUGGGUUACUAACCAUUUCUUAUGAAAUUUUGGAUAAACUGUUUUCAAGUAGUCCUCUGUUUCCCAGGUGGCAUCCCUAUCGUCAUGAUGACUCCACACCACCUUAUAUGUUCUGACAAUUUUGUUUCGGGUUACCCGUUCCUUGGUAUCCACAAUUCCCACUGGUUGCUCCUUAUACUCCAAAUCUGCUUUUAUUUUGAUCUCUCGAGGUUCAAUUCUUUGCUCAGGUACCUUCAAACAUUUCCGUAGUUGCGACACAUGGAAGACCGGAAAGAUCGAGCUCAACUCUUCAGGUAGCUGAAUCUUGUAGGCCACGGGGCCUUUACUCUCUAGUAUUUGAAACGGUCCCACAUAUCUGGGUGCAAGCUUGCUUCGAACUCGAAAACGCUGAACCUUCUUCAUUGGCGUAACCUUGAGGUACACAUAGUCACCUACUUUGAAUUCAAGUGGCCUUCUUCUCUUAUCAGCAUAACUCUUUUGUCGUGAUUGCACUGCUUGCAUAUGCUGCUGUAUGAUUUGCACCUUCUUCUCGGCCUCAUUCACGAAGUCGAUACCAUAGUAUCUUCUCUCACCAGGUUCAACCCAGUUUAACUGAGUUCUACACCUCCGACCAUACAAAGCUUCGAACGGGGCCAUCUUAAUGCUCUCUUGAUAACUGUUAUGGUAGGAGAAUUUAGCCAGAGGUAACCAUGAUUCCCAUGAUCCCUUGGACGAUAGCACACAGGCCCUCAGCAUAUCUUCUAACACUUCAUUUAGCCUCUCCGUUUGGCCUGAAGUCUGGGGAUGAUACGCCGUGCUUCUUAUCAGACUGGUCCCCAAACUCUUAUGCAUGCGCUCCCAGAAGUGAGCGGUGAACUGUGGUCCUCUAUCUGAUAUGAUGGUCUUGGGAAUACCAUGCAACUUGACAAUCUCGGCCAUAUAUAUAUCGGCAUACUCGGGAGGUCUGUAUGUGUUCUUAACUGGAAUGAAAUGAGCCGACUUGGUUAAUCGAUCUAUGAUCACCCAAAUCGAGUCAUUCCCCUUCCUCGUGGUUGGUAAACCUGUGAUAAAGUCCAUACUAACCUCUUCCCAUUUCCACUCUGGAACUGAUAACGGUUGCAACAGACCUGCAGGUUUCAUAUGGAUGGCCUUAACUCUGCAACACGUGUCACAACGGGCUACAUACGCAGCUAUCUCUUUCUUCAUCUUGGUCCACCAAAAGUGGGGUCUUAGAUCUUGAUACAUUUUGCUACUGCCAGGAUGAAUGGAAAGCUUAGAGAGAUGGGCUUCAUCCAUGAUGCGAUUCUUCAAUUCCCGAUCCUUCGGGACUACUAACCGAUGUUGAAACCAUAGUACCCCUUUCUCAUCAACUCGAAACUGAGUUUUUGGCUCAUCUUUGAUCUUCUCCUUGAUGUGGAAAAUACCCUUGUCUGUUUUCUGUCCUUCAAUGACUUAACUCUCGAGUGAACAACUGAGUUGUAUGUGACAUAAGACCUCUGGAUGCAUGAGAUUGAACCCAUCUUCAAACAACGGUUGAACCACUUGAUAGUGCGGCUUACGACUCAAUGCAUCUGCUACUACAUUAGCCUUGCCUGGAUGAUAGUGAACCUCCAAAUCAUAGUCCUUGAUUAACUCUAACCACCUUCAUUGCCUCAUAUUCAGCUCGGACUGAGUGAAGAUGUACUUCAAGCUCUUAUGGUCGGUGAAAACGUGACACUUAUUCCCCAGCAGAUAGUGUCUCCAAAUCUUCAAAGCGUGCACUACUGCUGCUAACUCGAGGUCGUGAGUUGGGUAGUUGACAUCGUGCUUUCUCAACUGUCGUGAAGCAUAAGCUAUCACUCGGCCGUCUUGCAUCAACACACACCCCAAGCCACUCUUCGACGCGUCGCAAAACACAUCAAAAGGCUUUUUGAUGUUAGGUUGCGCCAGAACGGGGGUAGUGCUUAGCAACUUUCGCAAGGUGCGGAAGGCUAACUCACACCCUUCCGUCCAGACAAACUUAUAAUCCUUUUGUAGCAAACUUGUCAUUGGCUUAGCAAUCUUGGAGAAGUCAGGUAUGAAACGACGAUAAUACCCGGCCAGACCAAGAAAACUUCUAACUUCCGAGACAGAAGUUGGUGCCUUCCAGUCCAUGACUUCCUGCACUUUUGACGGAUCCACAACAAUCCCUUCUUCAGACAUAAUGUGCCCUUGGAAAGGAACUUUCUUCAACCAGAACUCACACUUGCUGAACUUGGCAUAUAACUGAUGCUCUCGUAAUCGUGUCAGCACGAUUCUCAGAUGCUCGGCGUGAUCUUGCUCAUUUUCUGAAUAAACCAGGAUAUCAUCGAUAAACACCACAACAAACUUAUCCAAUUCUGGCAUAAAGACUGAAUUCAUCAGAUACAUAAAGUAUGCAGGAGCAUUUGUCAAUCCAAAGGACAUGACAAGGUACUCAUACAACCCAUAUCUGGUGGAAAAAGCAGUCCUCGGGAUAUCUUGUGGACGAAUCUUGAUUUGGUGAUACCCAGAUCUCAAAUCUAUCUAAGAAAACACUCUUGCCUUGGACAACUGAUCAAACAGGAUAUCAAACCUUGGCAAUGGAUACUUAUUCUUGAUUGUCACUGCAUUGAGUGGACGAUAGUCCACGCACAUGCGCAGCGAUUGAUCCUUCUUUUUCACAAACAAUGCGGGACAACCCCAUUCCGACGAGCUUGGUCGGAUGAACCCUUUAUCCAGUAACUCUUUUUGUUGAUUCUUCAACUCAGCGAGUUCGUUUGGUGGCAUCCGGUACGGCCUUCUAGAUAUUGGUGCUGUACCCGGUAUCAACUCGAUUGCAAACUCUACUUCCCUAUCUGGGGGAAGUCCUGGUAAAUCCUCGGGAAAAAUGUCAGGGAACUCACACACCACGGGUAUGUGCUCUAGGGGAACCACCUGUACUGCACACAAAAGACUGGCGAAGUCCAACCGCCUGGGUAGCUUGACCUGAAGCACACCCUUCCCUUGCGGGUCUCUAAGGGAAAGAGUUCUAUUCCCGGCAUCUAUAACCGCACCCUAGUCAGACAUCUUGUUCAUUCCAAUGAUGACAUCCAAAACUAGCCCUGGCAUGACCACAAGAUUUACGCGAAACCUCCGGCCACUGAUAUCCAAAGUAACUCCUGUUACUGUUUUAUUAGUCAACACAUCGGCUCCGGCUGAGCUGAUGCGAUAGCCAUAACCUAACUCAGUAACUGGCUGGUCAUGCUUUUGUGCAAAUGCUUGGCUCAUGAAUGAAUGCGAUGAUCCAGAAUCAAACAAAACAACUGCGAGAUGUUGGUUGACAGGAAACAUACCAGCUGUUACCGGUUCUCCUUCCGGGAUCUCCUCGAUCGAGGUAUGGUGCACACGAGCUGGAUAGGUUGGCUACUGCCUCUUGGGGUAGGGACAUUCCUUAGCAAAGUGCCCCAUCUUGUGGCAGUUAUAGCACGGACCCUUGGGCGCAUUGUUGACGGCAGGUGCUGCAGCUUGAACUGCCUUUGGCUUGGCAGGGGCUAUCGCCACCUUGUACGGCUUCUGCUGUGUUGGAUGCCCGGUGUUCCUUCUCUGCGGCGGUCGGAACCUAGCACCUGGGGCAGGAGGACGAUACUGCUGUCGCCCUGCCACUGGUGCCCUGGACUGAGAUGAUCCGGCUUCAAAAGCCCUCUUACGUGACUUGGAUGCACUGUAGUUGUUGUUGUUGUUCUCCUGGGUGAGACAGUCACUGAUGUAAGCAUUGAAGAUAGCCCUGGCCCUGUACCCAUGGUCUUCAGCAUCUUUGGACUCAAGCCUCUCUGGAAACUAGCAAUCUUUUUAGCCUCCGUGUUCACAAACUCCGGGGCAUAGCGAGCGAGAUUGUUGAAAGCGUGUAGAUACUCCUUCACCGAUUUCGUCCCCUAGGACAGCCUCAUGAACUCCCCAACCUUCAUUUCAACCACACCUGGAGGAAUAUAAUUUCCUCGGAAAGCAGUGGUGAAGAGGUUCCAGGUGAUUGGGGUCCCCUCUGGGUAGGUGGUACGGUGAUGGGACCACCAAAUCCCAGCGGGUCCUUGCAACUGAUGUGCCGCAUACUCAGCCUUAAGUUCUUCUGUCAUUCGGAGAAGACGAAACUUCUGCUCCAUAGUGUUGAUCCACUCAUCUGCCUCGAGCAGUUCCAAAGCCUCUUUGAAGAUUGGUGGCUUGGUAUCCAUGAAGUCCUUGAACGAACUGUACUGAUUGACUUCACGGCCACCCUGAUUAUCCCCACGACGGGUGUUAUCAGCUAUGUUGCGCAGAGCCUAUUCCAUGUUGCGUUGCAUCUGUUCCAUGUUGCGUUGGCUCCCCAGAAACUGCACGAAAAACACGUCCACAGUGUACGGAGGAGGCGGUGGUGGUGGCGGUGUUGGUGCUCUGUCCUCAUUCCGUUGAGCCCCACCUCCAGACGUACCUGCUCCAAGGCCCGGAUUGCUGUUACCCCCGCCACGUGUUUGCACCAUCUACAUACGUCAAUGAUAAGCAAUCGUUAGGAGUUGCCAGCAGCGGUAGAAAUGUGUAGAAUCAUGCUGUACUGAAUUUACUGAGGGAAUAAAUUCGCACAAUAAACAGAGGCACAACAAUUCAUCAUCUACGCACAACAUCACUAACAGAUUACUUAACAUUCACGCAACAAGGUUCGCGUACAUCCAACUUGCCAGCAUACAUACACUGGACUUUCAGCAUAACUCAUAAGUCUUACAUAGCCCAGAUCCAAAAGUACACGACAUGCCAUGCAACAUACAACACAAAAGAAGAGGGACUAGCUCUAGAGCCCUAGCAUCUAGUCACUAUGAUCACUGUCCAUGCCGGAGCCAUCCUCAUCCUCAUCUCCACUAGAAGCUGCUCCUAUCGCGGGAUCCGCAUCCAUCUCGUCCUCAGAGUCUAGCUCAGCUGCUCCAGGCAGGUGGUGAGGGUGGAGCUGGUUAUGCAGCUGGUGGAUCUCCUCAUGCAAGUUCUCAUUGUACUCCUCGGCAUUAGCUAGCUGCUGCUCUAGCUCUAGCUGUCGGGCCCUCAAAGUGUCCUCCUCGUGCCAGGCUUCAUUCCUCUGACCAAGCACAUGGACUAGCAUGCGCUCGCAGUUCCUGUGAGCAGUAGUCACCCUGUCCUUCUGCUCCCGCACUGCAAGCAGGUCCUGACUCAGCUCACUGUUCUUCUGGACUGCCUGAUCCCUCUCUGUAGUCACCCGGGGCAACUCUGCCUGUAGCCUCUCAACCUCAGAGUCAAACUCACGCUGCAACUGACGCUUCUCAUCCUGGACGGUGAGAAGAGACCUGGAUAAGCGGCCCAAACAAUGCUCCAGACCCCCAUAGGUCUUCAUCAACGCGUACAUGGCACUCAUAGCUGCACUGUCACUGUGCUGGUCCUCAUCCGCACUCCUCUCUAGAGCAUUCACCUCGGACUGAUCCCACACCGAAGUGUAGGGGUCACCCUGGGGAAACACCCCAGCGAAGACGUGGGCCAGCUCCUGUGGAAACCUCUCCAUGAGGUCCCUCAGAACUACGAAAGCUGCCCUGCUGGCACCGUGGAAAGGCGUGACACCUCGAGACUCGUACACCCAGCCGCCCCAAGCAGGGUCACCUCCACUGGUAGGAACCACUGCCUCAAUCCCCACCAGUGUCUCGUCACCAAGCGGCUCCUUAUCCCAAUAGUAGCGAGGCUCCCUUCCUUCGGGAUACCCCAUCGAACUGAGUACCCUCCAAAGCAAAGUGGGCAUCCCAAACUGCUCCAGGAACCUGCUCUUAUGUCGCGAGCUCCUAGUUGCCAACGGGUGGCGAGGGGCCCGCCCACCAGUGGACUUGCGAGCGGUGAGUCUAGUGCGUGCCAUCUGCUGCAAAUGGAAUACCGUGGGUAAGAGCGAGGAUUACCUUUAAUUAUUUUAUUUAGAAUUGGGACAGAUUAAAUUGAGGGGGAAAGUAAGCAAUGAUAUGACAUGAACAUGAUGCAUGCACGAACUUACGAUCUCACAAACUUAGAAACAAAGGUUAACACUAUGCGGUAUAUGCGGUGGCACACAACGUUCUCUCAUAACGUAACUAGCGUUCUAAGCGAGAACGUGGUUAGUGUACCUGCAGAAAACUCAUUUCAGCCCACCCACAGUAUGCUAAUGCAAAACAAAAUUUAAAACUAUGCACUCCACAUACACUGACACCCGUCCAUGCAUGUGAUGUGUUGCUACCCAUAUCAUCGCCCUAAUGACGGCAUCGCCUCUCAGGACGGAAUUCCCAACAUGCGGUACGGUUUCCAAGACACACCAAAACAUGUGUGCUUGACACAGUACCUAACAACACUCCCCUAGACCGGCAGUGUAUCCGAUCAUGCUCUCACAGCUCCCACUUACCAUGGCGUAGAGGAAAAAUGGAUCCAUACAUUACCACUCAAAUGAAUGGUACUCAUACUAUUGCACGCCGUAUGAGCGACGAAAUAAAAAUAUAAUGCAUUAACCCCCAAGUCAGUACUUAGCUAGCCACCUUAGAAUCCUUAACUGGGCAUAACGGAUAUGACCAUGGCACAUUAGAUAGUUUUCCAAAACUUAGUUUAACACUUUGAUUAUUAUUAAUUAAUAAAAUCUUUUAUUAAACCGGUUUAGAUUUUGUUUAGAACGUACUUAUGAACAGUAACGCGCUAAACCUUGCUCCGAUGCCAGCUGUAACAGAACCGACCAAAUUAUAAGAGAUUAAGCCUAACAGUAACCAUUUGCAUAGUCAAACCAUCACGCUUAAGCCCAUAUAAUCCCGGUAGUCCAUGAAAUCUCGAAGGAUUUCAAACCACAUAUCGCACAACAGCCAAGAUCGUAAUAAGUUUAGCGGUCGCCAUUCACAAAUACAUCCAGAUUACAACAUUCAUAAAACACAUCGGAGUUCGAAGAAUUAUUACAAACCAAGUUCUUCAAGUAGCGGAAGCUUCAUAGUUCGAAAAUACAACACACACGCUUAGUCUGAUACAGUGCCAUAGUUCGGUCAUUCCCACAAAAGCAAAAGAGGAGACGGAGUGACCAUCGCCCUUGGUCUAGUCAUCAUCCAUAGCUGGGUACAGACAGAGGAUGCAAUAACCAUAGUACAUUUGACCAUCUGCAAAACAACAUGGGAGUAGAACCCUGAGUACGAGAAGGUACUCAGCUAGACUUACCCGUCAUAAAAUUAAAAUAAAGACUCAUCAAGGAUCAUGAAAGCUAUAUAGUGGGGUAGGUGACAACCAUUUUGCAAAACCGCAGAAUUUUACUAUCAUAACCUACAUAAGUCUUUCUUCCUUUAAUUUGCUCAAGUUGAAAGUAUCAUUACCUAUCAUCUAGGUUUGCACCUGCACUAUUACAAGCAAGUAUAAGGAUAUGAUAGUACCUCAUUGUGGCAUUCAUAAGCCAUUUAUCAAUAUAGUCCAAGUGUUCCAUAGUCCUUACUACGAGGACGAAGCUCAUGUCAAGUGCUCACUAUCCAGGAGCGAUGGCGAUUCGAAUCGAUUUCUAACCAGCUGGCGAGUUUAUUCCCCACACAAACCACACUCACUGAUCAAGUGAGCUACAGGUCACUGUAUUGCACUAUCCAGGACCAAUUCGUGGGUUCGAUAGGCACCGCCCGUACCCGAGGACCGUUCCGGCGACCGAGGUAUCCAAGGUAUACCAAGGUUGCGCGCCGCGCCCUCGUCGUUCUCCUCAACCAUCACCAAUACAGCGCGUACAUCGGGCCGAUUCCCGGCCCGGAUAGUGCUCAGGCUUCGCGGUCGGAACGACUUAUCCUUCCAGCUAAAUGUGGGACAUGCGUUCAACAUGACAUGAGGGCCGUCAACGAUUGGUCCUUAAUCGAUGCAGGCAGGGGCACUAUGGUCAAGCCACCAUAAGACCCUGCCCGGUCUCCAAUUACAUUCCACACUUGGUUAUUCUUUUCCCCAAGCAACCACUGCUUAAACAAGCAGGUAUCCACCUAUAUCUCGCAGGUGACAGGAAAUCACCCGACUUCUACCGAGCUACGCAAGCUAAGCAUAGACUCCGCGCCUAUCUACAUAGGACAAGGUAGAUAAACAAGUAGGGAUGACAAGGAGUACAUAUGCAGCAACGGUAUCACACAACUCCUAUCACUUAAAUGCAAUAUAGUAGAACAAGCAUAGUAUAUCUUGUAAGUUAGCGAGAAUAGGGAGACUUAGAAUGCUCAGGGGCUUGCCUUUCUCAAACGUGCUGGGUCGGUGAUCCGGACACUCUUGCAGUUCCUCUCCGGAUUCCUGUGCUUCCGGAGGUUCCUGCUCCUGGAUCUCCUCUGGUUCCUCGGGUCCCACCUCGUUCUCCUGCGAGCCUGUAUGAUGCAUGUGUGCUUAUGAGUGGAGUACGAGAUGCCCGAGUGGAUGCUUGUAUGAGAAAGUACCAAAGAAGUCAUGACAUGAUGCAUAUGUAAUGUACUCGGUCAUGCUCAUUACAAGGUAGUCAACAUCAUCCAAGAACAAACAAUUAAAUCAAACAUCUAUUGCAUUCUCUUCUACAAUUAUUUUUCAAAUGCAACCAGCAACCCACAUGAUGCUUCAAAGAUACACCAAAGCCAACUUAUUCUAUUCAACCUAUAUACACAGCAAUUACAGGAGACUACCAGUCAUGCAUAGAAUCUACUGUAAAUUUCUAGGCCCAUUAAAAAUCACAUGCAAUUCUGUUCAUCAAUAAAUUCCACAAAAAUUACAGGAGACUACCAGUCAAGCAUAGAAUCUACUGUAAAUUUUUCAUAAUUUUUGGAUACUUAUUGUGAGCUACAAAGAUCACAAGGUUAAUUAAUAAGGUAAGUAUAAUCACUCUACUGUGAUAUAAGUGUCAAACAACAGAUUUCAUAUUUUUAUAAUUUGUCUAAUAUCAUAAGAAACACCCACAAAAUUUUCCAGAUUUAUUGCAUGAUCCAAUUAAUUAUUAAAAAUCAUAAACCACUGCCAUGCAAGCAUUUAAAUUACCAUAAAUUCAUUUAUACACCAAAUAAUGUAUAGCAAUAUUUUCCCAGUGAGUAAACAUAUAUGCAGAGCCAACAAAUCAAGUUUCACAUUUUUCUGAACCAUAUUUUAUUUACUAUGCAUUUUCCAAGUUUAGCAAAAACAUGGAUUAAAUAUAUUCAAACAGAAAAUUUACUUAAACAUGACAUGCAAUCACAUCAAGCUGUAGAUCUGGAAAUAUAGAGCACACCAAAAUUUAUGUCAUCAAAUUUGGAGCUGUAGAACUCAAGAUAUGAAUUUUACAAGUUUUGAAUCAAUUUCUGGAAAAUAUUUAUUCAAGAAAACCGACGAAAAAGACUAAGUACACCGAGAUCUACACCCACCGGGGUCCCCCUGCGACUGACAGUGGGCCACUAACCCCACCAGUCAGCGAGACCGAGAGGGUGCUCACCUCCGACGAGCAGAUCUCGCCGGCGGUGAGGUUCCCGACCACGGGGUGAGCACCAUCGUGCUCCCCGCAGCGAGGCGCACCCAGCGGUACCCUCGGAUUGGCCGGAGGAUGACCGGAACACCUCCAACGAGCAUGCAUGGCGGCACGGCGGCGCUGCUCGCCGUGGCCAGGCCGCUCUGGUGCGUUAGAGCGCGCGCAAAAGCUCCUCCGAGCUUCCCCAUCGAGCUACGGACCUAACGCGCUAAAGAGCGAGCGAAACUAGGCGGGAUAUCGCAAGAUCCGUCGCGGCGGAGUACUCCGGCGAGCUCGGGGUAACUCCGACGAGCGAUUCACGGCGCACGGUUGCUUCUCACCUCGGUAGAGUGCGCGCAGGGGCUUACCGCGGCGACGGUGAGUGCGCUGGUGCUCUUGGCGUCGGGGUUGGCGCUCUGUUGCGACCGGCGGCGAGCGGCGGAGCUUUCUCCGGCAAUGGCGCGGGCGGAGCUGCCGCUACUGCUGCUGCGCGUGCGCGGGGAGGAAGAAGAGAGAGGGGGAGGCAGGCGACAGAAUGGAGGGAGGGGUCUGGGGGCGCGGGGCGGCGUCCCGACCAGGGUGUGGGGUGGCUGGCCGCGGCGCGUCCAACGCCGGCUUACGGCUGCCACGUGGCCGGCGCCGGGUGGAGCGGGGCGGGCGCCACGCGCGCGGGAGAGAGGGGAGGGGGAGCGGGCCGCGCUGCCCAGCUGGGCCGAAAGGGAGACGGGUCGGCCCAGCAGCGCCUGUCCCCUUUCUCUUUUUUUUUGAAAAUCUUUUCUCAAAUUCUUUCUAAAUUCAUUUGGACCAAUUUAAAAUCAUUUUCACCUCUUGCUCCCAAAAACAAAAUUGUUCCAAAACAAAAACCCUACAACUUUGUUUUAAUAAUCAAGACCAAAUUCCCAAUAGAAUUUGAAUUACAAAAUAAAACUAGUUCUAGGUUUUUAAAUAAAUUUAUUUUGGUCAUUUUGUAUAAAUUCCAUUUCUCAAAUUCUAUAGCUCCAAAAAUUGCACAAAAAUAUUCUUAAUUCUGCUUACACAUAAAUCCACCUAGUUUGAAUAUUUCACAUUUUUAGAAGCAAGCAUCAUAUUUUUAACAUAUUUAGAACACAUGAAAUAAAGCACAUAAAAUCAUGUUUUGGGAUGAAUGACAUGCUCAUGAUGCUAUGCUUGAUGAGAAUGCUUAUGCAUUGCUUUGAUAAGGCUAAGUGCAAGCUUAACACCUAGGGUGUUACAGGCUUCACUGCCACUAGAGCCUUGGAUUGGGAUGCCUCGGCCUCAAAAGCUCGCUUGCGAGUUUUGGUUGUAGCAUGCACAACAUUGUAAUUCUCUUGAGUAAGAGCAUCACUAAUGAACGCAGUGAAUGUGGCCCACAUGCUGUCGGCCAUUGUCUUCAUCGGCUUAGGCCUGAGACCCCUCUUGAAACUGGCAAUCUUCUUUGCCUCGGUGUCCACAAACUCAGAUGCAUACCUUGCCAAAUGAUUGAAACCAUGCAAAUACUCCAUCAGAGUUCUGUUGCCCUGAGUUAGCUGCAUGAAUUUAGUAUGCUUCAUUUCCAUGAGCCCAGGGGGUAUGAAGUGCCCCUUGAAAGCAUCAUGGAACUGAGUCCAGCCAACCAUGGUAUUUUCUGGAAGAGUGCUCCUGUAAUGACUCCACCAGAUACAAGUGGGACCCUAAAGUUGAUAAGCUGCAUACUCAGCCUUCAGACUCUCAGUCAACCUGAGUAGACGGAACUUUUGCUCAACUGUGUUUAGCCAUUCCUCAGCUUGAAGCGGUUCCUCAGCCUCCUUGAAAAGAGGGGGCUUGGUAUCAAGAAAGUCCCUAAAGCUGCUGUACUGGUUGGGUGCUGGCCCAUAUUGGAUAUUCCAACCCCUAAGGUUCGCCAUCUGAUGGAUAGCGUCAGUCAACAGCCUCUAAUUCUCCACCACUGUCUGCAUUAAUUCAGCCAGAUUGGGUGGUGGGGGAGGAGGGGGUGGAUCCAUGUUCACACAAUUUGCUCCACUGUGAGUGCUAUGAGACAUUUGUCAAGACACAGUCAGUGAGUAUUGAUGAUGACAAGAUUUGUUGUAGAAGAACUCAUAAUCAUGCCUGAAAGUAUUCGAGAGGAAUAACUUUAUAGAAAGUAAGGCAUAAUAAUUCAAUUCCACAAAACAACAUCACCAAUCACAGAACAUGACAUAGAUAGUCCGUUAAGCACACAAGAAAAGAUAAAUAAUGAUAGCGGUCAUUCAAACAUGAUUAUGCCAUUACAACAACUGAUCUAAGUAGUUAUUACACCACAACAACACUGAUAACAGGAAAUGAAACCAUGGUUCAUGGUUACAACACGAUUACAAGGCAAGUUUUGCCAUUGAUCGAAACACAAAAGAACCUCCCAAAGGACAGUAUUGAACUCCACUUACUACACUGCAGACUCGUCCUCCGUAUCUCAUCAAAGAUCACCUCUCCGUCCUCGUCACUAACCGGCCCAAGCUCCUCAUCCUCCACAUCCUCGUGCUGAGGGGGUGCAGCCGUGGCUAGCCCAUCCACCUCCAUGCCAUCAUCUUCAGCCACAAUCACCUGAGGACCCAGGUUCGGAUAAGCUAGUGCAGGGCGAGGAAUUGGGUGCAGCAAAUUGUUGAGACAAUGUAUCUCCACAAGACCAGCCUCAAUUUGAUCCUCCACCUAGCUGAAUGGAUACAGUGCAUCUCCAACGCAUGACACCUAUUCUACGACACACGUAGAGCAGUAUCUCUCUCACGAGUGACCUGCACUAAGUUAUCCUACAGGGCAUCCUUCUCAUGGGACAACUGACUCAUCUGAUCUUGCUUAUGAUCCCUCUCAUGAGCAGCCUUCACCCACAACUGCCUACGAUACUCCGCAAUGCCUUUCCAGUCAUCACAGUCCUUUUGGGCUUGCCCCAGGAGUCUAGCUUGCUUGCGAAACCUACAAGCACGCUUUUUUAGCCUUCUGUUGCAUCUCCUAGGCUUAACGAAUAGCCCUCAUCACCUGAACAUAGGUGUCCUCCCACUGACCAAAUAGCUUGAGCAUUGCCAUCAUAGCACUCAUCGCAGGACAAGAGCUUUCAGCUUGCUCUCCAUUACCUCAGACCAACGCACAACCAUUAGCUUGCUUCCACUUUGCUGUUGCUGGGUCAGCACGGGAAUGGAAGUCGCUGGCCCUCCUAUCAGCUCAUCACCAAACCUCUGAUAGAUAUUGAUCAUAAUAGCCUAGGCUACAACCUGAGCCGCUUCCCAUGGAUUCUGCCCAUCAGCAUUGCAGUUCUAGCCUGACCAUGUGGGCUUGUCCUCAUGUGGAGGAACAACUCCACGCACAGCGAACCAACGCAAGCCUCCCUGCAUGUCCAUCUCCCACCAAGAGUACCGAGGGUGCUCCGAGUACCCCACUGACUGCAACACUCUCCAUAGCAGGGUAGGAGUACCAAACUUGCUCAGAAAGGUGUCACUGGGGAGAGGUGAAGCAGGCAUGUCCAUUGUUGAUAUUAGUUACGCACACAGAAAAAUCCACAAGCACAUGGAUAUCGUUGAGCACUUCACUCGGGAAACAUUCCUGAGUAUUGUUAUUUAUAUUUUUACCGCUGGGAGAAAGCACUCAUCGAACUAACCUAAAUCUAUAUUUAACCCCCAGGCUCGCAAGACAAGAUAUUGAGAUAUGAGCAAUAUAGAGAGAACUCCUUCAUUAGUCUUCUUCUAACCUAUGGUAAGCUAUGUAGAUAUUGUUCUAAGGGGAGUAACAAGAUAAAAGAGACACCUUAGAGAGUGCUUAACCCUAGAACUACCUCCUGACGGGACAUGGAUUAUUGAGACCCUAGAGGAUUGUAACUUCCCCGAAAAGGCUACCACAAAUCCGGCCAGAUAGGGAGUAUCUAUGAGUGUUCCUAGCCCAAGCACCACGCUUACACUCUGAAAGAUUACUCUAUUCCCAAGCACAAGCGAAUAAAGUAAACUCAUAAACCAAAGAACAAUAAGAACAAUAACUUACUAGUAUUAGAAGUCGAAUUGUCGAAUGAUUCCAGAACCAAGCCUCAGGUUAGGAGACUUGAUCCCACAGAUACAAGGAAGAAGAAACCGAGGGGCUAGGCUUCCUCCACUUCUAUCUCCACCUUAUACUCUCUCAACCUCUCUUGUUGCUAAAACCCUAAAGAGACAGAUCUAUUCGAGGGACCCCUCUCUGACUAAUUCUCUCUAGAAAAUAUGAAUUAGAGCUUCAGAAUUCGCUACUCCCUAGGGGGGUCAGGGUCUUAUUUAUAGGGGUAUCUGACCCCUCCUCUACCUUGCACUAGCGAUGUGGUACUAAUCUUUCCACCCCUAGGAAUAACCAUAGCCCUUGGAUCAAACCCACUUAAACGUGCACUUAAGAUUAAUCGUGAAAGUCGGUGGAGGCUGAUCCGCGAAGAUCACCCUGAUUGGUGGAGUUGAUGGGGCAGGUGCCCCUGCCCUUCUGUGUGGCCGCCUAGAGCCUGAACCCAUUUUCCCUACCGUUCGCUUUGGAGCCUCCUCGAACCUUCUGGAUUACUCUAAUUGAUGAAUCCCGAAAGGCCGUAUCAAAUGACAUUAGUCUGAGUCCAUCUUCCCUUGCUAUUGACGUAUAGGUAUGCGUAUGCCUGUCUUUCGACACUUAUCCAAGAUUGGAGUAAGCAAUCAUAGCCUAGUUGACGUUCGCGGUAUUCUCUGUAUGUAAACCUGACAUGUGGACCACCUUUGGUUAUUUCUAGCUGACCCCUAUAGAAAUAGACAAUCAACAAAACUCAUGGAAUUCUGUUAGUGAUAACCCUAUAUCUACUAGGUGUUUUGCAUAUAGAUCCAUUUUCAUGUCUAAUUGACGGUUAAAAUUUGGAGUUACCUACCAUCAACAACUCCCCCAAGCUUACCCUUUGCUCAUCUCUAAGCAAAGAUAAAAUCAGUGAUGGAUCAAGAAUUGCUACAAUGCUUUCAUGCCUCAAAAGUACACAUGCGUUCAAACAAGAACUCUCCUCCGAAAUAGAGUGAACAAUUCUGACUCAAAACUUACUCAUAUUACCUUCCACCAUGGGGCUUGUAGCCAUCACUUGGGUCUUGAGCAGUUGAAAGACAGAACAAUCAAGUCAACUACUAUCUUUCUUGCUCUUUGAUCAACUAUUAUUCUAGAGUUUUUGUAAGUUUUUAAAAUAAAACUCAGAGUUUCCUUAUAUGACCCUUUCAAGUCUCUCAUUUGUGGUAUUUUUGGAUCCUUACCAAGGCAUGAAUGGUAUAUGCCUUCUCUCUACUCUCAGAGUAUGUGGUAUUUGUGGAAUUAAGGAAUAGUGGCAUUAUGCCCUCUCUCUCUCUCACCCUACAUCUAAUAGGCUUAUGUGGAGCUCAUAGGUGGGGAGACAGCUCAAACAUACAUGCAACAUAUGUUGUAUAGUUAAAACCAUGGAUCCAAAGAAACGAGUCAUACAAUCAAAGUAUAUGUGCAUGUGAAUAAGAGGAGUGCAGCGAGUGAUAUAAAUGGUGAUGAUGAUAGUGGUGGAGAUCUAAUUCUACAUUUGCUCCUUGGUGAUAACAUACCUCCCUUAUUUGGAAACUAAAGACCUUGGAGGAAAUUGGCUUGCUCUCUGUCUUUUUUUCUUUCUUGGGACAUUUGUCCUCUUUCUUUCUUUCUUUUCUUUAUCUCUUUUUUCUAGGAGCAACCAAGCCUCCUACUAGAAAUAUAUGAAUAGGGAAUGAUAACUAGAGUAACUGGAGCUUUAUUGGAUGAUGGAAAAAAGAUAGGAUGGCGACAUAUAUUUUUGGUGUUCACUCCCAGUGUAGGAGAAGAACAUUUUCUAAAUGAAUGAAGUGAAUGCAUGUGAAUAGAGGAGUGUGUAGUCCCAGGGUAGGAGUAGCACGUGUGCAUGGAGUGUGUAUAUAUGUGGGUGGUACUUCCAGGAACAGAAGUAGCACAGAGUAAAUGGGGGCUUACUUCUGAGGACAGAAGCAGCAUAGAUCAAUGGAUGGACAGCACAUAAUAUUGACUUUAACUGCAUGACUAAUUCCUAAGGGUCAACACAGCUUAACUACACGCAAUGCCUACAAGCAGUAUAUUAAAGUGGAUGGCUUUCCUAAUCUAGCAAGCAUGUAUAUUUGGCUGUGGUAGGAACUUUGAACUCUCAUCAUACAGGAACUCAUCAUGCAGCAAUUUAAGUUUUUCAAAGAUAAAUUCUCUAGAACUCUAGUAUCUCUAUGAACAAGAUGGACAACAGCUCAAAACCUUCCAAUAUCAUAUACGUCAACUACCUUGACUUAGAUCAAGCAUUCGCUACCCACAAGUUUUAGGUUUAGAACAGACCUCAAAUCAAAACAGUUGUUUCCAAAACUCGGGAGAGUUCAAGGUUGAAAACUAGGUACUUGAAAGGAAUUACGGUAGAGCAACUAUUCAUCAUUUCCAUAUAAGAGAUUAUUCUAUAGGGUCUCUUUUAGCAGGAAAUUCUUCCAAUACUCUCCUAAAUAAAUUUUAUUUAGCAAACUUAAUAUCAAAUAGAAAGAUAGAUAUAGAUAUAAAUAAAUGGGGAAAUCUUUAUUUGGGUUUUUAUGGUUAUGUAUCUUUUUAUUUGUUUCAAAUAAAAUAGCACAUUUAAUAAAUAGAUAAGUGAGUGAUACUUAGUUGGAUAAACAGGAGUCCUCUCCCCCAAAGUGGAUGUUGACGUAGUCUAUUGGUGUUGCUAGAUGGUAGUGAAGGCGUACUUGUCCUCCCGGAGUGUCAGGGAUGGUUGCUGUUGAGAUAGCCUCGACUGUUGAAAAUAGCACUGCGACAAGGGAUAGAACAUCCAUCUGCCUGUUGGUUCUUCUUGAUCCUAUAAAUUUUGUGAGGCUCAAAUAAACAACAAAACUUGUGGAACUGAUUAAGUGUUAGUGGUAAAACCCCUAAGCCUUGGUUGAUUAAACUUUCUUAAUAUAUUUAGCAGGACCAUAAGAUAUAUUUUUAUAUAUUUUAUUAUAUGUAGAAAAUGUAGUAAGAUGAAAACUUAUUUUUAUGCCACUACCAUGGAUAUCUUUGUGGGCUACCGCACCACAAAAUUAUCCACAUGGGGCUUAGCAUUUUCUAGAUGCAGUACUAAAAAGGGAAAUAUUGAUAAAAAUUACCAAGUUACCUCUUAGCACGGUGUUUGGUGCUUUAGGUCCUGUGAAUAGGACCUUACCAUGUGUUGACGGUUCUUAAGUAUCAAUUUUAAUUAUCAAAUAAACAAGAGAAAGGACCAAUAUACAAACAACACCUAGAAUUAGGGUUUGAUCUAACAGAAUUCCAUGAGUUUUGUUGUUUAUCUGUUUCUGCAGGGGGUUAUCAGGAAAUAAGGAAGAAAGGCCCACAUGUCGGGAUUACGUAGAGAUAUCAACGCACCGUGCAAUUUUCUACCAUCUAGAAGACUCCAGAAGCCACGAGAAUGACGCAGAGGCUGAAAGGGGCUAGGCCUAGGGCGCCCGCCCUGAGGACCUGGGCGCCCGCCCCCCUCUGUACUCCAAUCGGGACUCUUUUCGCACACGACAUUCCACCGACCUAAAGGAUCAAGGAUAACCGUCCAAUCAAUGUCGCUUUGAUCCAACGGCUCACGUUCACUUGAGGGGACUAUAAAACCAGACCCCCUGGCCCCUGGAGGAGACAAGUUUAUCAUAGAGUUGAGGGGAGCCCUCGAAGGAAAACCUCUUCUCUAAAUAAAAUUUCUUUUUAGGCUUAGCAACCAAUGUGAGUAGAAAUAGAUCUUCUAGUUUCUACUAGAUUGAGAGAGAUAGAGUGGAGGUGUAGAUCGGAGGAAGCCCGGCCUGUCCGUGUCUACUCCGAGCUUGUACCUACGGGAUCAAGUUCUCCUAACCCGAGGCUUGCUCCUAGGAUUCUUCAGUAUUUCGACUUCUAAAUGCUAGUAAGUUCUUAUUUUAUUGUUCUUUUGGUUUAUGAGUUUACUUUAAUCUCUUCGCGUAGAGUUUAGAGAAAUCAUCUCUAGCGUAGACGUGGUGUUUAAGCUAGGAUACUCAUAGAUAUUCCCUGACUAGCUAGACCGUGGUAGUAGCGAGGAACGUGACAUUUCCGAGUUACCUUUGUAGACCAUAUCUCGUUAGCAGGAAGGAUAGGGUUUAUAGGUGCAGGUUGAACAUCCUCUGUGGUGUAUAGAUUCCGUUAGCCUCCCCAAUAGAACAGUGGAUCAUCCUUACCAAGGUUAGAAGGAGAUUAUGGUUGUAGUCUUCUCUAUUUAUCACUCACAUCGAGAAACAUUCUUUGUUGCCUAAAGGGUUAGUAGUAAUAGACCGGGUUAGUUAGAUGCACUCUUUCUCCUAGUGGUAAAAAAAUAAAUACGAUACUCUGGAUAACUUCCCGGGUGAAGUGCUCACCGAUAUCCGUGCGCUUGCGGAUCAAUUCCUUAUUGCGUUCCCAAAUAUCAACAAGCAUUUUUGGCGCCGUUGCCAGGUAGAAAGACGGUUUGCUGAGAUAACCUUGAGUCUUACUACUAGCUUGUAUCUAUACUUUUAUCUUUUCUUAUCUUUUGUAUUCUGUAUUUAUUUUCUUUACUAUUACCUUAUGGAAAACCAAGAUUCUAAAUCAAUCUACCAAUUUGCAGCACCUUCGGAAACUGACCUUUUACCAUGGGAGUCAUCACAGCCUAUCCAAACAUCCCAGUAUAGGUUAAGUUCUAAGUUGAUUGCCAUGAUUCAACACCUAUCUUUUCGGGAAAGGAAGACGAAAACCCUUACCUUCAUAUUAGAGAUUUUGAGCAAACAUGUGAUUGUCUUCGCACUGAAGGCAUUUCUGAUAAAACUUUACGUUGGAAGCUUUUUCCUUUUUCCUUAAGGGGUGAAGCUAGACAAUGGUACAGUCAGAAGGUAAGUCAACAAUGAGGUGAAUGGGGAGUUUUAAGAGCCAAGUUUUGUCUAGAUUUCUAUUCCCUCGACCGUAUCGGCGACCUUAGACUCGAUGUCCUAUCUUUUAAACAAAAAGAUAAUGAAACUUUGGGAAAAUCCUGGAAACAUUUUUUUGAUCUUUUAGAAUCUAGUCCAAACCUUAAUCUUGAAGACCCUGUUCUUUUAUUUCACUUUUUUCGAGGUCUUCAAAAAAAUCAUAAACAAAUGCUACACACAAUGUCUGGAGGUUCUUUCUUUCGCAUCCCUACUGAUGAAGCUAGAGUGAUCCUAGAUAGAAUCCUAGAAGCUGAGAUGGAUAAUACCCUUCAUGAUGAAACCUACAAAGCCGAAGUAGACACUCUGCCAAAUUCUUCAUCUACUUUAGCUAUCCCAAGUUCUGAUCCACAAGAGGAAGAAAUUCCACCACCGGACUUCAUGCUGGAUAUAGAAUCCGAUAUUUUUGCCGAUUUUGGAAACAUUUGAAACUACCAUUCUAUUGACAAACCCCAAAACGACCAGUUUAGCAUUUAUUUGCCAAGUUAAUAUCAAUUGAGAGAGCUUAUCUCAGUCAUGAGUAGCGAGUGGUUGGAGGAAUCGGAGCUUUCCUCUGAUGUGAUCCGUUUGGACACACCCUCUAUAACUAUACGCUGUGCUUAUGAUUCUGAUCGAUUUAAUGCUCUCUAUAAUCCUGUUAUGGGGAUCAACAUCAUGUCUGAAUCUUUUGCACUUAAAUUAUUUAAAAAUCUUGCCUUAACCCCCACAACGGAAGUCAUAAAGGAAUCUUCGGGACGAUUAGUCCCCAGUCUUAGAAUUAUUAAUGUCCUACCUCUUACGGUAGAAGGCUCCAUGGUUCAUUUGAACUUCUAUAUCUUUGAUACAUGGGACUUCGACCUGUUGAUAGGACAACCUUUUAGAAGACUCCUUUAUGAAGGUCAUAUUGGAAAGCUACACAUUUCAUUUGGAAAAACCUUUAAAUUCCCAAUAACAAUUUCACACUCUUAAACAAUAAGGCCGAGUCAUAUCUUUUGCCAGAUCCUAUGGAGGAGGUAAAGGCUGCAUCUCUUGAACUUUUAGAUGAACCAGACUUAGAAGACGAAACUCCUUUCUUCAUAGAAGAAGAAGCCGAACCUUCUGAACCUGAACCCUUAGAUGAGUUUGCAGAAACACCUAGACCCCCCAUAGAGCUUAAAACUUUACCACCCGAUCUUAUCUAUGCUUUCCUAAACAAUAAUCCAGAGUUUCCUGUGAUCAUUAGUGAUAAACUCACUCAGGAGCAAACUCUGCGAUUAAUGACCAUUCUUGAGAAACAUCACUCAGUUUUCGGCUACUCACUCCAGGAUCGUACAGGAGUCAGUCCUAUGAUUUGUACCCAUCGUAUUCCAACAGAUCCUUCUGUUUCACCUUCUCAAGAACUCCAACGUAGACUUAACAACACUCUGAGAGAGAUAGUUAAAAAGGAAGUUAUAAAGUUGCUGCAUGCAGGGAUUAUAUAUCCUGUGCCGUACAGUGAGUGGGUAAGCCCAGUACAAGUUGUGCCUAUAAAGGGAGGCAUGACUGUUAUUAUGAAUGAAAAGAACGAGCUAAUUCCGCAACGCACCAUCACAGGAUGGCGGAUGUGCAUAGACUAUAGAAAACUAAACAAAGCCACAAGAAAGGAUCACUUUCCUUUACCUUUUAUAGAUGAGAUGCUAGAGCGAUUAGCGAACCAUUCGUUCUUUUGUUUCUUAGAUGGAUAUUCAGGGUAUCACCAAAUCCCGAUCCAUCCCGAUGAUCAAAGCAAAACCAUUUUUACAUGCCCAUAUGGAACUUAUGCUUACCGUAGAAUGUCUUUUGGGUUAUGUAAUGCACCAGCUUCUUUUCAAUGAUGCAUGAUGUCUAUAUUUUCUGAUAUGAUUGAAGAGAUUAUGGAAGUUUUCAUGGAUGAUUUCUCUGUAUAUGGAAAAACUUUUGAUAGUUGUCUUGAAAACUUAGACAAGUUUUUGCAUAGAUGUGAAGAAAAGCACUUAGUCCUUAAUUGGGAAAAAUGUCAUUUCAUGGUUAGGGAAGGAUAGUGCCGGGACACCUAGUGUCUGAAAGAGGAAUCGAGGUAGACAAAGCUAAAAUUGAAGUAAUUGAACAACUACCUCCAGCUGUGAACAUAAAAGGAAUUCAAAGCUUUCUUGGCCAUGCUGGUAUUUAUCGUAGAUUCAUAAAAGAUUUUUCAUUUAUUGCUAGACCACUUACUCUUUUGCUAGCCAAGGAUGCUCCUUUCGAAUUUGAUGAUGCAUGUCUAACAUCUUUUAGUUUAUUAAAGAAAGCACUCAUCUCUGCACCAAUCAUUCAACCCCCUGAUUGGUCGUUGCCUUUUGAAAUUAUGUGUGAUGCUAGUGAUUAUGCUGUGGGGGCAGUAUUGGGACAAACUAAAAAUAAGAAGCAUCAUGCAAUUGCUUAUGCCAAUAAAACUUUGACAGGAGCUCAACUUAACUAUGCAACUACUGAAAAAAGAGCUUCUGGCUGUUGUCUUUGCCAUUGAUAAAUUUAGAUCUUAUUUAGUUGGAGCUAAAAUAAUUGUUUACAUUGAUCAUGCUGCACUAAAAUAUUUGCUCACUAAAAAAGAUGCUAAACCUCGCCUGAUUAGAUGGAUCUUAUUACUCCAAGAAUUUGACUUAGAAAUAAAAGAUAAAAAGGGAGUAGAAAAUUCUGUUGCAUAUCACUUGUCUAGAAUGUAUUUUAAGAGUCCACAGGAAACCGCCAUCAAUAAUUCACUCCGGGACGACAUGCUCUAUGGGAUUAACAGGUCUGACCCCUGUUAUGCAGAUAUUGUUAAUUUUAUGGUUUCAGGGUAUGUACCACCAGGAGCAAACAAGAAGAAGCUUAUUCAAGAAAGUCGUUCACAUAUAUGGGAUGAGCCAUACCUCUUCCGAGUAUGCUCUGAUGGCUUACUCAGGAGAUGUGUGACCACUGAGGAAGGAUGGAAGAUCAUCGACAGAUGUCAUUCAUCACCAUAUGGAGGUCACUAUGGAGCAUUCCGUACACAUUCAAUGAUCUGGCAGUGUGGAUUCUACUGGCCUACAAUGUAUGAAGACACGAAGCAAUAUAUCAGAAGAUGUGUGUUGAUAUUUGGGAACGCAAUAAGGAAUUGAUCCGCAAGCGCACGGAUAUCGGUGAGCACUUCACCCGGGAGGUUAUCCAGAGUAUCGUAUUUAUUUUUUUACCACUAGGAGAAAGAGUGCAUCUGACUAACCAGUCUAUUACUACUAACCCUUUAGGCAACAAAGAAUGUCUCUCUAUGUGAGUGAUAAAUAGAGAAGACUGCAACCGUGGUCUCCUUCUAACCUUGGUAAGGAUGAUCUACUGUUCUAUUGGGGAGGCUAACGGAAUCUAGACACCACAAAGGAUGUUCAACCCGCACCUAUAAACCCUAUCCUUCCUGCUAACGAGAUAUGGUCUGCAAAGGUAACUCGGAAUUGUCACGUUCCUCACUACUACCACGGUCUAGCUAGUCAGGGAAUAUCUGUGAGUACCCCAGCCUAGACACCACGUUUACGCCAGCAAUGAUUACUCUAAACUCUACGCGAAGAUAUUAAAGUAAACUCAUAAACCAUAAGAACAAUAAAACAAGAACUUACUAGCAUUUAGAAGAUGAAAUACUGAAGAAUCCUAGGAGCAAGCUUCGGGUUAGGAGAACUUGAUCCCGCAGGUACAAGCUUGGAGUAGACACCGACAGGCCAGGCUUCCUCCAAUCUACACCUCCACUCUAUCUCUCUCAAUCUAGUAGAAACUAGAAGAUCUAUUUCUACUUUACAUUGGUUGGUAAGCCUAAAAAGAAAUAUUAAUUAGAGAAGAGGUUUUCCUUCGUUGGCACCCGUCAAUCUCUAUGAUAACUUCUUGUCUUCUCCAGGGGCCAGGGGGGUCUCCUUAUAUAGUCCUCCUCCUCUAUGCGUUUUUGGGUCGGUAGGCGAGGUGGUACUACAUUAUCUUUGAUCCAUUAGGUCGGUGGAACAUCGUGUGCGAAGAGAGUCCCGAAAGACUUCCAGCAGGGGGCGGGCGCCCAGGUCCUCAGGGCGGGCGCCCUGGGCCUGGCCCCUUUCGGCCUCUGCUUUCUUCCCGUGGUUUCUCGAAUCUUCUAGAUGGUAGAAAAUCGCGCGGUGCGUUGAUAUCUCUAUGCAAUCCCGACAUGUGGGCCUUUCUUCCUUAUUUCCUGAUAACCCCCUACAGAAACAGAUAAACAACAAAACUCGUGGAAUUCUGUCAGAUCAAACCCUAAUUCUAGGUGUUGGUUGCAUAUUGGUCCUUUCUCUUGUUUAUUUGAUAAUUAAAAUUGAUACUUAAGAACCGUCAACAAAUACCCCCAUACUUAGGCUUUUACUCAUCCUCAAGAAAACGAUGGUUAAGAAAAAUAUCUGGGGUAAACAUUUAAAACAUUCUCUUUAUAAUUGUAGGGUGUUAAAAAUCCACUGUGUAUCAUAGUCAGGGAAGUUUAUGGUUAAAAGUAAAGAUCCUUUCUUCUCAAUCCUGUCAUUUGGAGUUUUUGUAUAUUUUUGGAAGAAAGUUAGCAUACCUUUUUAUCCUCAUAGGUUCUCUCAGAUCACUCAUUAUCUUUUAUAUAUAUCUCACUGAGGCUAUUUUAAUUUGCAAAAAUUCUCAAGCAUACUUACUUUGCAUUUAUUGCCUGAUCAAAAGGGAUCCAAGGAGGGGAAUGUCAUACUCUUAGAUCAAAGACUUUGGAAAUUAAAAUCUUUGUCAACUCUUGCUGGCAUAUUGCUUAUUAGAGGGACCAUGGGCUAUCAUUUUCUUCUUUUCUUUUCUUUUUUUUAAGUGAAUACUGAGGUAUCCCUAAUUCUACUGCCGGACACUUGUCUAUUUUUCUGCGAGGUUGUCGAGCAUUUGCUCCUUUUUAUUUCCUCGAAAUAUCUUUAUUUUUGCAUAGCCCAUGCCUCUAAUGCAAUAAUACUUUGGAAGAGUGAAUCUUUCUGAAUAAAUGUCUUGAUCUUAGGAGCUUGAUAAAUCUCUCAACAAGGGUCUAACUCAUUUUGAACAAACUCAAUACAGAGUAGAUAGCUUUUAUAAUCAUAAUUAAUAUUUUCAGUUUUAUCAGGCAUAUAAAACACUGAGGAUGGUAGCUAGAAUUUUGAAGAUUUUGAAAUAAAUUCUCCAAGCAACAAUGAUAUCAAGAAUAAGAAACUCAUACUCUACCAUCUCACAUUCCAUACUGUCUUAAGUAACACAGGGUUUUAAAAUGAUUUUAUAAUAGUUAUAAGUUUUAGGAAAUAUCACAGAGUGAGAUUAAUCAUGAUUAGAAAUAUUUUAAUCUUUUCAAUUUAUCAUGUCGGAAACAAUAUUCUGCAUAAUCCAAGAUAUGUGUACGUGUAAAGUAAAGUGUGCAGAGUGUGUGCCUGAAUCGUGGAGUGGUGUAGUCGGAGUGUGUUUGGCAUGUCGCGGGAUCUCCCCCAUACUUGUUUUCUGCUUUCUUACAAAAAAUAAAGUAGAGACACACAAGACAUAAUAAUAAUAAUAAUACUCUUUAUUAAUCUUGAGGCAUUUAUUACAAAAGACUAGUAGCAAACUGACGAUAGAAGUAACAAACUGAUGAUAAGAAUAAACCUAAAUCGAAUUUAAAGUUAGAUGACUAAGAUGCAUUGCCUCAAGGUCUAAUCUAGAUAACUUAGCGGCGCUCUAAUUCCUUGAUCUUCUUGUUGGCACUGGCAAGAUCCUGCCUAAGGCCUAGUAUAUUGGUAUUGUGGUUAGAGAGCUGCCUAGUGAGGGAAUUAAUCGAGGACUGGAGGUCUAUGAUAACUCUAUCUAGUCUGCGAACAUCCUCAUCAAUAUCCAUUAUAGUCUUGCGACGCUUGGGAGGUGUCUCAAAAGCAUUGAGAGCGUGCUUUGGGGCUGCCUUUGGAGGGAUGAAACGGACUUUGGCUGCUCUAAUCCCUUCAAAGUAAGGCCUUUCCUCCUCCGUAGUGUAGCGAAUACUGCUGAUCUCACCACUCUGGUUGGUCUUGACUCCAACGACCCUCUAAUUGCGUCUAGGUGGAAGGAUCCUUGUGCCGGUUGGCACCUUGAUGGUGGUCUUCGUCUUGGAUGAUGAUCCUUUGAGGAGUAGGGGCUGUGGCGGUGCGGUGAGAACUGGUUGAGCAUGGUAGGAUUGGGCGGAGCUACGUUGGCGUAAUGACAUGGCUUCUAGCUGUCGCUCUGUGUUGGCCGGGAUGAGAGCACGGGCAUCUGGGUCCUCCACAGGCUCCAUGUUGAGGUUGAAGGGUGUUGACGGUCCUUAAGUACUAAAAUUAAUAAUCAAAUAAACAUGAAAAAGGAUCAAUAUGAAACAAACAUCUAGAAUUAGGGUUUUAUCUGACAGAAUUCCACGAGUUUUGGUGUUUAUCUAUUUCUGCAGGGGUUUAUUAGAAAAUAUGGAGAGAAGUCCCACAUGUCAUGUUUACAACGAGAUAAUUACGUGCCGCGCAAUUUUCCUCAAUCUAGAAGGAUCCAGAAGCCACGGGAACGAACGGGACGCGAUUCGGGCUCGGGAGCUGGGCGGCCGCCCACCCCCCUUGGGCGCCCGCCCUGGCCAGGAAGCCAAUCAGGACUCUGCUUCGGGACAGCUCUCCACCGACCUAAAGGAUCAAUCUAAACCAUACAAUCUAUGUCGGUUUGAUCCAAUGGCUCACGUUCACUUGAGGGGACUAUAAAACCAGACCCCCUGGCCCCUGGAGGAGAGAGGAGAAAUCAUUAUUCAGAGGUAGCCAUCAAAGUUAGAGUUUAGAUCUCUCUCCCACAGAGAAUUAGAAUUAGCUACUCCCUAAUCCUUCAAGUUUAGAGGUUGAUUAGAUAGCAAUUAGAGAAGUAGAGCACUACGCUCUGGAUUCGGAUCUUCGGUAAUAAAGAUUAGUAUUAUUCAUAUCUUUCUCUAAUUCCAUUGUUCUAAUUGCAUUAUGUCUCUAAUUAUUAUGUUCUUAGUUUGCUCUAGUUCUAUAUUUGAUAUAGUUCUAAUUGAUAAUGAGUUUAUGUAUAAGUUUGCAAAGCGCUUAUCUCUUGUCACGAGGGAGUUAGGUGAUAGAUCACAUGUGAGCGUGGUGCUUAGAUGUUAUUUAUCUGCAAAUGUAUCCUAUUGGCCGAGUCGUGUGGUAGUUCGCGAUAGUGACAGCUUCGUUGAUUCUUAUAUAGUCCACCCUCCGUUGAUAGGACAGGCAGAACCGGUAUUGUGGAGUAAGUCAUGCGAUGUUCUGAUUUACUUUAUCAAUGUUCCUUAUACAUGAAUGAAGAGUCUUUUAUGCUAUAUAUGAUCUUGUAGAUAACUAGGGUAGAUUAUGACUUAGUAGUUAGUAUUUAACUUAGAAUCCAUUCUCUAGCUAAUCCGACAUCACCUACAUAUAUGAGGAGUAGUCUAUUUUCUAAUCGCUGUGUUAUCUACCCAUGAACUUAUACUUUAUUAUCAUUAUCUUUAUGGUUUACCCCCUGCUAAAGUAAGUGACUGUAUGACGAGUUUCUCAUUAGUAAUCAUGUUCUAGCAAGUUUAUCUCUAGUCUAUGCCUUGAUAGAUUUUGCCCCUUUGAUUUAAUUCCAUCUUCUUUAGAUCCCUAGAGCAAAAUUAUAAAUAACGAUACCUGGAAUACUUAUCCUGGUGAAAUGCUACAAUGAGGUGUUUUAUCUGUGCGCUUGCGGAUAGAAUAGAUUAUUUUCUAGAGAGCCUUUACAUUUAUAAAUACCUUUGUACACUCUGGCGCCAUGCUAGGGAUGACAACCUAGUAUCUAAGUGGUGUUAGCUAGUGUCAACAAAGGGGACGACUUCCCAAUCAUCGUGGCACUUCUCGGCCAUUGGGGCAGCAAGGAACUAAUCAAGCUCUAAUUGAGGAAGAGAAGGCUUGGUGGUUUGGUGUUUGAAAACUGAUGUCAGGGGUCAGUUUAUAUAGGGGUCAAAAAGUGCCUCUAGGGGUUGUUCGGGUUGCUCCCGUCGAUGUGCGUGCGAAACUUUCCAUCGGAGGGAUUAUUCGGAUUACCAUAAGUGCAUUUUCCAUAACAGAGAAAAUUGGGACCGAGGGGGAACAGGAGCUGGGUGCCCGCCCACCUGAUCUGGGCGCCCGCCCUCUCUCUGGCCCCUCUAUGGGCCUACUUUCUCGAGCGCGUUACUGGAUGCAAAAUUAUUUAGAAAAAUAUAUAUAUGACCCAAAAAACAUUAGACUAAAAAGGUCGGGCUCUAAUUCUCCAUGGGAAGGUAAAAAUGGACUAUGUCUAUUUCUUCUAAUUCUUUAUUGGGCUCUAAAAAUAAUUUAAGACGUUGACCAUUACCUUGAAUAACGUACCUUCAUUAUUUUGAAGUGUGAUAGCUCCGUGGGAUGAUGAAUUAAUUACCUUGAAUGGUCCUUCCCAUUUGCUCCGGAGUUUUCCAUGCCUGAAAAGCAUCACCCUGGAAUUAAAAAGUAAUACCUUAUCUCCGGGUGUGAACUCCUUCUUCUUGAUUGUUUUGUCAAGCCACCUUUUGACUCUUUCUUUGUAGAUCUUUGAGUUGUGAUAUGCCUUCUCUCGCCAUUCUUCCAAUUCUGAUAGUUGCAUUCUUCUAUAAUUUCCAGCAACAUCUAGGUCCAUAUUCCAUCUCUUUAUGGCCCAGUGUGCUUUGAACUCUAGUUCAACAGGUAGAUGGCAAGUCUUCCCGUACACCAAUUGGUAUGGAGACAUUCCAAUUGGGGUCUUGUAUGCUGUCCAGUAUGCCCAGAGUGCAUCGGGUAACUUGUCUUUCCACGCUAUUUCCCAUUUCAUUUACUGUCUUCUGAAGAAUAUUCUUGAUUUGCUUGUUGGAAGUCUCUGCUUGGCCACUUGUCUGAGGAUGAUAUGGGGUAGCGACGUUGUGACGGAUUCCAUGUUUUGAUAGAUAUUGCUUGAAGCGUUUGUCGAUGAAGUGUGCUCCUCCAUCACUUAUCACUACUCUGGGGACUCCAGAUCUUGGAAAUAUAAUUUCUUCAAACAUCCUCUUUGAACUGAUAUUGUCGGCAUGCUUGCAAGGUAAUGCCUCUACGCACUUAGAGACAUAGUCAACUGCCACCAAGAUGUACUCGCACUUCUUUGAUGGAGGAAAUGGUCCCAUGUAGUCUAUUCCCCAUACAUCAAAGAGCUCAAUCUGAAGGUUGUUGGUGAGUGUAACACUCCUAGUGUUAGCUUGCAUGUUAACCUUGAGCAUUGCAUUAACAUAAGCAUCAUCAUGAUCACUCAUGAGCAUCAUACCAUGAUCACAUGCCAUUUGCUUUAUACACUACAUGAUUAAAUUGCUUGAGUGACUUGAAUUGAGUGUUUAUAAGGGGUAGCCAAUGCAAAGAAUUGUACAUUGUCCUCCAAAAUACCUCAAUCAUGUUUAUAAUAUCAUUUGGAACAAAGUUCAUGUUGAAGGUUUUGGCCAAAAAUGCCCCUAAGUCAUGGUUAACCCUAGAAUGACCUUUUUGACCCUCCUAGACCUCCUUUCAAAGAUGUUUUAUGAAACUGGUGUUAGACAUCUUGCAUGUCUUUGACACCUGAAACAAAGUUGUAGAGAAUUUCAUAAGCUACAAAAGUUAUGUUGAUGAAUUUUUAUGAAAAAGCUUGGAACACAUUCAAAAAUUGCUCACAAGCCAAAAAUUAGGGCUGAUUUCACACUUAGCCGAAUUUGGCUAAGUGUUGGAUCGCGCAGUUUCGACCAAGGGAUGUUUGGAGCUUUGUAGUUUGAAAUCCAGACCGAGUUAGACUUUGAUCUUGUAACCAAAGUUGUAGAGCUCGUGUAGCUCUGCCCAGAGGACCAAAUCCCAGCCAAAACCAUCGACUGAUCUGAGAGUAAAACGUUGACAAAGUUCGAGUUUCAGUCACUGCAAUCGGCUGUUUUCAGAAAAACGAUUCAGUUGGACAGAGCUCACCCGCCGCCGCGUGUCCGGCCACCUGGCGGCCGUACGUCGACGGCGACCCCGCCUGUCAGCCCCGACGUCGUCCACAAGACGCCACGCACCGGGUGGACGCCUCAGACGCGCCAUUCACCCCUCCAGAGCGCCACAUUGCGCCCGCCUUCGUCCACGGCGAGCUCCGCCGCGCUUCGGCGAGCUCCUCCGGCCGUUCCACCGCUUCUCCGGCCAAGCCAGCUCGCCAAAAGCUUUGCCAGAGCCUCCUCUACCUCGGCGUCACCUCCUUGGCCACUGUCGAGAACGGGUAAGGCGGCAUUGCCAGGCUCCGAGCAGUUCUCCCUCGCCGGAGUUCCGCCCGAGCUCACCGGCAACGUGGCCAGGCUUGUCUGCUCCACCAUUUCCUUCCAUUCUUGCUCCUAUCGCUUCCCCUUGGUUCACUGAUGCUCGGCAUGACGCUCUACCACGUCGCCACUGCCUGGAUCCGCCGGCGUAUCGCCGCGCAGCGCCGGUGCUCCGCCAUUCCCGACGGCGAGCACCUUAGGGUCCAGUAGAGCGCGCGCAAAGUAGGUCAAUAGAGUCGCCUUGAUGAGAGGAACACGUAGGUGCCCUGGGAUCCGGCCGAGACCUCGCCGUCGUUGAGCUUCGCCGGCGACGAGCGUCUCCCCUGCCUCUGUCUCGCUGACACGCGGGUCCCGGACGUCAGCCUCUCUGUGUCUCUCUCUGGUUCACUGUUUUGCAGAGCCAAAGCUGAUUUUGUAAAAUUCAUAUCUGGAGUUUUAGAGAUCCAAAUGUGGUGCUUCCAAUUUUGUUAGGUUCCAGCAUAAGUCUAGUUUUUAAUAAAAAUAUGAAACAUGCCAUGUUUUUGCAGAAAUAAAUAGAUAUAAAUUAAUCUUGGUUUUUCAGUGGGUAAUUUUAUCUUGAGAUCUGUUGAUCUGCUGGCCAUGCAAAUUUAGGGAGUUGUUACUUAUGUUAUGAGUAGGCUCUGAUAAAUUUUUCAUGAUUUUCGGAAGCUUGGUUGGGAAGUUAAAAUUAAUCCUGGCUUAAAUAGGAGAAUCUUGUGGUAUUUUUGAUAAUUAAAGUACAACUCCUUUUAUGGUGAAACUUGCUGAGUGUUGUCCUUAUGAGUAGACAAAGCAAGGAAAAAUCUGAAAUCUGUUGUUUGACACAUUUUGAUAGGGUUUUACAUUUAUGCCUUGCAUGCCUUUACUAGCUUGUGAGUUUCAUACCUCACAAUGUGUACAUGCAAAUGUUCUAAAAAUUUUACAGUGAUCUUAAGUUAGCAUAGGUAGCUUGCUGUAAUUUUCUCAGGAUUUUUGGAACACUUGGAGUAUAUGUUCAUUAAAUCACCUUAAUAAAUAAAUAAAUGGAAAAGGUGAUGAUAGAAAUAGUUUUAGACCUUGCCAUGAUGUUUUCUGGUGUUUCUUAGAUAUGUUAUAUCUACUGGUGCAAUUGGAUUGAUCCUUUGAUACAUUCUUAAUAUGUGCAAAAUAUUAUUUUAGGUAUUUUUGCCUUUCCUAGAGCAUUUCUGUACAGCUGAUAGCAAUUGAUUAAGAACUAUUUGAAGAUUGUAUUUUCUGGGAAACUUGUCUACAACAAACUUGUAGCUAACUUACUAAUCUACUUCGUGUCCAAAUUUCAUGACAUUUGGUUGAGUAGUUUGAAAGUUAUGCAUAUUUCAAGUAGCUACUAUGAAGUGCUUGCUCUCUGGAAUUUCCAGAGCAGCCAGCCAACUUGGUAUGUUUUAGCAUAUUUCGGUUGGGAAUCAUGCUGGGAUGUCUAAAAGUAAAUUGUAGACAAAUUGUUAAGCUUUCCAUAAAGUGCUUACUUGCUUAAUUGGGUUAAGUGAUAUUCGAGUUAUAGCUGAAACUUGUGACUGGUUGGUUUGUCUACUAAACCAGUGGCUGAGUAGGAGUAGCUAGAAGUUGCUUAACUUGUCUAUUUAGCCUCUCUACCAGAGAAGAAGUAUGCAUUUACUUGUUAUUCCAUGACUCACUUAUUCUUAGAAGUUUAUGCUCAUAUUAUACCUUGUUUAUGUCUCUUUGGCUCUUCAUCAUGACAUCAUGCAUCAUAUGUGCAUUUCCCAUAUUCAUCUCCUUGUCAUGCAUCCAUAGGUGUACCCAAAGGAGUGACGGUGCUGGAGUUCGAGUUGCCGGAGCCGGAAGGACAGCAAGGGGAGCCACCUCAAGGAGCUGAGGAGGAGGAGGACUUGCCGGAGUGCCCUGACCAUCGUCCCUCUACUUACGUUGAAGGCAAGCCCCGGAGCAUUAUAAGUCUCCUACUAUUUUAUUAUCAUAAUCAGCUAUCAAAUGACUAUGGUUAUAUAUUGUUGCAUUAAGUGGUAGGCAUUGAUAUGACACCCUUGCUGCAUAAUGACUACCUUGUCCACCUUAAACAUUACCAAAGUAGGUCCAGGAUCGAAGUGAUGCUUAGCCAUGCUUAGCUCGGUAGAAGUCGGGUGAUUUCCUGUCACCUGCGAGAGUUAGGUGGAUGAUGAUCACGGUUGGCUAUAUUUGCUAUCGUGGAGAUAACCAAUUGCUAAAAUGAACUUGAGACCGGGCGGGAUGAUGAUAGUGCAGCAACAAGGCAUGGAGGUCUUGGGUGUGAAUCUAUCCCCGUCUGUGUCGUUUAAGGACCGAAUCGCUGUACGUUCCCGUGUCAUAUUGAACGCAUGCCUAUCACUUAGUUGGCCGGAUAAGUCGUUCCGACCGCGAAGCCUACGAGUGCAUCUCCAGCCGGAUACCCCAUUCGGUUCAAGUGCGCACCCCGGUUGGUAGCAAGGAUGUGCGGGGAGACAAUGGCGUAAGACCGAGGUGUCAGGUUAGAGUCCUGACCCUGGCAGAUUGGCGGUCCCUGGGGGUGCGGCGCCGUACGGACCCGCAAAUUAGUCUGGAGUUGUGCUAAAGGUGAUCCGAGCUGCCGUCAUGAAGUAUGCUUGGGUGAGUGUUAGGAAUACCCCUCCAGCUGGAUAGGAAUCGAUUCGAAUCGCCGUCUCUCCCGGAUAGUGAGAACUUGACUUGGGCAGCGGCAACGUAGAAUUCACUAAAUCAACUUGAUGGUUAUGAUGAGAAUGUUGAUAGCAAAGUGAUAAUCUUGAUAUGGUUAUUAUUGAUAUGCUUAAUUACCCAAGUGUAUGCUUAGAACAGGUGCUAAUCUAGUGGAUAGUUGCUAAGUAAUGAACUUGCUGCUGAAAUAUGAUUAAAUGGAUUAUUUACAGCAAAGGUUUUAUGCAAAAAGUGAGUCAACCCAGUCCACUAAGAUCAGCCUUGCAUACUCCUUGGUGUCACUUUAUUUCUGGUUUAUGACGGGUAAGUCUAGCUGAGUACAUUCUCGUACUCAGGGUUUUAUUUACCCCUGUUGCAGAUGAUGUCGUCUAUCACGGCUAUUGUGCUAACUGUCAUCACCCAGCUGCAGAUGAUGAGUAGAUCAUGGGCGUUAUCACCUCCUGUAUCUUCAGUUGUGCUUUUGCUGGGACUUGACCAUGGAACUGGCAUGUAUUACAAACUGAGUUGAAGUUGUAUCAAAACUACUUUGUUUCCGCUACUGCUAUGGUUUGUAAUAACCUCUUUCAAACUCUGAUGUGAUGUAAAACUAUGUUCUAUGUUGAAUGUUGUAAUCUGUGAUGGUGAUGCUUGAUCAUGUACGAUCUUGGUUGUAUGUUGGUUGAAUCGAAGUCUUUUGAGAUUUCGUCGGACUACCGGGUUUAUAUGGGUUCAAGUCCAUUGGCUUGACUGCCCCAGCGGUCGCUAAUUCACUUGAAUUCUUAUAAAUUGGACGGUUCUGUUACAGCUGGCAUCAGAGCAAGAUUAAGCAUUUAACCAUCAUAGAGGUAUUUAAAAACAAAUGAAUUUGGUUUUCUCAAGCUAAUUUGGUAAAAUUAGGCUAUAUGUAGGGUUGUUGUAAAAAUGUUUUGAUAACUUAUACCAUGCCAGUGGUCAUACCCUUAUGCCCAUAUAAGGACUUCUAGGUGGCUUAAUAUUACUAACAUGGGGGUUUUUCUUUUCGUCGUCCAUAUGGCGUGUAAUUAUAUGGAUACCGCUUACUUAAGUGGCAAUGAAUGGAUCACAUACCUCUACGCCAUGGUAAGCAUUGUUUGUUUUCUUUCGUCGUCCAUACGGCGUGAAAUUGUAUGGAUGCCACUUGCUUGAGUGGUAAUGUAUGGAUCUACAUGCCUCUACGCUACGGUAAGUGUGAGCUGUGAGAGCAUGACCAUCCAACCGUCGGUCUAGGGGAGUGUUAGCUGUGGUUACUGGAAUAUUUACAUGUUUCACACAUGUAUAUAUGAAGGUACUUAAUUGUGGGUAGUAGGUGCAGCCAUAUGUACAUAUUGGAUGUAUAUGUGGGUGUAUCCCAAAUGGGUAGUGUGCUGCGGUAUAUGUUCGGGAAUAUAUACCGGAGUACCUAGCUUGAUUGAUUGUUGAUUGGAUUUACAUUUCUGCACUUAUACUACUGUGGGGCUGGGCUGAAAUGAAAUCUUCUGUAGGUACACUAACAACGAAACGUGUAGACUGUGUAGUUACGUAUAAAGAGUGCACGUAUGUAUGCCACCGACUAUACCGUUAGAACUUUAUUCUAAGUUUGGAAAGGACGUAUGGAACGUGCAUGCAUCAUGAAUCAUUCGUACAUUCUUUAUGCACUAUUUGGGUAUUAAAUUCUGAAAAUAUAUUUCUUCAUCUCUCCUUGUAAUUAAUCUUCCGUACUCAAAUGUGGUCUUUCUACAGAUGGCAGCCCCGCACGCGAGUGAGACUUUCCUGGACAUGUUUGGCACUCCUACUUUGUUGUGGAGGGUACUAAGUUCAGUUGGAUAUGAGGAACCACCUAAGUACACUUGGACCGAGGCUGAGCAUGUAGGGGCUUUACCUUGGGUAGAUGUUCAAAUUACAGUUCCUCCUUGUCCAAAUAACCCACAGUGGCUAGGUUGGUUAGUUGACUGUGAUGGCCAAACUCCUUGGGAGGGUGCCCAGGUAGCAGCCCUGGAGGUUUUGCUAGAGAUUUGCCAAGAUUAUGGUGAUGAGCUAGUGAAUGGCCCAGCGGGAUCCGUUCCCAGAGUGAGUGUGACUGACACAUUCGUGUCCCAGGUUGGGAAUGAGUCUUUAGAGAUGAGAGAAACCUUGCUAGGAUAUAGUUCUAGCCCUGCCAUGAGUGCCAUGCUAGCGGUACUUAAGCUGUACUAUGUGCGCCAGGACACGUACAUAGAUGCCAUGAUAGCGCUUCAACAAGCACAAGUUGGGCAGCGCAAAUUGCGCAAGCGCGUGCGUAAGCACCGCAAGGCCUUUAUGGAUGCCCAAGCUGAAAUCCAAAAUUUCCAUACUGCUUUGCAAGCCCGCCGCAAUCAAGUUGCGAACGCAGUUAGAGAGCGCAAUGAAGCACAAGCCCGCAUGAUGCAAAUGACUAGAGAGAGAGAUGAGGCUAUGCGCUUGGCUGAAAAUAGAGAAACUGCUAGAGUUAGAGCCUUGUUCCAUGCUGAGAUGAGAGAGGAAGAGCUGAUUACUAGGAUUGCUGAGCUGCAGUUGGAUGUCCAUCGCUUGAAUAAUAUUAUAAAUCCUAUCCCACAACCAGCCCCUUUUAAUCAUGAAGAAGCUCCUAGUGAGGAAGAUCAGGAUGAUGGCAUCAUUUCCAAUGGAGAAUCGGAUGAAGAUAUGUAGUCUAGCAAUAAUUCUAUGAUCAUGUGUCAGUUCCAUCUCUUUAUGUAAGGGACAUGUAAUCUGAAUUUUAGUUGAGACUCUAUGUAUUUGGCCAUGGUGCCCCUCCUGUAAAACUUAAGAGUGGCAAUGACUCUAUGUAACCUUAUGCACUUAUUUGUGAGGCUCCAUGUUUAUGUUGAGCUGAAAUAAAUUUCUGCAAUGUCGUUAAUCCUUGAGGAAUUGUGGCUGUGAAUGAUCGUGAGAAUAACCAAGUGUCAUGGAAGAUAUUUUCUUAUUGUACAUGGAUCAUUGUGCCUUAAUUUAUGUGAAUUUACUUCAUUAAAUUCUGUAUGGCAGCAAUUGAAGUUCAUGACAAUUAUAUCUUUUGCCUGAAACAAUCGCUUGGUAUGCCUUGUGCAGAUGGCUCGCAAUACUCGCUCCGGUCACAACGAGGUUCCACCGCCACCACCUCCUCCCCCGCCUACGCCUACUGAGCUAUUGGCAGCUCUUGUUGAGGGUCAGCGUAUGCUCAAUGAGGCUAUGCAAACUAUGGCGCAGCAGAACCGGGGUGGUCGCCAUGCCCGCCAAGGCGGAGAGGCAAAUCAGUACAGCAGUUUCAAGGAUUUCCAGGACACCAAGCCACCGCUGUUCAAGGAGGCUGUUGAACCUCUAGAAGCUGAUGAGUGGCUUAACACUCUUGAGCAGAAGUUCCGCUUGCUACGGUUAACCGAAGAGCUAAAGGCGGAAUAUGCAGCCCACCAGUUGGAGGGCAAAGUAGGUGUCUGGUGGAGUCAUUACAGGACUAGCUUACCUGCCAAUGCUGUUGUAACCUGGGAUCAGUUCACAACUGCUUUCAGGAAUACUUAUAUUCCACAAGGCCGAAUGACUAUCAAGCACACCGAGUUCAUGAACCUGACGCAAGGCGCUAAAAGCUUGACUGAGUAUCUUCAUGCUUUUAAUAAUUUGUCUUGCUAUGCUCCUGAGAUGGUUGACACCGAAGUCAAGAAGCUCGCUAGUUUCAAGAGAGGGUUGGGACCCAAGUUGUCCAAGAAUAUGGCUGGUAACAAGAGUACCACCUUUAAUGAGUUUGUGAGUGAUGCGUUGACUCAAGAGAACUCCAAUGCCGUGUAUGCCACGUCCAAGAACCGCAAGAGAGCCUAUGAGGCAGGUGCUUCACAGUCCAAGGCUCCAGUGGCAAGCAAGCCGGCCUAUCGCCCACCCAAUGCUGUGACAAGGUAUAGGCCGCCGCAGAAAAAGUCAAAUGUGAAGACGGGAGUUCGCAAGUCUUUCACAGUUGCUCUCCCAAGAGGUGCCACGGGUCAAGGAGGUCCUAAGACUCCUUCUGAUAACCGUCCCUGCUUCAAUUGCAAGCAAGUUGGUCACUGGGCAAGAGAUUGCCCUUAUCCUAAGAGAAAUGCUGCAGCUGGAGGCAACAACCGUAUGGGUCGUGUGCACUACACCACGGUUGAAGAAAUCCCAGAAGGAGAAGCAGUUACUGCUGGUAUGUUCCUUGUAAAUCAACACCCUGCAGUUGUCUUAUUUGAUUCGGGAGCAUCGCAUUCGUUUAUGAGUCAAGCAUUUGCAUCUAAACAUGGGCAGCAUGUAGUUGAUCUUGACAGUUGUAAGUUUUGCAUUAGUGCUGUAACAUCCCUGAUGUUACGGUUACUAAAAACGGAUCAUGUCAUCAUGAGCAUUGCAAAUCAUAAUUGUUAAAGCACAUUAGUAUGCAUCAAUUUAAAAUAAGUUUACUUUGAGUGCUUGUGCUUAGGGAAUUAAAGUGUGCUUACAUUGUGUUUGGAUGCUUGUGUUGGAUGCUAAAACCCUAGGGUGAAAGAUUUCCGAAGAGCUAAGGGGGGGAAAACCCUGAUUUCUGGAUCCUAGAUUUGCCCCUUUUUGUUUAAUUUAAAAACUAAGCAAAAUUUGAGGUUGAGUUCAAAAGCAAAGUUGUGAAUCUUGGCAAGAUGUACAACUUUGGUGUUUUGAGUUUUUGAAGUUUCAAUACAAAAUUCAAAGUAAUUUUGAAAAUACAGAUUUCCAGAAAGUGUCCCCUUUUCCAACUUAAACCGCCAAUUCAAAAUCCAUUUGGAAUUUUGAAAAAUGGUCAACAUGAAAGUUGUAGAGCACAAAAAGUUGAGCAACUUUCAUGUUGGGAGUUUUUCAAGUUAUUAUACAAAAUCAAAAGUAAUUUUGGAAAUUCUAUUUUGCCCCAAUUCAAAAAUUUGGAAUUUCUUUGAUUUGAGUUUGAUUUUCAAACUGUUUGGUCAAAUUCACCCUGUUACACUCAAAAUUAGUUCUGGACUCUUAAAUAGGUUUUGUAGCUUAUAAAAUUUGGCACAAUUUUUGUUUUGGUGGAAUUUGGAGUUUAGUUCAAAGUUUGGCUGAUUUUCGCAAGGGGACAAAAGAGAGGAGAUAAGGGGGAGCUACAGUGAUCCAGGGGAUCACGAGCUCGUCCACCCCGGUGGCAGGGCGGGCAGGCGCCGCCUCCGCGCGCGACGCCACGCAGCUGGCCACGCAGCUGCUUGCUGCUGUGCUUCGCGCGGACGGCCUCAUCCACAUCCCCUGCUCCGCCGCUUGGAUAAGACCUCGGACGGCCGGAGUGUUUCUUUUCCUUCCUUUGAACCUCGCCGCCGACCACCACCAUCCGCCGCCAAAAUUCGUCCUCCUCGUUGCCUUUCCACGCGAAGUGAGCACCCCAGCGACUCCGCCUUGAACCCAGCCACCGAUUGCGCCCCCAAGCGCAAGCGCUAACCCACCAGAGCCCUUUCCCGAGCCGCUCUUCUCCAACUCCGGCCAGGGUCGCCGCCGAGGGAUCCUUCACGUGGACACGCUGCUCCAGUCGGUACCACGCCUUGAAGGCGGUCGUUUCGAGCUCUUCUUGUUUCCCCGGUGCUCAUGCGCUCGUUUUCCCUCCUUGGACGUGAACAGGGCCACCGAGACGACCUCACCGGAGCCGGGGCGCCGCCCGACUGCACGGCCACCGUCGCCAAGCUUCUCGGUUGUGUCUUCCGCCGUGGUGGUGUGAGCACCAUGAUCCCCAUCCCUUCCUGGCCCUCCCGAACCUGUUGGUUUGUGCUCUACCAAGCCCCGAGGACCGGUCUACGGCCGGCCAGGGUGGCCGCCCGCCAUUCGCGUGGCCGAGGAAGGAGGAGAACGGUAGAGUGUCCUCGAGUUGUACCUAUGGGGUCGCAAGGUCGAAGCGCAACUGAUGCGCACCCUGGUGUGGGGCUUGAACCUCGCCAGCGGCGACCGGGAGCGCGGCAAGGCCGCCGGGCGCGAGGGAGAUGGAACUGACGAGCGGGGCCCGCUCGUCAGUGUCCACGUGAGAGGAGGGGCGACGCGCGCGGCGCGGGUGUGGGCCGAACCAGUGGGCCGCCUGCGCAGCGCGGUUGUGGGCCGCGGCGCGCGCAGUCCGCGCGGGAGAUCGCUCCCAGGCCGACUUGGGCCGUGCCCCCGUGGGCCGCCUGCGCACAGUGUUGCUUUUCUUUUUCCUUUUUGAUUAAAAUUACUUGAUGUUUGAAAUUGUGUAAUAAAUCAGGUGCUAAUCCAAAAAUGAUGAAAGUUUUUGUAUAGGUUCCAUAAGGUGGGUAGAACACAAGAAAAAUAGUGGAUUCUGUUUUCUGGUAGUUUGCAUGUUUGUAAAAAUUUGCUCUUUUAAUUAAUGAAUAAAACUUCUAGGAAUUUUAAUAAUUUAUUUAUAUGUCCAAAAAUCACCAAAAAUUGUGGGGAGCCUCUGAAUAUUAUUCCCUGGCUCCACACAAAAUUUGAUGACAUUUGGAUAAUGUUUGAUUAGAAUACUAAUAAACCCUUAUUUAGUACUUAAGUAAUAAUUCCAAAACCAUUAAAUAAUAAUUAAUUAAAUCUUCAUAAUUAGGGUUGAGUGAUUUUGGAUUAUGUGAUGACCUGAGGUCAUUAACCCUAAUGACCCUUGGCAUUUAAUUAUUAUUUAGCCUUAAUGCUUAAUUACUGUCAUUAGUAAUUAAUUAAGAAUUAAUUAAGGUAAAUAGGUUUAAUAAUUACCUAAUGUAAGAUAAUUAUGAAUUAAGUAAAGUCUUAGUUUACAGAUGAAACCUCUUGGGUAAAAAUUAUUAAGUUAUUAAACAACUUUAUUUAGUGACAAUUCUGUAUUGCAUUAAAUAAGCAAAUCGUACUUAAUUCGGUCCAUCUUGCAUAAUUGCCAUACGCAUAUCAUAAGCAUUCAUCAUUUUGCGUAUAGUGUCCGUGACCGAAGGAGCGCCCGUUGAACCAAACCCUGAGGUCGGUGCUCCGUUCGAGGAAGUCGGAUCCGAGACUUGGGAAGUCUCCGAGGGUCCCUCUCUGCCCUGCAACCAAGGCAAGCCCCGGAUGCAUUAACCCCUCCUUGGGUGUUUUAAAUCUUUUAUCACUUAUGAAUUGAAAAUGCUGCAUUAAGUAGUUGAGAAUUGGGUUAACCUACUUGCUGCAUUUACUACCUUGAUAUCUAUAUCCUGUCCUUGACACCUGUUUUAAUUUAAAACUGCGUAGCGAUGCUUAGCCCUGCUACUAGAUAGGUUUUCAAACAAGAAAGUUUGAAGGGUUGUUGUGGGAUACACUUAUGGCCAAUGAUAUUUCAACUUGAGACCGGUCGGUGGACUUGCUUUAAGAAUGGAGUCUUAAAGUAGUGUCUCCAACUGUGUCGGUUAAGGACCGGUCCGUUGAUGGCCUGCUGGGUUGAGAAUUUAUAGUACUAGCCACUUGCCUACGGUAAGCCCAGUCUUGUGAUCCCUCGACGCGAACAGCUACUCGCGCACUGGGAGUGGAAAGAUGGCGAGAGUAGUGUGUACCCACCUUACGGAUCUGAGAUGACCGGAAAACAUCUAGAUCGGCUGUAGGAUGGUGGAGUACUGUGCUCUCGGGUGCCGCGAACCUGGUCAAAUUUGGGGAGAGCUUGAUUUGGGUUGACAUAUGCAAGAUUUAGUUCUACAUAUGUCGGGUGGUUAGGAACUCCAGCUGGAUUGCUAAGCGAUUCGAAUCGUCGUUGCUCCCCGAUUGGGAGACUCAAUUCCUUCGACCCUCAUCGUAGUUAAAUAUGCAACUAAGUGAUAAACUGAGAAAGGGGAAAAUGUCUCAUGAGGUUCGGAUCCCAAUUCCCGGACUCUUAGCGACAUGAAGCUAUGACCAUCGAUAAAUAAUACUUAAUGAUAGGACUAGGAACUCACGGAUUCGUCUGUGGGGAACAACUAGUUAGACUAUCCUCGAAUUCUUCUGCCUCCGCGAGGGAGGAAUUCAGGGUAAAACUUGAAAAUAAGGAUGCACUACUAGUAAGCUUUUCCGCAAAACACUUUGGCUCCUUGCUCAGCCACCCCUUGUCUACCCUAAGCCUGCAUCCCUAAAUUCUCCCCUCUUUCCGUCGGAUAAGUCUUGUUGAGUACUCCCGUACUCAGGGUUCAAUACCCCUGUUGCAGGUGAAGCUCAGGAGCCGACUUGUUUCGGACCCUGUUGUGUGACCGUCGUCGAGGUUGACGACGAAGAAGAGUGAGCGUGACCCAUGGGCAGGGUCUGUAAAUUUGUUCUGUCUGUACUAAAGUUUCAGUUGCUCCGCUGGACCAGGCUUGUAAUAACACUCUACUAUCUGGAAGAACUUCUUUUGUAAAAUAAGUUAUGUAAUACUUCCGCUGUUUCACUCUGAAAUAUUAUUUUGGUCUUGUAUUGUUGAGUUACUGCUUUAUCUUCGCAACGGAUGAUCCUGGUGUUAAAGUGGCCACUUGCUACCCUGUAAGGGCGAGAAGAAACAGUUCUCGUUGUUUGACCAUUACCAGGGGUCAGGACGAGCCAGCUUGGUACGCCACAGGUAGCAGUGGUAUGAGCGCCCAGCAAUGCUCAUCGGACUUCUAAAGUGGGAGGACUCCCGGCAUCACCGUCAGAAGUCCUUAGGACAAUGACAGGUGUCGGUGGGCCCAAACACUUAGGAGGUUCUGCCACAGCUGGUAUCAGAGCAUUCGUUGCUAAGAUGACUGCUGAACCUUUUGAAAAACUUCAAAAAUUCGUUUGAAACUAAUACUAUGAACCUGCCUAUUUUGAGUCCAAGUGCUUAGUCCUAACCUACCCCUGUCUAUAGGCUUUCUUAGAAUUUUUGAAGUGGGUUGGAGGAGCAACCUAAAGUAUUGCCCUAUGUUGUAAAAGCUAAAGUAAUAUCGUUACGAAUUGUUAGUAGGAAUCGUAAGUUCGUGCAUGCAUCAUAAUGUAUUAACUGGUUAAGUUCCUUCCUCCUUGUUUGGGUUGGGUGAAUAGAAUCAAUCCUAUUCUUGCUAACCUUAAGGUCUCUCUUACUAAUCUAAACUUACCCUCUACAGGAUGGCUCGUCAGAAGCAGACCCCGCGUAAGCGGACGGGUCCAAAAGGAGUUCCCCGACAUCAGCUAGCUCCACGUAGUGAUCAAGCCAGUAGUAGCCGCACACCGCCUCAGCAGGAGGUGGACAGGCUGUCCGCCGAGUUGACUGAGGUGAUGAGAGAAAGAAUGUACAAUGUUAUGGAGAUUGGCAAACUCAAAGCUCAACUGGCCAAAGAAAAACAAGCUACAGAAAAUUGUGAAGCUAUGUUGUCCCGGAUGGUGGAGGAGCGGAAUGCAGCCGUUGCUCGAGAGGAAGAAGCUAGGAGCACCCAUAGGCAUGAGUUAACUAGGAUGAACGCAAAGUUGGGCAAGGCAAAGUAUCUCAAGGAUUUGUAUGUGAAGAUGGCGGCCACGGUCACCGCACAACGGGAUGUCGCGUGGCAACGAGAGGAUCAGCUCCAGCUGGAGAAACUGGAGCUGGCAUAUCACUUAGAUACGGUCAAUGAUCUGGCUAUGCAAUAUCGUGAUAUUGCAUUUGAUCUGUAUCAUCAACUCCACCCACCUCCCGGCGAAGGAGAAAUGGAUACGGAUGGCGAGUUGGCAGACGAUGGAGAACCCGAUCCCGGCCUCAGUGGUGGAGAGGAGUCCGACCCCGAUGAUCACAACCCAGGGGGUAAUCAAGAUGAUGGCAACGACGACCCGGGCUACAGCUCUGGCCACACCGAUUAGUUCGGUGAAACCGAGGGCAACGUCGUUGUAGGGGUCUUAGCUUGCCGUAGUGGGGUUCGGGUUUGUAAUAUAAGUUUUCUUUCGGUUUGAGAAGUUGAACUUGUUUACUCUUGGUGUGUAUCUAACUAGUGUUUAAUAAGUGAAUGUAAGAUAUGUUCUGUGUUAUGAAUUUUACAUGGUAACCGGUAUCUACGAUUCUUGUAACAGAUGCCGAUGCGUACUCGCGGAUCCGAUGGAGCUGGGACAUCCCAGGGAGGGGAUGAUAUCCCCAACCCUCCACCUGCUCCACCUUCUUUGGCUGACGCCAUUGCUGUCCUGCUAAGUGCCACAACUGACAAUGCUCGCUUGCUGCGUGAGCUAGCACAGCGUCAAACACACCCUGCUUCAAACUUCAGGGCACCGCGCAACGGGGAUGGAGAGGCUCGAUAUGUAGAUUUCACCGAGACCAGGCCCCCAGUGUUCACUAAGGCCGAUGAGCCUUUAGAAGCGGAUGACUGGCUCCGAACUAUGGAGCAUAAGUUCAGUUUAAUUCAGUGUUCAGAAACUCAGAAACCCUUAUUUGCAGCCCAGCAGCUUCGGGGAGCUGCAGGUGCCUGGUGGGAGAACUUCUUAGCUAUUCAAGCUCCCGGACACCAAGUUACCUGGACUGAGUUUAGGGACGCAUUUCGCGCCCACUAUAUCCCCGAAGGGCUCAUGGCCAUGAAGGCCGAAGAGUUUCUCGCCUUGCAGCAAGGCGACAAAAGUGUUAUGGAAUACGUGGCAAGGUUCAAUCAUCUUUCUCAAUAUGCCACGGAUCAUGUGAACACUGACAGAAAGAGGAAAGCCUGUUUCAUGCGUGGUCUAAAUACUAAACUUCAGACCAUGAUGACCACAUGCCAAAAUGCUACUUUCUAUGAGGCGGUAAAUAUUGCUAUCGCCUCAGAGGAAAAGAAUAGGAAACAUAAGGAAGCCAACAAGAAGGCUGCUUCCUCUUCUUUCUCUGGUCGCGGUCAAAAGCGCCAGAGGGUCAUUUAUCAUCCACAAGGCCACGGACGUUUCCAAACGCCGAUACCUUAUCGUGGUCCUUUCUUCCCUCCACAGUACAGACCUGGGCAGCAGGUAUAUUCUCGACCUACUGCCAUCGCUUUUGCACCACGCCAGCCGAACGCCCCGGGUGUUCGCCCUACUACUCCGCCCAGCCACAAUUACCCUUGCUUCAAUUGUGGUAAACCUGGGCACUUCUCUAAAGAGUGCCCUUUUCCUCGUCAAACCAACCCUACCUUUCCCAGACCACCUAUAGUCCAACCCCAGCAGGGUCAGUUCAGAACUAGGGUUCAAAAAGGGCAACAGGUACAGAAAGGUAGACCGGUAAAGAAGACAGGGCAAGUCUUCCAUACUGAAGUGGAGACGAUUCCAGAGGGUGAACCAGUGAUGAUGGGUACGUUUCCUGUUGCAAAGCAUCCUGCUUUAAUGCUCUUUGAUUCUGGUGCAUCCCAUACAUUUAUCAAUCGCACCUUUGUGUUAAAGCAUGGCAUACCCAUUGGGGAAACACGAGAUCAUUUUUAUAUACAGUCGCCAGGAGGACGGCUGAUGUCUAAAGAAAUGGUUCACCAAGUACCCAUCGAAUUUGGUGGGCACAAUUUUCCUACUAGCAUGAUUGUUCUUAAGGACCAAGAAAUUGAUGUCAUCUUAGGCAUGAACUGGAUGGCGCAACGAGGGGUUGUGCUAGACACUUUGCACCGAACCAUUAAAAUCCCAUUGCCCAAUGAGAGUUCUUAUUUGCUAAUCCAAUUAGUUACUCCCAAACGGACAAGUGGGCAAGUUCAUGCCGCUAAUGUGUCUGAAGUUAAAGAUAUCCCGGUAGUUCGAGAUUUCCCGGAUAUAUUUCCUGAAGACUUACCAGGUCUGCCUCCGGACCGGGAUGUACAAUUCAGUAUAGAAUUGAAACCGGGAACGGCCCCAAUAUCUCGAAGGGCCUACAGAAUGGCACCGAAAGAGCUGGCCGAAUUAAAAACCCAAUUACAAGAAUUGUUGCAGAAGGGUUUUAUUCAGCCUAGUUCUUCUCCAUGGGGUUGCCCAGCCUUGUUCGUAAAAAAGAAAGAUCACACAUUAAGGCUGUGUGUUGAUUAUCGUCCUCUAAAUGAGGUAACGAUUAAAAACAAGUACCCAUUGCCCCGCAUUGACUUAUUGUUUGACCAGUUAGCUGGGGCCAAGGUGUUCUCAAAGAUUGAUUUGAGAUCAGGGUACCACCAAAUUAAAAUUAGGCCGGAAGAUGUGCCCAAGACUGCUUUCACAACCCGUUACGGGUUGUAUGAAUACUUGGUGAUGUCUUUUGGGUUGACUAACGCACCGGCCCAUUUUAUGUACCUGAUGAACUCUGUCUUUAUGCCAGAACUAGACAAAUUUGUGGUCGUCUUUAUCGAUGACAUCUUGAUUUACUCCAAAACUAAGAAGGAGCAUGCUGAACACUUGAGAAUCGUGCUGACCCGUCUUAGGGAGCACCAGCUAUAUGCCAAGUUCAGCAAAUGUGAGUUCUGGCUGGACAAGGUUCAUUUCCUGGGUCAUGUAUUAUCAGCGGAAGGAGUCGCUGUAGACCCAGGCAAGGUAGAAGAUGUGUUGAAGUGGAGACCCCCGACUACGGUACAUGAGGUCCGUAGUUUUCUGGGCAUGGCGGGAUAUUACCGUCGUUUUAUCCCUGACUUUUCCAGAGUCGCCAAACCAAUCACAACCUUGCUCAAAAGUCAAACAAAAUUUGUUUGGUCACCCCAAUGUGAGCAAGCUUUUCAGACUCUGAAAAGGUUGUUGACAACUGCACCUGUCUUAGCCCAGCCAGAUAUUGAAAAACCCUUUGAUGUAUAUUGUGACGCAUCAGGAAUCGGGUUGGGCUGUGUGCUGAUGCAGGAGGGUCGCGUAAUUGCAUAUGCUUCCAGGCAACUCAAACCUCAUGAAGAGAAUUACCCGACCCAUGAUCUCGAACUAGCCGCCGUGGUACAUGCAUUAAAGAUCUGGCGUCAUUAUUUGUUGGGAAACACAUGUCAUCUAUAUACAGAUCACAAGAGUUUGAAAUAUAUCUUUACUCAAGCUGAGCUUAAUAUGCGCCAGCGAAGGUGGCUAGAACUAAUUAAAGAUUACGACCUUGAGGUGCAUUAUCACCCUGGCAAGGCAAAUGUAGUAGCGGAUGCCCUCAGUCGUAAGGCUCACUGUAAUUGCUUAACAGUGAAGCCUAGGGAUAUAACUCUGUGCCAAGAGCUAGAGAACUUGGGAAUAGAAAUGAUUUCCCAAGGAAGCCUUUCCAAUUUAAAGAUUGAUUUCAAUCUCAAGGCUCAAAUCAUAAAGGCACAAAAAGAAAACAAAGGCAUGAGACAUCUUAAAGAGAAGAUUUCUAAUAGAGCACUCACAGACUUUAAGGUGGAUGAGGCGGGAGUAAUCUGGUUCAAGAACCGGUUAGUGGUUCCCAAGGUACCUGAGCUACGUCAGCAAAUCCUGGAUGAAGCUCAUACCACGAGGUAUUCUAUUCAUCCGGGAAGCAAUAAGAUGUAUCAGGACCUGAAGCAAAGGUUUUGGUGGACAAAAAUGAAGAUAGAAAUAGCUCGCUAUGUGGCCCAGUGUGACACCUGUCGAAAAGUCAAAGCCAUUCAUCUCAAAUCCGCUGGGGAGUUGCAACCUUUGCCUAUCCCCGCAUGGAAAUGGGAUGACAUAAGUAUGGAUUUCAUAGUAGGAUUGCCCAAAACGGCCAAGGGCUUUGAUUCCAUUUGGGUCAUAGUAGAUCGUCUCACCAAAACAGCACAUUUUCUGCCGGUAAAGCUAUUGUAUCCUGCCUCCACCUAUGCUAAGAUUUAUUUCGACCGUAUCCUAAGUCUGCAUGGAGUGCCAAAGACAAUAGUGUCAGAUAGAGGCACACAAUUUGUCUCCCAAUUCUGGAAAUGUUUACAUGAGUCCUUGGGCACUAAGCUUUUAUACAGCACAGCCUACCACCCUCAAACUGGUGGGCAAACGGAAAGGGUAAAUCAAACCCUAGAAGAUCUAUUAAGAUCUUGUGCCCUGAAUUUUCCAGAUAAGUGGGAUGACUGCUUGCCUCUAGCAGAAUUUUCCUACAAUAAUAGCUAUCAAGAGAGUAUCAAAAUGGCUCCCUUUGAGGCACUAUAUGGUCGCCGAUGUCGAACUCCAUUACACUGGUCAGAACCUGGAGAAAGAUGGUUCUUCGGAGUUGACUUAGUGAAAGAGACUGAGAACAAAGUGAAACAAAUUCAAAAUAAUUUGAAAGUUGCUCAGUCCCGACAGAAAAGUUACGCUGAUAAAAGACGUCGACCAUUGAAGUUCGCCAAAGGCGAUCAUGUGUAUUUGAAAGUAUCCCCGAUGAAAGGAGUAAAUCGUUUUGGUGUUAAAGGCAAGUUAGCGCCUCGUUACAUUGGUCCAUUUCCAAUUAUUGACCGAUGUGGGCAAGUCGCUUACCGCCUUAAACUGCCCGAACGAUUAUCCGGGGUACAUAAUGUGUUCCAUGUGUCUCAACUGAAAAAGUGUCUUCGGGUACCAGAUCGAGUUCAAGAUAUUGAAGAUGUAAAGCUUGAACCAGAUCUAACUUAUUCGGAAUAUCCUAUCCGAGUACUGGAUCAAAAAGCUAGAGUUACUCGAAGGACAACCACCAAAUGGUAUAAAGUACAAUGGAGCCAGCACUCUGAAGAAGAAGCUACCUGGGAAUCUGAAGAUUACUUGUUAGAGAAUUUUCCUGAAUUCCAUGCUUCCCUUCAGGAUAGCACAUGAUAAUCAGAGAAUGUACUCCAGUGAAGAAAAAGAGUUACCAAAGCCAUAUACUUAAUGUACAUAUAUGCAUAUAAUGAGGUAUUUUCCCCAAUUCCUUGCCUUAUGGAGAAGUUGAAGAUGAAAGAGUUUUGACAAAUUUCCUUUUCCAUUACUUACCCUAAGGUUUUAAAUCUCGGGGACGAGAUUUCUUUAAGGGGGAAGGGCUGUAACAUCCCUGAUGUUACGGUUACUAAAAACGGAUCAUGUCAUCAUGAGCAUUGCAAAUCAUAAUUGUUAAAGCACAUUAGUAUGCAUCAAUUUAAAAUAAGUUUACUUUGAGUGCUUGUGCUUAGGGAAUUAAAGUGUGCUUACAUUGUGUUUGGAUGCUUGUGUUGGAUGCUAAAACCCUAGGGUGAAAGAUUUCCGAAGAGCUAAGGGGGGGAAAACCCUGAUUUCUGGAUCCUAGAUUUGCCCCUUUUUGUUUAAUUUAAAAACUAAGCAAAAUUUGAGGUUGAGUUCAAAAGCAAAGUUGUGAAUCUUGGCAAGAUGUACAACUUUGGUGUUUUGAGUUUUUGAAGUUUCAAUACAAAAUUCAAAGUAAUUUUGAAAAUACAGAUUUCCAGAAAGUGUCCCCUUUUCCAACUUAAACCGCCAAUUCAAAAUCCAUUUGGAAUUUUGAAAAAUGGUCAACAUGAAAGUUGUAGAGCACAAAAAGUUGAGCAACUUUCAUGUUGGGAGUUUUUCAAGUUAUUAUACAAAAUCAAAAGUAAUUUUGGAAAUUCUGUUUUGCCCCAAUUCAAAAAUUUGGAAUUUCUUUGAUUUGAGUUUGAUUUUCAAACUGUUUGGUCAAAUUCACCCUGUUACACUCAAAAUUAGUUCUGGACUCUUAAAUAGGUUUUGUAGCUUAUAAAAUUUGGCACAAUUUUUGUUUUGGUGGAAUUUGGAGUUUAGUUCAAAGUUUGGCUGAUUUUCGCAAGGGGACAAAAGAGAGGAGAUAAGGGGGAGCUACAGUGAUCCAGGGGAUCACGAGCUCGUCCACCCCGGUGGCAGGGCGGGCAGGCGCCGCCUCCGCGCGCGACGCCACGCAGCUGGCCACGCAGCUGCUUGCUGCUGUGCUUCGCGCGGACGGCCUCAUCCACAUCCCCUGCUCUGCUGCUUGGAUAAGACCUCGGACGGCCGGAGUGUUUCUUUUCCUUCCUUUGAACCUCGCCGCCGACCACCACCAUCCGCCGCCAAAAUUCGUCCUCCUCGUUGCCUUUCCACGCGAAGUGAGCACCCCAGCAACUCCGCCUUGAGCCCAGCCACCGAUUGCGCCCCCAAGCGCAAGCGCUAACCCACCAGAGCCCUUUCCCGAGCCGCUCUUCUCCAACUCCGGCCAGGGUCGCCGCCGAGGGAUCCUUCACGUGGACACGCUGCUCCAGUCGGUACCACGCCUUGAAGGCGGUCGUUUCGAGCUCUUCUUGUUUCCCCGGUGCUCAUGCGCUCGUUUUCCCUCCUUGGACGUGAACAGGGCCACCGAGACGACCUCACCGGAGCCGGGGCGCCGCCCGACUGCACGGCCACCGUCGCCAAGCUUCUCGGUUGUGUCUUCCGCCGUGGUGGUGUGAGCACCAUGAUCCCCAUCCCUUCCUGGCCCUCCCGAACCUGUUGGUUUGUGCUCUACCAAGCCCCGAGGACCGGUCUACGGCCGGCCAGGGUGGCCGCCCGCCAUUCGCGUGGCCGAGGAAGGAGGAGAACGGUAGAGUGUCCUCGAGUUGUACCUAUGGGGUCGCAAGGUCGAAGCGCAACUGAUGCGCACCCUGGUGUGGGGCUUGAACCUCGCCAGCGGCGACCGGGAGCGCGGCAAGGCCGCCGGGCGCGAGGGAGAUGGAACUGACGAGCGGGGCCCGCUCGUCAGUGUCCACGUGAGAGGAGGGGCGACGCGCGCGGCGCGGGUGUGGGCCGAACCAGUGGGCCGCCUGCGCAGCGCGGUUGUGGGCCGCGGCGCGCGCAGUCCGCGCGGGAGAUCGCUCCCAGGCCGACUUGGGCCGUGCCCCCGUGGGCCGCCUGCGCACAGUGUUGCUUUUCUUUUUCCUUUUUGAUUAAAAUUACUUGAUGUUUGAAAUUGUGUAAUAAAUCAGGUGCUAAUCCAAAAAUGAUGAAAGUUUUUGUAUAGGUUCCAUAAGGUGGGUAGAACACAAGAAAAAUAGUGGAUUCUGUUUUCUGGUAGUUUGCAUGUUUGUAAAAAUUUGCUCUUUUAAUUAAUGAAUAAAACUUCUAGGAAUUUUAAUAAUUUAUUUAUAUGUCCAAAAAUCACCAAAAAUUGUGGGGAGCCUCUGAAUAUUAUUCCCUGGCUCCACACAAAAUUUGAUGACAUUUGGAUAAUGUUUGAUUAGAAUACUAAUAAACCCUUAUUUAGUACUUAAGUAAUAAUUCCAAAACCAUUAAAUAAUAAUUAAUUAAAUCUUCAUAAUUAGGGUUGAGUGAUUUUGGAUUAUGUGAUGACCUGAGGUCAUUAACCCUAAUGACCCUUGGCAUUUAAUUAUUAUUUAGCCUUAAUGCUUAAUUACUGUCAUUAGUAAUUAAUUAAGAAUUAAUUAAGGUAAAUAGGUUUAAUAAUUACCUAAUGUAAGAUAAUUAUGAAUUAAGUAUAGUCUUAGUUUACAGAUGAAACCUCUUGGGUAAAAAUUAUUAAGUUAUUAAACAACUUUAUUUAGUGACAAUUCUGUAUUGCAUUAAAUAAGCAAAUCGUACUUAAUUCGGUCCAUCUUGCAUAAUUGCCAUACGCAUAUCAUAAGCAUUCAUCAUUUUGCGUAUAGUGUCCGUGACCGAAGGAGCGCCCGUUGAACCAAACCCUGAGGUCGGUGCUCCGUUCGAGGAAGUCGGAUCCGAGACUUGGGAAGUCUCCGAGGGUCCCUCUCUGCCCUGCAACCAAGGCAAGCCCCGGAUGCAUUAACCCCUCCUUGGGUGUUUUAAAUCUUUUAUCACUUAUGAAUUGAAAAUGCUGCAUUAAGUAGUUGAGAAUUGGGUUAACCUACUUGCUGCAUUUAACUACCUUGAUAUCUAUAUCCUGUCCUUGACACCUGUUUUAAUUUAAAACUGCGUAGCGAUGCUUAGCCCUGCUACUAGAUAGGUUUUCAAACAAGAAAGUUUGAAGGGUUGUUGUGGGAUACACUUAUGGCCAAUGAUAUUUCAACUUGAGACCGGUCGGUGGACUUGCUUUAAGAAUGGAGUCUUAAAGUAGUGUCUCCAACUGUGUCGGUUAAGGACCGGUCCGUUGAUGGCCUGCUGGGUUGAGAAUUUAUAGUACUAGCCACUUGCCACGGGUAAGCCCAGUCUUGUGAUCCCUCGACGCGAACAGCUACUCGCGCACUGGGAGUGGAAAGAUGGCGAGAGUAGUGUGUACCCACCUUACGGAUCUGAGAUGACCGGAAAACAUCUAGAUCGGCUGUAGGAUGGUGGAGUACUGUGCUCUCGGGUGCCGCGAACCUGGUCAAAUUUGGGGAGAGCUUGAUUUGGGUUGACAUAUGCAAGAUUUAGUUCUACAUAUGUCGGGUGGUUAGGAACUCCAGCUGGAUUGCUAAGCGAUUCGAAUCGUCGUUGCUCCCCGAUUGGGAGACUCAAUUCCUUCGACCCUCAUCGUAGUUAAAUAUGCAACUAAGUGAUAAACUGAGAAAGGGGAAAAUGUCUCAUGAGGUUCGGAUCCCAAUUCCCGGACUCUUAGCGACAUGAAGCUAUGACCAUCGAUAAAUAAUACUUAAUGAUAGGACUAGGAACUCACGGAUUCGUCUGUGGGGAACAACUAGUUAGACUAUCCUCGAAUUCUUCUGCCUCCGCGAGGGAGGAAUUCAGGGUAAAACUUGAAAAUAAGGAUGCACUACUAGUAAGCUUUUCCGCAAAACACUUUGGCUCCUUGCUCAGCCACCCCUUGUCUACCCUAAGCCUGCAUCCCUAAAUUCUCCCCUCUUUCCGUCGGAUAAGUCUUGUUGAGUACUCCCGUACUCAGGGUUCAAUACCCCUGUUGCAGGUGAAGCUCAGGAGCCGACUUGUUUCGGACCCUGUUGUGUGACCGUCGUCGAGGUUGACGACGAAGAAGAGUGAGCGUGACCCAUGGGCAGGGUCUGUAAAUUUGUUCUGUCUGUACUAAAGUUUCAGUUGCUCCGCUGGACCAGGCUUGUAAUAACACUCUACUAUCUGGAAGAACUUCUUUUGUAAAAUAAGUUAUGUAAUACUUCCGCUGUUUCACUCUGAAAUAUUAUUUUGGUCUUGUAUUGUUGAGUUACUGCUUUACCUUCGCAACGGAUGAUCCUGGUGUUAAAGUGGCCACUUGCUACCCUGUAAGGGCGAGAAGAAACAGUUCUCGUUGUUUGACCAUUACCAGGGGUCAGGACGAGCCAGCUUGGUACGCCACAGGUAGCAGUGGUAUGAGCGCCCAGCAAUGCUCAUCGGACUUCUAAAGUGGGAGGACUCCCGGCAUCACCGUCAGAGGUCCUUAGGACAAUGACAGGUGUCGGUGGGCCCAAACACUUAGGAGGUUCUGCCACAAGUGCUGCUGGGAACCAAAUUUCCACCAAUCAAUUAGUGAAGGAUGUGAACAUUACUAUUGAGGGUCGUAACUUUUCAGCAAAUCUGGUAAUUUUGCCGGGCUUAGGCAUAGAUGUUAUAUUAGGAAUGAAUUGGAUGAGAAAUAAUGGGGUACUAAUAGACACCUCCACGAGAGUAGUUAUGUUGCGGGAGCCUGAUAGUAAAGAAGCCUUCUUGGUCCAACCUCCCAAGAGCGAUGACAUUCGUCACACUACUAAUGCUAUCAGACCCCUCACCGUGGCAGAAAUUCCGGUAGUAUGUGAGUUUCCGGAUGUUUUUCCAGAGGACCUGCUCGGGUUGCCGCCGGACAGAGACAUUGAGUUUAAAAUUGAUCUGAUUCCGGGUACCGCACCUAUCUCUAGAAGGCCAUAUCGAAUGCCACCCAACGAGUUGGCAGAGUUGAAAAAGCAAUUGCAAGAACUGCUUGAGAAGGGUCUUAUCCGGCCUAGUUCUUCUCCAUGGGGUUGUCCGGCUCUCUUUGUCAAGAAGAAGGACAAGUCUCUGCGUAUGUGUGUAGACUAUCGUCUGCUCAACGCAGUGACUAUUAAAAACAAGUACCCAUUGCCUCGCAUUGAUAUCCUGUUUGAUCAAUUAGCCAAGGCCAAAGUAUUCUCCAAGAUUGAUCUGAGAUCUGGGUAUCAUCAAAUUAAGAUCCUACCUGAAGACAUUCCUAAAAUGGCUUUCUCUACCAGGUAUAGGUUGUAUGAGUAUUUAGUCAUGUCCUUUGGUCUGACUAAUGCCCCUGCUCAUUUCAUGUACCUGAUGAAUUCGGUGUUCAUGCCUGGACUGGAUAAGUUUGUGGUGGUGUUUGUUGGGUAUUCUUAACAUCAUUACUAAAAGUAGACUAAGUUCUAAAUCUAGCAACGGUGCCAAAAAUGCCAAACCUAUCCCUCACACCACUUAAGCCAAGUUGUAAUCCCCAGCAUGAUAUAAGAGACGCGGUAUUGAAAUAUGCAAUUGCUCUUCUAAAUAAAUAAUGAAUUGGAUCUGCAAGCGCACAGAUUAAUACUGAUGUAGCAUUUAUCCGGGAAGUAUUCCAGGUAUCGUUAUUUAUAUUUUUACCACUGGGAAGGGAUUAGCAAUCAUCACUAAUGAUUAUAGAAUAGAAUAUGAGAUUGAGUAUCUAUCAUAGCAUAUAUAAUUGAGAACAUUAUAUCUAACUCUUCAUACAGGGAUAAGUGUCACAUAAAAGAUAUAUGAAAUAAUAAUAGUGACAAGGAUAACUAAUCUGAUCUAGCCACAUAAUAAAUAUGAUAAGCACCUCAAUUAGAUACUCUAGAAAGUCAUUAGCAUGGUAUUAGAACGAACUACAAGAAUAUUCCCUAAGUUAUUCUCAACUAUAUAGUCUAGCAUAUCAUAGUUAGUGCAAGCAUACUUAGCAAUCAUUGCGAGACAAGACUACGCCCAUGCAUAGUGAUAUUAGCAAGGAAUAUGAGAAACAUAGCAAUCACUCCCUUGUAAUAAUGUUGCUCUGCCAGCCCAAUACACGAGAGGGGGACUAUAUAAGAAUCAAUGAAGCUGUCACUAUCACGAACCACCCCACGAUCUGGCAUAUUGGGUACAAUCGCAGAUAAAUACGGUAUAAGCACCACGCCUACACAAUAUCUAUCAUUUACCCAUGGAUCCGAUGGAUAAACGCUAUACGAUCCUAAGCAUGUAUAUAGAUCCAAUCUAACUAAGCCAAGUACAUAACUAUGAUAAACUAAGAACAAUAUAAUCUUGAAUAUAAGCAAGUAGAGCAAAGUCAUAAGCAAUAUAUUGAAGUAGAACAAAGUCAUAUUCAUAAUAUUGAAGAACAAAGAUAAUUAGAAAGCAAUUAGAAGCACAAUUAGAGAAUUACCAAGAAUCCUCCUGACAGAUCCGGAAACCAAUCGAAGAUUGACUCCUUCUAGUUCUAAUCCUAUGUAGCUAUGCUAAUCUAGAUAUCUAAUUGAUGUGGUGGCUCUAAUCUUGAUCAGAGGCUUCUUCUCCCUUGAUGGAACAAUGAAUUAGGGUUGAGAGGCUCUCUCCUCCAGGGGCCAGGGGGUCUGGUUUUAUAGUCCCUUCAAGUGAAUAUGGGCCCUUGGAUCAAACCGACAUAGAUUGUAUGGUUUAGAUUCAUCCUUUAGGUCGGUGGAGAUCUCCCGCAAAGCAGAGUCCUGAUUGGACUCAGGAGGUGGGCGGCCGCCCUGACCAACUGGGCGGCCGCCCAGGGUCUGGCCCCGUUUCGCCUCCGCUUCGGUCUCGUGGCUUCUGGAGUCUUCUAGAUGUAAGAUAAUUGCGCAGCACAUUAAUAUCUUUACGUAAUCCCGACAUGUGGGUCUUUCUUCCGUAUUUCCUGAUAACCCCCUACAGAAAUAGACAAACACCAAAACUCAUGGAAUUCUAUCAGAUAAAACCCUAAGUCUAGAUCUUAAUUUCAUUUGGAUCCUUUUCUUUAUUUAUUUGAUAAUUAAAUUUGAUACUUAAGGACCAUCAACAAACUCCCCCAAGCUUACCUCUUGCUCGUCCCUGAGCAAGGAUAGACUCAGCUAUGGAUCAUAAGUUGUUGCAAUAUUUUUAAAAAAUAGACGGUACACAUGCUUUUAAAUAAGAUCUCAUCUCUGAGUUAGAGUAAACUAUCAAGACUUAAAACUUACUUACUUUACUUCCACCAUGGGACUUGUAACUGUCACUUCUGUCUUGAGUGGUUAAAAGAUAGAACAGUCUAGCCAAGUGCCAUGUCUCUUAUUCUUGAUCAGCUAUAGCUCUGGGGUUUUUGCAGAUUUUCAAAUAAAACUCAGAGAUUCCUUGUAUGAUUCUCUCAUAUCUCUCUUUUGUGGUAUUUUUGGAUCCUUACCAAGGCAUUGAUGGUAUAUGCCUUCUCUCAAGAUAUGUAGUAUUUGUGGUAUAAGGCAUAGUGACAUUGCCUUCUCUCUCACCCUACUCUAAUAAGGCUUUAAUAUUUGGAGCUCAUAGGUGGGAGAUAAAGUAUACAUACUCACAAGACAUUUAUUGCAUAGUCAAACCAUGGAUCCAAAGAAACAAAUCAAUAAGCCAAAUCAAGAUGUGCAUGUGUGGCGAAUGAAUGGUGUAUGGUGAUGAUGGUGAUAACAAUGGUGAAAACAAUGGUGGUGGAAGUCUAAUUCUACUUUGCUCUUUUGAGGGGAUACAUACCUUCCUUGCUUUUGAAACUUUAUGAGGAGAAUGAGAUGCUCUUCUUUUUCUUGUCUCUCAGGUGGGUAUCUUGCACCCCUAAUUCUACUGUUGGACACUUGUCCAUUUUUACCUCUCGUCUCACUCUUUCUUUUCUUUCGAGGUUCCGAGCACUUGCUCCUUUUUAUUUCCUCGUAUUAUUUUUUUUAUUUUCUUCUUUUUUUUAGAGCACUCAUCUCUUGAGAUAAUAUAGCAAGUGGUAGUAACAAGAUAACUUGAGCAUUUAUUUCACAAGGGGAAACAAAAAUAUUUUUGGUUAUUCUCUCCCGGAUUAGGAGCAGAAUAUUUUUGGGUGAUUCUGGAGAUGGAAAUGGAUGGAUAUAUGUGGAUGGUACUUCUGGAGUAGAAGUAGCAUAUAUGAGUGAACGUGCAAGUGAAAUCUUGAUUUAACCACAUGACAAGCUCCUAAGGGUCUACACAGCUUGACCACACUCAAUGCUCAUAAGCAGUAAAUAAUAAAUGUGUGGCUCAAAGUCUAGCAAGCAUGUAUAUAUGGCUGUGGUAGGAAAUUAAGCUCUCAUCAUACAGGAACUCAUCAUGCAAUAUUUUAAAGAUUUUCAAAGAUAAAAUUCUCCAGAAUUCUAGCAUCUCUAGGAACAGAUAAACAGCAGCUCAACCUUCCCAUAUCGUAUCCGUUAACAACUUAGACUUUAGAUCAAGUUUUCAUCCCACAAGUUUAGGUCUAGGGCAAGCUUUAAAUUAUAACAGUUAUAUCUAAACUUGAGAGAGAACUUAGAAUGUGCAAAUUAGGCAGAGCAACUAUUCAUCAUAUCCAUGCUUAAGUUUUUGUUUAGAUACAGAUUAGCAUAGCCACUUUAUUUAUUUGUUAAACACACUAAGCAAAAGACAUAUAUAAGCAUAAAAUAUUUAUUUGGUUUUCCCAUAGUUUAUGUGUAUUUUAAUAUUCUAAAAUAAUAUAAGUAUAAAGAUAGAUAGAUAUACUUAUCGGGAUAAAUGGGAGUGCUCUCCCCCAAGCUGAAUUUUGACGUAAUUUCUCUUGAUGUAGCUAGCAGGUGGUAGAGGUGUAUUUGAAAGUCAGCAGCAUUCUGACAGUGAUUAGAUUGUCCUCCGUCUGUGAGUCUUCUUGAUUCUUAAAUUCUGUGGAGCUCAAAUAGACAACAUAGCUUGUGGAACUGAUUAAGUGUUAGCAUAAAUAUCUUGCCUUUAUCAUGUUGAGACUCCUUAAUAAUUGUUACUCCCUGUUUUUAUAUUUUUAUUUUUAUAAAGCAGAAAAAAUAUUUAUUUUUGUUUUUAUGCCACCACAGUGAAUGUACUUAUGGGUUUUAUGCCACUCGUAUACUCACAUGGGGCUUACUGUUUUUCAUAUAUAUUUUUUAUUUUCUUUUUAGAAUAGCACGAACAUGAUUAACUAAGUAAACUAGUUGGAAUAAUUUGAAAGUGAAAAGAUAACUACCAAGUUUACCUCUUGGCAAGGCGUUCGGUGUUUUUAAGUCCUCCGAACGGGACUCUCCAUUUUCUUAAUUAUCCUGAGGUUCGUUGGGUGGCGAAGCCGGUACUUCCGGUAGCGCCUCCUCUUCAUGUAUAGUUAUCUUCAUUUUCCAUACCUGACUCGGUGCUUCAAUCUCCUCUGGAUAAUUCUGUUUAAACUCUACGUCUUCUGACCUUACAACUUCUCCUUCAUAGUCUGCCCAUCCGUCCUUGAUGAUCUGCCUCCUCUAGUUGCGGUUGCGUCUCUUUCUGACCUGCUUAGAUUCUUCAAUGAUAUAGUUAGGGUCAGUAAAAUAACGGCGUACCUUCUCUGAGGGGAAGUGCAUAUGGACUUCUCCGGUUCCAAUGUAGAUAAUUGCUUUAACGGUGCUGAGGAGGGGUCUUCCAAGGAUGAUGGGUGGAUCGUACUCGUCUUCUCCCAUGUCAAUAACUUGAAAGUCUGUGUAGACAAAGUGGUCGUCUAUUUUGACUGGGACAUCAGAUACUAUUCCUUGAACUUCUCGAAAUGUCUGAUCUGCCAUCUGCAGCUGAAUGUAUGUUGGUCUUAGUGGCAUGGUCCCGAACAAGAGCCGAUAAGUGACUGCGGCCAUUAUGUUGACGCCCGAUCCGGUGUCGCAAAUCGUCUUGUAGAAGUUAUAUCCAUUUAUGGAGCAGUAGAUGCUUGGCAUUCCUGGGUCGUCCUUCUUGGUCAAAAACGGUGACUUAAGUUGGUGAUCUUGGCCUCCAUGGACUACAGUGACCAUCUUAGCUGACUCGGUCCACACUUGCUUGUUCCUGUUCCUCCUGUUGGUCCUCUUCCCUGAUUCACGUCUGGAUUGAUCUGGAAUUUGUGUAGUCUUGUUCUUGAAGAAAAAUGUCUCCUUCUUCCCUUUGACGUAGAAACUGAUCUUGGCAGCACUGGCGUAGAUGAUAGCUCCGGUGGUGUUCAAAAAUGGCCUUCCUAGGAUGAUAGGUGCUCUCUCAUCAUUUUCGGUCUCAACCACUACAAAGUCUGCUGGGGUAUAUAAAGUACCAACUCGGACACAAAGGUUCCUCACUAUUCCUUUUGGAAAAGUUAUCGUCUGAUCUGCAAACUGCAAACACAUGGUUGUUUCUAAUAAAGGAUAUGUAAAGAAUUUCUCAUAGAGUACCCUGGGUAUAAUGUUGACGCUAGAGCCAAAGUCACAGAGUGCUUCUGGAACGUCCACCAUGCCGAUGGAGAUCGGGAUGACGGGGCAUCCUGGAUCGUCUCUCUUGACCGGCAGACGGUCAGUAGAGAAUUCAGUGAUGGGGUUACUCCAAUUACCUGCAUCGAACAUGUCUACAAGAUUUGCAGUUUCUAAUCCUUCCGGUUGUGAUGGUAUACCGGGGUUAGUAGUAGGAACAGCAGCAGCUAUUUGAUUUAACUGGGAUUCAAUCAUUUUAUUAAAGCUAAUUUGAUUCUUGAUGACAGUAGAGAAAUUAUCCAUUCUAUUAUUUAUAUUUUCUAGCAUUUUAUCAUUAGACGCCAAUUUCUUAGAUAGAUUAUCCAUUAGCUUUCCUUGAUUAGACACUAACUCUCUCAAAGGUGGAAAAUUAUUAUUAUUGUUGUAAGAAUUGUUACCUUGAUAAUUACCUGAGUAGUUAGGCCUCUGUUGAUUCCAACCUUGAUUUCGUUGAGGACGGUUGUAGUUGUUGUUGUUGUUGAUGAUGUAGUUCACAUCCUCAAGCAUCUCCGGGCAGUGGUUGCCUGAGUGUCCAGUGUCUCCACACUCCUCACAAGUCAUGUGAGAGUCGUAGAUGUGCAUAACUUCUUUCUUGUCUCCAGCUCUAUCGUCGAGCUUCUUCAUGAGCAGGUCUAGCUUUGCAGACAGCAUGUCUACCUCCUUCAGCUGAUGCAUACCCCCACCUCUCUUGCGUGUCUGGGUCCUCUCUUCAUUCCAGCUUUGGUUGGAUGCCAUCUUCUCCACAAGAGCUGUGGCUUGUGGUAUAGUAAGUGAUAAGAAUGCUCCUCCAGCUGCAGCAUCCAUGGUCUAUCGGGCACUGUUGCUGAGCCCAUGAUAGAAUGUCUGCAUCAGUAGCCAACUCUCCAUUCCAUGAUGGGGACAUUCUAGGAUGUAGUCUUGAAAGCGCUCCCAUGCUUCUGGAACAGAUUCAUCAUUUUGUUGCUGAAAACUUGUAAUCUUCCCACGGAGAGCAUUGGUCUUGCCCAUGGGAAAGAACUUAGCCAGGAAGUUUGUUGAGCAGAGUGCCCACGUAGUAUUCUUCUCCUUUGUAGCGUCGAACCACUGCUUCGCUCUUCCUAACAGUGAGAAUGGGAAGAGGCGAAGUAGUAUAGCGUCUUUAGAAACUCCUGCUAUGGUGAAUGUGUUGCAAAUCUCUAGGAAGUGUUGUAAAUGAGCACUAGCGUCUUCGUGUGCCUUCCCACAGAACUGGUUGGAUUGCACCAUGUUGAUAAGUCCAGGCUUGAGCUCAAAGUUGCCAUCGAUCUCUGCAGCAGGUCCAGUGUGGAUGUUGUCCGUAUUGGGAGCUGAGAACUCGCGGAUUGAUUUGUUCGCCAUGGCCUCGAACUCUGAAUACAAGUUCCGGUGAUCUUCUUGAUUGGAUGAAGCUUCUUCGUGAAGUGUUGAUGAUUUCUUUAGCUUGGCUCUCGUCUUCUUGAAUAAUGCUAUAGGAUUGUCAACAAAAUUUCUUGGAAGAUGUCUUCUAUUCAUACAUUCCCCUGCAUAAGAUAAAAUAGAAAAAAAUAUCGGGGUAAAACUGUAUGAGAGAAUAGAUAAGCUCAAUCAUAUUAGUGAUGCGAAUGAUAACUCAAAAUCUUUUUAUUCCAUUCUUGAUUAGUAAUCAACCUUCCCCGGCAACAGCGCCAAAAAUGCUUGUUGGGCAUUCUUAACAUCUUUACUAAAAGUAGACUAAGUUCUAAAUCUAGCAACGGUGCCAAAAAUGCCAAACCUAUCCCUCACACCACUUAAGCCAAGUUGUCAUCCCCAGCAUGAUAUAAGAGACGCGGUAUUGAAAUAUGCAAUUGCUCUUCUAAAUAAAUAAUGAAUUGGAUCUGCAAGCGCACAGAUUAAUACCGAUGUAGCAUUUUAACCGGGAAGUAUUCCAGGUAACGUUAUUUAUAUUUUUACCACUGGGAAGGGAUUAGCAAUCAUCACUAAUCAUUACAGAAUAGAAUAUGAGAUUGAGCAUCUAUCAUUGCAUGUAUAAUUGAGAACAUUAUAUCUAACUCUUCAUACAGGGAUAAGUGUCACAUAAAAGAUAUAUGAAAUAAUAAUAGUGACAAGGAUAACUAAUCUGAUCUAGCCACAUAAUAAUUAUGAUAAGCACCUCAAUUAGAUACUCUAGAAAGUCAUUAGCAUGGUAUUAGAACGAACUACAAGAAUAUUCCCUAAGUUAUUCUCAACUAUAUAGUCUAGCAUAUCAUAGUUAGUGCAAGCAUACUUAGCAAUCAUUGCGAGACAAGACUACACCCAUGCAUAGUGAUAUUAGCAAGGAAUAUGAGAAACAUAGCAAUCACUCCCCUGUAAUAAUGUUGCUCUGCCAGCCCAAUACACGAGAGGGGGACUAUAUAAGAAUCAAUGAAGCUGUCACUAUCACGAACCACCCCACGAUCUGGCAUAUUGGAUACAAUCGCAGAUAAAUACGGUAUAAGCACCACGCCUACACAAUAUCUAUCAUUUACCCAUGGAUCCGAUGGAUAAACGCUAUACGAUCCUAAGCAUGUAUAUAGAUCCAAUCUAACUAAGCCAAGUACAUAACUAUGAUAAACUAAGAACAAUAUAAUCUUGAAUAUAAGCAAGUAGAGCAAAGUCAUAAGCAAUAUAUUGAAGUAGAACAAAGUCAUAUUCAUAAUAUUGAAGAGCAAAGAUAAUUAGAAAGCAAUUAGAAGCACAAUUAGAGAAUUACCAAGAAUCCUCCUAACAGAUCCGGAAACCAAUCGAAGAUUGACUCCUUCUAGUUCUAAUCCUAAGUAGCUAUGCUAAUCUAGAUAUCUAAUUGAUGUGGUGGCUCUAAUCUUGAUCAGAGGCUUCUUCUCCCUUGAUGGAACAAUGAAUUAGGGUUGAGAGGCUCUCUCCUCCAGGGGCCAGGGGGUCUGGUUUUAUAGUCCCUUCAAGUAAAUAUGGGCCCUUGGAUCAAACCGACAUAGAUUGUAUGGUUUAGAUUCAUCCUUUAGGUCGGUGGAGAUCUCCCGCAAAGCAGAGUCCUGAUUGGACUCAGGAGGUGGGCGGGCGCCCUGACCAACUGGGCGGCCGCCCAGGGUCUGGCCCCGUUUCGCCUCCACUUCGGUCUCGUGGCUUCUGGAGUCUUCUAGAUGUAAGAUAAUUGCGCAGCACAUUAAUAUCUUUACGUAAUCCCGACAUGUGGGCCUUUCUUCCGUAUUUCCUGAUAACCCCCUACAGAAAUAGACAAACACCAAAACUCGUGGAAUUCUAUCAGAUAAAACCCUAAGUCUAGAUCUUAAUUUCAUUUGGAUCCUUUUCUUUAUUUAUUUGAUAAUUAAAUUUGACACUUAAGGACCAUCAACAAACUCCCCCAAGCUUACCUCUUGCUCGUCCCUGAGCAAGGAUAGACUCAGCUAUGGAUCAUAAGUUGUUGCAAUAUUUUUAAAAAAUAGACGGUACAUAUGCUUUUAAAUAAGAUCUCAUCUCUGAGUUAGAGUAAACUAUCAAGACUUAAAACUUACUUACUUUACCUCCACCAUGGGACUUGUAACUGUCACUUCUGUCUUGAGUGGUUAAAAGAUAGAACAGUCUAGCCAAGUGCCAUGUCUCUUAUUCUUGAUCAGCUAUAGCUCUGGGGUUUUUGCAGAUUUUCAAAUAAAACUCAGAGAUUCCUUGUAUGAUUCUCUCAUAUCUCUCUUUUGUGGUAUUUUUGGAUCCUUACCAAGGCAUUGAUGGUAUAUGCCUUCUCUCAAGAUAUGUAGUAUUUGUGGUAUAAGGCAUAGUGACAUUGCCUUCUCUCUCACCCUACUCUAAUAAGGCUUUAAUAUUUGGAGCUCAUAGGUGGGAGAUAAAGUAUACAUACUCACAAGACAUUUAUUGCAUAGUCAAACCAUGGAUCCAAAGAAACAAAUCAAUAAGCCAAAUCAAGAUGUGCAUGUGUGGCGAAUGAAUGGUGUAUGGUGAUGAUGGUGAUAACAAUGGUGAAAACAAUGGUGGUGGAAGUCUAAUUCUACUUUGCUCUUUUGAGGGGAUACAUACCUUCCUUGCUUUUGAAACUUUAUGAGGAGAAUGAGAUGCUCUUCUUUUUCUUGUCUCUCAGGUGGGUAUCUUGCACCCCUAAUUCUACUGUCGGACACUUGUCCAUUUUUACCUCUCGUCUCACUCUUUCUUUUCUUUCGAGGUUCCGAGCACUUGCUCCUUUUUAUUUCCUCGUAUUAUUUUUUUUAUUUUCUUCUUUUUUUUAGAGCACUCGUCUCUUGAGAUAAUAUAGAAAGUGGUAGUAACAAGAUAACUUGAGCAUUUAUUUCACAAGGGGAAACAAAAAUAUUUUUGGUUAUUCUCUCCCGGAUUAGGAGCAGAAUAUUUUUGGGUGAUUCUGGAGAUGGAAAUGGAUGGAUAUAUGUGGAUGGUACUUCUGGAGUAGAAGUAGCAUAUAUGAGUGAACGUGCAAGUGAAAUCUUGAUUUAACCACAUGACAAGCUCCUAAGGGUCUACACAGCUUGACCACACUCAAUGCUCAUAAGCAGUAAAUAAUAAAUGUGUGGCUCAAAGUCUAGCAAGCAUGUAUAUAUGGCUGUGGUAGGAAUUUAAGCUCUCAUCAUACAGGAACUCAACAUGCAACAUUUUAAAGAUUUUUAAAGAUAAAAUUCUCCAGAAUUCUAGCAUCUCUAGGAACAGAUAAACAGCAGCUCAACCUUCCCAUAUCGUAUCCGUUAACAACUUAGACUUCAGAUCAAGUUUUCAUCCCACAAGUUUAGGUCUAGGGCAAGCUUUAAAUUAUAACAGUUAUAUCUAAACUUGAGAGAGAACUUAGAAUGUGCAAAUUAGGCAGAGCAACUAUUCAUCAUAUCCAUGCUUAAGUUUUUGUUUAGAUACAGAUUAGCAUAGCCACUUUAUUUAUUUGUUAAACACACUAAAAAAAAGACAUAUAUAAGCAUAAAAUCUUUAUUUGGUUUUCCCAUAGUUUAUGUGUAUUUUAAUAUUCUAAAAUAAUAUAAGUAUAAAGAUAGAUAGAUAGAUAGAUAUACUUAUCGGGAUAAAUGGGGGUGCUCUCCCCCAAGCUGAAUUUUGACGUAAUUUCUCUUGAUGUAGCUAGCAGGUGGCAGAGGUGUAUUUGAAAGUCAGCAGCAUUCUGACAGCGAUUAGAAUGUCCUCCGUCUGCGAGUCUUCUUGAUUCUUAAAUUCUGUGGAGCUCAAAUAGACAACAUAGCUUGUGGAACUGAUUAAGUGUUAGCAUAAAUAUCUAGCCUUUAUCAUGUUGAGACUCCUUAAUAAUUGUUACUCCCUGUUUUUAUAUUUUUGUUUUUAUAAAGCAGAAAAAAUAUUUAUUUUUGUUUUUAUGCCACCACAGUGAAUGUACUUAUGGGUUUUAUGCCACUCGUAUACUCACAUGGGGCUUACUGUUUUUCAUAUAUUUUUUUUUAUUUUCUUUUUAGAAUAGCACGAACAUGAUUAACUAAGUAAACUAGUUGGAAUAAUUUGAAAGGAAAAAGAUAACUACCAAGUUUACCUCUUGGCAAGGCGUUCGGUGUUUUUAAGUCCUCCGAACGGGACUCUCCAUUUUUUUAAUUGUCCUGAGGUUCGUUGGGUGGCGAAGCCGGUACUUCCGGUAGCGCCUCCUCUUCAUGUAUAGUUAUCAUCAUUUUCCAUACCUGACUCGAUGCUUCAAUCUCCUCUGGAUAAUUCUGUUUAAACUCUACGUCUUCUGACCUUACAACUUCUCCUUCAUAGUCUGCCCAUCCGUCCUUGAUGAUCUGCCUCCUCUGGUUGCGGUUGCGUCUCUUUCUGACCUGCUUAGAUUCUUCAAUGAUAUAGUUAGGGUCAGUAAAAUAACGGCGUACCUUCUCUGAGGGGAAGUGCAUAUGGACUUCUCCGGUUCCAAUGUAGAUAAUUGCUUUAACGGUGCUGAGGAGGGGUCUUCCAAGGAUGAUGGGUGGAUCGUACUCGUCUUCUCCCAUGUCAAUAACUUGAAAGUCUGUGUAGACAAAGUGAUCGUCUAUUUUGACUGGGACAUCAGAUACUAUUCCUUGAACUUCUCGAAAUGUCUGAUCUACCAUCUGGAGCUGAAUGUAUGUUGGUCUUAGUGGCAUGGUCCUGAACAAGAGCCGAUAAAUGACUGCGGCCAUUAUGUUGACGCCCGAUCCGGUGUCGCAAAUCGUCUUGUAGAAGUUAUAUCCAUUUAUGGAGCAGUAGAUGCUUGGCAUUCCUGGGUCGUCCUUCUUGGUCAAAAACGGUGACUUAAGUUGGUGAUCUUGGCCUCCAUGGACUACAGUGACCAUCUUAGCUGACUCGGUCCACACUUGCUUGUUCCUGUUCCUCCUGUUGGUCCUCUUCCCUGAUUCACGUCCGGAUUGACCUGGAAUUUGUGUAGUCUUGUUCAUGAAGAAAAAUGUCUCCUUCUUCCCUUUGACGUAGAAACUGAUCUUGGCAGCACUGGCGUAGAUGAUAGCUCCCGUGGUGUUCAAAAAUGGCCUUCCUAGGAUGAUAGGUGCUCUCUCAUCAUUUUCGGUCUCAACCACUACAAAGUCUGCUGGGGUAUAUAAAGUACCAACUUGGACACAAAGGUUCCUCACUAUUCCUUUUGGAAAAGUUAUCGUCUGAUCUACAAACUGCAAACACAUGGUUGUUUCUAAUAAAGGAUAUGUAAAGAAUUUCUCAUAGAGUACCCUGGGUAUAAUGUUGACGCUAGAGCCAAAGUCACAGAGUGCUUCUGGAACGUCCACCAUGCCGAUGGAGAUCGGGAUGACGGGGCGUCCUGGAUCGCCUCUCUUGACUGGCAGACGGUCAGUAGAGAAUUCAGUGACGGGGUUACUCCAAUUACCUGCAUCGAACAUGUCUACAAGAUUUGCAGAUUCUAAUCCUUCCGGUUGUGAUGGUAUACCGGGGUUAGUAGUAGGAACAGCAGCAGCUAUUUGAUUUAACUGGGAUUCAAUCAUUUUAUUAAUGCUAAUUUGAUUCUUGAUGGCAGUAGAGAAAUUAUCCAUUCUAUUAUUUAUAUUUUCUAGCAUUUUAUCAUUAGACGCCAAUUUCUUAGAUAGAUUAUCCAUUAGCUUUCCUUGAUUAGACACUAACUCUCUCAAAGGUGGAAAAUUAUUAUUAUUGUUGUAAGAAUUGUUACCUUGAUAAUUACCUGAGUAGUUAGGCCUCUGUUGAUUUCAACCUUGAUUUUGUUGAGGACGGUUGUAGUUGUUGUUGUUGAUGAUGAUGUAGUUCACAUCCUCAAGCAUCUCAGGGCAGUGGUUGCCUGAGUGUCCAGUGUCUCCACACUCCUCACAAGUCAUGUGAGAGUCGUAGAUGUGCACAGCUUCUUUCUUGUCUCCAGCUCUAUCGUCGAGCUUCUUCAUGAGCAGGUCUAGCUUUGCAGACAGCAUGUCUACCUCCUUUAGCUGAUGCAUACCUCCACCUCUCUUGCGUGUCUGGGUCCUCUCUUCAUUCCAGCUUUGGUUGGACGCCAUCUUCUCCACAAGAGCUGUGGCUUGUGGUAUAGUAAGUGAUAAGAAUGCUCCUCCAGCUGCAGCAUCCAUGGUCUAUCGGGCACUGUUGCUGAGCCCAUGAUAGAAUGUCUGCAUCAGUAGCCAACUCUCCAUUCCAUGAUGGGGACAUUCUAGGAUGUAGUCUUGAAAGCGCUCCCAUGCUUCUGGAACAGAUUCAUCAUUUUGUUGCUGAAAACUUGUAAUCUUCCCACGGAGAGCAUUGGUCUUGCCCAUGGGAAAGAACUUAGCCAGGAAGUUUGUUGAGCAGAGUGCCCACGUAGUAUUCUUCUCCUUUGUAGCGUAGAACCACUGCUUCGCUCUUCCUAACAGUGAGAAUGGGAAGAGGCGAAGUAGUAUAGCGUCUUUAGAAACUCCUACUAUGGUGAAUGUGUUGCAAAUCUCUAGGAAGUGUUGUAAAUGAGCACUAGCGUCUUCGUGUGCCUUCCCACGGAACUGGUUGGAUUGCACCAUGUUGAUAAGUCCAGGCUUGAGCUCAAAGUUGCCAUCGAUCUCUACAGCAGGUCCAGUGUGGAUGUUGUCCGUAGUGGGAGCUGAAAACUCGCGGAUUGAUUUGUUCGCCAUGGCCUCGAACUCUGAAGACAAGUUCCGGUGAUCUUCUUGAUUGGAUGAAGCUUCUUCGUGAAGUGUUGAUGAUUUCUUUAGCUUGGCUCUCGUCUUCUUGAAUAAUGCUACAAGAUUGUCAACAAAAUUUCUUGGAAGAUGUCUUCUAUUCAUACAUUCCCCUGCAUAAGAUAAAAUAGAAAAAUAUCGGGGUAAAACUGUAUGAGAGAAUAGAUAAGCUCAAUCAUAUUAGUGAUGCGAAUGAUAACUCAAAAUCUUUUUAUUCCAUUCCUGAUUAGUAAUCAACCUUCCCCGGCAACGGCGCCAAAAAUGCUUGUUGGGUAUUCUUAACAUCAUUACUAAAAGUAGACUAAGUUCUAAAUCUAGCAACGGUGCCAAAAAUGCCAAACCUAUCCCUCACACCACUUAAGCCAAGUUGUCAUCCCCAGCAUGAUAUAAGAGACGCGGUAUUGAAAUAUGCAAUUGCUCUUCUAAAUAAAUAAUGAAUUGGAUCUGCAAGCGCACAGAUUAAUACCAAUGUAGCAUUUUAACCGGGAAUUAUUCCAGGUAUCGUUAUUUAUAUUUUUACCACUGGGAAGGGAUUAGCAAUCAUCACUAAUGAUUACAGAAUAGAAUAUGAGAUUGAGCAUCUAUCAUUGCAUGUAUAAUUGAGAACAUUAUAUCUAACUCUUCAUACAGGGAUAAGUGUCACAUAAAAGAUAUAUGAAAUAAUAAUAGUGACAAGGAUAACUAAUCUGAUCUAGCCACAUAAUAAUUAUGAUAAGCACCUCAAUUAGAUACUCUAGAAAGUCAUUAGCAUGGUAUUAGAACGAACUACAAGAAUAUUCCCUAAGUUAUUCUCAACUAUAUAGUCUAGCAUAUCAUAGUUAGUGCAAGCAUACUUAGCAAUCAUUGCGAGACAAGACUACGCCCAUAGUGAUAUUAGCAAGGAAUAUGAGAAACAUAGCAAUCACUCCCCUGUAAUAAUGUUGCUCUGCCAGCCCAAUACACGAGAGGGGGACUAUAUAAGAAUCAAUGAAGCUGUCACUAUCACGAACCACCCCACGAUCUGGCAUAUUGGGUACAAUCGCAGAUAAAUACGGUAUAAGCACCACGCCUACACAAUAUCUAUCAUUUACCCAUGGAUCCGAUGGAUAAACGCUAUACGAUCCUAAGCAUGUAUAUAGAUCGAAUCUAACUAAGCCAAGUACAUAACUAUGAUAAACUAAGAACAAUAUAAUCUUGAAUAUAAGCAAGGUAGAGCAAAGUCAUAAGCAAUAUAUUGAAGUAGAACAAAGUCAUAUUCAUAAUAUUGAAGAACAAAGAUAAUUAGAAAGUAAUUAGAAGCACAAUUAGAGAAUUACCAAGAAUCCUCUUGACAGAUCCGGAAACCAAUCGAAGAUUGACUCCUUCUAGUUCUAAUCCUAUGUAGCUAUGCUAAUCAAGAUAUCUAAUUGAUGUGGUGGCUAUAAUCUUGAUCAGAGGCUUCUUCUCCCUUGAUGGAACAAUGAAUUAGGGUUGAGAGGCUCUCUCCUCCAGGGGCCAGGGGGUCUGGUUUUAUAGUCCCUUCAAGUGAAUAUGGGCCCUUGGAUCAAACCGACAUAGAUUGUAUGGUUUAGAUUCAUCCUUUAGGUCGGUGGAGAUCUCCCGCAAAGCAGAGUCCUGAUUGGACUCAGGAGGUGGGCGGGCGCCCUGACCAACUGGGCGGCCGCCCAGGGUCUGGCCCCGUUUCGCCUCCGCUUCGGUCUCGUGGCUUCUGGAGUCUUCUAGAUGUAAGAUAAUUGCGCAGCACGUUAAUAUCUUUACGUAAUCCCGACAUGUGGGCCUUUCUUCCGUAUUUCCUGAUAACCCCCUGCAGAAAUAGACAAACACCAAAACUCGUGGAAUUCUGUCAGAUAAAACCCUAAGUCUAGAUCUUAAUUUCAUUUGGAUCCUUUUCUUUAUUUAUUUGAUAAUUAAAUUUGAUACUUAAGGACCGUCAACAGUGUUCAUCGAUGAUAUUUUGGUGUAUUCUGAAAGUGCACAAGAACAUGAAGAGCACCUUCGGAUUGUACUCACUAGAUUGCGAGAACAUUAGCUCUAUACCAAAUUCAGCAAGUGUGAGUUUUGGCUGAAGAAAGUGCCUUUCUUAGGCCAUAUUUUAUCUGAAGAAGGUAUUUCUGUUGACCCGUCAAAGGUGCAAGAGGUUCUAGACUGGAAGGCCCCAACUUCAGUGCACGAGGUUCGGAGUUUUCUCGGUCUAGCUGGAUAUUAUCGGCGCUUUAUUCCAGACUUUUCCAAAAUAGCUAAACCUAUGACCCAGCUACUGCAAAAAGAUGUGAAGUUUGUGUGGACCAAGGAGUGUGAUGUUGCUUUCACCACUUUACGCCAUUUGCUGACCACCGCUCCUGUUUUGGCACAACCUGACAUUGAAAAGCCCUUUGAUGUCUUUUGUGAUGCAUCUGGCACCGGCCUAGGUUGUGUGCUUAUGCAAGAUGGCCGAGUUAUUGCCUUUGCUUCUCGGCAGUUGAGGAAACAUGAAGCCAACUACCCUACCCAUGAUCUGGAGUUAGCAGCAGUUGUACAUGCAUUGAAACUCUGGAGACACUACCUGUUGGGUAAUCUUUGUCACAUCUACACUGACCAUAAGAGCCUCAAAUAUAUAUUCACUCAACCCGAAUUGAACAUGAGACAAAGAAGAUGGUUGGAGUUGAUAAAAGACUACAAUUUAGAAGUGCACUAUCAUCCCGGCAAGGCCAAUGUGGUAGCUGAUGCUCUCAGUCGGAAACAGCAUGUUAGACCUCUCUUAGAGGAAGGCUUCAAUCUAUUGCAUCCGGCGGUCCUGCACAACAUCAUAGUCAGUUGCUCAUUAGAAAGUCAAAUCAUAGAGCUCCAAAAAUCUGAUCCUGGUAUUUAUCAUGUCAAGAGAAAAAUGCAAGAGCAAGACACCAAGCAUUUCAGGGUAGAUGAGAAAGGUGUACUAUGGUUUGACAAUCAAUUAGUUGUACCUAAAAAUCAUGAUCUACGCAACAAAAUCCUAGAAGAAGCUCACUCUUCCAAAUUGUCCAUUCAUCCGGGGAGUAGCAAAAUGUACCAAGACUUGAGACCUCGUUUCUGGUGGACCAAAAUGAAGAAGGAGAUAGCAGCUUAUGUUGCUAGAUGUGAUACUUGCUGCAGGGUAAAGGCAGUUCACCUCAAACCUGCAGGUUUAUUGCAACCUCUAUCAGUUCCAGGUUGGAAGUGGGAAGAAAUCAGCAUGGAUUUCAUUGUUGGACUUCCCCUUACUCAAAAAGGACACAAUUCUAUAUGGGUGAUUGUUGACCGUCCGACCAAGUCGGCUCAUUUUAUUCCUGUACACUCUACAUACCGACCAUCCGACUAUGCUGAGUUGUACUUCUCUCAGAUAAUUAAGCUGCACGGUGUGCCCCGCACUAUUAUCUCUGAUAGAGGUCCUCAGUUUACUGCUCGCUUUUGGGAGCAUCUGCAUUCACUCCUUGGCACAAAAUUGGUUCGCAGUUCAGCCUAUCAUCCUCAGACCUCCGGUCAAACUGAGCGUGUGAAUCAAAUUUUAGAGGAUAUGUUGAGGGCAUGUGUUAUAUCUUCCAAGGGUGCAUGGGAGAAAUGGCUACCCUUAGCUGAAUUCUCUUACAACAAUAAUUAUUAGGAAAGCAUCCAAAUGGCUCCUUUUGAAGCUUUGUACGGUCGCAAAUGUAGAACUCCUCUAAACUGGGUCGAACCUGGUGAAAGGAGGUACUACGGAAUUGACUUCGUCAAGGAAGCCGAGAAACAAGUUCUCCUUAUCCAGCAACACAUGAGAGCCGCCCACGCUAGGCAGAAAAGCUAUGCUGACCGAAGAAGAAAGCCAAUUGAAUUCGAAAUAGGUGACUUUGUGUACAUAAAAGUAUCACCCAUGAAAGGAACAAAUCGCUUCGGCGUUAAAAGAAAGCUUGCCCCUAGGUAUGUCGGUCCCUACCGAAUCAUCGAGAAGAGCGGCAAGGUAGCUUACAAAGUGCAACUACCUCCCGAAAUGAUAGCUAUUUUCCCUGUAUUCCAUGUGUCUCAACUUAAGAAGUGUCUUCGUGUGCCCGAAGAGAGAGUUGAAUCAAGAGAUAUCAAGUUGCAGUCAGACCUAUCUUAUGAAGAAAAGCCUGUACAAGUUCUCGAUGUCAAAGAGCGGGUUACCCAUGGGAGGGUGAUCAAACUUUUUAGAGUAUUGUGGAACCAUCAAAAUGAGAGAGAUGCCACUUGGGAAAGGGAAGACUAUUUACAAGAAACUUAUCCCUCAUUCUACGAAAAAUGGUACGUCUUUCAAAUCUCGGGGCGAGAUUUUUGUAAGGGGGGAGGGCUGUAACACUCCUAGUGUUAGCUUGCAUGUUAACCUUGAGCAUUGCAUUAACAUAAGCAUCAUAAUGAUCACUCAUGAGCAUCAUACCAUGAUCACAUGCCAUUUGCUUUAUACACUACAUGAUUAAAUUGCUUGAGUGACUUGAAUUGAGUGUUUAUAAGGGGUAGCCAAUGCAAAGAAUUGUACAUUGUCCUCCAAAAUACCUCAAUCAUGUUUAGAAUAUCAUUUGGAACAAAGUUCAUGGUGAAGGUUUUGGCCAAAAAUGCCCCUAAGUCAUGGUUAACCCUAGAAUGACCUUUUUGACCCUCCUAGACCUCCUUUCAAAGAUGUUUUAUGAAACUGGUGUUAGAUAUCUUGCAUGUCUUUGAUACCUGAAACAAAGUUGUAGAGAAUUUCAUAAGCUACAAAAGUUAUGUUGAUGAAUUUUUAUGAAAAAGCCUGGAACACAUUCAAAAAUUGCUCACAAGCCAAAAAUUAGGGCUGAUUUCACACUUAGCCGAAUUUGGCUAAGUGUUGGAUCGCGCAGUUUCGACCAAGGGAUGUUUGGAGCUUUGUAGUUUGAAAUCCAGACCGAGUUAGACUUUGAUCUUGUAACCAAAGUUGUAGAGCUCGUGUAGCUCUGCAUAGAGGACCAAAUCCCAGCCAAAACCAUCGAGUGAUCUGAGAGUAAAACGUUGACAAAGUUCGAGUUUCAGUCACAGCAAUCGGCUGUUUCAGAAAAACGAUUCAGUUGGACAGAGCUCACCCGCCGCCGCGUGUCCGGCUACCUGGCGGUCGUACGUCGUCGGCGACCCCGCCUGUCAGCCCCGACGUCAUCCACAAGACGCCACGCACCGGGUGGACGCCUCAGACGCGCCAUUCACCCCUCCAAAGCGCCACAUUGCGCCCGCCUUCGUCCACGGCGAGCUCCGCCGCGCUUCGGCGAGCUCCUCCGGCCGUUCCACCGCGUCUCCGGCCAAGCCAGCCUGCCAAAAGCUUCGCCAGAGCCUCCUCUACCUCGGCGUCACCUCCUUGGCCACUGUCGAGCACGGGUAAGGCGGCAUUGCUAGGCUCCGAGCAGUUCUCCCUCGCCGGAGUUCCGCCCGAGCUCACCGGCAACGUGGCCAGGCUUCUCUGCUCCACCAUAUCCUUCCAUUCUUGCUCCUAUCGCUUCCCCUUGGUUCACUGAUGCUCGGCAUGACGCUCUACCGCGUCGCCAUUGCCUGGAUCCGCCGGCGUAUCGCCGCGCAGCGCCGCCGCUCCGCCAUUCCCGACGGCGAGCACCUUAGGGUCCAGUAGAGCGCGCGCAAAGUAGGUCAAUAGAGUCGCCUUGAUGAGAGGAACACAUAGGUGCCCUGGGAUCCGGCCGAGACCUCGCCGUCGUUGAGCUUCGCCGGCGACGAGCGUCUCCCCUGCCUCUGUCUCACUGACACGCGGGUCCCGGACGUCAGCCUCUCUGUGUCUCUCUCUGGUUCACUGUUUUGCAGAGCCAAAGCUGAUUUUGUAAAAUUCAUAUCUGGAGUUUUAGAGAUCCAAAUGUGGUGCUUCCAAUUUUGUUAGGUUCCAGGAUAAGUCUAGUUUUUAAUAAAAAUAUGAAACAUGCCAUGUUUUUGCAGAAAUAAAUAGAUAUAAAUUAAUCUUGGUUUUUCAGUGGGUAAUUUUAUCUUGAGAUCUGUUGAUCUGCUGGCCAUGCAAAUUUAGGGAGUUGUUACUUAUGUUAUGACUAGUCUUUGAUAAAUGUUUCAUGAUUUUUGGAAGCCUGGUUGGGAAGUUAAAAUUAAUCCUGGAUUAAAUAGGAGAAUCUUGUGGUAUUUUUGAUAAUUAAAGUAUAACUCCUUUUAUGGUGAAACUUGCUCAGUGUUGUGCUUAUGAGUAGACAAAGCAAGGAAAAAUCUGAAAUCUGUUGUUUGAAACUUUUUGAUAGGGUUUUACAUUUAUGCCUUGCAUGCCUUUACUAGCUUGUGAUUUUCAUACCUCACAAUGUAUACAUGCAAAUGUUCUGAAAAUUUUACAGUGAUCUUAUGUUAGCAUAGGUAGCUUGCUGUAAUUUUCUUAGGAUUUUUGGAACAAUUGGUGUAUAUGUUCAUUAAAUCACCUUAAUAAAUAAAUAAAUGGAAAAGGUGAUGAUAGAAAUAGUUUUAGACCUUGCCAUGAUAUUUUCUGGUGUUUCUUAGAUAUGUUCUAUCUACUGGUGCAAUUGGAUUGUUCCUUUGAUACAUUCUUAAUAUGUGCAAAAUAUUAUUUUAGCUAUUUUUGCCUUUCCUAGAGCAUUUCUGUACAGCUGAUAGCAAUUGAUUAAGAACUGUUUGAAGAUUGUAUUUUCUGGGAAACUUGUCUACAACAAACUUGUAGCUAACUUACGAAUCUACUUCGUGUCCAAAUUUCAUGACAUUUGGUUCAGUAGUUUGAAAGUUAUGCAUAUUUCAAGUAGCUACUAUGAAGUGCUUGCUCUCUGGAAUUUCCAGAGCAGCCAGCCAACUUGGUAUGUUUUAGCAUAUUUCGGUUGGGAAUCAUGCUGGGAUGUCUAAAAGUAAAUUGUAGACAAAUUGUUAAGCUUUCCAGAAAGUGCUUACUUGCUUAAUUUGGUUAAGUGAUAUUCGAGUUAUAGCUGAAACUUGUGACUGGUUGGUUUGUCUACUAAACCAGUGGCUGAGUAGGAGUAGCUAGAAGUUGCUUAACUUGUCUAUUUAGCCUCUCUACCAGAGAAGAAGUAUGCAUUUACUUGUUAUUCCAUGACUCACUUAUUCUUAGAAGUUUAUGCUCAUGUUAUACCUUGUUUAUGUCCCUUUGGCUCUUCAUCAUGACAUCAUGCAUCAUAUGUGCAUUUCCCAUAUUCAUCUCCUUGUCAUGCAUCCAUAGGUGUACCCAAAGGAGUGACGGUGCUGGAGUUCGAGUUGCCGGAGCCGGAAGGACAGCAAGGGGAGCCACCUCAAGGAGCUGAGGAGGAGGAGGACUUGCCGGAGUGCCCUGACCAUCGUCCCUCUACUUACGUUGAAGGCAAGCCCCGGAGCAUUAUAAGUCUCCUACUAUUUUAUUAUCAUAAUCAGCUAUCAAAUGACUAUGGUUAUAUAUUGUUGCAUUAAGUGGUAGGCGUUGAUAUGACACCCUUGCUGCAUAAUGACUACCUUGUCCACCUUAAACAUUACCAAAGUAGGUCCAGGAUCGAAGUGAUGCUUAUGUUUAGCUCGGUAGAAGUCGGGUGAUUUCCUGUCACCUGCGAGAGUUAGGUGGAUGAUGAUCACGGUUGGCUAUAUUUGCUAUCGUGGAGAUAACCAAGUGCUAAAAUGAACUUGAGACCGGGCGGGAUGACGAUAGUGCAGCAACAAGGCAUGGAGGUCUUGGGUGUGAAUCUAUCCCCGUCUGUGUCGUUUAAGGACCGAAUCGCUGUACGUCCCCGUGUCAUGUUGAACGCAUGCCUAUCACUUAGUUGGCCGGAUAAGUCAUUCCGACCGCGAAGCCUACGAGUGCAUCUCCAGCCGGAUACCCCGUUCGGUUCAAGUGCGCACCCCGGUUGGUAGCAAGGAUGUGCGGGGAGUCAAUGGCGUAAGACCGAGGUGUCAGGUUAGAGUCCUGACCCUGGCAGAUUGGCGGUCCCUGGGGGUGCGGCGCCGUACGGACCCGCGAAUUGGUCCGGAGUUGUGCUAAAGGUGAUCCGAGCUGCCGUCAUGAAGUAUGCUUGGGUGAGUGUUAGGAAUACCCCUCCAGCUGGAUAGGAAUCGAUUCGAAUCGCCGUCUCUCCUGGAUAGUGAGAACUUGACUUGGGCAGCGGCAACGUAGAAUUCACUAAAUCAACUUGAUGGUUAUGAUGAGAAUGUUGAUAGCAAAGUGAUAAUCUUGAUAUGGUUAUUAUUGAUAUGCUUAAUUACCCAAGUGUAUGCUUAGAACAGGUGCUAAUCUAGUGGAUAGUUGCUAAGUAAUGAACUUGCUGCUGAAAUAUGAAUAAAUGGAUUACUUACAGCAAAGGUUUUAUGCAAAAAGUGAGUCAACCCAGUCCACUAAGAUCAGCCUUGCAUACUCCUUGGUGUCACUUUAUUUCUGGUUUAUGACGGGUAAGUCUAGCUGAGUACAUUCUCGUACUCAGGGUUUUAUUUACCCCUGUUGCAGAUGAUGUCGUCUAUCACGGCUAUUGUGCUAACUGUCAUCACCCAGCUGCGGAUGAUGAGUAGAUCAUGGGCGUGAUCACCUCCUGUAUCUUCAGUUGUGCUUUUGCUGGGACUUGACCAUGGAACUGGCAUGUAUUACAAACUGAGUUGAAGUUGUAUCAAAACUACUUUGUUUCCGCUACUGCUAUGGUUUGUAAUAACCUCUUUCAAACUCUGAUGUGAUGUAAAACUAUGUUCUAUGUUGAAUGUUGUAAUCUGUGAUGGUGAUGCUUGAUCAUGUACGAUCUUGGUUGUAUGUUGGUUGAAUCGAAGUCUUUUGAGAUUUCGUCGGACUACCGGGUUUAUAUGGGUUCAAGUCCAUUGGCUUGACUGCCCCAGCGGUCGCUAAUUCACUUGAAUUCUUAUAAAUUGGACGGUUCUGUUACAGUGAGUGGCAUUGCAUCCCUUGUAUUUAUGUUUCCGUGUCUUUGACAUGGCCCACAUCUUCUGAUAUAUUGCUUCGUAUCUUCAUACAUUGUAGGCUAGUAGAAUCCACACUGCCAGAUCUUUGAAUGUGUGCGGAAUGCUCCAUAGUGACCUCCAUAUGGUGAUGAAUGACAUCUGUCGACGAUCUUCCAUCCUUCCUCAGUGGUCACACAUCUCCUGAGUAAACCAUCAGAGCAUACUCGGAAGAGGUAUGGCUCAUCCCAUAUAUGUGAACGACUUUCUUAAAUAAGCUUCUUCUUGUUUGCUCCUGGUGGUACAUACCCUGAAACCAUAAAAUUAACAAUAUCUGCAUACCAGGGGUCAGACGUGUUAAUCCCAUAGAGCAUGUCGUCCCGGAGUGAAUCAUUGAUGGGGGUUUCCUGUGGACUCUUAAAAUACAUUCUAGAGAAGUGAUCAGCAACAGAAUUUUCUACUCCCUUUAUAUCUUUUAUUUCUAAAUCUAAUUCUUGGAGUAAUAAGAUCCAUCUAAUCAGGCGAGGUUUAGCAUCUUUUUUAGUGAGCAAAUAUUUUAGUGCAGCAUGAUCAGUGUAAACAAUUAUUUUAGCUCCAACUAAAUAAGAUCUAAAUUUAUCAAUGGCAAAGACGACAGCCAGAAGCUCUUUUUCCGUGGUUGCAUAAUUAAGUUGAGCUCCUGUCAAAAUUUUACUGGCAUAAGCAAUUGCAUGAUGCUUCUUAUUUUUAGUUUGUCCCAAUACUGCCCCCACAGCAUAAUCACUAGCAUCACACAUAAUUUCAAAAGGCAACGACCAAUCAGGGGGUUGAAUGAUUGGUGCAGAGAUGAGUGCUUUCUUUAAUAAAUUGAAAGAUGUUAGACAUGCAUCAUCGAAUUCGAAAGGAGCAUCCUUGGCUAGCAAAAUAGUAAGUGGUCUAGCAAAGAAUGAAAAAUCUUUUAUGAAUCUACGAUAAAAACCAGCAUGGCCAAGAAAGCUUCGAAUUCCUUUUAUAUUCACAGGUGGAGGUAGUUGUUCAAUUACUUCAAUUUUAGCUUUAUCUACCUCAAUACCUCUUUUAGACACUAGGUGUCCCAGCACUAUUCCAUCCCAAACCAUGAAAUGACAUUUUUCCCAAUUAAGGACUAAGUGCUUUUCUUCAUAUCUUUGCAAAACCUUGUCUAAGUUUUCAAGACAACUAUCAAAAGUUUUUCCAUAAACUGAGAAAUCAUCCAUGAAAACUUCCAUAAUCUCUUCAAUCAUAUCAGAAAAUAUAGACAUCAUGCAUCUUUGAAAAGAAGCUGGUGCAUUACAUAACCCAAAAGACAUUCUACGGUAAGCAUAAGUUCCAUAUGGGCAUGUAAAAGUGGUUUUGCUUUGAUCAUCGGGAUGGAUCAGGAUCUGAUGAUACCCUGAAUAUCCAUCUAAGAAAUAGAAGAACGAAUGGUUCACUAAUCGCUCUAGCAUCUCAUCUAUAAAAGGUAAAGGAAAGUGAUCCUUUCUCGUGGCUUUGUUUUGUUUUCUAUAGUCUAUGCACAUCCGCCAUCCUGUGACGGUGCGUUGCGGAAUUAGCUCGUUCUUUUCAUUCAUAAUAACAGUCAUGCCUCCCUUUUUAGGCACAACUUGCACUGGGCUUACCCACUCACUGUGCGGCACAGGAUAUAUAAUCCCUGCAUGCAGCAACUUUAUAACUUCCUUUUUAACUACCUCUCUCAUAGUGUUGUUAAGUCUACGUUGGGGUUCUCGAGAGGGUGAAACAGAAGGAUCUGUUGGAAUACGAUGGGUACAAAUCAUAGGACUGAUUCCUGUAAGAUCUUGGAGUGAGUAGCCGAAAACUGAGUGAUGUUUCUCAAGAAUGGUCAUUAAUUGCAGAGUUUGCUCCUGAGUGAGUUUAUCGCUAAUGAUCACAGGGAACUCUGGAUUAUUGUUUAGGAAAGCAUAGAUAAGACCGGGUGGUAAAGUUUUAAGCUCUAUGGGGGGUCUAGGUGUUUCUGCAAACUCAUCUAAGGGUUCAGGUUCAGAAGGUUUGGCUUCUUCUUCUAUGAAGAAAGGAGUUUCGUCUUCUAAGUCUCAUUCUUCUAAAAGCUCUAGAGAUGCAGCCUUUACCUCCUCCAUAGGAUCAGGCAAAAGAUAUGAUUCGGCCUUAUUGUUUAAGGAGUGUGAAAUUGUUAUUGGGAAUUUAAAGGUUUUUCCAAAAGAAAGAAAUGUGUAGCUUUCCAGUAUGACCUUCAUAAAGGAGUCUUCUAAAAGGUUGUCCUAUCAAUAGGUCGAAGUCCCAUGUAUCAAAGAUAUAGAAGUUCAAAUGAACCAUGGAGCCUUCUACCAUAAGAGGUAGGACAUUAAUAAUUCCAAGACUGGGGACUAAUCGUCCCGAAGAUUCCUUUAUGACCUUCGUUGUGGGGGUUAAGACAAAAUUUUUAAAUAGUUUAAGUGCAAAAGAUUCAGACAUGAUGUUGAUCCCCACAACAGGAUUAUAAAGAGCAUUAAAUCGAUCAGAAUUAUAAGCACAGCGUAUAGUUAUAGAGGGUGUGUCCAAACGGAUCACAUCAGAGGAAAGCUCUCAUUCCUCCAACCAUUCGCUACUCAUUACUGAGAUAAGCUCUCUCAAUUGAUAUUCACUUGGCAAAUAAAUGCUAAACUGGCCGUUUUGAGGUUUGUCAAUAGAAUCGUAGUUUGAAAUGUUUCCAAAAUCGGCAAAAAUAUCGGAUUCUAUAUCCAGCAUGAUGUCCGGUGGUGGAAUUUCUUCCUCUUGUGGCUCAGAACUUGGGAUAGCUAAAGUAGAUGAAGAAUUUAGCAGAGUGUCUACUUCGGCUUCGUAGGUUUCAUCAUGAAGGGUAUUAUCCAUCUUAGCUUCUAGGAUUCUAUCGAGGAUCACUCUAGCUUCAUCAGUAGGGAUGCAAAAGAAAGAACCUCUAGACAUUGUGUGUAGCAUUUGUUUGUGAUUUUUCUGAAGACCUCGAAAAAAGUGAAAUAAAAGAACAGGGUCUUCAAGAUUAAGGUUUGGACCAGAUUCUAAAAGGUUAGAAAAACAUUUCCAGGAUUUUCCCAAAGUUUCAUUAUCUUUUUGUUUAAAAGAUAGGACUUCGAGUCUAAGGUCGGCUAUACGGUCGAGGGAAUAGAAAUCUAGACAAAAGUUGGCUCGUAAAACUCCCCAUUCACCUCGUUGUUGACUUACCUUCUGACUGUACCAUUGUCUAGCUUCUCCCCUUAAGGAAAAAGGAAAAAGCUUCCAACGUAAAGUUUUAUCAGAAAUGCCUUCAAUGCGAAGACAAUCACAUGUUUGCUCAAAAUCUCUAAUAUGAAGGUAAGGGUUUUCGUCUUCCUUUCCCGAAAAAGAUAGGUUUUGAAUCAUGGCAAUCAACCUAGAACUUAACUUAUACUGGGAUGUUUGGAUAGGCUGUGAUGACUCCCAUGGUAAAAGGUCAGUUACUGAAGGGAUUGCAGACUCAUGUAUUGAUUUAGAAUUUUGGUUUUCCAUAAGGUAAGAGUAAAGAAAAUAAAUAAAGAAUAUAAAAGAUAAAAGUAUAGAUACAAGCUAGUAGUAAGACUCAAGGUUAUCUCAGCAAACCGUCUUUCUCCCCGGCAACGGCGCGAGAAAUGCUUGUUGAUAUUUGGGAACGCAAUAAGGAAUUGAUCCGGAAGCGCACGGAUAUCUGUGAGCACUUCACCUGGGAGGUUAUCCAGAGUAUCGUAUUUAUUGUUUUACCACUAGGAGAAAGAGUGCAUCUGACUAACCUGUCUAUUACUACUAAGCCUUUAGGCAACAAAGAAUGUCUCUCGAUGUGAGUGAUAAAUAGAGAAGACUGCAACCGUAGUCUCCUUCUAACCUUGGUAAGGAUGAUCUACUGUUCUAUUGGAGAGGCUAACGGAAUCUAGACACCACAAAGGAUGUUCAACCCGCACCUAUAAACUCUAUCCUUCCUGCUAACGAGAUAUGGUCUACAAAGGUAACUCGGAAUUGUCACGUUCCUCACUACUACCACGGUCUAGCUAGUCAGGGAAUAUCUGUGAGUACCCCAGCCUAAACAGCACGUUUACGCCAGCAAUGAUUACUCUAAACUCUACGCGAAGAGAUUAAAGUAAACUCAUAAACCAUAAGAACAAUAAAACAAGAACUUACUAGCAUUUAGAAGUCGAAAUACUGAAGAAUCCUAGGAGCAAGCUUCGGGUUAGGAGAACUUGAUCCCGCAGGUACAAGCUUGGAGUAGACACCGACAGGCCAGGCUUCCUCCAAUCUACACCUCCACUCUAUCUCUCUCAAUCUAGUAGAAACUAGAAGAUCUAUUUCUACUUUACAUUGGUUGCUAAGCCUAAAAAGAAAUAUUAAUUAGAGAAGAGGUUUUCCUUCGAGGGCACCCCUCAAUCUCUAUGAUAACUUCUUGUCUUCUCCAGGGGCCAGGGGGGUAUCCUUAUAUAGUCCUCCUCUAUGCGUUUUUGGGUCGGUAGGUGAGGUGGUACUACAUUAUCUUUGAUCCAUUAGGUCGGUGGAACAUCGUGUGCGAAGAGAGUCCCGAAAGACUUCCAGCAGGGGGCAGGCGCCCUGGGCCUGGCCCCUUUCGGCCUCUACUUUCUUCUCGUGGUUUCUGGAAUCUUCUAGAUGGUAGAAAAUCGCGCGGUGCGUUGAUAUCCUAUGUAAUCCCGACAUGUGGGCCUUUCUUCCUUAUUUCCUGAUAACACCCUGCAGAAAUAGAUAAACAACAAAACUCGUGGAAUUCUGUCAGAUCAAACCCUAAUUCUAGGUGUUGGUCUCAUAUUGGUCCUUUCUCUUGUUUAUUUGAUAAUUAAAAUUGAUACUUAAGAACCGUCAACAAUGUGGGCCAUGUCAAAGGCACGGAAACAUAAACACAAUGGAUGCAAUGCCACUCACCAACAACCUUUAGAUUGAGCUCUUUGAUGUCUCGGGAAUAGACUAUAUGGGUCCAUUUCCUCCAUCAAAGAAGUGUGAGUACUGUUGACGGUUCUUAAGUAUCAAUUUUAAUUAUCAAAUAAACAAGAGAAUGGACCAAUAUGCAACCAUCACCUAGAAUUAGGGUUUGAUCUGACAGAAUUCCACGAGUUUUGUGGUUUAUCUAUUUCUGCAGGGGGUUAUCAGGAAAUAAGGAAGAAAGGCCCACAUGUCGGGAUUACAUAGAGAUAUCAACGCACCGCGCAAUUUUACUUCAUCUAGAAGACUCCAGAAGCCACGAGACCGAAGCGGAGGCAAAACUGGGCCAGGCCCAGGGCGCCCGCCCUGGAAGCCUGGGCGCCCGCCCCCCUGCUGGAGCCAAAUCAGGACUCUUUCGCUCGGGAUAUUCCACCGACCUAUUGGAUCAAGAAAAACAUAGUACCACCUCGCCUAUCGACCCAAAAAUGCAUAGAAGGGGAGGACUAUAUAAGCAAGGCCCCCUGGCCCCUGGAGAAGACAUGAAGAAAUUAUCAUAGAGACUGAGGGGUGCCCUCGAAGGAAAACCUCUUCUCUAAUUAAUAUUUCUUUUUAGGCUUAGCAAUCAAUGUAAGGUAGAAAUAGAUCUUCUAGUUUCUACUAGAUUGAGAGAGAUAGAGUGGAGGUGAAGAGUGGAGGAAGCCCGACCUGUCGGUGUCUACUCCAAGCUUGUACCUGCGGGAUCAUGUUCUCCUAACCCGAAGCUUGCUCCUAGGAUUCUUCAGUAAUUCGACUUCUAAAUUCUAGUAAGUUCUUGUUUUAUUGUUCUUAUGGUUUAUGAGUUUACUUUAAUCUCUUCGCGUAGAGUUUAGAGUAAUCAUUGCUGGCGUAAACGUGGUGUUUAGGCUGGGGUACUCAUAGAUAUUCCCUGACUAGCUGGACCGUGGUAGUAGUGAGGAACGUGACAAUUCUGAGCUACCUUUGUAGAUCACAUCUUGUUAGUAGGAAGGAUAGGGUUUAUAGGUGCGGGUUGAACAUCCUUUGUGGUGUCUAGAUUCUGUUAGCCUCCCCAUUAGAACAGUAGAUCAUCCUUAACAAGGUUAGAAGGAGACUACGGUUGCAGUCUUCUCUAUUUAUCACUCACAUCGAAAGACAUUCUUUGUGCCUAGAGGUUAGUAGUAGUAGACCGGUUAGUCAGAUGCACUCUUUCUUCUAGUGGUAAAAAAAUAAAUACGAUACUCUGGAUAACCUCCCGGGUGAAGUGCUCACCGAUAUCCGUGCGCUUGCGGAUCAAUUCCUUAUUGCGUUCCCAAAUAUCAACAAGUACAUCUUGGUGGCAGUUGACUAUGUCUCCAAGUGGGUAGAGGCAUUACCUUGCAAGCAUGCCGACAACAUCAAUUCAAAGAGGAUGUUUGAAGAAAUUAUAUUUCCAAGAUUUGGAGUCCCCAGAGUAGUAAUAAGUGAUGGAGGAGCACACUUCAUCGAUAAACGCUUCAAGCAAUAUCUAUCAAAACAUGGAAUCCGUCACAACAUCGCUACCCCCUAUCAUCCUCAGACAAGUGGCCAAGCAGAGACUUCCAACAAACAAAUCAAGAAUAUUCUUCAGAAGACAGCAAAUAAAAUGGGAACAGCGUGGAAAGACAAGUUACCCGAUGCACUCUGGGCAUAUCGGACAGCAUAUAAGACCCCAAUUGGAAUGUCCCCAUACCAAUUGGUGUACGGGAAGACUUGCCAUCUACCUGUUGAAUUAGAGUUCAAAGCACACUGGGCCAUAAAGAGAUGGAAUAUGGACCUAGAUGUUGCUCAUAGAAGAAUGCAACUAUCAGAAUUGCAAGAAUGGCGAGAGAAAGCAUAGCACAAUUCAAUGAUCUACAAAGAAAGAGUCAAAAGGUGGCAUGACAAGAGAAUCAACAAGAAGGAGUUCACACCCGAAGAUAAGGUAUUACUUUUUAAUUCCAGGGUGAAGGUUUUUGGGCAUGGAAAACUCCGGAGCAAAUGGGAAGGACCAUUCAAGGUAAUUAAUUCAUCAUCCCACGGAGCUAUCACACUUCAAAAUGACGAAGGUACGUUAUUCAAGGUAAAUGGUCAAUGUCUUAAAUUAUUUUUAGAGCCCAAUAAAGAAUUAGAAGAAAUGGACGUAAUCCAUUUUUACCUUCCCAUGGAGAAUUAGAGCCCGACCUUUUUAGUCUGACGUUUUCGGGUCAUACAUAUAUUUUCCUAAAUAGUUUUGCAUCUAGAAACACGCUUGAGGAAGCGGGCCCACAGAGGAGACAGAGAGAGGGCGGGCGCCCAGAUCAGGUGGGCGGGCGCCCAGCUCCUGUUCCCCCUUGGUCCCAAUUUUCUCUGUUAUGGAAAAUGCACUUAUGGUAAUCCGAAUAAUCCUUCAGAUGGAAAGUUUCGCACGCACAUCGACAGGAGCAACCCGAACAACCCCUAGAGGCACUUUUUGACCCCUAUAUAAACAGACCCCUGACCUCAGUUUUCAAACACCAAACCACCAAGCCUUCUCUUCUUCUUCAAUUAGAGCUUGAUUAGUUCCUUGCUGCUCCAAUGGCCGAGAAGUUCCACGAUGAUUGGGAAGUCGUCCCCUUCAACCUCAACAUGGAGCUUGCGGAAGACCCCGACGCCCGUGCUCUCGUCCCGGCCAACACAGAGCGACAGCUAGAAGCUAUGCCAUUACACCAACGCAGCUCCGCCCAAUCCUAUCAUGCUCAACCAGUUCUCACCGCACCGCCACAACCCCUACUCCUCAAGGGAUCAACAUCCAAGAUGAAGACCACCAUCAUGGUGCCAACUGGCAAAAGGAUCCUUCCACCUAGACCCAAUGAGAGGGUCAUUGGAGUGAAGACCAACCGGAGCAGUGAGAUCAGCAGCAUUCGCUACACUACGGAGGAGGAAAGGCCUUAUUUCGAAGGGAUUAGAGCAGCCAAAGUCCGUUUCAUCCCUCAAAAGGCAGCCCCGAAGCACGCUCUCAAUGCUUUUGAGACACCUCCCAAGCGUCGCAAGACUAUAGUAGAUAUUGAUGAGGACGUUCGCAGGCUAUACAGAGUUAUCAUAGACCUCCAGUCCUCGAUUAAUUCCCUCACUAGGCAGCUCUCUAACCACAACACCGUUAUACUAGGCCUUAGGCAGGAUCUUGCCAGUGCCAAUAACAAGAUUAAGGAGUUAGAGCACCUCUGGGUUAUCUAGAUAGAUCUUGAGGCAAUGCAUCUUAGUUAUCUAUCUUUAAAUUCGGUUUAGGUUUACUAUCAUCAUCAGUUUGUUACUACUAUUGACAGUUUGCUACUAGUCUUUUGUAAUAAAUGCCUCAAGAUUACUAAAGAGUAUUAUUAUUAUCAUUAUGUCUUUUGUGUCUCUACUUUAUUUUUGUGCAAGAAAGCAGAAAACAAGUAUGGGGGAGAUCCCUCGACAUGCCAAACACACUUCGACUACACCACUCCACGAUUCAGGUACACACUCUGCACACUUUACACAUACUCAUAUAUAUCUUAGAUUAUGCAGAAUAUUGUUUCCGACAUGAUAAAUUAACAAGCUUAAAAUGUUUCUAAUCAUGAUUAAUCUCACUCUGUGAUAUUUCCUGAAAACUUGCAACUAUUAUAAAAUCAUUUUAAAACCCUGUGUUACUUAAGCCAAUAUGGAAUGUGAGAUGGUAGAGUAUGAGUUUCUUAUUCUUGAUAUCAUUGUUGCUUGGAGAAUUUAUUUCAAAAUUUAGUCAAAAAUUCUAGCUACCAUCCUCAGUGUUUUAUAUGCCUACUAAAACUGAAAAUAUUAAUUAUGAUUAUAAAAGCUAUCUACUCUGUAUUGAGUUUGUUCAAAAUGAGUUAGACCCUUGUUGAGAGAUUUAUCAUGCUCCUAAGAUCAAGACAUUUAUUUAUCAUACUCUUCCGAAGUAUUAUUGCAUUAGAGGCAUGGGCUAUGCAAAAAUAAAGAUAUUUUGAGGAAAUAAAAAGGAGCAAGUGCUCGAUAACCUCGCAGAAAAAAUGGACAAGUGUCCGACAGUAGAAUUAGGGAUACCUCGGUAUCCACUUAAAAAAAAGAGAGAAAAGAAGAAAACGAUAGCCCAUGGUCCCUCUAAUAAGCAAUAUGCCAGCAAGAGUUGACAAAGAUUUUAAUUUCCAAAGUCUUUGAUCUAAGAGUAUGACAUUCCCCUCCUCGGAUCCCGUUUUGAUCAGGCAAUAAAUGCAAAGUAAGUAUGCUUGAGAUUUUUUGCAAAUUAAAACAGCCUCAGUGAGAUAUAUAAAAGAUAAUGAGUGAUCUGAGAAGACCUAUGAGGAUAAAAGGUAUGCUAACUUUCUUUCAAAAAUAUACAAAAACUCCAAGUGAUAAGAUUGAGAAGAAAGGAUCUCUACUCUUAACCAUAUACUUCCCUGACUACAGUACACAGUGGAUUUUAACACACUGCAGUUAUGAAAAGAAUGUUUUACCAUGUUUUACCCUAGAUAUUGUUCUUAACCAUCCUUUUCUCGAGGACGAGUAAAAGCCUAGCUAUGGGGGUAUUUGUUGAUGGUUCUUAAGUAUCAAUUUUAAUUAUCAAAUAAACAAGAGAAAGGACCAAUAUACAAACAACACCUAGAACUAGGGUUUGAUCUGACAGAAUUCCAUGAGUUUUGUUGUUUAUCUGUUUCUGCAGGGGGUUAUCACGAAAUAAGGAAGAAAGGCCCACAUGUCGGGAUUACAUAGAGAUAUCAACGCACCGCGCAAUUUUCUACCAUCUAGAAGACUCCAGAAGCCACGAGAACGAAGCAGAGGCCGAUAGGGGCCAGGCCAGGGUGCCCGCCUUGAGGACCUGGGCGCCUGCCCCCCUCUGUACUCCAAUCGGGACUCUAUUCGCACACGACGUUCCACCGACCUAAAGGAUCAAGGAUAACCGUCCAAUCAAUGUCGGUUUGAUCCAACGGCUCACGUUCACUUGAGGGGACUAUAAAACCAGACCCUCUGGCCCCUGGAGGAGACAAGUUUAUCAUAGAGCCCUCGAAGGAAAACCUCUUCUCUAAAUAAAAUUUCUUUUUAGGCCUAGCAACCAAUGUGAGUAGAAAUAGAUCUUCUAGUUUCUACUAGAUUGAGAGAGAUAGAGUGGAGGUGUAGAUCGGAGGAAGCUCGGCCUGUCGGUGUCUACUCCGAGCUUGUACCUGCGAGAUCAAGUUCUCCUAACUCGAGGCUUGCUCCUAGGAUUCUUUAGUAUUUCGACUUCUAAAUUCUAGUAAGUUCUUGUUUUAUUGUUCUUUUGGUUUAUGAGUUUACUUUAAUCCCUUCACGUAGAGUUUAGAGUAAUCAUCUCUAGUGUAGACGUGGUGUUUAAGCUAGGAUACUCAUAUAUAUUCCCUGACUAGCUAGACCAUGGUAGUAGCGAGGAACGUGACAUUUCCGAGUUACCUUUGUAGACCAUAUCUCGUUAGCGGGAAGGAUAGGGUUUAUAGGUGCCGGUUGAACAUCCUCUGUGGUGUCUAGAUUCCGUUAGCCUCCCCAAUAGAACAGUAGAUCAUCCUUACCAAGGUUAGAAGGUGAUUACGGUUGUAGUCUUCUCUAUUUAUCACUCACAUCGAGAAACAUUCUUUGUUGCCUAAAGGGUUAGUAGUAAUAGACCGGGUUAGUCAGAUACACUCUUUCUCCUAGUGUUAAAAAAAUAAAUACGAUACUCUGGAUAACUUCUCGGGUGAAGUGCUCACCAAUAUCCGUGCGCUUGCGGAUCAAUUCCUUAUUGCGUUCCCAAAUAUCAACACCAUGUUAACACCUUAGAUGCUUUAUCUGAUCCCAAAAGUGGAGUCCAUGAUAGUUGCACCUCUUGAGAUGGUUUCACCCAUGUUCAUUACUCUUCUAGCAGUUUGGAGUCAAGUAAUAGUUGUGGGAGCUCACAGCAUCUUCGCUCAGUGUGCAUGUCAAGGUGUGUCCUACUCAUACAGACAUGACAGAGAUCAAGUGCAUAGGCUCUGUUGGUGGGAAAACACCAACACAACCAAAUGGUUUGUUCAUUAAUCUCUAGCCUUGGGCACAAUGAACAAAAUAAAAUUAAUAUUCAUGUGUUUUGCUCUAUAUAAACCUAGGCAGUCGCAUCAAACAAUGAGCAGGAAUGUGGCAAUUAAAACAUUUGGCAGAUCAGGUUACCUAACCUUAAGGAAGGAUAGUCUACCUAUGCAUAUUGUGUAACAAUUUUAUGAUUAUGACUAUCUUCCAAGGAUAUGAUGCUCAACAUUCUGGAUCAUUGUGUUAAAGGAUAUAAAGCUAAGAAAGUGACGCUAGGAAUAAUCAUAAAGAACUAAACAUGUUGAGUUAAUUAGAUUGGAUCAAAUGAGGUUCUAACUUAAAGCAUGUUAGGCUCUCUACUUAUGUGCCUGCCAAAAACAAGGAGUAUAUUUUGGAAAUAAUGAUCACUUACCAAGAGAUGUUACCUUCAGUAUUGAAGCAUGUUGAAGCCAUAACAUCUUAUGGUAGCUUUCCUUGCUUGGCUAGUCACGUGUCUUGUUCAUGCACCAACUAUCUUCUCUGUUGCACUCCUUUCUUACCUUAUGCCAUUACUUGUUCUCUGUUUAAUUUGUGCUUUGACCUUUAGCUCUUCUUAUUAUUUUAUCUCUACAAAUCAUUAGUGGACAGCACAUACCCAAAGGAAUAUACAAGUAAUGACAAUGGCAUUGUUGUAACAUAGCUAAGGGUCACUCUCUAUGCUACAAAGAACAUGCUUGAGCACAAUUAGCAUAGCACAUUUAUUAUUCACAUUUACUUCUUUCUAAGGGAUUGAUUAUAUUUUUCCAUCUUAUGUUUUGAUUAUUAAAUAUAGGCAUUCUAAAUCAAUUCCAAUUUAUAGAAAUAAAGCAAUAGUGAUACUAGAGAUUGCAAACUAGCGUGUGGAGCGAUGGGAGCAUGAGAUGUGGAAGAACUUGGUUUGAUCAUCUUGAGGAGUUGCCCUUCCUUCCUCAUGUCUUAGGUUCUCGACCUCAGAGGUGAGAGUGCAACAUGUUGCAUGCUCUUCUCUUGUCAAUGUUUUCUUGAUUCUUGAUAAUUAGUGGAUGACAAGAGAGUGCAACUCCAUGGAGCAAGUGCUUUGAUUGUUGAUCAUGUUUUGUGGCACCCUUCUUUCUUCUUGGCUAUGAGUGAGUUGUGUCUCCCUUGUGCAAAAUUAUUGUGUCUCCCCAGUGUGAGUUCAUCUCAGGACUUUUCCCAAUUUGAAUUUGAAAGUUUUCCUAUAGGGGUUAGUUCAAUAAAAACAUUCCAAUAUCUACUAUACCAUACUAUCGGCUCAAAAAUGAACCUAGACACCACAUCUAGGAUGGCAUUUUAACCUAAACACCAUGUUUAAUUUAAAAAGCCUUUGAAUUUAAGAUCACUGUCGACGGUCCUUAAGUAUCAAAUUUAAUUAUCAAAUAAAUAAAGAAAAGGAUCCAAAUGAAAUCAAGAUCCAGAAUUAGGGUUUUAUGUGACAGAAUUCCACGAGUUUUGGUGUUUGUCUAUUUCUGCAGGGGGUUAUCAGGAAAUACGGAAGAAAGACCUACAUGUCGGGAUUACAUAGAGAUAUUAACGUGCUGCGCAAUUAUCUUACAUCUAGAAGACUCUAGAAGCCACGAGACCGAAGCGGAGGCGAAACGGGGCCAAAGGCAGGGCGCCCGCCCUGUUCCCCUGGGCGCCCGCCCUCUCCAGGAGUCCAAUCAGGACUCUGCUUUGCGGGAGAUCUCCACCGACCUAAAGGAUGAAUCUAAACCAUACAAUCUAUGUCGGUUUGAUCCAAGGGCCCAUAUUCACUUGAAGGGACUAUAAAACCAGACCCCCUGGCCCCUGGAGGAGAGAGCCUCUCAACCCUAAUUCAUUGUUCCAUCAAGGGAGAAGAAGCCUCUGAUCAAGAUUAGAGCCACCACAUCAAUUAGAUAUCUAGAUUAGCAUAGCUACAUAGGAUUAGAACUAGAAGGAGUCAAUCUUCGAUUGGUUUCCAGAUCUGUCAAGAGGAUUCUUGGUAAUUCUCUAUUUGUGCUUCUAAUUGCUUUCUAAUUAUCUUUGUUCUUCAAUAUUAUGAAUAUGACUUUGUUCUACUUCAAUAUAUUGCUUAUGACUUUGCUCUACUUGCUUAUAUUCAAGAUUAUAUUGUUCUUAGUUUAUCAUAGUUAUGUACUUGGCUUAGUUAGAUUGGAUCUAUAUACAUGCUUAGGAUCGUAUAGCGUUUAUCCAUCGGAUCCAUGGGUAAAUGAUAGAUAUUGUGUAGGCGUGGUGCUUAUACCGUAUUUAUCUGCGAUUGUACCCAAUAUGCCAGAUCGUGGGGUGGUUCGUGAUAGUGACAGCUUCAUUGAUUCUUAUAUAGUCCCCCUCUCGUGUAUUGGGCUGGCAGAGCAACAUUAUUACAGGGGAGUGAUUGCUAUGUUUCUCAUAUUCCUUGCUAAUAUCACUAUGCAUGGGCGUAGUCUUGUCUCACAAUGAUUGCUAAGUAUGCUUGCACUAACUAUGAUAUGCUAGACUAUAUAGUUGAGAAUAACUUAGGGAAUAUUCUUGUAGUUCGUCCUAAUACCAUGCUAAUGACUUUCUAGAGUAUCUAAUUGAGGUGCUUAUCAUAUUUAUUAUGUGGCUAGAUCAGAUUAGUUAUCCUUGUCACUAUUAUUACUUCAUAUAUCUUUUAUGUGACACUCAUCCCUGUAUGAAGAGUUAGAUAUAAUGUUCUCAAUUAUACAUGCUAUGAUAGAUACUCAAUCUCAUAUUCUAUUCUGUAAUCAUUAGUGAUGAUUGCUAAUCCCUUCCCAGUGGUAAAAAUAUAAAUAACGAUACCUGGAAUACUAUCCGGUUAAAAUGCUGCAUCGGUAUUAAUCUGUGCGCUUGCAGAUCCAAUUUAUUAUUUAUUUAGAAGAGCAAUUGCAUAUUUCAAUACCGCGUCUCUUAUAUCAUGCUGGGGAUGACAACUUGGCUUAAGUGGUGUGAGGGAUAGGUUUGGCAUUUUUGGCACCGUUGCUAGAUUUAGAACUUAGUCUACUUUUAGUAAUGAUGUUAAGAAUACCCAACAAGCAUUUUUGGCGCCGUUGCCGGGGAAGGUUGAUUACUAAUCAGGAAUGGAAUAAAAGAUUUUGAGUUAUCAUUCGCAUCACUAAUAUGAUUGAGCUUAUCUAUUCUCUCAUACAGUUUUACCCUGAUAUUUUUCUAUUUUAUCUUAUGCAGGGGAAUGUAUGAAUAGAAGACAUCUUCCAGGAAAUUUUGUUGACAAUCCUGAAGCAUUAUUCAAGAAGACGAGAGCCAAGCUAAAGAAAUCAUCAACACUUCACGAAGAAGCUUCAUCCAAUCAAGAAGAUCACCGGAACUUGUCUUCAGAGUUCGAAGCCAUGGCGAACAAAUCAAUCCGCGAGUUCUCAGCUCCCACUACGGACAACAUCCGCACUGGACCUGCUGCAGAGAUCGAUGGCAACUUGGAGCUCAAGCCUGGACUUAUCAACAUGGUGCAAUCCAACCAGUUCUGUGGGAAGGCACACGAAGACGCUAGUGCUCAUUUACAACACUUCCUGGAGAUUUGCAACACAUUCACCAUAGCAGGAGUUUCCAAAGACGCUAUACUACUUCGCCUCUUCCCAUUCUCACUGUUAGGAAGAGCGAAGCAGUGGUUCUACGCUACAAAGGAGAAGAAUACUACGUGGGCACUCUGCUCAACAAACUUCCUGGCUAAGUUCUUUCCCAUGGGCAAGACCAAUGCUCUCCGUGGGAAGAUUACAAGUUUUCAGCAACAAAAUGAUGAAUCUGUUCCAGAAGCAUGGGAGCGCUUUCAAGACUACAUCCUAGAAUGUCCCCAUCAUGGAAUGGAGAGUUGGCUACUGAUGCAGACAUUCUAUCAUGGGCUCAGCAACAGUGCCCGAGAGACCAUGGAUGCUGCAGCUGGAGGAGCAUUCUUAUCACUUACUAUACCACAAGCCACAGCUCUUGUGGAGAAGAUGGCGUCCAACCAAAGCUGGAAUGAAGAGAGGACCCAGACACGCAAGAGAGGUGGAGGUAUGCAUCAGCUGAAGGAGGUAGACAUGCUGUCUGCAAAGCUAGACCUGCUCAUGAAGAAGCUCGACGAUAGAGCUGGAGAUAAGAAAGAAGUUAUGCACAUCUACGACUCUCACAUGACUUGUGAGGAGUGUGGAGACACUGGACACUCAGGCAACCACUGCCCUGAGAUGCUUGAGGAUGUGAACUACAUCAACAACAACAACAACAACUACAACCGUCCUCAACAAAAUCAAGGUUGGAAUCAACAGAGGCCUAACUACUCAGGUAAUUAUCAAGGUAACAAUUCUUACAACAAUAAUAAUAAUUUUCCACCUUUGAGAGAGUUAGUGUCUAAUCAAGGAAAGCUAAUGGAUAAUCUAUCUAAGAAAUUGGCGUCUAAUGAUAAAAUGCUAGAAAACAUAAAUAAUAGAAUGGAUAAUUUCUCUACUGCCAUCAAGAAUCAAAUUAGCUUUAAUAAAAUGAUUGAAUCCCAGUUAAAUCAAAUAGCUGCUGCUGUUCCUACUACUAACCCCGGUAUACCAUCACAACCGGAAGGAUUAGAAUCUGCAAAUCUUGUAGACAUGUUCGAUGCAGGUAAUUGGAGUAACCCCGUCACUGAAUUUUCUACUGACCGUCUGCCGGUCAAGAGAGGCGAUCCAGGACGCCCCGUCAUCCCGAUCUCCAUCGGCAUGGUGGACGUUCCAGAAGCACUCUGUGACUUUGGCUCUAGCGUCAACAUUAUACCCAGGGUACUCUAUGAGAAAUUCUUUACAUAUCCUUUAUUAGAAACAACCAUGUGUUUGCAGUUUGCAGAUCAGACGAUAACUUUUCCAAAAGGAAUAGUGAGGAACCUUUGUGUCCGAGUUGGUACUUUAUAUACCCCAGCAGACUUCAUAGUGGUUGAGACCGGAAAUGAUGAGAGAGCACCUAUCAUCCUAGGAAGGCCAUUUUUGAACACCACGGGAGCUAUCAUCUACGCUAGUGCUGCCAAGAUCAGUUUCCACGUCAAAGGGAAGAAGGAGACAUUUUUCUUCAAGAACAAGACUACACAAAUUCCAGAUCAAUCCAGACAUAAAUCAGGGAAGAGGACCAACAGGAGGAACAGGAACAAGCAAGUGUGGACCGAGUCAGCUAAGAUGGUCACUGUAUUCCAUGGAGGCCAAGAUCACCAACUUAAGUCACCGUUUUUGACCAAGAAGGACGACCCAGGAAUGCCAAGAAUCUACUGCUCCAUAAAUGGAUAUAACUUCUACAAGACGAUUUGCGACACCGGAUCGGGCGUCAACAUAAUGGCCGCAGUCACUUAUCGGCUCUUGUUCGGGACCAUGCCACUAAGACUAACAUACAUUCAGCUCCAGAUGGCAGAUCAGACAUUUCGAGAAGUUCAAGGAAUAGUAUCUGAUGUCCCAGUCAAAAUAGACGAUCACUUUGUCUACACAGACUUUCAAGUUAUUGACAUGGGAGAAGACGAGUACGAUCCACCCAUCAUCCUUGGAAGACCGUUCCUCAACACCGUUAAAGCAAUUAUCUACAUUGGAACUGGAGAAGUCCAUAUGCACUUCCCCUCAGAGAAGGUACGCCGUUAUUUUACAGACCCUAACUAUAUCAUUGAAGAAUCUAAGCAGGUCAGAAAGAGACGCAACCGCAACCAGAGGAGGCAGAUCAUCAAGGACGGAUGGGCAGACUGUGAAGGAGAAGUUGUAAGGGAAGUUGUAAGGUCAGAAGACGUAGAGUUUAAACAGAAUUAUCCAGAGGAGAUUGAAGCACCGAGUCAGGUAUGGAAAAUGAAGAUAACUAUACAUGAAGAGGAGGCGCUACCGGAAGUACCGGCUUCGCCACCCAACGAACCUCAGAACAAUUAAGAAAAUGGAGAGUCCCGUUCGGAGGACUUAAAAACACCGAACGCCUUGCCAAGAGGUAAACUUGGUAGUUAUCUUUUCCCUUUCAAAUUAUUCCAACUAGUUUACUUAGUUAAUCAUGUUCGUGCUAUUCUAAAAAGAAAAUAAAAAAAAAAUAUAUGAAAAACAGUAAGCCCCAUGUGAGUAUACGAGUGGCAUAAAACCCAUAAGUACAUUCACUGUGGUGGCAUAAAAACAAAAAUAAAUAUUUUUUCUGCUUUAUAAAAACAAAAAUAUAAAAAGUAACAAUUAUUAAGGAGUCUCAACAUGAUAAGGGCUUGAUAUUUAUGCUAACACUUAAUCAGUUCCACAAGCUAUGUUGUCUAUUUGAGCUCCACAGAAUUUAAGAAUCAAGAAGACUCGCAGACGGAGGACAUUCUAAUCGCUGUCAGAAUGCUGCUGACUUUCAAAUACACCUCUGCCACCUGCUAGCUACAUCAAGAGAAAUUACGUCAAAAUUCAGCUUGGGGGAGAGCACCCCCAUUUAUCCCGAUAAGUAUAUCUAUCUAUCUUUAUACUUAUAUUAUUUUAGAAUAUUAAAAUACACAUAAACUAUGGGAAAACCAAAUAAAGAUUUUAUGCUUAUAUAUGUCUUUUGCUUAGUGUGUUUAACAAAUAAAUAAAGUGGCUAUGCUAAUCUGUAUCUAAACAAAAACUUAAGCAUGGAUAUGAUGAAUAGUUGCUCUGCCUAAUUUGCACAUUCUAAGUUCUCUCUCAAGUUUAGAUAUAACUGUUAUAAUUUAAAGCUUGCCCUAGACCUAAACUUGUGGGAUGAAAACUUGAUCUGAUGUCUAAGUUGUUAACGGAUACGAUAUAGGAAGGUUGAGCUGCUGUUUAUCUGUUCCUAGAGAUGCUAGAAUUCUGGAGAAUUUUAUCUUUGAAAAUCUUUAAAAUGUUGCAUGAUGAGUUCCUGUAUGAUGAGAGCUUAAAUUCCUACCACAGCCAUAUAUACAUGCUUGCUAGACUUUGAGCCACACAUUUAUUAUUUACUGCUUAUGAGCAUUGAGUGUGGUCAAGCUGUGUAGACCCUUAGGAGCUUGUCAUGUGGUUAAAUCAAGAUUUCACUUGCACGUUCACUCAUAUAUGCUACUUCUACUCCAGAAGUACCAUCCACAUAUAUCCAUCCAUUUCCAUCUCCAGAAUCACCCAAAAAUAUUCUGCUCCUAAUCCGGGAGAGAAUAACCAAAAAUAUUUCUGUUUCCCCUUGUGAAAUAAAUGCUCAAGUUAUCUUGUUACUACCACUUGCUAUAUUAUCUCAAGAGAUGAGUGCUCUAAAAAAAAGAGAAGAAAAUAAAAAAAAUAUACGAGGAAAUAAAAAGGAGCAAGUGCUCGGAACCUCGAAAGAAAAGGAAGAGUGAGACGAGAGGUAAAAAUGGACAAGUGUCCGACAGUAGAAUUAGGGGUGCGAGAACCCACCUGAGAGACAAGAAAAAUAAGAGCAUCUCAUUCUCCUCAUAAAGUUUCAAAAGCAAGGAAGGUAUGUAUCCCCUCAAAAGAGCAAAGUAGAAUUAGACUUCCACCACCAUUGUUUUCACCAUUGUUAUCACCAUCAUCACCAUACACCAUUCAUUCGCCACACAUGCACAUCUUGAUUUGACUUAUUGAUUUGUUUCUUUGGAUCCAUGGUUUGACUAUACAAUAAAUGUCUUGUAAGUAUGUAUAUUUUAUCUCCCAUCUAUGAGCUCCAGAUAUUAAAGCCUUAUUAGGGUAGGGUGAGAGAGAAGGCAAUGUCACUAUGCCUUAUACCACAAAUACUACAUAUCUUGAGAGAAGGCAUAUACCAUCAAUGCCUUGGUAAGGAUCCAAAAAUACCACAAAAGAGAGACCUGAGAGAAUCAUACAAGGAAUCUCUGAGUUUUAUUUGAAAAUCUGUAAAAACCCCAGAGCUAUAGCUGAUCAAGAAUAAGAGACAUGGCACUUGGCUAGACUGUUCUGUCUUUUAACCACUCAAGACGGAAGUGACAGUUACAAGUCCCAUGGUGGAGGUAAAGUAAGUAAGUUUUAAGUCUUGAUAGUUUACUCUAACACAGAGAUGAGAUCUUAUUUAAAAGCAUGUGUACCGUCUAUUUUUUAAAAAUAUUGCAACAACUUAUGAUCCAUAGCUGAGUCUAUCCUUGCUCAGGGACGAGCAAGAGGUAAGCUUGGGGGAGUUUGUUGACGGUCCUUAAGUAUCAAAUUUAAUUAUCAAAUAAACAAAGAAAAGGAUCCAAAUGAAAUCAAGAUCCACACUUAGGGUUUUAUCUGACAGAAUUCCACGAGUUUUGGUGUUUGUCUAUUUCUGCAGGGGGUUAUCAGGAAAUACGGAAGAAAGGCGUACAUGUCGGGAUUACAUAGAGAUAUUAACGUGCUGCGCAAUUAACUUACAUCUAGAAGACUCUAGAAGCCACGAGACUGAAGCGGAGGCGAAACGGGGCCAGAGGCAGGGCGCCCGCCCUGUUCCCCUGGGCGCCCGCCCUCUCCAGGAGUCCAAUCAGGACUCUGCUUCGCGGGAGAUCUCCACCGACCUAAAGGAUGAAUCUAAACCAUACAAUCUAUGUCGGUUUGAUCCAAGGGCCCAUAUUCACUUGAAGGGACUAUAAAACCAGACCCCUUGGCCCCUGGAGGAGAGAGCCUCUCAACCCUAAUUCAUUGUUCCAUCAAGGGAGAAGAAGCCUCUGAUCAAGAUUAGAGCCACCACAUCAAUUAGAUAUCUAGAUUAGCAUAGCUACAUAGGAUUAGAACUAGAAGGAGUCAAUCUUCGAUUGGUUUCCGGAUCUGUCAAGAGGAUUCUUGGUAAUUCUCUAAUUGUGCUUCUAAUUGCUUUCUAAUUAUCUUUGAUCUUCAAUAUUAUGAAUAUGACUUUGUUCUACUUCAAUAUAUUGCUUAUGACUUUGCUCUACUUGCUUAUAUUCAAGAUUAUAUUGUUCUUAGUUUAUCAUAGUUAUGUACUUGGCUUAGUUAGAUUGGAUCUAUAUACAUGCUUAGGAUCGUAUAGCGUUUAUCCAUCGGAUCCAUGGGUAAAUGAUAGAUAUUGUGUAGGCGUGGUGCUUAUACCGUAUUCUUAUAUAGUCCCCCUCUCGUGUAUUGGGCUGGCAGAGCAACAUUAUUACAGGGGAGUGAUUGCUAUGUUUCUCAUAUUCCUUGCUAAUAUCACUAUGCAUGGGCGUAGUCUUGUCUCGCAAUGAUUGCUAAGUAUGCUUGCACUAACUAUGAUAUGCUAGACUAUAUAGUUGAGAAUAACUUAGGGAAUAUUCUUGUAGUUCGUUCUAAUACCGUGCUAAUGACUUUCUAGAGUAUCUAAUUGAGGUGCUUAUCAUAUUUAUUAUGUGGCUAGAUCAGAUUAGUUAUCCUUGUCACUAUUAUUACUUCAUAUAUCUUUUAUGUGACACUCAUCCCUAUAUGAAGAAUUAGAUAUAAUGUUCUCAAUUAUACAUGCUACGAUAGAUACUCAAUCUCAUAUUCUAUUCUGUAAUCAUUAGUGAUGAUUGCUAAUCCCUUCCCAGUGGUAAAAAUAUAAAUAACGAUACCUGGAAUACUUCCCGGUUAAAAUGCUGCAUCGGUAUUAAUCUGUGCGCUUGUAGAUCCAAUUUAUUAUUUAUUUAGAAGAGCAAUUGCAUAUUUCAAUACCGCUUCUCUUAUAUCAUGCUGGGGAUGACAACUUGGCUUAAGUGGUGUGAGGGAUAGGUUUGGCAUUUUUGGCACCGUUGCUAGAUUUAGAACUUAGUCUACUUUUAGUAAUGAUGUUAAGAAUACCCAACAAUCACCACUCCUAAACUAGGCAACAUGCUUCAUUUAAGAGAUGUAUGAAAUGACUCAAAACCUAAAUAUAUACUAUAACAAACAAAGGUAGCAUGAGAGCAUAAUAGAUGUUUUACUCAAAUAGUGAUGAUAGAGCAUGAUUAUUGUUUAGCAAAUUGAGCAUAUCAUAUAGGUAGGGACAACCAAGAUGAUGUAGCAACAUGAAAAAGAUGUAUCUAUGGAAGCAUAUCCCCCAAGCUUGACUUUUGCAACAAUCAAGAUUGGAUGAAAGUAAUUCAAUGUUGCAUAAUGAUUCGUUAGACAUACCUUGCAUUUGUUACUCCUUCGAUCUUUUCCUCCAAACCUGGAAGGUUAGUGACAAGAAUACCCGAAGGAAUAUUUUCAUAAUUAUAAUGCUAUGCUCAAUUAACAAGGGUAGCAUAGUAGAAAGAUGAACACUCAUGUCAUGGCCUAAAUAGUCCUUGUUUUAGGACACAAAGCUUGUCCUUGGGAAACCUUCAAGAUUUGGUUUGGCGAAGUGGUUUCCCUUCCAAUACCACUCUAAGUGUAUUAUUCACCACACCGAGAUCUACAAUAUUUAUGGUAAAGAUAUGUGUCUACAACCACCCUUUCAAAAACUUUAGGAACAAGGAGCAUGAGGGGGUUGAAGAUCUCAUGUGGGGCAAUGUUAGAGAGAUUAAGUGAAUCAGGAGAUUUUUCAUAUGAGCAAGGGACAGAUGGGGUGUUGAUGAAGUCUCUUCCAAGCUCAUUGAAGUCUCCAUCAUUUUCUACUUGCAAGAGUGACUCGACAUGUAUGUCCAAAAAUUCCCUUGGGUCAUCUCUUGAAUUGAUCUUAUCUAAUGCCUUGUCCAUCCAUUCAAUGGCAAUACCAUAUAGGUUUUUAAUGCUCUCUAGCCAUGGAAGUUGCGCUCCUCAAUCUUCUGUAUGGCCUUGAUGAUUCCUAUGCAUGGGAUAUCUAGAUGGAUUUCUAGAAUCAUCAGGUGGUUUUGGAGAAAGAGCAUAGAAUAAGCCAUAGUGAUCAAGGAUGGGGUUAGAGAUGUGUUCAUAUUCAAUAUCUAAAGUUGCCAUAGAAGGGGAGAGGAUAAGAGUGGCUUCUAGAUGGCUUCCUCUCCUUCUAUGGCAUCAUUUGACAUGCCAUCCUUGAGUCUUUCUAAUUGUCCUUCAAAGGGAUUGGUUUUGAAAAGCUUUCUAAGAGAUCUCUUUUGAAGAUUCAAACUAUAAGCACUAAAAGAUCUCAUAUGAAGCUGGAAGUUUAAACUCCUCCCAAAAUCUUUUUGAUGGCAAAUUUGGAGUACUACUGGUUUGGCAUGGAUAGCUGAAUCAUCGAAUUGGAAUGUUUGCAAAGUGCCUACAAAAACAUCCUCUUCUAGUUUGGGGGAUGAUUCCUUCUCUAUCUCUAGGAUUUUAUAAUGCAAGGAGUGUGUCCACUCAUAAGGACAAACUGAAAGGUCCUAAUAUGGCUAGAGGGGUGAAUAGCCUAUUAAAAAAUUCUACAAACUCACUAGACCAAGAGGUUAGUAAAUAAAAAAGCAAAGCUUUUUGCUCUAGCUCUAAAGGAGUGUUUGCAAGCCACCUAUCUAAUAAUUCUAGUUCAUAUGAUCACUAGGCAUACAAGAGCUAUGUUGCUACAAAGCUACACUAGUGAACUAUGUUACACAAGGCAAGACUAGCAACUAAACUAGUUACACUACGAUGCAGUAAGUAAAAGGAGAGAAAGAGAUAUUUAUACCGCCGUGUAUGAGAUGAACCAAUCACCAAUAUAUGAAGAAUCAAGCACCGGGAGAAUGUCAAUCAAACACAAUUGAGACACCGAUGUUUCUCCCUAGGUUCACAUGCUUGUUGGCACGCUACAUCCCCGUUGUGUCGACAAAGACUUGGUGGUUUGGUGGCUAAGAGGUGUAGCAUGAACCUUGUCCUCACUAAGACACCGAAAGAACCUACCCACAAAUGAUGUAGCUUAAUGACAUGCGCAAUCCACUAAAGUUGCCUUUGGCUCUCUACCGACGUAGGCACCAAACCCCUCACAAUCACCGAGAGAUGGCCACGAACAAUGACCAACUUGUGCCAAUGCUCCUCCGCUACUCCAUGCCAUCUAGCUGGCGGCAAUCACCAAGAGUAACAAGAAAACCACAGCCCAAUCAAUCCCUAAGUGCCACUAGAUGUAAUCAAUCAAGCAAAUGCACUUGGAAACACACCCAAUCUCACAAAGAUGGUUAAUCUAUGAAGGAGAUGGGUGGGAGGUGUUUGCUUUGGCUCACAAGGAUGUCAAGUAUGCUAGAAUGCUAAGGGAGUGAGCCCCAAGCCAACCAACACGUAUUUAUAAGCCCCUCAAACAAAUAGAGUUGUUGGCUCUAUCAUUGGGCAAAAGACAGGACCACCGGACGCUCAAGCAGGUGCCACCAGACGCUCAACCCAUGCAUCCGGUGCUCCAGAUGCGGCCACGUGUUUGCUACUUGAACCUCACGUGUUGAACUCUAAUGGUCAUAUUUGAACCACCGAAUGCAGUCAAGUAGAUAUCGGACGCGUCCGGUGCACACCGGUCAUGUACGUAGAGAGGUUUGCAAAAACGCAGGAGCACUAGACUCACACCACCGAACGCUCCCUAAGCGUCUAGUGCUUUCAGUCAGAAACACCUACUGAAGACAAGUCACACCGGAUGCAUGAACAGGGUCUAGCCUGCGUCCAGUGCUGAGCGUCCGAUGCUCUACCCUAACAUCGCUAGAUACUGAUAGCACACCGGACACGCAGGCUCAUCGUCUGGUGCCUGCGAACUGAGCAUCCGGUGAGUGUUCUUUCAGAGAGAAACACUCCAGUGACUUCUCCAAACUUUCCACCGGCGCAAUAGAAAAUAUGCAUUUCAUUUUGGUAAUUGAUGACAACCCUUUUACAAAGACUUUCAAUAGAAAUUUGAAAGCAAUUGCUCCCCCUACAUAUGUGCUAAGAGUUUGGAUUUGAAAGCUUGCACAUAUUGCUUGAAUAGAAAAUAUAGGAGUCAAUUUCUACCAAGUGAUGCUAAGGUGUAAAGAAUGGACCUUUAAAGCAUGAUACCAAUCGGAGUUGCCAAUAUACAUCAUCCUUAGCACCAUUAGUAACUAGACAUUCACAAAACUAGAACACCCGGUGAGAUCAACAUUAUAAACAAGGUUCUAGUACCACUUGUGAAACAACCAAAAGUCUAGUUACACUACCUAUGCAUGCUAGUUUUUCAUUGUAUCAAUCAAACCUACAACUAGCAUACACCACACAAGCAAGGUAUUGGAGAGAAAACUUCUAAAGCUAAUGCAAAUGCAAGCAAGCAUAUAUAAUGCGCAUUCAAAUGCAACAUACAAGUUUAUGAGCUUGCUCCCCCAACUUGUGUGCGCAAAGUUUUUAAUUGAUCCCCUUCUUUUAUCACUUUUACUCCCCUAUCUUUGUACUUCUUUGUAAUUUCUCUCCCCCUUUAGUAAAUAUUUGGGAAAUCCUCUCCCCCUUUGUCAUUAAUGACCAUAAAAGGUGAGCUCAAAUUUUAGAUAGGUUAGUGAGAAACCAUGUGAAGUGAGAUUAUUUUACCAAAUUAGUCCAAUCUAGAUUACUUGCCUAAGAUAUUUAACUCGAUUUGAUCCAAGUACAAGCUUUUUCACACCUCCAAAUAAGGGUUAUCUUGUACCAUCUUGAGUUAAACACUUAUAGCUCAUAUUCUGGAUCAAACACUAGGGUUGCAAGCCGAAAAACAUGUCAUAUGCUACCGCUAGAUCAAGUCAAGCAUAGAAGCAAUAGUGGUACCAUACAAGAAUCAAAUUCAUUUGAUUUGCCUGAAUGAGCCUAAGACAUGUAAGGAAUAACUAGAUGCACUAAGCAAGUCCUUAGCAUAGGAUGAAUGACAUGCCAAACAAUUUUACCUUCCUUUACUCAAAGGAGAGGCAUGUCAUAUAAUGGAGUGCAUCAACUCAUAUUUGAGACAAGUAUGUUCAAUUCAUUCCUUAGCUUGCAAAACCUCUUCUCAUCAAGUGGCUUGGUGAAUAUAUCGACAAGUUGAUCAUCAGUCCCUAUACUCUCAAUGCAAAUGUCCCCUUUUUGUUGAUGAUCUCUUAUGAAAUGAUGGCGGACAUCUAUAUGCUUUGUUCUUGAGUGUUGAACCGGAUUGUUGGUGAGCUUCACGGCACUUUCAUUGUCACAUAGCAAUGACACUUGUUUGAAAAUUAUUCCAAAGUCCUUUAACAUUGCCUUCAUCCAUAGGAUUUGUGCACAACAACUACCGGCCACAAUGUAUUCUGCUAUGGCGGUUGAUAGUGCAACACUAUUUUGUUUCUUGGAUGACCAUGAAACAAGUGAUCUUCCCAAUAGUUGACAUGUGCCCAAUGUGCUUCUUCUUUCAACUUUGCAUCCCACAUAGUCCGAAUUGGAAUACCAUAAACCAACAUUUUGUGUAUGCUUCAAGUACCUCAAUAUUCCCUUUGUUUCCUUCCAAUGACUUUCUAUUGGUGAGGCUUGAAAUCUUGCACACAUGCAUACACUAAACAUGACAUCAAGUCUGGUCACAUAGAGUAGGCUUCCAAUCAUAGACCGAUACAACUUUUGGUCCACCAUAUUUCCACUUGUGUCACUAUCUAAGCUUCCAUUUGCUCCCAUUAGAGUGCUAAUUGAUUUUGUAUCACCCAUACCAAACUUCUUGAGCAUGUCUUUUAUGUACUUUCCUUGACUCACAAAUGUGUCAUUCUUCAAUUGCUUGAUUUGAAGACCAAGGAAGUAACUAAGCUCUCAAAUCAUUGACAUCUCAAAUUCAUGAGCCAUCAUGUUUCCAAACUCUUCACAAAAUUCUUGGUUCGUUGAUCCAAAUAUGAUAUCAUCAACAUAUAUUUGCAACAGAAACAUGUCCUUUGCCAAUCUUCUUGGUGAAGAGAUUGGUGUCAACCUUGCCCAUCUUGAAACCUUUAGAGAGUAAGAAAUCUCUCAGUCUCUCAUACCAUGCUCUAGGUGUUUGCUUCAAACCAUACAAUGCAUUUCUUACCUUGAAAAUAUGGUUGGGUUCCUUGUCAUCUUCAAAACCGAGAGGUUGCUCAACAUAGACUUCUUCAUUGAUAUAGCCAUUGAGAAAUGCACUCCUCACAUCCAUUUGAUAUAACUUGAUAUUAUGUGCACGAGCAUAGGCUAACAAGAUCCUAAUUUCCUCCAAUCUUGCAACCGGGGCAUAUGUUUUGUAACACCCUUGGUGUUAAGCAUGCACUUAGUCUCAUAAAACAUUCAUAAGCAUUCUCAUCAAGCAUGGCAUAAGCAUCACAUCCCAUGAGCACAAAAAUAAUUCAAGUGUUAUUUUAUGUGCUUUAUUUCAGGUGAAUUAAAUAUGUUAAAAAUAUUAUGAUUGCUUCUAAAAAUUGUGAAAUAUUCAAAUUAGGUUGAAAUAUGUGUUAGAAGAAUUAAGAGUAAUUUUGUGAAAUUUUUUUUGGAGCCAUAGGAUUUGAGAAAUGGAAUUUAUACAAAAAUCCCUAAAAUGAAUUUAUUUAAAAACCUAGAACUAGUUUUAAUCUGUGGUUCAAAUUCUAUUUGGAAUUUGGCUUUGCUUAUUAAAACAAAGUUGUAGGGAAUUUUAUGGGAGCAAUUCUUCUUUUUACCCCAGCCCCUGAAAAGUUUUAUAAAAGCUUCAAAAGUCUCAUUUAAACUUUUUGGAGACAAGGAAUUCAAAAAAAGGAAAAGGGGACAGGCGCUGCUGGGCCGACCCGCCUCCCUUUUGGCCCAGCAAAGCCACGCGGCCCAGCUCCCCCUCCCCCUCUCUCCCACGCGCGGCGCCCGCCUUCGUUCACCCGACGCCGGCCACGUGGCUGCCGUAUGUCGGCGUCGUGGACGCGCCGCGGCCGACCGGCUAUAACCUGGUCGGGACGCCGCCCCGCGCCUCCAGGCUCCACUCUGUCGACCCGCUCCUCUCUCCUUCUUCUUCCUCCACUCGCGAGCGCCGCAGCCGUAGCAGCUCCGCUGCAGCGCCAUCGCUGGAGAAGCUCCGCUGCUCACCGCCGGCCACGCCAGUGCCCCAACCUCAGCGCUAAGACCACCAUCGCACUCGUCUUCGCCGUGGUAAGCCUAUGCGAACGCUCUACCGAGGUGAGAGACUGCCGUGCGCCGUGAAUCGCUCUUCGGAGUUGCUCCGACCUCACCGGAGAGCUCCGCCGCGUCGGAUCCCGCUAGUCUACCUCUUUUCGCUCGCUUUUGGGUGCUUUAGGUCCGUAGUUCGAUGAGGAAGCUCGGAAGAGCACUCGCGCGUGUUCUACCGCCCCGGAGCAGCCUGGCCACGGCGAGCAGCGCCGCCGUGCCGCCAUGCAUGCUCGCGAGGGUGCUCCGGUCAUCCUCAGGUCGAUCCAAGGGCACCCCUCGGUGCGCCUCGCUGCGGGAGCACGCUGGUGCUUACCCCGUGGCCGAAGAUCUCGCCGUCGGCGAGAGCCGGCCGACCGAAGUCAGCCGGAGUGCUGCAUGGCUGACCCAUGGGGGCCACGACCCCUAGGUCCCGCCUGUCAGCACCUCUGCGGGUGUGGACCUGGGUAGAUCUAUCGUUUUCCGUUGGUUUUUCUUAAAUAAAGGUUUUUUAGAAUUUGUUUAAAUCUUGUAAAUUUCAUAACUUGAGUUCUACAGCUCCAAAAUUGGUGAAAUAAAUUUUGAUGAACUCUAUAAUUCCAGAUCUAUAGCUUGGUGUGGUUGCAUGCCAUGUUUGGACAACUUUUCUGUAUAUAUAUAUUUAAUCCAUGUUUUUGCUGAAUUUGGAAAAUACAUAGUAAUUAAAAUAUAGCUCAAAAAAAUAUGAAAAUUGUUUUGUUGGCUCUACAUGGGUGCUUAGGCUCUGGGAAAAUAUGUUACACAUUAUUUGCUGUAUGAAUUAUUUUAUGAUGAUUUAAAUGCUUGCAUGGCAGUGGUUUAUGAUUUUUAAUAAAUAAUUGGAUUAUGCAAUUAAUCUGGAAAUUUUUGUGGGUAUUUCUUAUGUUAACAAGUUAAUUAUAAAAAUGUGAAAUCUGCUGUUUGACACUUAUACCACAGUAGGGUAUUUAUACUUGAUUAUAUGGUUUGAUCUUGUGAUUUUUUGUAGCUCAAAAUAAAUGUCCAAAUAUUAUGAGAAAUUUAUGGUAGACUCUAUGGUUGACUAGUGAUCUGCUAUAAUUUAUGUGGAAUUUAUGGAUAAGCAGAAAUAUAUGCUAUUUUGUAGGCCUAAAAGUGGAUAAAUAAAUCAUGAAUUUGUUAUACAUAGAUUAAAUGAAGUAAAAUGAUGGUUGGUGUAUCUUGGAAGCAUCAUGUGAGUUUGCUGGUUAACCAUGAAUACAAUUUGUAGAAGAGGAUGCAAUAGAUGCUUAAUUCAAUUACAUGUUCUUGGAUGAUGUUGACUACCUUAUAGAAAUGACCACCUAUAUCAUCUAUGCACUAUGUCAUAGUCAUCUGUUACCCACUUGCAUAAGCAUUGCACCCCGGGCAUCUCGCACUCCACUCAUGAGCACACAUGCAUCAUACAGGCUCGCAGGAGAAUGAGGUGGGACCCGAGGAUCAAGAGGAGACCCAGGACCAGGAACCUCUGGGAGGACCGGAGCCCGGAGAAGAGCUGCAGGAGUGCCCGGAUCACAAGCCGAGCACGUUUGAGAAAGGCAAGCCCCGGAGCAUUCUAAGUCUCUCUAUUUCUCGCUAACAUAAAUGAUAUAUUAGGCUUGUUUUACUAUGUUGCAUUUAAGUGAUAGGAAUUGCUUGAUACCGUUGAUGCAUAUGUACUCCUUGAUAUCACCACUUGUUUACCUACCUUGUCCUUUGUAGAUAGGAACGGAAUCUACGCUUAGCUUGCUUAGUCCGGUAGAAGUUAGGUGAUUUCCUGUCACCUGCGAGAUAUAGGUGGAUACCUGCUUGAUUAGCGGUGAUUGCUUUGGGAAAGGGUAACCAAGUGUGGAAAGGAAUUUGAGACCGGGCAGAGUCUUACGGUGGGUUGAUCAUAGUGCCCCCACCUGUGUCGAUUAAGGACCGAUCGUUGAUGGCCCUCUUGUCAUGUUGAACGCAUGCCCCACACUUAGCUAGAAGGAUAAGUCGUUCCGACCGCGAAGCCUGAACACUAUCCGGGCCGGGAGUCAAGCCGCCAUGCGCUAUAUUGGUGAUGGUUGAGGAGAACGACGAGGGCGCGGCACGCAACCUUGGUAUACCUUGGAUACCUCGGUCGCCGGAACGGUCCUCGGGUACUGGCGGUGCCUGCCGAACCCGCAAAUUGGUCCUAGAUAGUGUAACACGGUGAUCUGUAGCUCACUUGAUCAGUGAGUGUGGUUUAUGUGGGGAAUAACUCGCCAGCUGGUUAGAAAUCGAUUCGAAUCGCCAUCGCUCCUGGAUAGUGAGCACUUGACAUGAGCUUCGUCCUCGUAGUAAGGACUAUGGAACACUUGGGUUAUAAAGAUAACUGAUUUAUGAAUGCUAUGAUGAGGUACCAUCAUAAUACUACCUUUGGUUACAAUAGUACAGGUGCAAACCUAGAAAAUAGGUAAUGAUAAUUGUUGACGGUCCUUAAGUACUAAAAUUAAUAAUCAAAUAAACAUGAAAAAGGAUCAAUAUGAAACAAAAAUCUAGAAUUAGGGUUUUAUCUAACAGAAUUCCACGAGUUUUGGUGUUUAUCUAUUUCUGCAGGGGUUUAUCAGAAAAUAUGGAGAGAAGGCCCACAUGUCAUGUUUACAACGAGAUAAUUACGUGCCGCGCAAUUUUCCUCAAUCUAGAAGGAUCCAGAAGCCACGGGAACGAACAGAACGCAAUUCGGGCUCGGGAGUUGGGCGGCCGCCCACCCCCCUUGGGCGCCCACCCUGGCCAAGAGUUGGAUCAGGACUCUCUCUCAGGACAACUCUCCACCGACCUAAAGGAUCAAUCUAAACCAUACAAUCUAUGUCGGUUUGAUCCAAUGGCUCACGUUCACUUGAGGGGACUAUAAAACCAGACCCCCUGGCCCCUGGAGGAAGAGAGGAGAAAUCAUUAUUCAGAGGUAGCCAUCAAAGUUAGGAUUUAGAUCUCUCUCCCACAGAGAAUUAGAAUUAGCUACUCCCUAAUCCUUCAAGUUUAGAGGUUGAUUAGAUAGCAAUUAGAGAAGUAGAGCACUACGCUCUGGAUUCGGAUCUUCGGUAAUAAAGAUUUGUAUUAUUCAUAUCUUUCUCUAAUUCUAUUGUUCUAAUUGCAUUAUGUCUCUAAUUAUUAUGUUCUUAGUUUGCUCUAGUUCUAUAUUUGAUAUAGUUCUAAUUGAUAAUGAGUUUAUGUAUAAGUUUGCAAAGCGCUUAGCUCUUGACGCGAGGGAGUUAGGUGAUAGAUCACAUGUGAGCGUGGUGCUUAGAUGUUAUUUAUCUGCAAAUGUAUCCUAUUGGCCGAGUCGUGUGGUAGUUCGUGAUAGUGACAGCUUCGUUGAUUCUUAUAUAGUCCACCCUCCAUUGAUAGGACAGGCAGAACCGGUAUUGUGGAGUAAGUCAUGCGAUGUUCUGAUUUACUUUAUCAAUGUUCCUUAUACAUGAAUGAAGAGUCUUUUAUGCUAUAUAUGAUCUUGUAGAUAACUAGAGUAGAUUAUAACUUAGUAGUUAGUAGAUAACUUAGAAUCCAUUCUCUAGCUAAUCCGACAUCACCUACAUAUAUGAGGAGUAGUCUAUUUUCUAAUCGCUGUGUUAUCUACCCAUGAACUUAUACUUUAUUAUCAUUAUCUUUAUGGUUUACCCCCUGCUAAAGUAAGUGACUGUGUGACGAGUUUCUCAUUAGUAAUCAUGUUCUUGCAAGUUUAUCUCUAGUCUAUGCCUUGAUAGAUUUUGCCCCUUUGAUUUAAUUCCAUCUUCUUUAGAUCCCUAGAGCAAAAUUAUAAAUAACGAUACCUGGAAUACUUAUCCUGGUGAAAUGCUACAAUGAGGUGUUUUAUCUGUGCGCUUGCGGAUAGAAUAGAUUAUUUUCUAAAGAGCCUUUACAUUUAUAAAUACCUUUGUACACUCUGGCGCCAUGCUAGGGAUGACAACCUAGUAUCUAAGUGGUGUUAGCUAGUGUCAACAAGCAUUUCUGGCGCCGUUGCCGGGGAGGUAUACGAGUCUCCGGAAUAAGUCAUUAAAGGGAACAAAAGGGUAAUAUUAAGGAAAGUCAGAAAAUCAAUCAAGGUUAUUCAUAUAAAAUAUUAGACUAGACUAUAGAGAAAUAAUUGCAUAAAACAGCUACUAAGUGAGAAAUCAUAACAAGGCACCGCUGCUUUGGCAGGUUCACCCUGUUGUUUUUCUAUGUUUAUAUUUUUAUACAGGGUAUAACAGGAUUGACUUUGGGUACAUUCAACUCUUCAUCAUCAGAACCAAAGCAAUCAAGAGAAGAAGAAGCUAGCUACCAAUUGCUGAAGCUAUGGCACAAAAGACCUUGCAAGAAUUCUCUGCUCCAAGCCUUGAGAACAUUCUAACUGGUCCAAGAUUUGCAGUAGAAGAAGGAAUACCUGAGUUUGAGCUCAAGUCAAGCCUCAUCAAUUUGGUACAAGCUACACAAUUCAGUGGAAAGGCACAUGAAGAUGCCAGUGCACACUUGCAGAAUUUCUUAGAGAUUGGAAGCACAAUCCACAUCAACGGAGUUGACAAAGACGUCAUACUGCUUCGCCUUUUUCCAUUCUCACUAGAAGGAAAAGCGAGGAAGUGGUUCUACACUCAUCAAGAUAACAUCAACAACUGGACGAACUUGUCAGAUGCGUUUCUAUCAAAGUUUUUUCCUAUAGGCAAAACAACUGCCUUAGGAGGAAAUAUUGUCAGUUUCCAACAGCAGAAGACAGAAGCCAUUUCAGAAGCAUGGGAGCAUUUUCAAGGAUACAUAUCAGAUUGUCCUCACCAUGGAAUGGCCACAUGGUUACUUAUGCAGACCUUCUACCAUGGAUUAACCCAGAAGGCUCGUGAGUGCCUAGAUGCAUCUGCUAAAGGAUCAUUCUUGGAGCUUACAACUGGAAAAGCAGAAAUACUUUUGGAUAAGAUAGCAGAAAACCAAAGCUGGUUCCAAGAUAAAGCUCAACAUUGUCAUCAAACUGAAGAAAUACCAGAAGAAGUAAAUGCAUUAUCAACUAAGAUGGAAAAUUUGCUCCAUUGGAUUGACCAGAGGGCCAAGUUCAAAGAAGAUCAAAGGGCCAUUGAGACAGCAUACAAAUAUCAACCAACUUCGAGUCAACCCAAUAGCAAAGGUAUGAAUUCAGGUAAUACUGUCAAGCAACUUUCAUUAAAAGAGAUAAUUGCUCAACAAACCAAAAUUAAUGAUGAAGUUAAACAAAGGCUAGAUACAAAUGAAUCAUCUCUAAAAGAUAUAUAUAAUAAAAUGGAUUUUCUACUAACUGCCUUUGAUGAGCAAAACACUCUUAAUAAAAGGGUAGAGCUUAAAUUAAUAAAAUUAUCUGCUGCACUGCCUGUUGCUACUAACAUUGAGCAGGUAAAGAAUAUAACUACUAGAGGAGGCAAAGCUACCAGAGAUCCACCAUACCCAAAAGAGAAACAAAGAACAUCAGCACCAGUGCAACCAGCAGUGAUAGAAGAAGAAAGCCCAGUUGAAGCAGAAGAUCUGCUACAACCACCAAGAACUGGAGAAAUGAGGAAAGAUUUUUACGACACCAACUAUUUGCCAUUUCCCAGAAGAAACAGAGGACUGCAGUCGGAUGAGCAGUUUGGUAAGUUUGUAGAGGUCAUUCAGAAAUUAUAUGUCAACAUACCUCUACUUGAUGCCAUACAGGUACCUACAUAUGCAAAGUACAUCAGAGAAAUUCUUAACAAGAAGAGACCACUGCCCACCACUGAGGUUAUCAAGCUGACAGAAGAAUGUAGUGCGGCCAUCCUCAACAAACCACCAAAGAAGAAGGAAGAUCCAGGAUGCCCCACUAUUGACUGCUCGAUCGGAAACCAAAACUUCAACAAUGCACUUUGUGAUCUCGGAGCAAGUGUCAGUGUGAUGCCAGCAUCAGUCUACAAAAAGCUUGAGCAUGCAACCUUAGAACCAACAUCAAUGUGCCUACAACUAGCGGAUCAAUCGGUUCGACACCCGUUGGGCAUCGCCGAGAACGUUCCAGUCAAGAUCAGAGAUUUCCUGGUGCCAGUAGAUUUCGUAGUACUGGACAUGAGUCCUGACUCGAAAGUAUCCAUCAUCCUUGGAAGGCCAUUUCUGAGCACUACCAAUGCCCACAUUGAUGUUGGGAAGGGAGAAAUCAAGUUCAACAUAAACGGUCAAGAAGAACACUUCACAUUCAAACCCAGACCAGAGAGAGACUCUAUAGUGAAGGAAGUUCAUGAAGAACCACUAGAGACACCAUCUCCGGAGGAAGAAAACUCAGAAGAUUAAAAGAAUUGGAGGUCCAGCUUGGGGGACCUAAAAAUCCCAAACCCUCACCGGGAGGUAAAUCGGUAUUUAUCCGCAUUAUUAAUUUUCUCAUAUUUAAAUUCUUGCAUAAUUAAUUCUUGCAUUAGUCAUAGCAUAAUUAUAAUAAUAAAAAAGCCCCAGAUAAAUAAUAUUCGUGGUGUGUAACAACCCAUAUUUAUUAAUUAUCGUGGAGGCACAAAAAUAUUUUCCAUUAUCAUUUUAAUUAAUUUUCAAUUCUCAUAGAUUUUCCUGCAUUAUAUUUAAUCAUAUUAAUCUUCUAGAAGCAUGACCCACACUCUUUGGGUCCCACAUGUCAUACACUUCACCUCACAUACAUCCCAUCACAUAAUUUCAUCCACCAAUAUGUUUCCACUCACUUGACAUCUUUCCACCGUCCAACCACCACCAACACAAUAUUAUUCUGCGUGAGAUCAAAGCAAGGAAGCAAGUGGAGGAGGCACACCCAGGAUGGACACCACAAGUGGGUGCCCGCCCACCUACCUUGGGCGCCUGCCCUGUUCCCUGCUCAGCUUAUAAAAGGCCACCUCCAACUCCCCUUCUCUUCACACAAACACUUCAGAAAACCACACAAAUCUCAGUUUCCCGAGAAGGAGUUCUUGUAGUGAAGAGAAGAGAGUAGAGAGAAAGAGGAGAGUGGAAGGGAAGGUUGGAGUUCUUUUGAGAAAGUGAUUGUCACCUAGCAAAUAGUGAUCCCGCUGUCCAAGCGGAAGUAAAAGUUGUUUAGGGGGAGGCUCUACCAAAAUAGAAACUUGUCUUGAACGAUUAACCCCUGGACUACUGACACUCCGGACAACUAACCACUAACAUUUUAUCUCACAUUUUCCACUAGUUGUGUUUUUGCCAACUUUUGUUUGCAGGAUGUUUAAGAAGGUGAAGAAUGCAGGGAAGGCUCUUAAGAACAUUGGUACAAGGAGUUCAACCCGACACUCCUCACAGCCAUCAGAGAUGAGCGUCGAUCCGACACCCACACAAGCUCCAUCAUCUUCAUCAGGUCAACAAGUUAAGGUUCUUCUCAAGAUAGGAGACCUUGGACUGAAGACCCGAAGAGAGAAGGAAGUUUAUCAGCAAUUGAAGAACAAGGAUUUCAUUCACACCCCUACUAUCGAUCCAAUCCUACUACGAGAAACAGGUAUGGACACUGAAUUUGACUUAAUUUUUCAGAUGAUGGGUUGGACAAAUUUUUGGAAUAUAACUGAGCUGGGUUCUCGUCUUCUCACCCUCGAAUUUCUUUGCACUUUACAAUACUAUGAGGGGGGAAUUGUUUUUUGGACGUUCAAACAGGAAAUUAUGUUAUCUUGGAGAGAGCUGAGCGACCAUCUUGGUUUCUCUUCAAGAUGCAUCCUGAACAUUGACUCCGAUUUACCCAACUUUGAGAGACACCAGUUUUGGAGAGAAAUAUCUAGAGAUAAUUAGCCCGAACUAGUGACAUGGAACACCCCACUCUCAGGAUGUUUCACAAAUGGCUUGGGUACAAUCUUUUCUAUCGCGAUGAUAUUAGGAAAGUAAGAGUAGGAGAUUUACAACUUUUAUAUGCUGCUAUUAGUAAAGUACCUACUUCACCUGUUACACUAUUAGUUUCACAUUGGCUUAGUAUACCUAGUCUUCAGGGACCAGUAGGAUGUACUUCACUUAUCACUCGUCUAGCCACUAAUCUUCACUUACUAGAAAACUCGUCAUUGGACUUCAUAGAAGAAUUAAGAAUUUAUCAUGGCUAUGACACAUUUAGACAAGCUCGGAUGUUAAAGAAAGAGGGAAAUAUAAUGUAUAUGCUAUAUGAUGAUAAAGGCAAGAUUCGGUUACCUAACCCGAACCUUGGCCUCUACGCUGUGCAAAACUUUUUGAUUGAGAUUGCAUCAACACCAGUGAACCAGAGAACUCCACAGCGAGUGGCAUCUGAAAGGAUAACCACUCACCGAGAACGCACUUGGUAUGGAGCUGAUCCUGGACCAGAAGAAGCAGCGCACCUGCAUUAUUGCGAUUACAAUCCACGAGUCCUUCGAGACCCAUGGGAUCGUCAUGCACAACCACAACAGCCAACAGAGGAGACAUGGCCGGAGAGCAAAGAUCACCAGUGGACAAACCCGCCUUUUCAUACGGGCAGGUACUCCACUGAUCCAUAUGGAGCUUCAGGAUCCAGACCUCCGCCCUAAUUUGAUGCAGGACGAUACUCCGACGCCUCCUACGCCUUCACGAAUGACUACUAUCAAGAGGCCGGUGCUUUCUUCACUCGUACCGACAACACCCUCCUCGACAUUCAGAACACGCAAGCAGAACAUGGAAGACUCCUGGAAGAGCAACAAAAAUGGAACCAGAACCAUGCCGCAGCAGUAGAAGAGCUGAGACAAGAUACAACAACAAUGAACGACAACAUCACAACCAUGAUGCGGUUCUGGAACAUCGGGUAAGACCGACGUCAACAUCCAGCUUGGGGGAGUUCCUCCUCAAUUUAUCAAGUAUUUGCUCUUCUUAUUUAUUCUAUUCUGUCUUAGUAUUUAAUUUAUCUUAAAAGGAAAAACUUAGAAAACCAAAUAAAUAUUUUCUUGCUUUAAUUCACUGCACUUUAAUAAACAUGAAAACAAAAUAAAAAGAGUGUGUAGAUAAGUGUGCUUUAUUUUCCUGCUAAGUUUAAUCUCUAAAAAAAAUAAAAAAAAUAAAGACCAAAAAUAUGCAUGAUGGAAAUGAUGAACAGUUGCUCUGUUUGCUUACUUACAAGUACCUAGCUUUUAUAUUAGAAUUCUUCCAGGAAUUACUAAAACUAAAAUCACUAUCUUUGGGAAGCAUAAAACUAAAGUCUAGGUAAGAGAAAGGCAUGAUAUAAAGUUGAGCUGCUGUUUAUCUUGUUCCUACUACACUAAAUUCUGGAGAUUUAUUUUUGAAAACUUGCAAAUCACAUGAUGAGUUCCUAGCAUAACAAACUACCUACCAUAGCCAUACUUGCUAUAACAUCUUUUACUAUAUUUACAUUGAGUUUGAUCGAGCUGUGUUGACCCUUAGGAGCUUUUCAUGUGGUUAAAUUAAGAUAUUCACUUGCACACAUCUACUACACCAUUCAUCAUCAUUCAAAUUGCUAAAAAUAUUAUCACUCACUGUCCCGCGUAUUGUUAUUUUCUCUCUCUAAAAAGAUUCAAUGCAGAAGAGGCAUGGGUUAUGCAAAAAUAUAUACGAGGAAAUAAAAAGGGGCAAGUGCCCGGGAACCUCGAAAAAGAAAGAAAAAGAGUGAGACGAGAGGUAAAAAUGGACAAGUGUCCGAAGUAGAAUUAGGGGUACAAAGAUGCCCACUUGAGCGGAAAAAAUGGACAAGUGUCCGACAGUAGAAUUAGGGGUAUCUACUACCCACCUGAAAAAAAAAGAAAAGAGAAAAAAAAGAAAAGAUAGCCCAUGUUCUCCCAAAGCAAAGAUCAAAAAGAAAGAAGAGAGAUAGCAAUAUGAGGAGCAAUGAGAACCAAAUUUUAUUAUCACUUAUGCAUUUCCACCAUCAUUAACAUUUACUCCACCACACAUGCACAUCUUGAUUUAAUUAUAUGCUGAGUUUCUUUGGAUCCAUGGCUCGAUUAGACAACAUAUGUAUGAGCUGUUUGUUUUUUUUCACUCCUAUGAGCUCCACUUAAAUAUUUCAUUAGCUAUAGGUAAGUGACAUUAUGGUAAGGAUCCACAAAUACCACAUAUAGAGAGACUUGAGAGAAUCAUUGCUGGGAACUCUGAGUUUUAUUUUGAAAACUUAUGAAAAACUCUGGAACAAAAGUGAAGUAUAGACAAGAGGGAUAGUGCUUGACUUAACUAUUUUGUCUUUCGAUUACUUAAGAUUUAAGUGCAGGUACUAAACUCCAUAACACUUCACUCGAAUCUGGAAGAAUUUUUAUGUAAAAGCAUGUGUGCCUGUCAGGAAAGAAAACAUCAAAGCAACUCCUGAUCCGUCUUAGUUUAGCUGUUUGCUCAGGGACGAGCAAAGGGUAAGCUUGGGGGAGUUUGUUGACGGUCCUUAAGUACUAAAAUUAAUAAUCAAAUAAACAUGAAAAAGGAUCAAUAUGAAACAAACAUCUAGAAUUAGGGUUUUAUCUGACAGAAUUCCACGAGUUUUGGUGUUUAUCUAUUUCUGUAGGGGUUUAUCAGAAAAUAUGGAGAGAAGGCCCACAUGUCAUGUUUACAACGAGAUAAUUACGUGCCGCGCAAUUUUCCUCAAUCUAGAAGGAUCCAGAAGCCACGGGAACGAACGGGACGCAAUUCGGGCUCGGGAGCUGGGCGGCCGCCCACCCCCCUUGGGCGCCCGCUCUGGCCAGGAGUUGGAUCAGGACUCUCUCUCGGGACAACUCUCCACCGACCUAAAGGAUCAAUCUAAACCAUACAAUCUAUGUCGGUUUGAUCCAAUGGCUCACGUUCACUUGAGGGGACUAUAAAACCAGACCCCCUGGCCCCUGGAGGAAGAGAGGAGAAAUCAUUAUUCAGAGGUAGCCAUCAAAGUUAGGGUUUAGAUCUCUCUCCCACAGAGAAUUAGAAUUAGCUACUCCCUAAUCCUUCAAGUUUCGAGGUUGAUUAGAUAGCAAUUAGAGAAGUAGAGCACUACGCUCUGGAUUCGGAUCUUCGGUAAUAAAGAUUGGUAUUAUUCAUAUCUUUCUCUAAUUCUAUUGUUCUAAUUGCAUUAUGUCUCUAAUUAUUAUGUUCUUAGUUUGCUCUAGUUCUAUAUUUGAUAUAGUUCUAAUUGAUAAUGAGUUUAUGUAUAAGCUUGCAAAGCGCUUAGCUCUUGACGCGAGGGAGUUAGGUGAUAGAUCACAUGUGAGCGUGGUGCUUAGAUGUUAUUUAUCUGCAAAUGUAUCCUAUUGGCCGAGUCGUGUGGUAGUUCGCGAUAGUGACAGCUUCGUUGAUUCUUAUAUAGUCCACCCUCCGUUGAUAGGACAGGCAGAACCGGUAUUGUGGAGUAAGUCAUGCGAUGUUCUGAUUUACUUUAUCAAUGUUCCUUAUACAUGAAUGAAGAGUCUUUUAUGCUAUAUAUGAUCUUGUAGAUAACUAGAGUAGAUUAUAACUUAGUAGUUAGUAGGUAACUUAGAAUCCAUUCUCUAGCUAAUCCGACAUCACCUACAUAUAUGAGGAGUAGUCUAUUUUCUAAUCGCUGUGUUAUCUACCCAUGAACUUAUACUUUAUUAUCAUUAUCAUUAUGGUUUACCCCCUGCUAAAGUAAGUGACUGUGUGACGAGUUUCUCAUUAGUAAUCAUGUUCUUGCAAGUUUAUCUCUAGUCUAUGCCUUGAUAGAUUUUGCCCCUUUGACUUAAUUCCAUCUUCUUUAGAUCCCUAGAGCAAAAUUAUAAAUAACGAUACCUGUAAUACUUAUCCUGGUGAAAUGCUACAAUGAGGUGUUUUAUCUGUGCGCUUGCGGAUAGAAUAGAUUAUUUUCUAAAGAGCCUUUACAUUUAUAAAUACCUUUGUACACUCUAGCGCCAUGCUAGGGAUGACAACCUAGUAUCUAAGUGGUGUUAGCUAGUGUCAACAAUAAUAUCAAACUUGAGCUAAUUAAAAGAAGAAAGGUUUUCUUUAGGCUAUGAUUAGUGGAACAAUGCUUUUAUGCAAAAAAAGUCUUAGCUACUCCCUCAUACAGCCUUCAUGAUCCUUGAGGAGUCUUUAUUUUUGGUUUAUGACGGGUAAGUCUAGCUGAGUACAUUCUCGUACUCAGGGUUUUAUUCCCAUGUUGUUUUGUAGAUGGUCAAAUGUAUUAUGGAUAUUGCAUCCUCUGCUUGUACCCAGCAGUGGGCGAGGACUAGACCAAGGGCGAUGGUCACUCUAACUUCUCUUGUGCUUUUGUGGGAAUGACCGAACUAUGGCACUGUAUCAAACUAAAUGUGUGUGUGUGUUACUUUCAAACUAUGAAGCUUCCGCUACUUGAGAAUUUGGUUUGUAAUAAUUUUUAAGUACUCCGAUGUGUUCGUUAAAUGAUAUGAACUGGAUGUAAUUGUGAAUGGUGACUGCUAAACUUAUUACGAUCUUGGCUGUAUGUGCGAUAUGUGGUUUGAAAUCCUUCGAGAUUUCACGAACUACUGGAAUUAUAUGGGCUUAUGCUUGAUGGUUUGACUGUGCAAAUGGUCACUAUUAGGCUUAAUCUCUUAUAAUUUGGAUGGUUCUGUUACAGCUGGUAUCGGAGCAAGGUUUAGCGAGUUACUAUGCAUUAGUACGUUCUAACUAAACUUAAACCGGUUUAAUAAAAGAUUAUUAUAAUUAAUGAUAAUCAAGGUGUCAAACUAAGUUUUUGGAAAACUAUCUGGUGUGCCAUUUGCAUAUCCUUUAUGCCCAGUUAAGGACUCUAAGGUGGCUAGUUAAGUACUGACUUGGGGGUUAAUGCAUCAUAUUUCUAUUUCAUCUCAUACGGCGUGCAAUGGUAUGAGUACCAUUCAUUUGAGUGGUAAUGUAUGGAUCAAUUCUUCCUCUACGCCUCGGUAAUUGGGAGCUGUGAGAGCAUGAUCGGAUACACUGCCGAUCUAGGGAAGUGUUGUUAAGGUGCUGUGUCAUGCACACAUGUUUGGUGUGCCUGGGAACAAUACCGCAUGUUGGGAGAUUCUGUCCUAAGAGGCGAUGCCGUCACUAGGGCGAUGAUGUGGGUAGUAACACGUCAUAUGCAUGGACGGGGUGUCUAUGUAUGUGGGGUGUAUAGUUUUAAAUUCUUGUUCUGCACUAACCACGUUCCCGCCUAGAACGCUAGUUACGUAUGAGAGAACGUUGUGUGCCACCGCAUAUACUGAUUAGUGUCAACUUUAUUUCUAAGUUUGUGAGAUCGUAAGUCUGUGCAUGCAUCAUGUUCAUUUCAUAUCAUUGCUUACUUCCCUCCCUUAAAGUAAAUUUGUCCCAAUUUUAAUUAAGUUAAUAAAAGGUACUCCUCAAUCUUACCCAAGGUAUUCCAUUUUCAGCAGAUGGCGCGCACUAGGCUCACCGCUCGCAAGUCCACUAGUGGGCGGGCCCCUCGCCAUCAGUUGGCAGCCAGGAGCUCGCGUCAUAAGAGCAAGUUCUUGGAGGAGUUUGGGAUGCCCACCUUGCUAUGGAGGGUGCUCAGUUCGUUGGGGUAUCUCGAAGGAAGGGAACCUCGUUACUAUUGGAACAAGGAGCAGCUUGGUGACGGGACCCUGGUUGGGUGUAUGAUUCCCAAGGUACCACGCCUUUCCACGGUGCCAGCAGAGCAGCUUUCGCAGUUCUGAGGGACCUCAUGGAGAGGUUUCCACAGGAGCUGGCCCACGCCUUCGCUGGGUGUUUCCCCGGGGUGACCCCUACACUUUGGUGUGGGAUCAGUCCGAGGUGAAUGUUGACGGUCCUUAAGUAUCAAAUUUAAUUAUUAAAUAAAUAAAGAAAAGGAUCCAAAUGAAAUUAAGAUCUAGACUUAGGGUUUUAUCUGACAGAAUUCCACGAGUUUUGGUGUUUGUCUAUUUCUGCAGGGGGUUAUCAGGAAAUACGGAAGAAAGGCCCACAUGUCGGGAUUACGUAAAGAUAUUAACGUGCUGCGCAAUUAUCUUACAUCUAGAAGACUCCAGAAGCCACGAGGCCGAAGCAGAGGCGAAACGGGGCUAGACCCUGGGCGGCCGCCCAGUUGGUCAGGGCACCCGCCCACCUCCUGAGUCCAAUCAGGACUCUGCUUUGCGGGAGAUCUCCACCGACCUAAAGGAUGAAUCUAAACCAUACAAUCUAUGUCGGUUUGAUCCAAGGGCCCAUAUUCACUUGAAGGGACUAUAAAACCAGACCCCCUUGCCCCUGGAGGAGAGAGCCUCUCAACCCUAAUUCAUUGUUCCAUCAAGGGAGAAGAAGCCUCUGAUCAAGAUUAGAGCCACCACAUCAAUUAGAUAUCUAGAUUAGCAUAGCUACAUAGGAUUAGAACUAGAAGGAGUCAAUCUUCGAUUGGUUUCCGGAUCUGUCAAGAGGAUUCUUGGUAAUUCUCUAAUUGUGCUUCUAAUUGCUUUCUAAUUAUCUCUGUUCUUCAAUAUUAUGAAUAUGACUUUGUUCUACUUCAAUAUAUUGCUUAUGACUUUGCUCUACUUGCUUAUAUUCAAGAUUAUAUUGUUCUUAGUUUAUCAUAGUUAUGUACUUGGCUUAGUUAGAUUGGAUCUAUAUACAUGCUUAGGAUCGUAUAGCGUUUAUCCAUCGGAUCCAUGGGUAAAUGAUAGAUAUUGUGUAGGCGUGGUGCUUAUACCGUAUUUAUCUGCGAUUGUACCCAAUAUGCCAGAUCAUGGGGUGGUUCGUGAUAGUGACAGCUUCAUUGAUUCUUAUAUAGUCCCCCUCUCGUGUAUUGGGCUGGCAGAGCAACAUUAUUACAGGGGAGUGAUUGCUAUGUUUCUCAUAUUCCUUGCUAAUAUCACUAUGCAUGGGCGUAGUCUUGUCUCGCAAUGAUUGCUAAGUAUGCUUGCACUAACUAUGAUAUGCUAGACUAUAUAGUUGAGAAUAACUUAGGGAAUAUUCUUGUAGUUCGUUCUAAUACCAUGCUAAUGACUUUCUAGAGUAUCUAAUUGAGGUGCUUAUCAUAUUUAUUAUGUGGCUAGAUCAGAUUAGUUAUCUUUGUCACUAUUAUUAUUUCAUAUAUCUUUUAUGUGACACUUAUCCCUGUAUGAAGAGUUAGAUAUAAUGUUCUCAAUUAUACAUGCAAUGAUAGAUGCUCAAUCUCAUAUUAUAUUCUGUAAUCAUUAGUAAUGAUUGCUAAUCCCUUCCCAGUGGUAAAAAUAUAAAUAACGAUACCUGGAAUACUUCCCGGUUAAAAUGCUACAUCGUUAUUAAUCUGUGCGCUUGCAGAUCCAAUUCAUUAUUUAUUUAGAAGAGCAAUUGCAUAUUUCAACACCGCGUCUCUUAUAUCAUGCUGGGGAUGACAACUUGGCUUAAGUGGUGUGAGGGAUAGGUUUGGCAUUUUUGGCACCGUUGCUAGAUUUAGAACUUAGUCUACUUUUAGUAAUGAUGUUAAGAAUACCCAACAAGCAUUUUUGGCGCCGUUGCCGGGGAAGGUUGAUUACUAAUCAGGAAUGGAAUAAAAAGAUUUUGAGUUAUCAUUCGCAUCACUAAUAUGAUUGAGCUUAUCUAUUCUAUCAUACAGUUUUACCCCGAUAUUUUUCUAUUUUAUCUUAUGCAGGGGAAUGUAUGAAUAGAAGACAUCUUCCAGGAAAUUUUGUUGACAAUCCUGAAGCAUUAUUCAAGAAGAUGAGAGCCAAGCUAAAGAAAUCAUCAACACUUCACGAAGAAGCUUCAUCCAAUCAAGAAGAUCACCGGAACUUGUCUUCAGAGUUCGAAGCCAUGGCGAACAAAUCAAUCCGUGAGUUCUCAGCUCCCACUACGGACAACAUCCGCACUGGACCUGCUGCAGAGAUCGAUGGUAACUUUGAGCUCAAGCCUGGACUUAUCAACAUGGUGCAAUCCAACCAGUUCUGUGGGAAGGCACACGAAGAUGCUAGUGCUCAUUUACAACACUUCCUAGAGAUUUGCAACACAUUCACCAUAGCAGGAGUUUCCAAAGACGCUAUACUACUUCGCCUCUUCCCAUUCUCACUGUUAGGAAGAGCGAAGCAGUGGUUCUACGCUACAAAGCAGAAGAAUACUACGUGGGCACUCUGCUCAACAAACUUCCUGGCUAAGUUCUUUCCCAUGGGCAAGACCAAUGCUCUCCGUGGGAAGAUUACAAGUUUUCAGCAACAAAAUGAUGAAUCUGUUUCAGAAGCAUGGGAGCGCUUUCAAGACUACAUCCUAGAAUGUCCCCAUCAUGGAAUGGAGAGUUGGCUACUGAUGCAGACAUUCUAUCAUGGGCUCAGCAACAGUGCCCGAGAGACCAUGGAUGCUGCAGCUGGAGGAGCAUUCUUAUCACUUACUAUACCACAAGCCACAGCUCUUGUGGAGAAGAUGGCGUCCAACCAAAGCUGGAAUGAAGAGAGGACCCAGACACGCAAGAGAGGUGGAGGUAUGCAUCAGCUGAAGGAGGUAGACAUGCUGUCUGCAAAGCUAGACCUGCUCAUAAAGAAGCUCGACGAUAGAGCUGGAGACAAGAAAGAAGAUAUGCACAUCUACGACUCUCACAUGACUUGUGAGGAGUGUGGAGACACUGGACACUCAGGCAACCACUGCCCUGAGAUGCUUGAGGAUGUGAACUACAUCAACAACAACAACAACUACUACUACAACCGUCCUCAACAAAAUCAAGGUUGGAAUCAACAGAGGCCUAACUACUCAGGUAAUUAUCAAGGUAACAAUUCUUACAACAAUAAUAAUAAUUUUCCACCUUUGAGAGAGUUAGUGUCUAAUCAAGGAAAGCUAAUGGAUAAUCUAUCUAAGAAAUUGGCGUCUAAUGAUAAAAUGCUAGAAAAUAUAAAUAAUAGAAUGGAUAAUGUCUCUACUGCCAUCAAGAAUCAAAUUAGCUUUAAUAAAAUGAUUGAAUCCCAGUUAAAUCAAAUAGCUGCUGCUGUUCCUACUACUAACCCCGGUAUACCAUCACAACCGGAAGGAUUAGAAUCUGCAAAUCUUAUAGACGUGUUUGAUGCAGGUAAUUGGAGUAACCCCGUCACUGAAUUUUGUACUGACCGUCUGCCGGUCAAGAGAGGCGAUCCAGGACGCCCCGUCAUCCCGAUCUCCAUCGGCAUGGUGGACGUUCCAGAAGCACACUGUGACUUUGGCUCUAGCGUCAACAUUAUACCCAGGGUACUCUAUGAGAAAUUCUUUACAUAUCCUUUAUUAGAGACAACCAUGUGUUUGCAGUUUGCAGAUCAGACGAUAACUUUUCCAAAAGGAAUAGUGAGGAACCUUUGUGUCCGAGUUGGUACCUUGUAUGCCCCAGCAGACUUCGUAGUGGUAGAGACCGGAAAUGAUGAGAGAGCACCUAUCAUCCUAGGAAGGCCAUUUUUGAACACCACGGGAGCUAUCAUCUACGCCAGUGCUGCCAAGAUCAGUUUCUACGUCAAAGGGAAGAAGGAUACAUUUUUCUUCAAGAACAAGACUACACAAAUUCCAGAUCAAUCCAGACGUGAAUCAAGGAAGAGGACCAACAGGAGAAACAGGAACAAGCAAGUGUGGACCGAGUCAGCUAAGAUGGUCACUGUAGUCCAUGGAGGCCAAGAUCACCAACUUAAGUCACCGUUUUUGACCAAGAAGGACGACCCAGGAAUGCCAAGCAUUUACUGCUCCAUAAAUGGAUACAACUUCUACAAGACGAUUUUCGACACCGGAUCGGGCGUCAACAUAAUGGCCGCAAUCACCUAUCGGCUCUUGUUCGGGACCAUGCCACUAAGACCAACAUACAUUCAGCUCCAGAUGGCAGAUCAGACAUUUUGAGAAGUUCAAGGAAUAGUAUCUGAUGUCCCAGUCAAAAUAGACGAUCACUUUGUCUACACAGACUUUCAAGUUGUUGACAUGGGAGAAGAAGAGUACGAUCCACCCAUCAUCCUUGGAAGACCGUUCCUCAGCACCGUUAAAGCAAUUAUCUACAUUGGAACCGGAGAAGUCCAUAUGCACUUCCCCUCAGAGAAGGUACGCCGUUUUUUACUGACCCUAACUAUAUCAUUGAAGAAUCUAAGCAGGUCAGAAAGAGACGCAACCGCAACCAGAGAAGGCAGAUCAUCAAGGACGGAUGGGCAGACUAUGAAGGAGAAGUUGUAAGGUCAGAAGACUUGGAGUUUAAACAGAAUUAUCCAGAGGAGAUUGAAGCACCGAGUUAGGUAUGGAAAAUGAAGAUAACUAUACAAGAAGAGGAGGCACUGCCGGAAGUACCGACUACGCCACCCAACGAACCUCAGGACGAUUAAGAAAUUGGAGAGUCCCGUUCGGAGGACUUAAAAAUACCGAACGCCUUGCCAAGAGGUAAACUUGGUAGUUAUCCUUUCCAUUACAAUUAUUUCAAAUUAUUUCAACUAGUUUACUAAGUAAUCAUGUUCAUGCUAUCUUAAAAAGAAAAUAAAAAUAUGAAAAACACUAAGCUCCAUGUGAGUAUACGAGUGGCAUAAAACCCAUUAGUACAUUCACUGUGGUGGCAUAAAAAUAAAAAUAAAUAUUUUUCUGCUUUAUAAAACAAAAAUAUAAAAACAGGGAGUAACAAUUAUUAAGGAGUCUCAAGAUAAUAAAGGCUAGAUAUUUAUGCUAACACUUAAUCAGUUCCACAAGCUUUGUUGUCUAUUUGAGCUCCACAGAAUUUAAGAAGACUAGCAGACGGAGGACAUUCUAAUCGCUGUCAGAAUGCUGCUGACUUUCAAAUACACCUCUGCCACCUGCUAGCUACAUUAAGAGAAAUUACGUCAAAAUUCAGCUUGGGGGAGAGCACCCCCAUUUACAUCGAUAAGUAUUUCUAUCUAUCUUUAUACUUAUAUUAUUUUAGAAUAUUAAAAUACAUAUAAACUAUGGGAAAACCAAAUAAAGAUUUUAUGCUUAUAUAUGUCUUUUGCUUAGUGUGUUUAAUAAAUAAAUAAAGUGGCUAUUUUAAUCUGUAUCUAAACAAAAACUUAAGCAUGGAUAUGAUAAAUAGUUGCUCUGUCUAAUUUGCAAAUUUUAAGUUCUCUCUCAAGUUUAGAUAUAACUGUUAUAAUUUAAAGCUUGCCCUAGACCUAAACUUGUGGGAUGAAAACUUGAUCUGAAGUCUAAGUUGUUAACGGAUACGAUAUAGGAAGGUUGAGCUGCUGUUUAUCUGUUCCUAGAGAUUCUAGAAUUCUGGAGAAUUUUAUCUUUGAAAAUCUUUAAAAUGUUGCAUGAUGAGUUCCUGUAUGAUGAGAGCUUAAAUUCCUACCACAGCCAUAUAUACAUGCUUGCUAGACUUUGAGCCACACAUUUAUUAUUUACUGCUUAUGAGCAUUGAGUGUGGUCAAGCUGUGUAGACCCUUAGGAGCUUGUCAUGUGGUUAAAUCAAGAUUUCACUGGCACGUUCACUCAUAUAUGCUACUUCUACUCCGGAAGUACCAUCCACAUAUAUCCAUCCAUUUCCAUCUCCAGAAUCACCCAAAAAUAUUCUGCUCCUAAUCCGGGAGAGAAUAACCAAAAAUAUUUUUGUUUCCCCUUGUGAAAUAAAUGCUCAAGUUAUCUUGUUACUACCACUUGCUAUAUUAUCUCAAGAGAUGAGUGCUCUAAAAAAAGAAGAAAAUAAAAAAAUAAUACGAGGAAAUAAAAAGUUGCAAGUGCUCGGAACCUCGAAAGAAAAGAAAGAGUGAGACGAGAGGUAAAAAUGGACAAGUGACCGACAGUAGAAUUAGGGGUGCAAGAUACCCACCUGAGAGACAAGAAAAAGAAGAGCAUCUCAUUCUCCUCAUAAAGUUUCAAAAGCAAGGAAGGUAUGUAUCCCCUCAAAAGAGCAAAGUAGAAUUAGACUUCCACCACCAUUGUUUUCACCAUUGUUAUCACCAUCAUCACCAUACACCAUUCAUUCGCCACACAUGCACAUCUUGAUUUGGCUUAUUGAUUUGUUUCUUUGGAUCCAUGGUUUGACUAUGCAAUAAAUGUCUUGUGAGUAUGUAUACUUUAUCUCCCACCUAUGAGCUCCAAAUAUUAAAGCCUUAUUAGAGUAGGGUGAGAGAGAAGGAAAUGUCACUAUGCCUUAUACCACAAAUACUACAUAUCUUGAGAGAAGGCAUAUACCAUUAAUGCCUUGGUAAGGAUCUAAAAAUACCACAAAAGAGAGAUCUGAGAGAAUCAUACAAGGAAUCUCUGAGUUUUAUUUGAAAAUCUGCAAAAACCCCAGAGCUAUAGCUGAUCAAGAAUAAGAGACAUGGCACUUGGCUAGAGUGUUCUAUCUUUUAACCACUCAAGACAGAAGUGACAGUUACAAGUCCCAUGGUGGAGGUAAAGUAAGUAAGUUUUAAGUCUUGAUAGUUUACUCUAACUCAGAGAUGAGAUCUUAUUUAAAAGCAUGUGUACCGUCUAUUUUUUUAAAAAUAUUGCAACAACUUAUGAUCCAUAGGUGAGUCUAUCCUUGCUCAGGAACGAGCAAGAGGUAAGCUUGGGGGAGUUUGUUGACGGUCCUUAAGUAUCAAAUUUAAUUAUCAAAUAAAAAAAGAAAAGGAUCCAAAUGAAAUUAAGAUCUAGACUUAGGGUUUUAUCUGACAGAAUUCCACGAGUUUUGGUGUUUGUCUAUUUCUGCAGGGGGUUAUCAGGAAAUACGGAAGAAAGGCCCACAUGUCGUGAUUACGUAAAGAUAUUAACGUGCUGCGCAAUUAUCUUACAUCUAGAAGACUCCAGAAGCCACGAGACCGAAGUGGAGGCGAAACGGGGCCAGACCCUGGGCGGCCGCCCAGUUGGUCAGGGCGCCCGCCCACCUCCUGAGUCCAAUCAGGACUCUGCUUUGCGGGAGAUCUCCACCGACCUAAAGGAUGAAUCUAAACCAUACAAUCUAUGUCGGUUUGAUCCAAGGGCCCAUAUUCACUUGAAGGGACUAUAAAACCAGACCCCCUG
RNAcentral lists this long non-coding RNA (374463 nucleotides) under Sorghum bicolor (sorghum). RNAcentral describes it as "long non-coding RNA (SBIC_LNC017564)". The stretch from base 64739 to 64845 matches the Rfam family "Plant small nucleolar RNA R71". Lineage: Eukaryota; Viridiplantae; Streptophyta; Magnoliopsida; Poales; Poaceae. The record is from RNAcentral.